This 449680-nucleotide long non-coding RNA is filed under the name Prunus persica (peach). Its description in RNAcentral is "long non-coding RNA (PPER_LNC001496)". The stretch from base 258443 to 258549 matches the Rfam family "Plant small nucleolar RNA R71". Lineage: Eukaryota; Viridiplantae; Streptophyta; Magnoliopsida; Rosales; Rosaceae. The record is from RNAcentral.
AAUUAAUUACACUUUGUGAGAUUUGAUUUUAAUUAGAGUUCGAAUUAAUGUUGCAGCUAGCAGCGGUUGCACAGGCAAACAAUGCUGCUCAACCAGCACCUCAACUUUACUGGAACUCCGUCCUGCCAAACACACAGAUGCCAAGAUCUAUCAGUGAACUUCUGCAUCCUGGUUUGUGUUGAGCUCUUUAGAAUCUUAGAUAUCUCUUCUACCUGCCAUUUUACUUAAAUAUGUUCGACCACAUAUUUAUCAGUUAACUACUGUCAUUACAUGAGUGACACAUAUUCACAAAUCGGCUGAUCACUUAUUUUCCAUUAUGACGUUGAUAUAUAAUUUGCAGACUCCACAAAUGAAGAAAAGAGCACAAAUGACGUUGGCAAACCUGAAACUUUCCCAUUGGGCAAUCAAAAUUACUCCAGUCAAAAAAAUUAUGGAACAGGCAAUAAACGUUACUGCAGUCAAAAAAGGUAUGGAAGAGGCAAGAAACGUUACUGCGAUCAAAAAAAGUAUGGAAGAGGUGCUUCUCCAUCUGACAAUCAACUACUCCAUUAUAAAGACUUAGCUAUUUUCUUCUUGGAGAAGGACAUGCGCCCUGGCACAACAAUGAAGUUCCAAUUCUCUAGAAAUUCAAACACGGCUACUUUCUUGCCACGAGAAAGCGCUCAAUCGAUCCCCUUCUCCUCUAACAAACUACCAGAAAUUUUCAACCAUUUUUCAGUGAAGCCAACAUCUGAGGAAGCCAAAACAAUUAAGCAAACAAUCGAAGAGUGUGAAGCUCCCGGCCUUAAGGGAGAGGAAAUAUAUUGCGCCACAUCUUUAGAAUCAAUGGUUGAUUUUAGCACUUCGAAGCUUGGAACAAGAAACGUUGAAGCAAUCUCGACGGAGGUAUUGGAAAAAGGAGCCACCAUGUCCAUGCACAACUAUACAACAAUGCCGGGACUGAAGAAGUUGGCCAGUGACAAAGUCGUUGUGUGUCAUAAGCAGAACUAUCCCUAUGCUGUGUUUUUCUGCCAUGCAAUAAAACAUACAGCAGCUUAUGUUCUCUUCCUGAAAGGCGAUGAUGGGGAGAAGGUUAAAGCAGUAACCAUCUGUCAUCUAGACACAUCAGAAUGGAACCCAGAGCAUAUGUCCUUCCAAAUCGUCAACGUUAAGCCCGGAACCAUUCCCAUCUGCCAUUUCAUUUCCACUGAUGCUAUUGCCUGGGUUCCGAACCACAAAUCUGCAUGAUCAUCACUUAGCACUGUACGUAUAAUUAUCUCCUUACUUAUUUCUGCCUCUUCAUCAUGUGGUGUAAGAUAUAUGAUGAGAUGAAGUUUUUGGGAUUAGUGGUUGGGUUGCCUGAAAAACACAGAUUACAGAAACUGCUUGAAAUUAACCCGAUCAUGUUUUCUCUUGUAACUAUAUAGACUUCAACUUGUACUCAUAAUAAAGCAUGCUAUAUUUAUGAAGAGAUAUUAAUCUAUAUAUAUUUUUUAUAUAUGCUUUGGCUUUGUGGUUCUACCCAAUGUUUGAGUGUUGAAUUGUUACGUUGGAAUAGGCUGCUAAUGCAUGUAGUUAGAGAAGCCUUCAUUUAUAUCAAAGUCCUCAAACUAUCAAGAACUAAUGUAUCCAGAAACAUAUACCAAGACGCAAAACAACAUAUUUUCCAUGCUCUGUCUGUAACACCAAAGCAAACUUCCUUGAUCACAAAAGGAUCAAAUUCCAGUACUAAUCUAAUCCAUCAUGUAAAGCAUACAAGUGCCUCCCUAAAUACUAUACUCUUUUUGUUAUUUCCUACUAUACUAUUUAAGAUUUAAAAUUCAGGUCAACCCAUAGAUUUCUCGCCUUUUUCUUCUUCAUCUCGUCGGGCUUGUCUUCUUCUUGAGGAUUGUAUAGGCCAAGGAAAUGCUUUGAGUUAGUUUUUGCGCUUUUGCGUUUUGGGCCUUGGAAGUUGGGACCCAAACCAACUUCACAAAAAGAAAACGCUCAGACUAUAAUGAGUGGAAAGUUAUAAGGGGUAAGUUAUAAGGAGUUCACUUUAUAGCCAUCAGAUCAAUCUAAGGGCUGGGGAGAAUUGAGAUAAAGUUUUAAAAUCGGGUAGGUGAGGAACCCAAACCCGAAUUGAAUAUCCAGCACGUCCGAAAAAGAAGAAGAAGAGGCAAGCACGUCCGAAAAAGAAGAAGAAGAGGCAAGGUCGAAGUUUGAACAGAAAAAACUCAUCUCUUUAAAACCCAUAGCUCUGAGAAACGGUUGAAGGCAACGGUUAACGACGGUUGUUGAAGCCACUCCGUUCUCCAGACCCUGAAAAAGUAUUUAUUUUGAGUAGAAGGGGCAAAUGUGUGGAUUCCGAAACAGUGAAGGGGCGAAGCAGUGGAAGGGGAAGGAGAGAAGCCGUAUUCGUUGGAAGUGGUAGGUUCCAUUUGUGGAGCAAAGCAACACAAAGACCCCGCACAGACACCUUGCGAUUGUUCAAUAACCAGCAUUUGGUGAGUAAUUUAUGGAAUUUGAGUUUAGGGUUAGAGUAAUGGUUUUCCCCAAUUUGUACCAUCAAUUUUGUUGGAUUUGGCAUCUCUUCUUUGUGCUUCAGUUGCAUGUUAAUUUUUGCUUGGGUAUAUGUUAAAAAAAGAAUGAAAAUCAAGUCAAUAACAAGUGAAUAACAUGUCAAUAAUGAUAUGAAUAAGAUAAUGGUGUUGAAUUGGAGGAGGCCCUCAAAACAUUCCACAUUUGAAGCAGUGCAUAGUGCAGAUUAUCUCUCUGGCGCUAGAAUAUAUAUAUAUUUUGAAAUAAAUAUGAUUUCCUUUGUUACUAAAUUUGCCUGAGAAACAUGAGAACAGAUAAUAAUAAACUCAUGAAUAGAAGUGCAAAGCAUUUGAUGAGUAAUUUAUGGAAUUUGAGUUUAGGCCCAGGAAAUUCCUUGACCCCAAAAAAAAAAAAAAAGUUGAUUUAAAAUUCAGGUCAACCCAUAGAUUUCUCGCCUUUUUCUUCUUCAUCUCGUCGGGCUUGUCUUCUUCUUGAGGAUUGUAUAGGCCCAGGAAAUGCUUUGAGUUAAUUUUUGCAUUUUUGCGUUUUGGGCCUUGGAAGUUGGGACCCAACCCAACUUCACAAAAAGAAAACAGAUUUGCCAAAAAUCAAAUUUCAAGUCUCUCCUCCGAUCGAAAUUUGGAUUUGAUGAACUAAAGUGGUUUUACUUUCUCCAUCAGUGUUUGAUAACUUAAUUUGUUAUUUACUUUUUUUUUAAAAAACUUUGGCUUAUAUAUAUUAGUUUUCUUUUUUCCUUCAUAUUCACCACCUUUAUGUUGCAUAAGUAUUUCAGUCUUAAUGGGUUUCCAUCUACCACUCAUCUUUGCUCUUCUCAGUGUAAGCCUUUUUUUUUUUUUAAAGCACAAGAUUAGAGGGGAGGGGGAUUUCUCAAUGUAAGCUUUGCAGUUUCAUAAUUAAUAUUUCCAAUAUCUCACUGUUAGUAAAAUACAGAAAAAGUACUAAUAACAUAUGCACAUGUUACUAAUUUAUUGAGAUAAAACACCAUUUUGCCCCUAGAAUAUUUUAUUAGGUUUAAAGUUGACUUUUUGACCAGGAAGGAAUUUGGGUAUUUAGACUAUAUCGUUGCGUAGAGCAUGGCGAGAUGAGUCCGUAGACACAUGAUUGGCUCGAAUCAGAGUUAUAAUGAGAGAGAUACGAUCAAAAUACCCUCAGUGGUAUAACCGUAAUUUUGGCUUAAAGGGUUUGAUAAAAUAUAAUUUUUCUUUCUUUCUUUCUCUCUCUCUCUCUCUCUCUCUCUCUCUCCUCUCUCUCACGACGGCAGUGAUAGCCGGCCACUUUUUGGCCAGCCAUGCUCUCGUCCGGCCACUAAAGUUGACGGGGCCGGUACCAAAAUGACCGGGCCACCAUCCUUUUCCAACCCCAGCCAGGCCCCACUGCCAGCAGUCGUGAUUUUGCUGAAAAAUGGAGAAGAAGCGGCCGAUUUCGUUCGAACUUCUCCGACUUCGUUCUCUCUCCUCCGGCCACCGAUUUCGAUGAAUGAGGUAUGGUUUCUCACCUACUUUUUAUGCUCUAGCUGCCUGUUGGGUAGGAUUCGAUCAAUUCCUUGCGUAGGUAGCUUGAUUUUCGAAUUGGAUUUCGGCCGGUUUUGGGAUCUCGAUUCCGGCCACUUCCGGUCAGUUUUUGGGGUACAUCCCAAAACAAAAGUGGUUCUAAAUAGGGUGUUAUACCUAGGGUAGGAACCUUGAACCGUAAUUUUGAGAAUUUUCGGUGAUGCCUAAUCGCUUUGGACACCUACGCUAUGCCUGCGUGUGGGCACUAUAGAAAAAGGGCAUUGUGUCCCGAUGCAAUCCCCUUGUUGUCUUGAGCGCGUAGGUGUGCUCGGAUUUCAAUUUGGAUACCGUUUGAAUCUCGAACGAAUAUCGCAUAUUGUGCGUUAUUCGGGGUCGAUAGGUUUGAACUGUUGGAUAGUCUUAGAUUUAUAAUAUGUUAAUCUAGACAUUCUUAGGAUCGAAUGGGAUUAAACGGAUCGUAAAACGGAGUCCCGGAUACUCCAAAAAUGCCAACCCUAGGGCUAGGUUCCUAGUAACCGUCCGAUCGUGCGAUCGUGAGCGAUCCGACCGUUUGAUCCGAACCAAACUUGCAGGACGUGUAUCCUAAACCUUGUAGAACCCAUAGGAACUUUCGGAUUAGAAUUUGGAGGUCGUGGGCCCCUUGGGCCGUUUGACUAAGUUUGGGUAGUUUGACCCUUGGCUGAUCGUGAGUCUUCAGAGGUCUUGAGCGUUGUUGAGCUAUGUUGACUAGGUUUAGACUUUUAGAGUGUUUAUUAUUAUCAUAGGAAACUAUUAGAUAUUAUUUUAAUAAUUGAAAUUAUCAAAUUUAUGUUUAUGUGCAUGAUUGUUGGUCUAAAAAUAACAUUGUUUUCUUGAUAAAAUUACGUUGCAGUCUACUAUAGACUGGUAUCACUAAAUGGAGAUUACCUCUAUUAUUAGUUUAGAUAAUUAAGAGUAUGUCAGUUUGAAGUGCUAUAUGCACUACCCUAAGUACCACCCUGUGAUUGUUAGGUCCCAUGUGGUGUAGAUUAUACAGCGUCAGGACAGACCCCAUACGUGGCUUUGGAUGUUCUGGCGCAUGGGGGAGAUUAUGUAAUGGUUAGGUCAUACGUGGCGUAGGUUAUUCAGCGUGUUGACAGACCCUAUACGUGGCGUUGGAUGUUCCAGUAUGGAAAGAUUUUGUGAUUGUUAGGUCCCACGUGGCGUAGAUUAUCCGGCGUGAGGACAAACCCCAUUCGUGGCUUUGGAUGUUCCUGCGUAUGGGGGAGAUUAUGUGAUGGUUAGGUCACACGUGGCGUAGGUUAUUCGGCGUGUUGGCUAACCCCAUAAGUGCCGUUGGAUGUAACGACCGGUCCUAAAUAAAUUAGUGAAUAUUAAUUUAUUCAGAGAAAAUACCAUUUUGCCCAUAGAGUAUUUUAUUAGGUUCAAAGUUGACUUUUUGAUCAGAAAGGAAUUUGAGAAUUUCGAUUAUACCGUUGCAUAGAGCACGGCGAGAUGAGUCCGUAGACACGUGGUAUGCUCGAAUCGAAGUUGUAACGAGAGAGAUACGAUCAAAAUACCCUCAGUGGCAUAACCGUAAUUUUGGCAAAAAGGGUCGAUAAAAUCAUAUAUAUAUAUUUUCUCUCUCUCUCUCUCUCUCUCUCUCUCUCUCUCUGCGAUAUUGUCCCUCUCUCUCUUUGAUUCACUGCCAUCUGCCCACGGCAGGACUUGAGACUGGUCACGUUUGAACCGGCUCGAUGUCCCGAUCACGUCGCACCCAAAAUGCAAAUGGAAACCUUGAAUUCCAGCCACGGCUUCGACUGGUUUGAACUGGGUUUUUCCCGGCGUUGCGCCACCGCCUCCGCCGCCCAAUUCCGGUGAAACAGGUAUAAUUCCUCACCUAUUUUUCGAGAUCCAGCUGUUGUUGUGUAGGAAUUAGACGAUUUUCAUGUUUAGGAACUCGAUUUAGAAUUUAGGUUUUGGUCGAAUUUUCAAAGUGAAAUUUCGGCCACUUCCGCUGGUUUUUCGGGGUAUGUCUAAGAACAAAAGUGGUUCCAAAUAGGGUGUUAUACCUAGGGUAGGAACCUUGAGCUGUGAUUUUGAGAAUUUCCGGCGAUGCGUAUUCGCUUUGGACACCCACGCGCCGACAGCGCGUGGGCACUGUAGAAAAGGGGCAUUGUGUCUCAAUGCGAUCUGCUUGUUGUCUUGAGCUCGUAGGUAUGCUCGAAUUUCAAUUUGGAUACUGUUUGAGUCUCGAACGGAUAUCGCAUAGUGUACGUUAUCCGGGUUUGAUAGGUUUGAACCAUUGGAUAGUUUUGAAUUUGAUAUAUGUUAAUCUAGGCAUUUCUAGGAUCAUGUAGGAAUUCAGGGAUCAUGAAUCAGAGCCCCGGAUGUUCCGAUUUAAUAACUUAAAGUUUAUGUUUAUAAUAACUAUCAGAUCGUGCGAUCGUGAGCGAUCCGACUGUCUGAUCUGGACCAAACUUGCAGCACGUAUAUCCUAAACCUUGUGGAACAUAAAAAAAUUUCGGAUUAGAAUUUGGAGGUCGUGGGCCCCGUGGGCCCAUUUAACCAAUUAUGGGUAGUUUGAUCCUUGGUUGACCGUGAGUCUUCCGAGAUAGUUUUACCUUCCUAGGAGGAUUAUAAUGACCCUAGUGAUAGGUCUUGACCGUUGUUCAGCUAUGUUGACUAGGUUGAGACUUCUAGAGUGUUUAUUAUAUUAUUGUAGGAAACUCUUAGAUAUUAUUUUAAUAAUUGAAAUUAUGAAAUUUAUGUUUAUGUGCAUGAUCGUUGGUCUAAAAAUAAUAUUAUUUUCCUGAUAAAAUUACGUUGCAGUCUACUAUAGACUAGUAUCACUAAAGUGGGAAUACCUCUAUUAUUAGUUGAGAUAAUUGGGAGUAUGUCAGUUUGAAAUGUUAUACCCUAAGUACUACUCUAUGAUUGUCAGGUCACCCGUGGCGUAGGAUUUUCCGGUGAGAUGACAGACCCCAUACGUGGCGUUGGAAUUUCCAACGUAUGGAGAGAUUAUAUGAUUGUUAGGUUUCACGUGGCGUAGGAUUUUUCAGCGGGAUGACAAACCCCAUACGUGGCAUUGGAAGUUUCAGCGUAUGGGGAGAUGAUAUGAUUGUUAAGUCACACGUGGCGUAGGUUAUUUGGAGUGCUGACAGACCCCAUACGUGGCGUUGAAAUUUCUGGCGUAUGGAGAGAUGAUAUGAUUGUUAGGUCACUUUGGAUGUUCUAGCGUAUUGGGAGAUUAUGUGAUUACCAGUGAGAUGAAUAAAGGAUUGUUAUGUUAUAUUGGGAAAAACAUGUUUGUAGAAAGAAUUACGUGUGGCUUGAUCCCUCAGUAAGGGUACGUAGGCAGCCUAGGGUAGUGCCUUGGUGCAGUCGCUGACUAAACAUUAUAAUGUUGUUUUUAGGUUUGAUUAUAUGGUAUUAUGGGGCAAGGCCCCUAGGACUAUUGGUGAUAAUUCAUAGAUGGUAGUGGAUGCAUGCUAGAAAUUUGUAGGAAGUUAUUUCAUGUGGAUUGCAGUGGUACUCGUAAAAUUUAUUUGAGUUCCUUAAUUGCAUUGUUAAUAUAUUAAUUUACUUAAGAGUACUGCUAGUAGUUCUGCCUUGAUUUAUUUGAAGGCUGGAGGCCUUGUCUGGAAACUGUGUGCAAUUAGAUUGUGUGUGCUGGCAGUUGACUUUUUAAAUUGUGAAUUUUGUGCAGGUUGAAAUUUGGGAAAUGUUCAAUUUACAGGGGAGACUCUGCUGAAAUUUCGGUAGAAAGUCUUGUGCCCUUAUUCCUUUUUGGGGAAAAGGAUAUAGUUUUAGAAGUGGCGAUGUCGGGAAUUUCCACAGGAUUCGUCUCGGGUUUCGGGAAAUUCGGGGCGGGUCUGAAAAAGUUGUUUCAGUUUUGGCAAGUAUCGGAAAAGACCAAAAUUUUCCGACUUUAUUAUUACUAGAAACAAGGUCGAAGUAUUUACCAAUCAUGUGGCCUUCCAAGUGCUCUAGGUUAAGCCAGGAACCGUUCCUAUCUGCCGUUUCCUUCCCAACUAUGAUCAUGUUGUCUGGGUUCCAACCCACAAAUCUACAUUGGGCUACGUAUUUGAAUUUGUACUAAAGCGUGAUCUAUAGUAUGCAUAUAUUGGAUAAGUUUGAGAUCAGUGGCUUGGGUGUCCGCUGAGCUUGAACAAGUUUGGGUGUGCUGAGUGUUUCCAUGGGUGUGUUGAUGAUCAUGGUUAUUAGAUUUGUGAUAGUUUGGGCUCAAUUUCAACAGAACUCAUCUCAAGCCUAGAUAGUUGAUUCUUAAGUUUAUCAGGAAAAAAAAUUAAAAAUUAAAAAAUCUAAAGUUAAGCCCAAGGCGCCGAACUUGGACUUCUCACCAAACUGUGCAUAAAUUGAAAUAUUUAAUAGAAGCCCAAGAUUUUUGAAGCACAUAAUAUCUACAAAAAUCUACAAAGUGUAAUACUUUACAAACUUCUUAUGUGUACCAAUUUCUGCUCAAAUUAAUUUCUCUGUGGUGCUGAGAUUCAUCAUAAUUUUAGUAGAAAUUGGAAGUUUUCAUCAUUUUUGCUUUAAGUCUCUCCUCCACUCACUAAUAAAGAUUACUCAAGUGAGUUUACAAAACAUUUUUUUUCUACUCUCUCCUGAAGACUACACAUCUUCUCAAAAGAUUAGAUCACUUCACAUCUUGUAUAUGUGAAAACUAAUGCAAAAAGUUGAAACUUUAUCAUAAAACCUCGACAAAAAUUAGCUCUACUUAGAACAUUAAAUUUGGAUUCGUUGAUUUAAAUGGCAAUUUGACACUUCAUAGAAAUUUUUACAUACAUGUGUUAGUGUUUGAUCACUUCACUUAUUACUUACUAUAUUUAUUCCAUGAUUCUCCCUCAAGUUAUGUAAAUAUUAUUAUCAAACAUUUCAAUUCAUUUGUGAUAUUUCUUGUCCAUCUUUCAAUGUACCCUGAAAUCCAUUAGCCACAUAUGAUGACCAAAAUCCACACUCUGUUGUUUGCAAACGUUCAAUAUACGACUUGCAUCCACAGUCCUGACCCAAAUGAAAUGCGGAAACUGUCAAGCUAACUGUAGGGAGGACUAUAUUUGAUUUUACCUUAAAGACUGAUCCGAAACCACCUUCUCCAAGUUUAUUGUUGUUUGAAUAGUUUUUGGUUGCACAAACAACAGCGGCCAAGUCAAAUAAUGGCAAUUCCAGAUCUUCCUUUUGGCCGGGCUUCAGUUCUCCUGUGAAGUACGUAGUGAAGUAAAUAAUGUAGCAUGGAACCUUAGCUUAGAAACCAGAGAGGCAACAGCAAAAAUUUUCUAUAGAACUGAACCUACCUAUCUUAGAAAAUGAAGGGGCAGAAGAGUAGAAAAUCAAAUAGCUUACCAUAUUUUUGUUGCUGGUUCUUCCUCACAUAUAAUAGCAGGGUAAGGCCCAGGGUCAGCAGUCCAGUAGACAACACAGUACUGGUUACUAUGAUCUUUGUAUUGUGUCCUUGAUCUAGGAAUGAAGUAUUUGAAAGCAGAAGAUUGAGGAGUCAGAAAUUCAUAAAGAAAAAAUCUCUACUUUUUAUCAUCCAACGAACAAUUAAUGCUAGUUUCUGAGACAGUUCUAAAGAAAUAUUUUUCUAACAAUGUCAAAAGUUUUCUGGCUCUAUCUUGUUUCUAAUCAUGUCACUGUUGGAAGAUUUCUUUCUUCUUUUUUCCUUGGUGGCUUUUAUUUUUCUUUCAAACUUUGUUUUAAACAGCAAGAUGAUUCCAUACCUAGUUCUGACGAAGCCAUUCUUAUGUAAAUAUCUUGCCCAUUUAUAUUGGAAUAUCUUAUAUCAACCAGAUCGCUGAACCACAGCAAGGACCCCCUUCCUCCAUCUCGGAUAUCCAAAUUUGAAAAAGCGGCGCAGGAGCAGUUGUUCAUGCACAUCAUCUCACAUUCCUUGAGGUUCAUAAUUGUGUUAUACUAGGAUUGUUCUGUACUUUAUUUCACCCCAGUGUACUUCUUAAAGAUGUCUCCACUGCAAUUCAGUUGGCUCUUUCUCACAGAUCUAUAUGACCAAUCCACCAAGUCCCAGUCUUGUUGAAAGUCGGUAUAAAUCCUUUCAAGCAGCUACGUACUGGGGACUUGUCAAUACAACAUGCACCAUUCGGACCACAUAUUCCAUAUUUGUCGCAGAUAUCAGUCGUUGCUCUUAGAUAAACAACCCAACCUUGGUUUCCAUCACUCCCGAUGUAGCUCAGCCCAAAUCCAUCUUGAGUUAACGCCAGCCUGAAAAGAGUUGAGCUGUUGAGAAGCUUAUAACCAUAAUAUACUUCAUCAUCAUUAUCCAACACAAAAUCAUAUGUUGGAUUUAAAUUAUGCAUCCCACUAAAUUGGAUUCCAUUCCAUGGUGCAGUCCGAUAUUUUAUAACAGAACCCUCCCUCAGAAUUAAUUCAUGGUACCCAUAAGGACCAAGUUGAUAUGGGUAAUGUCCUUGAGAAGGAUCCUGGGGGCUUUUCCAGGGUGUAAGAUGCCAAUUAAAACCUGUGAUUUUGUUCCUAACAAGCUUCAUACCUGGUAUUAAUGUAUCUCCUGGGUAAUCAAAACUCUGCCAUAAAAUAUUAUCAGAGUCAUUACGACCAUUGCCAUCUAUCACAACAAGAUUUCCGGAAUCCAAAAUCUGUGCCACUGGAUUCUAUGAAGAACUUGAUGUGUUGGAAGACCUGUAGUGUUCUUUGUUGAAUAUUUGGAUUGCAAAGGGAGCAAGAAAUGUACUGAGAGAGAAAGAGAGAGAGAGAGAGAGAGAGAGAGAGAGAGAGAGAGCAGUGAGCCUUAGAUUGUUCUAACAGUUUUCUUACUCUGCAUGAACAUAGCAGCAGAGCUUAUAUUCCUUCAUGACUGUUACAUGUUCUCUCUUACAUCAGUAGAUUCAAAUCUAACGGUUUGUAAUAGUAAGCCAAUGUGAGUAUGACACAUGGCAAUACACAGCUGUCCUAACAGCUGGGAAUUCAAAACAGACUCUAGCAUUGCACCUGGCAUAUAAGCACAAGGCACUCAGCUAACACAAAGAUUAAAAACAGAUUGAAUAUAAACUGACAUAGAACUUACUAACUAAUCUGAAAUUAGCUAGACAGUUUACAUUUUAACACUCCCUUCUAAAGUGCUAGCUGAUUUCACUCCAAGCAUUCUCCUCAAAUAGUCAAACCUGUCUUUGGGAAGAGCUUUGGUGAAGAUAUCAGCAAUCUGCUCUUCUCCUUUGCAGUAGAGCAGUUCAAUCACUUCUUCUUGUAUUGCAUCUCUAAUAAAAUGAAACUUCCUUUUAAUAUGCUUGCUCCGUUGAUGAAAAACAGGAUUUUUAGCCAUUGCUAUGGCUGAAGUGUUGUCACAAAACACAGUUGUUGCAGUGGUCUGUUCUUCCCCAAAAUCUUCAAGAACAAACCUGAGCCAAAUGGCUUGUGAUGUAGCUUCUGCUGCACUCACAUACUCUGCCUCUGCAGUAGAGAGAGCCACACUGUGUUGUUUGACUGAUGCCCAUGAAAAAGCACCACUUCCAAAUGAAAAUGCAUAUCCAGAAGUGCUUUUCAUAUCUUCCUCAGAUCCACUCCAGUCACUGUCACAGUAACCAACUAAGAGUGCAGAUUUUCCUGUCACAUACUCAAUUCCAUAGUCAAUUGUGCCUUGUAUGUACCUUAGAACCCUUUUAGCUGCCCCAUAGUGCAUCUUAGAAGGGUUAUGCAUGAAUCUUGCAAGCAGGCAGGCAGAGAACAUGAUAUCUGGCCUGGUUGCAGUAAGGUACAGCAGGCUGCCUACAAUUUUUCUGAACAAACUUUCAUCUGCAGCAUCACUUCCAUCCUCUCUUUUCAAUUUAUCAGUAGCCACUAAUGGAGUGCUUACUGACUUGCAGUCUUUGAGUCCAAACUUAUCCAAGAGAGUGAGAGCAUACUUCUUUUGAUGAAUGAAGAUGCUCCCUUCAGUUUGUGUUACUCCCAUACCAAGAAAAUGGUGGAGUAAACCCAAAUCAGACAUCUCAUACUUGCACAUCAUUUCAGCUUUGAAUUCUUUCAUCAUUUCAUCUCUACUUCCUGUGUACACUACGUCAUCUACAUAGAUUGACACUAUUAGUGUUCCCACCUUCCUUUGUUCUCACAUAGAGAGUGGCUUCACUUGGACUUCUGUGAAAACCACACUGAUUCGAGUAGGUGUCAAUUUCACUAUACCAGGCCCUUGGAGCCUGCUUCAACCCAUAGAGGGCUUUUCUUAACCUAUACACCUUAUCCUCAUCAUCUUUAACCACAAAACCAUCCGGUUGAUCAAUAUAAACUUCUUCUUCAAGGACACCAUUUAGGAAGGCUGACUUGACAUCCAAUUGCCAUAGUUUCCAGCCUUUCUGAGCAGCAAGAGCUAUGAGAGUUCUAAUGGUGUCUAACCUUGCUACAGGAGCAAAGGUUUCAUUGAAAUCAAUCCCUGGUUUUUGUGUGUAUCCCUUGGCAACAAGUCUUGCUUUAUGUUUUUGAAUGGAGCCAUCAAGAUUAAGCUUAAUUUUGAAUAUCCACUUCACUCCCACAAUUGGUUUACUACUUGGCCUGUCAACCAAUUCCCAACUGGAGUUUUUCUCUAUCAUAAGUAUCUCCUCAGUCAUAGCCUUCCCCCAAGCUUCAUCUUUGACUGCUUCUUCAAAAUUUUCAGGUUCAAUGAUGCUCAUCUUGCAUUGAGCAUACACUUCACUCAAACUCUUCCAUUUCUUUGGGGUGUUAUCAUAAGUUUCUAAUGGAGCAGAGUCUUGAGUAGCAUGCACAUCAUUACUUGUUUGUGUUUCCAUAGGAGACUGUACAAUCUGUUGCUGUAACAGAUUUGGUUAUGAAUCCAAAUCUGAUACAAUUGAACUUACUCCAUCACCCCAAGACAUAGGGAUUUGCAAUGCCUCAUUGGUUUCCCAAUUCCACAUUGCUUCUUCAUCAAAAAUAACACUCCUAGACAGCUCAAUCUUUUGAGUUCUCAAGUUGAGCACUCUAUACCCCUUUUCACAUACACCAUAUCUUACAAAUACUCCCUUCUCACCUGUGUCUUCCAGCUUGUGCCUUUUCUGUGUGGGGAUGUGAAUAUAGCAUAGAGAACCAAAUAUUCUCAAAUGCUUGACACCUGGUUUUCUUCCACCGAACUUUUCAAAUGGAGUGGAAUUGUCCAGUGCACUUGUAGGACAUCUGUUCUGCAAAUAUACAGCUGUAUUGACAGCUUCUGCCCAAAACUUCAAAGGGAUUUUCUUCUCAUACAUCAUGGCUCUUGCCAUUUCCAUCACAGUACGAUUCUUUCUCUCUGUAACUCCAUUCUGUUGUGGAGAGUAGCCUACUGNNNNNNNNNNNNNNNNNNNNNNNNNNNNNNNNNNNNNNNNNNNNNNNNNNNNNNNNNNNNNNNNNNNNNNNNNNNNNNNNNNNNNNNNNNNNNNNNNNNNNNNNNNNNNNNNNNNNNNNNNNNNNNNNNNNNNNNNNNNNNNNNNNNNNNNNNNNNNNNNNNNNNNNNNNNNNNNNNNNNNNNNNNNGGUGUGGUCAUCAAUGAAGGUGAGGAAAUAUCUGUUCCCUCCAAGAGUGAUGGUCUGCAUUGGACCACAAAUGUCUGAGUGAAUCAGUUCUAGAGGUUGAGUGGCUCUCCAAGCUCCUUCCUUAUCAAAAGAGCUUCUGUGAUUCUUGCUUUCAGCACAACCUGAGCAGACCUUCUCAUGUUCUUGUAAAUUAGGCAUUCCCUGAACCAUAUCUCUCUCUUGUAACAACUUCAAACUAAUAUAGUUUAGGUGCCCAAAUCUUCUGUGCCACAGCCAGGAUGUUUCUCCAACUGUUGCUCUGUUUGCCAUAGGAGGAUUAACAUAGUCAAGAUUUAAAGGAAAACAUUUGUUUCCCUUCAUUGGCACUCUUGCAAUGCAAUCUUCCAACUGCCUAUCUCCAUAGAUAUCAACUGCAUUAUCACCAAAUACAAGCCAAUGCCCAUGUUCUAUCAUUUGACCUACACUUAGCAAAUUUUCAUCUAAACUUGGUACAAUCAUGAUUUCUUUGAUAUAUCUAGUCACACCCUUCAUUUCUAUAGCCAAAGUCCCUUUGCCUAUUAACUGCACUAGAUCACCAGUCCCCAUUUUGACUUUACUCUUCAUACUUUUAUCAACAUUUACAAGUAAUGACUCAUGGGAAGUCAUGUGAUUGCUGCAUGCACUAUCAACAUACCACAUAUUCACAUUCUUUCCAAUUGUUGCAGCAUGACAUGCAUAGAACAUAAUGGCAGGUUCAGUUACCUGAUUUGCAAUGUUAGCAAGUUUCCCUGCCUUGUUUGCUUGGUCACAGUCCUUAACAAAAUGACCAAAUCGAUUGCAGCCAUGACACUUUGGUUUUCCUUUAAACCAACACUCACCAUAGUGUAACUUCUCACAAUGUUUGCAUUUUCCAGAUUUGUCUCCUUGACUUGGUUUUCCCCCUUGAUUGGCACUGUUUUGGGGUUUAGAAUCCCAUUUCUUAUCCUUGGACUUCCAAUUCUUCUUUGAUUUAUUAGAGCCAGAACUAGAACUUGAUUGAGAUCCUUUUGAGUUUAUGCUCAUGCUGCUGAAAGCUUUCUCAGUGGUGCUUUCUGCAUGUCUGUCAAGGCGCUGAGCAAAACCUCUUAAUGCUGCAAUUACCUCCUGCACUUCAAUGGUUUCAAUGUCUCUAGUUUGCUCAAUCACAUAGCAGACUGGAUCAAAUUCCUUGGUUAAGCUUAUUAGCAGUUUUUGAACUAUCCUCCCUUUGGUCAGAUCUUCCCCAUAUCCCUUCAUCUGAUUUACAAGCUCAAGUAACCGAGUGAUGUAUCCAGACAAGAUCUCAUCAUCCUUCAUCCUGGUGUACUCAAAAUCUCGACGCAGACCCUGCAACAUGAUGGAUCUGACUUGCUUAUCACCAUGAAACUCCUGAUGCAAGAUAUCCCAAACACCUUUUGAGGUUUCUUCAUUUGAGAUUCUGGGAAAGAUGUCAUCUGAAACAGCACCUUGGAUAAUACCAAGAGCCUUAGCAUCUUUCAUCAACAAGGACACCAUCUCUGAAUCUGAUGACCCUUCUUUAUCAGCUUUUGAAUCUGGAACUUGAAGGCCUUUCUCAACCAAAUUCCAGAUUCCAUGAGAUUUGAAAAUUGUUCUCAUUCGAAUCUUCCAAAACUCAUAGUUCUCCCCAUUGAAUAUUGGAGCUCUAAGAUCACUCCCUCCUGACCCAGCCAUCUGAGACCAGACUCAAUGAGUUGAGAGUAGGAAAUUUCCCGUUGGAUUUCCAGACUCAGCUCCCACAGCUUCAACGCCCUCUAUCCAGAUCCAACCUGCGCACCUGAUACCAUGUUGAAUAUUUGGAUUGCAAAGGGAGCAAGAAAUGUACUGAGAGAGAGAGAGAGAGAGAGAGAGAGAGAGAGAGAGCAGUGAGCCUUAGAUUGUUCUAACAGUUUUCUUACUCUGCAUGAACAUAGCAGCAGAGCUUAUAUUCCUUCAUGACUGUUACAUGUUCUCUCUUACAUCAGUAGAUUCAAAUCUAACGGUUUGUAAUAGUAAGCCAAUGUGAGUAUGACACAUGGCAAUACACAGCUGUCCUAACAGCUGGGAAUUCAAAACAGACUCUAGCAUUGCACCUGGCAUAUAAGCACAAGGCACUCAGCUAACACAAAGAUUAAAAACAGAUUGAAUAUAAACUGACAUAGAACUUACUAACUAAUCUGAAAUUAGCUAGACAGUUCACAUUUUAACAUUCUUAUGGUCGGCAGGGACAAGAAUUCCAGGGCUGCUCAACUUGAAUACACCUGAUGAACCAGUGAGGGGUGUGUUUCUUUUAGUCUGCACUAUAUAUGCAGGGUCUGACUCUAAUUAGAAGAUAAUUGUAUUAAUUUGGUAAAGCUUUGUCUGUAACUGUCUCGCACCUUAAAAAAAUUUCACAAUUAGCAGCAUUGGCAAUACUUGAUUAGAAAGCAGAAACCCUACAGUAUAUAGUUAAGUUGAGUAGCUGGGAAGACAAUUAGUAAGCUUUCAAUACUAAAGUUGAAUAUUGGGGAGACAAAUUACUAGAGCUUCAAGUUCAGAUAAAUAGGAUGAAUUUCUCUUAAGGGAUCCCCUUUCACUGUAGCUUGGAGUAGAAUUCAUUUUGACACAAUAUCAAUUAUCAAUGUAAACACGUUACUGAUGCACUAUUGACAAUAUCGAUGCACGUCAUAUCAUAUUUGUGGGAGUAAAUUUCCUCACGAGAAUAUUUGGUUCAAAAGAUUCCCCUUUUUUUUUUUUUUGCCGCCUCUUUCUCCUUGCAAAAUAGAACAAAUAAGAGGACCACACCCGGGGGGUGUUGGCCAAAGGCCCUCCGAUGCUAAAUUAGUUCAAGUAUUUGUAAGAAAAAUACUAGCUAACUAGGGUACAGAGGUGUAUUUAAGGUGUAAACCGGGCAGCCGAAGUCUUAUGUAAAAGAGAGAGAGAAAGGAGGUGGCUAGCGUUUGAGAGGAAUUUUCUGCAGAGUUUUUAGUAGAGAUUUCAGACGUACCUCAACCAUUGUGUGUGGCCAUCUUUUUAUAGUGGUCUUGGAGGCUAGGGUUUCAGAGGAAUAAUUCCGUAGAUGGAAAGGAAUUAUUCCUCCCCUAUUUGGAAUUGAUUUGAUUAAUUAGGGAUUUGAUUUAUUAGGGUAAAUCAAAUCCCUAAUUGUGGUAGGUAUCAAAUCAAAUCCUUUUUUAAUUAGGUAACUCCUCAUUUAAUUGGGAAUUGUGGUAGGAAUCAAAUCAAUUCUCAACCUAAUUAGGUAACGUUCAAUUUAAUUGGGUAAUUCCCAAUUAAAUUGAGUAACUCCCAAUUAGGUUGAUUAAUUCCCAAUUAGAUCAAAUAAUCCCCUAAUUGAAGGAAUUAUUUGACCUAGGGUCUGAUUUAAUUCGAUUCCCACAAAUGCCCCCCAGCUUCUGCAUGGUGCAUGGUGGCACGUAGGAGAUGUAAAUUAUCUGUUGGGCUGUCCAGCUGUAACUGGGCUUCCUUCGUGGACCUGGGCUCCCGAGUAGAGGAGGUGUUUGACUUGCCAAUUUUAUGAACACCCAAUUGGAAAGGGUUUGAGAUUCCUUGUAGGUCAAGGAAUUUUGCUCCUUAUAAAUGUAGGGCUCCUCCAAAUUAUUCUCGACAUCAGAAAUCUACUCCUCCAAAUUUGUUAGUGAGAGAGAGAAGACUUUGGAGAAUUUUUCAGCGUGCUUGAGACUUCAUCUUUGCAGCCCAUCCAAGGUAAUUUGAUAGGAAGAAUUUUAUUUUGAGUUGCUAUGACUUUUGGCAGCAAGCUGUGAGACUAAGGGCAUGUCUUGAGGUGCGCGCUAGGGCUUUAGGCAUGGCAAGAGACUCGGAAAGGCUAGCAGGUUCGUUUCCACCUACGCUGGGCUCAAGGAGAAGGCAACAGGGCUUCAGGCCUUGUGGAUGAAGUGGGCUUUCGCUGGGAGCAAGAGGCCUGGAGCUGAGGCAAGGAGACAAUGGGCCUGGUACGAGGUGUGGGCUGAGCAUGCCAGCUUUGGAGCAAGGGGGCCAGGACGACUGCUGGGCAGGAGGUGCGCUGGGCUGCAUGCGCGAGCUGCGCCGAGUGCUGGCUGGAGGAGCGAGCUGGGCUGCGCGCUAGGCCAUUCAUGCUGGGCUACUUCCGUUUUUUUUUUGUUUUUUUUUAAAUUUUAUUUGCUGUUGCUGCUUUUUUUUUUGUUUUUUUGUUUUUUUUUUGUUUGGUAUUCUAACUCGUAAUUUUUUUUUUCUUCUUACAGCUACUUGUUGAUCAACCAUGUCUUCCGGAGAUGGUAGCAAGGCUCCAAGCUCUUAGGUCCUUUUGUAUUUAUGGGGAGGCUCCAUAGUGCAUGGCAAGAAGUUUGUGGUCAACUUGCAUCGCGUCACGACUUAUGCUCAGUUCCAGAAGUGGCGGGCCACUUAUGCGUCUGCCAUUCCAGAUGACGUGCUGGUCAAGCUAUUGAAAUCUCAAACUGAUAACGAGCCUUUGGUGGACGUGAGUGAUCAUGAUGCUAGGAUCAUUACCUUCCGUCCUUUUUACUUCUCUUUAGGCUUCAAAUUCCCGUUGUCAAAGCUCUUCAAGAAGGUGUUCUGUGCCAUGGGGUGUGCUCCGAGCCACUGUACUCAUGUGCUUCAAGAAUUUGAGUCGUUUCUUCAUGUUGGAGCUGACGAUGCGAGAGUUCUUUUAUUUUUUUCGAAGUGAGGCACUUUGAGCGGUACGCCCAAGUUCGUAUCUACAAGGCCAAGCUGUUCCACGGUCUCAGUCAAGGAGAUCACGCUUGACAUGAAGAUGUGUUGGAGGUCAGCAGACGGUGGGAGGGUGACGUCGGUGACGGCCCACCUGUUCCCAUCACCUAUUGUGAUGGUAUGUCUCUUUACGAUUUUUGAUAUGCUCCUUUUAUUUGAAUUUCUUGAAGUGUGGCAGACUAACUUCUAUCUUCUGCUCGUAGUGAGUGACAUUAGCAAGCAAUUGGAGCUCCGACCAGACAUGGCUAAGGUCCGUCGUGCUUUGAACAUCCCUCUAAGGUUUCACGAGUGGCGCUGGCUGUUGAGUGAGUACCGGGAGGAAGACGGUGGUUUUCUCCUUGCCGAGGAUGUCGAAAGGUGGAAGCAGAACGAUCCUGACCCUGAUGAUCUGCUUGGCAGACAGGAAGAAUGUUCUGCUUAAUCGCUCUUAAAGAGAAAGGCUGCUGCCAAAUCUUUGAGAUGUGAAGCUACUUCUUCGCAUGCAAAGGAUGGGUCUCCAUCGAGGAAGAAACCAAGGCUCCCUUCUGCUGAGAAGACUCAAGUGGGGUCUGCUCCCUCAUCAUCUGCCAGGGUUAAGCAUCUCGUGGGUGCAGAUAGCAAGAAGGUUGGUGGUAUGCAUGGUACUCGGGGUGUUCUGCCCAAGCUUCCUGCUGACACGCUCGAAAACCAUGAUAUACUUCGUGAAGUGGCUCGUGCCCAACCUAGUUCUGCCAAGCGUCAAAGAGAUGUAGACAUUCCUCCUAGAAGUUCGAGUUGUCUGCAUCGGUCAAAAGAUGGAGACCGAAGCGGGAGGUCUGCUUAUGAUCCAGCAUUAUUGACUCAUUUGGAGAUGAGGUUGGCGAAGGCUAAGAAGGUGAAAGAGUCAUCUGCCCGGGUUAAGGGUUCUUCCUCGGCGUUGGUAGUUGGUCCCAAGAUGAACAAGUCUAGCUCUGUAGGGGAUGCAUGCGUAUCUGAUCUGCUCAAGAUGAACUUCCUAUCAAACCCGUCCUCUUGUGUUGAGUUGGUUGAUCACAUCCCUCAAGCGGGCGAUCUAGGCACUUUCUCGUGCCUUUCCUUAGAAAAAUGAAGGAAAAUGACAUUCCAUCUGAUUCAAAAAGGACUGGUUUUUGCUACUGAGACUAUUUGGAACUCAUCUGCUAUUGCCCCUCUUCUGUCCAACUCAGCGAGUUGGAGAAGAAGAAUGCUGAUUGGCUAGACAGCUUUCCGCCGAGCAGGCCCGUUACGAGAAGAAGAUGUCUGAUUUGAGGGCGAUGAUAUCUGAGCUGAAAAGCUCCCUUACCGAGAAGGAUUUCGAGCUCAACUCUUCUGCUGCUGAUUUGGCUAGUCGAAAAGAUACCUUCUUUCGUCUUGAGCAUAAGAAUGCUGACAUCUUCCUUAGCUAUAACAAACUCCUGGCUAGAUUUCAUGCCUACCAUAAGUCUGCUAAAGAAUCCAAGACAGAUGGAGCUGCUGAAGGCGUAGCCGGUCAGGUGGAUGCCGAAGAGGCUGCAGCUUAAAAGUCUUCUGCUGGCGUCUCAGAGUAGAUGAAGACUCUUUUUUGUUUCUUUUCAGCUUUUGUAGUUUGCUUUAUUGUUUAGAAUAACUGGUCUUAUUUGACCAUCUUCUUUUUGUUGAACUUGGCUGGUUGGUCUGUUUGUUAGGGAAAUUUCAGUUACAUUUUCCAACUUCAAUUUGCAUAUUUGACUUGUGAACUGCUUAAGUAACCAGCCUGUGUUUUGAUUGCACAUCCCCCUUUAGAGAUUUGUGAGUACCAGGGUCCCCCUUGGAGGACUCCGGCCAUGCACAGUAUAUCUCGUAGGAUGGUUCCCCUUAGGAAGUUGGCGAGUACCAGGGUCCUCUUUGAGAGACUCCGGGUGUGUUCUGCACAUCCCGUAUGAUGCCUUAAUCGUCGCCUUGCUUCUCCCGUAGGACGCUGCUUAUAGGCAACUAUAUGACUAUCCUGCCUUUCUUAGGAAACGGAUAGGAACCUGGAUAUUUCCCGCAUGAAGCAUGGAGACCUCCUUUUAAGAAAUUUUUGGUGCACCAUGCUUCUCCCUUAGGACGCUUUUUUCGCAGGCUGGGUCUCCAAAUGGACGCUUUUAGUCGUUGCCCUGCGUCUCCCUUAGGACGCUCCUUAUGGGCAACUGUGUGACUAUCCUGCCUCCCUUAGGAAAUGGAUAAGACUUGAAUAUUUCCCGCAGUAAGCAUGGCGACCCCCUUUUAAGAAACUCCUGGCGUACCCUGCAUCUCCCUUAGGAUGCUUUUUAAGAGGGCUGCUUCUCCAAACGGACGCUUUUAGUCGUUGCCUAUGUCUCCCCUAGGAUGCUCCUUAUGGGCAACUGUGUGACUAUCCUGCCUCCCUUAGGAAACAGAUAGGAAACUAGAUAUCUCCCUUAGGAAAUUCCUAGCGCACCUUGCGUCUCCCGAAGGACGCUUUUUUAGCUGGCUACGUCCCGAAACGGACACUUUUAGUCGUCGCCCUGCGUCUCCCUUAGAAUGCGCCUUAUAGGCAACUGUGUGACUAUCCUGCCUCCCUUAGGAAACGGAUAGGAACCUGGAUAUCUCUCUUAGGAAAUUCCUGGGGCACCUUGCGUCUCCCGAAGGACGCUGCUUAUGGGAAAAUAUUGUGUUUCGUGGGCAGAUGAGACAUUUUGGAAUGAGAAACUGAACUUAUAUUGAUAUUCAUAAGAUUACAGUCCUUUAUUUGAAAAUGGAAAUAACUUGGUUCAAAAACUUAGAACUUCUAGCAGCUACGAGGAAGCACUAUGGAUAAUACUUUCGGAGAUGGUGAGCAUUCCAUUGUCGUGGUAUUUCCUUCCUAUCCAUGGUGUCCAGUGUGUUGCUUCCUCUGCCCCGGACCUGCUGAUCACAUAAACGCCCUCCCAGUUAGGAUUCACUUUUUUUGACCCGUGUCUUGGUGCAGUAAUGAAAGCCUUAGCACGAGGUCGCCUGGUUGAAACUGUUUGACCUUAGCUCUUUUGUCGUAGUAAGACUUCAACUGCUAGUGAUAGGAGGCGACCCGAAUAAUGGUCUUCUCACGCCUGCCCUCAAGUAAGUUGAGGUUGAGCCUCAUCUGCUCGGAGUUCUGAUCAACACUGCCUACCUUAAGACUUAUAGAGAGGACAGUGAUGUGAGGUGGUAUGAUCACUUCUGUUCCAUAGGCGAGAGAGAAUGGGGUUUCACCAGUCGAUCUUCGCUUGGUGGUGUGAUAAACCCAUGGUACUCUGGGGAGUUCAUCCACUCAUUUCCCUUCAGCGCCUUCCAGCCUUUUCUUUAAGCAGUCCAAUAUGACUUUGUUGGAUGCCUUGGCUUGUCCAUUUCCUUGUGGAUACCUCGGGGUGGACAAGUGUUGUUUGAUCUUGUAUUUCACAAAAAAAGCGGUGAUCUGCUUGCCAAUGAACUGUGAGCCAUUGUCGGUAACCAACGACUGUGGGCAGCCAAACCGGCAUAUGAUGUUUCUCCAGAUGAAUCACUCCACAUCGGCUUCUUUAGUAAAUGAUAGAGCUUCGGCCUCGAUUCAUUUAGUAAAGUAGUCGGUGGGGACGAUCAUCAUUUCUUUCUUGGCGGGCGCUAGUGGCAAGGGAUCCACUAGGUCGAUGGCCCAUUGCAUGAACAGCCAUGGACUGUUUUGCGGAUGAUAGACUUCGGCAGGCAAGUUAGGGAUCGGCUUGUAUUGCUGACAGCGUCACAUUUCUUGGCACAUUCAGCACAGUCGUGACGUAUGGUAGGCCAGAAGUAGCCUAUGUUUAGAACUUUCUGGGCGAGUGACCUGCCCCAGAAUGGUUGCCAUACUCGUCGUCGUGAAUUUUACAGAUAAUCUCAAGUGUUUGAUGGUACUUUAUGCAGGUGAGAUGAAGGCCGGAGUAUGAUCUGUGGAUGAGCUUGUUGCCGUGCAUGUAGUAUCUCUCGGCCUUUUGCUGGACUUUUCUAGCUUCGGACUUGUCCGUUGGCAGGUUUCCAUUCGUGAAAUAGUCGAUGAUGAGGUCUUGCUAGCUGGGGUCCUCGUCAAUCUGCAUGGUAUUAAUCGGCUCUAUUUCUUCAAUGCUUGGUCGGUCAAGGUGUUCGACCUAGAUGGAGUGUUUGAACUGGGUAUCCAGCGUUGAACCUUGGCUUGCCAGUGCGUCUGCAUGCGCGUUCUUUGCCCGGGACACUUGUUGGAUAGUGAAGGUAGGAAAUGCCUUCAACAGCUCUUGGACUCUAUCAAGGUAUAAGAUCAUCCUUGGGUGCUUUGCCAUAUAUUCACCUGAGGCUUGAUUCGUGAUCAACUGUGAGUUUGAGUAGAUGGCUAGCUUUUUGAUUGCGAGCUCCUUUGCCAAGCGUAAGUCGGCGAGUAAUGCCUCGUAUUCUACCUCGUUGUUCGAGACCGAGAAGCCAAGCGUAAUAGCUUGCUCUAACAGGGUUCUAUCCAGGGUGGUGAUAACGACCCCUGCUCCAGCUCCUUUUUGGUUCGACGCUCCGUCUACACGCAACUGCCACAUGUCUCUGGGAUGGCUUGGUUCUGCGGAGGUCCUGUCUGCUUUUGAACUUCCCUCCUUUUGGUUGACUAACUUCUCUUUUUUGGCUGAUGGGGUGAAUUCUGCGACGAAGUAUGCUAAAGCCUGGGCUUUUAUUGCAGUUUUUGGCCCGUAGAGGAGGUCAUAUUGGCUUAGCUCUAUAGCCCACUUCAUGAGUCGCUGAGAAGCAUCAGGGCUGUGGAGGAUUGAUCUCAAAAGAAAGUCAGUCAUGACUAUGACUCGAUGAGCUUAGUAGUAGGGUCGCAGCUUUCUCGCAGAAACUACAAGAGCCAAAAUAAGUUUCUCCAAUUUCGGGUAACGAGUCUCUGCAUCGAGGAGAGCUUUUGACGUGUAGAAUACCGGAUAUUGGGCCCCUAUCUCUUCUCGGAUGAGAGCUGAACUGACAGCUGAGUUGGACUUACCUCACUAGGGACUGGAUUUGAGAGCAUGGAAGGUGAGGUGAGGUAAGUCUUCAGAUUAUGGAAAGCUACUUUGCAGUCCUCAUCCCAUUUCUCUCUUUGUCCUUUCUUCAAAGCUUUGAAGAGUGGUCUGCACUUGUCGGUUGAUCUCGAGAGGAAUCGGUUGAGAACCGCUGCUUUGUCCGUCAGACUUUAUAUCUCUUUCACCGUGGAAGGCGACUUCAUCUCUAGAAUGGCUUUGAUUUGACGUGGAUGUGCCUCGACACCUCGUUGCGUGGCUAGGUAUCCCAAGAAUCGGCCGGAGGAUACACCAAACAGGCAUUUACUUGGAUUCAACUUCAUGCGAUACUGGCGGAGCAAGCUGAAUGAUUGGGUAAGACUUCCGAUGUGAUCUGCACGUUUUGGGGCUUUGACCAGCAUGUCAUCCACGUAGACCUUCAUAGUUUUGCCGAUCUGCUUAUUGAAGAUUUUAUUCCCGAGCCUUUGAUAGGUUGCUUUGGCGUUCUUCAGCCCAAAGGGCAUGACCUUAUAGCAGCAGGUCCCUCUCUCGAUGAUGAAAAAAGUUUUUGCCUUGUCAUCCUCGUGCAUCAGGAUUUGUUUAUAGCUGGACUAGGCGUCCAUGAAGCUAAGCAGUUGAUUGCCAGAAGUGGAAUCCACGAGUUGGUCGAUUCUCGGCAAUGAGAAGUUGUCUUUAGGGCAUGCUUUGUUGAGGUCUGUGUAAUCGACACAAACUCUCCAUUUGCCAUUUUCUUGUUUUGCCACCAAAACAACGUUGGCAAGCCACUCUGAGUAGGAGGCCUCUUCGAUGAAGCCGACAGCUAGGAGUUUGUCAAUCUCGGCCUCGAUGAUAGCAAGUCGCUGGGGUGCGAAGUUGCGUCUCUUCUGCGCCACUGGCUUGCAGGCAGGGUUGAAGUGGAGUCAGUGACAGAUGAUGUUCUUGUCGAUGCCAGACUUGUCUGACGGCAACCAUGCGAACAUGUCUCUGUUGCUCUGGAGGAAGGUGGUAAGCUCCACAUUCUCUUCUGGCCUUAGGCGCGAACCGAUCCACUCUUUCCUAUCUGGUUGGUCAGGAUCCAAGGGUAUUAACUCGACGUCCUCCUUGGGUUUCCAUCCUUCUUCAGGAAAGACCUAUGGACGGAUUUCCUCGACUUGGUCCUGACGCUUUAAUUGCUAUAAGAUAGCAAGAUCCAGUUGCUCAACCUCCUCCAGAUCUGCCUGGCUCACAGGGAGAAACUGCGCUUGUUUACCUUUCUUUAGCCCUUGGGCGGAGCAUUUCCUCGCCAUUGCCUAAUCGUUGUUGAUUUGGCCGACACCGCCCCCAAGGAUUGGGUACCGAAUUUUCUAAUGUGUGGCGGAGGUGAUUGCAUUAAUUUUGCCAAUCGAUGGUCUGCCCAGAAUGCCGUUGUAGGGUAAGACCUUAUUAAUGACCAUGAAGGUUAUGAGCUGAUUAUAAGUGGGGAGUAGACGUCGAGGUCUAUCAUGCCCACGGUAACCGUUGUUGCACCAUUAAAAUCGCUCAGCAACCUAGCUAAUUUGUAAAUCUUUGUCUCCAAUCCCAUCUGUUGAAUGACCUCCAGUUGCAGGAUAUUGGCUGCGCUGCCCUCGUCUGUGUGGAUUCAGUCUACCAUGACCUGAGCAAUUUGAAUGCUGAUGACAAGGGCUUCGUUAUGUGGCAUGUAGAGGCCGAUCAGAUCUUUCUUUUGGAAGCCGAUUACAGGAUCGUCUUCUGCUGGUGGAAGGUCGGUCGAGAUUUGGGAGAUCACAGUGGUCUGUUUGAUCUUCCUCUUUUUUUCCUUUCUGGUCAGCCCAGACUCCUCGGAGUCAGCUAGGAUUGUGUUAAUUCUUAUGACCUUCUGAGGCGGCUCCUUGGCGAUGUCACGAUCUUCUAUCCGCUGGAUGACCUUCUUUGCAAUGAAUUCUGUGCAGUGACCUUCUCUCACGAGUUCUUCAAGAUGUGCUUUCCAAGCGAAGCAGUUGUUCAUAGUGUGUCCGUGCAUUUCAUGGACGGCACAGUAUUUGCUAGUAUUCCUUUUGUCCGGAUCUUCUUUCAAGGGUGGUGGUCUUCUUACCCAAGGUUGUUCUUCACUUGGGCUAAGAUUUGAUGUAUGGAGAUGGUGAACUUGGUGUAGUUCUCUCCUGCCGUAGCAUCCCCUUAUGGGUGCGACCUGCGCUUGUCCUUGUCCCUGUUGCUAAAUCCGUCGCUUCUUUGGCCUGCCCCCUUAGUCGGCUGAUCUUCCUGCUUAGUAGAGUUCUUUGCGGCGAUUCGAUCGUCAUCCCAAAGCGCAUAGCUUUCCGCGGUCUCGUAGACCUCUGCCAAAGUUUGGCUGGGAGUGAUGGUCAGCUCGUGGUACAAGUCGUGCUCAGUCGAAAGGUCUUUCUUGAAAGCAGAGGACGCAAUUUGGUCAUCACAUCCUACAAUGUUGGCCUUUUCUACUUUGAAUCUCUUGAUGUAAUCUCUAAAGGAUUCGUCGAACUUCUUGCGCAGGUUAUACAGGUGGUCAGGGUUCUUCUUGAUUGUUCGGUAAGAGGUGUAUUCUUUGGUGAAUAAGUAAGUCAGCUCCUUGAAGCUGCUGAUCGACCUGGAUGGCAGAGUAUGGAACGAGUCUUGGGCUUCCUCACAAGGUCAUUGCAAACACCUUGCACAUCAGCGCGUCGUCAACCUUGUGGAGGAUCAUGACACUUUUGAAGUGUUUUAGAUGGCUCUCAGGAUCGGAAUCCCCCUUGAAGUGUGUGAAUGUGGGCGUUGAGAAUCGCUUCAGGAGAGCAGCCUGCUCGAUUUUGGCAGUGAAAGGUGUAGAGUAUGCCUGGUCUACCUCAUUUCGUACAUCUUCGAAAUUUCCACCGGUCUUCAAGUCUCGAAGUUGGUCAUUCACAAGCUUCUCUACGUCUUCCGCACACAUUGCUUGUCGGCCACAUUGGCGACCUUCACGAAUUGUUCGAUGCUGACUGACUUCCUCGUUGAUUUCCGAGGAUCGACCUUCUUGUCUGCAUUGCCUAGGUGGAGUGUUGGUGGAUUGCGCCUACGAAAGAUUCUCUGUGGCUUGUCAAUGAGAAUCGGUUCUUCGAGAGUGAGUAACGAAGUGCCUUUCCUCAUGGUCCUUAUUGUGAGGGUUAUCCAGCUGACCUCCCUGGGGCCUAGCCUUUCCUGAAUGCUUCUCUGCGAGUAGACAGUUGAAUGCUUUUCUUCACGAUCCUCGUUGUGAUGGUUGUUUGGCUGACCUCCUUAGGGUCUUAGCCUUUGAUGUACAUUUCCCUGCCUGCCCAAGUAGGUGCGGACGUCGAGUCGUGGGCCCAGCCUUUCGUGCACGUCGUUCCUUAAACUCAAUCUGCUCUGAGUGUGGCUUGCAGAUGCUUGCGACAUGUCGGCAGGUCGAUCACGUUGUUGUCCCUCGACUUGUCUGCCCACUCUUGCUUGACCUGCUUGGUACUCGUUGAGCUGUCUACCGGCCCGUUCAUCCUUCCUUCUUUCCUCGCCUGGUUGUCCAAGGCCAAGGUUUUGAGCAAAGCUUAUUUGGUUGAGGAGCUGCCUCAUUAGAUUGUUUUGGUCGUCCAUUCUUUAAGCUAGCUGGUCAACUCUCAGAUUAAGGUCUGCUUGAUUUCAUGGAUCAGGAGGAGAGAAGUGUGUGGAGCUCAACUGCACAUAGGCUAGGGUUUCAUUAGAGGUGUAUGCGGGAGCGUGUGUCGAGCGUGGAGGCAAUAGAGGGAAUGCUUGGAGUUGCUCCAAGACCGGCCCUAGGUCGGCGGUGGUAACGAGUCCACCUUGAUGGGAAGUUCCACCAUGUUUGGCGGCAGUGACCGAUGCAGUGGUGAGAGGUGGUGGUGCCACCAUGUCGAUCGCGGGAUCGUUGGUGGAGUGGCUUUGGGCCGUCGCAAAUCUAGCCAUCAUGGCGGCUUUGCCUCUCGUGUUCAUGCUUCCAACCAUGGUUGUUUGGAAGGCUUAGGUGGAUUGGAAAAUUAGAGGAACGGAUUCCUUGAGCACGCAUUGAGUAUAACUCGUGCUCUCAAUGAAAGCACCAAUUUGUGGGAGCAAAUUUCCCCACGAGAAUAUUCGGUUCGAAAGAUUCCCCUUUCUUAUUCGCCGCCUCUUUCUCCUCGCAAAAUAGAACAAAUAAGAGGACCACACCCGAGGGGUGUUGGCCAAAGGCCCUCCGAUGCCUAAAUUAGUUCAAGUAUUUGUAAGAAAAACACUAGCUAACUAGGGUAUGGAGAUGUGUUUAAGGUGUAAACCGGGCGGCCGGAACCUUAUGUAAAAGAGAGAGAGAAAUGAGGUGGCUAGGGUUUGAGAGGAAUUUUCUGCAGAGUUUUUAGUAGAGAUUUCAGACGUACCUCAACCAUUGUGUGUGGCCAUCUUUUUAUAGUGGUCUUGGAGGCUAGAGUUUCAGAGAAAUAAUUUCGUAGAUGGAAAGGAAUUAUUCCUCCCCUAUUUAGAAUUGAUUUGAUUAAUUACGGAUUUGAUUUAUUAGGGUAAAUCAAAUCCCUAAUUGUGGUAAGUAUCAAAUCAAAUCCUUUUUUAAUUAGGUAACUGCUCAUUUAAUUGACAAUUGUGGUAGGAAUCAAAUCAAUUCUCAACCUAAUUGGUAACGUUCAAUUUAAUUGGGUAAUUCCCAAUUAAAUUGAGUAACUCCCAAUUAGGUUGAUUAAUUCACACUUAGAUCAAAUAAUCCCCAAAUGGAAAGAAUUAUUUGACCUAAGGUAUGAUUUAAUUCGAUUCCCACAAUAUUUAGAUGCAUAAUUGAAUGCGAAUAAACAUCACUCUCUCCAGUGUGAAAUGGCGAAAAUUCUCUUCAAUCAAAAGUGGGCUUACUUCAAAUUUAGUUGAAGAAUGAUGGUGUGUCUUGCCUGACAAUUGACAAUUAGGUUUAGGAGCGUUCCUCUAGUAGAAAAAUCUAAAUCAUUUGUGGUCAUCCACUCACUUGGUUAGUCUUCCAGAAUCAAAUACCAAAUCAACCCAAAGGAAGCUGCAAUUUUCUGAAUUGUAUACUUGUUUUAAUUCUUCCUAUCUUUUUCUCUCUUUCAUUUUUUUUGUCUCCCUCAAGUUAAUACUUAAGUGAGUUGCCAAAUGGGGGUAAAAAAGAGAGUAGAAGAGAUGAACCCCACAUUUGACUUUAAUAGACAAAUGCCCAAGAGAAGUACCAGUAAGAGCAUCUCCAAUUGGGAGGUGCUAUCCUAUAAUUUGACACACAUUUCUUUUUUCUUUUUUUUCAAUUCUAACAACAUGUCAUCUAUAUCGCAAUAGGCCGUUGUAGUUAAAUUUUCAAAUAACCAAGUUGCUCUCUAUUUUCCAAAGAAGACUAGAAAACAACUUACCAUCUAUCUGGUGCUGCUUCUUCCAAACAUUAGAAAAAACAGAGCUACACCCAGGAGGAGCCCAGGAGAUGACACAAUACUGCCUACUAUGAUUCUUACUUUCUUCACAUUCAAUGAGACUAUAAAAUAUAACCCAAGUGGUCUAACCCCCCAGGGCGGAAAUUGGGUUUAGCAAGUUUAGCACUGAUUGUUGUAUAGUCUUAAACAGUCCUGAUCUCUUGGACCCCUGUAGUCCAAGAGAUUUAUGGUCACCCACCGUUGGAUGUAAAUUCAACGGUUGACUUGAAUCGGGUAAUAAUAAUUUAUGUCAUAUUGCAUUUAUAUAUAUCAUUUUGAACCAUUGGAUUAAUAUCCAACGGUGGGUGACCACAAUCUCUUGGACUCCUGUGGUCCAAGAGAUCGGGACUGUAGUCUUAAAAUAAGUAGUUUAGCGAGUGCAAACUUCGACUUAAAAAAACUCUCAUGUAUAGCCGCGCGGCUAUACUAUUUACAUAUAAAUAUAUAAAAAAGCACCCCCUAGUCACGUGUCACAAAUAGUAUAGUCGAAAACAGUAGAGCCGCGCGGCUAUACUGUUUUUAAAAUAAAAAAAACCAUAUUCGAUUCUCCUUAUAUUUAAAAGGGGUAUAGCCGCAUGGCGAUACUAAUUUUUUUUUUUCAAAAAAAGGGACCCCAGUACUCCUUUUAUAUAUUAUAAUAUAUUGUCUAAUAUUUGGAAUAUUUACUCUAAAAUAAACAAUAUAUUAGGUUCUUUUUGUCUACAAAUUGACCAUUAAACUUCUUAAUCACUCUUAUACUUUCAAUUAAAUCUACUAGGCUAGGUUAUGAUAUUUUCACUAAAAAACUCCUCCUUUUUUUCUUCUCUUUCUCUUCCUGUUUUGUUUAACUUAAGCUUAAGUUUUGUAAUUUUUUUUCCCGCCCUUUUUACAUGUUUGAGUAGGGUACUUUAAUAUUGGGAUUUAUGAACUUUUUUUGUAUUUCUUCUUUAUAUUGGAAUAUAAAUUAUUAACUUUUGAGUCUUUAAUAGUGUAGAUGAUGAGAUUAUUAUUCAACCAUUUUAUAAUAUGAAAUGAAGGACAAUCAUGAUUGUGAUGAAUGGAUUAUUAAUCAAUAUGAAAUGAUAUUAUGAAGUGGGCUAAAUCGAGUAGUUAGUAUCGUAUUGUUGAGACCCAAAAAAUCCAAGGCUAGGCCCAAAUAUAUUAUGAAGUGGGCUAAAUCGAGUAGUUAGUAUCGUAUUGUUGAGACCCAAAAAAUUCAAGGCUAGGCCCAAAUAUAUUUCCGGUCCAAUGCGAUACCUUACCGAGAAGAAACCUUAUUUGGGCACGCGAAAGUUCGUCAUAUGCUCUUGCACACAUGCCAUGCCAAGCAAAUAAGCAACAUGCCACGCUACAAGCUUAAGUGGGCCCAAGCCACGUGAAUGCCUAGGGCCUGCUGAGUGGGUUGUGGUAUGGAUGGUUAUGAGUAUUCACGAGGCCCAUUGAUGGUCUAAGGAGUGGAAGUUUUGGGCUACUUGGGAGCACCAAAACUCAAGCCCAUUCAUUGAGCCCAAACAUAUGGGUAAGCAUGAGAUAAAACCUAGUAGCCCAUCACCUUAAGAAAUCCUAAUAGCCCAUAACAUGUGAGAAAAUCCCACAUCAACCAAAGCUUCCAGCAGUCUGACGAAAUCAAAGGGAACUCACAAGCCGUUGGAAACAAAACAACCCAACACUGUAACACCCCGACCCCAAAUUUCCCCAAAUUUAACCCUUAUUUAAUUAUUUAAGGGUAUUUUAGUCAUAUUUUUAACCGGAGAGAGUUUGGGGCAAUGACUAGUAUUUUUGGAUAGGUCGUACUGAGACGAGUUUAUGGACACGCAGUGAGCUCGAAUCGGAGUUGUAACGAGAGAGAUAUGGUCAAAAGAAGCCCAGUGGCACAAUCGUAAAUAUUUUGAAAUGAGAUUUUUUAUAAAAAUCUGGUUUUCUCUCUCUCUCUCUCUCUCUCUCUCUCUCUCUCUCUCUCUCUCUCUCUCUCGCUAGCGACCUCUCUCUCUCUCCCCCGUCGGUCUCUCCCCUCUUUCUCCUCGUAACUCCGGCCACCGGCCCCGGCUGUGGACGGGGCCGGUACCAAAAUGACCGAGGCGUCGUCCUCUUCCUACCCCAGCCACCUCCCACCGCCAGCCGUCGCGGAUUCGCCGGAAUCUGGAGAUGAAGCGGCCUACGUCGUCCAAAUUUCAAAGCUGCCGAUCUCCCUCCUCCGGCCACCAAUUCCGUCGACCCAGGUAUGGAUUUUGAACUUCUCGAGCUGCUCUAGCUGAUGGUUGGGUAGGAUUAGAUCGAUUCUUAGCUUAGACAACUCGAUUUUCAAAUUGAAAAUCGGCCGAACUUCGGCUGCCGUGAUCGGCCAUUUCCGGCCACUUUUUGGGGUAGGUCCAAGAACAAAAGUGGCUCCAAAUAGGGUGUUAUACCUAGGGUAGGAGUUUGGAGCCGUGGUUUUGAGAUUUUCCGGCGAAGCGUUAUCGCUUUGGGCACCCACGCGCUGCCGGUGCGUGCGGCGGCGCGUGGGCACUGUAGAAAAAGUAGCACUGUGUUCCGAUGAGAUCCUUAGGUUGUCACGAGUGCGUAGGAUUUUGCGGAUCUCAAUUCGGACGUCGUUUGACUAUCGAACGGAUAUUCGCAUAUUGCGCGUUAUUCGGGUUCGAUAGGUUGGGACCGUUGGAUGGACCCAAAUUUAAUAUAUGUUAAUCUAAUUAAUUCUAGGAUCGUGUAGGAAUUCACGGAUUGUGAAUCGGAGCCCCGGAUGUUCCGAAUAAUAAUUUUAAAGUUUGUAUUUUAUAUUAAUUGUCAGAUCGUGCGAUCGUGAGCAAUCUGACCGUUCGAUCUGAACCAAACUUGCAGGACAAGUGUCCUAUACCUUGUAGAACCCAUAGGGACCUUCGGAUCGGAAAUUGGAGGUCGUGGGUUCCGCAAGUCGGUUUGACCAGGGUUAGAGAAGUUUGACCCUUGGUUGACCGUGAGUCUCCCGGAGUAAUCUCACCUUUCUAGGGGAGAUUAUCGGGUACUAGAUGAUUGUGGACACAAUAUUAGAAUUAAUUUAUAUAAUUAUAAUUAUAUAUGGUUGUACAAGGGUACAACAGAGUCUAGAAUGUCAGUUUGGAGUGCUAUACGCACUACUUUAGGUACCUCCCCGGAUGUUGGGAUUUACUACAAGUACCACCAAGUGAAAUUGAGGUCCCGCGUGGCGUAGGUUAUCCAGCGUUGGGAUAGGUCUCAUACGUGGGGUUGGUUGUACCGGCGUAUGGGGAGAUUUGUGAUAUUAUGUUCAGGUCUCACGUGGCGUAGGUUAUCCGGCGUUGAGACAGGCCCCAUACGUGGUGUUGGUUGUACCAGCGUAUGGGGAGCUAUGUGAUAUUGUGUUGAGGUCGCACGUGGCGUAGGUUAUCGGGCGUGUCGACAGACCCCAUACGUGGCGUUGGUUGUACCGGCGUAUGGGGAGAUUUGUGAUAUGAAAUUGAGGUCCCACGUGGCGUAGGUUAUCCGGCGUUGGGACAGGCCCCAUACGUGGCGUUGGUUGUACCGGCGUAUGGGGAAAUAUGUGAUAUGAUGGCAUGGUCGCACGUGGCAUAGGUUAUUCGGCUUGUUGACAGGCCCCAUACGUGGCGUUGGUUGUACCGGCGUAUGGGGAGAUUAUUUGAAAUGCAGAGAAACGAAAUAUGGUAUCGCCCAAAUGUGGAAUUGGGUUUUAGGGAAGAACUACGUGUGGCUUGAUCCCUCAAGGAGGGUACGUAGGCAGCCUAAGGUUAAUAGGUGCAGCCGCAGACUAAAUGUUAGUCAUAAUUGAUAUUUGAAUUGUUUGGUAGUUGGUUAAGAAUUAUUGGAAGGCCGAAGGCCAUUUGUGUGAAUUGCAUGAAAUUAUAUUGUGCAUGCUGCCAGUUGGGAAUAUUAAAUGCGUUUUUAUGCAGGUAUAAAUUUUAGGAAAUGUCCAAUUUAUAGGGGAGACUCUGCCGAAUUUUCGGCAGGAAGUCUCAGUUUUUAGUAUCUGGGCCUGGCAUCGGGAGGAUGUCGGGAAUUCCAAAGGGUCGUCUCGAGUUCUGAAAAAUUCGGUGCGGGUCCUUUCAAACACCUUAUAAAAUAUCCAACGCCGUGCAUCUCUGUUAAAACCAGAUCACAGCCAAACCACCAAAACCAUGCAAACCCAUAUGCUGAUCACCAUUUUUACUAGCACCCUUACCCAUUCUUUCCUCUUCAAGCUUUGGUGAGAAAACAAGAAACAAAAGUGGGCGGAUCUUCACCCACAUGGAGAAAUCCAGCUGCCUGAGGGCCCUGGAACUCCAAAAAACUUCUUACCUACAUGCUCAGGCUAGGGAAGUUUCACCAAAUAAGCAAGAAUGGAAGAAAGUGAAGGAAAAGGGGAAAGGGUGGCUUGACGAAAUUAAGGUUUUCAGCACUUAUAAAAGGAAACACUUUCUAUCCAGCAAAAACAACUCACCCUGGUUGCUGCAAGCCUCCUAGCAACCAUGAGAAUUCAUUGAAGGCAAGCAUCCCCUUUGGAACCCUUCAAUUUCAUGCUUUGUUCUUCCAUCUUCCUCCUUUCUCUCUCUCUCAAAACCCACAUCCAGAGAGAGCAAGCAUCAUCUCUCAUCUUUGGAACCCUUCGAUUUGAAGCCUUGUUCUUCCAUUGCUUCCCAUUUUCUCUUCUGUCAAAUCACCUAGGAGCUUGACGAAACUUUCGUCAAGCUGCUGGAAAUAUGGUAAAGCCACCCAUGCUUCCAUCUUCUUCCUCUCUUUCCAUAAACACACAUCCAAAGAGCAAGCUUCAUCUCUCAUCCUCUAAACCUCUGCAAUUUCAAGCCUCAUUCCUCUAUCUUCUCCCAUUUUCAGCGGUAGUGAGAAUGAUUUCUGCGUGUGCAUGGGAAGGAUUGUAACUCAGAUGAGGAGGAGAUGGUUUGGAGUGGGGUGAGGCAGUUGGAUAGAGCUCUUGGCCUUUUCAAGUUUGGAUGGGAAAGAGCAGGGAUGAAAGAAGCUUUACAACUGCAAGGGCAUAUAUGGUGCGUAGGGGCUGAAGGCAGAACACUUACAUAUAGAGGAAACACAUUUUUUGUCCAUGGGAUUCAUGUUUGACAAACACUUGUCUUAGACUAUGAGUUCAAAUUUCAAAACCUUUUUUUUUUCUUUCUGAAAUCAGGACCAGUGUGGAGAACUAGCAAGGAUUGGAGAAACAGAUUUUUGGGCGUCACUUGACCACAGAUUGUUGAUUGCUCAAAUGUGUAGAAUUGGCCAUCUUAAAUGUCAAAAUGAUUUAUCAAUUGGGGUUUUUUUAGAAACGUUUAUGUUUGUCAAUAGAGACAGAAGUCAGAGAACAUAAACCUUUCUCAGCAAAUUGAAAUUCUCAGUGCAUGCUCUGUUCUUCCAUGGCUUUCAAACCUUCUCUGCCACGGUGAAAUGGAUCGAUAGAGAUAGUUUAGGCCGUUCCAUUUGUUUGAUGAAGCAUUCGUUCUAGGGAUUCUGUAUAUUCAUAACAAAAUCACUAGAAUGAUUCUUAGAAAUUCAUCACUGCUAAAGGCAAUGGGUUCAGCAUAAUAACUUCUUAGUCUUGCUUCUUGGUCCUUUAUUUUCUUUGCAUAAUACUCCAAGUUUACCUGGGUUCUACAGAGAAAAUCUCGUAGAUACCUCUUUUUGUGGUCUUCCAUGGCAUUUAAGUGCUGCUUUCCAUGGUGAAGUGGGCCUAUAGAGACUACCUGAGGUGUGUAGGCUUUGUCAUUUCCACGCCGUAAUCGCUCAGGAACUCUGUAGAUACACCUUCAAGGGGGACAAGGGAGACAAACUAUCCAAUUCCUUGCGCCUUACAAAUAGAUCGCAUGGGUUUUCUAUUUCAUCUGCAGCUUCAUCAAUUCCUUCCAUUUUUCUCCUGAUCAUCAUGCGCGGUGAUUCAAAUAUUUCAUAAUGAACAUUGAAAUGAGAUGCUACAAGCAAACUUAUGAAAAGAAACAGAAAUACCAAAAAGACAAAUCAAUGUAGAUGGUUUAGAAAAUCUAAACAUUGCAAUUAUACUCCUUUGCCCAACUUCUAGGAGCAAACGUACACAAAGACCUUAUUGCUUCCAACUUUUCCAACAGAAUUUCAUAUGAAUUGCUCCAAGUGAAAUCCGUAUGAAAAAUCGGUAGUUGGAUUUUCAUCCUGCUUUAAUAUGAUUAUUUAACUUCUAACAAAAAAACUCUUAUUACUUGAGCAAGUAAAAUACUAUUCCAGGUUUCUCCUAGUUCUAUAUGCGCUUAUAAUUGGUAUACUCUAUAAAUACCAUAAUCUGAAUUUCUCUGUUUUGAUUACUUUAAUUUAUUACUUAUGUUUUAAUUAUUGUUUACUUAGUGAAUUAUUAGUAUUUAAGAGAAGGCCUUCCAUCGAUUAGGCACCACGUGUCUAUAAUAAGUAAAGCCGUCCGGCUAUACUUAAAAAAAAAAAAAAUUGUAGUAUAGCCGACCGGUAUAGCCGCGCGGCUAUACUAUUUAAUACAUUAUAUUUAAACGGUAUAGCCGCGCGGCUAUACUAUUUAAUAAAAUAAAAAACAAAAGAAAAAGAAAAAUUACCCUCCUAUUUCAUUAGUUUGUACUUUAUAGAUACUAGCCCCUUGACACAUGCUCACGCAUGUGCCAAUUGGUUUUCUUUUUCUUUUUUAUUUUUAUUUUUAGAAUUAAGAAAAAAUAACAGGAUAGUUAUGUUCCAUAAAAGUAGGACCUAUUAUCUUAUUUUGUUUUUAAUUUUAAUUUUUUUAAUAUUAAAAAAAUAUGAAUUUACGAUAUUAUCCUCAUUUAAUUAAUAAUUUCAAUUCUUAAUGUUUGAAUUAACAAAGGGCAUUUUCUGGUAUUUUGAAUGUUUCACCAUUCUCUGCCUUUUGCUUUAUAUAUAUAGAUUAAUUUGCCAGUUUCAAGAUAUCCAAAGUACAUAUUAGACUUUCACUAUAUAAAUUUCAAUAUAUAUUUUUUAUAACAUGUGUUGUUCUUAUUCAAUAAUAUGUGAGAAUUAUUUGUAUAAUACGUGAAUUUUGUGUGUCUUACUGAAUUUUUUUAAAUACGUGUAUUAAACGUUACAAAUACGUACAUAUAUGUACAACACGACUAUUGUAAGUUUGCUAUAUAAAAAAAAGUGAGAUGUAUCUAGAACACGAAUGUAUUAUCGAAAAAUAUAUAUGUAUGUAUAUAUAUAUAUAUAUAUGUAAAAGCCUAUAGCCUCUCACCUAUACUAUUUAUUAAAGACAAUUUAAAAAUUACAACAACAAAAAAACCAGUACAGCCACAAAGCUAUACUAUUUUAAAAAAAAAAAAUAGAAAAAAUAUCAAGUACUACACAGGGCAAAGGCCCAGUGUAAAAUAGUAUAGCCGUACGGCUAUACGUUUUUAAGAAGAAUUUAAAAAACUAAGUAUAGCUCACCGACUAUACUAUUUUUUAAUAUAAAAAAACAACCCCAUCCAUUAGGCGCCACGUGUCAACAGAAGUUUAUUUUUAAAAAAAAAAAUUAAAAGACAAGGAGUAUAGCCGGGUGGUUGUACUAUUUUUUUAUUUUAAAAAGAAGACAGUCCAUCGAUUAGGCGCCACGUGUCCAUAAUAAGUACAGCCGCUCGGCUAUAUGUUGGAUAUUUUGAAACUAGCAAAUUAAUAUCAAUAGCCGGUCGUAACCUAUGCUGUCCACGUCACUCAUGUUUUACCAGAGUUAAAGCAUCCACAAUGAGCUCCCCAAACCAUCUCUUUAGACAAAUUUUAGGGAGAAAUUGGAAAAGUACAACUCCAACCAUGCUCCCUAUCCACCAACUAAAAUAGGGAGACCUCUAGGAGCUCCUAAAUCUGAGGAGAGGGAAAGGACUCUUAGUGACUCCCUAUAAUUUAAUGUUGCUUUGUUUUAUGCAUAUUUUAAACUUUUAAUUAAAUCAAAUUAUUAUUUUAUAUUAUUUUGUAUACAGAUGGACCAAUUAUAUUAAAUUAAAAAAUAAUUAAAGUAUUUGUGACUCUCUAAACUAAGGAGUAUGAUUAGAGUUCAAAUUUUAUAAAAAGCUCUUAAAAUAGCUUUUGUGUGUUUUUAGCUAAAUUUUAACUAAAAAAUUUGAAGAUUCUUUAUUUGGGUUUCUUUCAAGACGAAAACCAUAUCCACAACAGACAUCUUUGGCUGUUCAUCACAAUUGAGAGACAAUGAAGAAGACAUAAGGGAGAGGCUGCCAAAUACUUAUCACCUUAGCCACCACCAACACCACAAGACCAAUAUGUGUAGGCCAGGAGGCUUUCCAAUUUUAAUAUAUAUAUAUAUAUAUAUUAAAAAAUAAAAUAAAAAUCAAUCUAUUAUCAUAUAUAUUAUAAAAUAAAGAUUAUUGCUCCAUCCUCCAUGCACUUGCGUGCCCUCUUACAAAGUAUGAAGUAGAUUUUGUUAGCUGGAUUUAUAAGAUCUUUUGUUUUUUGGAAAUUUUCUGAAAUAAGGAAAAUCAAGUAAAAUUAAUAAAGCAUAAAUUGGAAAGGGAAAAUAUCUAGAGGAUGCAUUGUAGGAUUGCUCAAGCCAAUAAUUGUACCCUCUAAAUAUAUAGGGACAUAUUUUUUUUGUUUUCAUGACAUGUCGUCCUAAAAUUAUUGUUCUUAGCGGGCUCUCCACCCCCUCUCGAUUGAAAACCUAUUGUGUAAAUCUUCAAUCCUGAAUUAGAAAAGUACAACUCCAACCAUGCUCCCUAUCCAUCUCCUAAAAUAGGGAUACCUCUAGGAGCUCCUAAAUCUGAGGCGAGAGAAAGGACUCUUAGUGUCUCUUUAUAAUUUAAUGUUGCUUUGUUUUAUGCAUAUUUAAACUUUUAAUUAAAUCAAAUUAUUUUUUUAUAUUAUUUUGUAUACAAAUGGACCAAUUAUAUUGAAUUAAAAAUAAAUUAAAGUAUUUAUGACUCUCUAAACUAGGGAGUAUGAUUGGAGUUCAAAUUUUAUAAAGAGCUCCUAAAAUAGCUUGUGUGUGUAGGGGUCUUUUUCUUCUGGCAACUACAGAUGGGUUGGGCUACCGUAAGGAGCAAACUGAAGAAAAUAUCCCCUGUGUCUGAGUUCAAAGAUUCGGCCCCAAAAUAUUUCGAAAAGGCAGUAAAGCCUUAGGAAACACCUUAGUUACCUUCACCAACGAAAAUGACGGCUGCUUACAGGUAGAUUCUUAGUGCUUACAGAUGAAUUCUUAGCUUAGCAUGAGGAGAUCGUGGCAUGGAAGCAAAGUUAGCAUGAGUUUAGCACUAAAGAGAAAAUUAUGUGUUCUUGGGAGGAAGAAGGGGUGUCCAGGUAAAUGGGAAAAGGUUUUGCAAGUAGAUUUGGCUAAGAGAGAAGGGAGAGAGAGAAGAGGGUGGCUAGAGUGCUUCUUCCGGCAGCUUGACAGUGACUCUGUCAAAUGUUAGAGCAAUCUGCCAUAAGAGGGAAAAUGGGGAAGAAGGAUGAACAGUGCACAAAAUUGCUAGGUUUUUGCAAGUAAGAGAGGAAGCUUGCUCUCUGGAUGUGGAUGAUCCGUUGGGUAGAAGAGGCCCCAUUUUAUAGCCGCUGGAAACUAUCAUUUCUCAAGAAACCCUAAUAGUUUCUACCCAAUUUGGUCAAGCUUUUCCCUUCCUUUCUCAUCUCCUCCCUUGACUUUUCCUAUCUUGGUGAAAUUUCCUCUGUCUAUUUGCACAAAAUCAGGAGCUCAAGGCCUCCCUUUCCCGCAACUGUUCAAUGGGAGACUCCAUUCUUAGCUAUUUUUCUUCUUCUUUCCUUCCUCCUUCCCUGACCAAAUCUGAUGAAGGAAAGCAAAUAGGUGCACACAUUGGUUUGAAGGGUGCUUCUCCUUCUAGCAGCUUACAUGCCAAUAUCCCUUGGGUCCUUGCAUGUUUUUUGCUUUGAAACUUGUUUCUUCCUUCCCGUCAACUCACGUGGUCUUCCAUGCUUCUUCAUGGCUUUAUCUUUCAGCCAAAAGAUGGAGUUUUUACUGCUUGCUACUUUUAAUUGUAUGGGUCUUCUAGGAUAGGAAGUCAACCUACCAAACAAAUGGGCCACCUUUAUCAAAUAUUGGGCUGUUGGGGUUAGUUUUAGUGGGCCAUUUUGACUGGGCUUUUUGGUUGGGUUAUUUAAGUUAUUUUCCCUUUUGUGCUCACCCAUGUAUUUAGGCCUAAGAAAUGGGCUUGGGCUCCGAGUCUCCCAAGCAACCCGGAACCUCCAUUUCUUGGCCCAUUAAUGGGCCUCAUGACAACCUAUUACCAUCCAUACCACAACCCACUCAAGCAAGCCCCGGGCAUUUGAAUGGCUUUGGCCCACUUUAGGCUUGUAGUGUGAUUGGGUGUGGCAUAACGAUUUCUCGCUUGGCAUGGCAUGUUGCUUGGCAUGUUUUUUCAUUACGAUGCUUGAUGGAUUUGUAGAGCUACCUAUUUUUAUGAUCUUAAUCUUGAUUCCUAGCAUGACAAAUUUAUUUAUUUGGCAUGGCAUGCGGAGCGUGACUUGUGCGUGGCGAGUUUUGUAUGCUCCAACUUGGGCCUUUCCUAAAUAAUGUAUCAUUUUGGGUUAUGAAUUCUUUCGGGCCCAACCGUGAAUUUUUUGGGUUUCAACAGUGUGUUUUUAGCUAAAUUUUAACUAAAAAAUAGGGAGCAUGAUUGUAGAUCAUCUUAUAUACCUUAAUUUGAAGAUUCUUUAUUUGGGUUUCUUUCAAGAUGAAAACCAUAUCCACAACUGGCAGACAUCUUUGGCUGUUCAUCACAAUUGAGAGACAAUGAAGAAGACAUAAGGGAGAGGCCGCCAAAUACUUAUCACCUCAGCCACCACCAACACCACAAGACCAAUAUGUGUAGGCCAGGGGGCUUUCCAAUUUUAAUAUAUAUAUAUGGAGUGAAAAAAAUAAAAUAAAGAUUAUUGCUCAUCCUCCAUGCACUUGCAUGCCCUCUUACAAAGUGUGAAGAAGAUUUUGUGUGCUUCAAGUCAUUGACUAGAGCUGAAACAUGGUUAGCUGGAUUUAUAAGAUCUUUUGUUUUCUGGGAAUUUUCAGAACCAAGGAAAAUCAAGUAAAAUUAAUAAAGCAAAAUGGAAAGGGAAAAGAUCUAGAGGAUGCAUUGUAGGAUUGCUCAUGCCAAUAAUUGUACCCUCUAAAUAUAUAGGGACAUAUUUUUUUUGUUUUCAUGACAUGUUGUCCUAAAAUAUUUGUUCCUAGCGGGCUCUCCACCCCCUCUCGAUUGAAAACCUAUUGUGUAAAUCUUCAAUCCUGAACGAUGCUCCUAAAACUCAAGUGUCCCAGGCCAAUUAUUGCUCUCAUACCACUUGUUGCAAUACACAUCCACUCAUUCUCAGGGAAAGAAACCCAUCGAUAUUAUCUCAAAUUUAACCACUUUAGUCUAUUAUGAUUAACUAUGUAUUUUAUGGAUCAAUGCAGUUGUGAGGUUUUAUACCCAAUUAGAUCGACCAAUACAGAGAUCACAUGUGGACUGAAAAGCGCCAUCGGUAGGGGAGUGUUUGGCACCCUUUACUGCCGAGUGCAACACAAGACCCCUUACCAGGAACUUAUCUACUAGGACACGUGAAGCCACCACAAGUAAUAUCAACAGUCCCACAUCGAAGUUUAACAUAACAUGUACACUCCCCAGGACUGAUAAAAGUGGGCACAAGUCCCAAAAAUGGGGGAACUUGGACUUUCAGCAAUUCAUCCAUUAUUAUGUCCAAAUUACUAUACACUCCGUACUUAUUCUUACUUAAGCAUUGGAGAGCCUUCGGCCGGUACCACACCAGUGCCUAAGGGCUUACCGAGCGUUCUCUAUCUUGCAUAUUGAUCGCUCUACUGAAGCCCAUAAAGAGUUAAAGGUCAAGACAUCACUAAGUUGAGCCCAAAAGUGCUGAACCACAUCAAAAAUAUGUAUAGAUUGAAAAAAUAAAAUAAAAAUCAAUCUAUUAUCAUAUAUAUUAUAAAAUAAAUAUUGGAUAAAUUACUCAAAUGGUCCUCAAACUUAUACUCGAUUUACAUUUUGGUCUCUCAAUUAAAUUAUUUGUUCAAAUGGUCCAUCAACUCUAUAUUAUUUCUGCAAAAUCUACAAAGUGGUGGGAGGCAGACCAACAAAAAAAAUUAGCGAAGGCUUAUAACUCUGGUAAAACAAGAGUUACUUGGAUAGAAUAAUGUUACGUCGUACUGAAGAUUUUUGGGUUUCUUUAAUUGGUUAAGUGAAGAUUCUUUAUUUGGGUUUCUUUCAAGAUGAAAGCCAUAUCCACAACCACAACCACAACUGGCAGACAAUCUUUGGCUGUUCAUCACAAUUGGGCGACAAUGAAGAAGACAGAAAUUGGAGUACUGUAUGUUAUCACCCACACCACAAGACCAAUAUAAGGAGGAUGGGGAGGCUGCGGAAUACUUAUCACCUUAGCCACCACCUACACCACAAGACCAAUAUGUUGUAGGCCAGGAGGCUUUCCAAUUUUAAAUUAGAUAAAUCGGAAACUGUUUCGAUAUCCAAUUGUAUUCUAUAAAAUCAAUGAACACGGUGCUUCAAGAAAGUAAUAAAAUUUCAAUAAUUCAAUUGAGUGGUCAAAUUCAAGUGAUUUUUUGUAGUGAUGAUCUUUGAAUGAGUAUCUAUAAAAGAGACGGUUUGGAUUAGUGAAAUACAAUAUGGAGUGGGCCCUACCAGCAAUCCACGACAAAAUGUCUGCAAGCUUUCGUAAUAUAAGGAGGAUGGGGAGGCUGCGCAAUACUUAUCACCUUAGCCACCACCUACACCACAAGACCAAUAUGUUGUAGGCCAGGAGGCUUUCCAAUUUUAAUAUAUAUAUAUAUAUAUAUAUAUAUAUAUAUAUAGGGAUGUGAUUUCUCUACUCCCCUUUUCUCUACUUAUACUCCCUUUUGCUUUUAAAUACUUUUUAAUCAAUUUUUUUUCCGCUUUCCUAUUAAUAUUCUACCAUUUCCCUACAUUAAUUUCUUUUUACUUCACUUUUAUAUUAGUUCUUUUUCUUUAUACUUAAUUUUUCAACUUGCACUCCAUUUUCAUUAUUUUUUUCCUAAUCGAGUAAGAAAUUAAGUUUUUUUUCCCCAUUUAAUACUGAAAAUGGAGUGUAAGUUAGAAAAUUAGGUAUAAAGAAAAAGAAAUAAUAUAAAAGUAAAGUAAAAAAGAAAUUAAUGUAGGGUAAAGGUAGAAUAGAAAAGAGAAUGAACAAAAUUGAUAAAUAAAUAAAAAAGGUUUAAAAAGCAAAAAGGAGUGUAAAUGGAGAAAAGGGGAAUGAGGAAAUCAGCUCCAUAUAUAUAUAGAUUGAAAAAAUUAAAAUUAAAAUCAAUCUAUUAUCAUAUAUAUUAUAAAAUAAAGAUUAUUGCUCCAAGGAAAUGACAUCUUUUGUUUUCUGGGAAUUUUCUGAACCAAGGAAAAUCAAAUAAAAUUAAUAAAGCAUAAAUUGGAAAGGGAAAAGAUCUAAAGGAUGCAUUGUAGGAUUGCUGAUGCCAAUAAUUGUACCCUCAAAUUAUACAUGGACAUAGGGGUGGGCAUUCAAAUAGGCAAACUAGAAAUCCGAGCUGAACCGCACCUAGGAAAACCGGAAAAAAAACCGAGUUGACCAAAAAGUCAACAACUGGUCAAAAAUCGAACCGGACCGAUUUGGACUGGUUUUGGAUUCAGUUUAUAUGCAAUGCUACAUUUUUAGUCUCAUAACUAAUAUUUAUCCAAGUUCAAUUUCAAAACAUCUUUCUUUUUUAGCUUUAAUAUUUAUUUUUAUAUGAAAUUAAAUAAUUUAUUAAUUUUCAAGUAAAUAAAAUAAAAUUUCAGUUGAAAUUUAUAUUAAAAAAAUAAUUUUAAUAAUCCAGUUCAAAACCAAACCGGACCAUCCAGCUGUGAGGUACAUUUCUCCCACAUGCCACAAUUGUAUAUUCACAAUUACGUCUGAUACAUCACAUCAUGCCACUUGCCUCAAAUGAAUUUAAGUGAGUGUGGCAGUGGAAAGUAAUUAAGCUCUAUAUUGGUGGGUGGACUGUUACUUCUGGGUUCCCCUCAUCAUUCGUCUAUAAAAUGGUGAAGGCAGUUGCUAUUGUUACCAUAAGAGCCAGCUCCGACUUCCUUUAAUUUCUUGCUUCAUAUCCACUAGCUACAUCUGUUACCAAGUUAAUUUCAGUCCUAAUGGGGUUUCAUCUCCCACUCAUCUUUGCUCUUCUCAGUGUAAGCUCUGCAAUUUGAUUAACUUUUCCAUUCUCUCUCAUUGUACUCUAUAUAAACGAAAGUUUUGUGUUCCUAUAAUUCUCUCCGAUUUUAUUUAGUACGUACUUAAGUGUCGUCCACUAAUUAAUUACACUUUGUGAUUUGAUUUUAAUUUGAGUUCGAAUUAAUGUUGCAGCUAGCAGCAGUGGCACUGGCAAACCAUGCUGCUCAACCAGCACCUCAACUUUACUGGAACUCCGUCCUGCCAAACACACAGAUGCCAAGAUCUAUCAGUGAACUUCUGCAUCCUGGUUUGUGUUGAGCUCUUUAGAAUCUUAGAUAUCUCUUCUACCUGCCAUUUUACUAAAAUAUGUUCCACCACAUAUUUAUCAGUUAACCACUGUUAUUACAUGAGUGACACAUAUUCACAAAUCGGCUGAUCACUUAUUUUCCAUUAUGACGUUGAUAUAUAAUUUGCAGACUCCACAAAUGAAGAAAAGAGCACAAAUGACGUUGGCAAACCUGAAACUUUCCCAUUGGGCAAUAAACAUUACUCCAGUCAAAAACAUUAUGGAAGAGGCAAACCUGAAACUUUCCCAUUGGGCAAUAAACAUUACUCCAGUCAAAGACAUUAUGGAAGAGGCAAACCUGAAACUUUCCCAUUGGGCAAUAAACAUUACUCCAGUCAAAGACAUUAUGGAAGAGGCAAACCUGAAACUUUCCCAUUGGGCAAUAAACAUUACUCCAGUCAAAAACAUUAUGGAAGAGGCAAACCUGAAACUUUCCCAUUGGGCAAUCAGCAUUACUCCAGUCAAAAAAAGUAUGGAAGAGGUGCUUCUCCAUCCGACAAUCAACCACCAAUUCCAUAGAAAUUCAAACACGGCUACUUUCUUGCCACGAGAAAGCGCUCAAUCGAUCCCCUUCUCCUCUAACAAACUACCAGAAAUUUUCAACCAUUUUUCAGUGAAGCCAACAUCUGAGGAAGCCAAAACAAUUAAGCAAACAAUCGAAGAGUGUGAAGCUCCAGACCUUAAGGGAGAGGAAAUAUAUUGCGCCACAUCUUUAGAAUCAAUGGUUGAUUUUAGCACUUCGAAGCUUGGAACAAGAAACGUUGAAGCAAUCUCGACGGAGGUAUUGGAAAAAGGAGCCACCAUGUCCAUCCAAAACUAUACAACAAUGCCGGGACUGAAGAAGUUGGCAGGUGACAAAGUCGUUGUGUGUCAUAAGCAGAACUAUCCCUAUGCUGUGUUUUUCUGCCAUGCAAUAAAACAUACAGCAGCUUAUGCUCUCUCCCUGAAAGGCGAUGAUGGGGAGAAGGUUAAAGCAGUAACCAUCUGCCAUCUAGACACAUCAGAAUGGGACCCAGAGCAUAUGUCCUUCAAAAUCGUCAACGUUAAGCCCGGAACCAUUCCCAUCUGCCAUUUCAUUUCCACUGAUGCUAUUGCCUGGGUUCCGAACCACAAAUCUGCAUGAUCAUCACUUAGCACUAGUACUGUGCGUAUAAUAUGCCUGUAUAAUUAUCUCCCUACUUAUUUCUGCCUGUUCAUCAUGUGGUGUAAGAUAUAUGUUGAGAUGAAGUUUUUGGGAUUAGUGGUCGAAAUUAACCCGAUCAUGUUUUCUCUUGUAACUAUAUAGACUUCAACUUGUACUCAUAAUAAAGCAUGCUAUAUUUAUGAAGAGAUAUUAAUCUUCAGGCAAAUAGAUAUUAUGAAAACAUAUAUAGCAAUUUAUCCAGAAGAAAUAUUAUGAAAUGAAAAGAAUAAAAAGUAAAAAAACAGAAGGAAAGGAAUUCGCACCUGCUAUGUAUGAAAGGACCAAGAUUGUUUUCCCUUUGGUUAAUGACUAGAAAAGCUCACUUGCAGAUUGCUUUCUCUGACCGUAGAUGCAACAGAAAUUUUCUCUUAAUAAUAGCACAAUGAUCGGGUAAUUGUAAGAACAAGUUGAUUUAAAAUUCCUUGACCCAAAAAAAAAAAAAAAAUCAUUUCAAAUUCAGGUCAACCCAUAGAUUUCUUGCCUUUUUCUUCUUCAUCACGUUGGGCUUGUCUUCUUCUUGAGGAUUGUAUAGGCCCAGGAAAUGCUUUGAGGUAGUUUUUGGCCUUGGAAGUUGGGACCCAACCCAACUUCACAAAAAGAAAACAGAUUUGCCAAAAAUCAAAUUUCAAGUCUCUCCUCAGAUCACUAAUACAGAUCAAAUUUUGGAUUUGAUGAACUAAAGUGGUUUUACUUUCUCUGUCAGUGUUUGAUGACUUAAUUUGUUAUUUACUUCUUUUUUUUUUUUUACUUGAUCUUUGUAGGGGUUUUUUUCUUCCGGUAACUUAAACGGGCUGGGCUGCCGUAAAGGGUAGAUUGAUGAAAUUGUCUCCUUUGUCUGAGUUCGAAAAUCAAGCCCCAAAAGCGCUUCGAAAGGGCAGUAGAGCCUUAGGAAGCGUUCUAGUCAUCUUCACCAACUAAAACAACAGCAACUUACAGAUGAUUUCUUAAGGCUUACAGAUAAAUUUUCUAGCUUGGCAUGAGAGGCUUGUGACAUGGAAGCAAAAUCAGCAUGAGUUUAGCACCAAAGAGGAAAAUAUGGCUUCCUAGGGAGAAAUGGGAGUGUUUAAGGUGAGGAAGAAGAGGUUUGCAGGCUGAUUUGGCUGAGGAGAGAGAAAGAAAGAACAAUGUUCUUCCAGUAGCUUGACAAAGCUUCUGACAGAUGUGAAAGUCGUCUGCCAUAAGAGGAAAAUGAAGAAGAAUGGUGAAUAGUGCAUGAAAUUGCUGGGUUUUUGCAGGUAAGAGAGAAAGCUUGCUCUCUGAAUUUGAGUUGGUUUUUGGUUGGGUAGAAGAGGCCCCCUUUUAUAGCUGCGGGAAACCAUCUUUUUUCAAGAAACCCUAAUGGUUUCUAUCCAUUUUGGCCAAGCUUUUCCCUUCAUUUCUCUUCUCCUCCCUUGACUUUUCCUAUCUUGGUGAAAUUUCCUCUGCCUAUUUGCACAAAAUUAGAGAUUUUGAGGAGCUCAAGACCCCUUUCCCGCAGCUGCCUCAGUGGAGAAUCCCCAUUUUCAGUCAUCUUUCUUCCUUCUUUUCUCCCAUCUUCCAAGGUUAGGUCUGAUGAGGGAAAGAAAUGGGUAUGCACACUGGUUUGAAGGGUAUUUUUGCUUGAAACUUGUUCUCUCCCAUGUGCUGGAGCUUCCCAGCAACUUACACACAUGGAUAUUUUGGCUUUCAUCGUGGCUUUUGUUUUCAGCUAGGUGCUGGAGAUUUCGCAGAUAUUUUCAUGAGUUGCUUGGGCCUUCUAGGACAAUAGGUUGGUUUAUCAAGUGAAUGGGCUAACUUCAUCAAUUGUUGGGCUAUUUUGGUUGAGUUAAUGGACUAUUUUGGUUGAAGUAAUGGGCUAUUUUGGUUGAAUUAAUGGGCUAUUUUUCUCUCUUUGUGCUCACCCACAUAUUUGGGCCUAAGAAAUGGGCUUGAGUUCCGGGGCUCCCAAGCAACCCCGGGACUUCCAUUUCUCGGCCCAUCAAUGGGCCUCAUAUCAACUUAUUACCAUCCAUAUCACAACCCACUCAAGCAAGCCCUGGGCAUCUUGCGUGGCUUGGGCCCACUUAAGCUUGUAGCGUGACGUGUUGCUUAUUUGCUUGGCAUGGCAUGUGUGCAAGCGCAUAUGACGAACUUUAGCGUGCCCAAAUUGGGUUUAUUCUCGGUAAGGUAUCGCAUUGGGCCGAGAAUUUAAUUGGGCAGAACUGUGGAUUUUUGGGCCUCAACAAUCUUAUAUAUAUUGGUUUUCUUUUUUUCCUUAAUAUUCACCACCUUUCUGUUGCAUAAGUAUUUCAGUCUUAACGGGUUUCCAUCUACCACUCAUCUUUGCUCUUUUAAGUGUAAGCUUUUUUUUUUUUUUUUUAAGCACAAGAUUAGAGGGGAGGGGGAUUUCUCAAUGUAAGCUUUGCAGUUUCAUAAUUAAUAUUUCCAAUAUCUCACUGUUAGUAAAAUAUGGAACAGGAAAAGUAUGAAUAAAAUACACACAUGUUUUAUUUAGCAAAAUUUUGACAAGAUACAACUGAAAAGUUUGGCCACUAUAUAAUAUUUUGAUAUAAUUUCUACACUUCUUCUCAAAAGAUUAGAUCACUUCACAUCUUGUGUAUGUGAAAACUAAUGUAAAAAGUUGAAACUUUAUCGUAAAACCUCGACAAAAAUGAGCUCUACUAGAAAAUGUUCAAUUUGGAUUCGUUGAUUUAAAUGGCAAUUUGACACUUGAUAGAAAUUUUUACAUACAUGUGUUAGUGUUUGAUCACUUCACAUGUUACUUACUAUAUUUAUUCCACUCAAGUUAGGUAAAUAUUAUUAUCAAACAUUUCAAUUAAUUUGUGAUUUUUUUAUUAUUUAAUCAAUUAUGAAUUAAUGGAUUCUUCUUGUUGUUUUGAAGACCAAUAAAAAAAAAAGGGUAAGGAUGGCUUAUAACUCUGAUAAAACAACAGUGACGUGGACAGCAGAUGUUACACCGUACUGAAGAUUUUUGAAGAUUCUUUAUUUGGGUUUCUUUCAAGAUGAAAACCAUAUUAUCCACAACCACAAUGAAGAAGACAGAAAAUGGAGUAAUUCAGAUGUUACCAGCCAUCCACGACAAACUGAAGUCUGCAAAGCAUUCGUAAUCUAAAGGGAGACUUUGGAAAAGCCCAAAGGAGAGAGAAAAUUUUUAAAAGAAGCAAAAAUGGACAAAAUUGCCCUUAUUUAUUUUUUGAUUUCCUAAGAAAUCCUUUACAUUUGCAUGUCUUUGGUUUGAAAGUUGAGAGGUUAUUCUGUCUUUUUUCAAAAAGCUUUGGCUUUUUCCAAAAGUGAAAGUUUUUUUAUGGGUAAAACCUAAAUUUACUUAAUCCCUAAAAAGGAUGGGGAGGCUGCGCAAUACUUAGCCACGUGUAGGCCAGGAGGCUUUCCAAUUUUAAUAUAUAUAUAAAUUGAAAAAAUAAAAUAAAAAUCAAUCUAUUAUCCUAUAUAAAAUAAAGAUUAUUGCUUCCAUGGGCAGUGCUAUGCACAGGACAGUGCCUGCCCAGCACAAAUUUUUUUUAAAUAAAAAAAAAAAAUCUACAUAUGUUAUAAGCUCAUCCAAAAAAAUAAAAUAAAAUAAAAGUAAAUUCUACAUAUAUGUUGCCCAUCUAGGUGGUUCCAUAUCUUCUCUCUCCUUCUCUUUUGGCUAUUAGACUUCUUGUUUCUCUCUCUCUCUUUGCUACCUCACAUCAGCAAGUUUCUCCCUCUCUUUUUUUGGGGUCAAAUUCUUCCUCUAUUGACAAAAUCUUCUAUUAUCUUGGGUGGGCAACUUGGCAACAACAUCUUCUCUUCUCCUUUUGUCAACAACAAGUAUUAUUCUCAUUCUCUCAUUUGCUAUAUAUCUUUAAUUAUAGUUUUAAUUUAAAAUUGAGUAUUCUAGGGUUUAAUUAGGGAUGAAUUAUAAUUUUAGAAUUUUGUUGAAAUUAAUUAAGGCUUCGAUUAGGGGUGAAUUAUUCUACUGCUUUGGUUUGGAAUUUUGUUAAAAUUGAGUAUUAUAGGGUUUAAUUAUGGAUGAAUUAUAAUUUUUGAUUUUGGUAUUAUUGAGAUGUUAUUAUGAGAAUUUGUUUCAUUUUUUUAUUGGUAUAUUUGAUUAAAAUUCUUUCUACAUAUUAUUCAUAGGCUAUCUUUUAUUAUGUCGGAUCACAAUCGGAAUCCCAAGAGAACAAAGAAUUUGAAUAGUGUUGUUUUGUAUUGCAUUGCAUUUACUUUUGGUUUUAGUUUUGCUUUUAGUGUAAAUUACUCAAAUGGUCCUCAAAUUUGUACCCGAUUUACAUUUUGGUCCAUAAACUAAAUUAUUCAUUCAAAUGGUGCACCAACUCUUUAUUAAUCAGUGCUUUGGUCCUACCGUUAUGUUUUCUAUUAAAUUUAGUCAUGUGAGCAGCACAUGCUACAUUUGUAGGGGUAAAUAAGACUUUUGACCACUUUAUCACCUAUGUAUCACCACUUUAUAACCUAUUUGGAGAACAUAGGUCAGUUAUGGACGGUUUUACAAUUAUAUUUGACGGCAACAUUAACAUAAUGUAACAGUGGGAUCAAUGGAGCGAUUAAUAUAGAGUUGAUGGACCGUUUGAACGAAUAAUUUAAUUGAGGGACCAAAACGUAAAUUGAGUAUAAGUUUGAGGACCAUUUGAGUAAUGUACCCUUCGCUUUUAUAUUUGUUGAACUUUUAUUUAUGGAUAGAUAUGCAUUUGAGGGUAAGACCCAUUAUGUUCCCCCUGACUUGGUGUAUCUUUUUAUGUUUAUUAAUGAAAUUCACUCGAACUGUUGAGUUUAGUAUGUAAGUUUUGCCUAACCGGCUUUUGAAUCCUAGAACCGCCACUGUUGCUCCAUCCUCCAUGCACUUGCAUGUGCUCUUACAAAGUGUGAAGUAGAUUUUGUGUGCUCCAAGUCAUUGACUAGAGCUGAAACAUGGUUAGCUAGAUUUAUAAGGACCCAUCUCUCUAUUUCCUAGACAUAUACCCAUCUCUCUAUAAAUCUAUAUGUAAAACUCAAUUUCAAACUUAAAUGACCAGUAAGAUAUAAGAGGUCAUAGUAUUCCUAUGUUUUUACAUCGUUGCCACCAGACUUCUUAUUUUAUUUAUAAUUUAUUUCAAGCAUUUCAUUAACUGCCAUAAUUGUAAUUAAUACUCCAUAUUAAUAGCAUAUCAAUCACCCCAUUUCUUUUGAUUGCCAUUCCCUCUAACAUAUCGCCCCUUAAAAUUGAAAACCAAAAAAAAAAAAAAUGUAAAUUACAUAUCCAAUAAUGUACCUAUGAAAAAUAUAAAUAUAAAUAUAUACGUAUAAAAAUAUAGGUUUAUUAUUUACCAAAUAAAAAAUAUAAAAAAACUAGGUCAGUUGCUUUGUAAUUGAAAUUUCUAUACAUUUUCCACAAAUUAAAAAUAGGUACACAAUAAUUUAUAGAAAAUAUAGGUGCAUUAUUUAUCCAUAGGUAAAAAUACCUAUAAAUGCACAUAGGUAAAUUAUUUACCCAUAUAUUAUUUUUUUGCUAAGGAUUUACCUUAGUUUUUAGUAGAUUAAUUUACCUACCUAGAGGCAUAGGUAGCUUAAAAAAAUUGUAGCACCUUAGUUGGUUGCAUACUAAUUUACCUACCUAGAGGCAUAGGUUGCUAAGAAAAAAUGUAGGUAAAUUCAUGUACCUAAACACAUAGGGGUCAAAUAGAGAAUAACAUGUUAUUUCCCUUCGAACAAAUUAAUUUCAAACCAUAACAAUAAUUGAAUUCGGAAAUUGGUAUAAAUAAAAGGAAAUAAAUAAGCUAUCAAUUUGAAAAUUAAAAUAAGAAAUGAUCAAGUAGUCAUAUUUGAAAAAAAAGAAAAGAAUAUAUUCUUGGUUUUUAUAGGAACAACGUGUAUAUUCAAACCAAAUGGCAGUAACUACACCAAGCUUUAAUUACUUUUUUUUAAGGCCAAAAGUCACUUUUGGUCUCUGUAGUUUGACACUUCUAUUACUUUUGACGCUGUAGUUUCAAUUCCGUCAAUUUUGCCAUUGUAGUUUCAUAUUUGUAGCAAUUCAAGGACAUGUUAAUAUUAAUGUCAAUUUGUUUAAUGAUGCAAGGGGUAAUUUCGUCAUCCCAAAAUCCUUGAGCAUAAAAGCUUGUCUGAAAUUCUCCCCAUUUCAUAUUAGGGCUCGAAAUUCAACCACUAAUCCCAAUUUUUGAAGAACCCUAUACCCAAAUGACCAAUUUCAAGCCCUAAUAACAAAUUAGGGAAGUUUUAGAUGAGCUUUUAUGCUCAAGGAUUUUGAGUUGAAGAAAUUGCCCCUUGCACUGUCAAAGAAAUUGAUAGGAAUACUGACUUGUCCUUGAAUUGCUACAAAUACAAAAAUACAGGGUCAAAAUUAACAGAAUUUAAACUAUAUGGUCAAAAGUGGUUAAAGUGCCAAACUACAAGGACCAAAAGUGACUUUUAGCCUUUUUGUUUAAAUAAGGAAAAAACUUACCUAUUAAAUCCUUGGAAUCUAUACAAAAUUGAAACACAGUUAAUCAGCAUUGAAUUGCAGCUAAUUUCUUAAACAAGGGUAUUAUAGGAAUUUAAAAAGUAUAACAUUUAAUCCAUUGAGCUUGAUUAGGAAUCUUGAUGAGUUGGAUCCUAGUUAUAUAGUUUCUCUUAUAAAAAUCGGGUUUUAUUUAUAGACAAAUAAAACAAUGGGUUGUAGGUAAGAAAAUAUUAAUUUGAAGGGAAAGUGUCACAUCCUGGGAUCGGCUCCGCCGUAGCACGAUAUUGUCCGCUUUGGGCCCCCCUCUCUGCCCGCACGGUUUUGUUUCUGGGAGCUCACGAGCAACUUCCCAGUGGGUCACCCAUCCUGGGAUUGCUCUGGCCCCCAACUCGCUUAACUUCGGAAUUCCUAUGACUCCGAAGCCAGUGAGCUCCCAAAAGGCCUCGUGCUAGAUGGAUGCGGGUGUGUACAUAUAAGACACAUCACCCCCUCUCCGUUGGUUGAUGUGGGAUCUUACAGAAAGAGUCAAAUUUACUAAAUUAAUAAAGCAUAAAUUGGAAAGGGAAAAGAUCUAGAGGAUGCAUUGUAGGAUUGCUCAUGCCAAUAAUUGCACCCUCUCGAUAUUGAAAAACCUAUUGUGUAUUAUUAUCUUCAAUCAUGAAUGAUGCACCUAAAACCCAAGUGUCCCAAGCCAACCAUUGCGCUCAUACCACUUGUUGCAGUACACAUUCACCCGUUUUUAAAGAAAGAAAUUCUACCAAUCGAUAUUGUCUCAAAUUUAAUCACAUAGGUCUAUUAUGGUUAACCAUAUGUACUUUUAUCGGCCAUAUAGAGGUACCUUUUUCCAACGUGCAACAAUUGUAUUUGAUUCACAAUUAUGUCUGAUAUACAUCACAUCAUGCCACUUGCCUCAAAUGAAUUUAAUUGAGUGAGGCAAUGGGAAGUAAUUAAGCUCUAUAUUGGUGGGUGGAGUGUUACUUCUGGAACCCUCAUCAUUCGUCCAUACAAGGGAACAAUUCCCUUCCUUCUAUAAAAUGGUGAAGCCAGUUGCUAUUGUUUGUUAGAGUUUUAGGAUCUGAGUGUUAGAUUUUGUGAGAAGAGAGAAGAGAAUUUAGUGAAAACUUCCAAUACUGCUCUGCUAUACGUGUAGCAGAGAGAACAUUCUGUUUUGUUAUAUAUUUUCAGUACAACAACACACACUUGGUGUGAGAAGAAAAAUGACUGUUAUGCACAGUACCAGCUGGAUGCUUUCCAUCAAAGUAAUCUCAGCCAUUCACUAUCUAACCAAUCAAGCUAUGACACCUGGACUAAGUAUAAAGAAAUACAACUAAGCAGAAAACAAGACUCUUAAUCCUGAAAUCAACUUAAGCACUUAUAAUUCAACACUCCCCUUUAAGUCUUGAGGUGAUUUCACUCCAAGCAUGCCUCUGAGAUAAUUGAAUCUGUCUUUGGCCAGAGGUUUGGUAAAAAUGUCAGCCAAUUGUUCAUUUGUAGGACAAUAUUCCAGAUUGAUUACCCCUUCUUGCAAUGCAUCCUUGAUGAAGUGAUACCUCCUGUCAAUAUGCUUUGUCUUCUGGUGGAAUACAGGGUUUUUAGUGAUUGCAAUUGCUGAGAUAUUAUCACAAUGCAAUGGAGUAGCUUCAGUUUGAAGCUCUCUAAAGUCUUCUAGCACAAAACGGAGCCAAAUAGCUUGAGUAGUAGCCUCAGCUGCACUGAUGUACUCAGCUUCUGCAGUAGACAGUGCAACACAGUUCUGUUUCACUGAGGCCCAAGAAAAUACUCCACUUCCAAAACUAAACGCAUACCCUGAUGUGCUCUUGCAAUCACCAACUGAUCCUCCCCAAUCACUGUCACAGUAACCAACUAGAAUUGAUCUUUUGCCUUUCACAUAUUCAAGACCAUAGUCCAGAGUUCCUUUGAUGUAUCUCAAAACCCUUUUAGCUGUUCCAUAGUGUCUAUUUGUAGGACAGUGCAUGAAUCUAGCUAGCAAGCUUGAGGCAUACAUGAUGUCUGGUCUUGUAGCAGUUAAGUACAGCAAGCUACCAACAAUGCUUCUGUAUUGUUCUUCAUUUGCAGCUCAACUCCCAUCAUCCUUAGCUAGUUUCUCAGUGGCAACAAGGGGUGUUGUCACAGGUUUGCACUCAGUCAAACCAAACUUGCUCAACAAGGUGCUAGCAUAUUUCUUUUGAUGUAGAAAUAUACUAGACUCAGUCUGAAUAACUCCCAUGCCAAGAAAGUGAUGAAGUAAGCCCAAAUCAGUCAUCUCAUACUUAGCCAUCAUGUCUUCUUUGAAUUCAGCCAACAAUGCUUGACUGCUCCCUGUAUACACAAUAUCGUCUACAUAGAUAGACACAAUUAGAAUCUCCUUAUCUCCCCUUACUUUGGUAUAUAAGGUUGUUUCACUUAAGCUUUUCACAAAACCACAUUGAGUGAAGUAGCUGUCUAUCUCUCCAUACCAAGCCCUUGGGGCUUGCUUCAGACCAUAAAGGGCUUUAUGCAAACGAUAAACCUUGUCUUCUUUACCUUUAAUUACAAAACCUUCAGGCUGACUGACAUAAACUUCCUCUUGCAGCACACCAUUAAGGAAAGCAGACUUCACAUCAAGCUGGAACAAUUUCCAAUCCUUUUGAGCAGCUAGAGCAAUAAGUGUUCUAAUGGUGUCCAAUCUGGCUAUAGGUGCAUAAGUCUCAUUAUAAUCCAGUCCAGGCUUCUGAGCAUACCCCUUAGCCACUAAUCUUGCUUUAUUCUUUUGCACUGAGCCAUCCAAAUUCAGCUUUGUCUUGUACACCCACUUAACUCCAAUCACUGGUUUUUCAGUUAGUCUAUCUACCAAUUCCCAUGUUUCAUUCUUUUCAAUCAUCUGCAGUUCAUCUUCCAUAGCCUUAAGCCAAGAUUCAUCCUGAGCAACAUCAGCAUAUUUUUCUGGUUCCAUGAUACACAAGUUACACUGAGCUAGAACAUCAUCUAGCCUUCUCCAUUUUAGAGGGGUGUGAUCAUAAGCUUGAGUUCUCCUUUCUUCACUGCUUAUAUCACCUGGAGUUGAUGAAAUGCUCUCUUGCAUAUCCAAAGUUUGAGGUGUACCAGUAGAAUUCUCAUUAGAACUGUCAGAUUUCAAGUCCAAAUCAACUUGGUUUUCAAUUGAGUAUGUUGUCAUAACUGAACCAUUUUUGUUUGUCCAAUGCCAAGCAUUUUCUUCAUCAAAUGUCACAUCCCUUGAUAGUAAAAGCUUGUUAGAAACAGGAUCAAAAACUCUAUAUCCUUUUUCACAAGUUGCAUAUCCCACAAACACUCCCUUUGUACUCUUAGGAUCCCGCUUGUGUCUCAAUUCAGUUGGCACAUGAACAUAACACAGAGAACCAAACACUUUCAGAUGUGCAAUUCCAGGCUUCCUUCCACUAUAUGCUUCGAAUGGAGUAAUGUUGUUGAGAGCUUUGGUAGGACAUCUGUUCAGCAAAUAGAUAGCUGUAUGCACAGCUUCUGCCCAUAGGAAAUAAGGCAUUCCCUUCUCAUGUAACAUUGAUUUUGCCAUCUCAAUGACAGUUCUAUUCUUCCUCUCAACUACUCCAUUCUGCUGAGGAGUAUAGGCCAUUGUAAGCUGCCUUUGAAUGCCAUUAGCUUCACAAAACUCCAAAAAAUCAGUAGACAUAAACUCUCCACCCCUGUCACUUCUUAUGCACUGAACCUUGUGUCCAGUUUGUAAUUCAGUCAUGGACUUGAACUUCUUGAAACAAAAGAAGGCUUUUGACUUGUUUCUCAAGAAGUAUACCCAAAUCAUUCUUGUGAAAUCAUCUAUAAUCAGCAUGAAAUAUCUGUUCCUUGCAACAGACUCAUUUCUCAUGGGACCACAGAGAUCCACAUGUAUUAGCACUAGUACUUUGCUUGCUCUUUGAGCUUGAUCUUUUGGAAAAACAUUUCUGUGCUGUUUUCCAAAUUGGCACCCGUCACACACACCACUUUGUUCUUCCAAUUUUGGUAAACCAUGUACCAUUUCUUUAUCACUUAGCUGCUUCAAUCCUCCAAAAUGCAGAUGACCAAAUCUCUUGUGCCAAAUCCAUGUGGAUUGAAGAAAACUAGUCUUCAUUAGUAACUGUUUUUCAGCUAGAAAAGAGACAGGAUAGCAUCUGUUACUCUUCAUUUGCACCUUUAUGAUGAGAUAAUCCAUGGAUGGGCUAUCAAAUACCCUGCACAUCCCUUCUCCAAACACUAGACAGUACCCAUGUUCAUCCAUCUGCCCAACACUUAGCAGAUUUUCUUUCAAUCCUGGCAGAUACAUUACUUCUCUGAUGUAUUUCCUGCCCUUUGCUGUAUCAAUACUCAGUGAGCCAAUACCAGCUACACUCACUAAUGCACCAGUUGGCAUUUGUACUCUCCCAGCUACAUUAGUUCUCACAUCAACCAGCAAAUCUAAAUUUCCUGUCAUAUGAUUGCUGCAGCCACUGUCAAUGUACCAUUCAUUGGUUUUGAUCUCAGUGGUUGAGCAAUUGGCAUAAAACAGGUUUCCUGUAACCUCCAUUUGAUUUACACAAUUAGCCUUCUGCACAUUUUUGCUCACUGUACAGUCUCUAGCAAGAUGUCCAACUCUGUCACAGUUAUAGCAUUUUGGUUUUCCCUUAUACCUGCACUCACCAAAAUGAUGCUUUGAACACACCUUGCAUUGAGGCUUUGUGUUUUCCUGAUUUGAGAACUGUGUUGAAGUGUGGUUCUGUGCAGAAUAAUUAUUCUGCUGUGUCUUGUCUUUUGCCUCCCAUGACUUCCCUUUAGAGUUCCAGCUUCUCUGUGACUUAGAUGAACCAGACUGAGAAGCAUUUUUGUUCUGACCCUUUGAAUUCACAGUGAAUGAGGCAAAUGCCUUCUCAGCUGUAUCAACACUAUGCAUUUCAAGCCUUUGCUCCCGACUCUUCAAAAUGGCAGUUACUUCCUGCAAAUCCACAGUUUCUAGUGUCUUUGUGUUUUCAAUCACAAUGCAUAUAGGGUCAUACUUCUUACUUAGACUAAUUAACACCUUCUGAACCUACCUCUCAUUUGACAGAACUUCACCAAAUGUUUUCAUUUGGUUAAUCAAUUCAGUUAGUCUAGUAAGAUAUUCAGAUAAGGUUUCACUAUCACGCAUCCUACUGUAUUCAAACUCACGUCUAAGGUUUUGAAGCUUUACCGAUCUAACAUGCUCUCCACCAUGAUAUUCUGAGUACAGCAGAUUCCAAGCCAUCUUUGCAGAGUCAGCAUUGGCAAUUCUGGGAAAAAUCUGAUCAGAAACAGCAUUUUGAAUGAUACCCAAGGCCUUCGCAUCCUUCAUGAGAAUCGCAGCUGUUUUCUCAUCAACUUCUUCUUCUGAACCAUCCUCAGAUUCCUGCUUCGUCUUUGAAUCUGGGAUUAAAAACCCCUUCUCUACCAAACCCCAUAAACCAUAUGAUCUGAAUAUGGUUACCAUCUUAAUCCUCCAAAAUUCAUAGUUCUCACCUGAGAAAAUGGGGAUUCUAGCCUCUGAACUUCCAGAUCCAGCCAUUACGAAUUUCAGAUUCGCCUGGAAACAAGAUGUUUUCAGAUUUGACCCUUGAUCGAGCUCAAUCAGCUUCGUGAGCUUAGAAUGAGCUCACCUCGAUCGAUUUUCUUCACAGAACAACGCCCAGCUUCAGAUAAUCAAACUUGGCUCUGAGGCCAUGUUAGAGUUUUAGGAUCUGAGUGUUAGAUAUUGUGAGAAGAGAGAAGAGAAUUUAGUGAAAAUUUCCAAUACUGCUCUGCUAUACGUGUAGCAGAGAGAACAUUCUCUUUUGCUAUAUAUUUUCAGUACAACAACACACACUUGGUGUGAGAAGAAAAAUGACUGUUAUGCACAGUACCAGCUGGAUGCUUUCCAUCAAAGUAAUCUCAGCCAUUCACUAUCUAACCAAUCAAGCUAUGACACCUGGACUAAGUAUAAAGAAAUACAACUAAGCAGAAAACAAGACUCUUAAUCCUGAAAUCAACUUAAGCACUUAUAAUUCAACAUUGUUACCAUAAGAGCCAGCUCCGACUUUCUUUAAUUUCAGUCCUAACGGGGUUUCAUCUUCCACUCAUCUUUGCUCUUCUCAGUGUAAGCUCUGCAAUUUGAUUAACUUUCCCAUUAUCUCUCACUGUACUCUAUAUAAAGGAAUAAGUGUCGUCCACUAAUUAAUUACACUUUGUGAGAUUUGAUUUUAAUUAGAGUUCGAAUUGAUGUUGCAGCUAGCAGCGGUGGCACUGGCAAACCAUGCUGCUCAACCAGCACCUCAACUUUACUGGAACUCCGUCCUGCCAAACACACAAAUGCCAAGAGCUAUCAGUGAACUUCUGCAUCCUGGUUUGUGUUGAAUAAAUAUAGUAUGUUACUGGAGUACGUAUGGCAACAUAUUCACAAAUGUGUCACGUAUUUUCCAAUAUGACGUUGAUAUAUAAUUGCAGACUCCACAAACGAAGAAAAGAGCACAAAUGUCAUGAAUGCUGUUGGGAAUGGAAAGCCAAUUGACCACAAGGGCAACCUGAAAAUACUGUACUACCACAGCUUGCACGACGCCCAUUUUCUUACAAGAGUGAUGAUCGUCCCACUGACAAUCAACUCCAUUAUAAAAACGUAGCUAUUUUCUUCUUGGAGAAGGACAUGCGCCCUGGCACAACAAUGAGCUUCCAAUUCCCUAGAAAUUCAAACACGGCUACUUUCCUGCCACCAGAAAGAGCUCAAUCGAUCCCCUUCUCCUCUAACAAACUACCAGAAAUUUUCAACCAUUUUUCAGUGAAGCCAACAUCUGUGGAAGCCAAAACAAUUAAGCAAACAAUCGAAGAGUGUGAGGCUCCAGGCAUUAAGGGAGAGGAAAUAUAUUGCGCCACAUCUUUAGAAUCAAUGGUUGAUUUUAGCACUUCGAAUUUUCGAACAAGAAACGUUCAAGCAAUCUCGACAGAGGUAUUGGAAAAAGGUGCCACCAUGUCCAUGCACAAGCAUACAACAAUGCCGGGACUGAAGAAGUUGGCAGGUGACAAAGUCGUUGUGUGUCAUAAGCAGAACUAUCCCUAUGCUGUGUUUUACUGCCAUGUAAUAAAACCAACAGCAGCUUAUGUUCUCUCCCUGAAAGGCGAUGAUGGGGUGAAGAUUAAAGCAGUAGCCAUCUGCCAUCUAGACACAUCAGAAUGGAACCCAAAGCAUUUGGCCUUCCAAAUCCUCAAAGUUAAGCCCGGAACAAUUCCCAUCUGCCAUUUCCUUCCCACUGAUCAUAGUGUCUGGGUUCCGAACCACAAAUCUGCAUGAUCAUCACUUAGCACUGUACGUAUAAUAAGCUUGCACCCCUGUAUAAUUAUCUCCCUACUCUACUUAUUUCUGCCUCUUCAUGUGGUGUAAGAUAUAUGAUGAGAUGAAGUUUUUGGGAUUAGUGGUCGGGUUGCCUUAAAAACACAGAUUACAGAAACUGCUUGAACUUAACCCGAUCAUGUUUUCUCUUGUACUCGUAAAGCAUGCUGUUGUGGUUCUACUUAAUUUCGUUCUCCCCAAUGUUUGAGUGUUUAAUUGUUACGUUGGAUAAUGCUUGUAGUUAGAGAAGCCUUCAUUUAUAUCAAAGUCCUCAACUUGUAAAGAUAUCAAUGGUCCUAGUGCUGCCACGUGUAAGAAGAUUGAAGAAUAAAGCUGUUGAGAUAUUGUUAGACCUGUUAUGCAGUUUAGGAAAACUGUUAGUAUUGAUAAGAGAAGGUUAGAGAUGUUAGAGAGGUUAGAAAACACGUGAACAAGGCUUUAACUCAGCUGAUAUAAAGUCUGUAGUUGUGCUCAGUUGAACUUAAUGAGAAAUACAACAAGUCUCUUCUCUAUCUCUGAAAUUCUCUCUGCUCUCUCUGCUUUACUUCUUUUGUCUCUGCUCUACAUUUUUUUUCAAUCUUCCUAUCUUAACAAAACUAUCAAGAAUUAAUGCAUCCAGAAACAUAUAUACCAAGACGCAAAACAACAUAUUUUUCAUGCUCUGUCUGUAACACCAAAGCAAACUUCCUUUAUCACAAAAGGAUCAAAUUCCAGUACUAAUCUAAUCCAUCAUGUAAAGCAUACAAUCUACAAGUGCCUCCCUUAAUUUGUCCAUUGGAUAUAUAUGUCACUUUUUGGUAAUUUGGUAUAGCAGCACCACGUAGUCUUGAAAUAGUAGUGCGGCUAUACCAAAUAUACCAUUUGCCCCUGCAUUUAACAGAAAAGUAAACAAAAUUGACGGUAGAACUAUUUGUCCUAACGAAACUGCAGUUGAAAGACCAUGAGAACGAUUUUGAAAAUUGAGGGACUCAAAUGAAAAUUGGGUCUAAGUUCAAGAACCAAUAAAACGAUUAACCCAUAGAUUUUGGAUCCAGUACCACAUCCCAAAGAGAAAACCACAAGUUUGCAAGCAAGUUUGUCCAUAAUAACACUACGUACAGUAUGGGCAGUGCGCUAGACUCAUCUCACUUUCUCAACCUAUCCUAUAGUUGUCUAAAAGAGUUUCUAAUUUAAUGUACUGAGAUUUACGAAAGAAAUAUCAGAGAAACAAUUUUCAGGCAAUAAAAAAAUGUCUUGGCAAGAAAAUGUACAAUUUGUUACAUAACUUAUUAAAUAUGAACAGUUGAAAGAAAAAAGAAUCUGGAUGAGGGAUUUGCAAAUUCCUAUGGCCCAAUUACCUUUUUUUCUUUGUUGUUUUUUUUUUUUUUUUUUUGGUUCUUUUGAUCCAGUAGCAUAUUCCAAAGAAUGAAAACCACAGGCAUGCAAUGCAAGCUCUUUUCCCACGUUUUCCUCUGUUUUUCUCCUAUCAUGGAAGUGAUUAAAACACACCUCUAAGCUUGUUUUGCGUUUGGUAGCCGAGUGUAAAAGCUCAAUGCAAGAUAGUUUGAGGUAGAAUUUUCUCCUAUUUUAUUAGGACAAUGAUAAUUAAAAAAAAGUGUGAUUCAUUGAAUAUUUGCGGGGUUUUGUUCAGACCUGACAAAGUUCUAAGUCAACACAUCAAAUUCCUUUUUCCAACAUGCAACAAUUGUAUUUGAUUCCCAAUUUUUUCUGAUAUACAUCACAUCAUGCCACUUGCAUCAAAUGAAUUUAAUUGAGUGAGGCAAUGGGAAGUAAUUAAGCUCUGUAUUCGUGGGUGGAGUGUUACUUCUGGAACCCUAAUAAUUCGUCCCUACAGGACUCUAGAACUCUCAAACUUCUUACAAGGACUACUUAACUCUAUAGCUUAAUGCAUAUAGCAUAUAUAUGCAAACACAAUUAGAAAUUCUACAACAGAAGCAAGAUCAAUCUCACUAUGCCUUCUAAACAAACAAACAAAUAAAACAAGCAUAUUAAUUGCUUUAAUCACUCUACUAACAUCAACACAGCACACUUAGUUUACUAACAGAUGAUAUAGAAAGGAAAAAAAAGGACCAAUAGGGAGAAAAUGGUGAACUAAGGAGAGACUAAUACUUCUGGUCCUUAGAAGGCAUAACAGAAAUAAUAGAGCACACUGCUUGAAUGCAAGUCAGUAUUAGGAGCAAAACAGCUGCAAUGAAAGAAAUAGUUGCCCAAGGUGUAUUGAAAUAAUGUUGCCUCAAAUUUGCCUUCCAUUUGUUCCAAGGCUUUCUGCAGUAGCUAUUAAGGCGCUCAGAAAGAAUAGCAAAGUAGAAGCUUUCACGAUACACUGCAAUUCCUUUUCCGAGGUUGUUAAUCAGAGUGCACACCUCAUUGUAGUCACCAAGCAUAUUUUUGACAAUCCCAUCCUUCAGAAGGAACUCCACAUCCUUUUCGGUGUUCACAAACUCAUCCAUGAGUGAAACAUAAUCACUUAUGUAAUUCUUACGGCAAUGGCACUAUUCAAAGGCAAUGAGGUUACGGAGUGUGAGCUCUGUGUAAUCGUGUAUUUUUAGUUUUGGAAUUUCUAGAAUCCCAUCGUUGAAUUGUGUUAACGCAGCUUUCCUUUCCUAGCCUACACGGAAGUCAACUUCACAAUCUCCUCCUAGCAAUUAGUCUUUCCUGCUGUAAAUCAGAUUUCCUACUGUAAAUCGGAUUGUAUUCAUGUCUAUAUUAUUUCCUACUUUAAGUAGAUAUCUUGUACUAGUAUAAAUAGGGACUUUGUGUAAUCUGUUAAAUACAAGGAAAUAUAUACUCUGCAUGGUAUCAGCCUAACCUAGGGUUCUCUCUCUCUCCCUUAUUCGAUCCUCUUCUCCUUUAGGUCCACCUCAUGGCUUUGUCUGAAUCCACCAUCUCCCUCCCAAGCCCCAACUCUUCUAUUUUAUCAAGCUUAUUGACUCCAACUAUCUUCUUUGGCUCCGCCAACUCAAACCCUUUUUAGUCGGCCAUGACCUCUGGAAAUUUAUCGAUGGCAUUCAUAAACAACCUUCUGCCCACACCUCCACCUCUACCACCGCAACACCCACAACCACCACCACUCUUACCCAAAUCAAUCAUGCCCAUGCUCAGUGGUACCAACAAGACCAACUCAUUGUUAGCUACAUCACCAAUACACUCUCUGAGUCCAUUCUCUUUCUCACUGUUGGUUGCACCUCUGCCCGGGAUCUCUGGGAGUGUCUCCAACGCCACUUCUCUCAAUCCAGUAUGGCCAGUGAAUCUACUCUUCGUUUUAAACUCAUGGAUUUGCAAAAAGGCUCUGAACCCACUUAUGCUUACAUUCGUCAUGCUAAGUCCUUUGCCGAUUCACUGGCUGCCAUCAAUGAACCUGUCUCCCCAAAAGAACUUGUCACUACUGUGCUUUGGGGUUUAAGACCCUAUUGCAACAUCCUCGUCACAGCAAUUCUCAAUUUCCCUCUGCUUCCUAACUUUGCUAAUCUUCGUGCUCGUUUGUUAGCAUUUGACGCACAGACUCCUUGAAUCUCUCCUGAUCAAAACACAGCGCAAAUGGCCACCCAAUCCUCUCCUCACACCACCGGUCAUACUUCCUUCCCUUCUCACCGUGGUGGUGGCUCUUCCAACAACAGGCGUGGUGGCCUCGGUGGCUGGCGCAAUAGCGGCCGGGGUGGCUGGCGCAGCUUCUCAUCUUCCUGGAGCAACCCGUGGAAUGGCUUCCAGCAGCUCCAAUGACCUAAUCAACCAUGGCCUCCUUUUGCUCCAAGUUCUGGAUCUCAAAGCAACUGGCCUUCCUUUCAGCCUCCUUGGGCCUAAUCUGCCGCUUCUAUCAAACACUUUGCCCGGCCCAACUCAGCUCCUGGUGUCUUGGGACCCGCUUGGUGCACUACCUGCAAUACCAAUCACAUACUACUACAAUAUGUCCUCAUCGCUACAAUGGCCCAGAAUCCUUUCUUUGCUAGGGCUCAAUUCAUGUAGCCACCUGACUCUACUUGGUACCCUGACACAAGUACCACUCAUCAUAUGAUUGGUAGUCCUUCUAAUCUCCAAAAUCAAUCCUUCUAAUCUCCAAAAUCAACAGCCAUAUCAGGUUCAUAAUUCUGUAUUUCUUGGUAAUGGAGAUUCUCUCCCUAUCUCUCAUACUAGCUCUCUCUUUUGUCUUCCAUCUCUUCGUACUAAUCUUCUUUUUGUUGCCCAUUUUACUUGUGAUAAUUUAGUUUUCUUUGUCUUUACUCUUGACUUUUAUCAAAUCUAUGACUUAUGUACUGGUUCGUUACUCUUUCAGGGCCCUUCUAAAGAUGGUCUUUACCCACUUUCCAUCUCCUCUCACUCAUCCAUAGUCCCCCAUGCCCUUACCACCGUGCACUCUCCUGCUUGGCAUCAUUGCCUUGGCCAUCCAUUCCAUCGUGUGCUCUCUCAUUUAGCGCCAUCUCUAGGCUUUAAAGUUUCUCAUGCUUUCUGUAAGGAUUGUGCACUUAGCAAAUCCACCAAACUGUCAUUUCUUAGUAAUAAAACCUUUGCCCCAUCUCCCUUUUAUUUAAUUCACUCUGAUGUAUGGAUGUCCUCGGUCAUUUCUGUCACUGGUUAUCGCUAUUAUGUCUUGUUUACAGAUGACUUUUCUCGUUACUCCUGGAUCUAUCAUAUGCACCGUAAAAAUGAGGUCUUUUCUCACUUUCAAACCUUUCUUGCUAUGGUUAAAAAUCAAUUUCACACCACUGUACAAAUUCUUUAAAGUGACAAUGGCACUGAAUAUGUUAAUAAUGCUUUCUCUGAUCUUUGCAGUCAACUAGGCAUCCACCAACGUUUCACAUGUCCCCACACUCCCCAACAAAAUGGCCUAGCUGAACAUAAACACAGACACAUUGCCACCAUGAUCUGUCCCCGGUCAUUUAUUCAACCAUCUUGACCUUUUGCUUGAUCAUUUUCCACAAGCAACCGUCCACGUACCCCAAUAAUUUAAAAGGGCUGAUGAUCUUUAAUUUGGUGAAAGCUUCUAUCUACCUACCGUGCUAUAUAUGAGCUAUGCAAUCGUGACCGUGUUACAUGACGUCCCAAUGUCGUAGGGAUAAAAAAAUAAUAGUCAUGGUUUUCUUAUUAAUGUCAAUACAUUCAUAGCAAAGAGCUUGUAGCUCUAGUGGUUAAGAGCAAUUACCCAUGCACUUGAGAUAUUUUGUGUUUAAAUCCCCUCUUCCCCAAUAUUUCUUGUAUAAAAAUAAAAAUAACAAUAAUAAUGACAUUAAUGUUGUAUUCUAUAAAGUGUUGGACAUGUUUUAUACCCCUUUCUUGCAAAUUACAGUUUGCCACGUGUACAAAAAUAAUAGAUAAGUGUUGGACAUCAAGAGCACUUACAUAUAGGUUUAAUAGGUAAGUUUUGAAUAUUUCUGUAUUUAGCUUUAAAUAUUGAAAAUCAACCUAUUAGCAUAUUAAAGAUUUGUCCAUAUUCGACGUACAUUCUCUUAUUUUUCUCUCAUUGAAGUAAAUACAAAACUAAGCACAUAGUGGGAAAGUGCGUCACGAUUAGGGGUGGGUUUAGUCUAGGUUGGUUCAUUUUUGGGCUCAAUUUGAACACCGAACUGUAAGCUUCGGUUUGGCUAUUUUGGAAACCGAAACCAAACCAUAAUUGAUGAAAACCGACCACUUCGAUUACCUUCUGGUCUUCCAACCAGAAGAAAACUCAAAACUUUAACCAUACCAAGUGCAACAGAAUUACACCAGGCUGGAUUCAAGUUUAUGAUGGUUAAAGAUAAAAACUUAUUUGACAUACAAUUUGAGAAUGGAAUCCUCAAAAUUCCACACCUGCGAAUACGGGGUUUAACAGAAAUUUUCUUCCGCAAUCUUAUUGCCUAUGAGCAGUGUGAGCUUCAUGAUCAUUACAUCAACGACUAUGUCUUCAUCAUGGACCGCCUGGUCGACAGUGCCAGGGAUGUGGAAUUGCUUGUGAAGAGUGGAAUUCUUGAAUCUAUGCUACCGGACAGCGAGGCAGCAGGGGAAUUUAUUAAUUCUCUUGACUUGGGGCCUAUUUUAGGCAAGCUUGAAACAAGACUAUUUCAGUUCACCAUGGGCUGGCCUGUCUAUUAUUGUAGCCGCUAUACUAGUUGUGCUCACAUUUAUUCAAACAGUGUGCUCCGUAAUGGCGCUGUAGGUUCUUCAUUUCCUCAAUUUCAUGUUUAGUGGUUGCAGAUUUGUUGCUCAUGUACGUGUUUAUCUAAAGUUAAAUAAGAGUGAUUGACUGGAUUGACUGUUAGUCUGUUAGUUUGUUUUUCUGGGGUUUUUCCCCCCUGUUCGUCAAAAAAAAAAAUAAAAGAGUGAUGGCUUGUGCCUAUGAAAAUUACUUAGGAGUAUGCUCCACAGAGCCAAAAUAAAUAAACUAGGGAAGUGGAGGUUCUUCUGUUUGUAUAUAAAUGAGCAAUUCAAACUCUCAGUGCCAAGGGAGUUACCCUUGAUACAUUUGUUAAAAAUUAUAUAUUUGGUCUUACAUCAAACAAAUAAUUUGAAGGGCUUUUUUGACAACUGCUGACAGCGUUUGGCAGAAAAGUUUAGAAGCGCUUCUACGCUUCUAGAUCAUAAAAGUGCUUUACCAAAAAGCACUUAGAUUUCUUAUGAAAAUUUCAACAUUUUUAUAAUAAAAGCGCUUGCUAGAAGCACUUAUAAGCAGAAGUGCUUCAUAGAGAAGCAGUCCCAAACGAGCUUGAUUUUCAAAUGUGCUGCUUAAGAAGAAAUUUAAUACGUUUUGAAAACAAAAAAAAAUACGAAAUUUAAUACGUUUGUUUUACAAAUUGUAUUAAUUGUUAUCAAUAAUACUUGUGCACACCCACAACAUACUUCUUUCUUUCUUUAUUUUCCUUCAGUACAGUUCUGCCUUUCUUUAAUUAUUUUUAACGAAUGCAAAGAGUUUGUCACAAAAUCAAGGAUUGAAAAAAAAAGAGAGUAAAUUAUGUGCUAGAGAAACUUUCCUGCAGAAAUUGAAGAACAACUCUAGUUUCUCUCUUUCGCCUUGUACUCCCGCACUGAGGUUAGUAUUGUUAUAAUGUGCAGAUUAUACGGUCACUCUUGUAUAAUGGCGAGAAGGCUCUAAUUAUAUUUUUGAACCUCUUUGACAGGACCCGCCCCGAAUUUCCCGAAACCCAAGACGAAUUCUGUGGAAAUUCCCUACAUCACCCCGAUGUUGGGCCCACUUCUAAAACUAUAUCAUUUUUCCUAAAAAGGAAUAAGGGCACGAGACUUUCUACCGAAAUUUCGGCAGAGUCUCUCCUGUAAAUUGAACAUUUCCCAAAAUUUCAACCUGCAUAAAACACAUUUUAUAUUACCCAACUGGCAGCAUGCACAAAAUAAUAACAUGCAAUUCACAUAAACGGCCUCUGGCCCUCCGGUAAUUCAGAGCAAUGCAAACUAGCAACUCUAAACCUAAUAAAACAACAUAAGUAACAUUUAGCCAGCGGCUGCACCCAGGCACUACCCUAGGCUACCUACGUACCCUUACUAAGGGAUCAAGCCACACGUAGUUCUUUCAUACAAAAUUUCCAAAUCCAUCAACAUGCAAUCAAUUACAGAAUCCCAAACAAAAUCUUUCUCAAACAUCAUUAGUUCCCAACUCAGUAUAAUAAUCCUUAAUUCAUCUCUGUAAUAAUCACAAUAUCUCCCCAUACGCCGGAACUACCAACACCACGUAUGGAGCCUGCCUGUACGCCAGAUAACCAACGACACGUGGGACCUCAUCAUCAUAUCACAUAAUCUCCCCAUACGCCGAAACUACCAACACCACGUAUGGGGUCUGUCAACACGCCGGAUAACCUACGACGUGUGACCUCAACAUCAAAUCACAAUAUCUCCCCAUACACCGGAACUACCUACGCCACGUAUGGGGUCUGUCCACAUGCCGGAUAACCUACGACACGUGGGACCUCAUCAUCAUAUCACAUAAUAUAUUAACGAUCAAGAAAUAUCACUACGGUCAUUUAAUCCUCCUGGGAAGGUAAAACUAUCUCAGGAGACUCACGGUCAACCAAGGGUCAAACUACCUCAUACUUGGACAAACGAGCCCACGGAGCCCACAACCUCCGUUUUACUAUCCAAGAGUUCCUAUAGGUUCUACAAGGUUUAGGAUACACGGCUUGCAAGUUUGGUCAAGAUCAGACGGUCGGAUCGCUCACGAUAGGACGGUUACUGCAAACCUAGCCCUAGGGUUGGCAUUUUCGGAGUAUCCGAAACUCCGUUUUACGAUCUGUCGAAUCAUAGACGAUCCUAAGGAUUUGCAGACUAACUAUAAUAAAUUCAAGACCAUCCAACGGUCUAAACCUAUCGAACCCGGAUAACGCGCAAUAGGCAAUAUCCAAAUUGAAAUCCGAGCACACCUACGCACUCGUGAGGACUAGGAGAUUACAUCGGGACAUAGUGCCCUUUUUCUACAGUGCCCAUGAGCCGCCGCACGCACCAGCAACGCGUGGGUGCCCAAAGCGAUUAUGCAUCGCCAAAAAAUCUCAAAACCACGGCUCAAGACUCCUACCCUAGGUAUAACACCCUAUUUGGAACCACUUUUGUUCUUGGACCUACCCCAAAAACUGAUCAGAAGUGGCCGGAAUGGCUGAAAUGUAAUUCAAAAAUCAAGCUACCAACGCUCAAAAUCGAUGCAAUCCUACCCAACCAUCAACUAGAUUAUGAAGAAUGGAUAAAUUUCCAUACCUUGAUCGCCAACAAUGGCGGCCGGAGGAGAGAGAUCUGAUCCGGCGAAGUUCGAGUGAAAACGGCCAAAAAUCAUCUUUUUCAGGCGGCUGGAGGGCGACCGAUGUCAGGGAAGGGCAGGGUCGUGACGCUAAGGCUGAGCCUGUCCUUUUGGCACCGGUCCCUUCCGCAGCCGUGUCCGGUGGCUGGAGUUUCGAAGAGAGAGAGAGAGAGAGAGAGAGAGAGAGAGAGAGAAAUCUGAUUUUUAUCAAACCUUUUUGCCAAAAUUACGGUUAUGCCACUGAGGGUAUUUUGAUAGUAUCUCUCUCGUUACAACUUCGAUUCGAGCCCACCACGUGUGUACGGACUCAUCUAACUGUGUUGUACGCAACGGUAUAGUCGAAAUUCCCAAAUUAUUUCCUUGUCAAAAAGUCAACUUUAAACAUUAUAAAAUAUUUUAGGGAAAAAAUGGUAUUUUCUCUCAAUAAAUUAGUAACUAAUUUAUUUAGGACUGGGUCAUUAUACUCUUUUUCGCUUCAAUGGAUGGGAAAAAAUUUUAUGUAAUAUCCCACAUCGACCAACGAAGAGGGGGCGAUGUGUCUUAUAUGUACAUGCCCGCCUCCAUCUAGCAUAAGGCCUUUUGGAAGCUCACUGGCUUCAGAGUCAUGGGAACUCCGAAGUUAAGCGAGUUGGGGGCUAGAGCAAUCCCAGGAUGAGUAACCCACUGGGAAGUUGCUCGUGAGCUUCGAGAAACAAAACCGUGAGGGCAGAGAGAGGGGCCCAAAGCGGACAAUAAGGCCUCGUGCUAGAUGGAGGCGGGCAUGUACAUAUAAGGCACAUCACUCUCUCUCCGUUGGUCGAUGUGGAAUGUUAGAAUGGAAUUGUUACCUUUGGUGUGGAGGUGUUCUAUCAUUUGAGCAAGAAAUUCCCACAUAUUCUUCAACUAUUUUUCAAGCAUGCAUAUUCCUCCCUAUCAAUCUUUGGUUUCUUCCUUUACUGUGCAUAGUAAGGAUCCAGUCAGGGACGGACCGUCGCUAUGACUAUCCUGGGCUAUAGCCCAGGCAAAUUAUUUUUUUUUCUAGUCUAAAAUAGCAAUCCCACCGCUUGCUGUAGUACUUGUUCAGUUCGUCACAAACAUGAGCAUAAUAGAAGUUAUCAACAUCUAUAUAGGAACCCCAAUGAAAAGGCUGUUAACUAAUAAUGAAGUUAACCCGUCAAUUUUUCCGCAUAUCAGAUAUCUCUCAGAAUAUGCGAUUCCAUAUUCAAUAAGCCACUCCACAUGCCCUGAGGUUUUCAUCAAACCACCCAUUAAGGAAACAUACUGACUCAUGUAAUUAUCAUUACUCAUCGGGUAAUGCAAUUGUUCAAAGGCAAGGACAUUUCUCAUUAUUUAUGUAGCGAACCCCAAUGGAAAUGGUGGGAUCUUCAGAACCCCAUCGGUGCUACUGAAUUGUAUGUCAAAUAUGUUUUCACCUUGUCACGCCUCAAACUUGACUCCAGCGUGCUGUAAUUCUGUCAAGCUGGGUAUGGAUGAUGGGAGUUUGAUGCAGGAGCAUAGGGGUGGAUCAAGAUAGAUAUUUACUAUUUAAUUAGUUAUUUCAUGAUAUAUUGUUAUUUUCUUAUUUAGGUAGUUUUAUGAUAUCUUUUAUUAUUUAUGUGUGAUUUUAUAAUUAAUUAGUAUACUUUUGGACCAAGUAGCCUUGGUGCUCAAGUCUUGUAAAGCCUAUAAAUAAGGCUAAUGUAAUAGUUGUAGAAUAGAUGUCGAUGAUUAAUAAAAUCGUUUAUUUGUGGCAUGGAUUUGCUACGAUAUAUGUGAGUUUGCACUAGCCCUAGAUUUCAGUGCUCGUGUAUGUGGUUGGUGACCUGUGUCCGGAUCCCGAUCCCCAUCAAUUGGUAUCAGAGCUAUGGCUCAAGAUCUGCUAUAUCGGGGAGGUUUUUGGAUGGAGGGUCGUUUUAACAACUACAACGACAUGGAGGAAAUUAGGAGGAUGCUACGGCAACUUAUGGAACACAUUGCUCGCAUUGAAGCUCGAACCCAGAUAGGUAAGAGUUCUGACGGGGAGGGAUGUGUGAACCCUUAUCUGAACCGAGUAGCUCGCAUCGACACUCUAAGCCGUGAGAGUCUCGACGGGGAGUACGAGGGAGAUAGCCCUUUUCAUUAUUGUGCUCCGCUGUGUGAGUCAAGUGAAGAGGGGCACGGUUAUUCUCAUUGUGUCUUUGAAGGUAUAAAUGAAUUUAGUAAUUUUGGUGCAUCUUGUUAUUCAUCAAAGUUAUUAAAUUUGGAUUUACCUCCAUUAUUUGAUCCUUGCAAUUGUGAAAAUUGCAAUAAAAAUUGUUUGGGUGUUCAAAGCAAUUUUGAUAAGCAAUUUAUUGACCAGAACAGUGAAGAGAUGAGAAUUGAGAAAACUUUCGAAGAUAUUAUUGAUUUUAUGGGCAUUAAUAUUUUCACUUGGAAGGUUGCCAAAAAUCUGGUUGAUUUUGUCAAUCGGUUGAAGAUUCUAGAGAGAAACAUUUGCAUUGCUAGAGGGAGUAAGAAGUCAAGAAUAACGAAAUAUUCCAAAUAUCUUUUUAUUUGGAAAGGAAGGUUUCAAUUGGAUGCUAAAAGAUCCAAAAUUAAUAUGCAGCAAUUGAAGAUUCUACUCGGAUUUUCCUUAAUCAAAGGCUUGAAUUCGAGGACGAAUUCUUUCCAACUAUGGGAGUCUGAUGCAGGAGCAUAGGGGUGGAUCAAGAUAGAUAUUUACUAUUUAAUUUGUUAUUUCAUGAUAUAUUGUUAUUUUCUUAUUUAGGUAGUUUUAUGAUAUCUUUUAUUAUUUAUGUGUGAUUUUAUAAUUAAUUAGUUUACUUUUGGACCAAGUAGCCUUGGUGCUCAAGUCUUGUAAAGCCUAUAAAUAAGGCUAAUGUAAUAGUUGUAGAAUAGAUGUCGAUGAUUAAUAAAAUCGUUUAUUUGUGGCAUGGAUUUGCUACAAUAUAUGUGAGUUUGCACUAACCCUUGAUUUCGGUGCUCGUGUAUGUGGUUGGUGACCUGUGUCCGGAUCCCGAUCCCCAUCAGAGUUCCCCUCCAGCUUUUGAUUCCAACGGUUGAUAGAGUUUAAAUAUUUUCCUGAAAAGAUCAAUAAUAUGUGCCACUGAUCUAAAAGUCUCCAAAUUGUCUUCCAAUUUGUCAACAGGCAAUAGAUGUUCGAAGAAACUGAAAGAAAUACAAAUUAUUGAAAGCCCCUCAGUAAUGCUGUUAUUGUCAGCAUUAGCAGGGAGUGUAAUUUUCUGUGGGUCGAAAAGAUCCUCGAGAAUGAAGAAUGGCAACUGAUUUUCAAGCAACCACGUAUCUGUCCAUGCAUCUUGCAACAUACCUGGUUUGUCAAAUAUGCGGUCAUUUUCGUCCCAAAAUUUGAAGUAGUCCUUCAAUAAGGGCUCAAUAACGAAGGCGGCGCCCACUAGAAUGAUUGUUACAAAUUCAUCACUGCUAAACUUGAUGGGUUCUCCAUAACAACGUCUCAAUCUUGCUUCGUGGUCCUUUAUUUUCUUAAUAUAAUCCUCCAAACUCACAUUGGUCCGACCUAUAAAAUCUUGCAGGUAUCUCUGUUUGUUCUCUUCCAAUACGACAUUCAAGCCUUCCUUUCCAUGGUGAAGUGGACCUAUAGAGACCGACUGCCUGAGGUGUGCAGAGCUUUUCAUUCACACAUACGUAGAUAAAAUGUCUGGGGGCUCAGAGAGUGAUGAAUGUGCAACAGCUAAUGGGAGGGUUUAUAUUCCUGAAGUAAGAAAUGAGGAAACACCAGCAGUUGGGAUGAAGUUUGACUCGCUUGACCUCGUUUACAAUUUCUAUAAUAGAUAUGCAUUCUUGGCUGGCUUUGGUAUUCGACUUCAUUCUAGCUUUUGGGGGAAAAAUAAGAAAGAGAUUUUGAGGAAAGAAUUUGUAUGUUGCAAACAAGGUGCAUACAAGAAGGAUGAAACUCGGGAGAGAAAAAGACAACGGGGAAUAAGUAGAUGCAAUUGCAAAGCAAAGAUUGUGGUUGUGAAGACAAAUGGGAGCAAGAAGUAUACCAUUUCUCUUUUUGCAGAGGGACACAAUCAUAAGAUGACACCCUCAGAAAGAAUGCAUUUAUUGAGAUCACACCGUCAUAUUUCAGAUUCUACAAAAGUACUCACAAAACAGUUGGGUUCAGUUAAUAUUCCCAUUCAUCAGAAGGUAAGUAUAUUCGAGGUGCAAUCCGGAGGAAUGGAUAAAAUCGGUUUUAUCAAAAAAGAUAUCUACAAUCUUGAAUGUAGUGUGAAUGGGAAGCUGAGGAACCACGAUGUUGAACUAGUGACCGAGUAUUUUAUGGCUGAACAGAAAAAAAAUGAGGCUUUUUAUUUCAAGAUUGAGGGAGAUGGGCAUGACAGGUUUAGUCGAUGUUUUUGGGCAGAUGCAACUUCUAGACGGGCGUAUGGGUUUUAUGGAGAUGUUGUUGUAUUCGAUACCACAUUCAACACGAAUCGAUACGACUUGACAUUUGCACCAAUGUUGGGAGUUAAUAACCAUGGUCAGACAAUUGUCUUAGCAUGCGCAUUUUUGAGCAAGGAAACGACUGAGUCGUUUGUUUGGAUGUUUGAGGAGUUUAAGAAAGCCAUGCCAGGUGGGGAACCUAAAACGAUCAUUACAGAUCAAGAUGCGGCAAUGGCCAUAGCGAUUUCAAUAGCCUUCCCGAGUACAUUUCAUCGACUUUGCAUAUGGCACAUCACAUCAAAGUUCUCUGUUAAGUUACCACGUGACGCUUAUAAGGAGUAUUGGCCUGAAUUUCAGAAAGCCAUAUGGGAUACUGACAAUAAGGAUGAGUUUGAUGCAAAAUGGAAUAUUGUGGUUAUAAAGGCUGGUUUGACUGACCAUCCAUGGCUAAGUUCAAUGUUUGAUUUAAGGGAAUCUUGGGUUCCAGCCUACGCACGACAAUUUUUUGCCGCUGGAAUGUCAAGCAGCCAAAGAGCGGAAGGUUCUCAUGGUUUUUUCAAGCAAUACAUAUCAAGGAGAAAUUCGUUGAUGGAUUUCAUAAUACGAUUUGAGAGGGCAUUUUCUCAUCAACGUGAAAAAGAGUUAGUUGCUGAUCACGUAGAUGCAUUUGAAGUGGCUCAAUGUCUUCUACCGAUGCCAAUGAACAAACAAAUGGCUACCUUGUACACAAGGACAAUGUUUCAAAAGUUUGAGCAAGAACUAAUACAAAGUACAGCAUGUUUCCUAGAGCUCAAAACAGAGGAUGCAUGUAAAGUUGUGUUCAACGUGAGCGAAAGGAAAAAUUGGGAAACAAGAGUGGCAGAAGUCGUAUAUGUCAAAGAUUCUGACCACGCAUCGUGUAGCUGCAAAAGAUUUGAAUUUGUUGGAAUUAUUUGCAAGCACAUCCUAGCAUUGUUCAGAAGGGACCAGAUUGAAUAUAUGCCCGAUAAAUAUAUUUUGAAGAGGUGGAAGAAAACUGCGAAAUGUGGAUUGGUGUCAGAUGCAAAUGGCAACGAAAUUAAAGACUGUGCAGAUCCUGGCCUUCUAAUAAAGCGGAGUACAAUGUCUCGACUUGCUUCAAAUGUGGUUGAGGAUGCAUUAAUGAGUGAAGAAGGAUGUGAGCUACUGUCAGAGACUCUAAAAAGUUUGCAGGUGAAGUUGAAGUUGCUGAAGGAUGGACCAAGUAAUAACGAAGUUGGAGGGUCCAGCUCUCAAACACAAUAUAUGAAAGACCCUAAGAGAGUGAGGUGCAAAGGAAGGUCGAAAGGAAUAACGGGAGCAAAGGAAAAGGCAAUGAAGCGAGGGAUUAGACACUGUCGGGAGUGUGGACACAUUGGUCAUGAUAGAAGACAAUGCCCAGCCUUGAACACACCGUAAGAUGCUACCACUAUUUGUAAUAAUAUCUAAAAUAUGAAAAGGUAAAAUUUUUAUGUGCUUGUGUUUGAUGUUUAUGCAGGACAUCACCGUCGAACAAUGACAAAUCAACUCCAAUACAUCGUAGUGACCCAUUAUUCGACGAUUUUGACAAGAUGCACAGACCAACUGAAUGAUUGAUAUUUGUAUUAGACGAAAUGUGGUUGUUAUGAAGAUUAAUGAUCAAGUGAAGUUUUAUAGAUUCAGUUUUUGAAUGUUAUUGUGUUUUUGUUCAUGUCCACCGAUGAGCUCUUACUAUGUCCACUGGUAAUUGAAAUGAAAAUUUUCUUGGUUUCAUUCUUCCAAGACAUUUGGAGACAUGUUAAUUUUACGUCUUCUCCCUAUUUAUAAAUUUUCAUAGACAUUUGAUCAAGUUUGAAAUUUGUAGUUAUGUGAAGAAGCAAUGACUCUUACCAUGUAAAAUGGGCAGUUUAGGGUGAAAUUUGUUUUAACAGAGAUUCAUUUUUCAAUUCCUCAGGGUAAUGCAGCAAUUACAGCAGCCAGCUGUUGUUUCCAUUACCAGUAAUCAUUUCCAGCAGCAGCCACUUUUUCCGACUGGUUAUUAGGGGCACGAUUUUGUACACUUUUGUAAGUGAAGGAUACUCGAAGCACUUUGUUGGAACAGAGCAAAUAGAAACCAGCGGGUAAAAAAAAAACAUAACAUUGCAGCUAAUUACAUUUCGAUACAUAGGUGAAAAAUAUUAAAGGGUACACUAACUUACAUAAAUACUCAUAAUUCCACACACAAAAGAACAUUUGAUUGCAAAACAUAUUAUGUGCUUCCUCAUAGCAAUACCACGAUCUCCCCAACCAACUGAACAACGGUAGCCACAAUCACUGGGUCGUACUCGUCAGCUUCUUCUUAGCAGGUCUCACAUGCUUAUGGCCACUCAUAUCCCUAGUGAUAUACACGAAAUAAAUCUUCAGCAAUAUUUGGAAUUUUAUUAUAUAUAAAUAAACCAUAAACCAUUCAGUAAACAAUGUAUAGCACAUGUUAUGUAACUUAUGACUCACGUGUCAGUUUUUUUUUUAACACAUUAGUACUCCAGCUCUUUAAUGUAAAUGGACAUGAUAAGGAGCAUUUACUGAUUCCCGGCUUUCUAUGAUAUUGACUGCUUCUUGAAUAAUAUUUCCAUAUUUGCAAAAUAUAAUGUUAGACAUUAUAACACAUGAUGACUUGCAAUACAUAGUCCCAAUAAUUAUAUAUCAAGCAAAUGAAACUGAUAUUUGUGUUAUUUUAAGUUAGAUAAUGACAUUAAGGGAGUAUAUGUGCAAUACCACGGUCACCCUCAACCAACUGAACAGCGGUAGCCGCAAUCACUUAGUCGUAUCGGUCGGCUUCUUCCGAGCAGCUUUGACGUGCUUAUGCUCAUUCAUGUCACCCCCAUCGUCUAGUAUCUCUCUCACAGCAUCAGGGGACACAUAGUUCCAAUCAUAACUUGUAUGAGUAGUUGCCGCAAAUGCUCGGAAUUUGUCGAAUCCUUCGUUGAAUGCCAACUCCAGUUCAGUAUGGUGCUCUUCGCAUCGCAUAUGGUUCAUCAAACAACCUUUGAUUUCAUCAUUCAUUACUGUAUCCAACUCCUCAGCUUUCAGCUUCCUGCUAUGACUCAGCUUCAAGUACUUGUUCUUUUGGGAUAACGCUUUGUUCACCCUAAUGUUAAGAUCAGCCAAAAUUGCCUCGUCUUCAACACAUUUCUCGUGCCAUGAAUUGAUCAGUCUGGAAUUAUAAUCCAGCUUGCCACUGACUGCAUGUAUUGCCUGUAAUGGAUCAUCGGAGUCCCCCUCACUCCCAAAUGAUGUUGAAAAAGGAAGGGGUCGGCGAGUACAAUGUGGAAAUAGAACCUGCCACUCCAAUUUGUCAUCUUCGAUUGUGUUGUUGGCGCCUGAAGAGGUUGACAUGCUUGAAUAAUCCUCUUUGUUUUGGGAGGAUGAGGAUUGCAUAUGCAAUUUCGUUUGAGAAAGGGAACAUAGGUUUAUAGACCAACAUACCAAAGCUUGUGUGUAGUCAACAUAUGUACUUUUUGGCGGGAAUUUUUUAAAAAUAGGUGUUAGGUUUUGCUUUUCAAGCAUGUCAACCUCACACUCUCCUGACACCACUGCUAGUGGUUGAAACAAAGUCAAUGGAAGUGACAUCUACUUAGUUAACUCAACCAAACUAGUUAGGAUUAAACUUAGAUUGUAUCAGACCAAAAAAUAAUUUCUACUUUGUCAACCAAAUAUUUUUUGGCGGGAACCCUUUUCUUGGUAUUACUAUCACCCCUUUCAUAUAAAAUCUCCUUCCACACAAAACUCACUCCUCCACCGAAUCUGUCUCCAUCUACCGAUACUCUCUCAAGCAAACAAACUCAUUCCCCCCAAAGAAUGAGCAUAAGCACAACCAAGUUUGAUGUGAGCAUAAUAAACACCCCUCCAAACAAAGACCGGCUUCGACACGCAAGUGAGUCACCGGACAAGCAAUGUCACAUUGCUAGACAGAAUGACCAUUUUGUUGGAAGUUUUGAGUCUGAAAGAGUUGUUGCUUUUUGGAAGGAGAGGCAUCUUCAACUUGGUGAUGAAAUCCAAAGGGCAAGGGCACGUUUGGAAUUUGUGGAAGGCCAAAUUGAAGAUGACAAAAGGCAGGCCAAUCUGGAUAGGGCGAAGUUGUAGCGCAUGAAGCGUAGACACAAACGACUUCGGAGUGUAGCUGUUCAAAAAUACAAGAACUCAUCUAAUGUAGUGGAGUCAAAGAAGCGUGUGAUGCAAGCUGGAUUCGACUACUUCCGAUCCUAUGCAAAACUCGUCGUACCCGGGUUUGAUUGGUCAUCUAUUACCGUUUCCGACGUCACCAAAUAUACUCAGCAAGGGAAGUAACCAUUUUGGUUCUCGUGUUUUAGCAGAGGCAAAUAAGUGGAAUUGGAAUUUUGGUUACACUCUGCUUCAAAGCUAUUUUGAUGCUAACUACUAUGGAAGAUUUAAACCUUAAUAUUUUGAUGUCUUUAAUUACGAAAACAGAAGAUGCAAAGAGCUCAUCUACUUCAGCCAUAUGUUGCUGCCAUGUCCAUUUGUUUUUGAUCACUUAUCAGAUUUGGACAUGGUUGCAUCAUAUGCAAUGUUGCCUUUAUUUAUUAUAUGUUAGGACAAGGUUUAUGGAAAAGCUUUUGUGAGUGCGUUUGUGACAAGGUUAUGGAAUUAUUAUGUACACUUUAUAUAUUGUUUUUUGUACUGGUUCAUUUCCUACUAUUUCUUGCUUUCUUUAUAUUUUAUGUUUGUGGAAUCCCUCUCAAAGUUAACAUAUACUGUGAAAAAAAUAUUAUGCAACUGAUUAUAUAAUCACUCAUAUAGACUAGGACAAAUAUUCACUAAGGGUUUUAAACUUGCUUCACUUGUGUGAUGUUAUUGACAAAAAGUAUGGCAUUAUUUAUGUGAUUUGACAUGAUUGAAAAUAUAUUACUGAUUCCCAAUGCGGCGUCAUAUGGACAACGUAUUGAAUACCUGUGACGUGUUAAUAACUCAAGGUGCAGUUGCAUGUGGACAACUUCUUGAAUACCUCUGACGUGUUGAAAACUCUAGGUGCAGUUGCAUGUGGACAACUUAUUGAAUACGAACUGACGUCUUCAAAGCUCUAGGCGUAGUUGCAAUGAUGGCUUCAAAGCAUGUGCAAUUAUUUUUUAUGUACAUUAUUAUAACAAAACAUAUUAUUGUAUAUAGUGAAACUAAAUAUUGUAUUAUUAGAAAUUAUAUUUCGAAUAUUAUCCGAAAUAUACGUGUUAACGUGAAUUUGGGUUAAGAGGAAAGUGAGUUAUGUACAAAUAAUUUUCAUUUUCUCAUUUUCCGGGCAUUUUUUGGAUUUUCGUAGAAUUUAUUACCUAUGUCCACAGAUUGUUGCACUAAAAAAGCCAAAAUAAUAGCAAGAGGACACCUGGAGCGAUCUCAGCCCGUCACUGAUGACUACUUGCACAAGUGUACGUCAGUCAACAUGGCCACACCCUCCCAUUUUACCCUAAAUUAUUAUUUUAUUACUUUUCCUUACAAAAAUCAGAACUAAUUACACACAAAAUAAAAAAAUUAUCCGAAAAUUGCUACGAACUCAUUGACACUCCAUCUCCGUUGCUGAAUUCUCCGAUUCAUUGUUACGUAUUUGUAAAAUUAAUUCCCAACAUUAACGGGAGAUGCUUGUUGAAGUAGGUUAUUCAAGUUGAAGUUAACAAACAUCAAUACUUAGGGUUAAGAGGAAAGUGAGUUAUGUAACACAAUUUGGAUUAUUUCAUUGCGAGACGAAUGAUUUAUAGGUUCUCCUAGUUUUAUGACGUCACAAGUAGGCCGGAGUAAUUUUUGGGGCAUUUUUACGAUUUUCCUACUAUUUUUUACCUAGUUUCAAAGAUUUUUGAACAAAAGAAUCCAAAAUGUAAAAGAAGAUGACACCUGGCGCGAUCUCAGCCCGUCACUUUUCACUACUUGCACAAGUGUACGUCAGUCAACAUGGCCACAUCCUCUCAUUUUACCCUAAAUUAUUAUUUUAUUACGUUUUGUCUUGGAAAAUUCAUAACUAAAUACACAAAAAUUCAAAAUUAUUUCUGAAAAUUGCUACGAACUCAUUGACACUCCAUCUCCGUUGCUGAAUUCUCCGAUUCAUUGUUACGCAUUUUUAAAAUUAAUUCCCAACAUUAACGGGAGAUGCUUGUUGAAGUAGGUUAUUCAAGUUGAAGUUAACAAACAUCAAUACUUAGGGUUAAGAGGAAAGUGAGUUAUGUAACACAAUUUGGAUUAUUUCAUUGUGAGACGAAUGAUUUAUAGGUUCUCCUAGUUUUAUGACGUCACAAGUAGGCCGGAGUAAUUUUUGGGCCAUUUUUACGAUUUUCCUACUAUUUAUUACCUAGUUUCAAAGAUUUUUGAACAAAAGAAUCCAAAAUUAACAAGAAUAUGACACCUGGCGCGAUCUCAGCCAGUCACUUUUGACUACUUGCACAAGUGUACGUUACCGAACAUGGCCACAUCCUCCCAUUUUACCCUAAAUUAUUAUUUUAUUACCUUUUUUCUUGGAAAAUUCAUAACUAAAUACACAAAAAUUAGAAAAACGAUCCGAAAAUUUCUACGAACUUAUUGCGAUUUCAUCUUCCUACUGCAUUCCCUGUUUAAUGGUUAUGCUACAUUAGUAUUUUAUUAUUAUUUAUCCACAAUUAUUAUAAUUAUUAUGAUAUUACUUUUUAGGCUGUCCAUUUGUUAAUUAUACCACAUCCAACUUGUUGAAAACAAUUUUAUUUUCCGUGCGAAUAGGCCAUUUGUAGUGCUUAUCGGUUUCUCUGUUCUUCAAUUUGUUAAUUUUUUUAUUUUUUAGGUUGAAGGGAUGUUUUGAAACAUAAUAUGGAAAUAUACAAGUCAUCCAUUGUACUCCUUCCACACAAAAAAAUAGUCUACGUCAUUCACUGUUCAACACCCUAGGUUAAGACACGUGUAACCAAAUCCGUUCGGAUAUGCUAAGUGGGAAAAUGUCAUUCCCAAGCACUGGUGAAAAGACACUUAUUUACUCCAUGCAUGACUUUUGGUUUACCAAAUAUGAAGAUUGGGGUCGGUGAGCAAAAUAUCUGUGUCAGUAAAAUGUCAUUCCUAGCCAUCUAUGAUGUAAGUAAUAAUUCCGCUAUAUAAUAAAUAUUAUACAUUUAUAUAUAAAACGGUUUAUGACAAAAUACCAACAUUUGAACAACAUUUAAACUGAGAUAGGUAUAACGUAGCCAGCCAACCUAGAAGUGAAGAGAAGCAAGUCCACAAUGCAUCAAAACUGUAAAUUCGUACUAAAACUAAUGCAAAAAUACGUGAUUCCCUCGCACAACUUACUCACGCAGGAUUUUGCACCAAAAAAUACUCUCACGGUGCCAUUUGCAUCGGUUGCAGCAAGUCCAAAACGCAGGAUUUAUCUUGUCUUCACUAGGCCACCCUGGAAUAACAAAAUACCAUUCAUUGUUGUUACAAGCGCUGCACCGAUUGAACUUAAUCUUCCCAUAGUCAAACAUAUCUACGAUAUGUCUUGCAACAAAUGCUCCGCGACAUCUUCCUGUUAAAGCAUCCCUGGUUCCUUUCAUAUCAAUGUUGUUACGUUGAUUCAAAGAACACAAGAAUUGUAAUGCAUCCUCUUUUGACUGACCAAUUCCGGACAUACCAAGUAGUCCAACUACAUAUGCCGCUUCCAUAUGGCCUGCCGUGGCUGCAAUGCGCAUCCCAUACAACGCUUCCACCUUACCGUCUGUGAAAAAACCUUCGAAUGCUUCUCUAAAUAUGGACUCAGGGUUAUCGCAAGCCCUGCAUUGUUGCAAGAAAUGCUGGACUGCAGGUUUGGCACGGUAGCAGAUAGGAUGGUGUGGGUACUUUGCCAUUGAAAUGGUGUUCCACACUUGUGGACUGUUUGCCAAAAUGUUGAACAAUCGGCACACACAUGCCAUACGGAAGAGAUCUUCCGAUGAUUCGGUUGCCACGUAUAACAUCACUUGAAACCAAGCGGACUCCGGGAUAAAGGCUUCGGGCAUAUCGAAAUGGAGAUGCUUCCUUCUCUUUCCUCCGACUGUAGUGAAGUGUUUCGAAUUCAUUGAAAAGUUUUUGGAAUGGAACGAUUUGAGGAGUGGCAGAGGGGAUAAAUGAUAAUAUUUGGGGUACACGUUCUACUUCCGAGCCUCUGUUUAUAGUGUUUUGAAAAGGUGUUUCCAGUUGGGGUUUUUCCAAGUUGACCCUUUUGAAAGAAACUGAAUCCAAGUGAAUUAAAACUUAAGACAAAAGAAGGGAAAACGUCAUAACGGUGCAUACAGAGUCAGACAGUUAAAAAGUUAAUUAAAUGGCUAUUUGCAUAGCCAUUUUUGGGUUUAUCCCACUAUCAAAUUCAUUGAUACAAAUGUGAUGGAUUACUGACUAGUGACAGAAGGUCCCAUCAUAUACUUUUUCAUUUUCGCACACCCAACUAUCCCUAGUAAUGUUAUUAAAAUGGAACCAAUAAUGACGGAUUCUUAUCCAACUAGUUGCCUUAAUGAAAUAUAAAUAAAUUAAUAAAAUUGAAGCAGUGUCCCGUCAUUAGUCAGAAAAUAUAUUUGGUAGUGAAGUAGUUUCUAUUGCUUUUCGGGCUAAAAGAUGUCACAAUGCUGACGGUACAGGUGUCGACAUCGUGACCAACCCACCAAAUGAUCCCAAAAAAAAGUAAUAUAACUCGAUUUGGGCAGAGAUGAGAGAGAGCUGAGUGACAAGUUUAGGGUUAUGAGUGAAGGGGUAUGAAUGACAACUAUGAGUGAGAAGGUAUGAGUCCGAAGAGGUUUCAGUGAGAAGAUUUGAGUGAGAAGAGGUACAACUGAGAAGAUUCAACAUGUCUUCGUCUUCAUCUCCUGCUCAAACAAAGAGGUGUCAGUAUUGUGGAGCUACAAUGGUGCUUCGGGUUUCAAAAUCUGAAAAAAAAUCGAGGGAAGCCAUUCUGGAAGUGUCUAACCUCCUAUGUAAGUUUUAAUUUAAAGAAUAUGUAUGUGGGUGAAAAAAAACCUAUGUCUAACUCUGACAGAAUUAUAUUCCAUAUAUGAUGCCUGCAAUUAGGGAGCCACCAGUUGCAAUGGAUUCGAAUGGGUUGAUGUAACCUCCGCUGAAGCAGAACAUCAAGAUGACACGUAUGAUGUUAGAGUGCUGAACAUGCUGAAGUCCAUUAAGGACUUGGUAUUAGUUUUAUUAGUUGUAUUAAUUGUCAUUUUAUUUGUUCUUUUAAUGAUCAUUUAACUGCACGGUUUAAAAGAUUGUGAAAGUUCUCUCGCACAAGACAUAUUGCACGCACCACCAAUGAGACCCUAAACCCAUUUUGUAAUAUUUGGUAACUGCAUGUAUUUCGCAUGUUAUUGAAUGUUUAUUGAAGGUUUAUUGAUAGUUUGCUGCAUGUAUAUGGAAUAUCAUUGCCCCAAAAUUGGAUGUUUAUUGGGGCCACAAGUAUCACUCAAGUAAGAAUGAAGGGGAGAAACGGACCUUAUUCUUUCUUAUAGUAGGAAGAACAACUGUUAAGUUUAAUAUCCUAUUCAAUACGACUUCCCUAUGGUUGGUGUACUUGGGGACUGAAGUAUAUUGCAUCAUUAUUGUGGGCAAGGGCAUGUCUAUUGUGUGUGUUAAGGGAGUAUUGUGUGGGCAAGGGCAUGUCUACUGUGUGUAUAUUGCAUGUCUACUGUGUGUAUAUUGCAUAUCUAUUCUCUGUAUAUGGCAGGCCAAGUUUGUGUAUAUUGUUUGUCUGUUGUGUGUGUAUUGCUUGUCGGUGCGUUUGUGAAUUGUGGUUCAUUUUGUGUAUAUUGUCUUUGUUUCUACUUUUAUGCUACUGAGCUGCGGAAAACCUCGCAUGUUUAGACACCUAUUAUGAUGCAACACAUUGCGAUUAAUGGUGGCUUGCAUCAACAAUGACAUAUCACUUUGCAAUGAUGUAAUACACUUAAAAAGCCGUCUUCAAAUCCCAAUUCACAUAUGCAGUCUUAAAAUUCUAAUUCAAUGCAGUUUGGUUAACAAACAUGUAAAUGUCAUGAAGGAGUUAGCGGUAGAAUUCGAUAAGGACCCGUACGUCUCUAUUGUGUAUUUACAUUAGUUUGAGAAUGGACAUUCCCAAAACCUUCUCAUGUACCAUUUGUCAUCUUCAACCAAUAUCAUGGGAAGUAAGCAUCUCCCCUUGUUAUCUCCGCAGCCAAUUUCAACCGAAAAAAAGGCAUGUUGUGCGAGGUGCAAGUAGCUAACGGAAGCUUAGCGCUGAAAAGCUCAAUGUACUUUAACACAAACAUGCCACAAUCGCCUCUGAAGCAAAACAAGAACUCGAUCAAUUCAACUAAUGACAUUCUAAUGUAAUUGACAAUUGAAAGUAAUAAAAUUAAAUUGCAAGUUGUGCUUACUCAUUAGACUGUUGUGGAACAUCCACACGCUCUAUUGGCCACGGACACCACCAAUCUCGGCUGCAAUUGUUUGCAUAAACACCUUCUUCAUAAAAGUCGAUGGUGUUGAGAAGAUUUGGAAGCGUAAUUGAUAGCGGGCCGAGUUCUUCCUUUACGAUGUCAUCUGGAAUUAGUGAAACCUUUGAAUCGUACACUUUGAUUCACACAAUACCAGAUCAAACANNNNNNNNNNNNNNNNNNNNNNNNNNNNNNNNNNNNNNNNNNNNNNNNNNNNNNNNNNNNNNNNNNNNNNNNNNNNNNNNNNNNNNNNNNNNNNNNNNNNNNNNNNNNNNNNNNNNNNNNNNNNNNNNNNNNNNNNNNNNNNNNNNNNNNNNNNNNNNNNNNNNNNNNNNNNNNNNNNNNNNNNNNNNNNNNNNNNNNNNNNNNNNNNNNNNNNNNNNNNNNNNNNNNNNNNNNNNNNNNNNNNNNNNNNNNNNNNNNNNNNNNNNNNNNNNNNNNNNNNNNNNNNNNNNNNNNNNNNNNNNNNNNNNNNNNNNNNNNNNNNNNNNNNNNNNNNNNNNNNNNNNNNNNNNNNNNNNNNNNNNNNNNNNNNNNNNNNNNNNNNNNNNNNNNNNNNNNNNNNNNNNNNNNNNNNNNNNNNNNNNNNNNNNNNNNNNNNNNNNNNNNNNNNNNNNNNNNNNNNNNNNNNNNNNNNNNNNNNNNNNNNNNNNNNNNNNNNNNNNNNNNNNNNNNNNNNNNNNNNNNNNNNNNNNNNNNNNNNNNNNNNNNNNNNNNNNNNNNNNNNNNNNNNNNNNNNNNNNNNNNNNNNNNNNNNNNNNNNNNNNNNNNNNNNNNNNNNNNNNNNNNNNNNNNNNNNNNNNNNNNNNNNNNNNNNNNNNNNNNNNNNNNNNNNNNNNNNNNNNNNNNNNNNNNNNNNNNNNNNNNNNNNNNNNNNNNNNNNNNNNNNNNNNNNNNNNNNNNNNNNNNNNNNNNNNNNNNNNNNNNNNNNNNNNNNNNNNNNNNNNNNNNNNNNNNNNNNNNNNNNNNNNNNNNNNNNNNNNNNNNNNNNNNNNNNNNNNNNNNNNNNNNNNNNNNNNNNNNNNNNNNNNNNNNNNNNNNNNNNNNNNNNNNNNNNNNNNNNNNNNNNNNNNNNNNNNNNNNNNNNNNNNNNNNNNNNNNNNNNNNNNNNNNNNNNNNNNNNNNNNNNNNNNNNNNNNNNNNNNNNNNNNNNNNNNNNNNNNNNNNNNNNNNNNNNNNNNNNNNNNNNNNNNNNNNNNNNNNNNNNNNNNNNNNNNNNNNNNNNNNNNNNNNNNNNNNNNNNNNNNNNNNNNNNNNNNNNNNNNNNNNNNNNNNNNNNNNNNNNNNNNNNNNNNNNNNNNNNNNNNNNNNNNNNNNNNNNNNNNNNNNNNNNNNNNNNNNNNNNNNNNNNNNNNNNNNNNNUUUUCCUCUCCCUCAUCUCUAUUAUUUGGCCCUUCACCCCCUUCAAUCCCUUCAUCUUCUUUUUCCUCUCCCUCAUUUCUGUUACUUGGCCCUUCAUCCCAUUGAAUGUCAUCCAUUUCCCCAUAUCCCUUAAAUAGAUGUGAGACGACACAACGAUUCGUCCUCUGUUUCAGUAAAGCUAGGUCCCUCCUUACUUCCUGCUCAAACUGAGGACCUAAACAUUGGUCCAAUAGUUUUUCCAUCCGUAUGACCUUUAAGUGAAGGACGUCUUUUUCCCGCUUUUCUUGAAACAACUCGGACCUCAACAAGCUUACCACCUUGUUCAACUCAUCAAGAUCACCACAUGAAGAAGGAAUUGACUCUGCCGAGACAACAGCAGGGCGAUCCUGUGGCCAACUCCAAUAUGGCUGUCUCAUUUCCUCUUCACUUAGACAUAGCGCCCGCAACUGAACUGACUGUUUCAGAAUACAGACAAGAGUCAUAUUAAAUCAUUCUACUUCAUAAUUUCAUUCAAUCUUAUCAAUAGUUCUAAGGGCUGCAAACCAAACCUCUUUGCUCUGGAAAAAAUAAUUGUUCAACUUUCUCAUCUCUGGAACAGACGUAGUAGUUCUCCAUCGCAAAAUACGCGGGACAGCGGUCGGAUCAACAACCUUGCAGUAAUUCAGGUCCGCCAUUCUAGGAAUUAAUUCAUAUACCCAAAUCUACACAAUUCACAGGACAAAAGUCAUUAUUUAUGUUUUAAAGAAAAACAAAACAUAACUGACAUGAACAUUAUUACCAUGUACCUGGAAAGCAUACGUGAAACCUUUAAAACUCCAGCCACUCCUUUGCGCUUCACUAUGCUUAUCCUUCUUGCCCUUCUCAUUUCUCCGGCUUGUUCCCGUUACCUUACUUUUCCCCUUCCCUCUUCCCUCUUCAUUUUCCAAGCUUUUCACAUACUUUGUUGGUGCAGAAAAUAGACUGUCUUGGGUUUUGUCAAAGGACACCGAACCCCACGGAUACCUGUUGAACGCAUCCAAGUCCUCUACAAGGGUCAGGUAAUUUAGAUUGAUGUUCAAAUGUUUGUCCCUUCCCAAAACCACUAACUCAGCAAAGUAAACAAGAGGUAGCUUGAAGAUGUCAUCUUCCUCUGUGCACCUCACAAAUGCUUCUUCUAAAGCAUUGCAUGUAAUUCCUUCGUCUAUAAAAUAUCUUUUCUGAAGUCUGAUUUCAUUACUCUCUCCACUGGAAACUUCAGGCACUUCCCCAAAACGAAGCCCUGUGAUCAAACAGAAAUCCUGACGAGUGAACUGAGCAACGUCACACCCUAAUAAGAAACUCAGUCCAUCCAAGUCUUUCACACCCUGCCCCGCUACUCUACGCAACACAACCCCAUGCACAAUCUGUCCGCUAAACUGAAUCUUAUCUAUAUUCAGAAGAUGGCCAAAGCAUGAUGUCUUGAAUUGUUCUAAUUGUUCCGCACUCAACUUCGCUCGAAUUGCAGCUAGAGAUGAAUUUGCAUGUGAGCAGUUGUUCACCCGUGAUGAAUAUACCUCUGCCUCUGGCCAUACCAGCUCCACGUUGGAUCCCAUUUCCUCAAAUACAAUGUGAAAUAACGUGAACAUAUAUACUACCACGUAUUUGCACAAUCACAACUAGUCAACCAGGCACAUUACAACUUUUACAAAGUACAUGAGCAUAUGGAUUACUCAUCACAGGCUUUAACAUCAUCAAAGCAAUAUGACAAUUUUUGUGCAAAUACCUGUUAAUGCAAUGAUUAUGUGAAUUACAAACAAUUUCACGUGUUUUAUUUAUGGAUCCAUACUCGUGUGAGUGCAAUGUAGGCAAGUUCUGCACUUCACACACAUGACAAUUAUUGUCAUCUCAUACACAACCCAAAAUAAAUAAAUAAGAAAUAUAGUGGAAGGAAGCAAAGCAAAGCAUGUACUCUGCUAUCUGCUUGCUAAGCAAUUGCCACAUCCUUCUUUCUUUCUACCUUUUUCUUCAGUCACCCACAAUCGUCAUAGAUCAACCUUCAUUUCAAAUGCUUUGCACUUUUAUUCAUGAGUUUAUUAUUAUCUGUUCUCAUUUCUCAUAGGCAAAUUUAGUAACAAAUGAAAUAAUAUUUAUUUCACAAAAUAUAUAAAUUCUAGUGCCAGAGAGGUACUCUUCACUCUGCACUGCUUCAAAUGUGGAAGGUUUUGAGAUGUUAUUGACAUGUGAUUGACUUUAUUUUCAUUCGUUUUUUAACAUAUACCCAAGCAAAAAUUAACAUGCAAUUGAAGCACAAAUAAGAGAUGCCAAAUCCAACAACAUUGAUGGUACAAAUUGGGGAAAACCAUUACUCUAACCCUAAACUCAAAUUCCUUACAUUACUCAUCAAAUGCUUUGCAGUUCUAUUCAUGAGUUUAUUAUUAUCUGUUCAAAUGUUUCUCAGGCAAAUUUAGUAACAAAGGAAAUCAUAUUUACUUCAUAAAAUAUAUAUAUAUAUAUAUAUAUUCUAGCGCCUCUUCUUAAUCUGCACUAUGCACUGCUUCAAAUGUGGAAGGUUUUGAGGGCCUCCUCCAAUUCAACACCAUUAUCUUAUUCAUAUCAUUAUUGACAUGUUAUUCACUUGUUAUUGACUUCAUUUUCAUUCUUUUUUUAACAUAUACCUAAGCAAAAAUUAACAUGCAACUGAAGCACAACGAAGAGAUGCCAAAUCCAACAAAAUUUAUGGUACAAAUUGGGGAAAACCAUUACUCUAACCCUAAACUCAAAUUCCAUAAAUUACUCACCAAAUGCUGGUUAUUGCAAGGUGUCUGUGUGGGGUCUUUCUGUUUCUUUGCUCCACAAAUGGAACCUACCACUUCCAACGAAUACAGCUUUUCCCCUUCCCCUUCCACUGCUUCGCCUCUUCACUGAUUUGGAAUCCACACCUUUGCCCCUUCUACUCCAAAUAAAUACUUUCUCGGGGUCUGGAGAACGGAGUGGCGAAUCGUUGCCUUCAACUGUCGUUAGCCGUUGCCUUCAUUGGGUAUCUCAGACCUCUGUGUUUUAGAGAGAUGAGUUCUUUCUGUUCAAACUUCGAACUUGCCUCUUCUUCUUCUUUUUCGGACGUGUUUCCCUCUUCUUCUUCUUUUUGGACGUGCUGGAUAUUCAAUUCGGGUUUGGGUUCCUUACCUACCCAAUUGUGAAACUUUAACUCAAUUCUCCCCAGCCCUUGGAUUAAUCUGAUGGCUAUAAAGUGAACCCCUUAUAACUUACCCCUUAUAACUUUCCACUCAUUAUAGUCUUGGCCAGGUAUGGCGGCCAUGCUAGUAAGUGUUGGGUCUUUGACCCAACUUAAGCUAAAUGGGUCAUAAGAUGACCGAUCAUCUUAUCUCAUAAGGAUAUAUAAGUCAUGUUAUGAUUUAGGAUUUUAUAGGGUUUCCUUUGUAAGAGGUAAGAGAGAAACAAGCUCUCUCUCUCUCUACACAAGGAGGUCAGCCAUAGCAAGGGAAAGGCUCCUAGCACUCUCCUCUCUCUUAUUAUAUCAUCCUUCCAAGGACAGCUUUGGUAUGGUAAAGUUGGAGGUUGCACACUUUGUGCACUUUGGUAAGAACUCAUCCAAGGGAGCCAAGAUUAAAUUGGUUAGCUGUUGGAUUAAAUUGGUUAGCACGAUUCAACGGUUAAUAGAUAAAACUUCACAUAAAAGUCAUAUAUAAGGCCCUCACUAUAGAAUGACUCGUUAGUUUAGUCUCUUGUUACAUAUCAAAUGUUAGAGAUAUUUUUUAAUAAGGAUCUGCCAUACCACAUAGUUGGAUAAGACAUUAUACACGGCUUUUGUAAGAGCAUCUCCAGCGCUCCAAACUAGCCCAAGCAGCAGGGGGGCCUAAGUCUAGGAAGCAGCUCCAGCUCGCAAGAUUCAACCCAGGCAAGGUGUGGAACCCACGAGGAGAUCUAGCCCGUCACCUUGCCUUUGGGUUUCAGUCAAGCUGAUGUCAACGAAAGAAUUUCAAAUUUUUUUUACCGUUACAAUGUACGCGCCAACGAUAAAUUUUCUUUGGAUUUCUUGCAUUGAUCCACAGCUACCAAAAACCAACAGCUACAAGCCACGUGGCUUCUCCAGGAGCCUCCGAUCCAAAAAUCAUGUCAAAUCUAACGGCAGUCCAUUUUUUGGCUAAAAAUAUCAAAAAAUUAUGGAAACAUGUUCUAUAAAUUCCUACAAAUAUUAUUCACUUCCCACACCAAAUCUUCAUACAAAUUCAUAUCCUUUCAAUAUUUUUCACUUUCCAUACAAGAUUUUCUACUACUAAGUUUCGUUUGUGUAAAAAUACAAAUGACCUCUUCUAUCGAAGCCGGAGGCGCGUGUACAACCGUGGAAGAUAUUUUGUUGCGUGAGUGUUGGGUCAAAGUUGGUCAUUCCCUGAUCACGGGCAAUGAGAUGAAGUCCUCUCGUAGGAGUUUCUGACAUCGCAACGAAAGUAAGAUGUGAUAUGAAAAUGUAAGGAAUUUGAUGAGAGGAAUGGGAUUUGAGGAGUUUGAUGUAGGAAUUGAUGUAGGAAUUGAAUUUGGGAGGUAUGUAUAUAAGAUUUGAGGGUAUGUGUUUAGGGAUUUUGAUAAGAGGAUUUGAGGAAUUUAGAUUUGAAGGAUUUGGAUUUGGGGAAUUUAAAUAUGAGGAAUUUGAUUAGGGUUUGGGUUUGAAUAUGUGAAAUUUGAUAUGAGAGUUUAGAGACAACAGAUGAUCGAUUGCUCUGAUACCAUGCUAAAAUAUGAUAUGGUUUGAAUACUUUAGGUUGAGUUUUAUUCUUUUCCAUAAAAAGGUAUAUAUAGGAGUUUACAUGAGUGCUUUACAAAGAAAUAGAUACAAUAAUCAAUUAGGAUAAUAUCUCCUAAUUAUACAAUAAUUUGUCAACUAUAUAGAAUAGGAAAGUAAAUUCCUUAAUUAAUCAAGAAAAUAAAUCUCAUUGAUUAAUUAGGAGACUAACGUCAACAUUUAUAAGCCAUAAAAGAGCAGAAAAAGAGGUACUUAGGAGAUUUUAUACGUCGGACUAAGGUAAGCUUAAAGGACUAUAUCAAAAAAAUAAGGGACCAAGAAGCAAGACAGAGAAGUUGUUAUGCAAACCCAUUAAGUUUAGCAGUGAUGAAUUUGUAAAAAUCAUUCUAGUGGAUUCUGCCUUCACUAUUGAGUUCUUAUUGAGGUUCUAUCUGAAAGGAUCUGGACAUGAAGGAGACCGCUUAUUAAACAAACCGUGGAUGUUUACAGCCUGACAUGUGGUUGCUUGAAAAUCAGCUCCCAUUCUUUAUUCUUGAGGAUCUUUAUCACACAUACAUAAUAACCGACUCUUUUAGGAAUUAUUACAGUACUCAUGAUCAUGAGAGGCUUUCAAUAAUUAAUAUUUCUAAGAAUUUCUUCACAGCCGGAAUAUUGAAUUUGGAGGGGAAGGGAGACAAAUGGAACAGAAUAUCAUCUUCUUCUAGUGUUGGAAAUUUUAUAUUAUUUAAUAAUAUUUAAUUUCUAUUGUGAAUGAAAAAUAAGUUUCUUUAAGAAACGUGUGUCUUAGGCCAGUUUUUCUAACUGGUCGGCUUCCUUAGAUUUGUGCCUAUUGCUUUUCAAAGUAUAAUGAUGCAAUGGUUGUAUCUCGUUCAGGCAAAUGGAAGGUAUAUAGCAAUUUAUAGAACAAUACAGUAAUCCAGAAGAAAUAUUAUGAAAUGAAAAGAAUAAAAAGUAAAAAAAGAGAAAGAAAGGAAUUCCCACCUGCAAUGUAUAUGUAUGAAAGGAAGGACCAAGUUUGUUUUAAAAUGGUAAGAACAAGUUGAUUUUAAAUUGGGUUCAGAUCAACUCAUAGAUUUCUUGCCUUUUCUGUUCUCCUUCCUUGGACAUGAACUGUUUAAUCUUGGACUCUUCCCCAUCAUGUUGGGCCUGUCUUCUUCUUGAGGAUUGUAUAGGCCUAGGAAAUGCUUCGGGGUAGUUUUUGUGUUUUGGGCAUUGGGACCCAACUUCACAAAAAGAAAACAAAUUUGACCAAAACACAAAUUUGAAGGACAUUGAAAUUGUACCCGUAGGAUAGAUUAAAACACUAUAAGGGAGGUAAAUAGUACGUUUACAGAGUUUAAGUGUAAUAAAGGAAUAAAAACAUGCCCAGAGAAUUGAUAAGUGAUAUCAAUUCUUGAAUAUACGUGAAAAUUAUUUUAUGUGGUUAAACCCCACCUCUGGGGAAAAUCCACGGAACUUCUUAGUCCAACUUCUAUCACUUAUCCUAGACACAUUCUAGAUAAUGUUUGCCAACCUCUUCGUAACUCAACUUCUGUCACGAGAUGAUCUUUCAACACUUUAUGUCGAACGCAAUACUGGUCACGAUUUCUUCAAGCUCGCCGGAGUUCUUCCAAUUCUCCUUAUAUUGAAUCUGAUACUAGUCACGAUCGAUUCAAGCUCAUCGGAGAAAAAUCGCCACAACAAUCUUGGUGCCCUCAACCGUAUGAGUCACUGAACAUGCAAAUGAAUACAAUAUGAAUGAUAAAAGUGUUUGAUAAAUCACCAAGUUAUGGAACACUUGAUGAUUUAUCUCAAAUAAAAAUUCAGCUUUCCAAAGUUUAUGAAUUGAAAAUAUGACCGUUAAAGCUCUCUAAACAAAGAAGACGAAGGUCUUAUUUUAUAGACUUUUACUUUACAAGAAAGAAAACACGUUGAAAACCAAAUCUCCAAUUUCCAAGGCUUGACAGAAAAUCACAAAAUUAUCUUUCCUAUUCUAGAGAUUGGUCACAUGAAGUCCAACCAAUAGGAAAUGAGAUAUUUAAGAAAGGAAGAUUUUGAUCAAUAUCAAUAUCAAAUGAAUUCUUAUACGCCUAGUCAAUUGUUAUGGGUAUCUUGACUCCUUGAUAUUGUGAUAUGAUUGAAACAUGAUUUCCACGUUAGAAAAUUAAGGGGAUGUUAAAACAUGAAGGUAAUAGGAGAAUCAAAUUGAUUUGGGCCAAAAUUGCCUAAAAAGAAAACACUCCUUAAUAAACUUCAAUUUACUUUUAAAAAUAGUAAAACGUGAUUGAAUCGUUCUUUAAAACAAUUCCCUAAUAUACAUGCAUGAUAGUGAUAUCACUUACCUUUGAAUCAGAUGGCUUUCACGGGUCAAGCCACAAGUUUUUGUCUUGGGGAUUGCUGAGCUUCAUCAAUCCUGCCAAUGUCAAUUUUGCCCCUAAGCUCUCUCAAAGCACGUUUACAACCUAUGCUAACAUAUAUUAGAGUUUAUGUUAGUAUCAAGAAAAUGCCAACACUAAUUUCGUAACACGUAGAAAUUGUUAGAGAUUGAAGUUUUUAUCAUUUUUUCUUCCAGACUCUCCACCACUCACUAAUAUAGUUUACUCAUGUGAUGAGUUUACAAAACCUAUUUCUCUACUCUCACAAAGACUAUACUUAGGGGGGUGUAUUCAAUUAGGAUUCUAAAGCGUUUAAAAAGAUUUUGUUUAAGUGCCAGCUUUCAUAGAACUUGAUGGAACUUUAUAAUUCGUAUAGAACUUGAUAGACUUUCAGAAGACUUCUGUAUAAUUUUUUAAUAAAACUUUCUUAAGCUUUCAUAGAACUUGAUAGGCUUUCAUUCCAAACUUAUGUAGAUGGUAUAUUUCAUUUUAUCCCCAUCCUUGACAUUUAAAGAAAGAAACUUGAAUUUUUUCAAUCAAAUUUGUUUUUGUUACCAAAGCAGCAAAAACAAAAAGUACUUGUUUGCGAUGGAAGAACAUAUGCACAGUUCAAAAUGAAAAGAAUAAGAAGCAAAGUACCUAUUUGACCAAUGAAUGCUGUGUCAACUAGAGAAGCAAUUGGAUCGGCUGUCAAAGCCAAUGCUGCAGGCAAUGCAUCGAUGGUCCAAAUUGCAAUAAAAAAAUAUUUUGAAUAAUGGCUCUUGCAGACAAAGACCACAUAAAUUCUGAACUGGUCUAGCUUGAAUAAUAAGGUUAGAUUAGCCAAUUGAUGAGAUUAAAAGCAAAGCAAGUUGAUGAAUUUAUCAUCAACUAUUUAAUAACCACAGUCCUGAUCUCUUGGACCCCUGUAGUCCAAGAGAUUUAUGGUCACCCACCGUUGGAUGUAAAUUCAACGGUUGACUUGAAUCGGGUAAUAAUCAUUUAUGUCAUAUUGCAUUUAUAUAUAUCAUUUUGAACCAUUGGAUUAAUAUCCAACGGUGGGUGACCACAAUCUCUUGGACUCCUGUGGUCCAAGAGAUCGGGACUGUUAAUAACCAAUAGAGUAUUUAAACAUAAACAACAAUGUUUGAUCAACAAAACAAAUAGUCCAAAUAUCAUCCAAAAAACAAUAACAAAAAAUCAAUCAUUCCAAACAAACUAGUCAUUCUCAAAAACUCUCAAAAAACCCACUCAUUCCAAAUUGUAGGAUAUCCAAUUUGAGCACUCCUCAGGAGACAUUUUCAAAAAUGCAUCCUUUUUUGUGUUACUAUGCAACAAAGAGAGUGCUUUAUAACGAGCAUGUUCAUCCAAAUUUGGGGUCUCCUUAAUGGCAUCCCAUAUAUAACUCCGCUGCUCUCUCUCUUUUUCCCUUUUUGCCAAUAGGUUAUGGACCUCCCGGAAGUCGAUGACAAUUGAAUCAAUGCUAAGGCUAAUUCUUCCCAUAGCUUGCUGGGUGGUCACAUUUGAGAUAGCAUUCCCUUCCAAAUAUGUUCUAGUUCGUUUCCUCUAGUAACAAGCAUAAAUCCUAGUAACAAGCAUAAACCCUAACCCCAACCUAUAACCUAAUAACAAGAAGAAAACCCAACGAGGUAUUGAUCAAAGAAAAAUUAGGGAGCAUACCUUCACAGAUGGAGGAAGGAAGCUGUUCGUCUUCGCAGAGAGAAAAUCUAGGGAAAGAGAAAAACGUCUUAUGAAAUACUUGGGGGGGAGGUUGGAUUUAUUUUGGUCUUUUUUAUUUAUAACUCUCCCCUUAAAACCUACGUAAAUUUAUCACUUAAUGAAAUCCUUCCAAAUAUAUGACCUUUCGAAUACACCUAGAUUUGAUUCAACUUUUUUAUAAUCAUAAUUGAAUACACCCAUAUUUGAAUGGACUUUUUAAAAGUUCAUAUAGGUCCGAAAUGAAUAUACUCAAACUUGUAAAACCUCUUUUAAAGUUUGUAUAAAUCCAAAUUGAAUACACCUGGAUUUUUAAAAUCUUUUUAAACACUUUAUAAUCCUAAUUGAAUACACCCCCCUUAUUCUCAAAAGACUAUAUUACUUUACCUCUAUCUCUGUGAAAUGUAAAAAGUUGAAACUUUAAUGUCAAACCUCAACAAAAGAUGAACUUUCAUCAGUUACGUUGAAUUUGGAUUUGUUGAACUUAAGUGGUUUUAUUUUCUUUGUCAGUGUUUGAUGACUUAAUUUGGUAUUUAUUUCUUCUUUUUUUUCCUUGGAAAUGUGUUCCACCAACGUGAGGAAGAAAAAUAUGCACAAAUUAAUAUAUUUAAUAGAAGCCCAAGAUUUCGGAUGCAUAUAAUUUCUACAAAAAUCUACAAAGUUUUUUACUUUACAAACUUCUUAUGUCUACCAAUUUCUACUAAAAUUAAUUUCUCUGUGGUGCUCAAAUUCAUCAUAUGUGUGUCGUUAAUUUUAUUGAAAAUUGGAAGUUCCCAUCAUUUUUGUUUUUUGGGAAUUUUCUGAACCAAGGAAAAUCAAGUAAAAUUAAUAAAGCCUAAAUUGGAAAGGGAAAAUAUCUAGAGGAUGCAUUGUAGGAUUGCUCAUGCCAAUAAUUGUACCCUCUAAAUAUAUAGAGACAUAUUUUUUUUGUUUUCAUGACAUGUGGUCCUAAAAUUAUUGUGUAAAUCUUCAAUCCUGAACGAUGCACCUAAAACUCAUCCACCCAUUCUCAGGCCAAUUAUUGCACCUAGUGGGCUCUCGACCCCCUCUCAAAUUUAACCACAUAUUUUAUGGACCAUCCAGCUGUGAGGUACAUUCCCCCCACAUGCCACAAUUGUAUAUUCACAAUUACGUCUGAUACAUCACAUCAUGCCACUUGCCUCAAAUGAAUUUAAGUGAGUGAGGCAGUUGGAAGUAAUUAAGCUCUAUAUUGGUGGGUGGAGUGUUACUUCUCGGUUCCCCUCAUCAUUCGUCUAUAAAAUGGUGAAGGCAGUUGCUAUUGUUACCAUAAGAGCCAGCUCCGACUUCCUUUAAUUUCUUGCUUCAUAUCCACUAGCUACAUCUGUUACCAAGUUAAUUUCAGUUCUAAUGGGGUUUCAUCUCCCACUCAUCUUUGCUCUUCUCAGUGUAAGCUCUGCAAUUUGAUUAACUUUUCCAUUCUCUCUCAUUGUACUCUAUAUAAACGAAAGUUUUGUGUUCCUAUUGUUCUCUCCGAUUUUAUUUAGUACGUACUUAAGUGUCGUCCACUAAUUAAUUAUACUUUGUGAUUUGAUUUUAAUUUGAGUUUGAAUUAAUGUUGCAGCUAGCAGCAGUGGCACUGGCAAACCAUGCUGCUCAACCAGCACCUCAACUUUACUGGAGCUCCGUCCUGCCAAACACACAGAUGCCAAGAUCUAUCAGUGAACUUCUGCAUCCUGGUUUGUGUUGAGCUCUUUAGAAUCUUAGAUAUCUCUUCUACCUGCCAUUUUACUAAAAUAUGUUCCACCACAUAUUUAUCAGUUAACCAUUGUCAUUACAUGAGUGACACAUAUUCACAAAUCGGCUGAUCACUUAUUUUCCAUUAUGACUUGAUAUAUAAUUUGCAGACUCCACAAAUGAAGAAAAGAGCACAAAUGACGUUGGCAAACCUGAAACUUUCCCAUUGGGCAAUCAACAUUACUCCAGUCAAAAACAUUAUGGAGGCAUACCUGAAACUUCCCCAUUGGGCAAUAAACAUUACUCCAGUCAAAAACAUUAUGGAAGAGGCAAACCUGAAACUUUCCCAUUGGGCAAUCAGCAUUACUCCAGUCAAAGACAUUAUGGAAGAGGCAAACCUGAAACUUUCCCAUUGGGCAAUAAACAUUACUCCAGUCAAAAACAUUAUGGAAGAGGCAAACCUGAAACUUUCCCAUUGGGCAAUCAGCAUUACUCCAGUCAAAAAAAGUAUGGAAGAGGUGCUUCUCCAUCCGACAAUCAACAACUCCAUUAUAAAGACUUAGCUAUUUUCUUCUUGGAGAAGGACAUGCGCCCUGGCACAACAAUGAAGUUCCAAUUCCCUAUAAAUUCAAACACGGCUACUUUCUUGCCACGAGAAAGCGCUCAAUCGAUCCCCUUCUCCUCUAACAAACUGCCAGAAAUUUUCAACCAUUUUUCAGUGAAGCCAACAUCUGAGGAAGCCAAAACAAUUAAGCAAACAAUCGAAGAGUGUGAAGCUCCAGACCUUAAGGGAGAGGAAAUAUAUUGCGCCACAUCUUUAGAAUCAAUGGUUGAUUUUAGCACUUCGAAGCUUGGAACAAGAAACGUUGAAGCAAUCUCGACGGAGGUAUUGGAAAAAGGAGCCACCAUGUCCAUCCAAAACUAUACAACAAUGCCGGGACUGAAGAAGUUGGCAGGUGACAAAGUCGUUGUGUGUCAUAAGCAGAACUAUCCCUAUGCUGUGUUUUUCUGCCAUGCAAUAAAACAUACAGCAGCUUAUGCUCUCUCCCUGAAAGGCGAUGAUGGGGAGAAGGUUAAAGCAGUAACCAUCUGCCAUCUAGACACAUCAGAAUGGGACCCAGAGCAUAUGUCCUUCCAAAUCGUCAACGUUAAGCCCGGAACCAUUCCCAUCUGCCAUUUCAUUUCCACUGAUGCUAUUGCCUGGGUUCCGAACCACAAAUCUGCAUGAUCAUCACUUAGCACUAGUACUGUGCGUAUAAUAUGCCUGUAUAAUUAUCUCCCUACUUAUUUCUGCCUCUUCAUCAUGUGGUGUAAGAUAUAUGUUGAGAUGAAGUUUUUGGGAUUUGUGGUCGAAAUUAACCCGAUCAUGUUUUCUCUUGCAACCAUAUAGACUUCAACUUGUACUCAUAAUAAAGCAUGCUAUAUUUAUGAAGAGAUAUUAAUCUUCAGGCAAAUAGAUAUUAUGAAAACAUAUAUAGCAAUUUAUCCAGAAGAAACAUUAUGAAAUGAAAAGAAUAAAAAGUAGAAAAACAGAAGGAAAGGAAUUCGCACGUGCUAUGCUAUGUAUGAAAGGACCAAGAUUGUUUUCCCUUUGGUUAAUGACUAGAAAAGCUCACUUGCAGAGUGCUUUCUCCGACCAUAGAUGGAAGAGAAAUUUUCUCUUAAUAAUAGCACAAUGAUCGGGUAAUUGUAAGAACAAGUUGAUUUAAAAUUCCUUGACCCAAAAAAAAAAAAAAAGUUCUUUUCAAAUUCAGGUCAACCCAUAGAUUUCUUGCCUUCGUCUUCUUCAUCACGUUGGGCUUGUCUUCUUUUUGCGUUUUGGGCCUUGGAAGUUGGGACCCAACCCAACUUCACAAAAAGAAAACAGAUUUGCCAAAAAUCAAAUUUCAAGUCUCUCCUCCGAUCACUAAUACAGAUCAAAUUUUGGAUUUGAUGAACUAAAGUGGUUUUACUUUCUCUGUCAGUGUUUGAUGACUUAAUUUGUUAUUUACUUUUUUUUUUUUACUUGAUCUUUGUAGGGGCUUUUUUUUUUCCGGCAGCUUAAACGGGCUGGGCUGCCGUAAAGGGUAGAUUGAUGAAAUUGUCCCCUUUGUCUGAAUUCGAAAAUCAAGCCCCAAAAGCGCUUCGAAAGGGCAGUAGAGCCUUAGGAAGCGUUCUGGUUACCUUCACUAAUUAAAACAACAGCAACUUACAGAUGAUUUCUUGAGGCUUACAGAUAAAUUUUCUAGCUUGGCAUGACAUGGAAGCAAAAUCAGCAUGAGUUUAGCACCAAAGAGGAAAAUAUGGCUUCCUAGGGAGAAAUGAGAGUGUUUAAGGUGAGGAAGAAGAGGUUUGCAGGCUGAUUUGGCUGAGAAAAGAGAAAGAAAGAACAAUGUUCUUCCGGCAGCUUGACAAAGCUUCUGACAGAUGUGAAAGUCGUCCGCCAGAAGAGGAAAAUGGAGAAGAAGGAUGAAUAGUGCACGAAAUUGGUGGGUUCUUGCAGGUAAGAGAGAAAGCUUGCUCUCUGAAUCUGAGUUGGUUUUGGUUGGGUAGAAGAAGCCCCCUUUUAUAGCUGCGGGAAACCAUCUUUUUCCAAGAAACCCUAAUGGUUUCUAUCCUUUUUGGCCAAGCUUUUCCCUUCCUUUCUCUUCUCCUCCCUUGACUUUUCCUAUCUUGGUGAAAUUUCCUCUGCCUAUUUGCACAAAAUUAGAGAUUUUGAGGAGCUCAAGGCCCCUUUCCCGCAGCUGCCUUAGUGGAGAAUCCCCAUUUUCAGUCAUCUUUCUUCCUUCUUUUCUCCCAUCUUCCAAGGCUAGGUUUGAUGAGAGAAAGAAAUGGAUAUGCACACUGGUUUGAAGGGUGUUUUUCCUUGAAACUUGUUCUCUCCCAUGUGCUGGAGCUUCCCAGCAGCUUACACACAUAGAUAUUUUGGCUUUCAUCGUGGCUUUUGUUUUCAGCUAGGUGCUGGAGAUUUUGCAUAUAUUUUCUUGAGUUGCUUGGGCCUUCUAGGACAAUACGUUGGUUUAUCAAGUGAAUGGGCUAACUUCAUCAAUUGUUGGGCAAUUUUGGUUGAGUUAAUGGACUAUUUUGGUUCAAGUAAUGGACUAUUUUGGUUGAAAUAAUAGGCUAUUUUUCUCUCUUUGUGCUCACCCACAUAUUUGGGCCUAAAAAAUGGGCUUGAGUUUCGGGGCUCCCAAGCAACCCCGGGACUUCCAUUUCUCGGCCCAUCAAUGAGCCUCAUGUCAACUUAUUACCAUCCAUACCACAACCCACUCAAGCAAGCCUCAGGCAUCUUGCGUGGCUUGGGCCCACGUAAGCUCGUAGUGGCAAUGUUGCUUAUUUGCUUGACGUGGCAUGUGUGCAAGUGCAUAUGACGAACUUUCGCGUGCCCAAAUUGAGUUUCUUCUCGGUAGGGUAUCGCAUUGGGCCGAGAAUUUAAUUGGGUAGAACCGUGGAUUUUUUGGGCCUCAACAAUCUUAUAUAUAUUAGUUUUCUUUUUUUCCUUAAUAUUCACCACCUUUCUGUUGCAUAAGUAUUCCAGUCUUAGCGGGUUUCCAUCUACCACUCAUCUUUGCUCUUUUAAGUGCAAGCUUUUUUAUUUUUAUUUUUUUAUGCACAAGAUUAGAGGGGAGGGAGAUUUCUCAAUGUAAGCUUUGCAGUUUCAUAAUUAAUAUUUCCAAUAUCUCACUGUUAGUAAAAUAUGGAACGGGAAAAGUACGAAUAAAAUACACACAUGUUUUAUUUAGCAAAAUUUUGACAAGAUACAACUGAAAAGUUUGGCCACUAUAUAAUAUUUUGAUUUAAUUUUUUUUAUUUUUUUAAUAUAUAUUAUUUUUAUUCAAUAAUAUGUGAAAAAUAGGUGUACAAUAUAUGAAAUUUGUAUGUAUUAUUGAAAAAUUCGUAAAAAAAAAACAUGUUAUUAAAUGUGAAAAAUAUGUACGUAUAUGUAUAAAACAUGUAUUGUACAUUACUUUUUAACAAACUUGUAUUUUACCUAGUCUUUAAACCGUAUAUGGAAAACGGAAGUAUUAUUGAAAAAUACAUAUGUACGUAUAUGUAUAAAACAUGUAUUGUACAUUACUUUUUAACAAACUUGUAUUUUACCUAGUCUUUAAACCGUAUAUGGAAAACGGAAGUAUUAUUAAAAAAUACAUAUGUACGUGUAUAAUAUGAGUAUUAAACAAAAAAAUGUGCUAAGUACUUAUCUUUUAAUUUAAUAAUUCAUUUCAUUUUGUGAUCUCAUACGUAGUAAUGAGAGUUCAAAUUAAUGUUGCAGCUGACAAUGGUGGCUCUGGCAAGCCAUGCUUGAUGCAGGAGUAUAGGGGUGGAUCAAGAUAGAUAUUUACCAUGUAAUUAGUUAUUUCAUGAUAUAUUGUUAUUUUCUUAUUUAGGUAGUUUUAUGAUAUCUUUUAUUAUUUAUGUGGGAUUUUAUAAUUAAUUAGUUUACUUUUGGACCAAGUAGCCUUGGUGCUCAAGUCUUGUAAAGCUUAUAAAUAAGGCUAAUGUAAUAGUUGUAGGAAAAGAGAUGUCGAUGAUUAAUAAAAUCGUUUAUUUGUGGCAUGGAUUUGCUACGAUAUAUGUGAGUUUGCACUAGCCCUAGAUUUCGGUGCUCGUGUAUGUGGUUGGUGACCUGUGUCCGGAUCCCGAUCCCCAUCAAUGCUGUUCUCCCAGUACCUCAACUUUACUGGAACUCUUUCCUGCCAAACACAAAUGCCAAGAGCUAUCAGUCAACUUCUGCAUCCUGGUUUCUAUUAAGGGACUUUUCGUGAGCUUAUCAUCUACCCAAAUUUUACUCAUCCGACGUAAUUUUAAAAGUGAUUUGAUCCUUUGGCAAAGUAAUCUUGAACUACAAAAAAGGAGGGCACUCGAAUAGGCAUGCCAUUUGGUAUUACCCACCUCUAAUUUCUUUUAAAAUUUUAGUAAUUGAUUUUUAAGAUUAGAAAAUGGGAAAGUUCAAAACCGAAAAAGUUGUUUCAGUUUUGGCAAGUAUCGGAAAAGACUAAAAUUUUCCGACUUUAUUAUUACUAGAAACAAAGUCGAAGUAUUCACCAAUCAUGUGGCCUUCCAAGUGCUCAAGGUUAAGCCAGGAACCGUUCCUAUCAGCCAUUUCCUUCCCAAGUAUGAUCAUGUUGUCUGGGUUCCAACCCACAAAUCUACAUCAGUACCUGAACUAAUCAGUUCUACAUGAAUAUUCAUUCAUGGCAACCUUGGGCUAAGUAUUUGAAUUUAUGCUCAUAAAGCUUUAAUGCUUUUGAGGGCCAAUCGUUGUCUACAUAUGGUAUUGUAGCAUCUUUAGAUGGAAGAGGUCAGGGGUUCAAUUCUUGUUUUCCACUUCUUUAUUUGUUGGUUUAUCGAGUGUAGAGUGGAGUUGCACCUAUAUGUUCGUCUCUCACCCCAUCAUUUACCAUUGAUAUAUAUUUAAUAGAAGCCUAAGAUUUCGGAAGCACAUAAUUUCUACUUUACAAACUUCCUGUGUCUACCAAUUUCUACUAAAAUUAAUUUAUCUGCGGUGCUGAGAUUCAUCAUAAUUUUAAUAGAAAUUGGAAGUUUUCAUCAUUUUUGCUUUAAGUCUCUACUCCACUCACUAAUAAAGAUUACUCAUGUGAGUUUACAAAACAUUUUUUUUUUCUACUCUCUCCUGAAGACUACACUUCUUCUCAAAAAAUUAGAUCACUUCACAUCUUGUGUAUGUGAAAACUAAUGUAAAAAGUUGAAACUUUAUCGUAAAACCUCGACAAAAAUGAGCUCUACUACAAAAUGUUAAAUUUGGAUUCGUUGAUUUAAAUGGCAAUUUGACACUUGAUAGAAAUUUUUACAUACAUGUGUUAGUGUUUGAUCACUUCACAUGUCACUUACUAUAUUUAUUCCACUCAAGUUAGGUAAAUAUUAUUAUCAAACAUUUCAAUUAAUUUGUGAUUUUUUUAUUAUUUAAUCAAUUAUGAAUUAAUGGAUUCUUCUUGUUGUUUUGAAGACCAACAAAAAAAAAAAAAAGGGUAGUGAUGGCUUAUAAUUCUGGUAAAACAACAGUGACGUGGACAACAGAUGUUACGCUGUACUAAAGAUUUUUGAAGAUUCUUUAUUUGAGUUUCUUUCAAGAUAAAAACCAUAUUAUCCACAACCACAAGCACAUCCGGCAGACAAUCUUUGGCUAUUCAUCACAAUUGGGAGACAAUGAAGAAGACAGAAAAUGGAGUAAUUCAGAUGUUACCAGCCAUCCACGACAAACUGAAGUCUGCAAAGCAUUCGUAAUCUAAAAAGGAUGGGGAGGCUGCGCAAUACUUAGCCACGUGUAGGCCAGGAGGCUUUCCAAUUUUAAUAUAUAUAUAGAUUGAAAAAAUAAAAUAAAAAUCAAUCUAUUAUCAUAUAUAUUAUAAAAUAAAGAUUAUUGCUCCCAUGGGCGGUGCUAUGCACAGGACAGUGCCUGCCUAGUCCAAAUUUUUUUUAAAUAAAAAUAAAAAUCUACAUAUGUUAUAAGCUCAUCCAAAAAAAAAAAAAAAAAUAAAAGUGUUGUAAAUUAUAAGGUGGAGCCCACAUGUUGGAAGGCUUUGCCUACAAAAGGGUUCACACCCUCCCUUUGUAAUUAGACAUUGAGAAUACUAAGGAAGACAGAAAUGAAUAGAGAGAAAACAUUCCCUUCUCUCCAUCUCAAUUCCCUCUCCAAUUCCUCUAGAUUUAUAACACGUUAUCAGCAGCACGAAUCGCUUUCAAACAAUACCAGCUGAAUUUUAUGAUGAAACCCAGAUCUCUCAUCCAUCUCUGCUGCUCCACUACUUCAAAAUAAAUCCCACAGAAAAAGAAAAAGCCUCAAUGCUCUCUCUCUCUCUCUGUCUCGCUUGGGAGACUUGGACAAUUCCUCAUCCCCGUUACUGACAAUUUCAACAGCUUCAGGGGAAGCUAGUUUAUCUUCCUCUGCUCACGAAACCAUGACUCUUUCAGAGCCAAACAACAACACAAUAGACAACGCAUGGAGACCAGACUGGAGCUCGUCGGCUAAGGCACCGACGAUCCGACCCUACCCGUAUGGACCUUCCGGAUGUGGUUCCUGGGUCUUGUCUCAUGUGCCCUCCUCUCAUUUCUCAACCAAUUCUACAAGCAGCAGAGCUUCAAAUCAAACAGAUCAUGGCAUCGCUUUCACACCUCCCCAUCUUCCUCUUCCUCCUGUUCACCGCUUUCUAUUCUACAGCUUCGCAGUCCUUCAUCGGCGCAUCCAAAGGCGACAUACCGGCGCUCGCCUCAGAUCCGAACGCGGCGGCUCAGUGGGUGAACUCGAAUGUCCUCGCCUUCUACUCGGCCAGCAACAUCGACCUCAUCAACGUCGGCAACGAGGUCCUUUUUCUCCAACGACCAGGGCCUCAUCUCGCAGCUCCUCCCCGCCAUGCGAAAUGUCCAAUCUGCCCUCUCCGCCGCGUCCCUCGGCGGCAAGGUCCGUGUCUCCACGGUCCACUGCCUCGCCGGAUCGGGAUCCUUCCUUCAAGUGUUUCUCUGUCUUCGACUUGAAAAAGAAGGUCAUGGCAGGCCUAUGUAAAAAUUGCGAAAAGGAAGGCAAUCUUCAACCUUUUCUCCUGUCUCUCUCUUGAUCAAUUCAUGGAAGGCACAUUUGGGUCUUCCGGGGGCUCAUCAAAUGAGUCAGCAAUGUCAAAGGUGGAGGUGGUGGAGCAAGACUACGUGGGGAUGUCAUAUGAGGCAACCUCAUACCCAGCUGAGGCAGAGCUUGUGCUGGGCCUGGGCCUUGGCCUGAGCCUUCGUGGUGGUGGUGCAGGGAAGCAGCCAAAGCCAUGUGCAUGGGGUGAGCGUGGUAGAAUCUUGACUGCUAAAGUUAGGUGCUGAGUUACACUGUGUUCUCUGCUACUGACCCUAAGAGGAGUGCUAGAAACUUCCAUGUUCCGCCAUCAUUUCGCUUUCACUGUUACAAGGCACUGGAGUAUGUUUAAUUGAAAAGUGAGAUACACAGCAAGUUGAUCAGCCUAGUGGAAAGCAAAGGAUUAUUGCCAGGGAUAUGAACACCCACCGAAAUAAAGGGAUAAGUACUCUUUUUCCCUUCGACCAGUUUUUUUUUGUCCCACUGGGUUUUUACUGGCAAGGUUUUUCACGAAACAUAUUCCGUAUCAUUUGUGGUCUCUAAGAGGGAGUGUUGUAAAUUAUAAGGUGGAGCCCACAUGUUGGAAGGCUUUGCCUACAAAAGGGUUCACACCCUCCCUUUGUAAUUAGACAUUGAGAAUACUAAGGAAGACAGAAAUGAAUAGAGAGAAAACAUUCCCUUCUCUCCAUCUCAAUUCCCUCUCCAAUUCCUCUAGAUUUAUAACAAAAAGUAAAUUCUACACAUAUGUUGCCCAUCCAGGUGGUCCCAUAUCUUCUCUUUCCUUUUCUUUUGGCUAUUAGACUUCUUGUUUCUCUCUCUCUCUUUGCUACCCCACAUCAGCAAGUUUCUCCCUCUCUUUUUUUGGGAUCAAAUUCUUCUUCUAUUGACAAAAUCUUCUAUUAUAUUGGGUGGGCAACUUGGCAACAACAUCUUCUCCUCUCCUUUUGUCAACAGCAAGUAUUAUUCUCAUUCUCUCAUUUGCUAUAUAUCUUUAAUUAUAGUUUUAAUUUAAAAUUGAGUAUUCUAGGGUUUAAUUAGGGAUGAAUUAUAAUUUUGGGAUUUUGUUGAAAUUAAUUAGGGCUUCGAUUAGGGGUGAAUUAUUCUACUGCUUUGAUUUGGAAUUUUGUUAAAAUUGAGUAUUAUAGGUUUAAUUAUGGAUGAAUUACAAUUUUUGGUUUUGGUAUUGUUGAGAUGUUAUUAUGAGAAUUUGUUUGAUUUUUUGUUGGUAUAUUUGAUUAAAAUUCUUUCUACAUAUUAUUCAUAGGCUAUCUUUUAUUAUGUCGGAUCACAAUCGGAAUCCCAAGAAAACAAAAAAUUUGAAUAGUGUUGUUUUGUAUUGCAUUGCAUUUACUUUUGGUUUUAGUUUUGCUUUUAGUGUAAAUUACUCAAAUGGUCCUCAAAUUUGUACCCAAUUUACAUUUUGGUCCAUAAACUAAAUUAUUCAUUCAAAUGGUCCACCAACUCUUUAUUAAUCGGUGCUUUGGUCCUAUCGUUAUGUUUUCUAUUAAAUUUAGUCAUGUGAGCAGCACAUGCUACAUUUGUAUGGGUAAAUAAGACUUUUGACCAGUGGCGGAUCCACGUUGGGACAAGAGGGGUCGGACGACCCCUUGGAAGGCUGGAAAUUUGGCAAGGGAGUCCAUGAAAGCCCCCUUGGACAGCUGCUGGAAGCCCCCUUGUAUGCACACAAUGUGCUCGACGAAAUGCCCCAACGAAAUGUCCUGCGCAGCUGUGCUGCGCCUUGCGCGUAAUUUUUUUUUAAAACCAGCCUUGCCAAACGACGUCGUUUGGUCAAGGCUCAGUCAAAUUUUUUUUUAAUUAACCUGGCCUCAAAACGACGUCGUUUUGGGCCAGGUUUAAAAAAAAAAAAACAGAACAGUACACACGCACAGCAGCUCUGCACAGAUUCAUUUUCUCCAAACCUUUCAUUCCCAAUUCCACAGCCCCUCUUCCCAUCCUCUCAAACCCUAACCUCCCAACCUCCCAACCUUGGACAACCUCCAUCAACUCUUCACCGGUGGCCCAAUGCCGAUCACCACCACCUUCUACCGCCGUCCGCCGCCCAUUUUUUAAACUACAAGUAAGUAAGCAUGGAAAAUCUGAUAUUAAUAAUUAUAGUGAUAAUAUAUAUUGUUGAUAUUGAUAUUUUUUUUUUAUGUAAUGAAAUUUAUGGAUAUGAAUCAUAUUGAUUGAUUGAGUUUAUGCUUGAAAUUUAUGGAUAUGAAUCAUAUUGAUAUUUUUUUUUAUGUAAUUAAAUUUAUGGAUAUGAAUCAUAGUGAUAAUCAUAUUAAUGUAGAUUGAUUGAGUUUAUGCUUGAUUGAUAAUAUGAAUUGAUUGGGUAUAUUAAAUAUUGAUUGCUAUUUGAUAUGAUAAUUUGGUAUAUUGAAUAUUGAUUGAUAUGGGUUUAGGGAGUAUAUUGAAUAUUGAGAGUGGGUUAUUGAAAUUUUCAUAUUCAUAUGAUAAUUAGGAUAAAAAUUAAUGAUUGAUUGAAUUAAUUGAUUUGUAGAUUUAUGGAACGAUUCUUUAAAAGAAAAUUAUCUACGGAUAGUUCUUCUCUGUCUAAUCCGGGUAGUUCAAAUGCAAGACCAAUUGAAGUAGAUGAGAUCUUAGCUAAUCUUCAAGCAGACCCUGGACUAAGAACUCGAAUGGCGGAUUAUAGUCCUAAUAUUAGGGAUGAGAUCCGAAGAGCAUAUCUACAAAAGGGACCUUGUCAACCUAGAAGUUAUAAAUUCCCACAAACUAAUCAAUCAGGAAUUAAUAGACGCUUCAUUGCUCAUUGGUUUGAUGAUCAUGAUUGGUUGGAAUAUAGUAUUGCUAAAGAUGCUACGUUUUGUCUUCAUUGUUAUCUCUUCAAAUCUAAUUUUGAUCAAGUGGGUGGUGAUGCAUUCACUGGGGUAGGCUUCAAUAAUUGGAAGAAGGCGAAAGAAAGAUUUAACCUUCAUAUUGGACCGGUUGGUAGUGUUCACAACCAAGCUAGAGAAGUUGCUUACAAUUUGAUGCAUCAAACUACACACAUUGAAACAAUUGUGCUCAAGCAAACAAGCCAAGCUCGCACGGCUUAUCGCACUUGCUUGAAUGCAUCACUUAAGUGCACUAGGUAUUUGUUGCGGCAAGGGCUUUCUUUUCGUGGUCAUGAUGAAAGUGCACAAUCAAGUAAUAAAGGGAAUUAUUUAGAGCUCUUGCAAUUUCUUGCGGAUCAUGAUGAAAAAGUUAAGGCCGUUGUAUUGGAAAAUGCUCCGGGAAAUUUAAAGUUAAUAGCUCCUUCAAUUCAAAAAGAUCUUGUCAAUUCUUGUGCCAAAGAAACCAUUGAUCUUAUCUUGAGUGAUGUAAAAGAUAGAUAUUUUUCAAUAAUGGUGGAUGAAGCACGUGAUGUUUCAAUAAAGGAGCAAAUGGCAAUGGUGUUGCGUUAUGUGAAUGACAAAGGACAAAUAAUUGAAAGGUUUGUGGGGGUUCAACAUGUAACCGACACUACUUCAAGUGCACUAAAGGAAACAAUUGAUGAAUUCUUUUCUUCCGCGAAUUUGAGCUUUUCCAAGCUACGAGGACAAGGUUAUGAUGGAGCUAGCAAUAUGAGAGGUGAGUUCAAUGGCCUUAAGAGAAAGAUUUUGAGAGAACAACCUUGUGCAUUUUAUGUUCAUUGCUUUGCUCAUCAACUUCAACUAGCUCUUGUUGCGGUAGCAAAGAAAAACAUUGAUGUCAACUCUUUUUUCACAACGGCUAAUAGUUUGGUUAAUGUGGUUGGAGCAUCUUGUAAGCGUCGCGAUGCACUUAGAGCACAAUACCAAGAAGAGCUUGUGAGAGCUUUUGAAGAUGAUUGUCUUAUAACGGGGCGGGGCUUAAAUCAAGAAAGGACUCUCAAACGUGCCGGCAAUACACGAUGGAACUCACAUUAUGGUACGUUGAUUAGUAUCAUUUCUAUGUUCCCAUCUGUGGUGAAUGUGCUUCAAAUGAUUGUUGAUGAUAAUCUUAAUGAUAGUUCGGGUGAAGCCUAUAAGUUAAGGAGAGAAAUACAAUCUUUUGAGUUUGUGUUUCACUUAUUUGUAAUGAAAGCUAUAUUGGGAAUAACAAACACUUUGUCUCUAGCAUUGCAAAAGAAAGAUCAAGACAUUGUGAGUACAAUGAAUUUAGUGAAAACAUGCAAGGAAAACCUGCAGUUGAUGAGGGAUAAUGAGUUUGAAGAAUUGGUUGGGCAAGCAUCCUCGUUUUGUUACAAAUAUGAUAUUAUAGUUCCUACCAUGGAUGAGGAAUAUGUAAUUCCAGGGAGAUCAUGGCGUAAUGCUCCAAUGAAGACAAAUUAUCAUCGUUAUCGUGUGGAGAUCUUUAUUCAUGUAAUUGAUGGGCAACUUGCGGAAUUAAAUGAUCGCUUCAACGAGGUAAGUACUGAGUUACUUACUUGUUUGGCAUGCUUGAGUCCAAAAAAUAACUUUGUGACUUUUGACAAACGAAAGCUAGUUCGUCUUGCUCAAUUUUAUCCUUAUGAUUUUUCGGAUAGAGACUUAUUGAUGCUUGAAGAUCAACUUGGUGUUUAUGUUCAUCAUAUGCGUUCGAGUAGUGAUUUUUCUCAAUUGGAAGGGAUUAGUAGUCUUGCGGAAAAAAUGGUGGAGAAAGGAAUGCAUGAAAUAUUUCCUUUUGUAUUUGCUUCUUACAUUGGCUUUGGUUUUACCGGUUGCAACUGCAUCAGUGGAGAGGGCAUUUUCCGCUAUGAAUAUUAUUAAAAAUCCACUUCGCAACAGAAUGGGAGAUCAAUGGUUGAAUGAUAGCUUGCUUGUUUACAUUGAGAGAGAUGUUUUUGCUUGUAUUGAUAACGAAAUUAUAAUGCAAUGUUUUCAGAAUAUGAAAACUCGUCGUGGACAAUUGUAACUUGUAUUAUUGGUUUUGUUAUGAAUUAUGAAUGAAAGUACUAUCUUUCUAUCUUUUUAGCAUUAUUUUCUUUGUAGAAAAAUUUCAGAACUUUUACACUAAGCCCCCUUGGCUACAUAAUCCUGGAUCCGCCACUGCUUUUGACCACUUUAUCACCUAUGUAUCACCACUUUAUAACCUAUUUGGGGAACAUAGGUCAGUUAUGGACGGUUUUACCCUUACAUUUGACGGCAACAUUAACAUAAUGUAACAGUGGGAUCAAUGGAGUGAUUAAUAUAAAGUUGAUGGACCAUUUGAAUGAAUAAUUUAAUUGAGAGACCAAAAUGUAAAUCAAGUAUAAGUUUGAGGACCAUUUGAGUAAUUUACCCUUCGCUUUUAUAUUUGUUGAACUUUUAUUUAUGAUAGAUAUGCAUUUAAGGGUAAGACCCAUUAUGUUCCCCUGGCUAGGUGUAUCUUUUUAUGUUUAUUAAUGAAAUUCACUCGAACUGUUGAGUUUAGUAUGUAAGUUUUGCCUAACUGGCUUUUGAAUCCUAGAACCGCCACUGUUGCUCCAUCCUCCAUGCACUUGCAUGUGCUCUUACAAAGUGUGAAGUAGAUUUUGUGUGCUCCAAGUCAUUGACUAGAGCUGAAACAUGGUUAGCUAGAUUUAUAAGGACCCAUCUCUUUAUUUCCUAGACAUAUACCCAUCUCUCUAUAAAUCUAUAUGUAAAACCUAAUUUCAAACUUAAAUGACCAGUAGGAUAUAAAAGGUCAUAGUAUUCCUAUGUUUUUAUAUCGUUGCCACCAGACUUCUUAUUUUAUUUAUAAUUUAUUUCAAGCAUUUCAUUAACUGCCAUAAUUGUAAUUAAUACUCCAUAUUAAUAGCAUAUCAAUCACCCCAUUUCUUUUGGUUGCCAUUCCCUCUAACAUAUCGCCCCUUAAAUUUGAAAACCAAAAAAAAAAAAUGUAAAUUACAUAUCCAAUAAUGUACCUAUGAAAAAUAUAAAUAUAAAUAUAUACAUAUAAAAAUAUAGGUAUAUUAUUUACCAAAUAGAAAAUAUAAAAACCUAGGUCAGUUGCUUUGUAAUUGAAAUUUCUGUACAUUUUCCACAAAUUAAAAAUAGGUACAUAAUAAUUUAUAGAAAAUAUAUGUACAUUAUUUAUCCAUAGGUAAAAAUACCGAUAAAUGCACAUAGGUGAAUUAUUUACCAAUAUAUUAUUUUUUUGCUAAGGAUUUACCUUAGUUUUUAGUAGAUUAAUUUACCUACCUAGAGGCAUAGGUAGCUUAAAAAAAAUGUACCACCUUAGUUGGUUGCAUACUAAUUUACCUACCUAGAGGCAUAGGUUGCUAAGAAAAAAUGUAGGUAAAUUCAUGUACCUAAACACAUAGGGGUCAAAUAGAGAAUAACAUGUUAUUUCCCUUUGAACAAAUUAAUUUCAAACCAUAACAAUUAUUGAAUUUGGAAAUUGGUAUAAAUAAAAGGAAAUAAAUAAACUAUCAAUUUGAAAAUUAAAAUAAGAAAUGAUCAAGUAGUCAUAUUUGAAAAAAAAGGAAAGAAUAUAUUCUUGGUUUUUAUAGGAACAACGAGUAUAUUCAAACCAAACGGCGAUAACUACACCAAGCUUUAAUUACUUUUUUUUAAGGCCAAAAGUCACUUUUGGUCCCUGUAGUUCGGCAUUUCUACCACUUUUGAUGUUGUAGUUUCAAUUCCGUCAAUUUUGCCAUUGUAGUUUCGUAUUUGUAGCAAUUCAAGGACCUGUUAAUAUUAAUGUCAAUUUGUUUAAUGAUGCAAGAGGUAAUUUCGUCAUCCCAAAAUCCUUGAGCAUAAAAGAUUGUCUGAAAUUCUCCCCAUUUCAUAUUAGGGCUCGAAAUUCAACCACUAAUCCUAAUUUUUGAAGAACCCUAGACCCAAAUGACCAAUUUCAAGCCCUAAUAUGAAAUUACGGAAGUUUUAGAUGAGCUUUUAUGCUCAAGGAUUUUGAGUUGAAGAAACUGCCCCUUGCACUGUCAAAUAAAUUGACAGGAAUACUGACUUGUCCUUGAAUUGCUACAAAUACAAAACUACAGUGUCAAAAUUAACAGAAUUUAAACUAUAGGGUCAAAAGUAGUUGAAGUGUCAAACUAUAAGGACCAAAAGUGACUUUUAGCCUUUUUGUUUCAAUAAGGAAAAAACUGACCUAUUAAAUCCUUGGAAUCUAUACAAAAUUGAAACACAAUUAAUCAACAUUGAAUUGCAGCUAAUUUCUUAAACAAGGGUAUUAUAGGAAUUUAAAAAGUAUAACAUUUAAUCCAUUGAAUUUGAUUAGGAAACUUGAUGAAUUGAAUCCUAGUUAUAUAGUUUUUCUUAUAAAAAUCAGGUUUUAUUUAUAGACAAAUAAAACAAUGGGUUGUAGGUAAGAAAAUAUUAAUUUGAAGGGAAAGAGUCAAAUUUACUAAAUUAAUAAAGCAUAAAUUGGAAAGGGAAAAGAUCUAGAGGAUGCAUUGUAGGAUUGCUCAUGCCAAUAAUUGCACCCUCUCGAUAUUGAAAAACCUAUUGUUUAUUAUUAUCUUCAAUCCUGAAUGAUGCACCUAAAACCCAAGUGUCUCAGGCCAACCAUUGCGCUCAUACCACUUGUUGCAGUACACAUUCACCUGUUUUUAAAGAAAGAAAUUCUACCAAUCGAUAUUUUCUCAAAUUUAAUCACAUAGAUCUAUUAUGGUUAACCAUAUGUACUUUUAUCUGCCAUCCAGAGGUACCUUUUUCCAACGUGCAACAAUUGUAUUUGAUUCACAAUUAUGUCUGAUAUACAUCACAUCAUGCCACUUGCCUCAAAUGAAUUUAAUUGAGUGAGGCAAUGGGAAGUAAUUAAGCUCUAUAUUGGUGGGUGGAGUGUUACUUCUGGAACCCUCAUCAUUCGUCCAUACAGGGGAACAAUUCCCUUCCUUCUAUAAAAUGGGAGCAAUUCUCUCACUGUACUCUAUAUAAAGGAAUAAGUGUCGUCCACUAAUUAAUUACACUUUGUGAGAUUUGAUUUUAAUUAGAGUUCGAAUUAAUGUUGCAGCUAGCAGCGGUGGCACUGGCAAACCAUGCUGCUCAACCAGCACCUCCACUUUACUGGAAUUCCAUCCUGCCAAACACACAAAUGCCAAGAGCUAUCAGUGAACUUCUGCAUCCUGAUUUGUGUUGAAUAGAUAUAGUAUGUUACUGGAGUACGUAUGGCAACAUAUUCACAAAUGUGUCACGUAUUUUCCAUUAUGACGUUGAUAUAUAAUUGCAGACUCCACAAACGAAGAAAAGAGCACAAAUGUCAUGAAUGCUGUUGGGAAUGGAAAGCCAAUUGACCACAAGGGCAAACCUGAAAAUACUGUACUACCACAGCUUGCACGACGCCCAUUUUCUUACAAGAGUGAUGAUCGUCCCACUGACAAUCAACUCCAUUAUAAAAACGUAGCUAUUUUCUUCUUGGAGAAGGACAUGCGCCCUGGCACAACAAUGAGCUUCCAAUUCCCUAGAAAUUCAAACACGGCUACUUUCCUGCCACGAGAAAGAGCUCAAUCGAUCCCCUUCUCCUCUAACAAACUACCAGAAAUUUUCAACCAUUUUUCAGUGAAGCCAACAUCUGUGGAAGCCAAAACAAUUAAGCAAACAAUCGAAGAGUGUGAGGCUCCAGGCAUUAAGGGAGAGGAAAUAUAUUGCGCCACAUCUUUAGAAUCAAUGGUUGAUUUUAGCACUUCGAAGCUUCGAACAAGAAACGUUCAAGCAAUCUCGACGGAGGUAUUGGAAAAAGGUGCCACCAUGUCCAUGCACAAGCACACAACAAUGCCGGGACUGAAGAAGUUGGCAGGUGUCAAAGUCGUUUUGUGUCAUAAGCAGAACUAUCCCUAUGCUGUGUUUUACUGCCAUGUAAUAAAACCAACAGCAGCUUAUGUUCUCUCCCUGAAAGGCGAUGAUGGGGUGAAAGUUAAAGCAGUAGCCAUCUGCCAUCUAGACACAUCAGAAUGGAACCCAAAGCAUUUGGCCUUCCAAAUCCUCAAAGUUAAGCCCGGAACAAUUCCCAUCUGCCAUUUCCUUCCCACUGAUCAUAUUGUCUGGGUUCCGAACCACAAAUCUGCAUGAUCAUCACUUAGCACUGUACGUAUAAUAACCUUUACCCCUGUAUAAUUAUCUCCCUACUCUACUUAUUUCUGCCUCUUCAUGUGGUGUAAGAUAUAUGAUGAGAUGAAGUUUUUGGGAUUAGUGGUCGGGUUGCCUUAAAAACACAGAUUACAGAAACUGCUUGAACUUAACCCGAUCAUGUUUUCUCUUGUACUCGUAAAGCAUGCUGUUGUGGUUCUACUUAAUUUCGUCCUCCCCAAUGUUUGAGUGUUUAAUUGUUACGUUGGAAUAGGCUGCUAAUGCAUGUAGUUAGAGAAGCUUUCAUUUAUAUCAAAGUCCUCAAACUAUCAAGAAUUAAUGCAUCCAGAAACAUAUAUACCAAGACGCAAAACAACAUAUUUUCCAUGCUGUGUCGGUAACACCAAAGCAAACUUCCUUUAUCACAAAAGGACCAAAUUCCAAUACUAAUCUAAUCCAUCAUGUAAAGCAUACAAUCUACAACUGCCUCCCUAAAUUUGUCCAUUGGAUAUAUAUGUCACUUUUUGGUAAUUUGGUAUAGCAGCACCACGUAGUAUGCAUUUAACAGAAAAGUAAACAAAAUUGACAGUAGAACUAUUUGUCCUAACGAAACUGAAGUUGAAAGACCAUGAGAACGAUUUUGAAAAUUAAGGGACUCAAAUGAAAAUUGGGUCUAAGUUCAGGGACCAAUAAAACGAUUAACCCAUAGAUUUUGGAUCCAGUACCACAUCCCAAAGAGAAAACCACAAGUUUGCAAGCAAGUUUGUCCAUACUAACACUACGUACAGUAUGGGCAAUGUGCUAGACUCAUCUCACUUUCUCAACCUAUCCUAUACUUGUCUAAAAGAGUUUCUAAUUUAAUGUACUGAGAUUUACGAAAGAAAUAUCAGAGAAACAAUUUUCAGGCAAUAAAAAAAUGUCUUGGCAAGAAAAUGCACAAUUUGUUACAUAACUUAUUAAAUAUGAACAGUUGAAAGAAAAAAGAAUUUGGAUGAGGGAUUUGCAAAUUCCUAUGGCCCAAUUACCUUUUUUUCUUUGUUUUUUUUUGGUUCUUUUGAUCCAGUAGCAUAUUCCAAAGAAUGAAAACCACAGGCAUGCAAUGCAAGCUCUUUUCCCAUGUUUUCCUCUGUUUUUCUCCUAUCAUGGAAGUGAUUAAAACACACCUCUAAGCUUGUUUUGCGUUUGGUAGCCGAGUGUAAAAGCUCAAUGCAAGAUAGUUUGAGGUAGAAUUUUCUCCUGUUUUAUUAGGACAAUGAUGAGCUAUAUGUGACAACAAAUUGCUUUAAUAAUGAAAAUUAAAAAAGUGUGAUUCAUUGAAUAUUUGCGGGGUUUUGUUCAGAGCUGACAAAGUUCUAAGUCAACACAUCAAAUUCCUUUUUCCAACAAUCGUAUUUGAUUCACAAUUUUGUCUGAUAUACAUCACAUCAUGACACUUGCAUCAAAUGAAUUUAAUUGAGUGAGGCAAUGGGAAGUAAUUAAGCUCUAUAUUGGUGGGUGGAGUGUUACUUCUGGAAUCCUAAUCAUUCGUCCCUACAGGACUCUAGAACUCUCACACUUCUUACAAGGACUACUUAACUCUAUAGCUUAUUGCAUAUAGCAUAUAUAUGCAAACCCAAUUAGAAAUUCUACAACAGAAGCAAGAUCAAUCUCACUAUGCCUUCUAAACAAACAAACAAAUAAAACAAGCAUAUUAAUUGCUUUAAUCACUCUACUAACAUCAACACAGCACACUUAGUUUACUAACAGAUGAUAUAGAAAGGAAAAAAAAGGACCAAUAGGGAGAAAAUGGUGAACUAAGGAGAGACUAAUACUUCUGGUCCUUAGAAGGCAUAACAGAAAUAAUAGAGCACACUGCUUGAAUGCAAGUCAGUAUUAGGAGCAAAACAGCUGCAAUGAAAGAAAUAGUUGCCCAAGGUGUAUUGAAAUAAUGUUGCCUCAAAUUUGCCUUCCAUUUGUUCCAAGGCUUUCUGCAGUAGCUAUUAAGGCGCUCAGAAAGAGUAGCAAAGUAGAAGCUUUCACGAUACACUGCAAUUCCUUUUCCGAGGUUGUUAAUCAGAGUGCACACCUCAUUGUAGUCACCAAGCAUAUUUUUGACAAUCCCAUACUUCAGAAGGAACUCCACAUCCUUUUCGGUGUUCACAAACUCAUCCAUGAGUGAAACAUAAUCACUUAUGUAAUUCUUACGGCAAUGGCACUAUUCAAAGGCAAUGAGGUUAUGGAGUGUGAGCUCUGUGUAAUCGUUUAUUUUUAGUUUUGGAAUUUCUAGAAUCCCAUCGUUGAAUCGUGUUAACGCAGCUUUCCUUUCCUAGCCUACGCGGAAGUCAACUUCACAAUCUCCUCCUAGCAAUUAGCCUUUCCUACUGUAAAUCGGAUUGUAUUCAUGUCUAUAUUAUUUCCUACCUUAAAUAGAUAUCCUGUACUAGUAUACAUAGGGACUUUGUGUAAUCUGUUAAAUACAAGGAAAUAUAUACUCUACAUGGUAUCAACCUAACCUAGGGUUCUCUCUCUCCCCCUUAUUCGAUCCUCUUCUCCUUUAGGUCCACCUCAUGGCUUCGUUUGAAUCCACCAUCUCCCUCCCAAGCCCUAACUCUUCUCAUUUUAUCAAGCUUACUAACUCCAACUAUCUUCUUUGGCUCCGCCAACUCAAACCCUUUUAGUUGGCCAUGACCUCUGGAAAUUUAUCGAUGGCAUUCAUAAACAACCUUCUGCCCACACCUCCACCUCUACCACCACAACACCCACAACCACCACCACUCUUACCGAAAUCAAUCCUACCUAUGCUCAGUGGUACCAACAAGACCAACUCAUUGUUAGCUACAUCACCAGUACACUCUCUGAGUCCAUUUUCUCUCUCACUGUCGGUUGCAUCUCUGCCCGGGAUCUCUGGGAGUGUCUCCAAUGCCACUUCUCUUAAUCCAAUAUGGCCAGUGAAUCUGCUCUUCGUUUUCAACUCAUGGAUUUGCAAAAAGGCUCUCAACCCAUUGAUGCUUACCUUCGUCAUGCUAAGUCUCUUGCCGAUUCACUAGCUGCCAUCAAUUAACCUGUCUCCCCAAAAGAACUUGUCACUGCUGUGCUUCGGGGUUUAGGACCCGAUCACAAAAUGCUCAUCACAGCAAUUCUCAAUUUCUCUCCGCUUCCAGACUUUGCUGAUCUUCGUGCUCGUUUGUUAGCUUUUGAUGCACAGACUCCUCGAAUCUUUCCUGAUCAAAACACAACGCUAAUGGCCACCCAAUCUUCUCCUUACACCACCGGUCAUACUUCCUUCCCUUCUCACCGUGGUUGUGGCUCUUCCAGCAAUAGGCGCGGUGGCUGGUGCAGUAUUGGCCGUGGUGGCUGGCACAACUUCUCAUCUUCCUAGAGCAACCCGUGGAAUGGCUUCCAGCAGCCCUAAUGACCUAAUCAACUGUGGCCUCCUUUUGCUCUAAGUUUUGGAUCUCAAAGCAACUGGCCUUCCUUUCAACCUCUUUGGGCCCAAUCUGCCGCUUCUAGCAAACACUCUGCCCGACCCAACUCAGCUCCUGGUGUCUUGGGACCCGCUUGGUGCACCACAUGCAAUACCAAUCGACAUACUACUACAACAUGUCCUUAUUGCUACAAUGGCCCAGAAUUCUUCCUUUGCUGGGGCUCAAUUCAUGCAGCCACCUAACUCUACAUGGUACCCUGACACAAGUGCCACUCAUCAUAUGACUGGUAGUUCUUCUAAUCUCCAAAGGAAAUUAAAUGAAGGAGUCCUACGAAGGCUCAAGGCUCGAAAGCACACGAUCCGGCUCUGCUGCGGAGCUCACUCAACUACUGGCUGAGGGGGCGCAAAACAGAAAAUUGUGAGUGGACAAAAAUAAAAAUUCAGUUCAGUGUAAACCAACGUAAUAUAACCCCACCGUUUAGAAAACCAUGCAAGAAAUCCAAAUGCAUCUCAAAACCAUCAUAAUCAUCAAAUCAAAAUCAAAUACUGGAUGCCAAGUCCGAAAUCCAUAAAGAAAGCUUUACAAACCCACCAUCCAAAUCUUACAAUCCCACAACUAAACUCUCGAAAGCGUACCCAUUGGCAGUACCAGCAAGGAAGUAUCCUCACCGAGAAACAAGAACAAAAGAAUAGCUAUAUAUAUAAUUAUAUAAUAUAACCACACCUAGUUGUACCGGGAAAACAAUCCAACCGGGGGAUUGUUUGACUAGUCACCAUGGCAGAGUCAAAGUAAACAAAUUCCUCAAUUCACCAUGUGACUAGGGAACGAGCUGUCCAACUGGGGGACCAACUCUCAGCCAGCAUGUACCGUCGAUAGCCUCAAAACCCGUACGUCUGUGACCAGUCCUACGCGUGCAGACUACCCAAUCAAGGGUUUACAGCAACAUCCCAUCAAGGAUGCCCUAGGUUCCCACAAUUCCAAGUAUCUCAAGUUUGCGUAUCCAAGUUCCAAAUCCGGGGAGGUACAUAGGGUAGUGCUUAUAGCACUCCAAAUUGACAUUCUAUACUCAUCACUUUCCACAAUCUCAUCUCAACAACCUAAGUACCCCACACAUAGCCAAACAUAUAUAGAAAUUCUCAAAAUCCAUAUAUACAUACUCAAGAUACUCAAAUAUGUCAAAAUCCAAAAUAUAUUUCCAAUGCAUCAUAAAAAUAUCACUUUUAACAAUUGAAUAAAUAAUAUAUAUCCAAUAUACCAAUUAAAACAUCAUGCAUAAUAUUUCCCAUCAUAAAAUCAUGCAUAAGAUUUGAAAACAAAGUCCACUCACAAGUAGUCCCACACUGCUUGACCUUGAGAGGGUCCCGCCUACUGCGUAUGCGUGGUUGGAGUACCUAUUUCAGAAUACGUAUACGAGAUUAAUAAGAAGCGUUUCGAACGAGAACUUUGAAUUAAAUAUCCUAAUUUCCCAGGUUUCUAGUAAGUGUACUAGGAACGAGACGUUCUAAGGUUCCACUACCCAAUUCGAACCAUGGAAGAGCUUCGGGAGACACUCGGUCAACCGGCGGUCAAAUUCCCAAAUCGGGUCAACUGGCCCACGGGACCCACGACCUCCGUUUUUAAAAUCCGUAAGUUCCUAAAGGUUUCACAAUGUCUAAGAUACUACUAUCACAAGUUUGGUCCGAAACGGACUGUUAGAUCGCUUACGAUCGCACGAUCAGACGGUUAUUGUAAAACGUAAACUUUAAGUUAUUGAAUCAGAACAUCCGGGGCUCCGAUUCACGAUCCGCGAAUUCCUACACGAUCCUAGGAAGGUCUAGAGUAACAUAUAUUGGAAUGGAGUCGAUCCAAAGGUCCGAACAUAUCGAACCUAGACCGGAUAACUCCUAAUAUGUGAGAUUCGUUCGGGGUUCGAACAUCAACCAAAUUGGAAUCCUAAGGUACCUACGUGCUCGUGACAUUAAGGGGAUCAAUUGGGACAAAAAUGCCCCUCUGCUACAGUGCCCACGUGCCACCACACGCGGCGGUAGAGAGUGGGUGUCCAAAGCGAUUUCUCUUCGCCGGAAAAUCUCCAAAUUACAAGCCACUCUCCUGGCUACAGGUUCUACUCAACGAGUGGAACACUUUAUUCAACUACAGCCAAGUCCAAUUCGGACGGCAAGUGGCCGGAAACUCACGGUUUAACCCGGAACUUCAUGGCUUGGAUUGGGCGACCAUCGUCACCAUUGUCGUGGCACAACCUAGGAAAUAGCUAAAAGGAGAGGAGGGCUACCUAUUCCAAGCGAUGGCGCAGCUCGCGGUAGCCGAAAAUGUAGCCGAUGACGUUGGCAGUUUUGGCCGGUUUUUCACGUCGUUGCCAUCGCCGUUUGUCGAGUUUUCGAUUGGAGAAAAGGGGUGGGGUGAGUAGAGGAGGAAGAGAGGAAGCUUUUGCAAGAAAUGACACUUGUCAGGGAGGGGGGGGUUGGGGGAAGAGAGAGAGAGAGAGAGAGAGAGAGAGAGAAAAAAAAAAAAUUUCAGAUUUUCAUCCAAACCCUUUUCGAAAUAUUUACAAGUUUGCCACUAAACUACUUUUGGUUGCCAAAUCUUCGUUAUAACUCCGAUUCAAGCCUACCACGUGUCUACGGAUUCGUCUCAAUACAACCUACCCAAAAAUACCAGUCACUGCCCCAAACUCUUUUUGGGUAAGAAAAUGACCAAAAUACCCCUACCCCAAGGGUAAAUUCAUAAUUUCACUUCAAUAAUUUAAUAAAGAAUUAAAUUUGGAGUCGGGGUGUUACAUUAACUACCUGUUUAGUAGGUGUGGGGUUUUAUACAAAAAGCAUCGAUGUUAUUGGGAGUGGAACCACUUAUUAUAAGUUGUGAUUUAUUUAGUCAAGUUUCCUAUGUGGGAUUUUCUAUUCUUCAACAAGCCCCCUCAUGUGGGACCACCACAUAGUGGGCCACAUGUAAAGCUAAGUCCACAUCGGAGUCAAUCAUUCAAGCCCAAUACCUAAACACCACGUAUUGUGUGAGGGGUAGGGGUAAACAUUCAAGCCCAACAUGUGAACCACCAAAUAUUAAGUAAGGGUAAAGGCUCAAUUCAGGCCCAAUCAAUGAACCCAUUAUGAUAUCAUGUUAAAUUUCAGAUAGACGGGACUGUGGCCCACCACUAGCAACAUUGAUAUUGUCCCCAACUUAACUACAUGUUUAGUAGGUGUGGAGUUCUAUACAUAAGGUCUCGAUGUUUUUAGGAGUGGAACCACUUAUUAUAAGUUAUAAUUUAUUUAGUCAAGUUUCCAGUCAACCUGACUUUGAUACCAUGUUAAGAUUUUAAAGGGACGAACUCUUGGCACUAUUAGUAACAUCGACAUUGUCCCCAACUUAACCACCUGUUUAGCAAGUGUGGGGUUUUAUCCUAAAGGCCUCGAUCUUAUUAAGAGUUGAGUCAUUUAUUAUAUGGAACUUUCUAUUUUGUUAACUCUGUGUAUUCUUCAUCAAUGUGAACACCCCUAAACCAAUCAUACCUGAUACGAAUUGAAACACAAGUUUGUUUUUUGCCUUUGGUAGAUGAGUAGCUAGAAAAGCUCAAUGCACUUGCUCUUCUGCUACAUUUCAAUAUAAGAACAAGGUUUGGAAGUCAGGUCAACUCCUCAUAGCUUCCUUGCCUUUGCUUUGACAUGUCUAUGCACUUCUUGGGGAAGUUUGAAUAAUCCAUUGCAGGCCCCAUGACAACUAAGGAACCAACAUUUUGUAGAAGGUUUUGUCUAUACCUUUUGACUAUAAGUAAAAUCUUUUGUAUCUGCUCUUAUGUUUCGGUGAAGUUUCUAUGUGUCCUUUGUGCCGAGUUUCUAUGCGUCCUUUGUUGAACCAAAAAAUGAGGUUGUUUCUUACUAGAUUCAAAUACUUAAAAGAAAAAAAGAAAUUGUUGUUUCUUAAUGGAUUUUAUGAUGAACAAUAUCAAACUCUCCUCUUAUACGUCUGUUGGUAAAUUUUAACAACAAUAUUAAAACCUUGCAAGUGCACAAAUCAAAUGAUAGUAUAGUAAGCAAGCAAGGGUCGAUCCCACGGAGAUUGUGAUCUAAAGAGAUGUUUAUCAAUGUCACGCAAUGAAAAUCAAAACAAAGGACUUCCAAACACACGCCAACACCAAGGGGGGUUUUGAUUUGUUUUUGUGAAUCAAACAAAAUAAGGAAAAGGAAACAAAAGAGAAUUUAAAUUAGAGUUUAAGAGAAAUUGGUUUAAAAUCAAUCAAGAUCAAUAGCUAGGACUUACUAUCCACCUCCAAACAAUCAAUCAAUCCAUAAACAACAAUAGAUAAUCAAUUUCUAGUAAGCACACUACUACAAAAAAGCAAAAAGACGACGGUAAAUCACCGUCGUGUAUUCGGUUUUUCAAUGGUCGUGGAAUCCACCGUCAUCUUUUCCCUCAUAAACCACGACGCUAAAUCACCGUCGUUGUUACAAUAUACAACGUCAUCAACAAAUACAAAACGACGUCUUUGUACUGCAAAAAGAUCUAAAAAAGCAAUCGAUGAUGAGAAAAGACGACCAACUCUCUAAACAAACCGUCGUUAAAAAGAAAAAAUAUGACACAUAUUAACAGAACAUGGCCGCAAGAUAGACAUACAACGACGAAAAUUAAAAUAAGACGCCGUUAAAUAUCAUUUUCACGACAAUAAAAAAUAUGUCGUCUUUAAAUACAUUAGAAGACGACGUUAUUGAUACCUACUACGUCGCCUAUAUAAAAAUAACCGUCGUAAAAUAAAUUUUCCACUUCGAUUUUUCUAUAAAAGAUGACGUGGAAAUAGUUGUCAGUGUCAUUAUUUACGACGUAUGUAUUUAUAGAGUAGACGUUGAACAACGAAACAACGUCGGUUACAAAUAUAUGAGAGUCGUAUUACAAAAUUUAUACGUCCUAUUUUCAGAAACAAACAACGACGAUAAAUAUUAGACGUUGUUAAAUAAAACAACGUCGAAAACAAAUAAAAACAGACGUGUUUAGUCUGCUAAAGUUCUAAAAAAUAGUCGAGGAUGAGAAUAGACGACCAACUCAAACAAAUCACCGUCGUUAAAAAGGAAAAAUAUGACACAUAUUAAAAGAACAAGGCCGCAAGAUAGACAUACAACGACGACAACUAAAACACUACGCCGUCAAAUAUAAUUUUCACGACAAGAAAAAAUAUGACGUCUUUAAAUACAUGAGAAGACGACGUUAUUGAAAUAUACUACGUUUCUUAUUUACAAACAACCGUCGUGAAAUAAAUUUUCCACUUCGAUUUUUCUAAAAAAGAUGAUGUGGAAAUAGUUGUCAGUGUCAUUAUUUACGACGUAUGUAUUUAUAUAGUUGACGUUGAAAUGCGAAACAACGUCGGUGGCAUUUAUAUAGUCGACGUUGUAUUUAUAUGUAUUCAUUACUCACGACGCACUUAUUAAUAUAGACGACGUUGAACUUCUAAACAACGUCGGUUCCAAAUAAAUGAGAGCCGUAUUACAGAAAAUAUAGAUGGCGUUGAUUAUGAUGAGAGCCGUAUUACAAAUAACGUCGUUUAAUUGAUAUUAGACGGCGGUUAUAAUGAAUUACCGUCGGAAUUCAUUUCGUUCCUCUUCGUUUAUAAAAGAACUUGCGACGUGGAAAAUGUAUGAUGACGUCGUAUUUUUUAACGUUCAGAUUAUAUAUCUCGUUUUUUAGACGUCGGUAUUAUGGGAUUGGAGUCGUGUUAUUUUGAAUUACAUGGCGGUUCUUAAUCCUUCCCCGACGUGAUAUCCUGAAUAAUUGCUUCAUAAUAGCGUCGUGGUUCUUCAUUGUUACGUUGCUUUAAGACGUCGGUAAAUAUGCUGAAUAACUGGUUCACAAUAACGUCGUGUUUUAUUUGAACGUAGAAAGUGAAGAAAUCACAUUACAAUAUAUUACAAAAUUAAUGUCAUACACUGCCAAUUACAUAAGCAUCAUUCAAUCCAUAUAUCUUCACACCCAUCUCGAAUAUUUUGACCGCCUAACUCACCCACCAGUUCAUCAAAUGUGUCAACAUUUGGCAUCCCUCUAGUAAAUGGCUCACACUCAAUUAUCACAUCACCUAAGACUUCAUCACCAAUAACAUUAUUAUAUUCUCUAUUAGGCAUUGAUAACACUACCGACCAACCACGAUGCAUCGGGUCGUCAACAAAAAAUAUUUGUUUGACUUGAGAAGCCAAAACAAAUUGGUCAUUCCUAUGUCCAAUUUUACUCAAAUCUACAAGGGUAAAUCCAAGUUCGUCGACUACAAGACCAGAACUAUCUAUCCAAUCACACCUAAAGACUGGGAUUGUAAACUUUUGGUAGUCAAGGUCCCAAAUUUCUUGAAUGACACCAUAGAAACCCAUAUUUGAGAGAAUUGAGUUUUUAUCCUUGGCACUAGCAACUUGCAUGGUAUGUGCAAGUAAAUAAACUCCACUAUUUUGAGUUGUCCGCACAUCAUCUUGUGCCUUGAUAUUGAAUUUAAUACCUUUAAUAAGAUAGCUCCUAUAUAAUGGCACAGCCAUGUUUGGACCAGCUGCUAGCCACCUUAAAUUUUCUGAUACGCCAUGAUUGUCUUCCUCAAGUUCACUUUGAACCUGCAAAUUAAUCAUAUAUCUUAAUGCAAUCUAACAUAGAAAUAAGAAGAAAAUUAAAAGAGAAAUAUGUUAUUCAACAACAUAUACCUUGAAGCGUAGCCAUUGAAUGAAAGUGUUAUUGUGCUUAUCCUGCAGCCACUUUGUGAUUUAAGGUAUGACAAUCAUGUGAUUUAAGGCCAAGAAGUCUUGAAUCUUGUAAAGAUACAAGAUUUUUAAUAUUUGAAGAAUAACCUUCAGGGACCUUCAUACCAUAGAAAGAAUUGCAAACCUCUCUCUUCUCUGCUCUUGACAAAUUCCAAGGCCCAGGAGGCAAACGAGUACGUCUUUCUCCAUACUCGGGUUGCAAAUCAGUUUUGACCCCCAUGUUCAAUAAAUCUAAUCGAGCAGCAAUCCCAUCUUUAUUUUUUCCAGGGAUCUCCAGCAAUGUACCAAUGAUACUAUCGCAAACAUUCUUCUCAAUGUGCAUAACAUCUAGGGCAUGCCUCACAGGAAGGUAUUUCCAAUACUCGAGAUCAAAGAAUAUUGAUUUCUUCUUCCAACAAACUCUGUCACCAUUUUCAACCAUGUGCAGCACUUCUUCUCCGGUUAAUGGCUCGGGAGGUAUGCCAUAUUCAGGUUUCCCAUUAAAAGCUGCACGUUGCCUCCUAUAUGGAUGAUUGAUUGGUAACCAUUUUCUAUGCCCAAUGUAACAAAUUUUGUGGCCAUUUUCAACCUGUGACUAGGUGUAUCAUCGCCGCAUAUUGGACAAGCUUUAUAUCCUUUAACAACACAACCAGAUAAGUUUCCAUAGGCGGGGAAAUCAUUAAUUGUCCACAUUAAUGCAGCUCUGAGUGUAAAGUAUUCUCCAUUAUGUGCAUCAUACACUCCUCUAAUCCCAUCCCACAAAGAUUUUAAAUCAUCAAUCAAAGGCUCCAAGUAGACGUCUAUAUCAUUUUCGGGUUGUUUAGGACCGGAAAUCAAUAAGGUUAACAUCAUGAACUUUCGUUUCAUGCACAGCCAUGGAGGGAGAUUAUAUGUAACUAAGAUAACCGGCCAACAACUAUAUCUGCUACUUAGAGAACUGUGGGGAUUGAAUCCAUCAGAUGAAAGAGCCAAUCUCAAGUUUCUCGGCUCAUUACCAAACUCAGGCCAUUUAUCAUCAAGAAGUUUCCAAGACGGGGAAUCCGCCGGAUGAGACAUCUGACCGUCAAUUGAUUUUCUAGCAGCAUGCCAAGUCAAACUCUUAGCUGUCUCAUGUGAUUGAAACAUCCUUUUAAACCUUGGAAUUGGAGGAAAAUACCACACCACCUUCGCUGGCACAUCCUCUUUCAAGAUUGAAUCUUUGCCUUCCUUCCACCUUGAGAUACCACAAGUAGGACAAUUAGUUGAAUCCUCAUACUCCUUCCUAUACAAGAUGCAAUCAUUGGGGCAUGCGUGCAUUUUCUCAUAACUCAGCCCCAAUGCACACAAAGUCUUUUUUGCCUCAUACAUAGAGGUUGGUAUUGUAUUUCCUUCUGGAAGCAAAUCGCCUUGAAGUAUCAAUAAUUCUGUAAAACAGACAUCACUCAUCCCAUGUUUUGCCUUCAAAUUAUACAACUUCACUAAUGCCGAUAACUUCGUGUACUUUCUACAACCAGGGUACACUGGUUGAUCUCCAUCCCCAAUCACAUUGGCAAACUCAUACGGAUCGGAACCAAAAUCACCAAAAUCAUUAUCAUCCAUAUCAAUUUCUUCAGACACAAAACUGUACCUACUAUGGCCAUCAUCUUCUUCAACAUUUCUACUAGCAUUAGUAGUUGCUUCCCAAGGUUCUCCGUGAAAUGUCCAAUUCUUAUAGCUUUGGUCAAUUCCAUUAAAGUAUAAGUGAUCCCUUAUAAUUCCAACCCCAAACAACUUCAAAUUAACACAUUUAACACAUGGACAACGGAUAUGUGUUGUAGUUAGAAGAUUUUCUACAGCAAAGUUCAAAAAUGCUUCCACCCCAAACUCAUAUGCCUUCGAUCUUCUAUCCGAGUGCAUCCAUGACUUAUUCAUCUCCGACACUAUAACCUAUUAUCUAUAAUAAAGUGAAAAUACAGGCAAUGACCAUCACUAUAGCAGAUUAUACAAAGAUCUAAUAGCAAGUAAUACAUAACAGAGACGACGGGUUUUAAACAAAAACAGACGUAUUUGGCAUAUAUAGACGACGGAUUUUCAACAGACGUCGUCUAAUAUAAGUAAUACAAACGACGGUUUAUGAAAAAACCGUCGUGUAUAAGUAAUACAACGACGGUUUUUUCAUAAACCGUCGUGUAAUCGUCGUCGUAUGCCUAAAAAGGCGUCGUGUCUCAGUUUAUUUUCAAGAACCCAAAACCCAUUAAGAACACAACAUAUAUAUGAAACCAAGCAAGAAACCAACAUAUACAUGAAGCCAAGCAUGAAAACAAUAAAUCCAUUCCCAAUUCAACAUAACAUAGGGUGAUUAAAAGAUCCGACAAAAUUAAAACCAUUCCCAAUUCAACAUAACAGAUAAUGUAAUCCAUGAACCCAUUAAACAGAAAAUCCAUGAACCUAUACCUAUAAGCACAUUAUUAACAGAUCGCAAAGCAUAUACCUAAAACCCUUUAACAAAACAACCUAAUAUCAUUCAAUGAAUUUACAAAGGGAAGAUAGGGUUUGUACUUACAGGUUGGACGAGCUCACAGAUUCGACGAAGCCUGGAGAGUGCAACUUUUAAUUAGAGCAGAAGUGAGAGAGCGAAUGUUAUGUUGCGCGAAAUCUGAAAAUUUUAGGGUUCAGGGUUAGAAGUAUAAGAAUAAGAGCCAAAUAUAAAAAAAUUUAGGGCGCGCGAAAAUUUUUAGAGCGCGCGCUCUUUAAAACGUCGAAAGAAAAACCAUGGCGAAAGUUCUACAAGAACCGACGUAAAUGUAAUAUUCCACGACGAAAACACUUAACGUAACGCCGUUUAUUUUGACGUUCAUUUUUCGGAUUAAUUUUAAAUUUAUUUUGAAUAUUUUGAUAUAAAGACGACUGAAAAACCACGUCGAAGUUAAGAAAUUGAAAACGUUGUAAAUUAUAAUAGACGACUUACAUAUUAAAAUGACGUCGUUUAAAGUGGAAACCAUGUCGGAUAUUUUACUGCACGACGUAACAUAUGUAUUCCACGACUCAACCACCGUCGUUAACAAUUAAUACCCUAAACCCUUAAAACUAAAUUAUAUAAUUUUAAAAAUUAAGUUUAUAAAAGGGUUUAUGGUUUUACAGCCUAAUAUAUACCCUAUACUACCCAAAAAUUAUACUUUAAAAAUAAACCCCAAUAAAUAACAACCCUAAUCUCUAAACCCUAGACUCUAAACCCUAAACCAUAAAACUAGAAGUGAUUUUAUGACUCAUCAAAACAAUUUUGUUUUGGAUGGUCAUUUUAAAUUUUUUUUAUUCAAAAUGAAUUUUUUCAAGGUUUAGGGGGAAGAAAAUAUAUCAAUGACUUCAUAGGAGUUGACUUUUCAUUUUUCUGAUUUAUUUUAAAUUUAUUUUGAAUAUUUUGAUAUAAAAAUAAUAAAAUAUUCUUAUCACAAUAACAAACCACGUCGGUGUUAAUAAAUUUUAGACGUUGUAAAUUGUAAUAGACGACUAAGUUGUUAAAAUGACGUCGUUUAAAUGAGAAACCAUGGCGGAUAUUUAACUAUCCGACAUAAAAUAUAUAUUCCACGACUUAACCGCUGUCGUUACAAAGUACUACCCUGAACCCUUAAGAAAUUGAAGACGUUGUAAACCAUAAACGACUCAAUUGUUCAAAGAACGUCGUCUAAAUAUCCUUUUACGUCGGAUUUGGUUAAAACGAAACAACAAAAAACGACGGCUUUUGACUUUAUUACGUCGUUGGAAAAGUAUUACACGUCGGUUACGCAAUUUGUAUGUUUGUUUUUUUUUUUAAUUUAAGAAAACCUCAACAAAUUUUUACAUUAUAUAUUAUAGACAAAAUUUGUACAUUAUACAUAAAUAUCAAGUGUUCAAUAAUUCCCCUAUUCCAGGUGAAGGCAAACAAACUCUGACCAUUCAUUCCGGACUUCAUCAAUUGCUUCUUGGGGGUAUGGCGCUUCCUGUUUUCCCUUGGCAUACUGCAUAAACAAUGACUAUUAGGGUUUAUAAAUAAAAAGAAAUUCAAUCACAGACGACGAUAUUUUUCAUAACCGACGUACUAUAUCUAUUCAACGACGGUAAUUUUACAUGACCGUCGUUGAUAAUACAAAAAACGACGUAAAAUGUAUGAAGGUAAUUUCUUCUUACCUUCUUCUCAAACCCCAAGGAAGGAUCCAUGAUGAUGUCCCUCAUGAAGCGCAUCACAUAAUACCCGCAUUCGACAUUGCUGGGUUGCUUUGGUGUCCCUGACAGAGUUUUCCAAAUGGCUGCCUUACGGCCUGGUCUGGCUAUGUGAGAAUUAUAAAUUUUUAUAGCACUGUUCACAAUGUUUUUGGCCUCUUCAUCGACCACACGAUUUCCUGGCAGAGGAUCCAGAAAAUAGACGGUUUCUCUCUUUGCUCUUACAAUCAGCAAGAUCCAAUGACGGCUGCACAAAAUUAAUAUAAAAACGACGGUUAUUUACAAUAACGACGUAUUAUAAUGUUUCACACGACGAAAUAAAGUAGCAAUCGACGACAUUUUACAUUUAUCACGACGAUAAAUAACUACCGACGUGGUUAGUAGUUUCAAACGACUCAAUAAAAUAAAACACCGACGUGGUUAGUUUAUACGCUGUAAUUUAUUGAAAAUCAUAAAAACAAAAUCCUGUUAAGGAGACUAACCCUGGAUUGUAAGGCAUCAGGAAAAUCUGUUCACCGUCAGUCUUUUGAAGUCGAGCUGCUAGUAAGCGUGAUCUGUCAGCUAUUGUGCCAGAGUUGGCACUAACUGUAGCAAGGUCGAUAAAGCCAACCAUAUUGCACAUAUUUGCUCGUUUCAAAACAUCGUGCAAGUGCCUAAAUAUAUAAAAUAAUAUAAACAAGUCAGCACAAAAAAACACACGACGGUUAUGUAUAACAAAACGACGUAUUAUAAAAUUUCACACGACGUACUGAAAUAGACAACGACGUUAUAAUAUAUUUAUCACGACGGUAAAUACUAACGACGUGGUUAGUUAGUUAAGACGACGUAAUAAAUAAACCAACGACGUAUUAUUUUAGAAUGACAAACCUCAUAUAUACAAAAAAACACGACGGUUAUGUAUAACAAAACGACGUAUUAUAAAAUUUCACACGACAUACUGAAAUAGACAACGACGUUAUGAUAUACUAACGACGUGGUUAGUUGGUUAAGACGACGCAAUAAAUACACCAACGACGUAUUAUUUUAGAAUGACAAACCUCAUAUAUACAGCAAUGACAGUGGCUCCUAUUUCUUCCAUGCCUGCAAAUUGUGUAAUAUCUUCAGGCAGGAGGAAGGUAUCGCGCUCUAGACCAAACACCUCCUUAUCAAUUGUAAAGUGCAGGGUCUUAUCCUGAGGCACGAGUGUCGUUUCCACAUAACGACAAAGGGAGUUUAAAGAAGAUGGCGCCUCCAUAUUUGAAUAAUCAACAACUUUAAUAACCUGUUUAAAGAAAUAUAAAAAAUGACGUGGUAAUUCAAUAAAAACGACGGUUUAAGGAAUAAAACGUCGUCUGAAAAGAAUUUAAACGUCGUCUGAAGAAACCGUCGUGGUGAAUAAUUUAUUACGUCUUAAAAAAAAUUCCGCCGUCUAAGUUGUAAACAAACGACGGUUUAAAGAAAAAUAUCGACGUCUGGAAUUUUGAAAAACAAAUAAAAAAGGCAAAGUUAUGUGAACAUACCUGGUCGUCAUCUUCUUUCUCCUUUUCAUCAUGUUUUUCUUCUGUCUUCCCUUCAUCUAUUACGUCGAGAAUGACUAACUCCGUCGUCUAAAAACCACAAAGUUUUAAAAUAACGACGUUUAAUGGCGUGUAAAACAAGUAAACUAAAUACGACGUGGUAUUGAAAUACAAACGACGGUUUAUGUUUAAAAUCGUGGUGGUAUGUAUUUCAAACGACGGUUUUAUUAAUAAUAACGACAUCUAAUGGUUUUUAAAAAAACAGAGAAUUCAAAGUUCAGAUAUGUUACCUUUUCUUCCUGAUGUUUCCCAUUUUUGGCAGUAUCAUCCUCAAAAUGCUGGGAUCUCACAUCACCUCCAGAGCAGCUUGCUUUGUCAGACAUUGGAUUUUUGGGACUUUGGCUAAUUCUGGGUUUAAGCAUGCUUGGAUCAAAAUUGGGAAUUAAUUGGGAAAGCUGACUCAGGAAAUGCUCCCUCUCAGCCUCUACCAAUUGUUUCGUUCUAGCCUCCAUCCUUAAAGCCUCUUCCCUUGCCUUAGCUUCCAUCUUUUUAGUCUCUUCUUGAAGGAGAACUCUUAAACUGUCCUUCAAACGGUCGUCAAAGCUCACUCUCUGUGGUUUGGGUAAAUUGAAAUAUUGCCUUGGUGAGAUCCCAGCACCUACUCCUCUCACUCUGCCUGGAUGCUCGGGGCCCAAAGCCAUGGUCAGCACAUCAUUGCUGCCAGAAACAGUGACUUUGCCUUCCGAGACUUGUUUUUGCAAUUCAUCCUAAAACAAAGAUAUAUAAAAAAGUAAGAACAAAAACACACGACGGUUAUUUAUAUACAAACGACGUAUUAUAUAAUUUCACACGACGCAAUAACAUAUAAAUCGACGUUAUUAUAAUUUAUCACGACGGUAGUUUUUAAACCGACGUGGUUAGUUUUUAAAACGACGAAAUGAAUAAACCACCGACGUCUUAUGCUUUAUUUACAGAUAACAGAGGGAUGAUUCAAUAUUCACACCUUUAACGACCUUGUUUAAAAUAUUUCGACGUAGUAAUUCAAUACAAACGACGCGAAAAUGAACCACCGACAUCUUAUGCUAUAAUUACAGAAAACAGAGUAGUGAUUCCUGAUUUAGACCUUUAACGAUGUGGUAAUAUCAUUCACACGACGCAAAAUAUAACAUAAGACGUAAUAAGAAUUAUUCACAGUUUAAUAAAAAUUUAAAACAGAGUGAGUAGGCUUACAAUUAAUUUUGCUUUCUCUGCCACCUUUGGAUCCGGGAUGUUACCAUGUUUGUCCUGUCUAGCUCUCUUCCAUAAGGUAGAUCGAUCAAUUUCUACCCCAGGCAUGGUUUCCUCCAAUUGAUCCUCCAAACCAGCAUAUCCUUUUCGAGACAAUCGAUGAUUGUACUCAAGUUUCUCCCUAAUCUGUGCAUGUUGAGAAUGCACAGACUCAAAAUCUUUGGAUAACCUUGAAGCUACAAAGGCAUCCCAUUGUGCUUUCUCUAUGAAUUUAUAUAUUUCAGGGGGUUGGCUUAAUCUCUCCCUGUCAUUAGUGUAUGGAAGGAUAUAUUGCCUCGUUAGUGUAGACUUGAAAUCCUUCCAUUUCUUGGCAGCAGAAGCUAACACAGAGCUCUUGCCCCCUUGACCUACCACAAAAGCAAUGUCAACUGCUUCCCAAAUCUGCUCCUUUAUAUCCUUGGAGAUUUGAGCCUAUUUCAUGUCCACAAGUGGAACUCUGGAGCGUGCCAACACACCAAUGUAGGACUGCAUCUCACUAUGUGCUUGGCCAAUUCCUUUCCCCCUUUUAUUGUACUCAACAAUUGGCCUCAGUUUCUGAAGUUUUCUCUUCACAACAUGAGGCAUUGUGCUCAUACCUCGACCAGACUUUGAAUCAUCAGAGAUUGUUGUCGUGCUGGUUCGUUCUGUCUCAGCAGAUGAUGAAGCAAACUUCAUCUUCUUCGAAGGCUUCACUUGAGGAGGUACCAUUCCAAGGUCCUUACCUCCAUUUUUCUUGGAGCCAGAAUCCUUACUUUGGUCUUAGUGAGAAACCAUUUUUACAGACAAAACUGCAAGUGAAAAUAUUUCAGGAAAAGAUUAAGAACACAAACGACAGUUAUUAAUAAAAUACGACGUAUGAUAUGAUUUUAAACGACGCAAUGAAAUAAUCUCAGACGUAAUAAAUGUUUAAAACCAAGGUAAUUAAACAACGACGAAAUAAUUAACUAUAAACGACGUGAUAAUUAACUAUAAACGACGAAAUAUUUAUAUAACGUCGUGGUAUUGAUGUUCACACGACGUCAGUCGUAAUAUACCGUCGUCUAUAUAAGGAUCCAAAACCCUUCUUUCUUUCUCUGUGAAUGUUUGAUUGCAGAUUUGAUUUUUCUGAACCAUGGUUUUUGUUUUCUAAUUUGAUAAAAUACAAGGCCAAGAAAGAAAGUUUUGGAAUCUUAUAUAGACGACGGUAUUUUAAUAUGACGUCGUGGUAUUAACAUUCACACGACGUAAAACAAUAAGAUACUGUCGUCUAUAUUAGAUACCAACCCUACUUUCUUUUUCUUUAUAUUUUAUCAAAUUAGGGAAAAACAAAAACCAUUGUUCAGAGAAAUCAAACCUGCAAUUAAACAAGCAAAUAAAAAAAAGACUAUAAUUUUAAAAACAACUUUGUCAAUUUUCAGACGACGCUAGAACGACUGACGAACCGUCGUGGUCUACAUAUUUAACCACGUACAUAAGAAGCUACCGUCGUCUUAUUUAGUUGAGGUAGUUGUCUUCAAAGUUGGAAACUUUCCCUCUUUGUCUGUAUAUUUUAUUGAACUUGGAAAGAAGUAAAAUGAUUUUGGCCAGAAAAAAGGUAAAAAGAUUUUUCAAACAAAAAACGUAUGAGCAUGCAAAACAACAACCAAAAUAGUGAAAAUGAAAGCUUACCUUUUGCGUGCAAUGAAAGCAAGAGGAAGAUUAUGUUUAAGUUCAGAGACGACGAAGAAGAAGAGAGGAAGACGAUGAGAUACUCUGACAGUGCUCUGACAAGGAAAAAAGUCUAAAAGUUUUCUCUGGGAGAUUGAACUUUUUAAUCGGGUUUGAAAACGGCGCAUGUGUAUGUCAGGUAGACGAAAAGUUGCUUACAUAUAAAACCAUUUCAAAAAAAUAAUACGGCGGUUACAUAUAACUACGACGUAUAAAUUACAAAAUACGACGGUACAUUUAACUUCGGACGUGGUAAAUAAAUACGACAGUAGUGUUGUAGGUACCGUCGUAGUAAACUCAAAAAUUAAAGUACAUAAGUAAUAACUCGCGUCAUGGUAGAUUAUUUAACACGUCGUUUUUAUUAAUUUACCGACGUGGAUUUCUGUAAUAUACGUCGAUAAUACCGACGUUGAUUUUACAAUUUAAACGGCGGUUUUUUUGUAAGGACCGCCGUUGGUUUUAAAAAUUUAUUCUAUAAAUUUGUCGCUUUCAUUCAUUUUCGGUUUACAUUUAAGGUUCCAAGUUCUUCCUCUCUCAGUCUCUCACGUCUCAAAGACAAUAAUUUGGAUGUCUUUCUCAAAGAGAAAUUGAGCUUACUCGCAUCAAAUAUAUGUCCACAAGAAGAAGCUUGUCAACUAGCCUUCUCACUUCCUUGAUCAAGCCUGAUAGGACACUUAGUGCUUCUGAAUACUCCUUGCUUUCCAUCAAAAGAGAUGCAAGCCUGGCCUCCACUCGCUGUCGAAGGAAAGUUCGCUUCUCAGGGAAAUCUUCUUGAUUUUCUUGGCUAAGAAGAUCCGUCAGAUUUGUGAUAGCCUCUUCCUUUAUCCGUAGAGCUUCAGAAGAAGAAGAUGGGUUUCAAGAAUGCGAUAAAGAAUAGAAAUGGCUUCAGAUGGCCUCUAAAGCAUGAGCAAUCGAAUCAGUAGUUGUUGGGAGAUAUGAUGAAGACAUUGUCAAUGCUUUGAACUAUACAAGUCCUGCAGAAAGAUAAAGGACCAAACUGUUAAAGAAACUGAAACAAUGGCGGUUUUCUGUUCUACCGUCGUCUUUUCUCGUCGUCUAUAUUAAGGUAAGAUGGCGGUAGAUUUAUAAUUACCGACGUAGAUUAUUUUGUUAAACGUCGUUAAGUGUACUACAACCGACGUGGAUUUUAUUUUUAAAUUAUAAAUAGAGUUUUUUUUCCCCUAUUCUUUCAGUUUUAGUUUUCAAUUACAAAGCGUGAUAAAUAGAUUUUUCUUUCCCGAGGAAAUUUAAAAUGAGGGAAAUUAAUGUUCUAGAAUUUGUAAACUAACACGACGCAAUAUUUGCAAAUCUGUGUCAUCUGUUAAGAUUAUGAUGUGGAACAGAGUUCCAUCUGGUAAGAUUUCGUAACCCUUGGGAUCUCAGACAAAUCUGAUUAUGUCGGCGGUUUUCUAUAUAAAUCGUCGUGGUUAUUUCAAUUCUUGUCAUUAAGUAGAUCUACCGACGUAGGAUAAGAAAAUCAAAGAAAAAAAUUGUUAACAAAAAUUCUUAUUAAGACGACGGUUAAAAUUAAAGGUACGACGUAUAAAAUGAAUAAAUACGACGUUAAAUUUUAUUGUACGAUUUAAAGAUAACGUCGUAGAACUAUAAGAGAAUGACGUCGAUAUAUUUAUAUUUUCCGUCGUUGUACAUUAAUUUAAUACGGCGAUAUUUUGUAUUUUAAAGCCGUGGAUUUGUUUGUAAUUAUACGGCGUCUUAUACGAAAACCUCGUCGUGUUAUUUUAUGAGUAAAAACGGCAGUUUUUAUUGAAAUCGUCGUCUUUACUUUCUACGUCGGUCGAUUCAUAACUUCUGCCGUUCUUUGUUGGCAUUGAUUUUACACUGCGAAAAUCUGUUUCAAAUAGACGUCGGUUGUUUAAUUAUGUACGUUGUUGUUUUUGAACAGCCAUUUGAAUCUCCAUUUUUUAGUUGUCUAAGGUUGUAUUACACGACGGUGUUUUUAGAACCGUCGUCUUUUUAAAAACCACGACGGUUUUCACUUAGACCGUCGUUGUUUUCUGGUCGUCUUUUUCACUUUUUGUAGUAGUGGCAUAUGAUGACGACACUCACAACAAGAUCAUGGCAUUUGACUCGAGUUGUAUGAUUCUCUCUUAAGUGUAUGUAAAGUGUAUGACAUUUACAUCAAUACGUGUAUUCUUAAUUGAAAUCUACUAUGGCAUUUACUCAAAUUAACAAUCAAGAAUCCAUUAAGAUCAAAGAGAAUAUGAGUGUCACAAAAACCCUAAAACAUGGCAUUUGUUAUUAGGAAUUCAAGAAUCGAUUUCUCAUAACUAGUUCUUAACCCAAUUAUUCGUUGCAAAUAAGAACACAUUCAAUAUGGCAAUUGACCUAUGUUCUACAACAAUUUAAUUCCAAUACAUGCUUCUAAGUUAGCUACUCAAAGAAACAAAAUAUCAGAAUUCACAUAACAUAUAGAAACCGAAAACAUCACGCUUGUAGAAACUAAAAAUCCAUUAACCUUGUUUAUAAAAUUGAAAUCAUGUUUAGGGCUUCAAGAUUAAGCCCUAACUAACAAGAAAUUAGUUACUCAUGGUCUUGGAUGAACUCAAAAAUAAAUACAUAAGAACUGAAAAUUAAAGAAGGAAGGAAAAGAAAGAACUCGUUCGCAGCUUUCUCCUCUUGCGCUGUUGAUCUCUUUAGGACGUGAAUCCUUUUUAUCAGCCUUGCCUCGUCUUUUAUAUCACUUAUAUCAGAGUUCUAAACCCUAAAAUUGACUGAAAAGUCGUCCAAGAAGUCUUGGUAAACAAGGAAUCCAAAUAGGAAAGUAAAAAUCACAAUUCCUAACUCCACUGGGAAAUACAGCUCAGCCCAAUGUUCACACGAUUUUGGGAUCUUCGACCUUGUAGAAAAAUCAUUAAAAAUAUAUUUUAGAAAGAUAAAUGUCUUAUCUUUCCAACCAUAUAUAGCACGUAACUUGAAAAAUUCGGAAAGGCUUCCGUUUCUUCACAUUCACGUAGCAUGUACGAAACUGUCCUGUCUGCACGUGGGCUAACUUUACUUGUAAUACUGUACCAAUUGGCUCGGUAGAAAAUUCUAGAAAAAUCAUAGAUUGAACUUCAAGAUGUUAGCUUUCAUCUCCAAUCAGGGGCGGCCUUGGGGAGGUGCAAGUGGCGCCACCGCACAGGGCCCCCGAAAAAAAAAAUAUUUAUAUUAUAUAUAUAUAUUAAUAUUAUAUGAAUCGUAUAUAUAAUAUAGCGUCUGGAUAUUUGCACAACAGCGUGUUCAGGGGAGUUGGAUGGAGCACAUCUCUCUUUGGCAAAAGGGCCCGAGUUCGAUGCUCCUUGAUGUCGUUCUACUGGCUAGCCUUUUGUGAUAUUAUUUUUGCAUUCAAACUUUACAUAAUUAUUGAACCAUUGGAUUAAUAUGCAACGAUGGGUGACCACAAUCUCUUGGACUCCUGUGGUCCAUGAGAUCGGGACUGAUAUUACAUGACUUAUUUUAUUAAAUUAUUAUCAUGUUGAUGAUUGGUUGUAUGAGAAUAUAGUUUGUAGAAAUAUUUAUCUAUUUCUUGUUGGGGUUUUCUUCCAGGUUAUAGGGUUUUGGAAUUUUUCUUUGUAAUCUAAACAUGCCACCUACUAGAAAAUACGUUUAUGGAUAUACAAAACGGCUUAGAAAAAGAAAAUUCGAGGAAUUGACUCAAUCUCAAAGAGGAGCUCUUGAUAGAUUCAUUGUUAGAGAAUCACAUGCUACAAUUGAUGAAAAUAUUUAAAUUUUUAUGAAUUUAAUUUCUGAUUUUCAUUGCAUAUUUAUUGAUGGUGAAUUUUAGUUAUAAAAAAAAAUUGUUUAUGACAUUAAGUUAUGGCAAAUUUUUAUAGUAUUUUCGUAUUAGAUUAUGCAAGGCCCCAAUUUAAGUUUCGCACAGGGCCCUCAAAAUCUCAGGGACGGCCCUGUCUCCAAUUGGUCUUGUGCUAAAAUUCCUCCGAAAAGUUGAUUUUCCCUUAAAAACCUUCUAAGAGUGCAGAAAAGCUGAAAAUCAGAAAAAUAAAGUAAUAAGCCAUUUUUAAAUCUAAUUCUCUUACAAAACCAAAGUAAAAAGAGUACAUAAAUGAGUAUAUUUAUGGACUUAUCAACGUCUUCUUCGUUGGACUUGGGGUUGUUUUCCUUAUAUGUCCCCUAUAUAUAUAUAUGGCCUUUAGUUGAGCCCACAAAUACCUUCAGUUAGUUUUUGGGUUUAGGGGCCUACAGAACCUGCACUAAACAAUAAAAGAAAAUACCUAAUUAGUUUAGUACGAAUUUAUAAUGAAGGCUUUAUUAGGUGAAGUUUUAUUUCUUAAUCGUUAGAUCAAAUUGGUUAGCAUCUGAAGUCGCCCAAAGAUUUGAGAGGGAUUCCACAAACAUAUAAUAUAAAGAAAGAAAGCAAUAGUAGGAGAUGAACCAGUACAAAAAACAAUAUAUAAAUAGUACAUAAUAAUUCCAUAACCUUGUCACAAACGCACUCACAAAUGCUUUCCAUAAACCUUGCCCUAACAUAUAACAAAUAAAGGCAACAUUGCAUAUGAUGCAACCAUGUCCAAAUCUGAUACGUGAUAAAAAAAAAAGGACAUGGCAGCAACAUAUGACUGAAGUAGAUGGGCUCUUUGCAUCUCGUGUUAUCGUAAUUAAAGACAUCAAAAUAUUAAGGUUGAAAUCUUCUAUAGUAGCAAGCAUUAAAAUAGGUUUGAAGCAGAGUUUAAAGAAAAUUCCAAUUCCACUGAUUUGCCUCUGCUCAAAGACGAGAACCAAAAUGGUUACUUCCCUUGCUGAGUAUAUUUGUUAACGUCGGAAACGGUAAUAGAUGACCAAUCAAACCCAAGUACGACGAGUUUUGCAUAGGAUCAGAAGUAGUUGAAUCCAGCUUGCAUCACACGCUUCUUUGACUCCAUUGCAUUAGAUGAGUUUUUGUAUUUUUGAACAGCUACACUCCGAAGUCGUUUGUGUCUACGCUUCAUGCGCUGCAACUUCGCCCUAUCCAGAUUGGCCUGCCUUUUGUCAUCUUCAAUUUGGCCUUCAACAAAUUCCAAACGUGCCCUUGCCCUUUGGAUUUCAUCACCAAGUUGAAGAUGCCUCUCCUUCCAAAAAGCAAGAACUCUUUCAGACUCAAAACUUCCAACAAAAUGGUCAUUCUAUCUAGGAAUGUGACAUUGCUUGUCUGGUGACUCACCUGCGUUUCAAAGGCGGUCUUUGUUUGGAGGGGUGUUUAUUAUGCUCACAUCAAACUUGGUUAGUAAAUCCAUUCUAUGGGGGGAGUGAGUUUCUGUGGAGGAGAGAGUUUCAGUAGAUGGAGACAGAUUCGGUGGAGGAGUGAGAUUUUUGUGGAGGGAGAAUUUCUAUGAAAUGGGUGAUAGUAAUACCAAUAAAAGGGUUCCCGCCAAAAAGUAUUUGGUUGACAAUGUAUAAAUUAAUUUUUGGUCUGAUACAAUCUAAGUUUAAUCCUAACUAGUUUGGUUAGUUUGGUUGAAUUCACUAACUAGAUGUCACUUCCAUUGAGUUUCUUUCAACCACUAUCAGUGGUGUAAGGAGAGUGUGAGGUUGACAUGCUUGAAAAGCAAAACCUAACACCUCUUUUUUUUAAAAUUGAAAGAAAGUACAUAUGUUGACUACACACAAGCUUUGGUAUGUUGGUCUAUAAAGCUAUGUUCCCUUUCUCAAACGAAAUUGCAUAUGCAAUCCUCGUCCUCCCAAAACAAAUAGAAUUAUUCAAGCAUGUCAACCUCUUCAGGCGCCAACAACACAAUCAAAGAUGACAAAUUGGAGUCGCAGGUUCUAUUUCCACAUUGUACUCGCCGACCCCUUCCAUUUUCAACAUCAUUUGGGAGUGAGGGGGACUCCGAUGAUCCAUUAGAGCUAAUACAUGCAGUCAAUAGCAAGCUGGAUUAUAAUUCCAGACUGAUCAAUUCAUGGCGCGAGAAAUAUGUUGAAGACGAAGCCAUUUUGGCUGAUCUUAACAUUAGAGUGAACAAAGCGUUCUCCCAAAAGAACAAGUACUUGAAGCUGAGUCAUAAAAGGAAGCUGAAAGCUGAGGAGUUAGAUACAGUAAUGAAUGAUGAAAUUAAAGGUUGUUUGAUGAAUCAUAUGCGAUGCGAAGAGCACCACAGUGAACUGGAGUUGGCAUUCAACGAAGGAUUCGAAAAAUUACGAGCAUUUGCAGCAACUACUCAUACAAGUUAUAAUUGGGACUAUGUGUCCCCUGAUGUUGUGAGAGAGAUACUAGACGAUGGUGGUGACAUGAAUGAGCAUAAGCACGUCAAAGCUGCUUGGAAGAAGCCGACCGAUACGACUAAGUGAUUGCGGCUACAGUUGUUCAGUUGGUUGAGAGUGAUCGUGGUAUUGCACAAAUUAGAAGUAUAUUCCCAUAAUGUCAUUAUCUAAUUUAAAAUAACACAAAUAUCAGUUUCAUUUGCUUCAUAUUGUAACACCCCGACCCCAAAUUUCCCCAAAAUUUACCCUCAUUUAAUUAAUUAAUUAUUUAAGGGUAUUUUAGUCAUAUUUUUAACCGGAGAGAGUUUGGGACCAUGACUUGUAUUUUUGGAUAGGUCGUACUGAGACGAGUUCAUAGACACGUAGUGGGCUCGAAUCAGAGUUGUAACGAGAGAGAUAUGGUCAAAAGAAACCCAGUGGCACAAUCGUAAAUAUUUCAAAAUGGGAUUUUUAUAAAAAUCUGGUUUUUCUCUCUCUCUCUCUCUCUCUCUCUCUCUCUCCCGCGACUUCUCUCUCUCUCCCGUCGGCUCUCUCUCUUUCUCUCCUUGUAUCUCCGGCCACCGACCACGGCUGUGGGCGGGGCCGGUACCAAACUGACCGGGACGACGUCCCCUUCCUUCCCCGACCAUUCCCCGCCGGCAACGCGGCCGUUGCUGGCCGGAAAAUGCAGAAAACCGCCGGGAGGUCGUCGAAACUUCAACGCCGUCGAUCUCCCUCCUCCGGCCACCAUUUUCGUCGACCCAGGUAUGGAUCUUGAACCUCUCGAGCUGUUCUAGCUGUUUGUUGGUUGGGUUUUGAUCGAUUCGAUCUCUAGAUCACUCGAUUUUCGAAUUGAAAAUUGGCCGAAACUUCGGCCGCCGUGAUCGGCCAUUUUCGGCCACUUUUUGUGGUAGGUCCAAGAACAAAAGUGGCUCCAAAUAGGGUGUUAUACCUAGGGUAGAAGUUUGGAGCCGAGAUGUUGAGAUUUUCCGGCGAAGCGUUAUCGCUUUGGGCACCCACGCGUGCGGCGGCGCGUGGGCACUGUAGAAAAAGUAGAUGUGUUCCGAUGAGAUCCUUAGGUUGUCACGAGUGCGUAGGAUUUGGCGGAUCUCAAUUCGGACGUCGUUUGACUAUCGAACGGAUAAUCGCAUAUUAUGCGUUAUCCGGGUUCGAUAGGUUGAGACCGUCGGAUGGUCCCAAAUUUAAUAUAUGUUGAUCUAGGUAUUUCUAGGAUCGUGUAGGAUUUCACGGAUCGUGAAUCGGAGCCCCGGAUGUUCCGAAUAAUAAUUUAAAGUUUAUAUUUUAUAUUAACCAUCAGAUUAUGCGAUCGUGAGAAAUCCGACCGUCUGAUCUGAACCAAACUGGCAGGAAAAGUGUCCUGUACCUGGUAGAACCCAUAGGGACCUUCGGAUCGGAAAUUGGAGGUCGUGGGUUCCGCAAGUCUGUUUGACCAGGGUUAGAGUAGUUUGACCCUUGGUUGACCGUGAGUCUCCCGGAGUAAUCUCACCCUUCCAGGGGGAAUUAUCGGGAGCUAGACUAUUGUGGAGGGUUACACAAUAUUAGAAUUAUUUAUAUAAUUAUAUAUGGUUGUACAAGGGUACAACAAAGUCUAGAAUGUCAGUUUGGAGUGCUAUACGCACUACUUUAGGUACCUCCUCGGAUUUUGGAUUCGCUACAAGCACCACCAAGUGAAAGUUAGGUCCCGCGUGGCGUAGGUUAUCCGGCGUUGGGACAGACCCCAUACGUGGCGUUGGUUGUACCGGCGUAUGGGGAGAUUUGCAAUAUGAUGUUCAGGUCUCACGUGGCGUAGGUUAUCCGGCGUUGAGACAGGCCCCGUACGUGGCGUUGGUUGUACCAGCGUACGGGGAGAUUAUGUGAUAUGAUGUUGAGGUCCCGCGUGGCGUAGGUUAUCCGGCGUUGGGACAGGCCCCAUACGUGGCGUUGGUUGUACCGGCGUAUGGGGAGUUAUAUGAUAUGAUAGUAUGGCAUGGUCGCACAUGGCGUAGGUUAUCCGGCGUGUUGACAGGCCCCAUACGUGGCGUUGGUUGUAUCGGCGUAUGGGGAGAAUAUGUGAAAUGCAGAGAAAGGAAAUAAGGUAUCACCGAUGUGUGGAAUUGGGUUUUAGGGAAGAACUACGUGUGGCUUGAUCCCUCAAGGAGGGUACGUAGGCAGCCUAAGGUUAUUGGGUGCAGCCGCAGACUAAAUAUUAGUCAUAUUUGGUAUUUGAAUUGUAUGGUAGUUGUUUGAGAAUUAUUGGAAGGCCAAAGGCCAUUUAUGAGAAUUUGCAUGAAAUUAUAUUGUGCAUGCUGCUAGUUGUGGAUAUUAAAUGUGUUUUUAUGCAGGUUGAAAUUUUGGGAAAUGUCCAAUUUAUAGGGGAGACUCUGCUGAAAUUUCGGCAGGAAGUCUCGGUUUUUAGUAAGUGGGCCUGGCAUCGGGGUGAUGUCAGGAAUUCCAAAGGGUUCGUCUCGGGUUUUGAGAAAAUUCGGGGCGGGUCCUUAAACAUAUAUAAUUAUUGGGACUAUGUAUUGCAAGUCAUCAUGUGUUCCUUCUGUCUAACAUUAUAUUUUGCAAAUAUCAAAAUAUUAUUCAAUAAGCAGUCAAUAUCACAGCAAGUUGGGAAUUAGUAAAGCCCCAUUAUCAUGUCCGUUCACAUUAAAGAGCUGGCGUACUUUUUCUCAAAAAACUGACACGUGAGUCAUAAGUAACAUAACAUGUGCUAUACAUUGUUUAGUGAAUGGUUUAUGGUUUAUUUAUAUAUAAUAAAAUUCCAAAUAUUGCUGAAUAUUUGUUUUUUCUAUAUCCCUGGGAACAUGAGUGACCAUAAGCAUGUAAGACCUGUUAAGAAGAAGCUGACUAAUACGACCGAGUGAUUGUGGCUACCGUUGUUUAGUUGGUUGGGGAGAUCGUGGUAUUGCUAAGAGGGAGCACAUAAUGUGCUUUGCAAUCAAAUUUUCUUUUGUGUGUGGAAUUAUGAGUAGUUCAAAUGUUAGUGUACCCUUUAAUAUUCUUCAACCGUUUGAAAUGUGAUUAGCUGCAAUGUACUUUUUUACACGCUGCUUUCUAAUCACUCUGUUCCAACAAAGUGCUUUAAGUAUCCUUCAGUUACAAAUGUUUACAAAAUCGUGCAUCUAAUAACCAGUCGAGCUCAGAUCUUAAUAACAAGUAAAACACUAGAACAUAACAUUCGGAAAAAGUGGGUGCUGCUGGAAAUCAUUACUGGUAAUGGAAGCAAGAGCUGGCUGCUGGAAAUGCUGCAUUAGCCUGUGAUAUAAUCAAUGAAUCUCUGUUAAAACAUAAUUCACCAUAAACUACCCAUUUUACAUGGUAAAAGUCAUUGCUUCUUCACAUAACUCAAAAUUUGAUACUUUAUCAAAUGUCUAUGAAAAUUUCUAAAUAGGGGAAAGACGUAAAAUUAACAUGUGUCCAAAUUUCAUGCAAGAAUGAAACCAAGCAAAUUUUUAUUUCAAUUAUCAGUGGACAUAGUAAGAACUCAUCGGUGGACAUGAACAAAAAAAUAAUAAUAUUAAAAACUGAAUCUAGAAAACUUCACCUGAUCAUUAGUCUUCAUAACAACCGAAUUUCGUCUAAUAGAAACAUAAAUCAUUCAGUUGGUCCGUGCAUCGUGUCAAAUUCAUAGAAUAAUGGGUCACUACGAUCUAUUGGAGUUGAUUCGUCAUUGUUCGACGGUGAUGUCCUGCAUAGACAUCAAACACAAGCACAGAAAAAAUUUACCUAUUCAAAUUUUAGGUGUUAUUAUAAAUAGUGUUAGCAUCUUACGGUGUGUUCAAAUUUCUUGCGCAUUGUCUUCUAUCAUGACCAAUGUGUCCACACUCCAGACAGUGUCUAAUCCCUCGCUUCAUUGCCUUUUCUUUUGCUCCCGUUACUCGUUUCGACCUUCUUUUGCACCUCACUCUCUUAGGGUCUUUCAUAUAUUGUGUUUGAGAGCUGGACCCUCCAACUUCGUUAUUACUUGGUCCAUCCUUCAACAACUUCAACUUCACCUGCAAACUUUUUAGAGUCUCUGACAGUAGCUCACAUCCUUCUUCACUCAUUAAUGCACCCUCAACCACAUCUUAAGCAAGUCGAGACAUUGUACUCCGCCUUAUUAAAAGACCAGGAUCUGCAGAGUCUUUAAUUUCGUUGCCAUUUGCAUCUGACACCAAUUCAGAUUUUGCAGUUUUCUUCCACCUCUUUAAAAUAUAUUUAUCGGGCAUAUAUUCAAUCUGGUCCCUUCUGAACAAUGCUAGGAUGUGCUUGCAAAUAAUUCCAACAAAUUCAAAUCUUUUGCACCCACACGAUGCGUGGUCAGAAUCUUUAACAUAUACGACGUCUGCCACUCUUGUUUCCCAAUUUUUCCUUUUGCUCACGCGAAAGACAACUUUAGAAGCACCCUCUGUUUUGAGCUCUAGGAAACAUGUUGUACUUUGUAUUAGUUCUUGGUCAAACUUUUGAAACAUUGUCCUUGUGUACAAGGUAGCCAUUUGUUUGUUCAUUGGCAUCGGUAGAAUACAUUGAGCCACUUCAAAUGCAUCUACGUGAUCAGCAACUAACUCUUUUUGACGUUGAUGAGAAAGUGCCCUCUCAAAUCGUAUUAUGAAAUCCAUCAACGAAUUUCUCCUUGAUAUGUAUUGCUUGAAAAAACCAUGAGAACCUUCCACUCUUUGGCUGCUUGACAUUCCAGCGGCAAAAAAUUGUUGUGCGUAGGCUGGAACCCAAGAUUCUCUUAAAUCAAACAUUGAACUUAGCCAUGGAUGGUCAGUCAAACCAGCCUUUGUAACCACAAUAUUCCAUUUUGUAACAAACUUAUCCUUAUUGUCAGUAUCCCAUACGGCUUUCUGAAAUUCACGCCAAUACUCCUUAUAAGCAGAAUGUGGUAACUUAACAGAGAACUUUGAUGUGAUGUGCAAUAUGCAAAGUCGAUGAAAUGUAGUCGGGAAGGGUAUUGAAAUCGCUCUGGUCAUUGCCGCAUCUUGAUCUGUAAUGAUCGUUUUAGGUCCGCCACUUGGCAUGGCUUUCUUAAACUCCUCAAACAUCCAAAUAAACGACUCAGUCGUUUCCUUGCUCAAAAAUGCGCAUGCUUAGACAAUUGUCUGACCAUGGUUAUUAACUCCCAACAUUGGUGCAAAUGUCAAGUCGUAUCGAUUCGUGUUGAAUGUGGUAUCGAAUACAACAACAUCUCCAUAAAACCCGUACGCCCAUCUAGAAGUUGCAUCUGCCCAAAAACAUUGACUAAACCUGUCAUGGCCAUCUCUCUCAAUCUUGAAAUAAAAAGCCUCAUUUUUUUUUUCUGUUCAGCCAUAAAAUACUCGGUCACUAGUUCAACAUCGUGGUUCCUCAACUUCCCAUUCACACUACAUUCAAAAUUGUAGAUAUCUUUUUUGAUAAAACCGAUUUUAUCCAUUCCUCCGGAUUGCACCUCGAAAAUACUUACCUUCUGAUGAAUGAGAAUAUUAACCGAACCCAACUGUUUUGUGAGUACUUUUGUAGAAUCUGAACUAUGACGGUGUGAUCUCAAUAAAUGCAUUCUUUCUGAGGGUGUCAUCUUAUGAUUGUGUCCCUCUGCAAAAAGAGAGAUGGUAUACUUCUUGCUCCCAUUUGUCUUCACAACCACAAUCUUAGCUUUGCAAUUGCAUCUACUUAUUCCCCGCUGUCUUUUUCUCUCCCGAGUUUCAUCUCUCCUGUAUUCACCUUGUUUGCAACAUACAAAUUCUUUCCUCAAAAUCUCUUUCUUAUUUCCCCCCCAAAAGCUGGAAUGAAGUCGAAUACCAAAGCCAGCCAAGAAUGCAUAUCUAUUAUAGAAAUUGUAAACGAGGUCAAGCAAGUCGAACUUCAUCCCAACUGCUGGUGUUUCCUCAUUUCUUACUUCAAGAAUGUAAACCCUCCCAUUAGCUGUUACACAGUCAUCACUCUCUGAGCCCCCAGACAUUUUAUCCACGUAUAUUAUUGAUCCACUUCUAUAUUAUUGCAUAGCAAAUAUUAAUUCAUUAAUAAAUCAUUACUGCAUCACAACAUAUCAAUGCAUUCCACUUACACAAAACAUUGCCCAAAUUGACACAAAACACGCAUAGCCUAACUUGUUGGAUUCCGAUUACACAAAACGCAAGCAAAAUUUAAUAAUAGUUACGUCAUCUCUUGUGAAAUAAUCUAGAAAAAAUAACAUUAGAACCAACAUGUUCAACUAAGAACACAAAUGCAAUUCAAACCAGCAAUCACAUAACUUCACCCAAUAUCCUCUCCAAAUGCUUACUCCUAAUGUCAUUAAGCCUAAGUUUAGGAUCUUUUACCUACAUUUCAUAAUUUUUCACCCCCACCAAAAAUAAUCAACUAAGUAUACUGAAUAUUCAUAAGGAAAUGACGCAUUAUUGAUGCCACAAAUGACGAAUUUCCUACCCUCACAAAAAACAAAUCAAACCCAAUUAAAUCAAUCCAGCAAGAGUGAACUUACCUCUCAAAAUCAAUCGGGAGCUCCGAAGUCAGUAAGCUUGAGAGAAUGUGGUGGACAUUAGAGAAGACUCUUUGGUAUUGGAGACUCCAUCUCUACCAAAAUCGAGGAACGAACUGCUGCUACGGCGUCUAGCUACAGAAAAAGAUAUGCUACUUUACUUUCAUCUGGAAUCUUGUUUGCUGAACGAAAAAGAGAAAGGGUUUUCACUUGAGCCAUAGAAUCAAAACAAGGCAACAUCUAGGUAAGAGCCAUUAAUCGUCAUAUCGAGGAUACCAUAGAUCGCAGGCCUCCCAAGGAGCUGAUGACAAUGGAGCGACUAUAGGGUUUGGGAGCUUUGGAUCCUUCUAAUUGUGGGUUUGCGUUACAUUCAAAAAAAGAGGAGUGUGUUGUUGAGUUUUUCACAUAGAGGGAAAGAGGGAAAGAUCUUCAACUGAAGUUGGGUUUCCAACGGGUCAAAUUUCAACCCGGUUCUACAUGCACCCUCUUUUAAAAACUCACCGUUGGAUUUCAUCCAACGGCUCGUACAUACCCCUCAAAAACACCCCUUAUAACUUUCCACUCACUAUAGAAGCUCUCCCCAGGAAAUGCUUCGAGGUAGAUUUUAUGUUUUGGGCCUUGGGACCCAACUUCACAAAAAGAAAACAAAUUUGACCAAAAAACAAAGUUGAAGGACAUUGAUAUUGUACCUGUAGGAUAGGUUAAAACACUAAAAGGAAGGUAAAUAGUACGUUUACAGAGUUUAAGUGUAAUAAAGGAAUAAAAACAUGCCCAGAGAAUUGAUAAGUGAUAUCAAUUCUUGAAUAUAUAGAACGUAAAAUAAAGGAAUACGUAGAAAAUUAUUUUAUGUGGUAAAACUCAAUCUAUGGGGCCACGGGACUUCUUAGUCCAAAAAAAAUCCAUUGAACGAUGAUUACAAGAAGUACUCACACACUUAUCCUAGACACAUUCUAGAUAAUUUUUACUAACAUCUUUGUAACUCAACUUCUGUCAUAGGAUGAUUUUUUGACACUCCUUAUGUUGAACGCAAUACUGGUCACGAUUUCUUCAAGCUCGCAGGAACUCUCCUUAUAUUGAAUAUGAUACUAGUCACGAUAGAUUCAAGCUCAUCGGAGAAAAACAGCCACAACGGUCUUGGUGCCCUCAAUGGUAUGAGUCACUGAACAUGCAAAUAAAUACAAUAUGAAUGAUAAAAGUGUUUGAUAAAUCACCAAGUUAUGGAACACUUGAUGAUUUAUCUCAAAUAAAAACUCAGCUUUCCAAAGUUUAUGAAUUGAAAAUAUGAUCGUUAAAGCUCUCUAAACAAAGAAGACGAAGAUCUUAUUUUAUAGAAUUUUUCUUUAUAAGAAAGAAAACACAUUGAAAACCAAAUCUCCAAGGCUUGACAGAAAAUCACAAAAGUAUCUUUCCUAUUCUAGAGAUUGGUCACAUGUAGUCCAACCAAUAGGACAUGAGAUAUUUAAGAAAUGAAGAUUUUGAUCAAUAUCAAUAUCAAAUGAAUUCUUAUACGCCUAGUCAACUAUUAAGGGUAUCUUGACUCCUUGAUAUUGUGAUAUGAUUGAAACAUGAUUUCCACGUUAGAAAAUUAAGGGGAUGUUAAAACAUGAAAGUAAUAGGAGAAUCAAAUUGAUUUCGGCCAAAAUUGCCUAAAAAGAAAACACUCCUAAAUAAACUCAAUUCACUUUUAAAAACAGUAAAACGUGAUUGAAUUGUUCUUUAAAACAAUUCCCUAAUAUACAUGCAUGAUAAUGACAUCACUUACCUCUGAAUCAAAUGCCUUUCAUAGGUCAAGCCACAAGUCUGUGUUUUGGGGAUUGCUGAGCUGCAUCAAUCCUGCCAAUGUCAAUGCUGCCCCUAUGCUCUCUCAAAGCACGUUUACAACCUAUGCUAACAUAUACCCUAAACCCUAGUAUCAAGAAAAUGCCAACACUAAUUUCGUAACACGUAGAAAUUGUUAGAGAUUGGAAGUUUUUUUUCUUCAAGUCUCUCCACCACUCACUAAUACAGAUUGCUCAUGUGAUGAGUUUACAAAACCUAUUUCUCUACUCUCACAAAGACUAUACUUCUUCUCAAAAGACUAUAUCACUUUACCUCUAUCUCUGUGAAAUGUAAAAAGUUGAAACUUUAAUGUCAAACCUCGACAAAAGAUGAACUUCCAUAAGUUACGUUGAAUUUGGAUUUGUUGAACUUAAGUGGUUUUACUUUUCUGUCAGUGUUUGAUGACUUAAUUUGGUAUUUACUUCUUCUUUUUUUCCUUGGAAAUGUGUUCCACCAACGUGAGGAAGAAAAAUAUGCACAAAUUAAUAUAUUUAAUAGAAGCCCAAGAUUUCGGAAGCACAUAAUUUCUACAAAAUUCUACAAAGUGUUCUACUUUACAAACUUCAUAUGUCUACCAAUUUUUACUAAAAUUAAUUUAUCUGCAGUGCUCAAAUUCAUCAUAUGUGUGUCCUUAAUUUUAGUGAAAAUUGGAAGUUUCCAUUAUUUUUGUUUUACGGGAAUUUUUUGAACCAAGGAAAAUCAAGUAAAAUUAAUAAAGCAUAAAUUGGAAAGGGAAAAUAUCUAGAGGAUGCAUUGUAGGAUUGCUCAUGCCAAUAAUUGUACCCUCUAAAUAUAUAGGGACAUAUUUUUUUUGCUCAUACCACUUGUUGCAGUACACAUUCACCCGUUUUCAAAGAAAGAAAUUCUACCAAUCGAUAAUGUCUCAAAUUUAAUCACAUAUUUUAUGGACCAUCCAGCUAUGAGGUUUUAUCUCAAAAACCUUCGGUACAUUUCUCCCACAUGCCACAAUUGUAUAUUCACAAUUACGUCUGAUACAUCACAUCAUGCCACUUGCCUCAAAUGAAUUUAAGUGAGUGAGGCAGUUGGAAGUAAUUAAGCUCUAUAUUGGUGGGUGGAGUGUUAGUUCUGGGUACCCCUCAUCAUUCGUCUAUAAAAUGGUGAAGCCAGUUGCUACUGUUACCAUAAGAGCCAGCUCCGACUUUCUUUAAUUUCUUGCUUCAUAUCCACUAGCUACAUCUGUUGCUCUUCUCAGUGUAAGCUCUGCAAUUUGAUUAACUUUCCCAUUAUCUCUCACUGUACUCUAUAUAAAGGAAUAAGUGUCGUCCAUUAAUUCUCUCCGAAAGUGUCGUCCUGAUUUUAAUUAGAGUUCGAAUUAAUGUUGCAGCUAGCAGCGGUUGCACUGGCAAACCAUGCUGCUCAACCGGUACCUCAACUUUACUGGAACUCCGUCCUGCCAAACACACAGAUGCCAAGAUCUAUCAGUGAACUUCUGCAUCCUGGUUUGUGUUUGAGCACUUUAGAAUCUUAGAUAUCUCUUCUACCUGCCAUUUUACUAAAAUAUGUUCAACCACAUAUUUAUCAGUUAACUACUGUCAUUACAUGAGUGACACAUAUUCACAAAUCGGCUGAUCACUUAUUUUCCAUUAUGACGUUGAUAUAUAAUGUUGGGAAUGGAAAGCCAAUUGACCACAAGGGAAAACCUGAAAAUACUGUACUACCACAGCUAGCACGAAGCCCAUUUUCUUACAAGAGUGAUGUGGGGACCAAAUCUCAUGUAUCAUAGCUUAACCCAUAUGCCACAACUAAAAGACGUGGGAUGAUCGAACAGCAUACCCACAUGGUCAUGGAUCUCUUCAGAUAAUCAAUAUUAAACAACCCAUAAACUUCUCCCUUUGAAGAACAAAUUAAAACCAAUUUCUAGAGGAAGGUUACAAAACAUUUUAGCCCGUGAAGAACAAAUCAAGACAAUAUAACCCAUUUGAUAACAAAAUCAAAAUGAGAUUUACCAAUACUAGAUGACCACGGCGCCAGUAUAAUGGUACGACGGCGGCGUUAUUGUAACGGUGGAGAAGUGGAUGGUAUGACGACGGUGUUAGUGUGACGGUGGAGGAAACGAUAUUAUGAAGGAGGCGUUGCUAUGUUCGGUGGAGGAGUCGUGUGUUUCACAGUUCAAUAUAUCCUUUUUAGUCAUUUUAUAUUAGGGUAAAUCAGUAAUUCAAUAAAUAAUUUGAUAGUAUGGUGUACUCAGUUAAUAUUAGGGUUCAUUUAACAGCACUCAAAUUAACUAGUGUAGAGUCUAUCUAUAUUAUUAAUACUAAAAAUAAAUAUAUGACUAAAUAACUCAAAAAAAAAAUAAAUCUACAAUCUUUUUUUUAAAAAAUUUUUUUUAUAGAAUUUUAUUAGAUUAAUAGGCACUACUAAAAAAUCUCCUUAUAAACUACAAAUACACGCAUAACUUAUACUAAUGUGAGCUACUGACACCACCUGCCACAUGACAGUUGUCCAAGCAUAGUGUUGUCAUUCAUUAUUCCCCACAGCAACUAACAUCCAAUAAAGGGUUGGGGCCCACCCAUACUCCACCUCUCUGUAUGUAGCUCUUUGAGAAUACAGAAGAAAUAUUUUUUAGGGAAAUAGCUUAAAAUGAUACCCAUUUCAUAAUUUUAAUUAAAAAUACCACCCCUUUCCAAUUUUUGUACAACUAUCACCUAUAAAUAUAAAAUUAUUGUCCACUUAUUGCUGAUUUUUCACAAGUUCAGAAAUUUUGGAAAGAAGAAGCUCACACAGCUCUCUCUCUCUCUCUCUCUCUCUCUCUCUCUCUCUAGCACAACUCUCUUUCUUUGGUAUCUGUCUAUCACAGCUCUCUGUGUCUCUCUUGGCUCUCUCUAUCUUGGCUCUCUCUCUCUCUAGCACAACUCUCUGUCUCUCUCUUUGCUCUCUUUCUCAUAGCGCAGCUGUUUCUCUCUCUAGCUUCGUUAUGUCUCUUUCUCCCCUAUUCGAUCUCUUGCUUUCUGUUUGGAAUCGCGAACCCCUCCCUUUAGCUAUGUCUUCUGAAUAGCUGCUUGCAACCUUGAAGCUCUAGUGGAUUGCCGACCUCGAAAAGGUAGUGUUGAUGGUUAUUUUCUUAAUAUCAGUGGGAUUAUGUGAAAUGGGUUAUAGUUUGAUUGUUUGGGUUUGUGUUAAAUUCGUUUUGGCUUUAAUUUCUUUGGGUUAGGUUUUGUUGAAUAUUCAUACUCAUUCAUCUGGGUUUGUACCAAUUGCAUUUAGAUUGGUCUGGAUAUGUGAAUCUUGAAACUUGGGAUUUUCUAUUUGAUGUAGUAGAUCUGUAUAGUGUGAUUCUGUUGUGUUCCUCUUAUUUUACAGUCGUAUUGCUGUUAUAUUGUCAUUAUAUUGCUUAUAUAUUGCUGUUAUAUUGUGGUUAUAUUGCUAUUGUAUUGUUUGGUUAUUGUGGUUAUAUUGUGUUAAUGAAAUGUUGUUUUGUCAUGGUCAGAAAUGGAGACAAUUGUUAUUCUCGUGUGCUACAAUGGAAAAUGGGUCACCUCGAAGAAGAUGUGCAAAUACGAAGGGGGUGACUCAAAAGGCUUAAUAGUUCCACGGACCAUCAAAUUUGUUGAACUGUUGGACCGUGUGCAUUAGAUUGGUAAUACAAACAGCAGGGAAGACAAGGUUUGCUUAAAAUUCUCAGUUUUGGUGGCCUCGAAUGAGUGGAAGCACAUAAAUAUUGAGGACGAUGAUGAUAUCAAUUUUUUUAUGAAGUACAAUUCCGAGGUAACACCUUCAAAACUAGCUCCCUUACUCGUGAGUAUAGAAGAUAAAGGAUUGACAAAUGAUGUAGUUCAUAGUAUGCAUAUCACGACAGAUAGUAGUCGGAUGGGUCAUUCUUCAGUUGCCAUUGUUGAAAGCAAUGAAGUAACUUGGAAUAAUACGAAUGUCACUGAUGUGGGAGGUGAAGUAGGGACAGAUUUUGUGGAUAUGAUUGAUUUUAGCGAGGUGUAGGAGAUGCAUGGUGGUGAUAAUAGUACUGAAAGAAAUGAAGUGUCAGUGUACUCUGCCCCUCCUAAUUUGGGCUGCUUCAACAUAGCUGCCCAGUUGCCAAUAAUGCGUUUAGGAGGAGAAUCUGAACCCACUCGUCAACAUUAUUGGAGUCAAAUAGGUGAACAAAAUCGGUACAAUGCAGCCGGUGUAAAUGAUGAAGAAGCAUAUUUGGACAGCGGGUUUUCACGAAGUGAUUGGAAUCCGAAAAUUACAGUUGGGCAAAUUUUCUCUAGUAAGAAAGCAUUGUUGACGGAGUUACGGUUGACGGCAUUAAGAGGCCACUUUGAAUUUAAGGUGCAAUUCUCUUGCACUAAAAGGUUGCUUGUGGUUUGUUGUCAACGUCCAUGCCCAUGGCGGGUCCGAGCAUCGAGAAUUGGAGAAUACAGCUUCAUGAUUGUGAGGUGUACAACUGUCCAUGAAUGUGAUUUGAGGUUCGUAAGUGACAAGCAUCGUCAAGCAACCGCAGCACUUGUAGCCACUUCACUUAAAAGGAAGUGACAUUAUGAGAGAUGUGAAACACAACUUUGGUUGCACCAUCCAUUAUUCGAAAGCUUGGAAAGCAAAGGAGUUAGCUCUAUUGUCCAUUAGAGGAUCAGCGGAGGAGGCAUAUUAUAUCCUUCCAGCUUAUUGCUAUGAAUUGGAGCGUAUGAAUCCCGGCACAAAAACACACAUCCAAACUGAUGAGAACAAUCACUUUGUGUAUUUAUUUAUGGCGGUUGGCGCAUGUAUUAGAGGGUUCCGUUCUUCCAUGCGCCCAGUGAUAGCCGUGGAUGCCACUCAUUUAAAAUCCAAGUACAAGGGUGUUAUGUUUGUAGCAAAUGCAUUCGAUGGUAAUUGAAAUAUAUAUCCUCUUGCUUUUGGGAUCGGGGAUUUGGAGACGGAUGCAUCAUGGCAUUGGUUUUUCACUAAACUUCAUGAAGCCAUUGGUGAGUGUCCCAAUCUUGUUAUUAUUUCUGAUCGCAAUGUUAGCAUAGAGAAUGUGUGGAACAAAAUUUUUCCAACUGCACAACGUGGCAUAUGCUUUUAUCAUAUGAAGGGGAACAUGAAACGCACUUGCUAGUUGAAAAAGCGUGAUCACAUACUUAUGCACUUUGAGCAGGCUGCGAAAUCUUAUUCCAUUGCUGAAUUUGAUUGUCAUUUUUGCAAGAUCAAGCGAAAGGAACAUGUUGCUCAAUAUCUUGAAGAGACAGGGUUACAUAAGUGGUCUAGAGCUCACAUGGAUGGACGCCGCUACAAUGUAAUGACAACAAAUAUUGCAGAGUCAAUCAACUCAGUCCUUAGGUUUGCAAGGAUGCUGCCAGUGGUUCAUUUGAUAGGGGAAAUUGUUAAUCUCCUUGUGAAAUGGUUCACCGAACGUUGUGAGUUGGUUUUGAAUUGCACAACAACAUUGUGCCCCAAUUUUGGAGAGAAGAAGUUGAGGAACAGGUUGGAGGAUGCUGCAAGGAUGAAUGUGGUUAAAGUAAAUAAUGCACAGUUUAAUGUUUUGGACGGUGAUAUGGACGGCCUCGUAGAUUUGGCGAACAGCAGUUGUAGUUGUAGAAAGUUUCAGCUUGAGCAGCUACCUUGCAAGCAUGUAGUUGCAGUUUGCCGCUUCUUGAAAGUAAAUGUAUACGCAAAGGCUUCUCGGUAUUACACUCAGAAAACCUGGAUGAUGCUUAUUCGGAUAGCAUCUACCCGGCACAACCUCACGGAAUGUGGGAUAUUCCUGAAGAUGUUCGAAGUCGAGUUGUGCUGCCUCCCAUGGCAAGGGUCAUGCCAGGCAGACGAAAGAAGAUCAGAAUUCCCUCGCAAGGAGAGGGCACCAUUAGAAGAAAGUGCUCAAGGUGCGGUUCCGCAGGCCACAAUAAAAGCACAUGUAAAAACAAUAUUCCAUUGCGCAAUGUAUCUUAGACAAUAUGAUUUGUGUUGCUUUGGUAGGUCAUGUAAACUCUACUUUUAUUUGUGGUGGGUUUCGUGUUAUGUUGAAUGGGAAUUCUUUUAAAUUUGCAUAAUUUGGGUUGCAUUGCUACAGCAUGCUGUAUUGCUGACAGAUUGCUAUUAUAUUGGACUUUUAUUGUACUGGUAUUGCUUCCAGAUUGCUAUUAUAAUUUGAGUGCGAAAUUAAAGGGACUGGAAUGUAAUUCCAAAUGGAUCCAAAUCAUUAAAGUUCUUAGAAUUCCUAUAUUACACAGUUACUGUGAUACUCCGACUAUACCUUCUUUUAUGAUUACAAAUUCGGCCAAUGCAUAGGCCAGAUGUGGGGCAAAUACAAGGUGAAAUGUCCUAUGUGUUUGACUACAUAUACUUGUUGAAGGAGCAUUACGAAUGCUAACCUCAAUAGAUUGCUCAUGUCUUGCCAAGAACACUCUUGAAUUUAUGCAAUGUGCCCAAGCCAGUCCCAAAGCUGGACUCACCCGUCUGCCUGAUGUGUCCAGGGACUCCAAGUUUCCCAACCUCACCUCAUUCACUUUAUCAUGUGGCCCAAUAAAAUCCACCACUUGGUUGGUGACAACCACCGCCAACCCAAACUUAUUUGCUAAACCCUUCAAUGUCCCAGAUAUGUUGAAAAAUAUUUCAAACCGCCAUUUCAAAUCUGCUGGUGUUGUCUGAUACUGUGAUCGGAACAAUGCAGCAAUGGAAUCAAUGACAAUGAGUUUCACAGGUAGGUGGGUGUGAUCAAUGGCAAUAAAUGCUUCUAUGUCUCCAAGGACAUGGAUGAGUUGUUGAGCAUCAUGAACACCAUGAACAUAUAUGUCUUCCAAUGGCUCCAACCUUAUUAAGUUGGGGUAUGAUGCAUGAUAAAGGUUGCCUAGUUGUUGCAAUCGACGAAAUGGGAAGCUGAAUUCUGUGAAUAUGUAGACGGUGGAGCCCUCUAGUCCGCCAUGUGAGGGUGGGAGCUGAGCUGGUACCGUAAGUUGGAGACAAAGUUGCGUCUUCCCAGAACCACUCUCCCCUACCAAUUCUGUUAUAGAGUUGCAGGGUAUCCCACCCCCCAAGCAGUCAUCUAGUAUUGGGCAUCCAAUGGAUAAUUGAGGGGUUGAAAGAGGAAGGAGCAUGAGGUUUUAGGGUGUCAUAUUUGUGUAAUUUAGGGGGGGAUGUGAUGGUGCUACAAGGCAUGCAUUAUAUAUAUAUAUAUAUGUAGAGUUCAUUUUGAAGGUCUGUAUUGUAGGCCAUAUGUCUUUUAAGGGAUGUAUAAUCCAUCCUUUUUUCAGGUUGUAAUUAAUUUUUUGUUUAUUUAUUAGUAUUUUUUUGGACCAAAUAAUUUAAAAAACAUUAUGAUGCAGUACGUACUGUAAUAGGAUCAUAUUGUAACUCUAUCAUCACUCUAUUGUACUCUUAUUGACAUAAUAUUGCCGUUAUAUGCAUGUUUAUUAUAUAGUUAUUACUGCUAUAUCGCCACUGAACUGGACACCGAUAAACUGUAUACGCACAAAUACAAAAAGAGGCUUCAUCAUUCCAUAAAAUCCUAUUUCCAAACUUACAUAAUACAACAACAGGCCACCCCAUCGUUACAUAAUACAAAAAUACGCCACCUCAUAGUUCCAUUUCCCUACUGUUGACAAAUUCGAAGUUGCAUACUCUUCAAGUGCGGUGACCGCGACGCAUGAAAUUCAUGACCCCGGCCACAGUGAUGUUGGCCUAGUUUCCUGCCGGAUCCACUAUUUUUGCAAACUUACGAAAUAGUUCGAAUCCGCUUUCCACUUCUUCUUGCUUCAACUUGGCCGUUGCUUCUGAUUCCUUGAAUACCAUAAUUGCAGUGGUAGGGGCAAUUUCAAUUUUUGCUUUCAUUGUCUUUAUAUGUAGGAGAUGCAUGCGCGCAUGAUAACGAGAGCGAAUUGUGCGGUUUUUUAUGACACCCCAUCUAGUUUGGCCCUCCACAAUUUUGAAACUAUGUCUGCAUGAAGAUUUUUCCAAAACAUGGUAUUGCCUCGACAUUGCUGCAUGCCAUGGACCAAGUCUGCAGGGAGUGAAUUGGGUGACUUGGCUUGUGUUUCAGUCUUCUCUCCUUCAGUAAUUGAAAGUGUUGGGUGUGGUGUGAGGUUAUGGUCCAUGGUCUUCGAUAUUUAUUGUAGCCUAGUGUACAACUUAAUUGGAAAAAAAGGGGACUAAAUGCGAUGGGAGUGAAAUCAGUGGGGAAGGUAGUGGCUGUAAGCAGGAGUUAAUGUGAUGGAAGUUUUCAUUUCAAACAACUGGGUUGAUUAAUAUAGGCAAGUUUUAAUGACCUGGAGUAACUCAGAGAGUUAUUGGUGGGAGGGAUUAGAGGGAGUAAUUGGCGGGAGGGAUUGGCGGGAGUCUUAGGCGGGAUAGUAUUGGGCGGGAGUUAUUACCCAGUUGACUGUAUGCCUUUUUGUAAUAUAUUUGUAUGUUGGACGUUCCAAACUUGGUAAUUUUCCCAUUAUGUAAUUCAAAUAAGGGAUUUGCCUAUUUGCCUAAUUGACCAACUCAUUCAAAUUGACCAAUAUGGUUAUUGUCUUAUUUCUCAUUUCAGCAAUCUCAAUUCGUUUCCAUUUUUCCAUUCUUCAUAUUUUCCUAUUUUCCAUGUGUCAUCCAAUUUUCCAAUUUUCCAAUUUUUCAUUAUUUUUGCCUAUUUUUUCCUAUUCCCUAUUUUCCUAUUGUGCAAUUUCCCAAGUUUCCUUUUGUUGUAUUUCUAGUUUUCCAAUUUUUCAAUGUUCCCAUUUUCCCAUUAUGUAAUUUAAAAAAAGUUGCCUGCUUUGCCUAAUUCAGAAAGUAAUUAAAAUGGUCCAAUAUGGUAAUUGUCUUAUUUUCCAUUUCCACAAUUUCAAUUCGUUUCCAAUUUUCUUAUUUUCCAUGUGUCCCUAUUUCCUAUUUCCAUUUUUCAAAUUUUAAGUUUUUGUCCAAUUAUCCAAUUAUCUUUUUUCCAAUUGGACUAUUUUCUAAGUUUCCUUUUUUUCCUAUUUCCAAUUUUCCAAUUUUUCAAUUUGCUAACUUUCCUUUUGUUCUAUUUCCAAUUUUGCUAUUUUCCAAGUUGCCUUAUUUCCUAUUUUUCAAUUAUCCAGUUAUCCAAUAUUCCAAUUUUCCAAUUAUCCAAUUUUCAAUUUUCCAAUUUGCGAAUUUGCCUAUUUUCCAAGUGUCCUUUUUUCCUAUUUCCUAUUUCAAAUUUUCCAAUUUUCAUGUUUUCAGAGUUUCCUUUUUUUUUCCUAUUUUCCAAGUUUCCUUUUGUCCAAUUUCAAAUUUUCCAAUUUUCCAAGUUGCUUUAUUUUCCAAUUACCCAAAUUUCCUAUUUUCCAAGUGUCCUUUUUUCCUUUUUCCAAUUUUCCAAUUUUCCAAGUGUCAUGUAAUCCUAUUGCCUAGUUUCCUCUUUCCAAUUUUUCCUUUUUUCCUAUUUCCAAUUUUCAAUUUUCCAAAUUUCCCAAAUUUCCAACUUUCCAUUUUUUCGUAUUUCCGAUUUGCCAAUUUUCCUUUUGUUCUAUUUCCAAUUUUCCAAGUUUCCUUAUUUCCCAUUCUCCAAGUUUUCACUUUUCCUAUUUUUCAAUUUCGCUAUUUUCCAAUUUUCUGUUCUGAAAUUCGCAAUAAAUGCUUAGUUACACAGUCCUAUUUUGGGUUGAAAUCCACAAUUUUCAAUUUCCCAUUAAGGUUUGCUUUUUUGUCGUUUGGAAGCCAAUUUUAUUGUUGUUAAUGUAAUGUUGUACUGUUGUAAAUUACAGCCAAUGAGUUAAUGAUGUAGUUUGCAAUCCCAUCAAUUGAAUGCACCAACUAAAUACCCAAUAUACUUCAUAUAAGUUCGUACAUAUAACUCAACCUUCCUAUACAGAACUGCAACAGAGGCACCUUCUUAACGGGAAAGGUAAUUAGUCUUACUAAAACGCAAAUAUUCUCCACUACAGCUAACCAAUUGUCGUUUACAACUGGAGACUGAAUCUACCUUUAUUUGUUUUGUUGCAGGCAACAGCUGUGAAUUGUCCCCGGCAAUACUUAAAGAUGUCGGAUGUACGCCCUCCAAAUGAGCAUGUCACAGUUACCCGGGGGACCAGCCGUGGCAUGUGCCAUUCCCAUCUCCACCUCGGACUCCCAAUCAUGAUCCCACUUCAUCUGGAAGUGAGGCUGAGAGCAAUGAUCCGCUUGACAAAAUCUCUGCCGUCAAGCACCACCUCCAAUAUAUGUCAAAGGCAACGGAUUGGUGGGAGAGUAAGUGCGAUAUUCAUGGCCAAGUUAUGGGAAACUUGGCCAACAAGUUGAACAAAGCAUACGCUGGAGAGGUGAAGCAAACUCUAAAAGCAAAAAGUCGGAGCAAAGAGUUAGAGUCCUUGAAGUUGAAAUUGGAAGAGAGAAAGAAAAAUGCUGUCGAAAAAUUCACACAAUCUGAAGAAUAUAACCAUGAAAUGGUUGAAUGUUUCAACAACGGCUUUGAAAUGUUCCGAGAUUAUGCUUCGGUCAUCUCACCAGACUACAAUUGGAGUGAAAUUGAUGUAGCUGGUGUUUGGCAGGUGCUGAAUAUGGGUGCUGAGGGAAUGGCUCAUCAUAGCCUCGUGCAUGCAGCAAGGAGAAAGGACAAAGACUUGGAUCUUUUGAUGGACCUGUAGUAACAGUGAGUGCUGCUUCAGUUCAACUCACCUGAGUACAUGGAUCUUUUGUUGCCUUCAUUUUCCCUUCGCAGGCUAGUAUUGUUAAGGUUCGGUGGCGAUUUCUUUUGCAUGUGUAAAAUGUUGUCUGUAAUGUGUAUGUAUUGUAUGUAGAUUGACUUAAUAUUGUAGUUCUAUUGUAUGUAUAUUGCCUUAAUAUUGCCUUUGUAUAGCAUAGAUAGUGUAUGCAUAUUGCCACCGUAUUGGAUGUAUAUUGUAAAACUAUUGGUAUCGUAUUGCCCUUAUAUUGCUCUAAUAUUGCCUCUAUAGUGCACCUAUAUUGACCUAAUAUUGCUCUUAUAUCGUAUGUCAAUGGCAUGUGCUCUAAUAAGUCUCCAGUUCGUUGAAAGUAAUCCUGAAUUCAAAUAUGAUGGACAAGACAAUUGUUAUCCAUCCUUAUAUUACCAUGAAUUGAUUUGGACCUUUCAAAUGAUAGUUGGAGUUGCACAUGGAUUCAUAUUCAAAAGGAAAGUAAUUCUCUCCCUCAAUGAAUUGUCGUUCAAAAGAAGGCAGCUAUCAAAUUUUGGGUACAAAAAGGCAACAUCCACGGUAAAUUAAUUGGGCACAAACCACAUAUUACAAAACCAGGAUGAUUUUUGGCAUGCUUCAAAAGAGAAGGGCCAAAUACAACAGAAAAGAAAAUCCAUUCAAGCUUGUACAAUAGAAUGCACAAUAACCCUUUUACAUGUCCUUCCAACACCAGUGUUUUGCCUACUUUAGAGUCGCAGGAGGAGAGCUUAUUGCCAUUGUGCAAUUCGAGGGGGCAGUCAAUUUGGAAUGGUGGCAUAAACAUGUUUACUCCACGGAUCACCUAUAUGGGACAGAGCUUCCUUCUUCCCUUGUCGUCUGUAGGUUUCAACUUCACACUUUUUAUAUACAUGUAUGAGAACUUGUGGCUAUUUAUUUAUGGCCUUCUAACACUUGUUCUGCCAUUCCAAAGUGGGUUGGAGACUUUUUGAGUUGAAUGACUGGAAAGACUUCAGAUGACAGAAACUAGAGAGUUUGAAGAAAAAGGGUUACCAAGAACAGCAGUCAUGCCCACGACAUAAACUAAACAUGCUAUAAGCUCCACAGUAAUAUUUACUUCAUCUCCAUAAUCAGAAUAUUGGGAAAAAAAUACCACGGAGAAAUACGUGAAAUGAAAAACAACUCGGCAGUUACUGUGAGAUUGUGUACAUAAAACUUGGAACAACCAAACCAAUUAAAGCUAAGCCAUCUCAUACGUAUACCUACAUCAAAUAACAGUGUAUGGUCAUCUUGUUUAGAAUAUUGCAAUCAACACUUGGUUGAGACCGACCUGCAAAAACAACUGGGUUAAGUACAGAUGAAGCCAUUUAUGAAGGGCAGUUCCAGAAUUAAGACCUACGUUAAUUUGUAACUGCCACCGAAUCAGUUCAUAGUGCCAAAUGCAUCUACCAAGCACACAGAUAUGACCAGCCAAAAGAAAAAAAAGCAAAGUAAAAAAGAUAAAAGAGGCAUGCCAUAAAUGGGAACCUCAGCAGAAAUCAUCAGAUAUGCAUACAAGCAGAUUGAGUAACAUCUCACUAAGUAGAGGUCAUGUUGGUAAUCGCAUGUUGUGUUUGCACACAGACAUUUGGUUUUUGCAAACACAACAUGCAAUUGCAUUCCAUGAUGUGUGUGUUGUGUUUGCACACAGACAUUUGGUUUUUGCAAACACAACAUGCAAUUGCAUGAUGUGUGUGUUGUGUUUGCACACAGACAUAUGGUUUUUGCAAACACAACAUGCAAUUGCAUAUUGUGUGUGUUGUGUUUGCACACAGACAUAUGGUUUUUGCAAACACAACAUGCAAUUGCAUAUUGUGUGUGUUGUGUUUGCACACAGACAUUUGGUUUUUACACACACGAUAUGUAACAUUUAGUUUUACCCUUUUAUUCUUAUUUUCUUCGUUCAAACAUGGUGGUGAGAAAAGCACCAAACCAUCCCAUCAUAUAAAGCAAAACUCAUACAAUAUUUUAGAUGCAAAAGUUAUAUAUUUUAUAUAAAUGCAUCAUCCGCAUGGCUUGAAAUUACAAAUUCACGUUCACAUAUUACUUUUCACAAGCGCACAGACUAACAAUAAUAAUAAUCAACCAAGUAGUUGCGACAUUCAUCCUAUUACGUCCAUAUUGAUAAUGUCAGAAGUUUCAUCGAUAAGCCUCAUCAAACUACAAGUUUUUUAAUUUGAAUUAUGAAUUCAGAACUAAAAGCUCAUGAUAUGCAGAAAAUGACAUACAUUGUCCACAAUCGACUUUUCGAUAUAUUUCUGCUCUAGCAAUUUAUCGUCCAAAUUCUGGACUCUCUGUGUCAGGUGCUUCUUUGUGUUCUAUCCAGCAUAAGAAUAUUUAAUAGUGUGAUUUCAAUUGUUUAUACAAAUUCUAUAAGUAAUAUUGAUGAGUGCUGUAAAUCUAUUUGAUAUUGGGAACAAACAUGGUCCCACUAACAGAAACUCAAACAAAACAGGAAUUUUUUUUUAUUUUUUUUGGCAUAGACAGCCGAAAAGAAACUUACAGCAAUAGCCUCUGUCACGCUCUCCAGACGUUUAUGCAAUUUUGAAACAGCAGCAUUCAUACUACGCUUUGUCACAUACAGAAGAUCUGAGAAUUUUAGACCCUAACCAUUUGUGAAGAGCAAAUAUUAGAUUUGCUUAAAGAAGACAACAACUCACAGAACCAAUGGAUGAAAUAAUAUGAACAUAAAUAUAUCAUUUGGAUACCUUCCACCACAUGUAACCAUAACCCAAUGCCCCCAAGGUAGCUGUUGGCAUUAUUAGUGAUGUCAAACCUAUUAAAAAAAUCAAAAAAAAAAAUAUAACCAAGUAUAAAAUGUUUCUAUUGCAUUAUGAAAUACAUACGUGUAAGGAAUUAAUCGUUUUACAACUUAACCAAAAAGUCAAGGCAGGAGCAUGCAUUCAUUGAGUGGUUAUAAGCAAGAGGAAAAAGCACAAAGCAUGCUAAGAAUUCAUUUGAACACAGAAGAGAAAGUAAGCUACCUUGGAAUUUGGCUGUCAUUCCCCUUCAGGACGGCUCUCUGUAGUGACGAGUCUAGUUGUCGGACCUCAGCUGCCAGUCGGCGCACCUAAAACAAAGUAACACAGGAAAAUUGAUAUCCAUUACAAAAAACAAAAAUUGAACACGAGAAAGCAUCCUUCGACACUAAAUUUAUAGCAGUUUUUCCAAUACCUGUGAUGCGAUCGCAUAAAAGUCACCUUCUGAUUGUUCUCCGGUUCCAUUGAACAAAGGCUGCAAACAAAACAGAAAUAGACACAAAUCCAUCAAUUUUUUGAGCAACAAGACACAAGCUCCGAAAUAAAUAAACUAUCUAACUGAUCAAAACCCUAGUUUACCAAAUGCAUUACAAAAUUAAAAACUCAUACAAAAAUAACACCAAAUACAAAUGUUCUGCGAGUUCCACUAGCAAAGCAGAGUACAAAUCAUGAAAAUGGUACCUGAAGUUCACCGAUCAAUUCAGAUAAUUGACCAUUCUUACGCAGGAUGGUGCUCGUAUACCCUGUAGAAAGAGAACAAUCACUCAGAUCAAAUGUAGCUAAAUACACAAGGAAACUAAUCCAGUAUGCAAGAUGAAAGAGGAGUGAUUGGUACCUACUCCAGCGAAGAUCAGCAAACACAGUAUGAGGUUCCAAAUUCAAAUAACAACAUAAUGCUAAGCAGAGAAGUAGAAUUGCUGCCGAAAUUAUUUAAAACGAACUAAGUCAAAACUAAAUGGAGAAAUGUUAACAAAGUUGUAUGCUUCAGUAAGUCCAGUAACAGAUUCCCAAAACCACAGAGACAAAAUGUGAACAAUGGCUACAAAAGCAUCCAUAAAGAGCAACUAUGUUUAUAUAUGGAGGUGUACAAAAUAGUUAACCUUCAAAAUCGAAACAGUGUGUGUGCCAUGUAAGGCAAUUAGCCACUGCUUCUAGACUAUACAAUAUUACACCUCACAAUAAUAACUAAACCAACUAGCUCUAGCAAAAAGGCAGGAUGACCAUAUAAAGUACCCCCAGCAAAGCAUCUACGUCUGCAUCUUCAUAUCAAGGAGUUCCUGACAUAAGUAAUGAGCAAAGUGAAUUCCCAAGUCAUAAGUCCAGAAUGAGGUGAAUUCACGGACAUUAAAACAUUUACCUCAUAAAUAUGCCUCCCCCCUUAAACCCUCAAUUGCAAGCCUCAGCCGGUAAUAUUUGAUCUUCAAAGGGUCAACUUUAUCUACCGAAAUCCCAGCACUGAGAUGCUCGAUGAAUUUGACGGUCAUGAUUCCGCAAGACGUACUGUGAGACCAAUAAGUUGGGAAAUUAGAACUGCAGUUAUGUAAGAUUUGGAUAAACUGCACUAAAUUCACAAAGCUUACCCAUCUCGUUGUUGUGGCACAUCUGCAAUGCUGCAAACUGAGAAUGGCGUAAACGUCAACAUCUUCAGCCCCUUUUGCUUAACCUUUUCAACCUCAGAAUCUUCAUAAAAGUGCAUAUCGUACAGCACUCGUGCCAGCGUAUCGCUAAUAGGGUGCAGAAGUGUAACCAGCUUCGAACAUUUGGUAAAAGCAACAUAUGAGUCAUACACAGUUGCAGUAUGUCAGACGAAAUCAAUUUCGAUUGCAACCCAGUAAGACCCUUUAAGAUUAUAUGGAAUAUAGACCUUCCGGACUUUUGUCCAAGCUUGGCCAUACCCGUGUUGCCACGUACCGCGUACAAAGUAAUGUAUAUUCUGCAGCUUGCUGGGUGGAAGGUCAACGGUGUUUGAAGCAACUGCCUUCUUCGAUCCACGUUUCUUGGCAGUCGGUUUGAACGGAUCUAGAAAUUGCUGCAUAAAUUGAAAUGAAGGCAUAUUAGAAAAUCACAACCGAAAGCAAAUGAAGCAGCGAAUGUAACAUGGUAACAUGUUUACCUGCAAGCAACAAUCUGCUGUUGUCCAGUCAGUUCCAAAUACCAACGGAUGAGAGAGUUGCCUUUUCCAGAUAAGAAAGGUUGCCAUGUCCAGGUGCUGAAAGUUGACACACAUAAUAUCAGCACAAUUUCAUACAACUGUACACUUAAAAAAGGUGAGAAAACAAUUUAAUUAUCGCAAUAAAGUAGAGCUUUGUGUAUUCUUACCCUUGAGCUAAUCCAUUCCGUUUCAUCGAUAAGUCUGUAGAAAAAAUCAGCGCCCACUGAAAAUAAUUCCAGCUGCACCUCCGCACUACAAAAGGCAAACUUGCAAUGGUUACUUUUAUAGUCAUCUCAUAAUUCUGACUUUGUUGAUGACAAAAAUACACAUGUAUAUUAAAGCAAACUCUACGUUUUCUCAUUAGUCUAUGACUACAUACUAGAAUAGGAUGAAGAUUGGAAUUCAAAGGUAAAGAAUCCUAACCUGAUAUCGUUUUUCCAGGCAGUACAAAACUCUAUUACUGCCUUCACAUCUUCAAUGGGCACGGAUUUUGAUGGAUCAAAACAUGGCGGGGUUGCAGUCGCAGCCAACACACUCAUCGUCCUCUUCUUCCUCAAAGGAUCAGUAAAUGGGCUCAACAAUGUCUGCGCCGGGCGCUUCUGUCUGCACCCUUUACCUUCCACUUCUUUUUUUUCCACACUCGAACUACCUUCUUCAUCACCAGCCAUACUAACUGUGGGUAGACUUGGAGGAUUCAUCGGACCUCCCGAUGGCAUACUCUUAGUCACUUUCCAAUCUUCUAACAGAGACAACACUUUUUGGCAGAUUUCGUCACACCCGGCCACAUCUUCCGGGGUAGGCAGCUUCUCGGAUUGUGCCUGCUCAGCUGCUUCAUGCACUUGUAAGUGAGGAACUGAAGCGGCCAUUUCUGCCUCUUCGACUACCAUGGCUGCGGAAGGUUCGGCUCCAUCACCGGGAACUUGUGUUUCCAUUACCGCCGGUUCUGUAGGCGGACUAACAUGGUCAUGUAAUGGCGACAAGUGAUUGUCGCCUCCUUCAUUCAUAUGAGGACUACUGAGGUCCUCAUGUCCUUUCCCACCUUCAUUCACCCCACCAUUUCGUUUUUUCAGCUGCUCUAUCUCCACAUUAAAAUAAUGCUCCAUUAAAGCCAGGGUGUUGCGGAAAUCCUCCACACACUUUUUAUUUUUUUCGAACUCUCUUUCAACUUUCAAUGACUCCUUCCGUACCAUGUCUUCCAACUGAUGCACUCUGUUGCGAAGCGCUCGAUUUGAUAUGGCAACUUUGGCCAAUUCAUCCUUUGUCCUUUGAAAGUCACGCUUCAAAGUGCGUAACUCUCUGGACGCGACUGUACCCUGCAUUCAGUUAUAAUGCAAGUGUUACAAUAUUUUCAAAAUAUAUUGCAACAAUACAGCAGUUAUUUUCCUAUUGUAUUAUGACGUAUAUCUUGGAAAAAAAUGUAAUGCUUGCCUUAGAAGACGACGGAAGGCUAGCAGUUUCGUCAAUGUCCUUAUCUUUUUCUUCUACAGAGGCAGAAGUGCUGGUUUUUUGUUCAGCGUCAUCGCCAAACAACUGAACAAGUUCUUCAGUGUCGUCAACACUGUCACCCCAAGUCCAAUACGGCUGCUGCUUGUCGAUUACAGAUGGCCGGAGAAGUUGCACAUCAACCUGCAAUUUACACAUACAAUAUACAUAUCAGUAAACUUAUUAUAUUAUAUUUUCAUAUGCCUAACAUUAUCAUUAAAAACUUAACUAACCUCACGGUUCUCGAAUACUUGGCUCAUUAGCUCAUAAAAACACGGCGAACUAUUGCUCCUCCAAUGUAGUAAACGAGGGAUGUAGGCAUUAUCUUCGUGCACCACCAAAUGUAGUGCAGCCAACGCUGGAAAAACCUCAUAAGCCCAAAUCUGGUUUGAGGAAUAAAACGUGAGUCACUGUAAACAAAUGAAAUUUAACUUCAACAUGAAUGGAAAUUUGCUCACCUGAAGUGCAUAGGCAAAACCUUUGAGGUGGUACUCUCUUGGUCUACCAGUUGCCGUUGUUUUUGCUUUCUUUUCAGAUUUUUUUGUUUUUGCAGCUUUUUUGGGCACUUUCACUCGCUGGUAAUCUGUACAAAGUGCCCUCAGAAGUGACACAAUUGUCUUGGCAUAACACACAGCACCCCAUGGAUACUUCCCAAACUCUUCAAGGUCUUCCACCAACUUCAAAUAUCGCAUGUCAAUCUGGACAUGUUUUUCACUGCCCAACAGCACAAACACAGCAAAGUAUACAAAUCUGAGCUUCAAUACAUCGUCCGCAUCAACGCAUUUGAGGAAGGCCUUUUCUAAUUCCAAAACAUUGACAGUUUUAUAGUUGCCAAAGUACUUCCUUUUCAAUGAGCAGUUCUCAUUAGUGGGAAUCGGAAUAAAGGGAAGGUUUCCAAACCUUAGCCCUGUCACGAUGCAAAAUUGCUGCGCCGUGAAUUGGAUCACCUUAUUGCCAACGAUGAAUUUGAUCCCGUUGAGUUGGGAAACUGUCUUUGGAUCAGCUUUCCUCAGCAGCAAGCCGUGGACAAUUGGCGAAGUCCACUUGAGGUCCUCAAUCAGUAGGAGAUGCCCAAAACAACUCUCUUCAAACCUUUGUAGCUGUUGUUCACUGAAUUUCUCCUUUAUCGUGCUGAUUGCAGUCUUCGUAUGGGAUAGGGACAAUGCUUUUCCUUGGAACUUUUCUUCCUCUGCAAUCAUCAACUUCAUUUGAGCAACCAUCUUUCCCUGCAUGCCAAUAUUAUAAAAAAAAAUUCAGUCCGUUGCAAUCUAGACAAUAACAAGCAAUAAACAAUCAGCACUUAUCUACAGCCUAUUAUAGGAUAUUAAGUGAAAACAAAAAAACAAAAAAUACAGGGCAUAAACAAAACCCCAGCUAUUUACAACUGACCUACUAAUUCAAUAGCUCAAAGCCACAUCCCAAGACACCCAGUACUCUACCACUCUUGCAUAAUAUAAUAUCUAAAGACACAUCUCAACACACCAGAUAAUCAUGACACAGCUUCAGCUAGAAUGGGAAUGUGCGGUAGCACAAGCCUAAUUGAGAACAAUUCAAGACUAACGAUAGAAAUCUAUCUGACUAGAAAGAGUUUUAAAAAAACAAGAAGACAUCGGGAAAGAAUUGAUUGACUUCAAGGUAUAAUGUAAUGGAACAUCCUAUGAAUUAGUGGCAACCAUAAUAAUGACUCCACUAUGGCCCUCCUUUCAAAUGUAAGAAAAUGAAUGAAAUUGGCACCAUCCCUUCAGUUUUUUCUUAACAAAAUAAGAGAUUUGUAUGUAUUCUCUGCUUUAUCGAUAUCAAAGAUAAAUUAAUAAAUAAACCAUCAAAACUGUAUAAAAUGUUUGUUAGACAUGUACAAUUACAAAAUUAUAAGUUCUCCUCAGAAACAAAGUUCUCUAAGUACGCAAACAAGAAAAGCAAAAGCUUAAAGAGUUAGCUUAUAGCAAAAUCAAUGUCCCCAUUUCUCUAAACCACACCUGCUGGUGGUAGGUUCCCAUCUUCACUCAUUUCCCGCUUUCUUUUAAACAGACAAUGAUCAAGCACAAAAGAGCAAACUUUUAAAUAACUCAUAUUACACCACAAAUAGUUCUAAAGAAAACUUAUUCAUAUCCAAUAUGCAACCCCUAAAGUUAGUAAACAGAGUUAUAAAAAAAUAUGUCAAAUUAACAAGCAUUAUUCUCAAACAAAAAGUAUGAUAUGGUUGGGAGUUUACAAGUUCAAAAUGAUAUACACAGGUUAAUUGUCUUAGACUUUAGAUAUCAUCUUCAACAAAGAAAAUAGAUACCGAUUAGACUUGUAAGAAGGUUAAAUGCAAUGGUCAUAAAGACCCAUAGUAAGCCACCAAAUACCAAUCAAUAACUGCUAUAAAAACCAUAAUAAAACCAUAAUAAACUAAAAAUACAACAGCACUAAAAUGCCAACACAACAUCACUACAUUAGCAAUAUAGUAGCAACAAAACCACAAUACGACAUCAAUAGCAACAGCAAAACAACAGCAGUGCAAGCAUCAGUCCACAAAGAACAAACCCAUUCACUGUUUCAAACAAGGAAUCAUCAUACUAAGAUCAUUUCAGAGAAACCCCAAAACCAAUUUCAGUGAAACCCCUAAACCAAUUUCAGAGAAACCCCUAAACCAAUUUCAGAGAAACCCCUAAACCUUCAACCAAUUUCGAACAAAUCCCUGAACCAAUUUCAUAGAAAUGCAUAAACCCUAAACCAACUUCAAAGAAACCCUAAACUGUAAGAAAAUGACGAUGAACAGUACCUGUUCAAGGUGAACGAUGGAGUUGAGCUUCGAUGAACAAAUUUCGCUCGGAGAGGAAGAGAGAAGAGAGAGUCAGAGCUGAGCGACGAGAGAUUAAGGGCUGAGCGACGAGAGAGUGAGAGCUGAUCGACGAGAGAUGAGAGAGUGAGAGCAAAGUGACGACAGAGUGAAGAGAAAUUGAGAGAAGGAGCCAAGAGAGAGAGCUGAGAGAGAACUUCAGCAAAACUGAUAGAGAACUUCAGCAAAAGUGAUAUGUGUACAAUAAGGGGACAAUAAAUAUAUAUUUAUAGGUUAUAGUUCCAAAUUUUUUUAAAAAGAGUGGUAUUUUCAGUUACAAUUAUAAAAAUGGUGGCAUUUUGAGCUAUUUCCUUAUUUUUUAUUCAACAUGGACGCAGAAACUGUUGCUAAACUGCAAACUUCUUAAAAUAUUUGUCUCACUUUCUCAACCCUAUAUUUGUCUAACUUUCUAGAUCCAUGUACUGAGAUUUAUUAGGGAAAUAUUGUAGAAACUGAUUAUUUUGAAAUAUUAAAUGUGAAAAACUGAACAAAAAUUUGAUGGGUUACAUAUUUCAACUCAUUUCAGCAGCUUAGAUUUUGAAGACCUCGGAAGAGGCCAUGCAGUGAGCCUAGCUAGUGCACUGUUGAUCACUUCAGUGUCUACCGAUCUGUAAUUUUUCCAGAUUGGUUAUAUUUUCCUUUACAUAUUCUUAUAUUAUUCCCAGCUGUAAGUGUUUUACACACUUGUCUAUUAGAAAAGGGGAGACUUAUAAAUAAAUCCAAAAUGGGUACAGUAUUUAUAAAGAAUGACAAAAUUAAAGUGUUUGGGCAAUAAUGCCCUUAUUCAUUUUGAGAUUGCCUAAGGAAUAUUUUUUCUGAUUUUCAGAAGAUGCCAAAGGACCGUUGUUUGAUGAUUGCCGUAAGGAGCUAAGAAAACUUGCUUUGAUAGUUUUGGACAGAUGCAUGCUACUGUUGCUGGGAUGAUCUCUUCACGUGAAAUGAGGAUGAUGAUGCUUCUACACUACACAAUCCAACGAAUUCACAUGUCUAUUUCAGAUACAAGUAUAAACUAACAAGGCUUUAAAAUAUGGGCUGAUGCACUGUUGUUGAUGUUGCUGACACUGUUACUGUGUUGUUGAUACUGUCACUGCGUUGCUGUUGGAAAAAGCACAAGGACUUCACAUGUUGCUUUCGUCUUUUGUGGAGGAGAGAGACCUAGGACUUGCAUGUCUUAGAUAUUUAAGAUAAGGGGCUUUCGUUCCAUUUUGAAAAUACUUUGGGUGUUUUUGAAAGGUGAUUGUUUCUUUUGGGUUUCUCACUAAAUUUCGCUUUAGAAGGGAAAAUAAUAAUAAUAAUGUCAAACAAAGUAGGGUAAAUAUUCAGAUAUGCUCAUAUUAUUAUUCUUCUCCAAUAUUGAGGUAUUUAUACAAGUACAAAGAUGUGUUAACCCUAAAUAAAAUAGGAAAUAUAUCUAAAUUAUAAUAGGCAGUAAAUCUCUAUUACAAUAGGACUAAAUAAUAAUUGGUAAGUAACCAAAAUUCUAAUGAAAUAAGGAAUCAAAAUCCUAACUAAGUAAGGACUCGCCAACACUCCCCCUCAAGUUAGGGCAAACAUAUUUCGCAUGCCUAACUUGACAAGCGAGUCAUAGAACACCAUACUUGAGAAGCACCAAUUGUAGAGAAGGUCUUUUCGUCAACCACGAGUGAAACAAGUGACAAACUAAAGCAAAGUUCGCAGCGGAAACACAAGAGCGAAUCCUAAAAAAUAGGGCACAUAGCAGAACACAAAAAUCCUGGAGCACGACAGUAGAUAAGGCAGAACACAGAAACCCUGUUAGCACGGCAAUAGGUAAGGCAGAAAAAGUCAAGAGCAAAGGCAAGGUCAACAGGCGUGACCACAACGAAAACACACCAGCAAAGACAUGAGCAACAAUAUUAGCACCAUAAUAGACAUGAGCAACAAUACUGGUACCAACAACAGCAAUACAAGGCACUGGCACCAGCAAGAGCAACAAGGCAUGGACAUAACAUGCAUAAUCAAUAGUAAUCAACAUUGUCCCCAACAAGAGUCAUAAUAGGCAUGAGCAAUAACAUUGUCCCCACUAAGAGACUUAACAGGUAUGAGUAACAGUACUGGCACCAGCAAAGGGCAUAGUAGUCAGCAGCAAUAACAAUGACAAAUACUUCUAUUAUUGCAGAGACAACUUCUCUUCACUCCCCAUCUCCCCUUGAAGAGAAGGGGUCAUCGGAACCAUAAGAAAAGUGGCACUUAAGAAACAGAAGUUGACUGACGCUCAAAUGUAGAAGAAUCAGCCAUGGCAAAUAGGUAGCUGAAUUGCAGCGGAAUAGAUGAGCAGCGGUGUCACUCCCCCUCAUAUCUGAUAAUGUAUGAGAGUCGAGAUUUGGAGAAAGCAAUAUCGAAAAAUAAAGUUGCAGAACCCAAAUAAAGUUGCAUCUAUCUCCCCAUCAAAUCCGACACUGGUAAAGGGUCGAGAUUUGAAAGAGGAGAAAUUGAAAUAAUAGUAAAGAGACUCAAACAUGCAGUCUCAUGGCAGAAACAAAUGCAAGAGGGGAAGAUGGUAGCAUACGGUUGUCCCAUGAAGAAAAAACUUCAGAAAAGGAGAAUAGUAAGGGAGGAAACCUAGCAAAUCAUGAACAGAGACAAAGACAAAGAUGCUCAAACUGAGAAGCGGAAAGGCAACUCAAGAGAGCAACCGAAGAAGACAGAGGCCCGCAGAACAGUCAAAGUUAAGGCUCGGCGAGUGGUGACGAUGCUCGCGGAGGAAAGCAACGGCUCGGUGAGCGGUGAUGAGGCUCACGGAGUAAAGAGACUUGUUAUGAAGUUUCAAAGAUAGAGAAGCUGAGACAUCAAGAAAGACCAUCUGGCAUACAAAGAUGAAAAAUAAAAAUUUUGGAACAGUAGCAAAGAAGCAUGUGAAGGCUGGUGCGGUGAAAACACAUAUGAAAGGAUGAACAAAAGAAGAUGACUAUACAAGAUGAAGACCCAUGAUGGGUUAGGAAUGAGGAGUGCCAACGACUCUCAAUUUGGCAGAGGUUAUCGCAGGUUAGGAACCUGGCUCUGAUACCAUGUCAAACAAAGUAGGGUAAAUAUUCAGUUAUGCUCAGAUAUGCUCAUAUUAUUAUUUUUCUCCAAUAUGGAGAUAAUUAUACAAGUACAAAGAUGUGUUAACCCUAAAUAAAAUAGAAAAUAUAUCUAAAUUACAAUUGGAAGUAAAUCUAUAUUACAAUAGGACUAAAUAAUAAUUGGUAAGUAACUAAAAUUCUAAUGAAAUAAGGAACCAAAAUCCUAACUAAGUUAGGACUCGCCAACAAAUAAUAGUACAACUCUUAUUAGCAACAGGUUACAAACUUCUUCUACAACACACCAACAUGAAUCUAGCCCUGAUCCACUCUUUUACAUACUUGAAAACAAAACAAAACACGAAAAACAAAAAACAAGAAACAAGAUAGGGAGAAAAUGGCUACGGAGAGACUUCCUGCUAAUCAGGGGCGGCCCUGGGGUGGUGCAAGUGGCGUCACCGCACAGGGCCCCCGAUUCUUAAGGGCCCCCAAAAAAUAAUUCUUUAUAUUAUAUAUAUAUAUAUUAAUAUUAUAUGAAUCGUAUAUAAAGUAUAGCGUCUGGAUGAUAAAGAGACUCAUUAUCAUUAUCUUAGUCAUAAGAUUCAAAAUGAAUUGAUACUUUUGUUAGCUUCUGAGCUCAAAAGUGCAAUCAUUAAAAAGAUUGAAGAAGCUAAAUAUUUUUCUGUGAUUCUUGAUUGUACUCCAGAUGCUAGAAACCAAGAACAAAUGAGUUUGAUAGUAAGAUGUGUGGAUGUCUCUACUAAUUCAAUAAAGGUUGAAGAAUUCUUUUUGGAAUUUUUGAUUGUGAAUGAUACAACAGGACAAGGACUUUUUGAAGAGUUGCAAACGGUGUUGCAAAAACUUAAGCUUGAUAUUGAUAAUGUGAGAGGACAAGGCUAUGACAAUGGAUCAAAUAUGAGUGGGAAAUAUCAAGGUGUCCAAAGAAAAUUUUUGGAUGUAAAUCCUAGAGCAUUGUACACACCUUGUGGUUGUCAUAGUCUUAAUUUAACACUUUGCGAUAUUGCAAACUCUUGUGGAAAAGCAAAAGAUUUUUUUGGAAUCAUACAACGUAUUUAUACAUUGUUUGCUAAUUCUACAAAGCGGUGGAAGAUAUUGAAAGAUAAUGUUAAACACUUAACUCUGAAAUCAUUGUCAGUUACACGUUGGGAAAGUCGUAUUGAAAGUGUGAGAGCAAUAAGAUUCCAAGCUGCAGAUUUAAGAGAAGCUUUACUUCAGUUAGCAGAAAGUGACGGUGACUCCAAAAUAACAAGUGAAGCUAAUUCUUUGGCAACAUAUGAACUUGGAAAUUUUGAGUUCUUAUUGGGCAUGGUUAUUUGGUAUGAUAUAUUAGGUGGUGUCAAUGUAGUGAGCAAAAACUUACAAUCUGAAGACAUGCUUAUUGAUGUUGCUAUUGAUAAAGUGAAAGGGUUGAUUACUUUUUUUUUGAAAAGUAUAGAGAAAAUGGGUUUACAGAAGCUAUGUGUACUGCUAAAAAAAUUGCUACUGACAUGGGAAUUGACCCGGUGUUUCCUGAGAAGCGAAAAAUUCGUAGAAAAAAACAUUUUGAUGAGAAUACUUGUGAGCUAUCCCAAUCAGUUCCUGAAUCAACUGAAGAAAAGUUUAGAAUUGAUUAUUUCUUGUAUUUAGUGGACCAAGCUAUUGGUUCUUUACGAAGAAGGUUUCGACAAUAUCAAGAGUAUGAGAAUUUUUGGGUUUUUGUUUACUUCAGAGAAGUUAAAUUCAUUGGAUGAUUGCGAUUUGAAGAAUAGUUGCAGUCAUCUGGAAAGCAUUUUGAAAAAUGACAAGUUUUCUGAUGUCGAUGGGGAGGAUUUAUUUGUUGAGUUGAAAGUUUUACAAGAGCUUUUACCAAAAGUAAAUACCACAGCUACUGCAAUAUUAAAUUUCUUGAAAAGAUUAAAUUGUUUUCCAAAUGCAUUCAUUGCAUAUAGAAUCCUAUUGACUAUUCCUGUUACUGUUGCAUCUGCGGAAAGAAGUUUUUCAAAAUUAAAAUUGUUAAAAUCAUACUUGAGAUCAACUAUGUCGCAAGAAAGAUUAAAUGGACUAGCUUUGAUUUCAAUUGAAAGUGAACUUCUUGAAAAACUUGAUUAUGAACAUUUGAUUGAUGAUUUCUCUUCUAAAAAUUCAAGAAGAUCAAUUUUCAGACAUUAGUAUUGUACUAGCUGUGUUUUUUUUUUUCUUCUAGGGUAAAAGCUCUCAUAAUAAUUUUAAUUCUUCAAAUAAGACAGCAAAUACAAUGUGAUGAAUUUUGGAUAAUCAGGUAUGUUUUUGUUGUUGCUUUUGUGUUUAAUGCAAUAUAAUCUAAUUUUUUUAAUGACAUUUGUGUGCAACUACUCUUUGAUUUGUGAUUGCCAAUUUUUUUUUCUUUCUAUUAAACACAGAUUGCUUAUUGGAGGCAGCAAGAGACCUUAUAGGGGCACAAGGAGCUUAUUUUUGUACAAAACAUUUAACUUUAUCAAAUGGAAACAUUUAAAUUUUUAUGAAUUUGAUUUCUGAUUGUCAUUGCAUAUUUAUUGAUGGUGAAUUUUAGUUAUAAAAAAAAAAUUGUUUAUGACAUUAAGUUAUGGCAAAUUUUUAUAGUAUUUUCGUAUUAGAUUAUGCGAGGUCCCAAUUUAAGUUUCGCACAGGGCCCUCAAAAUCUCAGGAACGGCCCUGCUGCUAAUACUUGAUCAAUAACAGAGAUAAUAGAGCACACUGUUUGUAUGACAAUGAGUAUCAGAAGAAUAAUAGCUGCAAAGAGAGAAAUAGCUGCCCAAGGUGUGUUGAAAUACUUUUGUCUCAAAUUUGCCUUCCGUCUGUUCGUGGUCUUCUUGCAGUACUCGUUUAGUUUGCCAGCAAGAUCACCAAAAUAGUAGUUUCCGUGGUUCGGAGCAACUUUACUGCAAAGCUUGUUAAUCAUAAUGGAAACCUUAUUGUUGUCACCUAGCGUGUUUACAACAAUUCCAUUGUCAACAAGCAACUCUACAUCCUUUGGGGUGUUUACAAAUUUAUCCAGGAUGAAAACAUAAUCGCUUAUGUAUUUAUCCACGCAAUGGCCUUGUUCAAAGGCAAUGAGAUUUCUAUGUGUAAGCUGUGUAAUCAUGUAUUUCAAUUUUUGGAAUUUCCAAGGUGUUUUUCUUGAACUGUAUAUCGAAUAAGUUCUUGCUUGAUCCCACGUUAAACUUAACUCCGGCCUGGUGUAGUUUUGUCAUGCUGGGUGUACUUUGGAGCCCUCCAUUUUUUUUUCUUUUGGCAGAUGUAAAGUUCUAAUAAAAUCAACAAAAUGUAAAGGUUUUUUAGGAUCAGGAGGCAUAAAAGACUUACGGAAGGCUGGUGAGUUCUCCAAGUUUUCUAAACGCAGUGCCUGUUGGAAGAACUUGUAAGAGAGUUCAAUUAUUGAAGGCUCCCCAGUCUGAGCACCUGUGAGAUUGUAAAGAUCCUCGAGAAUGAAAAAUGGCAGCUGAUUUACGAGCAUAAGCAUGUCAGGCAAUAUAUUUUGUAGCACCCAUGGUUUUUUAAAUAUCCAAGCAUCAUCAUCCUGCAAUUUUUCUUCCUGAAAUUUUUCUUCGGAUUUAUUCCUCAACAAUAGCUCAAUGACAAAGGCGGCAUCAACUAGAAUGAUAUUCACAAAAGUAGCAAUGUUAAACUUCUUAGGGCUAGUUUGGCGGCGUUGUGCUUUUAAAAAAAUAUGCUUCUGCUGUGCUGUGAAAAUAAUUAGCUGUGAAAAAAAGCUACUAGGCGUUUGGUAAACUGUUUUUGAAAAACUGCUGUGAGUAGUCAAAGUGUUUGGUAAAUUUUUAUCAGAAGUACUUUUAGUGUGUAUAAUGACCAAAAAGGACAUGAUGAUGAAAUUGUUUGUUAUUUUCUUCAUUCUUUUUCUACUUUAAAAAAAAAAAAAACCCAAUUUCACUACAUAAAUUUUUAUUCUUUUUUAAUUCACACCUUUUUAUCAAAAAAUUUAAUCUACAAUUAACAUACAUAUUUUACCAUAAAUUAUAAAUUACUAUUAUAACAAAAGUAAUUCUAAAUAUUGUUAUAUUAAUAUGGGCUUCGGACAUGACAAAAAUACAAAAAUUGUUCAAUUUUAAAAUGCCCCAAUAGAUCACUACAAUAUAAAAGAAGCUAAUUAGAUGCAUUCAUUAAACUUGUAGCGAUGCUAUUUCUUAAUGCAUUCAUUAGCUUCUUUUUUUGGUUUCCAAUGGUUCUCUAACAAUUUUAACUAAAAAAACAACCAUAAUGCUUUGUGAACAAUAAAUUCAAGUCCAAAUCUGCUAUUGCCCACACCAUACAUAUAUACAUAAUUGUUCCUUUCAUAAAACUUGAAGAUUCAAUAGUAAUUACACAGUUUACCAAUCUUGAUUCCAACUAUAUCCAUAAAAUUAAACUAUAAUUAGAAAUAGAGGAGCUACAUGUGAUUACUCAUAAAUGCUUCCCACUCUCAUCAUCAUCAUCAUCAUCAUCUUCCUCCUCUGUACUUUGCCUUUCACAAAUGGACAAGACCAGAUGGUAACGUACACGACAUGGUCCACAUAUAGAUAAAUUUUGGGUUCACUGGAGAACAUAAAAGAGUUUUUACACGAAUACAAAGUUAGUUAAGUAGUGAAUAAAGUAAAACUAUUCUGUACAAUUCUAGCUGAUGCAGUCCAAAAAGAAUAUAUGUCUAAUAACUUAAAUAACAAUAAAGAGAAACAAAAGCCUCAUGAAAAAUGCUAGAGUAAAAGUUACAUAACUGAAUCGAUGGACAGAGAACUCCACAGGCAGAGAAACAGCAACAAAAAUUGUCAAAACAGUAGCAAGACCAUGUUGGAGUCAAGGCCAAAGAUCAUAUUUCCUGUGUAUCUUCUUCCAUUCUGAAUUAUUCUCGUAUUCAAAUACUGUAACUCUAUUUCAAGUGCACCCCAAAAUACUUAUCUAAGGCCAGUACAUAGGACUUCAUAAAGGGUGCGAUAAAAAAUAUUGCCCCUUAAUUGAUAAACAGAACCAAGAUCCCAACAGCACACCAAAACUAUACCAACCACACCUACAUAAUAUGGACAGAAAAUCCUGUUGUUCCGAUCUCUAACCACACCAAUGACAUUCAUUAGGAAAAUACAAAAGAUGGGUACCCUGCAUUUCUAACAUUUAAGAUAAAAUUCACUGCCAGCUAAUCACAAAUUUGAAAAGAUGGCAAGAAAAUUGGCUAAGCUUUAACAAAAACCAGAGCAGUCCUUGCAUAGACCUGACUUUUUGCUCCAAGCUUUAGCAGAUCACUUACUGGUAGAGAGCAGAGAACAUGUAUGUGAAUAUCUGAAGUUGGAAGGGUAAGCCAUCACAAACACCAAGAGAUCUGAUUCUCAUCUCUUGUUACAACAACAAAUCACAAACACCAAUACAUCUGAUUCAGAAUCUCAUAAACAAUGGAGGAACAAACACAUAUUCACACACAUAUAAAUCCCUAAACAGAAAAAAUAAAAAAUAAAAAAAAAACCAUGAAAGUCAUAGGAGAAUCAAAUUGAUUUGGGCCAAAAUUGCCUAAAAAGAAAACACUCCUAAAUAAACUUCAAUUCACUUUUAAAAACAGUAAAACAUGAUUGAAUCAUUCUUUAAAACAAUUCCCUAAUAUACAUGCAUGAUAAUGACAUCAUUUACCCCUGAAUCAAAUGCCUUUCACUGGUCAAGCCACAAGUCUGUGUUUUGGGAAUUGCUGAGCUGCAUCAAUCCUGCCAAUGUAAAUUCUGCCCCUAGGCUCUCUCAAAGUGCGUUUACAACCUAUGCUAACAUAUACUAGAGUUUGUUUUAGUAUCUAGAAAAUGCCAACACUAAUUUCGUAACACGUAGAAAUUGUUACAUAUUGGAAGUUUUUAUCAUUUUUUCUUCCAGUCUCUCCACCACUCACUAAUACAGAUUACUCAUGUGAUGAGUUUACAAAACAUAUUUCUCUACUCCCACAAAGACCAUACUUUUUCUCAAAAGACUAUAUCACUUUAUCUCUAUCUUUGUGAAAUGUAAAAAGUUGAAACUUUAAUGUCAAACCUCGACAAAAGAUGAACAUCCAUCAUCAAUUACAUUGAAUUUGAAUUUGUUGAACUUAAGUAGUUUUACUUCUCUGUCAGCGUUUGAUGACUUGAUUUGUUAUUUACUUCUUCUUUUUUCCUUGGAAAUGUGUUCCAUCAACGUGAGGAAGAAAAAUAUGCACAAAUUAAUAUAUUUAAUAGAAGCAAAAAUUAAUAUUUACAAAAAUAUGCACAAAUCAAGUAAAAUUAAUAAAGCAUAAAUUGGAAAGGGAAAAUAUGUAGAGGAUGCAUUGUAGGAUUGCUCAUGCCAAUAAUUGUACCCUCUAAAUAUAUAGGGACAUAUUUUUUUUUGUUUUCAUGACAUGUGGUCCUAAAAUUAUUGUUCUUAGCGGGCUCUCCACCCCUCUCGACUGAAAACCUAUUGUGUAAAUCUUCAAUCCUGAAUGAUGCACCUAAAACUCAUGUUGCAAUACACAUCCACCCAUUCUCAGGCCAAUUAUUACUCCUAGUGGGCUCUCCACCCCCUCUCAAAUUUAAGUGGUCCAUUAUUAUUAACCGUAUAUUUUAUGGACCAGCCAGCUGUGAGGUUUUAUCUCAAAAACCUUUCUCCCACAUGCCACAAUUUAUGUCUGAUACAUCACAUCAUGCCAGUUGUCUCAAAUGAAUUUAAGUGAGUGAGGCAGUGUUACUUCUGGGUACCCCUCAUUAUUCGUCUAUAAAUUGGUGAAGCCAGUUGCUACUGUUACCAUAAGAGCCAGCUCCGACUUUCAAAAUAAAAAUUCCAACAACGGUCUUAGUGCCUUCAAUUGUAUGAGUCAUUGAACAUGCAAAUGAAUAAAAUAUGAAUGAUAAAAGUGUUUGAUAAAUCACCAAGUUAUAGAACACUUGAUGAUUUAUCUCAAAUAAAAAUUCAGCUUUCUAAAGUUUGUGAAUUGAAAAUAUAAUCGUUAAAGCUCUCUAAACAAAGAAGACGAAAGUCUUAUUUUAUAGAAUUUUUCUUUACAAGAAAGAAAACAUGUUGAAAACCAAAUCUCCAAUUUCCAAGGCUUGACAGAAAAUCAAAAAAAUAUCUUUCCUAUUCUAGAGAUUGGUCACAUGUAGUUCAACCAAUAGGAAAUGAGAUAUUUAAGAAAGCAAGAUUUUGAUCAAUACCAAUAUCAAAUGAAUUCUUAUACGCCUAGUCAACUAUUAAGGGUAUCUUGACUCCUUGAUAUUGUGAUAUGAUUGAAACAUGAUUUCCAUGUUAGAAAAUUAAGGGGAUGUUAAAACAUGAAAGUAAUAGGAGAAUCAAAUUGAUUUGGACUAAAAUUGCCUAAAAAGAAAACACUCUUAAAUAAACUUCAAUUCACUUUUAAAAACAGUAAAACAUGAUUGAAUCAUUUUUUAAAACAAUUCCCUAAUAUACAUGCAUGAUAAUGACAUCACUUACCCCUAAAUCAAAUUGUCACGCCCCGGACCUGGGGGUCAGUGGAAACCCCACGUUCGGUGCGUGAGAAAAUAAAAAGUAAAAUAAAAUAAAAAGAAUGCCGAAACAAGGGUUUAAAAUAAACUUCUCUUAUAAAAAUAACUCCAAAAUCUUACAACUUUACAAGAAAUAAAUAAAGCCCUAUCAUUCUUAUCUAAUUCAGCCUCAACUGGUUUAGUCCUUGUCUUGCCCACUAAUUCAUCUAAAAAAUGAAGAGUGUUGCUAAACGAACCCUAAAAUUAAUUGAGUACACCCUACUACCAAACGAUUUAUUGAAUUUGUCACAUCUCGGGAUCAACUCCGCCGUAGCACGAUAUUGUUCGCUUUGGGCCCUCCCUCUCUGGCUCGCAUGGUUUUGUUUCUGGGAACUCACGAGUAACUUCCCAGUGGGUCACCAAUCCUGGGAUUGCUCUAGCCCACAACUCGCUUAACUUCGGAGUUCCUACGACUCCGAAGCCUGUGAGCUCCCAAAAGGUCUCGUGCUAGAUGGAUGCGGGUGUGCACAUAUAAGGCACAUCACCCCCUCUCCGUUGGUUGAUGUGGGAUCUUAUAGAAUUACUAAUUUAUCCUAAUAUAAAAUGACCAAAGAAGAUAAAAUAAUAUUGGUAUCUAUUGCUUUGAAUCCAUGCCUUCAAACAAAUUGACUUAAUUUUUAACAAACAACACGGAGUCCAGGAGAAGUGUAUUGAUCCAAGUUGAUUUUUGUAUGCGUAAAACUUAAACAAUCAAUAACACAAAGCAGUUCAUGCUGAAAUAUUGGAAACCCACACCCAAAGAGUUCUCCGCUGCGAGGUUGAAGGCAGGAGAGAUGGGUGACAGAUUUUACUUCCACUGCGAAGUUGGAGGCUAGGAGAGUCUGUGACUGCCAUGGUUGAGGGAGAAGAUGCGUUCAAAAUGCCUAUUGAUAUUUUACAUUAUUGGCUUUUUUCAAAAGUGAAAGUUUUUUUAUGGGUAAAACCUAAAUUUACUUUUUCUAUACAAGUUAACAGUGUUUGUGUAUUGUGAAAAGGUGGAGAGACGUGUCAAAAUUUUAGACAAAGGACAGGAGGAGAUAGGGAAUUUGGGGACAGCAGAUCUCAACUCCCUUGAGACCCUAUUCUCUACGCCACCCCUCCCCCUCAACAACCCUAGUCACCAUUUCUCCUUCAACUCCAACGGCAACUCAUUAAAACCCAAUUCUCAAAUGCAACAAUCUAAUCCCAAUCCCAAUUCAGAUGUUUCUAAAAAACCCAUUGUCGUGGUGGAGAACUGCAAUUCCAGGUGGUGGUGGUGGUACCACAUGGGAGAGAGAAAAAAGAAGAAGAAGAAGCAGGAGAGAGAGAGUUUUUUAUUUUAUUAUUAUUUUACUGUAAUUUUUUAAUUUAAAUAAUUAAAAAAAUUAAAAGUUAAAGAGGAUGUACCAUGGGUAUUUUUGGUAGUUAAAUAAGGUGUACUUAGGGUCAGUUUGGCAUUGCUGUGCUGUGAAAAUAAUAGCUGUCAGAUUUGCUGUGAGAGAAAUCAGCUGUGAGAGAAAUCAGUUUGGCGUUUGAUAAAAUUUUUGUUAAAAGUGUGUUGAUAUUGAUUUUAUGCUUAAUCCGAAAAUGAUUGCUGCAUAAUCAUUAAACCCAGCGCCUCUUCGAAACUGAUUCCUAUAUAAUCAGAAAAUGAAAGCACCUCAUUAGCUGCUUUCCUUUAUAGCUUUCUCUCACAGCAAUUUUUAACAAUAAGUGAUUUUCUCACAGUUUACCAAACGGGUUGGGCUUCUCAAAAUUUUUUAAAAAUCACUUAUUACCCCAAAUAAGCAAUACCAAACGGGCACUUAGUUAAUUUUACAUUUUAAUUUAAACAUUAGGGUGUACUCAGUUAAUUUUAGGGUUCGUUCAGCAGCACUCAAAAUUAAACAAGGUGAGGGAUGAGCAAGUAGGGACAUGAGACAUUGCCACAGUAGAUUGAUAUAACUAAAUAUUAUUAUAAACAUAGAAAUAUAUAAGUAUUAUUAUAAUAGGAUUCAUAAUAAUUAAUAUAAAAGUAUAACAACAAUAUUUACAUUUAUGUACCAAGAUAAUUACACAUAUAAAUAUAACCAAUAUAUAUUUUUAUAUAUUUUAAAAUAUAAGUCUUUACGUAAAUGCCUUUCACGGGUCAAGCCACAAGUCUGUGUUUUGGGGAUUGCUGAGCUGCAUCAAUCCUGCCAAUGUCAAUUCUGCCCCUGAGCUCUCUCAAAGCACGUUUAAAACCUAUGCUAACAUAUACUAGAGUUUAUGCUGUAUCUAGAAAAUGCCAACACUAAUUUCGUAACACGUAGAAAUUGUUAGAGAUUGGAAGUUUUUAUCAUUUUUUCUUCCAGUCUCUCCACUACUUAUUAAUACAGAUUACUCAUGUGAUGAGUUUACAAAACCUAUUUCUCUACUCUCGCAAAGACUAAACUUCUUCUCAAAAGACUAGAUCACUUUACCUCUAUCUCUGUGAAAUGUAAAAAGUUGAAACUUUAAUGUCAAACCUCGACAAAGUGUUCUACUUUACAAACUUCUUGUGUCUACCAAUUUGUACUAAAAUUAAUUUCUCUACAGUGCUCAGAUUCAUCAUAUGUGUGUCCUUAAUUUUAGUGGAAAUUGGAAGUUUCCAUAAUUUUUGCUUUAAGUCACUCUUCUGAAGGAAGUUGAGGUUCCACUUCAUAAUCCAAAAUGUCAGGUUGACUUAUGGCAAACAAUGUAAAUAUGUAGGAGUACUAUGACCUUUUAUAGCAUUUUUAGUUUGAAUUUGGGUUUUAUACAUAGAUUUCAAAAUUAAUAGGUUGAUGCCUAGGAAAUAGAAAUUGUAAGGGCCUAUAUUAGAGUAGCCCUCUUAAAAAUAAUAUUAAUUAAUGAAUAUUUGUUCUUCUUGUUGUUUUGAAGUAGUGGUGGGAGGCAGACCAACAAAAAAAAAAUAUAGUGAAGGCUUAUAAGAGCAUUUACAAUCAUGCUCCCUAUUUUUUAGUUAAAAUUUAGCUAAAAAUAGAAAAAAAGUUAUUAUAGGAGCUCUUUAUAAAGCUCCUUUAUAAAAUUUGAACUCCAAUCAUACUCCCUAGUUUAGGGAGUCAAAAAUACUAUAGUUAUUUUUUAAUUCAAUUUGAUUUUGGUUAAUCUCUAUAAAUAUGAAAAAAUAGUUAGCAUUAAUUAAAAGUUUAAACUAUGCAUAAAACAAAGAAACAUUAAAUUAUAGGGAGCCACUAUGAGUCAUUACUCUCUCCUCAGAUUUAGGAGCUCCUAAAGGUCUCCCUAUUUUAUGAGGUGGAUAAGGAGCAUGGUUGGAGUUGUAUUUCUUCAAUUUCCUCCCUAAAAUUUGUCUAAGGAUGUGGUUUAGGGAGCCCAUUGUGAAUGCUCUAACUCUGGUAAAACACGAGUGACAUGGACAACAUAUGUUACGUCGUACUGAAGAUUUUUGGGUUUCUUUAAUUGGUUAAGUAGCAUCCACACAGCUUCCUAAAUCAUCUCCUUAGACAAAUUUUAGGGAGGAAUUGGAAAAGUACAACUCCAACUAUGCUCCCUAUCCACCAACUAAAAUAGGGAGACUUCUAGGAGCUCCUAAAUCUGAUGAGAGAGAAAGGACUCUUAAUGACUCCCUAUAAUUUAAUGUUGCUUUAUAUUAUUUUGUAUACAGACGGGUCAAUUAUAUUAAAUUAAAAAAUAAUUAAAGUAUUUAUGACUCUCUAAACUAGUGAGCAUAAUUGUAGAUCAUCUUAUAUACCUUAAUUUGAAGAUUCUUUAUUUGGGUUUCUUUCAAGACUUAUCACCUUAGCCACGCCACCUACACGUCUGCAAGCUUUCCUAACAAGGAAGGGGAGGCUGCGCAAUACUUAUCACCUUAGCCACACUACACCAAAUUGACGUCUGCAAGCUUUCGUAAUCUAACAAGGAAGGGGAGGCUGCGCAAUACUUAUCACCUUAGCCACACCAACACCACAAGACCAAUAUGUGUAGUCCAGGAGGCUUUCCCAUUUUAAUAUAUAUUAUCAAAUAAAAUAAAAAUCAAUCUAUUAUCAUAUAUAUUAUAAAAUAAAGAUUAUUGCUCCAUCCUCCAUGCACUUGCAUGCCUCUUACAAAGUGUGAAGUAGAUUUUGUGUGCUCCAAGUCAUUGACGAGAGCUGUAACAUGGUUAGCUGGAUUUAUAAGAUCUUUUCUUUUCUGGGAAUUUUCUGAAUCAAGAAAAAUUAAGUAAAAUUAAUAAAGCAUAAAUUAGAAAGGAAAAAUAUCUAGAGGAUGCAUUGUAGGAUUGCACAUGCCAAUAAUUGUAUCCUCUAAAUAUAUAGGGACAUAUUUUUUUGUUUUCAUGACAUGUGGCCCUAAAAUUAUUGUUCCUAGCGGGCUCUCCACCCCCUCUCGAUUGAAAACUAAUUGUGUAAAUCUUCAAUCUUGAAUGAUGCACCUAAAACUCAAGUGUCCCAGGCCAAUUAUUGCUCUCAUACCACUUGUUGUAAUAAACAUCCAUCCAUUCUAAAGGAAAGAUAACCAUCGAUAUUAUCUCAAAUUUAACCACUUAAGUUCAUUAUGAUUAACUAUGUAUCUUAUGGACCAAUCCAAUCAUGAGGUUUUAUACCCAAUUAGAUCGACUAAUACAAAGUUCACACGUGGAUUGAAAAGCGCUAUCAGUAGGGGAGUGUUCGGCACCCUUUACUGCCGAACGCAACACAAGACCCCUUGCAUGCCUUCACUAAGUUGAGCCUAUCUAUUUUUUAGCAUUAACAAUAUAUAUAGAUUGAAAAAAUAAAAUAAAAAUCAAUCUAUUAUCAUAUAAAAUAAAUAUUAUUGCUCCAUCCUCCAUACACUUGCAUGCCCUCUUACAAAGUGUGAAGUAGAUUUUUUGUGCUCCAACUCAUUGACUAGGGCUGAAACAUGGUUAGUUGGAUUUAUAAGAUCUUUUCUUUUCUGGGAAUUUUCUGAAGCACGGAAAAUCAAAUAAAAUUAAUAAAGCAGAAACUGUACCCUUUAAUUAUAUAUGGACGUAUGUUUUUUUGUUUUCAAGUCUUAGAUGACAUGGGGACCUAAAAUUAUUGCUCCUAGUGGACUCUCGACCCCUCUCAAAUUUAAGUGGUCCAUUAUUAUUAACCACAUAUUUUAUGGACCAUGCAGCUGUGAGGUUUUAUCUCAAAAACCUUCGGUACAUUUCUCCCACAUGCCACAAUUGUAUAUUCACAAUUACGGCUGUUACGUCACAUCAUGCCACUUGCCUCACAUGCAACAAGUCUGUGUUUUGGGGAUUGCCGAGCUGCAUCAAUUCUGCCAAUGUCAAUUCUGCCCCUGGACUCUCUCAAAGCACAUUUAAAACCUAUGCGAACAUAUAUUAGAGUUUAUGAUGUAUGUAUCUAGAAAAUGCCAACACUAAUUUCGUAACAUGUAAAAAUUAUUAGAGAUUGGAAGUUUUUAUCAUUUUUUCUUCCAGUCUCUCCACCACUUAUUAAUACAGAUUACUCAUGUGAUGAGUUUACAAAACCUAUUUCUCUACUCUCGCAAAGACUAAACUUCUUCUCAAAAGACUAGAUCACUUUACCUCUAUCUCUGUGAAAUGUAAAAAGUUGAAACUUUAAUGUCAAACCUCGACAAAGUGUUCUACUUUACAAACUUCUUGUGUCUACCAAUUUGUACUAAAAUUAAUUUAUCUACGGUGCUCAGCUUCAUCGUAUGUGUGUCCUUAAUUUUAGUGGAAAUUGGAAGUUUCCAUAAUUUUUGCUUUAAGUCACUCUUCUGAAGGAAGUUGAGGUUCCACUCCAUAAUCCCAAAUGUCAGGUUGACUUAUGGCAAACAAUGUAAAUAUGUAGGAGUACUAUGACCUUUUAUAGCAUUUUUAGUUUGAAUUUGGGUUUUAUACAUAGAUUUCAAAAUUAAUAGGUUGAUGCCUAGGAAAUAGAAAUUGUAAGGGCCUAUAUUAGAGUAGCCCUCUUAAAAAUAAUAUUAAUUAAUGAAUAUUUGUUCUUCUUGUUGUUUUGAAGUAGUGGUGGGAGGCAGACCAACAAAAAAAAUAUAGUGAAGGCUUAUAAGAGCAUUUACAAUCAUGCUCCCUAUUUUUUAGUUAAAAUUUAGCUAAAAAUAGAAAAAAGUUAUUAUAGGAGCUCUUUAUAAAAUUUGAAUUCCAAUCGUACUCCCUAAUUUAGGGAGUCAUAAAUAUUAUAGUUAUUUUUUAAUUCAAUUUGAUUUUGGUUAAUCUCUAUAAAUAAAUAAAAAUAUGAAAAAAUAGUUAGCAUUAAUUAAAAGUUUAAACUAUGCAUAAAACAAAGAAACAUUAAAUUAUAGGGAGCCACUAUGCCAAUAAUUGUAUCCUCUAAAUAUAUAGGGACAUAUUUUUUUUGUUUUCAUGACAUGUGGCCCUAAAAUUAUUGUUCCUAGCGGGCUCUCCAACCCCUCUCGAUUGAAAACCAAUUGUGUAAAUCUUCAAUCUUGAAUGAUGCACCUAAAACUCAAGUGUCCCAGGCCAAUUAUUGCUCUCAUACCACGUGUUGUAAUAAACAUCCAUCCAUUCUAAAGGAAAGAUAACCAUCGAUAUUAUCUCAAAUUUAACCACUUAAGUUCAUUAUGAUUAACUAUGUAUCUUAUGAACCAAUCCAAUCGUGAGGUUUUAUACCCAAUUAGAUCGACCAAUACAAAGUUCACACGUGGAUUGAAAAGCACUAUCAAUAGGGGAGUGUUCGGCACCCUUUACUGCCGAGCGCAACACAAGAUCCCUUGCAUGCCCUCACUAAGUUGAGCCCAACUAUUUUUUAGCAUUAACAAUAUAUAUAGAUUGAAAAAAUAAAAUAAAAAUCAAUCUAUUAUCAUAUAUUUUAUAAAAUACAUAUUAUUGCUCCAUCCUCCAUACACUUGCAUGCCCUCUUACAAAGUGUGAAGUAGAUUUUUUGUGCUCCAACUCAUUGACUAGGGCUGAAACAUGGUUAGUUAGAUUUAUAAGAUCUUUUGUUUUUUGGGAAUUUUCUGAAGCAAGGAAAAUCAAAUAAAAUUAAUAAAGCAGAAACUGUACCCUUUAAUUAUAUAUGGACAUAUGUUUUUUUGUUUUUUUGCUCUCGACCCCUCUCAAAUUUAAGUGGUCCAUUAUUGUUAACCACAUAUUUUAUGGACCAUCCAGCUUCGGUACAUUUCAAAAAGCUUCGGUACAUUUCUCCCACAUGACACAAUUGUAUAUUCACAAUUACUUCUGGGUACCCCUCAUCAGUCGUCUAUAAAAUGGUGAAGCCAGUUGCUACUGUUACCAUAAGAGCCAGCUCCGACUUUCUUUAAUUUCUUGCUACAUCUGUUGCUAAGUUAAUUUCAGUCCUAAUGGGGUUUCAUCUCCCACUCAUCUUUGCUAUUCUCAGUGUAAGCUCUGCAAUUUGAUUAACUUUUCCAUUCUCUCUCAUUGUACUCUAUAUAUAUAAAUGAAAGUUUUGUGUUCCUAUAAUUCUCUCCGAUUUUAUUUAGUACGUACUUAAGUGUCGUCCACUAAUUAAUUACACUUUGUGAGAUUUGAUUUUAAUUAGAGUUCGAAUUAAUGUUGCAGCUAGCAGCGGUUGCACUGGCAAACAAUGCUGCUCAACCAGCACCUCAACUUUACUGGAACUCCGUCCUGCCAAACACACAGAUGCCAAGAUCUAUCAGUGAACUUCUGCAUCCUGGUUUGUGUUCAGCUCUUUAUAAUCUUAGAUAUCUCUUCUACCUGCCAUUUUACUAAAAUAUGUUCGACCACAUAUUUAUCAGCUAACUACUGUGAUUACAAGAAUGACACUUAUUUUCCAAUAUAAUUUGCAGACUCCACAAAUGAAGAAAAGAGCAAACCUGAAAUUUUCCCAUUGCAGGGCAAUAGAGUUUACACUCAAAGCCAUUAUAAAAAACGUCCUCCUCCUCCAUCUGACGAGGGCAAACCUGAAACUUUCCCAUUGGGCAAUAGCCAUUACACUCAAACCCGUUAUAAAAAACGUCCUCCUCCUCCAUCUGACGAGGGCAAACCUGAAAAUUUCCCAUUGGGCAAUAGCCAUUACACUCAAACCCGUUAUAAAAAACGUCCUCCUCCUCCAUCCGACGAGGGCAAACCUGAAAAUUUCCCAUUGGCCAAUAGCUUUUACACUCAAACCCGUUAUAAAAAACGUCCUCCUCCUCCAUCUGACGAGGGCAAACCUGAAAAUUUCCCAUUGGCCAAUAGCUUUUACACUCAAAGCCAUUAUAAAAAACGUCCUCCUCCUCCAUCUGACGAGGGCAAACCUGAAAAUUUCCCAUUGGCACGUUCUCCUCCAUCUGACAGUCAACUAAAGCAUUACAAAGACUUAGCUAUUUUCUUCUUCGAGAAGGACAUGCGCCCGGGCACAACUAUGAAGUUCCAAUUCCCUAGAAAUUCAAACACGGCUACUUUCCUGCCACGCGAAAGUGCUCAAUCGAUCCCCUUCUCCUCUAAGAAACUACCAGAAAUUUUCAACCAUUUUUCAGUGAAGCCAACAUCUGAGGAAGCCAAAACAAUUAAGCAAACAAUCGAAGAGUGUGAAGCUCCAGGCCUUAAGGGAGAGGAAAAAUAUUGCGCCACAUCUUUAGAAUCAAUGGUUGAUUUUAGCACUUCGAAGCUUGGAACAAGAAACGUUGAAGCAAUCUCAACGGAGGUAUUGGAAGAAGGAGCCACCAAGUACAUGCACAACUAUACAACAAUGCCGGGACUGAAGAAGUUGGAAGGUGACAAAGUCGUUGUGUGUCAUAAGGAGAACUAUCCCUAUGCUGUGUUUCUCUGCCAUGCAAUAAAACAAACAGAAGCUUAUGUUCUCUCCCUGAAAGCCGAUGAUGGGAUGAAGGUGAAAGCAGUAACCAUCUGCCAUCUAGACACAUCAGAAUGGGACCCAGAGCAUUUGUCCUUCCAAAUCCUCAACGUUAAGCCCGGAACCACUCCCAUCUGCCAUUUCCUUACCACUGAUGCUAUUGCCUGGGUUCCAAAACACAAAUCUGCAUGAUCAUCACUUAGCACUGUACGUGUAAUAAGCUUGGUCGGGUUGCACCCUAGGCCUGCAUAAUUAUCUCCCUACUUAUUUCUGCCUCUUCAUCAUGCGGUGUAAGAUAUAUGAUGAGAUGAAGUUUUCUCUUGUAACUAUGUAGACUACUUCAACUUGUACUCAUAAUAAAGCACGCUGUUGGGGGGUUCUACUUAAUUUCGUUCUCUCCAAUGUUUGAGUGUUGAAUUGUUACGUUGGAAUAGGCUGCUAAUGCAUGUAGUUAGAGAAGCCUUCAUUUAUAUCAAAGUCCUCAAACUAUCAAGAAUUAAUGUAUCCAGAAACAUAUACCAAGACGCAAAACAACAUAUUUUCCAUUCUCUGUCUGUAACACCAAAGCAAACUUCCUUUAUCACAUCAUUUAAAGGAUCAAAUUCCAGUACUAAUCUAAUCCAUCAUGUAAAGCAUACAAGUGCCUACCUAAAUUUGUCCAUUGGAUAUAUAUGUCACUUUUUAUUUUUUGAUAGAGAUAUAAAUGUUGAAAAAAUUAGAGUACACAACUCUUAUAGACACUACUACGAUUUACUAUUUGCGCGACGGAAGUUUGCGCGACGAACAUUGUUUCGUCGCGCAAAAAGCACUAUUGCGACGAAAAAAAAAUACCGUAGCGCAAACAACAUAACACAAGCGCGACAAACAGUUUCGUCGCGCAAACAAUCUAUGCGCGACCAAUAUUAAUUUCGUCGCGCAAAGGUAGGGGAAAAAAACCCGGUUUUUUUUUUUUGGCGCCAUAAUCUUGCGCGACAACAACAAUCGUCGCGCAUGACAAUAUUGCGCGACAAUUCAAAGAAUUCGUCAGGUAAAGAUGGACAGAAAAUUGUCUCAUUUUUUUGGCGGUAAAAAACUUUGCGCGACGAAAUUUUUCGUCUCAAAAGACAACUUAGCGCGACGGAAAUAUGUACCGUCGCGUAAAAAAACGAGGGAUACUUAUUUUUGGCGCCAAAAUGCAGGGUGGAUAAAAAAAAUUUUGCGCGACGGAAUUACCUUCGUCGCGUAAAGUGUAAUGCCGGUGCUUUCUUGCGCGACGAAAUAAAUAAUUUGCGCGACGUAAUUUAAACCUUGCGCGACGAAAAGUAUUAUUUGCGCGACGAAAUUUUGUGCGACGAAUAAUAUGUUUCGUCGCACAAAAAAGCAGAUGUCGACAGGUAAUUGCGCGACGGAAAUGUUGUUUUGUGCGAUGGAAAAGUGGGUUUUCGCGACGGCAUUUUGCGCGACGGAUAUUGGUGUUCGUCGCGCAAAGUCCUUCUUCUUCAUAUUAGUAUCUGCCAUUGCAGAGGCAGAAUGCAGAAAUUGCAUUCUGCCUCUCUCUCACUCUCCCUGCCGCUGCUCUGCUGUGAAUUCAAUACGUUCAUUGGGUAUGUAUUUUUUGUCGUUAGUUUAAAUGUAUUAAUGUAAAUUCGUAGUAACGCUAUUAAUUUUGUUAUCGUUAGGGAUAUUUGUGAUUAGUGAUUGGUGGAGAACGAUUGAGAAGGUAUGUUAUUGUAAAAGUUUGUUUGUUAUGUUUGUAAUUUUUUUGUGAAGUUAUAUGUAUAUAAUGUUGUGAAAUUGUGCGUGACAUAGCACAAUGUGUUGUGAUGUACGAAGUUAAUUGAAAUUAACUUCGUACUUUUAUUUUUAUGUUUAGUAACACGUAGUUUCCCGUUCGAGAUUAGUUGGAUUUCGUGCAUGGAUGAGUAAUGCAUGACUGCGGUCCAAUUAAUUCUUGAAUUGUCCCAUUAUUUGGACAGUUUGGUAAUGCAUAGUGUUGUCACAUAAUCUUCGGCUACAGGAUUAGGUUUCGAUUGUGGAGAUUUCGGUGUCAUCUCGGUACGUUCUUCGAGUGGUACGUAGGUAUUUAUACCUAUGCCCACUUCAAGAACUGUGUCGAGAUGCUGCCGAAAUUAAUCCACGUCGAAAUCUAAUCUCAUGUAGCCGUAGGUUACGUGACAGGACUAUGCAUUCCCGAAUGGGAUAGGGCCCUUACCGGAGGCAUAAGGUGACAUUAUAACUUCGUAUGAAGUUGUUGUGAUUGUUGUGUCGUGAUUGUGGUUUCAUGAAUUAUGAGCAGAAGGUGGAUACAUAACCCGAAUAGAUGCGCAGACGAAUACUUGGAUGGAAUCGAGGAUUUUAUUGAGUUUGCACAUAGACACAACCCGGGUGCAAGUAGAAUCCGUUGUCCUUGUAGGAGGUGUAACAACACGUUGUGGGAGACAAUUGAAAAUGUUGGAUUUCAUUUAGUAAGGAAUGGAAUGAUUGAAACAUAUAGCAUUUGGAACCUUCACGGCGAACAUGUAGGCCAUGCUUCGUCUUCAAAUGCCCCAAGAGUGGACAAUGUUGAACCUAUUGUGGAUCCUAAUGAUCAAGUCAUGGGUAUUAUACAGGAUGCUUUUCCAUUCGCAUCGACCAACAUCAAUCAGGAAGGGGAAGAUAACGUGCCUACACCAAUAGACAGUGCGGAGUUUGAACAGUAUGAAAAACUGUUAAAAAAUGCCAACCAAGAGUUAUACCCGGGGUACGAGAGCUUUUCCGUUCUCACUUCUAUUGUGGAGCUAAUGCACGGAAAAAUAAAGUAUCGUAUGUCGAACUUGUGUUUCGAUUACUUUUUGGGGGUUUUCAAGAGAAUGCUUCCGACGGAUAAUUAUUUGCCGAAAGACCAGAAACAUGCACAGAAGGUGUUGCAUGGUCUUGGAUUGGGUUAUGAAAAAAUCCACGCUUGCAAAAACAAUUGCAUGUUAUUCUACAAAGAGCAUGAAACGUUGGAUACAUGCCCUAUAUGCAAUGAGUCGAGGUUCAAAAUGACAUCCCAGAAUAGAACGACUAAGAUACCACAAAAAGUCAUGCGUUAUCUGCCCCUUAAACCUGGGUUGCAGCGAUUGUAUAUGUCGACGCAUACUGCCACAGACAUGAGAUGGCAUAAGGAAAAACGGGUAGACGAUGAUGUGAUGCGGCAUCCUGCAGAUGGGGAGGCAUGGAAAGAGUUCGAUCGAACGUUCCCCGAGUUUGCUGCUGAUCCCCGAAAUGUAAGAUUGGGACUUGCCACUGACGGAUUCAAUCCGUAUGGGGUUCUAAACCAACACCACAGCACUUGGCCGAUUUUCGCAUUCCCAUAUAAUUUGCCGCCUUGGAAAUGCAUGAAAAAAGAAUACAUGAUGAUGACUGUUUUGAUAACUGAGGAUCCUGGCAGGUCAAUUGAUGUGUACUUAAGGCCUCUGGUUGAUGAGCUGAAAGAUUUAUGGACAAACGGUGUUCGCACGUACGAUAAAUCAACUGGGAGGAUGUUCACUUUGCGAGCAGCAAUUAUGUGGACUGUGAAUGAUUUUCCAGCAUAUGCAAUGGUUUCUGGGUGGAGCACAAAAGGUUAUAUGGCAUGUCAUGUAUGCAAGGAAGAUGUAACUUCUGGUUGGCACGCGGGAAAAGUUUGUUACCUUGGUCAUCGGAGAUGGUUGCCAUGGGACCACGAGUGGCGAGAAAAAGAUAAAGAGUUCAACGGGAACACAGAGCGUCGCCUCAGACCUGGAGAAUGGUCCGGUGAUGAGAUCUUGGAACAGCUGAACCGUUUGGAUUUUGGUCCGUUCGGAAAAACAAUUAGUCGGACCAGACCUUCUACACAUUUGAACUGGACGCACAAGCCUAUGUUUUUUGAGCUCCCAUAUUGGUCGAAACUGAAAUUGAGGCACAAUCUAGAUGUGAUGCAUGUUGAGAAAAAUGUAUUCGACACAUUGGUGGGCACGAUUCUAGAUAUCGAGGGGAAGACGAAGGACACGAUCAAAGCUCGUCUUGAUUUGGAAAGAAUGGGCAUACGAAGGGGUUUAUGGAUGAAUAGGGACAGUGAUAAAGCUAGAAGGGAUCUUGCAUUCUUUUCUAUGAAACCGAAUGACAAAAAGGAGUUUCUAAAGUUUGUAUCGUCUGUCAAAUUUCCCGAUGGGUAUGCUUCUAAUAUCGCACGUUGCGUGAAUGUCGAUGGGGGUAAAUUUACUGGACUUAAGAGCCAUGACUGCCAUGUUCCUGUGGGUAUUCGACACCUACUGCCGGAAGAUGUGGUGAAGCCAAUCAUGUUGUUAUCCAGAUUUUUUUCCCAACUGACGGCAAAAACAUUGCGAAGGACAGACAUGUUUCAGUUGCGCCAUGACAUUGUCCAAGUCCUAUGCAAGUUUGAGAUGAUAUUUCCUCCGGCUUUCUUUACAAGUAUGAUGCACGUAAUGGUUCACUUGCCAGAAGAGGCAUUGCUUGCUGGUCCUGUCAACUAUCGCUGGAUGUAUCCAAUAGAAAGGUAUAUAAUCUUUAUCAUUUGUGUAUGCAUCAUUAUCGACACUUUGCUAAUUUGUAUCAUAUCGUUUUAUUUUGGCAGGCUUCUCGGAGAGCUGAAAAAAAGUGUACGCAACAGGGCAAAGCCCGAAGGAUUAAUUAUAGAGGCUUGGGUUCAAUAUGAGUCGCUUACUUUCUGUGGAAUGUAUUUAAAAGAUGUGGAGACGGUUUUCAAUCGUCCUCAACGCAAUAAUGACGGAGGUAUGAGAAAUGAAAAACUUUUUGUUUUUGCCCAAAGCGCAUGACCAUUUGGAGAUCCUGGACGAGGAGAGUCGUUUUCUAGAAAUGACAUGGAGGUAGCGCAUUGGUUCGUACUGAACAAUUGUGAUGAGAUAAUGGCCUACUUAGAUGAGCAUGAACAGAUGAUGAAGCGAGAACAUCCAUCACAUUUGGUUGCCCGGAAACAUCGUGAAUUAUUUCCACAAUGGUUUUUGGAUUCUGUAAGUUAUAACUGUUUUGUAAUUGACAAAUAUAAAUUGUAGUAUUUAAUUUUGUCAGACUAACAUGUAAAUGAUUUUGUAUACUAUUAGGUGAAUAAAUUGAAAUCAUCGAAUUCCCCCACUUACAGUGAUGAGUUAUAUAACUUGGCGUUCGGCCCAAUUCGUGCUGAGUUGUUCUCGGGUUGUAAUGUUAACGGCGUCAAAUUUUUGGGGGCCGCACGAGAUGACAAGUUGUGUAUGCAAAACAGCGGUGUCCAUGUCCCAGGUGGAGGCGAAAGUACGGACAUUGAUUUCUAUGGCAAACUGACAACUGUCGUGCAAUUGCUUUAGAAAGAUCGAUACCAAGUCAUCAUGUUUAAGUGUCGAUGGUUCGAUACCAACCCAAAUAGGGCGGGAAGUGUUAAAAUCGACCAUGGAGUACUGUUUGUGAACAUGGCGUCCCAAAUUGUGUAUCUAGAUGACCCUAAAGCCGGGAGCGGGUGAAAAGUUGUGCAGAAGAUGGAUCAUAGGAACGUGUAUGAUAUACCAGAACUAGACCCAAGUGACAACGACGUCGACAAUGUGGCUGACCAACGUUUAGAAUCUUCAAUGGAAAAUGAUGCGGAAACACUUCGAGAUACAAAUGUUAUACAAGAACCGUUUCAAAUAGAAGGAGUGUCUUCAGUAGAAAUACCGAUUCAGUCAAUUACAAUUGACCUCGGUGAUCUUCCCCGAUACGAUGUUGCAGUGGGUCCUAGCAACGCCGAUGAUGCAGUUAUAGAGGAGGAGGAGGAAGAAGAUUGGGAGACCGAGAGUGAUGAUAGCGAUGAUAACGAAAGUUAUUAUAGUUCAGAUGAUGAAUAAUGAAUUUAUUUGUAAAGUUAUUAUGUUAGUGUAUUCAUUUUGUGUAAUACAAAUCUUUGAAUAUAUGUAGUUGUCCAUAUGUAGUUGUGUAUUCAUUCUCCAUAUUUCAUCACAAACUUCAUUGGAAUGUCAAUACUUUAGUCAAUACUUAUUACGACCCCAUGCUUGUCGAUUGGUUUUUAUUUAUUUAUUUAUUAAUGUCUUUAACUCUUCAAUUAUUAUUUUUUUCUUUUGAGAUAUAGUUAUUUCUUCAUGUUUAAACAAAAAAUAUAAGUUAUUUCUCCAAUAUUAUCUGUGUGCCACUUAUUUUUCUUCACUUUGGUUCAUGAUUAGUGGCAUCAAUCUAGUCAAACCGAUAAAAUCGGUCGAUUCAAAUCUUAAUUAUCAAUUUAGUUUGGUUUUGAUGAAGAAAUACAAAGCCUUUCCAAAAAAUACAGAGCAUAAAAAAUGAUGAAUACAAAACCUUUCCAAAAAAUACAAAGCAUACACAAUUUGAAUUAAAUGAGGAUUUAUGGCGCCAAAUCCUUGCGCAACGAUAAGGAGCCCUUCGUCGCGCAAAUAUAUAUUAGGUAACGUUAUAGUAUAAUAUAUACCCACAUAUAUAUUUAAAAUUGGCGAUCGAAGUAGUUCAUUGUAUUCAUAUGAAGUGUAGGACUGUAGCUGCAAAAAAUCAUCAACAUCGGAGUUAAAAUAACCGUUCAAUCAUCACUUUUUAUUUAGAACCGUCGAAAAGUUUUACCCCGUUACUUAAUCUCUGAAUGUUUUUUUUGUCUGAUUUUUGCUGUCUAUGAUCUCGAAGUAUAACAAAACAAGUUUGACGGCUGGAUGACUGAAGCUAGUUUCGUAGACUGCGUGUGCUAUCAAAAUCAUAUAUUCACCAAAAACUCAAAAAUUUGUUCAUACAUUUGUGAAAAUGUAACUUAAUGUUUAUGUGGUAUCCCCUAGUGUAAAAAUAUGAAAUUGAAGAUCAAAUUCAGUCAUUGUAUUCAUAUAGGGUCAACAAAUGUUGCUGUAAAAAAUGAUCAAAAUCGGAGUUAAAAUAACCGUUAAAUCAUGACUUUUCAUUUAUAACCGUCAAAAUAUUUUGUCCUGUUCCCUGAUAUCUGAAUGUUUGGUCGUUUUGAUUUUUGGCGUAUACGAUCUCCAAGUAUAAACAAAUAAGUUUGCCGGUUGGAUCAUUGAAACUAUUUUAGGGUUUAGGGUUUAGGGCUUAGGGCUUAGGGUUUAGGGUUUACAUUUUAGGGUUUAGGUUUUGCGCGACGAAUAAACAUUCCUUUCGUCGCACAAAGUGAAAGUGACAAAGAUUGCGCGACGGAUAAGUCUUCCAUUCGUCGCGUAAUCUGGGACACACAUUUCACCCCUCCAUACCCUUUGAACACUUAGUGAAAAUUUCAACCGAAUGAAAUUCUUGAACCCGCGCGACGAACAAAGCAAAUACGUCGCGUAAAGUGGACGUGAACAAGAUUGCGCGACGGAUAAAUCUGGUAUUCGUCGCGCAAUCUGGGCCACACUUUCACCCUUCCAUCCCCUUUGAACACUUAGUGAAAAUUUCAACCGAAUGAAAUUUUUGAACUCGCGCGACGAACAAAACAAAUACGUUGCGCAAAGUGGACGUGAACAAGAUUGUGCGACGGAUAAAUCUAAUUUUCGUCGCGCAAUCUGGGCCACGCUUUCACCCUUCCAUCCCCUUUGAACACUUAGUGAAAAUUUCAAGCGAAGCAAAAUCUUCAACUCGCGCGACGAAUAAAAGUAUUCGUCGCGCAAAAGGCACAGGCCUCUGAUUUUUGUUAGCAAACAUUGCGCGACGUUUACUGUCUUCGUCGCGCAAAAGGCACAGACCCUUCAGUUUCAGCCUCCCGCUAAACCCAAAAUUUUCCCAAAAUUUUGGCGGAACGACAGCGUUUUGCGCGACGAACAUAUGACUUUCCGUCGCACAAGGUUAACCUUGCUCGACGUUUACUAUCUUCGUCGCGCAAAAGCACAAACCCUUCAGUUUCAGCCUCCCGCUAAACCCUAAGUCCCAAAAUUUGGGCGGAACGACAUCGUUUUGCGCGACGAAUAUAUGAUUUUCCGUCGCGCAAGGAGAACCUUGCGCAACGUUUACUAUCUUCGUCGCGCAAAAUCACAGUUUCAGCCUCCCGCUAAACCCUAAAUCCCAAAAUUUUGGUGGAACAACAGCGUUUUGCGCGACGAACCAUGUAUUUUUCGUCGCGCAAAAGGCACAGACCCUAAUCCCCAUUCAAAAUUUGGCGUUCUGGGAGACCUUGCGCGACGGAUAUUUCAUCGCGCAAGAUUCAUUAAUACCAUUUUGCACGACGCAUUCUGUUCUUCGUCGCGCAAAGUCGAAUAAAUUUGCAGAAACGGCCCGAUGCCUCCUUCUUCCCCAUUUUCUGGUUUCUCUCCGUUUCUUCCUCUCUCUCCGCCGUCACCUUAGCCCUCUCUCUCUGCCAUCACCUCAGCCACCUCCGCUCGUUCCGUAGCCUCCCUGCCGUCACCGUCGAGCCUGCCGUCGCAAUUUCGUCAGUUUUUCCCGAUUCUUCGCCGGCCGAUUUCUCUCUCCUCCGGCCACCAUUUUCGACGCCUAAGGUAUGAUUUCUCGACUAUUUUUUGUGCUCUAGCUGAUGGUUGGUUAGGAUUUCUUGAAUUUUCGCUAUAGGAAAUAGGAAUUAAAACCCUAGGUUUUGGCCGCUUUGGGAAUUUCAAAUCCGGCCACUUCCGGCCAUUUUUCGGGGUAGGUCCGAGAACAAAAGUGGCUCCAAUUAAUGUUUUCAACCUAGGGUAGGAACCUUGGCCCUUAGUUUUUAGAAUUUUCCGACGAAUGUUAUCGCUUUGGACACCCACGCGCUGCCGGCGCGUGUGGUGGCGCGUGGGAUGUUGUGGCAGUGGGGCAUUGGGUCCCAGAGCAAUCCCCUGUUUGUCACGAGCGCGUAGGUUUGCUCGGAUUUGAAUUUGGUUAUCGUUUGAGUCUUGAUCGGAUUUCGGCUAUUGUGCGAUUUCCAGGUUUGAUAUGUUCGGACCGUUGGAUCGAACUCAAACUCACGUAGUUGUACCUUUGUGUUUCUACGAUCGUUUAGGAUUCGACCGAUCGUUGAUCGGUGUCCCGGAUACUUCGAAAUUCCAAACCCUAGGUGAAGCUAUGCUUUUAAUUAAUUAGUUUAAAUUCUUAAUGAAAUUAUAUGUGCAGAUGUCAGAUUUGAUUAGACGUGGUAGGUCGAUGAUGACUGCACCGAGUUCGGAUCCCCCUGCUCAGUCGGCAUAUGCUGCCACUGCUCCAGCUUUGAUGGAGCACGUGCUGGUUGGUCCCGGGGCGUCCCAGGCGCCUGCGUCAUCUGCGUCAUCCGUCGCGCAGCCAGCUAGUGCUAGGCGGCGGCACCGGCCCGCCGACACGACAUCGACCGACGGUACUGGUGCCUCGGGAUCACAGCCAGAUAUAACUACCAUUUUGUAUUGUUAAUUUUAUAUUGAAAUUUGACAAUGUUGUUUAUUUAACAUUAAUAUCUUUUUUCUUUGCAGCGAAGAAGAACACCUGAGGGCCGUGUCGUCAGCUGAAGACGGCGAAGGUCACCCGGGUGACCAACAGUCGUAUCAGCAUCGGAUACGACGAGCGCCAUCGGGCUGCACCGACGGCGGAGUUGCAUAGCUCCUUGGCCCACGACAUUGGCCACGUCGUGCGGACCCAUUGCCUGAUGCAAUGGAAGUCUUGGAGGGUCAUGCCUGACGAGAUCAAGGUGGAGGUUCGCGGCCAGUUGUCGGUAUGUACCUUACAUUUUCAUUAAUUUUCUUUAAAAUUGUGUAUAUUUCUAUUACUUAACGUAUCUAAUUAAUUGAUUGCAGACGAACUAUAACUUGGAGGAUCUCGACGAAGAGUCGUUGGCGUACGUCAACAGACUCUUCGCUGAGAGGUACAAGCAGUGGAAGAGCGACUUGCACCAUCAUUUUCAGGCCUUUGAUGAUCCGCAAGUCGCUCUUCAGGAGGGUUGCCCGAAGGAGCUUGAGGGGCGGGAGGAUAGUUGGGAGUGGCUCUGCGCUCAUUUUCAAGCGUCCGAAUAUGUGGUAUUUUUUUAAUAAUAUUUGUUUAAUUAUUACUUAUUUCUUAUUAAUGUUUAUUUCAUUUUUUUUAUUUCAUUAUUAUUUAAUUUGUUAUGUUUUAACUAAUACGUUUCAUUUUUUGUAUAACAGAAUAAGGCCCAAGUGAAUAAGGGUAAUAGGAAGAAGAAGACCCUUCUCCACCAUUCCGGCUCCAGGCCCUUUUCGUAUAGGAUGGAUGCCCGGCGACGGGUAAUAAUCACAUAAUUUAUAUUUCAUUUUUAAUGUCAUUUUUAUUAAUUUAUUUUUUUCAUACUAAUAUUUUUCUUCUCUUGUUCAAUUUAGGAGGGGUCCAAGUUCCCAGAGAUCGACGUCUUUGGUGACGUUUAUGUUCGACCCGGGAAUGAGUUGGCCGAGUCCCUUCAUGUAAGUAUUAUUUAAUUUUAAUUCUUAUGUUACGCAUUCAAUUUAUAUGCAUGUUUAAAUUUAUAUUUUAUGUUAUGUUCAACAGACGACGAUGGUGGAGAGGAGCCAGUUGGUUCUUCAGGAGUCCGCCUCCCAGCUUCCUCCCGAGACUCCGAUCGAGUCUGUGGCUCCUCCACAGGAUGCUGGAUUUCAGAUCUUGACGGAGACGUUGGAUCAGACUCUCGGGAGGAGGCCGGGGACAUAUUGUCGAGGGAUGGGGAAUGCCCGGCGGAGGGAACCUAGACCUCGUUCAUCGGCCCAGUCAAACAGUCAGGUGACUGCUUUGACAGCACAGGUGGCCGAGCUUCAGGGUCAGAUGUCGGUGAUUCUACAGUCCCUCGCACAGAGCGGCUUUCCAAUCCCGCAGUUUCGUGCGUCAACCUCCCAGCCCGUCCACCCCGAGUAUGCCCACCAGACCACUGCCCCGGUGGACGCCCAGACCUCCGAGCCGCAUACUGGCGACGACCCGAUUGAUUUUGCUUCAUUAUUUGAUUAGUGUAUUUAUUUUCAUCAUAAACAUUUAUUUUAUUUGUAAUACAUUUAUUUUAUUUUAUAACAAAAUUUUGUUCUAAUUUAUUUUUAUUGCAAUUUCAUUGUUUAAUCAAUAAAAAAACCAAUUUUAUUUAAAAAAAAUAAAAAUAAAUAAAAAACAAAAACAAAAAAAACAAAAAAAAAUUGUAAUAUUAUUUUUGCGCGACGGAAGACAUUUCGUCGCGCAAAACCACAUGUAACAAAAAAAAUUAAAAAAAUCAAUUUUUUAUUACUUUAAUUCUUGCGCGACGAAUACAUACGUCUCGCAAACAUUUUUUGCGCGACGAAAUGUUUCGUCGCGCAACAGCUUUUGCGCGACGACUGAAAUUUUCGUCGCCAAAUAGAUGAGCGACGAAAACUUUCUCAUCGCGCGAAUAGUUCUGCGACGAAUAUAUACGUCUCCCGGACUAGUUUUGCGCGACGAAUUAUUUUCGUCGCGCUAUUCGUUUCGUCGCGCAAAUAUACGUGCGCCGAAUACUUUAUCGUCGCGCAAAUAUUUAUGCGACGAACAGUUGUUUCGUCUCCACACCGUUGGUGCAACGAUGGUUUACCCGUCGCACAAUUAUGCGCGACGAAGUGUUGUACCUCGUCGCGCAAAGGCUUUCUUCACGAUCUUCGCGCGACGGAAGGUGCGCGACGAAUUUUUUGUCGCGCUGAAAUUAGGGCGACUAAAUAAGACUUUGCGCGACGUUUUGUUAUUCGUCGCGCAAAGAGUAAAAUGUAGUAGUGAGACUUGUUGGAGACAAAACAGGUAAACAAAUUACUUGUAUUAGACUCACAAAAUAUUACAACAAGACAACUCUCAAAGAAAAGACAAACUCUCACACUUCUCACAAGGACUACUUAACUUUAUAGCUUAUUGCAUAUAGCAUAUGCAAACACAAUUAGAACAUACCUACGUACACUAUGGGAACACUCGUGUAUAUUUCAACACAAGAAAACAUGUGCACCGUGCACGGUUCACAUGAAGUAAGAAAUGAAGAGGAAAUAAAGAAGAAGAAUACAAAAGAAAAUGGAGAUGAGAAAAAAAAAAAAACCGAAUAAUGAAAAAUGAAUUGACAAUUAUAUAUGGUUGACAUUAGAUCUAAUAUUAUAUGUAACAACUAUUGAUCUAAAAUAAACAUUAAAUCAAACAAUAAUUAAAAGAUUUGACAAUAUAAAAAUUUAUUGAGGACAAAAAAAGGCAAAAACUUAUGAAAAAUGGAAACAAUAAAUAUGAACUGAGUCAUCAACUCACCAUGGUAAGUUUGCUGACGUAUAAAAAUAGUCAAUGGACAUCGAAAAGUAAUUGGCUUACAUCAAAAAUUAAAAUCACGUGGGUUAUUCCUAAGAAACCUUAAUAUUUGCCUUCCAUUUGUUCCAGCAAAAUAAAAGUCAUUGCUACUUAUUGUAACCCCUUUUCCAAGCUUAUUAAUCAAAGUAGACACCUCACUGCUGUCACCUAGCCAAUUUUCAACAAUGUCAUACUUAACAAGCAACUCCACAUCCUUUGAGGUGUUCACAAAACGAUCCAUGAGACUAACAUAAUCACUUAUGUACGUCUCCUCGUAGUGGCAUUGUUCAAAUGCGAUGAGAUUUCUAAUUAAUACCUCUGUAUGAUCGCUUAUUUUCAAUCUUGGAAUUUCAAGAGUCCGGCCAGCAAAUCUAAUAAGGUAUUCAUUGAUCCCUCAUUCAACUUGAACCCUGCCCUGUGUAGCUCUGUGAUGCUGGGUGUGUUUAUAGUUAUGAGUUUCCCGUCAUUAGUUUUUAGGGUUAUUCGUUAUAUGAGUCCCUGAACUUAGACCCGAUUUGCAUUUUAGUCCCUCAAUUUCCAAAAUCGUUCCAGUGGUCCUUCAACUUUAGUUUCGUUAGGACAAAUGGUCCUGCCGUCAAAUGAUUAUAAAGUGGAAAAAACAAGAACAAAAAAGGAAGUGAGUUAAAUUUGCACCUGCUAUGUUCAAACGACAAAGUUCGUUUCCGUUUGGUCGAUUACAAGAGAAGCUCAAUGCAGCUUACUUGGUUCCUCUUGGUAGAUGGAAAUAUAAUUUUUCUCCUAAUAACAAAGGUUUAGUGCAAUCAAUGAUGGGCUGUAUAGAACAACUUUUUUGUUUUAUAUGUUUAUGUGAGACAAGUUUUGCCAGAUUGAAUUAAUGUCUUCUAGCUAUGUACCUUAUCUUUUUGCCGGGCCAUGAGUUGAAUGUAGAGGCAGAGCAUGGCCUUGGGUUUGUAAAAGACAAAAGACUGAACCAGACGUAAUUAUUUAGAUUUUGGAUCCAGUUCCACAUCCCAAAGAGAAAACCACAAGUUUGCAAGCAAGUUUGUCCAUAUUAACACUACGUAGAGUAUAGGCAGUGUGCUACUCAUCUCACUUUCUCAACCUACCCUAUAUUUGUCUAAAAGAGUUUCUAAUUUCGUGUACUGAUUCACUACUACAUUUUACACUUUGUGCGACGAAGAGAAUUUCGUCACGCAAAAUACAUUGGUCGCGCAAAGUUUAAAAAAAAUUUUAAAAAAAUAAAAAAUUCCCGCGUCCAAUUUUUGGUACUUGUCCAAAUUUUUUGAGUUUUGCGCGACGAAUACUAACAUCGCGCAAAUAUUUGCGCGACGAAAUAUUUUUUGUUUUAAAUUUUUUUAAUUUAAAAUAAACUAAUUUAAUAGUUUGCGCUACGAAAUAUUUUGUCGCGCAAGGUUUUUGACUUUUUGUUUUAUUAUUUCUUUAAUAUGAAUUUAUUUAUAUGAAUUUUUUGAAAUUUUUACUUUUUAAAUUUAAUUUAAUUGUAUGAUUUCUUUUUAAAAUUACUUUAAUUUAAAUUGAUAUUAAUUUUUACUUUUUAAAUUUAAUUUAAUUGUAUGAUUUUUUUUAAUUACUUUAAUUUAAAUUGACAUAUUCAAAAUAAAAUUACAUAUGAAAAAUAGUGAUUAAAUUAUCCAAUAAAUAUAUAUAUAUAUAUAAUAUUCAAAAUGUACACAUAAAUUAACAAAGCACAAUAAUAAAAUCCUAAUACAAGCGUAUUGUGGUGGUAGUGUCGGAGGAUAUGUUUUGAUAGCUUCCUAAUCCUCAACUUUAGCCGUCAAAGUCUCGAUGAUUCCCUACAAAAAAAAUAAAUAUGGUCAAAUAACCACAAACAAAAAAAAAAAAAAAAAAAAAGGCAUAAUCUCCCCUAAAAUUGUUAUACCACAAAUCCAACCCAAACUCCAAUCCCUCCCCUUUACUCAACCCCAAAACCCACACAAACUCAAAAUUAACUCCAAAAACACAUAUUAAUGAAAAAAAUUUAAAAUUUGGAGAGAAUAUACCUUUUGGCAAGAUUGAGAGUGAAUGAGAGGGAGAAGUGAGUGUGAGAGAAUUAGAGAAGAUAGUGAUAGAGAGAUGAGAGAGAUGAGAGAGUGAGUGAGAGAGAGUGAGAGAUAGUGAAGAGAGAGAUGAGAGAUUAAGUGAGAGGAGUGAGUGAGAGAAAUGGUGGGAUUUGGGGAGAGGGAAAGAGAAAGGAGAGGUAAGAGUAGAGAAAGGCAUUGAGAAAAUGGUGGAUGAGUUAUUUCGGUUUUAAAAACCGUAUCACUUUGCGUGACGAAAAAUAUUGUUGGUCGCGCAAAGGUUUGCGCGACGAAAAAUAUUGGAAUAUUGAUCGCGCAAACUUUUGAGCGACGAAACAUAUUGGUCGCGCAAAGUCUAAAAAAAUUAUUUAAAAAAAAUAAAAAUCCCCGCGUCCCAUUUUUGGUACCCGCCAAAAUUUUUAAAUUUUUGCGCGACGAAUAUAGGAAUAUUGAUCGCGCAAAGUCUAAAAAAAUUAUUUAAAAAAAUAAAAAUCCCCGCGUCCCAUUUUUGGUACCCGCCAAAAUUUUUAAAUUUUUGCGCGACGAAUAUAGGAAUAUUGGUCGCGCAAAGUCUAAAAAAAUUAUUUAAAAAAAUAAAAAUCCCCGCGUCCCAUUUUUGGUACCCGCCAAAAUUUUUCAAUUUUUGCGCGACGAAAAAUACAUAUUGGUCGCGCAAAGUCUAAAAAAAUUAUUUAAAAAAAUAAAAAUCCCCGCGUCCCAUUUUUGGUACCCGCCAAAAUUUUUAAAUUUUUGCGCGACGAAAAAUACAUACUGGUCGCGCAAAGUCUAAAAAAAUUCCCGCGUCCGAUUUUUGGUACCCGCCCAAAUUUUUGCGAGACGAAAAAUAUAUAUUGGUCGCGCAAAGUUUUGAGCGACAAAAAAUAUUGGUCGCGCAAAGUCUAAAAUUUUUUUAUUUUUUUUUUAAAAUCCAGCGUCCCAUUUUUGGUACCCGUCCAAAUUUUUAGAGUUUUGCGCGACAAACUGUUGGUUGCGCAAACUUUUGAGAGACGAAAAAUUGGUUCGUAACACAAUAUUUAUAAAAAUAAUUGUUAUGAAUAAUAAAAAUAAAAUUAUUUUAUUUUACAAUUUAAAAUAUAAAUAAGGUUAAAGCUGCUUAAGAAAUAUAUAUACUAUUCAAUUUCUUAAGUGUUAUACGUACAAAAUAAAUAAAUUUAAAGGUACUUAAUAAAUAAAUAUAUAUACACACACCAUUCAACGAUCCAACCGUCAGACUUAUUUGUAUAUACUUCAAGAUCGUAUACCCCAAAAAUCACAAAAAACAAACAUUUAGAGAUCUAGUAACGAGACAAAACUUUUCGAUGGUUAUAAAUGAAAAAUUACGAUUUAACGGUUAUUUUAACUCCGAUUUUGAUGAUUUUUUUUUACAGCUACACUCCUUGACCAUAUAUGAAUACAAUGACUGAAUUUGAUCUUCAAUUUAAAAUAUUUACACUAGUGGAUACCACAAAAUCUUAUGUUAUAUCUAACGAACGUAUAAAUAACCUCUUAAUUGUUAGUGAAUAUAUUGUUUUGAUGGCAUAUGCAUUCACCAAAACUAGUUUCAACGAUCCAACCAUCAAACUUGUUUGUUUAUACUUCGAGAUCAUAUACGCCAAAAAUCAGAAAAAAUAAACAUUCAGAGAUCAAGUAAUGGGACAAAAAUUUUCGACGGUUAUAAUGAAAAAUCACGAUUUAACGGUUAUUUUAACUCCGAUUUUGAUGAUUUUUUACAGCUACACUCCUUGACCCUAUAUGAAUACAAUGACUGAAUUUGAUCUUCAAUUUAAAAUAUUUACACUAGUGUAUACCACAAAAUCUUAUGUUAUAUUUAACGAACGUAUAAAUAAACUCUUAAUUGUUAGUGAAUAUAUUGUUUUGAUGGCAUAUGCAUUCACCAAAACUAGUUUCAACGAUCCAACCGUCAAACUUGUUUGUUUAUACUUCGAGAUCAUAUACGCCAAAAAUCGGAAAAAAUAAACAUUCAGAGAUCAAGUAAUGGGACAAAACUUUUCGACGGUUAUAAUGAAAAAUCACGAUUUAACGGUUAUUUUAACUCCGAUUUUGAUGAUUUUUUACAGCUACACUCCUUGAACCUAUAUGAAUACAAUGACUGAAUUUGAUCUUCAAUUUAAAAUAUUUACACUAGUGGAUACCACAAAAUCUUAUGUUAUAUUUAACGAACGUAUAAAUAAACUCUUAAUUGUUAGUGAAUAUAUUGUUUUGAUGGCAUAUGCAUUUACCAAAACUAGUUUCAACGAUCCAACCGUCAACCUUGUUUGUUUAUACUUCGAGAUCAUAUACGCCAAAAAUCGGAAAAAAUAAACAUUCAGAGAUCAAGUAAUGAGACAAAACUUUUCGACGGUUAUAAUGAAAAAUCACGAUUUAACGGUUAUUUUAACUCCGAUUUUGAUGAUUUUUUACAGCUACACUCCUUGACCCUAUAUGAAUACAAUGAACUAAUUCGAUCGUCAAUUUAAAAUAUAUAUUUUCUAACAAAAACCCAAUCUGAACAACAAUAAUAUAUUUUUCUAACAAAAAUCCGAUCCGAUCUAAAAUAAUAAAUUUAAAGCUACUUAAUAAAUAUAUAUACUGUUUAAUUUCUUAAGUGUUAUGCAUACAAAAUAAAAAACAAAAAUAAAUUAGUAUAGGCGACAAAAUGUUUGGAUUACGUCAUGCAAAGAUUUUAAAAUAUAUAUAUAUAUUAUUUUUAUAAGGACUUUGCGCGACGAAGUUCAUUGUUUCGUCGCGCAAAGUCACUUUGAGCGACGAUGUAUUGUUGUCGCGCAAAAGUUUGUCGCGCAAAGUUACUUUGCGCGACGAAUUUUUUUUCAUCGCUCAAAAUUUGGUCGCGCAAGACUUUGAGUGACGAUGUAUUGUCGUCGCGCAAAAGUUUGUCGCGCGAAGUGACUUUGCGCUACGAAUUGUUUUUCGUCACGCAAAAUUUGGUCGCGCAAGACUUUGAGCGACGAAGUUUUGAGUUUCGUCGCGCAAAGUGACUUUGAGCGACGAAUAGUUUUUCGUCGCGCAAAAUUUGGUCGCGCAAGGGGUUUUUUUUUACUAGUAUGAGUUUUAUAUACAAUUUAUAACAAUAUUUUCAGGCAAAAAAAUGUCUUGGCAAGAAAAUGUACAAUUUGUUACGUACUUAACUGGAACGAUUACCUUCAAAUUCCUAUGGCCAAUUACCUUCUUUUUUCUUCCUUUUUUUUUUUUUUUUUUUUUUGGUUGUUGUUGUUCUUUUGAUCAAGUUGCAUAUUCCAAAGAACGAAAACCAGUACAGGCUCUUUUCCAAUGCAAGCUCUUUUCCCAUGUUUCCCUCUGUUUUUCUCCUAUUUUUCUUAUAUGGAAGUGAUUAAAAUACACCUCUAAGCUUGUUUUGCGUUUGGUAACCGACUGUAAAAGCUCAAUGCAGAUAGUUUGAGGUAGAAUUUUCUCCAAUUUUACUAGCACAGUGAUAAGCUAUACUAUAUGUAACAACAAAUUGCUUUAAUAAUGAUAAUGAAAAAAGUGUGAUCCAUCGAAUAUUUGCGGGGUUUUGUUCCAAGUCAACACAUCAAAUUCUUUUACACCAUGAAAUUAAAAAAAAUUUAUUCAACCAUCUCGACCUUAUGCUCGAUCAUUUUGCACAAGCAACCGUCCACGUACCCCAAUAAUUUAAAAGGGCUGAUGAUCUUUAAUUUGGCGAAAGCUUCUAUCUACUUCUACCGCGCUAUAUAUGAGCUAUGCAAUUGUGACGGUGUUACAUGACGUCACAAUGUCGUAGGGAUAAAAAAAUAAUAGUCAUGGUUUCUUAUUAAUGUUAAUACAGGCAUAGCAAAAAGCUUGUAUUUCUAGUGGUUAAGAACAAUUACCCAUGCACUUGAGAUAUUAUGUGCUUAAAUCCCCUCUUCCCCAAUAUUUCUUGUAUAAAAAUAAAAAUAAAAAUAAAAAUAAUAAAGAUAUUGAUAUUGUAUUCUAUAAAGUGUUGGACAUGUUUUAUACCCCUUUACUGCAAAUUACAGUUUGACACAUGUACAAAAAUAAUAGGUAAGUGUUGGACAUCAAGAGUACUUACAUAUAGGUUUAAUAGGUAAGUUUUGAAUAUUUCUGUCUUUAGCUUUAAUUAUUGAAAAUCAACCUAUUAUCAUAUUAAAGACUUAUCCAUGUUCAACGUACAUUCUCUUAUUUUUCUCUCAUUGAAGUAAAUACAAAACUAAGCACAUAGUGGAAAAGUAGGUCACGAUUAGGGGUGGGUUUGGUCUGGGUUGGUUCAGUUUUGGGCUCAACCCGAACACCGAACCGUAGACCUCGAUUUGGCUAUUUUGGAAACCAAAACUAAACCAUAAUUAAUGAAAACCGACCACUUCAAUUACCUUCUGGUCUUCCAACCAGAAGAAAACUCAAAACUUUAACCAUACCAAGUGCAACAGAAUUACACCAGGCUGGAGUCAAGUUUAUGAUGGUUAAAGAUAAAAACUUAUUUGACAUACAAUUUGAGAAUGGAAUCCUCAAAAUUCCACACCUGCGAAUACAGGGUUAAACAGAAAUUUUCUUCCGCAAUUUUAUUGCCUAUGAGCAGUGUGAGCUCCAUGAUCAUUACAUCAACAACUAUGUCUUCGUCAUGGACCGCCUGGUCGACAGUGCCAGGGAUGUGGAAUUGCUUGUGAAGAGUGGAAUUCUUGAAUCCAUGCUACCGGACAGCGAGGCAGCAGGGGAAUUUAUUAAUUCUCUUGACUUGGGGCCUAUUUUAGGCAAGCUUGAAACAAGACUAUUUCAGUUCACCAUGGGCUGGCCUGUCUAUUAUUGUAGCCGCUAUACUAGUUGUGCUCACAUUUAUUCAAACAGUGUGCUCCGUAAUGGCGCUGUAGGUUCUUCAUUUCCUCAAUUUCAUGUUUAGUGGUUGCAGAUUUGUUGCUCAUGUACGUGUUUAUCUAAAGUUAAAUAAGAGUGAUUGACUGAUAGUCUGUUAGUUUGUUUUUCUGGGGUUUUUCCCCUGUUCGUCAAAAAAGAAAAAGAGAAAGAGUGAUUGCUUGUGCCUGUUUGGGCCUAAUUUGACACACCCAAUCCAAAAUCAAAAAGUCCAUGUCAAUUUUGGACAGCCACCAGCAUUCCCUUUGUAAUUAGGCCAAAAACUGCACACCCAACCUAGCACUGGAGCCUAGAACAAACAAGGUAAACUCAGGACCCAAGCAGUUUGAUUUUUUCAUUUAAAUUGGAAUCAAGGGCCCCAAGUCAAAAAAGCCCAAGCCCAAGGCAGAUUUUUUACCAAAAAGACCCAAGGAAGCCCAGUGCAUGCGAAUUGCUUAGCCCACAAUCCCAAAACUCAAAACUAAGUUUGGCAUGAUUAAAUAAAGAUAGAGAGAAGCCCAAAAUUGAAGAAACCCAAAACAGUUUUAUCAAAAUUGUCAGCUCUCUACCCAAGACCUAAAAAGGGUCAAAAAUACCACUAUUGGCAAAAUUGACGCACUCAGCCUUGGAUCACAAAGAAAUCCACGUGACUAUUUGACUUUGAGAAGUCAACAAUUUCAACUAGUCACAAGAGAAGUUGAUUGGAAUUAAUGUAGGCAGGUCAUUACAGAAAAGACUUCUUUGAAACUCUGUAGCCAAAAGAUCAAAAUCCCUUUCUAUAUAAUUCUGCAUCAGAGUAGGUGGUCUUUCCAAGAGAUAAGCAGACUACGUUUUCAAGAGAUAAGUAGAGAAUGAGGGAGUUGUUCAACAAGAAAAGCAAACUAACCAUCAUGAUAGGUUGUGUUCUUUCUCUCUACAAAAAACAAUAGGGAACAAAGAAGAGUUGGUUUUUCUUUCAGAAAAAGGAAGGAAAAGACCUACAUGAAAACUAAUUAUUGAUGGUUCUUCUCUGCCAGAACAGAUAACUUCUCAUUUUCUUUGACAUUUAAAAAUGAAAGGUCUCGCUUUUACAAAAUCUGCCGCCCAUUAUUUAAAGAUUAGAAAACCCACUCCAGCAUUUCCUAUAAAUAUGAGAGGAGGUGAUGUCACAUCACGGGAUUGGCUCUGCCGUAGCACGAUAUUGUCCACUUUGCGCCCCCCUCUCUACCCUCACGGUUUUAUUUUUGGGAACUCACGAGCAACUUCCCAGUGGGUCACUCAUCUUGGGAUUGCUCUAGCCCCCAGCUCGCUUAACUUCGGAGUUCCCAUGACUCCGAAGCCAAUGAGCUCCCAAAAGGCCUCGUGUUAGAUGGAGGCGGGCAUGUACAUAUAAGGCACAUCACCUCCUCUCCGUUGGUCGAUGUGGGAUGUUACAGGUGAACAUAUCAAAGGACAGCCAAAAAAUCAAUCAAAGACAAAAACUCAAAAUGAUCACUUGAUCUCAAAAGCCUUCAAAACACUGAAGCAAGCAAAGCUCAUUGAGCCACAACGAACAAGUCAGCUAGAAUUCAGAAUCUUUAGAGUCAGUUCAGUUUCAGAGAAAUAAUCAAAGAAAGCGAGAUCUCUCUCGUUACAAAUUUGGUUCAGCUUAAAGCCAAAACAAGCAGAGUUCAGGUUCUUACAAAUAUGAAAACCUCAAUAAAUUUAUGGAGAGCCCUGAUCAAGCAAAACAGGUACUACAGUGCAGUUCUAGCUUAGUAAUAAUCAAAUCCACCCACUUCUGCCCCUUCCAGAUUGAGAAGGUCCCAAUUCUGCCCAUUCAAAAAGCCUUCCAAGACUUGAAAUAGAUUAAAGCUCUGCCAAACUCAAAUGUUGGAAUCAAUUCGCAGCUGAAACAUGACAGUUGAAGGUGUUGAUAGUCCAGUCCAGCACAGACAUACCCAGUCUAGCCCAGAUCAGAAGCAUUCACCGAGGCAGAAAUUGAAGUCCAAAGCUCUUUUUGUCUUUUUAGAGUUGGUCUUCCUUUUCUGAGCUUUGUAAAAGGCAAUUCUGCCUAAAACAGUUCACUUUCUUAUCAUUUAUUCUGGCCAGAACUACCAGUUUUGUACUGUGAAAAAUUAUGAAGUCCUCACCAGUCUAAGGCAAGAAAAGAACUUACUUGGGAGAUAUUCCUCACCAAAUUCACAACCGUUUGUUUAGAAAUCAGUAACUUGGUGUAACGACCCGGUCCUAAAUAAAUUGGUAAUUAUUAAUUUAUUCAGAUAAAAGACCAUUUUGCCCAUAGAAUAUUUUAAUAGGUUUACAUGUUGACCCGGGAGGCUUCGGUGAAAUUGUUACAUCUCGGUCCGAAAAAGUGUUAAAAUAAUUAAAGUAGAGUGCUGCUAAAAGAACCCUAAAAUUAACUGAGUACACCCUAUGAUCUAAGUACACCCUAAUAUUUUAAUUAAAAUAUAAAAUUAACUAAGUACACCCUAUAAAACUAUCAAAAAUAACACUGAUACACCCUAAUACUUGUAGCAUUAUUUUAUAGUUGAUUAUUUUAAUAGUGUUUAUAAAUCUUUGACUUUUCAUAUGGAUUUAUGCUUCUACUAAAAUUGUUGCCACUUUUUUUCCAAUUCCAAGUUCUUGCAAUCACCACAUCUUUCGUUAAAAACACAAUAGGACAAGCAAUCUCUUGAUUAGGGUUGAAUAUGGUUAGUAGGGUGUACUUAUUAAUAUUAUAUUUGUUUCACAAUUCCAUAUAUCCUUUUUGGUCAUUUUAUAUUAGGGUAAACCAGUAAUUCAAUAUAUACUUUUAUAGUAGGGUGUACUCAGUUAAUUUUAGGGUUCGUUUAGCAGCACUCUUAAAGUAAGAGAGAAUAAAAUGAAAUAAACAUUAAAAUAAAAUGAUUUGAAUUAAUUAAGGUUUUUGAGAAAUUAAAAUAUUAUUUAAUAUUAUAAGGGGAAAAAGAUCAUUUUAAGUUUGGGAAGGAAUUUGGAAAUUCCAAUUGUACCGUUGUGUAGAGCAUGUCGAAACGAGUCCGUAGACACGUAGUGGACUCGAAUCGUAGUUAUAACGGAGAAAUGGCGAUCAAAAGAAGUUCAGUGGCAUAGCCAUAAAUAUUUCGAAGUUCAGUUUUUUUAAAACCCAAAUUUCUUCUCUCUGGGGAGUGGGAGAGCCAACUUCAAAUGGUGAUUUCUCCCAACUCCGACCACCACACUUCCCUCUUCCUUCAGUUUUGGCAUCAUGAUGGGUUCCAUCCCGGAAUGACACAUUUUCGACGCUAAGGACGUCACAAAUGGUAUUUGAGAUGCUUUGUAAAUUUGUAACCAUGGAAAACACAAUGAACUUUAUGUUCGGAGUUGCAAGAGAACAUUAAGGGGAAUAUGGAGAGUGGGAAAAUAGUAAUAAGUGGAGAUCUGUAUGCUUACUUACUACUGAACUUCCGUCGUGGUGGUUAGUAUGAAAAAGUGUUAGAGAUUAUAGAUUUUAUGGAGGAACAUGGUUGUACACUGAUAAGUAGUCGGUAGGAGUUGAUUUAAGUUCCAAGAGAAAUUCAUUAUGAACUGGGAUGAAUUACUGCAAGAUUCUUGCUGUUUUGAAGUUAUUGAUUUUAGGGGCAUCACCUCUGAAUGAUCAUAAUAACCAUGCGUGGGCUCUGCAUGAGGUUUCUUUGACAUUGUUUGAUUUUGUGUAUUGAUAAUUACACUUAGGGGUGUCACGUUUCUAGAAACGUGUCUAUCCAAAUUGUUGUAUCUCAAUAUCCUAUGGAAGGAAAGCUGAGAAGCUGAAAAUACUGGAUUUAUGGUGGUGAGAUAAAAAUUGUCAGGAACUUUCAAAAGUCAAAUUAUUUCACAAAGGGAAAUACUGGAGAGAAGUAUUAGAGAAUUUUCUUUGGAUAAGUUAUAUAGGAGUGGAGGAGUUGCGAGUUUAACCAAGGAGGGUUGUGACAAUUUAAAUUGAGAAGUAGUGGUGUUGGGUGAAGUAUUAUUUCAUUCGCGUGGGCUUGAAUGCCGCGAUUGACAGGAAUGGAACAUUAGGGUUCUUCUUCCUUGCUCUCUCACGCGAGCUCGCCAUAGAGAGUAUUUCUUGGCGUGGUACUGGCUUCGUCCGACCUCCGAUUACUGUGAUUUUUGAAAGGACCCGGCCCAAAUUUCUCAAAAUCCGAGGCGAAUCCUGUGAAAUUCCCGACAUCACUCCGAUGCCAGGCCCACUUACUAAAGACCGAGACUUUCUGCCGAACUUUCGGCAGAGUCUCCCCUAUAAAUUGGACAUUUUCCAAAACUACCACCUGCAUAAAACACAAUUUAUAUCCCCAACUGGCAGCAUGCACAAGAUAAUUUCAUGCAAAUCACAUAAUCGGCCUGCGGCCUUCAAAUAAUUCAAAACGAAACCACCAAGCACACUAUCAAAUUAAUUCCUACCUUAAACAAGGCAAACAAUAAAUUUAAAUAUGAAUUAUGACUACUAAAUUUCAACAUACGAGGUUUUAACCUCCUAACACAAUCACAUCUAUGUCCGCGGCUGCACCUAAUAACCUUAGGCUGCCUACGUACCUUCACUGAGGGAUCAAGCCACACGUAGUUCUUCCGUAAAACCCAAUUCCACACAUAGGCAAUACCUUUAUUCAUUUCUCUGUAUUUCACAUAAUCUCCCCAUACGCCAGUACUACCAUUGCCACGUAUGGGACUUGUCAACAAGCCGGAUAACCUACACCACGUGCGAUCUCAACAUAAUAUCACAUAAUCUCCUCAUACGCCGGUACAACCAGCGCCACGUAUGGGGCCUGUCAACACGCCGGAUAACCUACGCCACGUGCGACCUCAUCAUACUAUCACAUGAUCUCCCCAUACGCAGGUACAACCAACACCACGUAUGGGGCCUGUCUCAACGCCGGAUAACCUACGCCACGUGAGACCUGAACAUAAUAUCACAUAUCUCCUCAUACGCCGGUACAACCAAUGCCACGUAUGGGGCCUGUCAACACGCCGGAUAACCUACGCCACAUGCGACCUCAAUAUACUAUCACAAUAUCUCCCCAUACGCCGGUGCAACCAACGCCACAUAUAGGGUCUGUCUCAAAUUGGAUAACCUACGCCACGCUAGACCUCAACAUCAUAUCACAAUAUCUCCUCAUACGCCGGUACAACCAACGUCACGUAUGGGGUCUGUCCGCAUGCCGGAUAACCUACGCCAUGUGGGACCUAACUUUCACAGAGUGGUACUUGUAGUGUAACCAAAAUCUGGGGAGGUGCCUAAGGUAGUGCAUAUAGCACUUCAAACUGACAUUCUCUCACUUAUCUAAACUAAUACUAGAGGUCUUCCCAUUUUAAUGGUACCAGUCUAUAGUAGAUUGUAACGUAAUUUAAUCAUAAAAAUAAUAUUAUUUCUAGACCAACGAUUAUUCACAUAAACAUGAAUUUCAUAAUUUCACUAUUUAAAAUAAUAUCUAAAAGUUUCCUAUAAUACAAAUAAACACUCUAAAGAUCCCAACUUAGUCAACACAGCUCAACAAUGCUCAAGACCUGUCAUUAGGGUCAUUAUGAUCCUUCUAGGAAGGUAAAACUACCUCGAAAGACUCAAGGUCAACCAAGGGUCAAACCACCCACAAUUGGUCAAACGGGCCCACGGGGCCCACGACCUCCAAAUUCCAAUCCGAAGGUUCCUAUGGGAUCUACAAGGUAUAGGACACUCGUCUUGCAAGUUAAGCCUAGAUCGGAUGGUCAGAUCGCUCACGAUCGCACAAUCUGAUGGUUAAUAUAAAACAUAAACUUUAAAUUAUUUAAUCGGAACAUCCGGGGCUCCCGAUUCACGAUCUGUUCCUACACGAUCCUAGAAAUACAUAGAUUAACAUAUAUUAAAUUUGAGACCAUCCAACGGUCCUAACCUAUCGAACCCGGAUAACGCGCAAUAGGCGAUAUUCGUUCGAUAGUCAAACGACGUCCGAAUUGAGAUUUACGAAAUCCUACGCACUCGUGACAACCUAAGGAUCUCAUUGAGACAUAUUGCUAUCCCAAAACCGACCGAAAUCCAAUUCGAAAAUCGAGUUACUUACGUUAAGAAUCGACCGAAUCCUACCCAACAGGCAGCUAGAGCAUGAAAAGUAUGUGAGAAACCAUACCUCACUCGUCGAAAUCAGUGGCCAAAGGAGGGAGAUCGACGAUAGAGAAGUUCGGACGAACUGACCGCUUCUUCUCCAUUUUUCAGCGAAACCACGGUAGCUGGUGGCGGGACCUAGCUGGGGUUGGAAGAGGAUGACGCCCCGGUCAUUUUGGUAUCGGCCUCGUGGUCAUCGGUGGCCGGAUGAGAAAACAGCCGGCGAAAAUGUGACCGGCUGCCGUUGCGCACGCGAGAGAGACCACGAGAGAGAGAGAGAGAGAGAGAGAGAGAGAAAUCUGAUUGUGCCACUGAGAUUCUUUUGACCAUAUCUCUCUCGUUACAACUCCGAUUCAAGCCCACCACGUGUCUACGGACUCAUCUCGGUACGACCUAUCCAAAAAUACCAAUCACUACCCCAAAUACUUUUUGGAUCAGAAAGUGACCAAAUUACCCCUACCUCAAUGGUAACUUUGUAAUUUCACUUAAAUAAUUUAAAUAAGGGAUUAAAUUUGGAGUCGGGGUGUUACAAUUUUUGUUGCUAAAUGUUGUCAUCAUUUCUCCUCUACAUCACUCAGUGAUCAUUCACUCCCAUUUCUCUAGUUUACACGGUGAAUUUUAUUUCUAAAAUUUCUUAAAAUUCCGGCCACUGUGAGUUUGACCAGCGACUUGGGUUACUUUUGCCCAUCUUUUUGGAAAUGGAACCGAUUUGAGGAAGAUUAGGAGGAAAGAUACAUAGGCCGCUGAGGCAGAAGUAAAGCCGGAGCUUUACCAUAGACAGAAGUUGUUUUAGAAGUCCUGGAAGAUUGUGAACAGGAAUUGGAAGUUUGCAUGGGGUGAUAGGAUUUUUAGUACUUGUGCAAACAGUGUUAAAAAUCACAUAAAAUACUUGCAAGAAUACAAGGCUAUUGUAGUCUAGAUGCUCAUGCAAGGUCGUUUUCCUCAAGGACUAAUUAGCAAUUUAUGUAAAAAUAAAUUCCAAUUACUACUUAAAAUAAAAAGUCAAGAAAGAUGAUUAUAAAUUUGGUUGAUUCUAAAAAACAAAUAUUAAACAAAAACAAAUACGAUUGAAAGAAAGAGUUUUGAAUAUCAAUUUAUAAAAACACUAGGGUUUCACCAUCACCUAGCAAUCCUAUGAACUUUUACCAAUUACUUAUGAUUUGCACAUGCCACUUUGAAGGUUAGGUUUUCCUAAUGUAUAUUCUACUUAGAACCUCCAACACAGAAUGUAUAUCCAACAUGCAACCCGUCCGGACGUUCGGAUCAAAUCUGAACAUGAAAGACUCAUUAAGUUUUGUGAAAACCCUUUGAAAAACCAUGCAACCCUUAAGACGUGGUGUUCAUCUUAAGUGAAAUUACAAUUAUUAAUCAGAAGAAGCUAGCAUCAAUUUCAGGGAACCUUCCGACCAAAAUUGCAUCCAAUUACUUUUCUAAAGAUCCUAAUGGUGAUCAGGCAUUAAGACAAUUAGAUAGUUUAAAACAGUGAUUAACAAUUCAAAAUACGCAUGCACUCAUCAUAAGCAAUUAAAUAAAAAUCACAUAUUCAUGCUAAGGUUCAAGGCUUCACCCUAGCAAAAGAAAUUUAGUUACGCAUACUCAUAAUUGAAAUCCAAGAAAAUAUCAUUAAGAAGAAAAGAACGAAAACACCUGAAAGUUGUGAAAACCCAAAACCCUAGCAAUUGCUCUCCACAAUGCAAAGUUCAAAAGUGAAAAGGGAGUCCUCCAUUCCUUGUGAGAAAGAGCUUAAAUACCCCUUAAAACCUAGCUGCCAAUGUACAGCUUUUCUAUCCCCACAAGGAAACUAAUUAAAAUAAAAUAAUACUAGGAAAUAAAGUCCAAAUUGGAAUAGGAGAAUCUGCUCAAAAUCUGCCCAGCCACGUUUUGGCCCCAAAUCUCCUCCAAAUCUGGCCCAAGAUAGCUUGUUUUAAAGAUAAAAAAUGUUCUGAACACUUCUUUAGAAGGCCACGAACCCAUCCGAGGUCAUCUUGGGCUCCAAAAACGCAAUAAAAGCCCAACACGUCACUAUUCCAGCACCGCGCACUGCUCCUUUAUUUUGUUGCCAGAAAAUAACCGCUUGGAAGAAAAAUCUGAAAUUUUGAUACGAUCAAGCUAAGUGACUCAAGAACGUCCUCCAACUGGAAUUACUCCAAAAUUCCUCAAUUUGAUUAUGUUUUGCUCCAGAGAGAUUCGAAAGUCCUAUAUUGGAAAUAUAAUUCAAAGUAUCAAAAGUCUUCCAAAAUAAUAACCAAAAUAUACUAAGAAUGAGGUUAAAUAUAUAAUAUAAAAUAUGUCCAUCAAAAUACCCCCAAACUUAGCUUUUGCUUGUCCUCAAGUGAAACAAGACUCAAACAAAAAUAAAAACUUAACAGAUUAGACAUCUGGCUAACACUUAACUAGGACAAAAUUUCCACCUUCAAGUUGCAAUCCAUAGAAAAUUUUAAAAACUAGAACAUCCUUUCAAUAGAUCUAAGUAAUCCCACCACAAAGUCUAAGCUAUUUAGACUCAAUUAGAAAAGAAUUCACAAACUUCUUUCGGUGCAAAGUGAACCAUUAUGGUUAUGGAGACUUGACUAAAACCCUUAACUCUCAUCCCUUUUAUUCAUACUUCACACACUCCACACUUUUUGUUUUUUUUGUUUUUUGUUUUUUGUUUUUUUGUUUUUUUUUCUUUUUGUUUUUAUAGUAACAGUAGUGGUUGUGCAAUGUUGGUUCCCUUAAGCUUUCAAUCCAACCGUGUAGCCAGCUUUAGGUCAAUGUCUCCCAAACCACUCGGGUUUUAGGGCACUAGGUGUAGAACACCCCUAAGGACUUAUUAACUCAAGCUGAAAAGGCUACGAAACCAACUAACCACCCUGCCUCAUGCCAAAACUCUACCUUUUGUCUCGAGAAUCACUGCUGAUUAGGCAGGAUUGACCCGGUUACUAGCAAAGCUUCGGGUGAGGUAAUUAUUACUUUAUAACACAAACUAACUUUAUUUAUAUUGAACAUAAAUUAAAACACAUUUGGACAAAAAGUAAGUAUUCCAAUCUCACUCCCCAAAAACCAUGUUGGUGUGAUGUGCAAAUUUCAAAGUAUAAUUCAUGAAUUAAUGUCUAAGCAACAAUAAAUAGAAAAUACUCUACCGUGGGAUUGAUUUUCACCAUGUCCAUUUGUUCUAACGUUUAAAAUAAUCUAUGGAUAUUGACUGAAAAACGAAAAUUUGUAAACAAGACUCAAAAAAUGAAAAAUAAAAAAAAUUACGUUCCCACCCCCUAACUUAAAUCACACAUUGUCCUCAAGGUGGGGUAAAUAAUCAAAAGAAACAAGAGCAGAAACAAAACGACUAAAACUUAGAAAAUGGAAAUCAAAAAUAAAGAAAAUACUCUAAGAAAAGAAAUUAGGAAGGCAAAGGAUGAGAUCCAGAUGGAUCUGGUAAUCCUAUCCGUAGAGAUGGAAAGAUUCUAUACACGCCAUUGAGACUGGAUUUGGAGAUGAGGAUUUGACCCUACCUUGUUCGACGAAUUCCCUCAAGGGGAAUUAUAGCAAUAAAAUACAUAUGCUUCUACAAACAUUUAAUUGCACUGCUACGACGUGGAAAGAGUGCUUUGGGGUCUCAUCUCAUGUGAACCCGUUCGAGUAGAAAUCUUUCAUUAGAAUCAGAAAUGGGUCAUGGUAAAGAGAGGUAGAUGAUGAUUACAGUUCGGUAAAAAUGAUCAUUUCUGACAUUCCUCUCAAAGAACCGUGUUGGCAAUGUCGUUUAUCGAUUCUAAAGAAAGAAGAAAAAUAUCAACAAGUCAAAGAACGUGGAUUUCUUUUAAGGGGAGAGCUAGAACAAAAUCAAAUCACGAAUGGAAGAGUUUAGCUUUCAGAGGAAGAUUGAGCAUUACAGCAGCUAUUAAAGGAUAUUUUUAGUUGAAGAAUGAGAUUUUUCUUCCUCUGAUUGUUUAGCUAGAGCUUUUGGCUUGACUGCCAACGUGGUUGUGGAGGAAGAAACUUGGGAACCCGAGUAGUAGAUGCGAGCCCACUACCCAUACCCCUUUUGAGUGACAGGUAUGAAAUUUCAAGGAUGAAAUUUUUAUAAGAGGGGUAGAUUGUAACGACCCGGUCCUAAAUAAAUUGGUAAUUAUUAAUUUAUUCAUAUAAAAGACCAUUUUGCCCCCAUAAUAUUUUAAUAGGUUUACAUGUUGACUUGUUGACCGGGGAGGCUUUGGUGAAAUUGUUACAUCCCGGUCUGAAAAAGUGUUAAAAUAAUUAAAGUAAGAGAGAAUAAAUUGAAAUAAACAUUAAAAUAAAAUGAUUUGAAUUAAUUAAGGUGUUUGAGAAAUUAAAAUAUUAUUUAAAAUUAUAAGGGGCAAAAAGAUCAUUUUAAGUUUGGGAAGGAAUUUGAAAAUUUUGAUUGUACCGUUGUGUGGAGCACGUCGAAACGAGUCCGUAGACACAUAGUGGACUCGAAUCGGAGUUGUAACGAAAAAAUGGCGAUCAAAAGAAUUUCAGUGGCAUAACCGUAAAUAUUUUGAAGUUCAGUUUUUUUAAAACCCACAUUUAUUCUCUCUGGGGAGUGGGACGUGCCAACUUCAAAUGGUGAUUUCUCCCAACUCCGGCCACCAAUUCAAGUAAGACCGGCCCCGUUAGAACCACCACACUUCCCUCUUCCAGUCCCAGCCCAUCUCAGUCUCGAUCCGCCGUCGUAGUCGCCGAAAAUCGCCACGAAACAAGGUGGUUUGGAUAGUUUUUGUCGAAAUUUCGUGGAGCUCGUUCUCCCUCCUCCGGCCACCGUUUCAGGCGAGUGAGGUAUCAUUUCUCACCUAUUUUCUAUGAUAUAGCUGAUGGUUGGAUAUGAUUUGAUAAAUUUUGAGCGUUGAUAGUUCGAUUUUCGAAUCAAAGUUUGGCCGAAUUUCGGGAUGAAAUUCCGGCCACUUUCGAUCACUUUUUGGGGUAGGCCCAAGAACAAAAGUGUCUUCAAUUGAUGUCCUGAUCCCAGGGUAAGAGCAUUGGUCGAAAAUUUUGAGAUUUUCCUGCUGGUGGUAUCGCUUUGGGCACCCAUGCGCUGAUGGCGCGUGUGGCAGCGUGUGGGCACUGUAGCAGAGGGCCAUUGUGUCCCAAUGCGACCCCCUUGUUGUCACGAGUGCGUAAGGGUGCUCGGAUUCCAAUUUGGUUGAGGUUUGAACCCCGAAUGGAUUUCGUAUAUUGUACAUUAUCCGGGUUUGAUAGGUUUGAACCGUUGGAUAGUCUUGAAUUUAAUAUAUGUUAGUCUAGACAUCCCUAGGAUCAUAUAGGAUUUCGCGGAUCAUGGAUCGGAGCCCCGGAUGUUCUGAUUUAAUAAAUUAAAGUUUGUGUUUUACAAUAACCGUCCGAUCGUGCGAUCGCGAGCAAUCCGACAGUCCGAUCCGAACCAAACUUGCAGGACGGGUAUCCUAAAUCUUGUAGAACCCAUAGGAGCUUUCGGAUAAGAAUUUGGAGGUCGUGGGCCCGGUUGACCAAGAUUAGGUAGUUUGACCCCUCGGUUGACCAUGAGUCUUCCGAGGUAGUUUCACCCUUCGAGGAGUACUAGAAUGACCUUAUUACAUAGUCUCGACCUUUAAUUGAGCUAUGUUGACUAUGUUGAGAUUUUUAGAGUGUUUAUUAUUAUCGUAUGAAAACUCUUGGAUAUUACUUUUAAUAAUUGAAAUUAUGGAUUUGAUGAGCGUGGGUAAAUUGAUUUGAUGAGUGGUGAAAAGAAGUCGUGGGCUUGGCUAUGACUAUUAGGAAGUGAGGGGACAUUUAUGUUGAAUAUGCAUUAAUUUCAACAAUUGAAAGAACAUGCAUGGAAUGGGUAUAUAUAUAUAUAUAGAUAAAUUGGAUUAAAGAUUGAGAAAUUAAUAAGUUGAGAUAUUAGUAAUAUUUAAUUGAGAAAUGGAUUUUGAGGUGGAAAUUGGAAGGUUGAAUUUGGGGAAUUUUGGAAUUGAGAAUUAUGGGUUAAUACUGAAAGAUGUAGGAUUAUACUAUGUAAGUACCAUCCCCUAGUUACUAGGCUUCCCAUACGUGGAGUUGGAAUUUCUGGCGUGUGGGAAGGAUAUAUGAUUAUUAGAUCUCACAUGCCGUUGGAUUUUCCAGCGUGAGACAGACCCCAUACGUGGGGUUGGAUUUUUCGGCGUAUGGGGAGAUUAUGUGAUGGUUAGGUCACACGUAGGGUGGGAUUUUCCAACGUGUUGACAGACCCCAUAAGUGGCGUUGGAUUUUCCGGUGUAUAGGGAGAUUAUGUGAUGGUUAGGUCACACGUGGCAUAGGAUUUUCCAGCGUGUUGACAGACCCCGUACGUGGCGUUGGAUUUUCAGCGUAUGAGGAGAUUAUGUGAUGGUUAGGUCCCAUGUGGCGUAGGAUUUUCCGGCGUGUUGACAGACUCCAUACGUGACGUUGGAUUUUCCGACGUAUGGGGAGAUUAUCUGAUGGUUAGGUCACACGUGGAGUAGGAUUUUUCAGCGUGUUGACAGACCCCAUACGUGACGUUGGAUUUUCCGGCGUAUGGAGAGAUUAUGUGAUGGUUAGGUCACACGUGGCGUAGAAUUUUCUGGCGUGUUGACAGACCCCAUAUGUGGCGUUGGAUUUUCCGGCAUAUGGGGAGAUAAUGAGAUGGUUAGGUCACACGUGGCAUAGGAUUUUCUGGCUUGUUGACAGACCCCAUAUGUGGCGUUGGAUUUUCGCGCGUAUGGGAAGGAUAUGUGAUUAUUAGGUCUCACAGGUGGCGUUGGAAUUUCCGGCGUAUGAGACACUAACAGUGAGAAGAGAAUGAGAUUAUUUUUCUAUAUCAGAGAAAGGUUAGAGUAUAAAAAGAAAUAUGUUUGGUGUGUGGUAAUUUAAAUUAAAACAGGGAAAGAUAACUUACCUGUACUACUGAAACAGUUGUGUAACAUUUGGAGCAUGAUUAUGGAGUGAAAGAACUACGUGUGGCUUGAUCUCUCAGUAAGGGUACGUAGGCAACCUAGGUGCAGUCGUAGACUAAACGUUAUUUAUGUUGUUUUAUUGAGAUUGGUUCUGACCCUGUCGUUGGUCCUGAAAUUCGGUUGAAAACUAGAUGCGAGUAAAUAAUUGUUCAUACUCCCGUUUCGUUGAGGGAGGAUUGUGUAAAUGUGUUCUGGUCAAGACAGGUAUAAGAACUCGUUUAGGAUUGAUGUACGAUUUGGGCUAAGGCCUUAAACUACUUGUUGUUGUAUUAGGAGAUUAAAACCUCGCAUGUGGGAUAAUUGGGAAAGUUAGAUGAUGUAAAGUGCACUUAGGCAUUCAUAUAUAUGUUUAAAUUUAUUAUUUGUCUUGCUUAACGUAAUUGUUUGACUUAUGGGCUUUAUUGGUGAUUUGCUUCAGAUUAUUUAAAGGCCGAAGGCCGUUUAUGUGAAUUGCAUUUUGAUACAUUGUGCAUGCUACUAGUUGUGGAUAUUAAAUGUGUUUUAUGCAGGUUGAAAUUUUUGGGAUUGUUCAAAUUACAGGGGAGACUGCCAAAAUUUUGAUAGAAAGUCUCGGUCAUUAGUAAGUGGGCCCGGCAUCGAGGUGAUGUCGGAAUUUACACAAGAUUCCUCUCGGGUUUUCAGGAAUUCGGGGCGGAUCCUGUUACUUGGGGUGCAAAUUAUCCAUUUGUUCACCCGUUUUCGUGUUUUACUUCUGAGGUGGAAGGGCGAAGUUUCCCACUGGCUUGGAGACCACUUGUUGGUCGACAAGUCAGCUUUCUUUGGUGUGUGUGAGCGUGCCACUGCUAGCAAUGUAAAUUCUAGCAGACUUAUUUUUUAGAGUGGAUAACUUGCGCCUCAAGUUACUGACUUCUAAAACAAAUGAUUGUGAAUUUGGGUGAGGAAUAUCUCCCAAGUAAGUUCUUUUCUUGCCUCAAACUGGUGAGGACUUUCACAAUUUAUCUCAGUAUCAAAUGGUUGUUCUGGCCAGAAUAGAUAAUAAUAAAGUAGACUGUUUCAGGCAGAACUGCCUUUUACAAAAUUAAGAAGGGAGAAAUCAACUCUAGAAAGGAAAAAAGAUGGCUGGAAUCCCAUUUCUGCCUGGGUAGAAACUUCUGAUCCGGGCUGGACUGGGUAUGUCUAUGCUGGACGGUGCUGUCAACAACUUUAGCUUGCUCGGCUUUAGUUGUAAAUCGAUACCAAAGUUCAAUUUUGGCAGAGCUUCAAUCUACUUCAAGCCUUGGGAGACUUUUGAGUGGGCAGAACUGCAGCUUCUUCAGUUUGAAGGGACAGAAGUGGCUAUUCUCGAGGAUUUAGCAAGCUGGAACUAUGCUAUAAAAUUUGUUGAGGUUUUCAUAUUUGUGAAAACUCAAACUAUGUUUGUCUUGGCUUUUGCUGAACCAAAUUUGUAACGAGAGGGAUCUUGUUUUCAGAAGACUUAUUUUCUAAGUCUGAACUUUGGAAUUCUGAUCUAAAGCUGUUUUCUUGUUUGUUUUUUUUUGAUUGACUGAUGAAUUGAGUGUCCUUUGUUUCUUUGCCUUCUUUCGCUUUUAUAAGAGAUCCUCCUAAGGAGGUCAUUUUUAAUCCUAAACAAUGGGCGGCAAAAAGAUCUCUUAUAAUGUAAAGUAAGAAGGGUUUCUUAUCAAUCAAGGCAGAUAGGUUCUGAGCAGUCACCUCCUAAAAACAGUCCAUUCCCUGGUUUCCUGGGUGGCAGCUUUCUAAUUCAACCAACGCCACCGUCUGUGUGGGCUUUUUAUGGCAGUUUUGGCUCUUUUCUUUUGUAUUUUCUGAGUGGUUCCCUGUUUCCCGUUCUAAUUUAGAAAGCGUGAUUCGUGAAUUCCUUGGGAGAUGGUGUAUUGAUUUGGAGCAAAAUCUUGAACACAGAUGGGUUUUUGAUCUUCAAUUGGCAGUGUUUCAGAGACGUCCCUCUCACAUUUUUAAACUUUAGUUGGAAUUGCUGACUUUUCCAAAGUUGAGGCAAUCACGUGGGUGUGUCUUUGAUCCCUUGGUUUUGAAUCUAUCGAAAAUUACGGGCUGAUCUUUGAAGCCCAUUUCGAAAGUUUCCACAUCUGGGCUUUCUUUGGGCUGAGGCUUUAUUUCCAACAUUCUUGGUGUGAAGCCCAAACUGUCUGGGUCUUAUUUUCGUUUUUCUCAAGUCUCUGGGCUGGGCAGGCAAUUUUAUCAUGGGCCUGUCUUCUGGUCUUGGGCGUGCCGAAUUUGGGCCCAAACAAUGCCCCCUAAGUCUGAAUCGUUUUGGAAUGGUUUCAGACUUAAUGUUUUGCCAUUUAAUUCACGUGCCAGUUUCUUCCGUGUUUUCGCCCACGUCUGCCACGUUUGCCUGCUACGAACUAGAGUUCGUGGGAAAACGGCUAGUUAUUAUCUAGUUACUAGCUAAUAAUCAUCAGGUGCCGUCCCAUCUUCUUCUUCCCACGUUUUCGAGCCCCUCUUUAAAAGAAAUUCAAAUUCAUAGCUUCUGAAAAAAGAAACCCUAAACCUUCCAGCUCUUGUUCCUGCGAGUUCUUUCUUCGAGAUUUCCAAAGCCUUCUUUAGACCUUCCUUUCUUCUGCUUCUUCCCUUGAAUCAGAAAUGUCUUCCCCAAGGUCCCGCGCUCAGUCUUCUUCCGCUUCAGUUCCUCCCGAUUAUAUCACUGGGAGCGGGAUUGAUGCUCACGCGAUAGAAAUCAGGAGCAAGCUUCAUCCCUUUGCCCAGAAGAAUCUGGACGAGAAUGUCCUCCAUUUGUUUGAGAACACCCUGGUGUUAGGGCCUCACUGGUUUGGUCCUGUUCCAGCUGAGAUGGCAGAAUUGCUAAAAAAGGAUGCCGAGGCUCCUUUGUGUUUUGAGAGCUCUUCUGCCCUGGCUUCUUAUUCUUGGGUUAGCAAGAAUUUGAGCCGGUCCUUCCCGUCCAGCGAGGUGAGGAAUAGUCUGGUCAAAUGGGCAGACUGGAUUGAUAGACUUCUCCCGAGAUAUGGGGGUCACUGGAGGAGAGCUGGGAUUUAUGACGCCAUUUUUCUGUCCAAACAAUCGAUUAACAGAGAUGAGAAUCUGCUUGCUGCUGCUUUAUGCUUCUGGAAUUCUGCCAGCAAUACAUUUGACUUCCGCGUGGGUCCUAUGGCGCCAACCUUGCUGGAUAUGGCUCAGAUUUUUGGGUUCAGGCCCCAUGGUAGGCCUGUUGAUGCCAUUGGAGAUUAUCACAGGCGAAGGAAUCAAGAGAAAGUGGCCACCCCUUUUACUAUCCCUCCAGCCGUGAUCAACCAGAACUGCUCUUUCUCCAACUAUCUGAAGAAGUUCAGUGCUGAUAAGGACAAGGAUCAGCAACAUAUGUUGUUCCUUCUGUAUUGGCUGAAUUGGUUCGUUCUCCCCAAUCGGUCUUCUGCAGUUCUGCUAGAGUACAGACACUUGGCAGAAGCACUCCACAAUCACACUGAUGUGGGGCUCGGGCCUACAGUUCUGGCUCACCUUUUCAAGAAUCUGCAUACUUCCACCCUGGAGAACCCAUUGAACCUGUCAGCCCCUGGCGCAUUCUGGAUGAUCCAGAUCUGGCUGCAGGUUUAUUUUCCAGAACUAAGGUUCCCAGACAUAGUUCUGCCUGAAGAUCAAGUCCUGGCUCUUCCUCUGAUGUCGGCAGAAGUGCCCAAGCAUUCUAUUGAGGAGUAUUUGAUGCUCUUCAGGCAUUGUACAAAGAGGUCGGCAGCUCAGUGGCAAGUGGUGAUCAGGAGGACCUAUCCUUGGUUCCAGACCGGAUUUCGGUUGUUUGAGAAGGAGCCAGAAGAUGAAGCUGCCAGAACAGAUUUCAGGAGGAAAUUUCUGAGCAUUACUCUGCCCAGAGAUCUACCCCAUGGUGGGGGCAAACCUCCAAACUAUCAUCUGGGGGCAGAAGUCUACCAUCCCAACUUCUGCGCGAGGCAGCUUGGUUGUCCCCAACUCAUUCCGCUGAAAUCAUAUCGGAGUUGUAACCGGGCCUCUUCUUGGAGGGAUGCAGAUGAUCUGGAGGUGCACAAGGAUGCCCGGUGUGCAGUGAACAAAAUCAACAACAGCACGGAUGCCCUCUAUCCCUCGUGGGAGCUGAAUUCCUGCAGUUCUGCCGACUUUGACGCAUGGUGGAAAGCCAGAUUCCAAAGUCUGCCUGCUUCUGUCACUGCCCUCAAGGUGCUGUUUGAUGGUUGGGAAAACUGGGUCGUUUUUGCGAAUGGGGAUGCCAAGACGCAUAUGAUCCAGACCAUCAAGGAUAUUAACGCGCAAAUUAUAGAAGGUAGAUUUCUGAUUCUGUAUGGGGUUCGUUCUGUCCUGAUGAUUGAUUUCUAAUGUCUAUUCUGCCUGUAUCAGAUCCUUCUUUGACCAGCGUAGGUGGGCAGUCUGUUCAUGCUGGGGAAGUGAUUGGUAAGUCUUUUCUUUUAAUUCUAUUCUGUCUUUUCCUGCUGGAUUGGUCUCUAAUGUCUAAUGCCUUGGUGCAGUCUCUUCCGUUAUUGCUGCCGGGGACUUGGAGCUCCCUUCUGCGGAUGAAGGAGAUGAGGUCCAGACAGAACAAACACCUACCGAGGCCGCUCUUUCUGGCAGAAGAAAAAGGAAAGGACCUGCCCCUCCUUCGGAUAAUCCCACGCGGCCUGGUAUUUCAGGUAAGCUCGUGAUGUUCCAACCAUUCUCUUUAAAUUUAUUAUGUCUUGCCUUCUUUUCCCUAAUACUGCUUUUUGUUCUGUGCAGCUGGAAGUCCUUCCCCUCCUCCUACCAAGUUGAAAAAACUUAAAAAGAGGAGUGAGGAGGAGUAUGUCGCCGCGGAAGAGACGGCAGCAAUUCCCACCACUACCUCCGGGACGGAUGAAGAGCUGCGAGAGGCUUUUGAGGAGGUGGAGCAGGAAAAAGAAUUGGAAGAGCUGGAAGAAACGCCUCAGGAAAAAACGGCAGUGGCGGAAGGAGAGGUAAGUUUUAUUUCUGUGAUUCGCAUCAGUUCCCUUCUCGCCCUGUUUCUUCCGUUCUGACCCUUAUUUUGUAGGAGAAGAUCCCUGCUGAGGUGAUUGCAGAGAGCAUUGCCUUGGCGCAGAAGCAACAAGGGGGUCCAAGGGCUGAGCGGACUAGCUCAGAACUAGCCCUAUUUGAGGAUGCUGAGGCAGAGCAUUCUACUGCCGUUCCAGCGGCUGAGGAUCAGGCGGAACGGUCUGCAUCAGAGCCUGUGGAUCAGGCAGAGCUGUCUGUUGUGGUUCCGGAGGCUGAAGUGGAAACAACCGCCGCUGCCCCUGUGGUUGUGGUAACUUUCUUUCUUUAUCUGUCCACACUCUCCUGCAUUUCUGCCUUGUUCUUUAUUUUUAACUGUUGUAGCCUUUUCAGGUAGAAGUGCCUAAAGCUGUUGGCGUCCUGGCAGCGGUUACCAGUCCCCAGAAGCCUCCCAUUGUUGCUGUAAGUUUUCAUAACUUUUGGGCCUUUAUUUUCCACUUUCUGCCUGGUCUUACCUUAUGCUUUCUUCUUGCAGAUGCCAAUUCAUUCCCUUCCAGGAUCAUCUGCCACGGCUUCUUUUGCUGAUCCAGAACUCGAAGAGUUUGAAGCCAUGGAUCUGGAUGCCCAAUUGGACAGAUUGGAGAAACUCAGCUCUCCUCCAGGCAAGGCAAAAUCUAGGGCAGUGGAGGAGGCCAUGGAGAGGUUGAAAAUCUGGCAGUCUAAUGAGCUGGAGUUUGAUCAAGACAAUGAAGCCUUAAAUCAGCUGAUGAAGGACCUGGACCUGCUUCACAGACAGAACAUGGCUCCAAAACCUAUCCUUGAGAUGGGCCUAAGCUUGGCCAGAGAUGUGCUCAAUCUGCAUGAUCGCUAUGAGGAUCUCAGGCCUACUUUCAAGACUUCUGAAUUCUGCAAGGCCACUCAUGAAGCCAACCUGGCUGAUUUUGCAAAGCAGAAAGCAGAACUGGAUCAGAUGGUGGCCGGAUAUAAGGAAGCCAGGGCCACUGCGGACAAGCUGGAGAAGCCGAUGGAAGAGCUCCAAAAACAACUGGCAGAAUGCAGGGAGGUGCAGAGCAGGCUUGGGGCUGGACUGAGUUCUAAAACUAAGGCCACUUUCCUUGUGCAAAGUAUGGUUGCAGCUUCCAGGACAGCCUUGGAGAUUGCAGAGGCUUCAAUUCACCAGGGGGUGCUGCUCCAGAAAGAGCUUUCUGUCAAGAAAGCGAACCUGCAGGAGACUCUUAGAAAACUAGGAUUUUAGCUUCUUCUUUCCUUUUAUUGUUCGAAUAAUUUGCCGCAAAGGUGGCUAUUUUUAUAUAAGCUUUCAAAGCAUUUUACUGCUUUUCAUUUAUUCUUGAUGCAAUAACUGGAUACGGCUUUGAAAGUAAAAAACAGAACAACUUUAAAGCAAAAAUAAAUCUAAACAAAAUUCUUUUCAAGAAACAAAAAGGUCAAACUUGUUCCUCUUCUAUCCCGGGAUCUGUUUAUACAGCCUGCGAAUCCCACGUGGUUGGAUAGAACUUCUUUAACCAUUUACCAUUGAUUGGGGCAAAAUGAACAACUCCAUCUCGGUCCUGCAACCUGUAUGCCCCCAUUCCGAGGAUUUGGUUAAUUAUAAAAGGGCCUUCCCAUGUAGGUGACCAUUUCCCAUAUCCAGCUAUGUGUGCUCCAAGGGGCAGAAUUGCCUUCCAGACUAUCUCUCCCUCUUCAAAACUCUUGUUUUUGACUCUUUUGUUGUAGGCCCUUGAUACAGCCUGUUUUCCUGCUAAGAGUUUGUUGAGGGUGUCAAUUCUGCUUGCAUCCAAUUCUUCCAAUUCCAGCAACAUGGCUUGAGAGUAAUCCUCCCCAGUGAGACCAUGCUGGUGAGCAAUUCUAAGAGACUGGACCGCUAUCUCCAUGGGAAGAAUUGCAUCGUGGCCGUAGGUUAGAGCAUAGGGGGUCAUGCCAGUUGCUUCUCUCUUUGAAGUUCUGUAUGCCCACAAAGUUUCUGAUAACUUCUCAUGCCAUUACUUUGGAUUCUUCUCUAGCAUCUUUUUGAUGAUAUUGAUAAUCACCUUGUUACUUGAUUCCACCUGUCCAUUAGCUUGAGCAUAGUAAGGAGUAGAUUGAAGCAGUUUGAACUUGAACGUUUCUGCCAUAUCUAGCAUGUCCCUAGAUAUGAAAGAAGAACCCCUAUCGGUUGUGAUUGAUUCUGGAAUGCCAAACCUUUGUAUGAUCUGUUCUUCUAUAAAGGUGAUGAUCUCUUGAGAUGUUGUGGUUUUUACUGGCUUGGCCUCUACCCACUUGGUGAAGUAAUCUGUGGCAACGAUAAUGAAACAGUGCUGCUGGUUGCUGGCUGGAUAGAUUUUGCCAAUGAGAUCCAUUGCCCAUCCCCUGAAAGGCCAUGGUUUUACUACUGGAUUCAUGGGAACCGAAGGAGCCUGCUGGAUUGGGCCGUGCCUUUGACAGGCUUCACAUCCUUUGGAGUAGUUGAUGCAAUCCUUCAUCAUGGUUGGCCAGAAGUAGCCAUACCUUCUGAUUAACCAGCACAUCUUUCUUCCCCCUUGGUGAGCUCCACAGAUCCCCUCAUGGGUUUCUCCCAUGGCUUUCAUAUAUUCUGUCUUCCCGAGGCACCUUAAUAGUACCUCAUCCUUACUUUUUCGGACCAAAUCUUCAUUCCACAUGAGGUAGUUUGUAGCCAUGAUUCUGACUCUUUUCUUAGAGGGCAGAGUGGGAUAUCGUAAGUAAGUCAUGAUAGGCUCCCUCCAAUCAUCUUCAGUGAUCAAGGCAGAAUUGACUUCUAUCUCCAUUCCUCUCGUCAAAACAGAUGGUAGACUUUUCCUUCCUAUCUUGAUGAUCCUUUGGACGCAGUCUUCGGGCAUUUGUAUGCCUGAUGCCACCUGAGCCAGUUCAUUGGCUGCAAAGUUUUCCUCCCUUGGGAUGUUCUCCCAAGUAGCUUCUCUAAAUUCUGUUAGCAGAUUUCUAGCUGCUACUAGAUAUACAGCCAGAGAAGGAUUCAGACACUUAUAUUCUCCAGCAAUCUGUUUUAGGACAAGCAUGGAAUCUCCCAAGAUCUCCACGGACUGGACUCAUAAUUCUACCAACAUCUCGAGCCCUAUAAUCAAAGCCUCAUACUCGGCCAUGUUGUUGGUGCAUUGGAAAUCUAGCUGGAAGGAAUAGCAAUGUCUGACCCCUAAUGGUUCUUCCAGAACAAUCCCUGCUCCUGAAGCCUUGUCUGUCUUUGAUCCAUCAAAAUAUAACUUCCAAGGUGUGAGAUGAAUCGAGUAGAUUGGAUUGUUAAGGCAAACAUGAGCUCUAGUUAGCAGAUCUGCAUUUGCUAUGUCCAAAGAAUCCAUGUUUUCAAUUUCCUCUCCCGAGUGAUCUACCAAGAAGUCUGCCACAGCUUGCCCUUUGACAGCUUUCUGGGGGACAUACCUGAAGGUGAAUUCUGUCAAAGCCAAAGUCCAUUUCCCAAUUCUGCCCCUCAGCAUUGGUCUUGUUAGCAUGUAUUUGAUUAAGUCUGUUUUGGCAAUGAUGUAGAUAGUAUGUGGCAGCAUGUAGUGCCUGAGCUUUACAGCAGUGAAAUAUAAGGCCAGGCAAAGCCUUUCUAUUGCGGAAUACCUUCUUUCCACUUCUGUCAAUGUUCUGCUUAGAUAGUAGGCUGCCUGUUCUUUUCCUUCUUUGUUAUCUUGAACUAUUAGACUUCCAAUGGAUACUUCUGAUGCAGAUACAUAAAGCUUGAGGGGUCUGCCCCUUUUUGGUGGGGACAGAACUGGUGGAUUUGAGAGGUAAUGCUUUAUUUCCUGGAAAGCCUGUUGGUGCUGUUCUUCCCAUUUGAAUGUCUGUUCCUGCUUCAGUCUUAACAGGGAAGAAAAAGGUUGGAUUUUUCCUGCAGAAUUGGAUAUGAAUCUCCUUAGAAAAUUGAUUUUUCCUAAGAGACUUUGAAGUUCCUUCUUGUUCUGAGGUGGUAGAGCUUCUAUGAUGGAUGUUGCUUUAUUUCUGUCAACCUCUAUACCUCUCUGGUGGACCAAGAAUCCUAAGAAAUUCCCUGCUUGGACUCCAAAAACACAUUUUUUGGGGUUCAUUUUCAGUUUGUGCUGCCUCAUUCUUAGGAAUGCCCUUCUCAGGCUUGCUACGUGAUUUCCUUCCUCAGGGGAUUUAAUCACCACGUCAUCUAUGUAUACUUCCAAGGAAUGUCCUAUCAUAUCAUGAAAAAUAGAAUUCAUUGCCUUUGGUAGGUGGCUCCCGCAUUUCUCAAACCGAAAGGCAUUACAGUAUACUCGAAAGCACCUAUAUGUCCUGGACACAUAAAGGCUGUCUUGUGGAUGUCCUGUUCUGCCAUCAUGAUCUGGUUAUAACCUGCAUUGCCGUCCAUGAAAGAUAGCAUCUGGUUAUGAGUGGCUCCAUCCACUAGCAUGUCUGCCAUUGGCAUAGGAUAUUCGUCUUUAGGAGAUGCCUCAUUCAGAUUUCUGUACAAUAUUUGCUAACCAAUCGGAAUAGACGGCUGGCCUGAUGAAUCCUGCCUUGAGCAGCCUUUCUAUCUCUUCUUUGACCUUUAGUUCUGUGUCCAUAGACAUUCUUCUUCUGGCCUGUUUGACUGGAAGGUAGCCAUCUUUAAUUGGCAGCUUGUGCUCCACUCACUGCCUGUCCAAUCCUGGCAUUUCGUGGUAAUGCCAGGCAAAACAAUCUCUGAACUCCUGUAAAAGUGCCAUGAGUUCAGUCUUGAGUGGUUCCUUCAAAAGUGUGCUGAUGAAAGUAGGCCUUGGAUCUUCUUCUGUUCCUAAGUUUAUCUCCUGUAGAGGAUCCUCUACUUCUGGCAGGGAGUCAUCCAGUGCUGCUGGUGCAAAAUCUAAUACUUCCUCCUGUAAAAUUUCCUCCUCUUGCUCUUUUGUGCUUUCAUGGGUGAAUUCUGCCAUAUUGAUGGCUGGAUUCUGUAUGAAAAGCCUCCUUUCUCCCCAGUAUAUCAACAAUCUUUUUGUGAUGGAUCGGAUUGUUGCAGCUCGAUCCUUGUCUAGUUGAUUCGGACUAAACAUCAGAGUUCUGGAAGUUCAGCACAAAAAGGUCUAUUCCAGUCCUCUAGAGAACUGGCUAAACCUUCUUCAAUGAGUCUUUGGGCCGUGACACCAUGUGGACGGCCGUUCUGAUUGACUCCAAGGAAAGUGAAAGGACCGAGGUCAUCAUGAUAAUACCUUGUUUCAAAGCACAUGGCAGAGGGCAGGAAUGGCCGUGGAUCAGCCUCUAUAAUCUCCAUGCAGCCUUCUUCAUUCCAUAGUGCUAACUGCGGGUGGAGGGUGGAAGGAAUACAAAGGCUCUGGUGAAUCCAAUCCCUGCCAAGUAGUGCAUUGUAGGUGGUGGAAGUAGUGUCUAUAACAAAGAAUGCUAUUUUCAACUCUUUGCUUCCGAUUAUGACAUCCACAUCUAAGAUGCCAUGUAUUUUGGUGAUGCAACCAGAAGUUGGUGACGGUCAAUCGUGUUGGAAUCAGAUCUUUCUCUGUCCUGCCCAGCUUGGUCAGCAUUCUGUGGGGUAAUAGAUUAAUGGCUGCACCUCCAUUUACCAUGAUCUUGGAAAUAGGAAUACCCCCAAGAUUUGCCGUUAUAAACAAAGGUCUGAGGUGAAACAAGGUUGCUCUGUAGCUGGUUUAUUGGCUGUUCUGCCUGUCUUGGGGUUUUCUGCUUGUGGUUCUGGUGGCUCCUCUGCUUCUGCCAAUCUACAUUCAAAGCUUUCCUGAGAGAAAACAUCCCCUUCCAGAGUGCUUUCUUGUCCUUCGGCUGCCCUGAAUUUACUUGGUAGGAUGAAUACCAUGUUAAUUCCCAGAUCACCCUGUAGGAGGUCUUCUAAUUCUGCGCCAAAAGCUUCUGUUUCUGGGUCCAAUUCUACACCAAAUUCCAUUAAUUCUUCCCCGUAUUCUUCCGUCCAGUCAUCCUGUUCUGCUACUUCGAGGGGCUCUUUCUGAUCAUCUGCGGAAGGUUCAUAGUCCAAUUGCUCUUCUUCAUAUUCCUCAGUGUAGUCGUCUUCUCCUUGUAACGGGGUAGACCCAGAUUUCUCUGGUGUCUGCGUGGUGUCAGGACGGCUGCUGGACGACGAGGCCACAUGGAUAGGAGACCUGGCUGGGGGUUCUGUUUUCAGCAAUUCCCUUGACUGGCAAGCUUUCUGUUCUGUCUGGGGAAGUGUUUCAGGAUUUUUUCCUUUCCUAGCAGAACUGGGUUGUGAACGUACCUGCGUAUUAUCUUGGCUCUUAAGAUAUGUGCAGUAUUGCCUCUGGAUUCUCCUUUUCUGGGUUCUGGUUAGCUCCAGAGUCGGUCUACCGCUUCUUCCUACGGAAUACCAUCUCCCUUCUAUGAUCGUUGCCAAGGAUCUUUCGUUUCUGGGCAUCUUGACUGGUAUUUCCUUUCUGGGUUGCUCCAUCCUCCUCUCGCUGUAUUGUGUAGGCCUAAGACAGCUCUUCUGCCUUGUUUUGUCUCGGGAUGAGGUUCCAAUUCUGUCAAAGACACUAGGUGUGGGCUGAUUUUGUCUGUCUAGAACCACCUCUAGCUCUGUUUCACAUUUGCACCUACUGCAGAGCACUACCCCAGCCGAGAUGGUCGCUCUUGGUAUUUGACUGGUCUCCCUUAUGAUUCUUCUGCCUCUGCUGCAACCAGCAUCUGUGAUUGGCUCGGUUUUCCUCUGUUCUGGCCAAUUUAAGUUGACCAUAUUGACUUGUGGUUGAGGAAAAGGAUCCGUUGUGACGGAUGGUGGUUUUUCUGCCAGUUUCAACCUUCCUGCCGUUAUCCCUUCUUGUAUUACGUCCCUGAAAACAACACAACUAUUGGUAGAAUGGUUCCAAGAGUUGUGCCACCUGCAGUACUGUCUGCCCUUGAGUUCUUCCGGCUUCGGUAUUCUGUGAGGCGUCUCUAUUGCCUUCUACAGUAGCAUUUCGUGGAACAAGGCAUCAACCUUGGUUAAGUCAAAAGAGUAAACCUUGUUUUACGUUGGUUUGUUUGGAACGAAUCCUCCUGUGAAUGGUGGUGGCUUUUGGUCUUUAGGUGGCUUUGUGAGGGCUUUGCAACUAAUGGGAUGUUUUAGUUUUGCCAUUUCUGCCACUGAAACCUCUUUCUCUUCUGAUUCUUCUGCAUCUUCUUGUGAUUCCACCUCGAUCAGGUGGACUGAAGAAGAAGGGGUUUUAUAGUAUGUACCUUUGGAGGAGUUCCUCCUUUGCUGUUCCUCCCUGAGUAACUCCUCAUAUUUGGAUGCCUUAUCAGCCAGUUCUGCCAGAUCUCCGAACAAUAUCCCGUCGAACCUUUUCCUGAGAGAGAUUUUAAGGGCAACUUGGGCCAUCUGGAUGAAGUGUCUUUCUUCCAUCGGGAUUCGGCACUUCAUUUUGAGCUUUCUGAACCUGGUUAUGAAAUCUUGGGCCGGUUCAUCUUCACUUUGCUUGAGGGCAGCUAGAUCACUGAUGGUGACUUCUGGCUGAAUCCUGUAAUAGUAGUCAUGGAAGACAUUUUCCAUCUGUUCCCAGGUUUGAACAGAGUUAGCUGGCAGGCUGGUGUACCAGGUAAAAGCUUGCCCAAAAAGAGAGUUGCCGAAAAGCCUUAAUUUCAGCAGAGGGUUGCUUUCUAUAGCUAUGCAUUGGACGGAGAACCUGCCUAUAUGUUCAACUGAGGAAGAAUGGGGGUCUUCCCCAUUGAACAAAGUGAAGUUUGGCACUUUGAAACCUGGAGACAACAGUAUUUGAUCGAUAUAGGCUGGGUAUGGCUUUCUGUAAGUAGGCCUUUCCCCUAUUCUAGCCUCGGGUUCCAUGAUUUCUCUGAUCAUUCUUUGCAACGCUCCUAUGUCAUUCAAAGCAUUGACUGGGGGAAGAUUUUGUCCCUGUUCUGGCUGAACGUAAUCAAACCUGGGCUCUGCUCUGUGUGGUCUGGGUGGAACUUCCUCCCUGUGUUCUUCCUGCUCUUCGACUUCUGGAUGAUUCCUCCAGUUUGCCCCCGGUCUAUUCCUGUCAUGAUUAGCAAAAAGGUUGUUCCCUCCUCGGCCUCUCCUCCUUCUUGCAAGUGGAGGGAAUGGAUUAGGGUCCAUCCUUCUGGGUCUAUAUGGCAAUACUGCCGGUGGUUCAGGCAGAAGCGCCAAAGGUUGAUCAUGUGGGAGCACAUGAAGUGGAAUGGGCUGAGGUUCUGGCUGGUUCUGAGCCAGUGCCAGGUUAUCUGGUUGAGCUGGGGCUUCAUGUUUUUGAUUAGGAAGGGCUCCUUCCCUCGGACCAGCCUGAAUUUCUCCGUGGUCUGGCACUCCAGCCAUCUGUGCAACUAGGAAAUUUUCCUGGUAUGGCCAUAUUAGUCCUGGCGGAGGGCCAUAAGGGAGAUCCAACUGCUGGAUUACAGGAUCUGGGUUUGGGUUUCUGGCCAUGGCGGAUUCUCGGUCCUUCCGGAACUGUCUGUUUACCUGCCAUUACAUCAUGGCUGUCAUGUUAUUGAGAGUGUCCUGGCUCCUUCGUACUGUGAUCUCUUGUCGGAGUACUGACUCCUGUAUUUGAUUCAUCCUUUUGGAGCCAGUCCUGGAACGUCUACUUCCUGUACUGCCGUGGGCAGAUUGCCUAGCAUCGCUUUUUUCUGAUUCGAGGCCUUCCCUGAGAACCAUCUUGUUUUUCUCCAUAUCUGGUGUGGGUUCUGACUAGAUCUUCCGGUAUUUGUGAAUCUGUGAAUGAUUCUGUCAGAGUAUAUAUACUGAGAAGUCCCACUGGGUGUGCCAAAUUAUUCACCCGUUUUCGUGUUUUACUCCUGAGGUGGAAGGGCGAAGUUCCCCACUAGCUUGGAGACCACUUGUUGGUCGACAAGUCAGCUUUCUUUGGUGUGUGUGAGCGUGCCACUGCUAGCAAUGUAAAUUCUAGCAGACUUAUUUUUUAGAGUGGAUAACUUGCGCCUCAAGUUACUGACUUCUAAAACAAAUGAUUGUGAAUUUGGGUGAGGAAUAUCUCCCAAGUAAGUUCUUUUCUUGCCUCAGACUGGUGAGGACUUUCACAAUUUAUCUCAGUAUCAAAUGGUUGUUCUGGCCAGAAUAGAUAAUAAUAAAGUAGACUGUUUCAGGCAGAACUGCCUUUUACAAAAUUAAGAAGGGAGAAAUCAACUCUAGAAAGGCAAAAAGAUGGCUGGAAUCCCAUUUCUGCCUGGGUAGAAACUUCUGAUCCGGGCUGGACUGGGUAUGUCUAUGCUGGACGGUGCUGUCAACAACUUUAGCUUGCUCGGCUUUAGUUGUAAAUCGAUACCAAAGUUCAAUUUUGGCAGAGCUUCAAUCUACUUCAAGCCUUGGGAGACUUUUGAGUGGGCAGAACUGCAGCUUCUUCAGUUUGAAGGGACAGAAGUGGCUAUUCUCGAGGAUUUAGCAAGCUGGAACUAUGCUAUAAAAUUUGUUGAGGUUUUCAUAUUUGUGAAAACUCAAACUAUGUUUGUCUUGGCUUUUGCUGAACCAAAUUUGUAACGAGAGGGAUCUUGUUUUCAGAAGACUUAUUUUCUAAGUCUGAACUUUGGAAUUCUGAUCUAAAGCUGUUUUCUUGUUUGUUUUUUUUUUAUUGACUGAUGAAUUGAGUGUCCUUUGUUUCUUUGCCUUCUUUCGCUUUUAUAAGAGAUCCUCCUAAGGAGGUCAUUUUUAAUCCUAAACAAUGGGCGGCAAAAAGAUCUCUUAUAAUGUAAAGUAAGAAGGGUUUCUUAUCAAUCAAGGCAGAUAGGUUCUGAGCAGUCACCUCCUAAAAACAGUCCCUUCCCUGGUUUCCUGGGUGGCAGCUUUCUAAUUCAACCAACGCCACCGUCUGUGUGGGCUUUUUAUGGCGGUUUUGGCUCUUUUCUUUUGUAUUUUCUGAGUGGUUCCCUGUUUCCCGUUCUAAUUUAGAAAGCGUGAUCCGUGAAUUCCUUGGGAGAUGGUGUAUUGAUUUGGAGCAAAAUCUUGAACACAGAUGGGUUUUUGAUCUUCAAUUGGCAGUGUUUCAGAGACGUCCCUCUCACAUUUUUAAACUUUAGUUGGAAUUGCUGACUUUUCCAAAGUUGAGGCAAUCACGUGGGUGUGUCUUUGAUCCCUUGGUUUUGAAUCUUUCAAAAAUUACGGGCUGAUCUUUGAAGCCCAUUUCGAAAGUUUCCACAUCUGGGCUUUCUUUGGGCUGAGGCUUUAUUUCCAACAUUCUUGGUGUGAACUGGACUAAACAGUUAGUCGGACCAGACCGUCUACACAUAUGAACUGGACUCACAAGCCUAUGUUUUUUGAGCUCCCAUAUUGGUCGAAACUCAAAUUGAGGCACAAUCUAGAUGUGAUGCAUGUUGAGAAAAAUGUAUUUAACACAUUGGUGGGCACGAUUCUAGAUAUCGAGGGCAAGACAAAGGACACAAUCAAAGCCCGUCUUGAUUUGGAAAGAAUGGGCAUACAAAGGGGUUUAUGGAUGAACAGGGACAGUGAUAAAGCUAGAAGGGAUCUUGCAUUCUUUUCUAUGAAACCGAAUGAUAAAAAAGAGUUUCUAAAGUUUGUAUCGUCUGUAAAGUUUCCUGAUGGGUAUGCUUCUAAUAUCGCACAUUGCGUGAAUGUUGACGAGGGUAAAUUUACUGGACUGAAGAGCCAUGACUGCCAUGUGUUUAUGCAACGCCUACUUCCUGUGGGUAUUCGACAUCUAUUGCCGGAAGAUGUUGUGAAGCCAAUCAUGUUGUUGUCCAGAUUUUUUUCCCAACUGACGGCAAAAACAUUGCGAAAGACAGACAUAUUUCAGUUGCGCCAUGACAUUGUCCAAGUCCUAUGCAAGUUUGAGAUGAUAUUUCCUCCAGCUUUCUUCACAAGUAUGAUGCACGUGAUGGUUCACUUGCCAGAAGAGGCAUUGCUUGCUAGUCCUGUCAACUAUCGCUGGAUGUAUCCAAUAGAAAGGUAUAUAAUCUUUAUCGUUUGUGUAUGCAUCAUUAUCACAGACUUGCUAAUUUGUAUCAUAUCGUUUUAUUUUGACAGGCUUCUCGGAGAGCUGAAAAAAAGUGUACGCAACAGGGCGAAGCCCGAAGGAUCAAUUAUAGAGGCUUGGGUUCAAUAUGAGUCGCUUACUUUCUGUGGAAUGUAUUUAAAAGAUGUGGAGACGGCUUUCAAUCGUCCUCAACGCAAUAACGACGAAGGUAUGAGAAAGGAAAAACUUUCUGUUUUUGCCCAAAGUGCACGACCCUUUGGAGAUCCUGGACGAGGAGAGUCGUUUUCUAGAAAUGACAUGGAGGUAGCGCAUUGGUUCGUACUGAACAAUUGUGAUGAGAUAAUGGCAUACUUAGAUAAGCAUGAAGAGAUGAUGAAGCGAGAACAUCCAUCACAUUUAGUUGCCCAGAAACACCGUGAAUUGUUUCCACAAUGGUUUUUGGAUUCUGUAAGUUAUAAGUGUUUUGUAUUUGACAAAUAUAAAUUGUAGUAUUUAAUUUUGUCAGACUAACAUGUGAAUGGUUUUGUAUUAUAUUAGGUGAAUAAGUUGAAAUCAUCGAAUUCCCCCACUUACAGUGAUGAGUUAUAUAACUUGGCGUUCGGCCCAAUUCGCGCUGAAUUGUUUCGGGUUGUUAUAUUAAUGGCGUCAAAUUUUUGGGAGCCGCACGAGAUGACAAGUUGUGUAUGCAAAACAGCGGUGUCCAUGUCCCAGGUGGAGGCGAAAGUACGAACAUUGAUUUCUAUGGCAAACUCACAACUGUCAUUCAAUUGCUUUACAAAGAUCGAUACUAAGUGAUCAUGUUUAAGUGUCGAUGGUUUGAUAGCAACCCAAAUAGGCCGGGAAGUGUUAAAAUCAACCAUGGCUUACUAUCUGUGAACAUUAACAGAACUUGGUAUGAUGACGACCCUUACAUUUUGGCAAACAUGGCAACACAAAUUGUGUAUCUAGAUGACCCUAAAGCCGGGAGCAGUUGGAAAGUUGUUCAGAAGAUGGAUCAUAGGAACUUGUAUGCUAUACCAGAACUAGACCCAACUGACAAUGACGUCAACAAUGUGGCUGACCAACGUUUAGAAUCUUCAAUGGAAAAUGAUGCGGAAACACUUCGAGAUACACAUGUUAUACAAGAACCGUUUCAAAUACAAGGAGUGUCUUCAAUCGAAAUACCGAUUCAGUCAAUUACAAUUGACCUCGGGGAUCUUCCAAGAUUCGAUGUUGCAGUGAGCCCGAGCAACGAAGAUGAUGUAGUUAUAGAGGAGGAGGAGGAGGAUUGGGAGACUGAAAGUGAUGAUAGCGAAGAUAACGAAAGUUAUUAUAGUUCAGAUGAUGAAUAAUUAAAUUUUUUAUAUUUUUAUUAUGCUAGUGUACAGACUUUGUGUAAAACAAAAGUUUGAAUAUAUGUAGUUGUGAUAUCCAAACCUUAUAUAUGUGGACAACUGAAACAUUAUUAAAAUAAAUUUAGUUAUAAAACAUCGGUAAAUCAAUAUAUCCAAACCCUUUUAAUAUUCAUUUAAAAUUUUUUUUUUUGACAAAAACGUUUACAAAAUGAAAAUGAUAAAAUAUUUGUUAUAAAACAUUGAUAAAUAAAUAUAUCCAAACCAUUUUCAUACAAAGUUUGAAAAUUAUUGACAACAAACAUUUUUCAAAAAUGAAAAUCCUUGCGCGACGAAGUACACCUCGUCACGCAAAGUUUGCGCGACCCAGUAAACAGUCGUUGUGUAAAGUUAAAACAUUGCGAGACAAAUUAUCAUCCGUCACGCGAUAGAAUUUUGCGCGACGAAUAUUUACUCUCGUCGCGCAAAUGUAUAUUCUUUUAUAAUAUAUUUUAUAUACACAUAUAUAUUCGAAAUUGACGAUCGAGUUAGUUCAUUGUAUUCAUAUAGGGUCAUGGAGUGUAGCUGUAAAAAAUCAUCAAAAUCGGAGUUAAAAUAACUGUUAAAUCAUGACUUUUCAUUUAUAACCGUUCAAAAAUUUUGUCCCGAUACUUGAUCUCUGAAUGUUUUUUUUUUCCGAUUUUUGGGGCCUAAGAUCUCGAAGUAUAAACAAACACGUUUGACGGCUGGAUUAUUGAAACUACUUUCGUAGAAUGCGUAUGCCAUCAAAACUAUAUAUUCACCAACAAUGAAUAGUUUACUUAUACUUUCAUUAAAUAUAACAUAAGAUUAUGUGGUAUCACCCUAGUGUAAACAUCUUAAAUUGAAGAUCAAAUUCAGUAAUUGUAUUCAUAUAGGGUCAAGAAAAGUAGCUAUAAAAAAUCAUCAAAAUCGGAGUUAAAAUAACCGUUAAAUCAUGACUUUUCAUUUAGAUUCGUCGAAAAGUUUUGUACUGUUACUUGAUCUCUUAACGUUUUUUUUGUCAGAUUUUCGGCGUAUACGAUCUCGAAAUAUAAAAAAACAAGUUUGCCGGUUAGAUCAUUAAAACUAGUUUCGGGUUUAGGAUUUCUGCAGUUUAGGGUUUAGGGUUUGCGCGACGAAGCCAUUUCGUUGGUCGCACAAAGCCUGCAAAGAACAGUCUUGCGCUACGAAACUAGGAUUCUUUGUCACGCAAUCUCAACCAGCCCUUUCACCCUCUUCCUCCUUGGACACUUAGCCAAAAAAAGUUGCGAGUUUACAGAAAGCGGCUUUGCGCGACGCUGCCGGUAUUCGUCGCGCAAUAUGUAUGCCAAUAAAACCUAAAUCCCAAAUUUUGGCGAAUUACAACUUUGCGCGACGAAUAUGGGAAGCUUCGCGCAAAGUUUUCAAUCUUUCCCGCUAAACCCUAAGUCCCAAAAUUUUGGCGGAUUGACAACAUUGCGCCACGAAAGAAGGUACUGUGCGUCGCACAAAGUUUUCAAUCUCUCCCGCUAAACCCUAAGUCCCAAAAUUUUGGCGGAUUGACAAUAUUGCGCGACGAAAGAAGGUACUGUGCAUCGCGCAAAGUUUUCAAUCUCUCCCACUAAACCCUAAGUCCCAAAAUUUUGGCGGAUUGACAACAUUGCUCGACGAAAUAUGGUACUGUGCGUCGCGCAAAGUUUUCAAUCUCUACCCAAUAUUUUGCCGGAUUGACAACAUUGUGCGACGAAAGACGAUACUGUGUGUCGCGCAAAAACUACCCUGAUACCAAAUUUUGGGAUUAACAAUAUUGCACGACAGAAGUUAUACUUAUGUCGUCGCGCAAGUGUCAAUUAAAAUAUUUUGCGUGACGCUUUUGUUUGUUCGUUGCGCAAAAUCGAAUAAAAUUGCAGAAACGACGCGAUAGCCUCCUUCUUCCCCAGAUUUGUUUUUCUACCCUAACUCUCUCUCUCUCUCUCCGCCUUCAGCUCAGCCCCCUACCCCAGUGGAUUUUGGACGACGGCGCCACAACAGUGGUACCCCGGAGGUUUCCCGCCGUCACCGUCGAGCCAGCCGCCCUAAUUCCUCGAUUUUCACCGAAUCUGCGCCGCCGUCGUUCUCUCUCCUUCGGCGACCAAAUCCGACACCUGAGGUAUGGUUUCUGUCCUAUUUUUGAUGCUUUAACUGAUGGUUGGGUAGGAUUUGUGUAAUUGUUGCAAUAGGGCAGUGGAUUUGAAACCCUAAAUUUCGACCGAUUUUUGAAUUCCAAUUCCGGCCACUUCUGGCCAUUUUUCAGGGUAGGUCCGAGAACAAAAGUGGCUCCAAUUGAUGUUUUGAACCUAGGGUAGGAACCUUGGCCCUUAGUUUUAAGAAAUUUUCGACGAUUGGUAUCGCUUUGGACACCCACGCUCUGCCAGCGCUUGUGGUGGCGCGUGGGGUACUGUAGCAGUCUUGCAUUGGGUCCCAGUGCAAUCCCAUAUUUGUCACGAGCGCGUAGGUGUUUUCGGAUUGGAAUUUGGUUACCGUUUGAGUCUCGAACGGAUUUUGCCUAUUGUGCGAUUUCCGGGUUUGUUAUGUUCGGACCGUUGGAUCGAACUCAAACUCACGUAUGGUGUACCUUGUAUUUCUUGGAUCGUCUAGGAUUCGACGGAUCGUGGAUCGGAGUCCCGAAUACUCCGAACUCGCAAACCCUAGGUCAAGAAUCUUAAUAAAAUUGUAUGUGCUUUCAAAUAUUCGUAUGUUUUAUUAAUUUGUAUGUGUAUUAAUGAAAUUGUGUAGAUGUCAGACCUGAUUAGACGUCGUAGGGCGGUGACGACUACGCAGAGUUCUGAGCCCCCGGCUCAACUGACAUCUGCUGCCACUGCGCCAGCACUGAUGGACCACUUGGCAGUUGGUCCCGCGGGGUCCCAGGCUCCUGCUUCAUCAGCUUCAUUAGUGGCACAACCUGUUAGCGCCAGGAAGCGUCAUCGGCCUGCCAGCACCACCGACACCACAUCCACUGAUGCGUCGGGGUCACAGCCAGGUAUAGAUUUCCUUAAACUCCAGUUAUUUAUAUUUUUGUUUUUGUUUUUAUUUUUGUUUUUGUUUUUGUUUUUGUUUUUAUUUGUGUGUGUAUUUUAUAGUUAAAUUUGUUAUUUAUUUAACAUUAAUGUCAUCUUUCUUUGCAGCCAAGAAGAACACCCGAGGGCCGUGUCGGUAGUUGAAGACGGCGAAGGUCACUCGGGUGACCAACAGUCGUAUCAACAUCGGAUACGACAAGCGACAUCGGGCUGCACCGACGGCGGAGUUGCAUAGCUCCUUGGCCCACGACAUUGGUGAUGUCAUUCCGAGCCAUUGCCCGAUGAAAUGGAAGUCUUGGAAGGUGAUGCCUGACGAGACCAAGAUGGAGGUUCGCGGCCAGUUGUCAGUAUGUAGGCCUUUUAAUUCUUUUUCUUUCAAAUUUUAUAUUUCUAUUAUUUAAAUGUAUUUAAUUAAUUUAUUGCAGACGAACUACAACUUGGAGGACCUGGACGACGAGUCGUUGGCGUACAUCAACAGACUCUUCUCUGAGAGGUACAAAUAGUGGAAGAGCGACUUGCACCACUAUUUUGAGGCGUUUGAUGAUCCAGAAGUCUCUCUUCAGGAGGGUUGCCCGAAGGAGCUUGAGGGGCGGGAGGAUAGUUGGGCGUGGCUCUGCUCUCAUUUUCAGGCGCCCGCUUUUGUGGUAAUUUGUAAUAUGAAUUUCAAAUUUAUUAUAUUUUUCUUACUAAUGUUUUUUUAAUGUUUUAUAUUUAAUUUCAAUUUCAACUAAUACGUUUUAUUUUUUGUAUAACAGAAUAAAGCCAAAGUCAAUAAGGGCAAUAGGAAGAAGAAGACUCUUCUCCAUCAUUCGGGUUCCAGGCCCUUCUCCUAUAGGAUGGAUGCAUGGCGGCAGGUAAUCAUAAAAAAAAUUUUAUUUAAUUUUUAAUAUUUAAUUAUUCUUAAUUUAUUUUUUUGUACUAAUAUUUUUCUUCUCUUGUUCAAUUUAGGGGGGUCCAAAUUCCCAGAGAUCGACGUCUUUGGCGACGUUUAUGUUCGACCUGGGAAUGAGUUGGGCGAGUCCCUUCAUGUAAGUAUUAUUUAAUUUUAAUUAUUAUGUUACGCAUUCAAGUUUAAAGGUUAUUAUAUGAAUGUUUUAAUUUAUAUUUUAUGUUAUGCUAAACAGAUGACGAUGGUGGAGAGGAGCCAGUUGGUUCUUCAAGAGUCCGCCUCCCAACUUCCUUCCGAUACUCCGAUCGAGUCUGUGGAUCCUCCACAGGAUGCUGGGUUUCAGAUCUUGACGGAGACAUUGGAUCAGACUCUAGGGAGGAGACCGGGGAUAUAUUGUCGAGGGAUGGAGAAUGCCAGGCGGAGGGAAGCCAGACCCCGUUCAUUAGCGCAGUCAAGCAGUCAGGUCACUGCUUUGACAGCACAGGUGGCCACUCUUCAGAGUCAGAUGUCGGACAUUCUGCAGUCCCUCGCACAGUUCGGCAUUCCAGUCCCGCAUUUUGAUGCGCCGACCUCUGAGCCCGUCCAUCCUGAGCAUCCCCACCAGACGACGGCCCUUGUAGACCCCCAGACCUCUGAACCGCAUGUGCCAGACGACAAUGUAGAUUUUGGAACAUUAUGAUUAGUUUUUUUAUUUUCAUAAUUAUUUUUUAAAUAUUUCUCUUGCAGCAUACAUUUAUUUUAUAUAAUAAAUAUGUUCUUUACAAUUCUUUUUUUUAUUGGAAUUUCAUUUUAUUACCCAAAAAAAAAAAACCAAAUUUAUUUUUUUAUAAAAUAAAAUAAAAAGUAAUAUUAAAAUUAAAUAAUAAUUAUAUAUAUUAAUUUUGCGCGACGAAAUCUUUCUCGUCGCGCAAAUUUAUAUAUUACGAAAUAAAAAUGUUUCAUUUUUUUAAAUACAUAUAAUUUAUUCUUGCGCGACGAAUAUUUUCGUCUCUCAAAAAGGAUUUGCGCGACAACAGUUUUUCGUCGCGCAAAAUGUGUUGACACGAAUUGCACGACGAAGAUAUCUUUGUGCCGCAAAUAUCUACGACACGUAUUGCGCGAUGAAAAUGUUCGUCGCGCAAAAAACGUAUGCGCGACAACAAUGUUUCGUCGCGCAAUACGUGUAGACAUGAAUUGCGCGACGAAGAACUCUUGGUGCCGCAAAUGUGUACGAGACGUAUUGUGCGACGAAUAUUAUUCGCCGCGCAUCGUUGUGGCGACGAACCCGCUUUCGUCGCGCAUAAGUUUGUGCGACGAACUAUUGCAUCGUCUCUGAACCUUUUGUGCAACGAAGGGUAACCGUCGCACAAAUUUGCGCGACGAGUGAUACAAUCAGUCGCGCAAAGUCUUUCUUCACCAUCUUUGCACCACAGAUUACGCGCGACGAAUUUUCUGUCGUGCUUGAGUUUGUGCGACCAAAUUUAACUCUGCGCGACGAAAUUGGCUUCGUCGCGCAAAUCGUAAAAUGUAGUAGUGGAAGUUAUCAACAUCUAUAGGAACCCCAAUGAAAAGGCUGUUAACUAAUAAUGAAGUAAACCCCUCAAUGUUUCCGCGUAUCAGAUAUCUCUCAGAAUAUGCGAUUCCAUACUCAAUAAGCAACUCCACAUCCCCUGAGGUUUUCACCAAACCACCCAUUAAGGAAACAUACUGACUCAUGUGUAAUUAUCAUUACUCAUCGGGUAAUGCAAUUGUUCAAAGGCAAGGACAUUUCUCAUUAUUUCUGUAGUGAACCCCAAUGGAAAUGGUGGGAUCUUCAGAACCCCAUUGGUGCUACUGAAUUGUAUGUCAAAUAUGUUUUCACCUUGUCGCGCCUCAAACUUGACUCCAGCGUGCUGUAAUUCUGUCAAGCUGGGUAUGGAUGAUGGGAGUUCCCCUCCAGCUUUUGAUUCCAACGGUUGAUAGAGUUUAAAUAUUUUCCUGUAAAGAUCAACAAUAUGUGCCACUGAUCUAAAAGUCUCCAAAUUGUCUUCCAUUUUGUCAACAGGCAAUAGAUGUUCGAAGAAACUGAAAGAAAGACUAAUUAUUGAAAGCCCCUCAGUAAUGCAGUUAUUGUCAGCAUCAGCAGGGAGUGUAAUUUUCUGUGGGUCGAAAAGAUCCUCGAGAAUGAAGAAUGGCAACUGAUUUUCAAGCAACCACAUAUCUGUCCAUACAUCUUGCAACAUACCUGGUUUGUCAAAUAUGCGGUCAUUUUCAUCCCAAAAUUUGAAGUAGUCCUUCAAUAAGAGCUCAAUAACGAAGGCGGCAUCCACUAGAAUGAUUGUUACAAAUUCAUCACUGCUAAACUUGAUGGGUUCUCCAUAACAACGUCUCAAUCUUGCUUCGUGGUCCUUUAUUUUCUUAAUAUAAUCCUCCAAACUCACAUUGGUCCGACCUAUAAAAUCUUGCAGGUAUCUCUGUUUGUGCUCUUCCUAUACGACAUUCAAGCCUUCCUUUCCAUGGUGAAGUGGGCCUAUAGAGACCACCUGAGGUGUGCAGAGCUUUUCAUUCACACUUCGUAGUCGUUGAGGAACUCUGUAGAUACAGCACUUGGAGGAUGGGGGAGACAAGCUAUUGAACCCUUUUCUCAUCGAAUUUGCUAAUGAAAUGUAUGGGUUUUCUAUGUCAUUUUGAGCAGAUUGAUGGCUUCCUGCCAUUUUCCAGCUCCUGACUAUAUGUGGUGUUCCGAUUGUAACAGAUUACAAUAAUGAUGAGUAUGGAUAACUGAAUUACUGAUAAAACAAUCAAGAAACAUUUCGUUAUUUUCCAUUCCCAAUAACGAAAUCAAAAUGUUCAAGGAAAUAUAAUCAGGAUAUUGCAAUUAUAUAGCCAUUCAUAAGCUGCCUGGCAUGGAAUAAGAGGUGGAAACCAAAUCUACUUAUUGGCCAAAGUUCGAAUUCACUAUAUAUAGAUAUAUAUUUUGCCAAAAUCUAAAACUGACCAACCUUAGAUACAAAAACACGGUACAGCCCGGUUAAAGUAAUUCCAAGUGCGAAGAAAGAAAGGAAUUGAGCGUUUGUACCUCUACAGCUAGCCAAAUUUUCUAUUGAUUCUUUAAAUUUUAGAGAGCAAUUACUCUUAAUUUGGUAGGUGUAGGACUGUGCAACUUCAAGCUUUAAUGAAAGAAGCCAAGUUUAUUCUAAGGGGACAAGUCAGAGACAACGAAAUUUUGCUCAGCUUCAUUUUCAAAUUUGCUGCUUAAGAAGGAAAUUUAAUAUGUUUGUUUCACAAAUUGUAUUGUCAUCAAUGAAACUCGUGCACACCCAACGAAAUUUGCAUGGCUUAUUUUCAAAGGAGUACUGCUAUUUCCAUCCUCUGUCCUAUUUUUCCACUCACCUUAUCUUCAAAAUUUUAAAGACAAAAAUAAACCCCUUUGUAAAAUGCUUAAAAAGAAAUUUAAUAUGUUUGUUUCAAAAAUUGAUAUUGUCAUCAAUGGUUAAAGAAUUGCUGGUGACAACAUAUACUUCUUUUCUACUGUAUUAAUUUCUUUCUUUAUUUUUUCUUCAGUAUAGUUCUGCCUUUCUUUUACAUGUUUAUGCGCAUAUUUGACACGUUCAAGUAUACUUAUAUAACAAAUGCAAUGAGUUUGUAGUCACAAAAAUCAAGGAUUGAAAACAAAAAGUAAUAUUAUGUGCAAGAGAAACUUACCUGCAGAAACUGAAGAACUCCUCUAGUUUCUUCUCUGUCGCUAUGUACUCCCGCGUUCAAGUUAUUAUUCUUACAAUGUACAUACACUAUUAUAUAAUGGCGAGAAGGCUCUGAUUAACCUCCUUUUUGCUUCAUUGGAUGGGGCAAGAAUGGAAUUGUCACCGUGGGUGUGGAGGUGAUCUACCAUUUGAGCAAGAAAUUCCCACAUAUUCUUUAACUAUUUUUCAAGCAUGCAUAUUCCUCCCUAUCAAUCUUUGGUCUCUUCUUUUACUAUUUUUCAAGCAUGCAUACUUUGAUUUUAAAUCAUCUUUUCCGCACUAAUUUGCUUCAAUCAAGAAACAGUUAAUAUAUUUUGUAUCAUCAUUAGAGAACACUUGAAACUGCAUAAGUUAAUUUUGAAGAUGAUGGCAGAACCAAAAUGUGUAUAGCUUAUAACUAUAAUUUCUUGAUUACAACAAGAGGUUUCAAGUUUUCAACAACACAAAUAUGAAUCUCCCAAGCAAAGAUAAACAAUAAAGCAAGCAUACGGAUUGUCAAAUUGCCUUCAAUCACUCUAAAAUACUUCAUACCGUCCGACACUGGCUUCAAUUACUCUACAAUACUUCAAUUCAUAUAUUGUCCUAUUUUCACAUGUACAUCCUGCUUUUACUUAAGGGUUAAUUGUUGAUUUACCCCUUGAACUUGUACUCUACUUUCAAUUUGCACCCUCAACUUUUUUUUUUGAAAAUUAGGUGCAUGAACUAAUUUUUAUUGCCAAUUCCCCCUACCAACAUGUCAUCUAAUAGUCUGUCAAAUCAUUAAAAAAUAUAAUAUUUUUGGAAAAAAUUAAAGAAAAAAAAAUUCCUAAGGACCCACAGACCCAGAACCCACCCUCCGUUGCCCCCGCUUGCUGUUUUCUUCUCCUCCCAGUCCCCCAUGACCACCACCCUCCACUGCCACACCAAUCCCCUACCCAACAGACCCCUCACCCCUUCUUUUUUUUCACCCCCGAACCCAGCAUGAGUUAUUGGUUAAUACCAUUUUCUUAAUUGCCAAAUAAAAAAAAAAAACAGAGUUAACCCUCUGUUAAGCUAGCUGACUAGUGGGGCGAAAUGGAGGAAAAUCAAUAUGGAGACAGCGGAUCCGGUCCCGUGUAAGUGUAUCUGAUGGAAUAAAAGAAUGAUAUUAUUGGUGGUGGGUACGGUUAUGUGGAAGUAAUAAUGGGUAAGAGAAGAAACUUGUUCUCUUGUGAUAAUCAAAAGACAGAAAGUAGUGGGAAAAGACAGAAAGUAGUGGGACACUAUUUUAGAUAUGAUAAUGUUCCUUCCUUGAUUGAUGCAAAUGAAGAGAAAAGGGUGGCUUUAUAUAAUAGCCACUACCGACCUAACACAUUAAAAACACAACUAACACCAAACAUAGUUAAUUCAACUAACUUCUACCACACCAUUAAUUUAACACACAACUACUAACAAACUGCCAACUAUUUCAAAGUUACCAGCCGACUAUUAAUGAAGUCUAGAUUACUUUAACAUCCUCCCUUAAGCUAGACUUCAUUUACGCCAAUUAAUUUUCUCAUCUUGAUGAGCGGCUCUUUCUUCAACGGUUUGGUGAACAAAUCUGCCAGCUGAUCUUGGGACUUGCAAUACAGAACCUCAACUUCUUUAUCUUUGAUUAGCUCUCUGAUGAAAUGGAACUUGAUCUUGAUGUAACACCCCGACCCCAAAUUUUCCCAAAUUUUACCCUUAUUUAAUUAUUUAAUUAUUUAAGGGUAUUUUAGUCAUAUUUUUAACCGGAGAGAGUUUGGGACCGUGACUAGUAUUUUUGGAUAGGUCGAGCUGAGACGAGUUCAUAGACACGUAGUGGGCUCGAAUCGGAGUUGUAACGAGAGAGAUAUGGUCAAAAGAAGCCCAGUGGCACAAUCGUAAAUAUUUCGAAAUGGGAUUUUUUAUAAAAACUCAAAUUUUUCUCUCUCUCUCUCUCUCUCUCUCUCUCUCUCUCUCUCUCUCUCGCGACUCCUCUCUCUCUCUCCCGUCGGCCUCUCCUCUCUCUCUCUUCGUAACUCCGGCCACCGGCCGCGGCUGCGGACGGGGCCGGUGUCAAAAGAACCGGCUCGACCUCGGCAUCACGACCCAGCCCAUCCCCGCCAUCGGCCGCCGCUCCAGCCGCCGGAAAAUGGCGAUUUUCGCCCAGAUGUCGCCGGAACUUCAACGCCGUCGAUCUCCCUCCUCCGGCCACCAAUUCCGUCGACCCAGGUAUGGAUUUUGAACCUCUCGAGCUGCUCUAGCUGAUGGUUGGGUAGGAUUAGAUCGAUUCUUAGCGUAGAUCACUCGAUUUUCGAAUUGAAAAUCGGCCGAAACUUCGGCCGCCGUGAUCGGCCAUUUCCGGCCACUUUUUGGGGUAGGUCCAAGAACAAAAGUGGCUCCAAAUAGGGUGUUAUACCUAGGGUAGGAGUUUGGAGCCGUGGUUUUGAGAUUUUCCGGCGGAGCGUUAUCGCUUUGGGCACCCACGCGCUGCUGGCGCGUGCGGCGGAGCGUGGGCACUGUAUAAAAAGUAGCGAUGUAUUCCGAUGAGAUCCUUAGGUUGUCACGAGUGCGUAGGAUUUUGCGGAUCUCAAUUCGGACGUCGUUUGACUAUCGAACGAAUAAUCGCAUAGUGUGCGUUAUCCGGGUUCGAUAGGUUGGGACCGUUGGAUGGUCCCAAAUUUAAUAUAUGUUAAUCUAGGUAUUUCUAGGAUCGUGUAGGAAUUCACGGAUCGUGAAUCGGAACUCCGGAUGUUCCGAAUAAUAAUUUUAAGUUUAUAUUUUAUAUUAACCAUCAGAUCGUGCGAUCGUGAGCAAUCCGACCGUCCGAUCUGAACCAAACUUGCAGGACAAGUGUCCUACACCUGGUAGAACCCAUAGGGACUUCCGGAUCGGAAAUUGGAGGUCGUGGGUUCUGCAGGUCCGUUUGACCAGGGUUAGAGUAGUUUGACUCUUGGUUGACCGUGAGUCUCCCGGAGUAAUCUCACCCUUCCAGGGGGAAUUAUCGGGAGCUAGACUAUUGUGGAGGGUUACACAAUAUUAGAAUUAUUUAUAUAAAUUAUGUGGUUGUACAAGGGUACAACAGAGUCUAGAAUGUCAGUUUGGAGUGCUAUACGCACUACUCUAGGUACCUCCUCGGACUUUGGAAUUUCUACAAGUACCACCAAGUGAAAGUUAGGUCCCACGUGGCGUAGGUUAUCCGGCGUGUCGACAGACCCCAUACGUGGCGUUGGUUGUACCGGCGUAUGGGGAGAUUUGUGAUAUGAUAUUGAGGUCCCGCGUGGCGUAGGUUAUCCGGCGUUGGGACAGGCCCCAUACGUGGCGUUGGUUGUACCGGCGUAUGGGGAGAUAUUAUGAUAGUAUGGCAUGGUCGCACGUGGCGUAGGUUAUCCGGCGUGUCGACAGACCCCAUACGUGGCGUUGGUUGUACCGGCGUAUGGGGAGAUUUGUGAUAUGAUAUUGAGGUCCUGCGUGGCGUAGGUUAUCCUGCGUUGGGAUAGGCCCCAUACGUGGCGUUAGUUGUACCGGCGUAUGGGGAGAUAUUAUGAUAGUAUGGCAUGGUCGCACGUGGCGUAGGUUAUCCGGCGUGUUGACAGGCCCCAUACGUGGCGUUGGUUGUACCAGCGUAUGGGGAGAAUAUGUGAAAUACAGAGAAAUGAAAUAAGGUAUUGCCCAAGUGUGGAAUUGGGUUUUAGGGAAGAACUACUUAUGGCUUGAUCCCUCAAGGAGGGUACGUAGGCAGCCUAAGGUUAUUAGGUGCAGCCGCAGACUAAAUAUUAGUCAUAAAUUGUAAUUGAACUGUUUGGUAGUCGUUUGAGGAAGUAUUGAAAGGCCGAAGGCCAUUUGUGUGAAUUGCAUGAAAUUAUAUUGUGCAUGCUGCCAGUUGGGAAUAUUAAAUGCGUUUUUAUGCAGGUAUAAAUUUUGGGAAUGUCCAAUUUACAGGGGAGACUCUGCCAAAAUUUCGGCAGGAAGUCUCGGUUUUUAGUAAGUGGGCCUGGCAUCGGGGUGAUGUCAGGAAUUCCAAAGGGUUCGUCUCGGGUUUUGAGAAAAUUCGGGGCGGGUCCUUUCACUUGAUAUGCUUACUCUUGCUGUGAAACAUUGGAUUUUUGGAAAGACAAAUAGCUGAUUUGUUGUUGCAGAACAGCUUUGUAGGUCCUUCUUGAACUUGACCCAUCUCUUCUAAAAUACUUUUCAGCCACCUAGCUUGACAACCUGCUGAUGCAAGAGCAACAUACUCAGAUUCUGUAGUUGAAAGUGCCACUAUAGAUUGCUUUUUGGAGGACCAUGAAAUCGCACUUGAGCCAAUGCUAAAGACAUAACCAGAUGUGCUUUUGCAAGUAUCAACAUCUCCACCCAAGUCACUGUCACUGUAGCCAGUCAAAUUUAGAUUCUGAAUAGGAUAAUAAUGCAAACCAUAAUUGAUAGUUCCAACCACAUAUCUUAGGAUUCUCUUUCCAAGCUCCCAAUGAACAUCUUUUGGUGACUCCACUAAACGGCUGAGGAAGCUUACUGCAUAUGUAAGAUCUGGCCUUGUUGUAGUUAAAUACAAGAGGCCACCCACUAGACUUCGAAACAAAGUUUGAUUUACCAUUGUGCUUCCAUCAUUCUUACCUAUCUUAACACCAACCUCCAUUGGAGUAGCAAUUGACUUUGCAUUUUCCAACCUGAACCUUUUCAACAAUUCCUUUGCGUAUUUCUUUUGAGAAAUAUAGAUACCAUUCUCAUUUUGUUUGACUUCAAUUCCAAGAAAGAAAUGAAGCAAACCAAGGUCUGUCAUUUCAAAUCUUUGUGACAUAAUCAUCUUGAAAUUAUCACACAUUUGAGCAUUACUUCCAGUAAAUAUUAAGUCAUCCACAUAUAAGCAGACAAUCAAAAUCUCACCUUGAGAGUUCUUCUUGGUGUAAAGAGUAUGCUCAUAUGGGCAUUUGUGAAACCCAUACUCUUGGAAGAAUGCAUCAAUCCGACUGUACCAAGCUCUUGGAGCUUGUUUCAAACCAUAUAAAGCCUUCUUCAAUCUACACACUUUUGUUUCUUCAUUUCCCUGCACAUAACCUGGAGGUUGAGCAACAUACACUUCUUCUUCCAAAAAACCUUGCAAGAAUGCUGGUUUAACUUCCAUUUGAAAGACUUUCCAACAAUUUUGGGCAGCAAGAGCUAACACCAUUCGGAUGGUGUCAAAGCGUGCAACUGGAGCAAAAACUUCAUUGUAAUCAAUUCCAUAAUUUUGCUUGUAGCCUUUAGCUACCAAGCGAGCUUUGUAUUUCUCAACUUCUCCUUGAGCAUUCAGCUUGGUCUUAUACACCCAUUUUACUCCUAUAGGCUUCUUUCCUUGAGGAAGAUCAACCAGCUCCCAUGUGUCAUUUUUCUUAAUGGAAUCAAUUUCUUGAUCCAUAGCCUUCACCCAAUUUUCAUCCUUUGAAGCCUCUUCAAACAUAAUUGGGUCUGCAUCUACAAAUAGAGCAAAAUUUGUGCCACCAUUAGUGAUCAAAACAUAAUCACUAGAUGGGUACCUUGUGGAUGGUUGAUGAGCUCUUGUUGAUCUCCUUUGUCCUCUGCAAAUUUCUUCUUCCUCACUGCUAUCACUAGAAGAAGUUGAUGAUGACCCUUGUGAUGAAGAUUCCUAUGAUGAUAGAGUUGUUGGUGGAGUUAAAUCUGGAUUUUCAAGGCCAAUGUCCAACAGUAUUGGACUUUGAUUUUCAGCUUCACUCCAAUUCCAUGCUUCUUCUUCAUUGAACUUGACAUCACGACUAACAAUAAUCUUGUUAGUCAAUGGAUUAAACAACUUAUAUGCCUUGGCCUUUUCACUAUACCCAACAAGAAUGCACUUUUCUGAUUUGUCAUCCAAUUUUCUCCUUGUUUUAUCAGGAAUAUGAGAAUAAGCAAUGCUGCCAAAUAUCCUUAAGUGACUAAUACAUGGCUUGAGGCCACUCUAAGCUUCUUGAGGAGUCUUGCCUUCCACACUAUUGGACGAUGCACGGUUCAAGAGAUAUACAGCACAUGCCACUGCUUCUGCCCAAAAACGAUUAGGCAUUGCUUUUGCCUUCAACAUGCUUCUUGCCAAUUCCAUAACGGUCCUAUUUUUUCUCUCGGCCACACCAUUUUGCUGUGGGGUGUACCGAGCUGUGAACUGAUGCUUAAUCCCAUUUUCUUUUAGAAAAUUUUCGAACACAUUGGAUGAGAAUUCUCCACCUUGAUCAGACCGCAAGGUUUUCAAUGCAAAUCCACUUUGCUUCUCAGCCAAAGCUUUGAAAACUUUAAAGUAAUCAAACACCUCUGAUUUAUAUUUGAGAAAAUAGACCCAUGUCUUUCUGCUAUAAUCAUCAAUGAAUGUAAGAAAGUAGCGGUUACCUCCUGUUGAUGUUGUGUUCAUGGGCCCGCAUACAUCUGAGUGCACCAGCUCAAGAGGAUGGGAUGCUCUCCAAGAAUUUCCUGUAAGAAACGAAUUUCUCUGAUGUUUUCCCAGCACACAUGCUUCACAAACUUGUGUUUGAUGCUGUAUCGUUGGUAGGCCUCGUACCAUAUGUUGUUUCCCCAUCAAUGAUAGUGUAUUGAAACUCAAAUGCCCAUAGCGUAGAAGCCACAACCAUGAGGAAUCCUUGAUAAGUGCACUUAAGCAAGCAAAAGAUUCAUACUUUAUGUUCAGAGAAAACAUAUUGUCUCCUGACAUCUGCACCUUUGUAAUUAGAGAGUUGUACUUGUCUCUAAUUACACACUGGUCUUCCCUGAACUGAAUAUUAUGGCCUUUAUGAAGAAGUUGCCCCACACUAAGGAGAUUGUAAUUUAAAUCUGGAACAUAUAACACAUCAGAGAUUCUUUUUUGUUCUCCAGACUUGGAUAGAAAAAGAAUAUCUCCACAUCCUUUGGCCACUAGCUUUCCACCAUCACCAAUCCUUACUUCUGAGUUGUUGGUAUGCUUGAAAUUGACAAAGGCACUUUUGUUGCCUGUCAUGUGAUUACUACAUCCGCUAUCAAGAUACCAUUUUUCUGCACACACGUUUCCUUCCCUGGCAGCUGCAUAUGCAAGUAGAACCACAUUAUCAUUUUCCCUUUCAGAAGCUUUUUCAUGCACAAAGCUUGAUUCGGCUCCUCCAUUUGUUUUGUUUUUGCAUGUUGACUUGAUGUGCCCAUAUUGCUUGCAAUUGUAGCACUGAAUAUUAGAAAGAGAGGAACCUUGUUCUCUUCCUCUUCCUCUUGAAUAACCACCAUAAUCUCCUCUUCCUCUUGGAUAACCAUAAUCUCCUCUUCUUCUUGAAUAACCAUAAUCUCGUGCAGAGCCUUCAUCAUUAGUUUUUUUUAGGUCAUUUGCAUAGCCACGUCCUUGAUUAUUUCUUCCUCGUCCACGAGUAAAGCCGCCUCUUCCUCUUCUAGAACUUCCUCUGAAUGAGACUUGAGAUUGAAAAGCUUGCUCAACAGGGCCAGAGUCAAACUGCUUCAGUCGUAACUCAUGGGAUUGAAGAGAACCCAUUAAACUGUCAAGAGACAAAGUAGACAGAUCUUUGGAUUCUUCAAUUGCCACCACAAUAUAUUCAAACUUUCGGGGACAUACUUCGAAGAAUUUUUUCAGCAACUCUCUGAUCUUCAAUUUUUUCUCCAUUAAUUCUCAGUUGGUUGACUAGAGAAAUGACACGAUUGAAAUAGUCUUCAACAGAUUCUGACUCCUUCAUACGUAACAUAUCAAACUCACCUCUUAGAGUUUGCAGUCUUGCCAUCUUCACUUUAUCUUCUCCUUUAUAUGAUGCAAAGAGAGUGUCCCACGCCUGUUUUGAUGUAAUGCAUGAUGAGAUUCUUUCAAAGAUAGCUUCAUCCACUGCUUGAAAGAUAAAGAAUAAAGCUUUUUUGUCCUUCUUACGUGUCUCCUUCAGCUCUGUGAGUUGUUGUUGAGUGAGGACUGCUUGAUCAUUUGGCUCCACAAAGCCAUUUUCAACCACCUCCCACAAAUCUUGAGCAGCAUACAACACCUUCAUUUGGAUGCUCCAUUGACUAUAAUUCUUCCCUGUAAACUUUGGAAGCUGGGGCUGUAACAAGUUGUUGUUUGAAGCCAUAUGAUUCUGAGUUUCCAGCUCUGAUACCACUUUGAUGGAAUAAAAGAAUGAUAUUAUUGGUGGUGGGUACGGUUAUGUGGAAGUAAUAAUGGGUAAGAGAAGAAACUUGUUCUCUUGUGAUAAUCAAAAGACAGAAAGUAGUGGGACACUAUUUUAGAUAUGAUAAUGUUCCUUCCUUGAUUGAUGCAAAUGAAGAGAAAAGGGUGGCUUUAUAUAAUAGCCACUACCGACCUAACACAUUAAAAACACAACUAACACCAAACAUAGUUAAUUCAACUAACUUCUACCACACCAUUAAUUUAACACACAACUACUAACAAACUGCCAACUAUUUCAAAGUUACCAGCUGACUAUUAAUGAAGUCUAGAUUACUUUAACAGUAUCGAAUCUAGCUUUAAUAUGUAUUGGGUCCUCUGGACAAGAAUUCUAUCCUUUUCGUCCUAACUAAUAUGUAGGGGAAAAACAAUACAUCAAUUAUCCUUUUCGUCCUAACUAAUAUGUAGGGGAAAAACAAUACAUCAAUUAUGAAUUUUUUUUAUCUGGGUUCGAAAUUAAAUAUGAAUGGAGUUUUGGAGGCUUAAAAGUUAUAAGCUCAAGAAAGGAAGGAAACUAUAUGUACAUUUGGGUCGGAGGCAAAGGUCCAGUCAUCUACCGUCCAGGAUAUACAGUAUCAAAAAAGGCUUAAGAAUUGUAAUAAGGUGACAUACGCCCACAUACGGCCAACGCUAGCAUAUUUCGUAAGUGUAUUAUAUGUCUUCUAAGUAUAUCAUAGUUAUGUGUCAAUUUUAGAUCCAAUUGCACACCCAAAAUACAGAAACAAAAUCAUUGAGAAUACACUUUUUUUCACUUAUAUUUUGAAUAUGCAUUGCCUGUAUUUCAUGUGUAUGAUAUAGGGGCUUCACUUAUAGUUUUUGCACAAAACCUCCCUUGAUGAAGGAUGUCUUAGAUUAAUGACAUCAAUGAUUUGUUACAUUUGGAGUACCCAACAUAACAGCUCUCUGAUUAACAAUAAAGUUAUAAAAUUUCAACAGUUUCAUACCUAACAAGCAUAGAGAAACAAAUAAAACAACCACAUUGCUUCGAUCACUGUACAUGCACACAGCUCACUUUCACUAACUACAGAGGCUAUAUUUUCUACAUAUACACUAACUUUUUCUUUCUCCAGCUCUCUUACACCACCAGGCUGGUGACAAACCCAGCUCGCGUCAUGUGGAGGACCAAAAGGAAAUGACAAGGAGAAAACGGCUAAGGAGAGACUUACUCUCAACACUUAGAAGGCAGAGCAGAGAUAACAGAGCACACUGCUUGUAUAAAAGUGAGUAUGAGGAGAAAAAUAGCGGUAGCAAUUGAAAUAGUUGCCCAAGGUGUGUUGCAAUAGUUUUGUCUCAAGUUUGCCUGCCAUUUGUGCCAAGACGUUCUGCAGUACUUGUUGAGGUCUGCACAAAGAAUAGCAAAAUAGAAGUCAUUAGAGUCCACAAUGACCCCAUCUGCAAGGUUGUUGAUCAGAGUAGACCCUCCACUACUGUCACCGAGCAUAUUUUCGACGAUUCCUUGCUUAACAACCAACUCCACAUCCGUUGCGGUGUUCACAAAGCGAUCCACGAUGACAACAUAAUUGUUUAUGUAAUUCUCCAUGCAAUGGCAUUGUUCAAAGGCAAGGAGGUUUCUGAUUGUAAGCUCUGUCUCAUCACUUAUUGCUAAUUUUGGAAUUUCUAGAAUCCCAUUAGCGAAUUGUAUGUCGAAUAAGUUUUUGGGUGAUCCCACCUUAAACUUGACUCCUGCUCUGUGUAACUCUGUGAUGCUGGAUGUGUUUAAGAGUUUCAAGUCGCCCCUUAGCAGGUGGUUUCAAUGGUAGAGGUAGAUACAAAUUUCUACAAAAAUCUACAAAGUGUUCUACUUUAGAAGUACAUAAUUUCUCCAUAUUGCCAUCCGUUCCCUCUAUGUGCAUUAGAGUUUUGAAGAAAUUGUGGCAAAGGUUAAGCAUCGAAAGCCUCUCAAUAUUGUUAUUGUUAGAAGAGACUUUGAUUUUUUCGGGGUCAAAAAGUUCCUCAAGAAUGAAGAAUGGCAGCUGAUUUUCAAACAACCGCAUGUCAGGCCAUACGUCUGGCAACAGCCAUGGUUUGUUAAAUAUGCGGUCAAUUUCAUCCUGCAAUUCAUCGAAACGAUACCUCAACAAGACCUCAAUGAUGAAGGCGGCAUCCACUAGAAUGAUUCUCACAAAUUCAUCACUGCUAACCUGAAUGGUUUCUGCAUAACAACUGCGCAGUUUUGCUUCUUGGUCUUUUACUUUCUGUACAUAAUCGGCUAGGCUUACCCUGGUCCGACGUAUAUAAUCUUGUAAGUACCUCUUUUUGUGAUCUUCCAUGGCUUUUAGGCCUUCCUCGCCAUGAUGAAGUGGGCCUAUAGAGACUACCUGAGGUGUGUAGGCCUUUUCACUCACACGCCGUAGUCGUUCAGGAACUCUAUAAAUGCAACACAAGGAGGAGAGGGAAGACAAGCCAUCCAACUCCUCACUCAUUGAAGUUACUAAUGGAAUGCAAGGGUUUUCAAUAUCAUGUGGAGCUUGAUCGCUUCCUUCCAUUUUCCGCUGAUGUGUUUGUUGUUGUCAAUCAUAAUGGAUGAUAAUGAAAUGAUAGUCACUGACACAACAAUAAACAAAUUUUUCAAGAUGGCUGAGAAAAUUAAUACAAACAUUGCAAUUAUAAGACCAAACACACAAAGACUUUUGAUCCUUGUAACUCUUACAUACCACACUAGUGCCUUAAGAAUUCGAUUUGAAUGCACCAAAUUCAUUCAAAACUCUUCUGGUCAACUCUGUUUCUUGUAAUUAUUCUUGGAAGAUUCUAAUACAUUUUUGAUUGAAAAAUUCCUACUAAUCAUGUGAAUCAGUACCAAAGUUUAUUUCAAAUUAACAUACAAACCCCACUUUUUUUUUCCUACAUAUAUACUUCUUUAUUUCCCCUCAACUUAUUGGAGCUUCUAAUAAAGCAAAUUCUUUCUGUGAUGAUAUCAGAUAGUAGAUUAUGCUUCCAGUCAAAACAUAGACAAACCAAAAUCCCAUUAGAAGAGAAGAAAAUAAUAUACGACAUUCACAUAACCUUCUGCUCAAUUCCAAUUUCCAACUACAAUGAAACAUAAGACACUUAAAAGCUUCAAGAAAUUGGAUGUGCAAGCAAACAUAGCGAAAUUAUGAAAGACAGAGAAAGGUGUUGGGCAUUGAAAACAUACCUGAUACGUAUUGAAACACAAUUUUUUUUUGCCUUUGGUAGAUGGAGUAGCUAGAAAAGCUCAAUGCACUUGCUCUUCUGCUACAUUUCAAUAUAAGAACAUUGUUUGGAAGUCCGGUCAAUUCCUCAAAGCUUCCUUGCCUUUGUUUUGACAUGCCGAUGCCCGUCUUGGGGAAGUUUGAAUAAUCCAUUGCAGGCCCCAUGAUAGGAUUUUUAGUACUUGUGCAAACAGUGUUAAAAAUCACAUAAAAUACUUGCAAGAAUACAAGGCUAUUGUAGUAUAGAUGCUCAUGCAAGGUCGUUUUCCUCAAGGACUAAUUAGCAAUUUAUGUAAAAACAAAUUCCAAUUACUACUUAAAAUAAAAAGUCAAGAAAGAUGAUUAUAAAUUUGGUGGAUUCUAAAAAACAAAUAUUAAACAAAAACAAAUACGAUUGAAAGAAAGAGUUUUGAAUAUCAAUUUAUAAAAACACUAGGGUUUCACCAUCACCUAGCAAUCCUAUGAACUUUUACCAAUUACUUAUGAUUUGCACAUGCCACUUUGAAGGUUAGGUUUUCCUAAUGUAUAUUCUACUUGGAACCUCCAACACAGAACGUAUAUCCAACAUGCAACCCGUCCGGACGUUCGGAUCAAAUCUGAACAUGAAAGACUCAUUAAGUUUUGUGAAAACCCUUUGAAAAACCAUGCAACCCUUAAGACGUGGUGUUCAUCUUAAGUGAAAUUACAAUUAUUAAUCACAAGAAGCUAGCAUAAAUUUCAGGGAACCUUCCGACCAAAAUUGCAUCCAAUUACUUUUCUAAAGAUCCUAAUGGUGAUCAGGCAUUAAGACAAUUAGAUAGUUUAAAAUAGUGAUUAACAAUUCAAAAUACGCAUGCACUCAUCAUAAGCAAUUAAAUAAAAAUCACAUAUUCAUGCUAAGGUUCAAGGCUUCACCCUAGCAAAAGAAAUUUAGUUACGCAUACUCAUAAUUGAAAUCCAAGAAAAUAUCAUUAAGAAGAAAAGAACGAAAACACCUGAAAGUUGUGAAAACCCAAAACCCUAGCAAUUGCUCUCUACAAUGCAAAGUUCAAAAAUAAUUAAGAAGUCCUAAAUUCCUUGUGAGAAAGAGCUUAAAUAUCCCUUAAAACCUAGCUGCCAAUGUACAGCUUUUCUAUCCCUACAAGGAAACUAAUUAAAGUAAAAUAAUACUAGGAAAUAAAGUCCAAAUUGGAAUAGGAGAAUUUGCCCAAAAUCAGCCCAGCCACGUUUUGGCCCCAAAUCUCCUCCAAAUCUGGCCCAAGAUAGCUUUUUUUAAAGACACUACUACAAAAAGUGAAAAAGACGACCAGAAAACAACGACGGUCUAAGUGAAAACCGUCGUGGUUUUUAAAAAGACGACGGUUCUAAAAACACCGUCGUGUAAUACCACCUUAGACAACUAAAAAAUGGAGAUUCAAAUGGCUGUUCAAAAACAACGACGUACCUAAUUAAACAACCGACGUCUAUUUGAAACAGAUUUCCGCAGUGUAAAAUCAAAGCAAACAAAGAACGGCAGAAGUUAUGAAUAGACCGACGUAGAAAGUAAAGACGACGAUUUCAAUAAAAGCCGCCGUUUUUACUCAUAAAAUAACACGACGAGGUUUUCGUAUAAGACGCCGUAUAAUUACAAACAAAUCCACGGCUUUAAAAUACAAAAUAAUCUUAACAGAUGACACAGAUUUGCAAUCAGAGAGACAAUUUUUUGGAAGUUGAUCAACGUCGUUGAAAAUUUGCAAUCAGAGAGACAAUUUUCAACGACGGUUAUAUUAUACCUAACGACGUUUAAAAACAAAUCAACGUCGCUCAACAAAUAUAUUACGUCGUCUUAGUCUUACUUAAGACGACGAAAAACGACGACAGUAGUAAAAAAACAGUCGUUGUUUUUAUAUUCUUAUUUUAUUUAAAUCUGUCGUGUUAGUUAAAAACGACGGCAUAACAAAAAACCGUCGUUUUGUUUCAAACUGAAUUAAUUUAAAAUUUCUUCAGGAAAGCAAAAUCUAUUUAUAAUUUCCUCGGGUUAGUAAUAUUGUGUCGUGUUAGUUUACAAAUUCUAGAACAUUAAUUUCCCUCAUUUUAAAUUUUCUCGGGAAAGAAAAAUCUAUUUAUCACGCUUUGUAAUUGAAAACUAAAACUGAAAGAAUUCUGGAAAAAAAACUCUAUUUAUAAUUUAAAAAUAAAAUGCACGUCGGUUGUAGUACACUUAACGACGUUUAACAAAAUAAUCUACGUCGGUAAUUAUAAAUCUACCGCCAUCUUACCCUAAUAUAGACGACGAGAAAAGACGACGGUAGAACAGAAAACCGCCGUUGUUUCAGUUUCUUUAACAGUUUGGUCCUUUAUCUUUCUGCAGGACUUGUAUAGUUCAAAGCAUUGACAAUGUCUUCAUCAUAUCUCCCAGCAACUACUGAUUCGAUUGCUCAUGCUUUAGAGGCCAUCUGAAGCCAUUUCUAUUCUUUAUCGCAUUCUUGAAACCCAUCUUCUUCUUCUGAAGCUCUACGGAUAAAGGAANNNNNNNNNNNNNNNNNNNNNNNNNNNNNNNNNNNNNNNNNNNNNNNNNNNNNNNNNNNNNNNNNNNNNNNNNNNNNNNNNNNNNNNNNNNNNNNNNNNNNNNNNNNNNNNNNNNNNNNNNNNNNNNNNNNNNNNNNNNNNNNNNNNNNNNNNNNNNNNUUUUUUUUGGGGUUGGUUUUUUAUAGUAACCAGUUAUAACAGUAGUGGUUGUGCAAUGUUUGGUUCCCUUAAGCUUCGAUCCAACCGUGUAGCCAGCUUUAGGUCAAUGUCUCCCAAACCACUCGGGUUUUAGGGCACUAGGUGUAGAACACCCCUAAGGACUUAUUAACUCAAGCUGAAAAGGCUACGAAACCAACUAACCACCCUGCCUCAUGCCAAAACUCUACCUUUUGUCUCGAAAAUCACUGCUGAUUAGGCAGGACUGGCCCGGUUACUAGCAAAGCUUCGGGUGAGGCAAUUAUUACUUUAUAACACAUACUAACUUUAUUUAAAUUGAACAGAAAUUAAAACACACUUGGACAAAAAGUAAGUAUUCCAAUCUCACUCCCCAAAAACCAUAUUGGUGUGAUGUGCAAAUUUCAAAGUAUAAUUCAUGAAUUAGUGUCUAAGCAACAAUAAAUAGAAAAGACUCUACUGUGGGAUUGAUUUUCACUAUGUCCAUUUAUUCUAACGUUUAAAAUAAUCUAUGGAUAUUGACUGAAAAACGAAAAUUUUAAACAAGACUUAAAAAAAACUAAAAAUCUAAAAUUUACUUUCCCACCCCCUAACUUAAAUCACACAUUGUCCUCAAGGUGUGGUAAAUAAUCAAAAGAAACAAGAGCAGAAACAAAACGACUAAAUCCUAGAAAAUGAAAAUCAAAAAUAAAGAAAAUACUCUAAGAAAAGAAACUAGGAAGGAAAAAUAGAAGAAUAAUAAAAUAAAAUAAAAUAAGAAAGAAAAGGAGAAAAACAACAAUAGAAAAGAAAUAGGAAAGAAAAUACCCAAAAAUGAGACACCUUGGGGAUUCAAAGGCAGGACCAGGCGGAGUGUUGCGAAAAAGCGCUGACCAACUCAACCACGUCCACACUGGCAUCAAAUAGGAGCGACAGCUACAAUAUAACCUGCUGUAGCUGCUGCAUCUGUCAUUUGAAAAAUAUUGGAUUCCCUUCUCCUACCCCGAGCUCAGAGCCGAAAGGCUCUCUUCUGUCCAUUCCCAUUUUGCAGAAGAAAAAAGAAUAUUGCUGGAUAAACCAAAGCCUCCGCUGUGUCCAGAGAAUCAGAAAAGGUCUCUGAUUUCUCUCUUCUCAAGGCCAUCCAUCUCCGCCUUCACUCUUCUUCAUUCUCUCCAACACUCACGAUCCUUUCCUCUCUUUCAACCCAAUUACACCAGCGUUUUCAUCUGCGUGAGGAGGCCACAUUUGCAGCAAACACAACCAGUGAGGUUGAAUUAUCUGAUGCACCUGAAUUUUUGGAUGGUUUUGGAGUCCCUAGAUUCCUCAAAUUCAGAUCUGUCUCCAUCCAUGUCACCAGAUGCUAACUUGUUCCAAGAUGAAAACAAGCUGAAGCCGAACAAGAGUCUAUUCUCCACCAGUAAGGACCCCAGAUCUGUGCAUCCCGUAGGUAAACUUUCGAACCCCAGAACUGGUUUUUUUUUUUUUUUUUUUCCGUUUUUUUUUUGUUUUGAAAAUAAAAGAAGUAAAGAGUUUAGAAAAAUUGGGUUGCCUCCCAAUAAGCGCGCUAUUUUAAGUCUGUAGCUAGACUUUGCAGAAGCCUGGUGGUCAAAUCACUGGUUCCUUCAGAGUCAAAGACUCGGCUGCAAUGUCAAAGGGUGUCUCCACGUAGGGUUUUAGCCUAUGACCAUUCACCUUGAACGUGUUGCCUUUAUCUUCAUUAGUGAUUUGAACUGCUCCAUGAGGAAAAACUUGAGUCACUAGGUAGGGUCCAGUCCAGCGAGAUUUUAAUUUCCCUGGAAACAACUUGAGCCUUGAACUAAAUAACAGAACCUUUUGCCCUGGCUGAAAUUCCUUCCGUAAAAUUUGACUGUCAUGAAAUGCCUUAGUUCUUUCCUUGUAGAUGCGAGAACUAUCAUAAGCACCUUGACGAAUUUCCUCUAGCUCAUUUAACUGCAAUUUCCGCUUUUCCCCAGCUGAGUCAUAUGCAAAAUUUAACUCUUUAAUGGCCCAGUAAGCUUUAUGCUCCAGCUCCAUAGGUAGAUGACAGGCUUUCCCAUAAACAAGUCGGAAUGGUGACAUCCCAAUAGGAGUUUUAUAAGCUGUCCUGUAUGCCCACAAAGCAUCAUUUAGUUUGAAACUCCAAUCCUUGCGUGUAGAGCUCACUGUUUUCUCCAAAAUACGCUUUAUUUCUCUGUUUGAAACUUCAACUUGACCAGAUGUCUGUGGGUGGUAUGGUGUAGCCACGCGAUGAUUAAUCCCGUAUUUUGCCAGUAGGUUAGCAAAUGGUUUAUUAAUAAAAUGCUUCCCCCCAUCACUAAGAAUAACACGCGGUAUUCCAAAACGUGGAAAUAUAACCCCCUGGAGGAACUUCAGGACCACUGAUCCUUGAUUAGUUGGUGCUGCAAUGGCCUCGACCCAUUUUGAAACAUAUUCCACAGCCACUAAAAUAUAUUGGUGCCCAUUAGAAGAUGGGAAUGGCCCCAUGAAAUCAAUACCCCAAACAUCAAAUAGUUCAACAAUUAGGAUACUUUGUUGGGGCAUUUCAUUCCUUCUGGAUUGAUUGCCGACCCUUUGACACCGAUCACAUGCCUUGCACCAAUUCUGUGAAUCUCUAAAAAGUGUUGGCCAAAAUAACCCACUCUGUAGGAUUUUCUCUGCUGUCCUUUUCUGCGCAAAAUGUCCUCCUCAAGCAUAGUGAUGAGCAAACUUUAAAACACUUUCUUGUUCAGCCUCCGGAAUACACCUGCGAAUAAUCUGGUCUGCACAAUACUUGUAUAAGUACGGUUCAUCCCAGAAAUAGUGCUUUACAUCAGAUAAAAACUUCUUUUUCUGCUGGUAGGAAAAAUCUGGAUGCACCACACCCUUAGCCAAAUAAUUGACAAUAUCUGCAAACCAAGGUGUGUCAAUUUUGACAGCAAAUAGCUGUUCAUCUGGGAAACUUUCACUCAAUGGUAGAGAAUCUGCCUCUGUAGCUGCUGGAAUAAUUAAUCUAGAUAAAUGAUCAGCCACAACAUUCUCACUGCCCUUCUUGUCUUUAAUCUCUAAGUCAAAUUCUUGAAGUAAGAGAACCCAACGAAUCAAUCUAGGCUUUGCAUCCUUCUUAGACAACAAGUAUUUUAGUGCAGCAUGAUCUGUAUAGACAAUUAUUUUAGCCCCAACCAAAUAAGACCGAAAUUUCUCUAGUGCGAACACAACUGCCAACAAUUCCUUCUCUGUAGUUGCAUAGUUAAGCUGUGCAUCAUUUAGAGUACGACUUGCAUAAUAGAUGACAUGGGGAAGCUUAUCUUUUCGCUGCCCUAAAACUGCCCCGACAGCAUAAUCUGACGCAUCACACAUUAGUUCAAAUGGUAAAUCCCAAUUUGGUGCAGCAAUGAUGGGUGCCGAAGUUAGGAGUGCUUUCAACUUGUUGAAUGCUUCUAAACAGGCCUUAUCAAAAUUAAAUGGUGCAUCCUUAGCCAAUAAAGUGCACAAAGGUCGACUAAUCUUGGAGAAAUCCUUGAUGAACCGACGAUAAAAACCUGCGUGUCCUAAGAAGGACCUCACACCUUUUACUGAUGUAGGAGGUGGCAGCUUUGCAAUAACUUCAAUCUUUGCCUUGUCAACCUCGAUGCCUUUGCUAGAAAUUGAAUGACCCAAGACAAUUCCCUGUUCAACCAUGAAAUGCCACUUUUCCCAGUUUAGCACUAAAUUUGUCGCUUGACAUCUCUGAAGAACUAAUGAUAAAUUCUGUAAGCAUUGAUCAUAUGAAUCCCCAAAAACAGAAAAAUCAUCCAUAAAAACUUCCACAAUAUUUUCGACCAAGCCAGAAAAAAUACUCAUCAUACAACGUUGAAACGUAGCAGGUGCAUCGCAUAAUCCGAAUGGCAUCCUCCGAUAAGCGUAAGUACCAAAUGGACAAGUGAAAGUAGUCUUCUCUUGAUCCUCUGGUGCUAUUGGAAUCUGAUUAUACCCAGAAUACCCAUCAAGAAAACAGUAAAAAGCCCGCCCAACCAACCUUUCUAACAUCUGGUCAAUAAAAGGCAAUGGAAAAUGGUCUUUUCUCGUCCCUGUGUUAAGCUUCCGAUAAUCUACACACAUUCUCCAACCCGUAGUCAAUCGUGUAGGAACUAACUCAUUAUUAUCAUUUUUCACCACUGUAAUACCGGUCCGUUUAGGCACAACUUGAGUCGGGCUAACCCAUUUACUGUCAGAAAUAGGAUAAAUCAUACCUGCAUCAAGUAAUUUCAUAACCUCUGUUCUAACCACCUCUUUCAUAAUUGGGUUAAGGCGGCGUUGAGCAUCAACUGUUAGCUUUACGUCGUCUUCCAUUAAUAUUCUGUGCAUACAUAGUGCUGGGCUGAUUCCCUUGAUAUCCGCAAUUGUCCAUCCCAAUGCAUCUUGAUAUUUUCUCAAUACACGAAGCAAUUUAUCCUCCUCUGUCGGUGUUAAAUCUGCUGCAAUUAUAACUGGCAACGUCUCUGCAGCUCCUAAAUAUGCAUAUUUAAGAUGUUGUGGUAAAGGCUUCAGCUCCAAUUUUGGCGGCUGCUGUCUGGAUGGUUUAAGGGGCUGUUUGGGCUCCCCUAAACUCUCAUACACAUUCCUAAAUUUUGGCAACACUGUGGGCAGACUGUUCAAUGCGUGUAUGUACUCAUGAACACCUUCAUCUUCAAAAUCUGUCUCAAAUGCCCCCUGUAAAACAUGCAACAACUGAUCUGUUUUUGAAUUAGCAUAAAAUCUGUCCUGCACCAUACUGUCUACCAUGUCAAUACGCAUACAAUCUAGCUGUUCAGCAGGACGUUUUGUUGCCGCAAACAAAUUAAACACCACAGAUUGGUCCUGAACCCGUAAAGUCAAUGUUCCAGCUUCCACAUCAAUUAAGGUCCUAGCUGUUGCCAUAAACGGCCUCCCCAAAAUAAUAGGUGUUUGAAGGUCUUCAUCCAUGUCUAAAACCACAAAAUCUGCCGGUAGAUAAAGAUUAUCAACCUUAAUAAUUAGAUCUUCAAUAACACCUCUUGGAUAAGUGAUUGAACGGUCAGCUAGUUGAAGUAUAAUUGAUAUAGGCUUUAAAUCUCCUUGCCCCAAUCGCUGAAAAACAGAAAAAGGCAUCAAAUUAAUACUUGCACCCAAAUCAAUUAAAGCACUCUUAAAAUUAGAAUUUCCAAUAGUGCAAGAAAUAUUAAAACUCCCUGGAUCUUUUUUCUUAGGUGGUAGUUUGUGUAGCAAAACUGCAUUGCACUGUUCUGUCAAAAUAACUUUUUCCAAAUCUGAAAGCUUCUUUUUGCUGCUGCAAACUUCCUUCAAAAAUUUGGCAUAUGAUGGAAUUUUCUUGAUUGCAUCCAGUAAGGGAAUGUUGAUUUGAACCUUGGAUAAUGUCUGCAUAAAGUCCUUGAGUUGCUGAUCUUUUACUUUUGGCUUCAAACGUUCUGGAUAUGGAAUUGGGGCCUCAUAAACACGCUCAGGUACUUGUUUUGGAACAGUUUCUAGAUCUGCCAUAUUAUGUUUUUCUACAGGUUUGGCAGGUUCUGCUGCUGCAAAAUUUUCUGUAUGAUCCUCCACUGCAUGCUGCUCCUUUUCAAUGUUAUUUUCACGAUUGUCAUAGCUUUUUCCACAUCGUAAAGUCCGAACAACUUUGCAAUCUUCACGUCCAUUUGGAUUAGGAAUUGUUUGACUAGGAAAUUUGCCCUUUUAUCUGUCUGAAAUCUGUGUAGCUAGUUGUCCAAAUUGUUGCUCCAAACUUUUAAUAGAUGCUUCAACAUUUUGAAAUCUUUGAUUGUUGCCCUCGAUGAAUGAUUGAGUUGUUGCUGCCAGUUUAGCAAGUUGAUCUUCCAUAGAUGGUUUGGAGGGAACAAAAGGUUUUUGUGCAUGCUGGAAUGGUUUGGCAUUAGUCUGAUUGUCACCCCAUUUGAAAUUAGGGUGAUCCCUCCAUCCAGGAUUGUAAUGAGUUGCAUAUGCAUCAUUCCUAGGCCUUUGAUAGCUGUUCAUCAUAUUGACAUGUUGUUCAACAAGCUCUGGGUAAGAGUCUCUAUGUGGGCAGCCCAUUAUGUCAUGUGUAGCCAUACUGCAUAUAGUGCAAACUGUUGAUGUAGGUGGCUGCUGUGUAGAACUUGCUAUAUGUUGUAGAAGCAUAUCAAACUUUGCAUCAAUUUUCUUAUCCAUUUUUUCCAUUUGUGCAGACAUGUUGGGAGAACCUACUGAUAACUCAAAAAUGCCCCUUUUCUGUGAAUGUUCUGCUGCCCAUUGCUGAGAUUCUGUAGCCAUCAUAUCAAACAGUUCAAAUGCCUCUCUUGCAGAUUUAUUUGAUAAUGAUCCUCCAGCUGAUGCAUUCACAUGGCUCUUAGAUGUAGGAUUAAGCCCAUCAAAGAAAAUAUUCAUUUGUGUAUCUGAAUCAAUUUUAACAUGUGGACACUUUAUGUACAUCUUUGUAUAUCUCUCCCACGCUUCAUGAAACUCUUCAUUAGGCUUCUGUGUGAAUGUCAAAAUCUCCCUCUUGUAAUUCAAUGUCUUGGAUGCUGGAUAAUAUUUGUUCAGGAAUUUUGUGUGUAACUGCUGCCAAGUAGUAAUGCUAUUAGCUGGUAGAGUGAAUAACCAAGUUUCUGCCUUGUCCUUCAAAGUGAAAGGGAAAAGACGUAACUUAAUAGCCUCAGCAGAAAAACCCCUAAUCAAAAUAUUCUUGCAACCCACAAUAAAUUUUGCAAUAUGUAUGUUUGCAUCUUCAUUAGGCAAUCCCCGAAAAGUAGGUAGAAUUUCAAGCAUAUGGUGCCUGAUCUCGAACGAAUCACCCUCUUCUUGUUCAGGAUACACAAUGCAAUUGGGAACAUCAGUGGCACGGGCUUCCAAUGACUCCCUGAGUGGUCUACCUGCCGCAGGUAAUUCUAACGCCAUGUUACUCUCGUUUGCAAACAGAUCCUGCAGAAAAGUGCCCUGCAGUGAACAGUCCCAAGCCCAAGUAACUUCUCUCCGCUGUCUAUGCAGUGUGCGCUCUGGUUCUGGAUCAAAUUGUACAAUCUGUGUAGUUCCUGAUCUGGUCUGGACCAUGCAGUCUGCAAAAUCUGCAACAGAAACAAAAUUGUUCAAUUUCAAUUUUUUUUUUUGGACGAAAAUUAAAAAUAAAAUAAAAUGAAAUAAAUCAGAAAAAGGUUAAACAAAAAUUGUCUAAAAUAGUCCCCAGCAACGGCGCCAAUUUCUUGAUAGGAUUUUUAGUACUUGUGCAAACAGUGUUAAAAAUCACAUAAAAUACUUGCAAGAAUACAAGGCUAUUGUAGUAUAGAUGCUCAUGCAAGGUCGUUUUCCUCAAGGACUAAUUAGCAAUUUAUGUAAAAACAAAUUUCAAUUACUACUUAAAAUAAAAAGUCAAGAAAGAUGAUUAUAAAUUUGGUGGAUUCUAAAAAACAAAUAUUAAACAAAAACAAAUACGAUUGAAAGAAAGAGUUUUGAAUAUCAAUUUAUAAAACCACUAGGGUUUCACCAUCACCUAGCAAUCCUAUGAACUUUUACCAAUUACUUAUGAUUUGCACAUGCCACUUUGAAGGUUAGGUUUUCCUAUUGUAUAUUCUACUUGGAACCUCCAACACAGAACGUAUAUCCAACAUGCAACCCGUCCGGACGUUCGGAUCAAAUCUGAACAUGAAAGACUCAUUAAGUUUUGUGAAAACCCUUUGAAAAACCAUGCAACCCUUAAGACGUGGUGUUCAUCUUAAGUGAAAUUACAAUUAUUAAUCACAAGAAGCUAGCAUAAAUUUCAGGGAACCUUCCGACCAAAAUUGCAUCCAAUUACUUUUCUAAAGAUCCUAAUGGUGAUCAGGCAUUAAGACAAUUAGAUAGUUUAAAAUAGUGAUUAACAAUUCAAAAUACGCAUGCACUCAUCAUAAGCAAUUAAAUAAAAAUCACAUAUUCAUGCUAAGGUUCAAGGCUUCACCCUAGCAAAAGAAAUUUAGUUACGCAUACUCAUAAUUGAAAUCCAAGAAAAUAUCAUUAAGAAGAAAAGAACGAAAACACCUGAAAGUUGUGAAAACCCAAAACCCUAGCAAUUGCUCUCUACAAUGCAAAGUUCAAAAAUAAUUAAGAAGUCCUAAAUUCCUUGUGAGAAAGAGCUUAAAUAUCCCUUAAAACCUAGCUGCCAAUGUACAGCUUUUCUAUCCCUACAAGGAAACUAAUUAAAGUAAAAUAAUACUAGGAAAUAAAGUCCAAAUUGGAAUAGGAGAAUUUGCCCAAAAUCAGCCCAGCCACGUUUUGGCCCCAAAUCUCCUCCAAAUCUGGCCCAAGAUAGCUUUUUUUAAAGACACUACUACAAAAAGUGAAAAAGACGACCAGAAAACAACGACGGUCUAAGUGAAAACCGUCGUGGUUUUUAAAAAGACGACGGUUCUAAAAACACCGUCGUGUAAUACCACCUUAGACAACUAAAAAAUGGAGAUUCAAAUGGCUGUUCAAAAACAACGACGUACCUAAUUAAACAACCGACGUCUAUUUGAAACAGAUUUCCGCAGUGUAAAAUCAAAGCAAACAAAGAACGGCAGAAGUUAUGAAUAGACCGACGUAGAAAGUAAAGACGACGAUUUCAAUAAAAGCCGCCGUUUUUACUCAUAAAAUAACACGACGAGGUUUUCGUAUAAGACGCCGUAUAAUUACAAACAAAUCCACGGCUUUAAAAUACAAAAAUAAUCUUAACAGAUGACACAGAUUUGCAAUCAGAAGAGACAAUUUUUGAAGUUGAUCAACGUCGUUGAAAAUUGCAAUCAGAAGAGACAUUUUCAACGACGGNNNNNNNNNNNNNNNNNNNNNNNNNNNNNNNNNNNNNNNNNNNNNNNNNNNNNNNNNNNNNNNNNNNNNNNNNNNNNNNNNNNNNNNNNNNNNNNNNNNNGGAAGUUGAUCAACGUCGUUGAAAAUUUGCAAUCAGAGAGACAAUUUUCAACGACGGUUAUAUUAUACCUAACGACGUUUAAAAACAAAUCAACGUCGCUCAACAAAUAUAUUACGUCGUCUUAGUCUUACUUAAGACGACGAAAAACGACGACAGUAGUAAAAAAACAGUCGUUGUUUUUAUAUUCUUAUUUUAUUUAAAUCUGUCGUGUUAGUUAAAAACGACGGCAUAACAAAAAACCGUCGUUUUGUUUCAAACUGAAUUAAUUUAAAAUUUCUUCAGGAAAGCAAAAUCUAUUUAUAAUUUCCUCGGGUUAGUAAUAUUGUGUCGUGUUAGUUUACAAAUUCUAGAACAUUAAUUUCCCUCAUUUUAAAUUUUCUCGGGAAAGAAAAAUCUAUUUAUCACGCUUUGUAAUUGAAAACUAAAACUGAAAGAAUUCUGGAAAAAAAACUCUAUUUAUAAUUUAAAAAUAAAAUGCACGUCGGUUGUAGUACACUUAACGACGUUUAACAAAAUAAUCUACGUCGGUAAUUAUAAAUCUACCGCCAUCUUACCCUAAUAUAGACGACGAGAAAAGACGACGGUAGAACAGAAAACCGCCGUUGUUUCAGUUUCUUUAACAGUUUGGUCCUUUAUCUUUCUGCAGGACUUGUAUAGUUCAAAGCAUUGACAAUGUCUUCAUCAUAUCUCCCAGCAACUACUGAUUCGAUUGCUCAUGCUUUAGAGGCCAUCUGAAGCCAUUUCUAUUCUUUAUCGCAUUCUUGAAACCCAUCUUCUUCUUCUGAAGCUCUACGGAUAAAGGAAGAGGCUAUCACAAAUCUGACGGAUCUUCUUAGUCAAAAAAAUCAAGCAGAGGAUCAGGCACAUCUGAUCUUCAGAUUUCCCUGAGAAGCGAACUUUCCUUCGACAGCGAGUGGAGGCCAGGCUUGCAUCUCUUUUGAUGGAAAGCAAGGAGUAUUCAGAAGCACUAAGUGUCCUAUCAGGCUUGAUCAAGGAAGUGAGAAGGCUAGUUGACAAGCUUCUUCUUGUCAACUAGCCUAAAUGUAAGCUCAAUUUCUCUUUGAGAAAGACCUCCAAAUUAUUGUCUUUGAGAUGUGAGAGACAGUGUCUCUGAGAGAGGAAGAACUUGGAACCCUAAAUGUAAACCGCGAAAAUGAAUGAAAGCGACAAAUUUAUAGAAUAAAUUUUUAAAACCAACGGCGGUACUUACCAAGAAACCGCCGUUUCAAUUGUAAAAUCAACGUCGGUAUUACUGACGUAUAUUACAGAACUCCACGUCGGUACAUUAAUAAUCACGACGUCUUAAAUAAUCUACCAUGACGCGAGUUAUUACUUAUGUACUUUAAUUUUUGAGUUUACUACGACGGUACCUACAACACUACUGUCGUAUUUAUUUACCACGUCCGAAGUUAAAUUUACCGACGUAUUUUGUACUUUAUACGUCGUAGUUAUAUGUAACCGCCGUAUUAUUUUUUUGAAAUGGUUUUAUAUGUAAGCAACUUUUCGUCUACUUGACUUACACAUUAGUUGUUUUUAUAUUCUUAUUUUAUUUAAAUCUGUCAUCCAAAAAAGAAACUUUACAUAUUGCAGAAUAUUAAUUUCCUUCGUUUUAAAUUUCCUCCGGAAAAAAAACUCUAUUUAUAACGCACUGUAAUUGAAAAAUAAACUGAAAGGUCACGGGAAAAAAAAUUCUAUUCAUAAUUUAAAAAUUAAAAUCCACGUCGGUUAUAUUAAACCUAACGACGUUAAAUGAAAUGAUUCCACGUCGAACGAAAAAUAUUUCGUCGUGUUAGUUAAAAACGACGUAGUUAAAUGUAACCGCCGUAUUAUUUUUUUGAAAUGGUUUUAUAUGUAAGCAACUUUUGGACUUACACAUGCACUGUUUCCAAACCCGAUUAAAAAUUUCAAUCUCCAGAGAAACCUUUUCGUCUUUUUUCCUUGUCAGAGCAUUAUCAGAGUUUCUCAUCGUCUUCCUCUCGUCUUCUUCGUCGUCCUUGAACUUAAACAUCGAUCAUCUUCCUCUUGCUUUCAUUGCACGCAAAAGGUAAGCUUUCAUUUUCACUAUUUUGGUUACUGUUUUGCAUGCUCAUACGUUUUUUGUUUGAAAAAUCUUUUUACCUUUUUUCUGGCCAAAAUCAUUUUACUUCUUUCCAAGUUUGAUAAAAUAUACAGACAAAAAGGGAAAGUUUCCAACUUUGAAGACAACUACCUCAACUAAAUGAGACGACGGUAGACCACGACGGUUCGUCAGUUGUUCUAGCGUCGUCUGAAAAUUGACAAAGUUGUUUUUAAAAUAAUAGUCUUUUUUUAUAUGCUUGUUUAAUUGCAGGUUUGAUUUCUCUGAACAAUGGUUUUUGUUUUUCCCUUAUUUGAUAAAAUAUAAAGAAAAAGAAACUAGGGUUGGUAUCUAAUAUAGACGACAAAAUAUCUUAUUGUUUUACGUCGUGUGAAUGUUAAUACCACGACGGUGUAUUACUAUUAACGUCGUAUGAACAUAAAUACCACGACGUUAUAUAAAUAAUAGUUUACCACGACGGUGUAUUACUAUUGACGUCGUGUGAACAUAUAUACCACGACGUUAUAUAAAUAAUGGUUUUAAACAUUUAUUACGUCUGAGAUUAUUUCAUUGCGUCGUCUAAAAUCAUAUCAUACGUCGUAUUUUUUUAAUACCGUCGUUUGUGUUCUUAAUGUUUUCCUGAAAUAUUUUCACUUGCAGUUUUGUCUGUUAAAAUGGUUUCUCAACAACAAACUAAGGAUUCUGGCUCCAAGAAGCUUGGAAUGGUAGCUCCUCAAGACAAGUCUUCGAAGGAGAUGAAGUCUUCGAAGAAGAUGAAGUUUGCUUCAUCAUCUGCUGAGACAGAACCAACCAGCCAGACAACAAUCUCUGAUGAUUCAAAGACUGGUCGAGGCAUGAGCACAAUGCCUCGUGUUGUGAAGAGAAAGCUUCAGAAACUGAGGCCAAUUGUUGAGUACAAUAAAAGGGGGAAAGGUGUUGGCCAAGCACAUAUUGAGAUGCAGUCGUAUAUUGGUGUGUUGGCACGCUCCAGGAUCCCACUUGUGGACAAGAAAUGGUCCCAAAUCCCCAAGGAUAUAAAGGAGCAGAUUUGGGAAGCAGUUGACAUGGCUUUUGUCGUAGGCCAAGGGGGCAAGACCUCUGUUUUAGCUUCUGCUUCCAAGAAAUGGAAGGAUUUCAAGUCUACACUAACGAGGCAUUAUAUCCUUCCAUACACCAAUGACAGGGAGAAAUUAAGCCAACCCCCUGAAACAUAUAAAUUCAUAGAGAAAGCACAAUGGGAUGCCUUUGUAGCUUCAAGGCUAUCCAAAGAUUUUGAGUCUGUGCAUUCUCAACAUGCACAGAUUAGGGAGAAACUCGAGUACAAUCAUCGAUUGUCUCGAAAAGGAUAUGCUGGAUUGGAGGAUCAAUUGGAGGAAACCAUGCCUGGGGUAGAAAUUGAUCGAUCUACCUUAUGGAAGAGAGCUAGACAGGACAAACAUGGUAACAUCCCUGAUCCAAAGGUGGCAGAGAAAGCAAAAUUAAUUGUAAGCCUACUAUCACUCUGUUUUAAAUUUUUAUUAAACUGUGAAUUAUUCUUAUUACGUCGUAUGUUAUAUUUUUCGUCGUGUGAAUGAUAUUACCACGUCGAAAAGUUUUUAAAAACGUCGUUAAAGGUCUAAAUAGGAAUCACUACUAAUUUUCUGUAAUUAUAGCAUAAGACGUCGGUGGUUCAUUUUCGCGUCGUUUGAAUGAUAUUACCACGUCGAAACUUUUUUAAAAACGUCAUUAACGGUCUAAAUAGGAAUCACUACUCUGUUUUCUUUAAUUAUAGCAUAAGACGUCGGUUGUUUAUUCAUUUCGUCGUUUUAAAUAAAUAACCACGUCGGUAUAACUACCGUCGUGAUAAGUUAUAAUAACGUCGGUUUAUACGUUAUUGCGUCGUGUGAAAUUAUAUAAUACGUCGUUUGUACAUAAAUAACCGUCGUGUGUUUUUUUGUUUAUCUUUGUUUUAGGAUGAAUUGCAGAAACAAGUCUCGGAAGGCAAAGUCAGAGUAGAUGGCAGCAAUGAUGUGCUGACCAUGGCUUUGGGCCCCGAGCAUCCAGGCAGAGUGAGGGGAGUUGGUGCUGGUGUUUCCCCAAGGCAAUAUUUCAAUUUGCCCAAACCACAGAGGGUGAGCUUUGACGACCAUUUGAAGGACAGUUUAAGAGUUCUCCUUCAAGAAGAGACUAAAAAGAUGGAGGCUAAGGCAAGGGAAGAGGCCUUAAGAAUGGAGGCUAGGACAAAACAAUUGGUAGAGGCUGAGAGGGAGCAUUUCCUGAGUCAGCUUUCCCAAUUAAUUCCCAAUUUUGAUCCAAGCAUGCUUAAACCAAGAAUUAGCCAAAGCCCCAAAAAUCCAAUGUCUGACAAAGCUAGCUGCUCUGGAGGUGAUGUGAGAUCCCUACAUUUGGAGGAUGAUACUGCCAAAAUGGGGAAACAUCAGCCAGAUGAAGAGAAGGAAGAAGAAAAAAGAGAUGAAGAGAAGGAAGAAGAAAAGGAGAAAGAAGAUGAAGAAAAGCAUGACGACAAGGUAUGUUCACAUAACUUUGCCUUUUUUAUUUGUUUUUCAAAAUUUCAGACGUCGAUAUUUUUAUUUAAUCCGUCGUUUGUUUAAAACUUAGACGGCGGACUUUUUUUAAGACGUAAUAAAAUAUUUAAACGACGGUUUUUGCACCGUCGUUUAAAUGGUUUCAGACGACGCUUUAUUCAUAAAAUCGUCGUCUUUAUUGAAUUACCACGACAGUUUUUUCACCGUCGUUUAAAUACUUUUAAGACGACGUUUUAUUCCUUAAACCGUCGUCUUUGUUGAAUUACCACGUCAUUUUUUUUAUUUCUUUAAACAGGUUAUUGAAGUUGGUGCUUAUUCAAAUAUGGAGGCGCCAUCUUCUUUAAAAACCCUUUGUCGUUUUGUGGAAACGACACUCCUGCCUGAGGAUAAGACACUCCAAUUUACAAUUGAUAAGGAGGUGUUUGGUGGUGAGCGCGAUACCUUCCUCCUGCCUGAAGAUAUUACACAAUUUGCAGGCAUGGAAGAAAUUGGAGCUACUGUAUUGGCUGUAUAUAUGAGGUUUGUACUUCUAAAAUAAUACCUCGUUGGUUUAUAUAUUGCGUCGUCUUAACUAACUAACCACGUCGUCUUAACUAACUACCGUCGUGAUAAAUAUAUUAUAACGUCCUCAUCUAUUUCAGUACGUCGUGUGAAAUAUUAUAAUACGUCGUUUUUUUAUACAUAACCGUCGUGUUUGUUUGUGCUGACUUGUUUAUAUUAUUUUAUGUAUUUAGGUACUUACACGAUGUUUUGAAACAAGCCAAUAUGUGCAGCAUGGUUGGCUUUAUCGACCCUGCUACAGUUAGUGCCAACUCUGGCACAAUAACUGAAAGAUCACGACUGGUAGCAGCUCGACUUCAGAAGACAGACGGUGAACAGAUUUUCAUGAUGCCUUACAAUCCAGGGUUAGUCUCCUUAGGAUUUUGUUUUUAUGAUUUUCAAUAAAUGACAGCUUAUAAACUAACCACGUCGGUGUUUUAUUUUAUUUAGUCGUUUGAAACUACUAACCACGUCGGUAUUUAUUUAUCGUCGUGAUAAAUAUAUAAUGUCGUCGUUAUCUACUUUAUUUCGUCGUGUGAAAUACUAUAAUACGUCGUUUUUGUAAAUAACCGUCGUUUUUAUAUUCAUUUUGUGCAGCCGUCAUUGGAUCUUGCUGAUUGUAAGAGCAAAGAAGGAGACCGUCUAUUUUCUGGAUCCUCUGCCAGGUCAUCGUGUGGUCGACGAAGAGGCGAAAAACAUCGUGAACAGUGCUUUAAAAAUAUAUAAUACCCACAUAGCCCGAGCACGACGUAAAAAUGUAAUUUGGAAAACUCUCUCAGGCACACCAAAGCAACCCAGCAAUGUCGAAUGCGGGUACUAUGUGAUGCGCUUCAUGAGGGACAUCAUCAUGGAUCCUUCCUUGGGGUUUGAGAAUAAGGUAAGAAGAAAUUACCUUCAUACAUUUCACGUCGUUUUUUGUAUUAUCAACGACGGUCAUGUAAAAUUAACGUCGUUGAAUGGAUAUACUACGUCGGUUAUGAAAAAUAUCGUCGUCUGUGAUUGAAUUUCUUUUUAUUUAUAAACCCUAAUAGUCAUUGUUUAUGCAGUAUGCCAAGGGAAACCAGGAAGCUUCAUACCCCCAAGAAGCCAUUGAUGAAGUCCGGAAUGAAUGGGCAGAGUUUGUUUUCCAAAUUAUUAAACAGGGCAAUUAUUGAACACUUGAUAUUUAUGUAUAAUGUACAAAUUUUCUCUAUAAUAUGUAAUGUAAAAAUUUGUUGAGGUUUUCUUAAAUUAAAAAAAAAACAAACAUACAAAUUGCUUAACCGACGUGUAAUACUUUUCCAACGACCUAAUAAAGUCAAAAACCGUCGUAUUUUGUUGUUUCGUGUUUUAAACAAAUACGACGUAAAAAUAUAGUUAGACGACGUUCUUUGAACAAUUGAGUCGUUUAUGGUUUACAACAUCUUCAAUUUCUUAAGGGUUCAGGGUAUCAUCGACGACGUUUAUGUAACGACAGCGGUUAAGUCGUGGAAUAUAUAUUUUACGUCGUAUAGUUAAAUAGCCGCCAUGGUUUCUCAUUUUAACGACGUCAUUUUAACGACUUAGUAGUCUAUUACAAUUUACAACGUCUACAAUUUAUUAACACCGACGUGGUUUGUUGUUGUGGUAAGAAUAUUUUAUUAUUUUUAUAUCAAAAUAUUCAAAAUAAAUUUAAAAUAAAUCAGAAAAUUGAAAAGUCAUCUCCUAUGAAGUCAUUGAUAUAUUUUCUUCCACAUAAACCUUGAAAAAAUUCAUUUUGAAUAACAAAAAUUUAAAAUGACCAUCCAAAACAAAAUUGUUUUGAUGAGUCAUAAAAUCACUUCUAGUUUUAUGGUUUAGGGUUUAGAGUCUAGGGUUUAGAGAUUAGGGUUGUUAUUUGUUGGGGUUUAUUUUUAAAGUAUAAUUUUUGGGUAGUCUAGGGUAUAUGUUAGGCUUUAAAACCAUAAAACCUUUUAUAAACUUAAUUUUUUAAAUUGUAUAAUUUAGUUUUAUGGGUUUAGGGUAUUAAUUUUUAACGACGGUGGUUGCGUCGUGGAAUACAUAUUUUACGUCGUACAGAAAAACAUACGACAUGGUUUACGCUUUAAACGACGUCAUUUUAAUAUGUAAGUCGGUUUAUAUAAUUUACAACGUCUUUAAUUUCUUAACACCGACGUGGUUUUUCAGUCGUCGUUAUAUAAAAAAUUCAAAAUAAAUUUAAAAUUAAUCCGAAAAAUGAAGCUUCAAAAUGAACGGCCUUACGUUCUUAAUCCGAAAAAUGAAGUUUCCGUCGUGGAAUAUUAAAUUUACGUCGGUACUUGUAGAACUUUCGCCUUGGUUUUUCUUUCGACGUUUUAAAACGCGCGAGCUCUAAAAAUUUUCGCGUGACCUAAAUUUUUUUAGAUUUGGCUCUUAUUCUUAUACUUCGAACCCUGAAACCUAAAAUUUUCAGAUUUCGCUCUCUCACUUCUGCUCUAAUUAAAAGUUGCACUCUCCAGGCUUCGUCGAAUCUGUGAGCUCGUCCAACCUGUAAGUACAAACCCUAUCUUCCCCUUGUAAAUUCAUUGAAUGAUAUUAGGUUGUUUUGUUAAAGGGUUUUAUGUGUAUGCUUUGCGAUCUGUUAAUAAUGUGCUUAUAGGUAUGGGUUCAUAGAUUUUCUGUUUAAUGGGUUCAUGGAUUACAUUAUCUGUUAUGUUGAAUUGGGAAUGGAUUUAAUUUUGUCGUAUCUUUUAAUCACCCUAUGUUAUGUUGAAUUGGGAAUGGAUUUAUUGUUUUCAUGCUUGGUUUCAUGUAUAUGUUGGUUUCUUGCUUGGUUUCAUAUAUAUGUUGUGUUCUUAAUGGGUUUUGUGUUCUUGAAAAUAAACUGAGACACGACAAAUUUUAAGGCAUACGACGACGAUUACACGACGGUUUUUUUAAACUACCGUCGUUGUAUUACUUAUACAAGACGGUUUUUUCAUAAACCGUCGUUUGUAUUACUUAUAAUAGACGACGUCUGUUGAAAAUCCGUCGUCUAUAUAUGCCAAAUACGUCUGUUUUUGUUUAAAACCCGUCAUCUCUGUUGUGUAUUACUUGCGAUUAGAUCAUUGUAUAAUCUGCUAUAGUGAUGGUCAUUGCCUGUAUUUUCACUUUAUUAUAGAUAAUAGGUUAUAGUGUCGGAGAUGGAUAAGUCAUGGAUGCACUCGGAUAGAAGAUCGAAGGCAUAUGAAUUUGGGGUGGAAGCAUUUUUGAACUUUGCUUGAGAAGUACUUUCCCCCUUCAUUCUUUGAUAUCAUGGUUCAUCUAGUAGUACAUCUUGUCAGAGAAGUUCGUCUAUGUGGGCCAGUAUAUUUUAGGUGGAUGUAUCCGUUUGAAAGAUAUAUGAAAGUGCUGAAGGGGUAUGUUCAGAAUCGUACUCGUCCCGAAGGUUGCAUUGCUGAGCGGUAUAUAGCUUAAGAAGCGGUAGAGUUUUGUACUCAGCAUUUAUCUGAUGUUAGUACAGUUGGAGUGCCUUCAAGCCAAAAGAUGGGACUUUCAAAGCCAUUAUCAGGUUGCACAGUGAGCGUAGUUGAUCAGGACCUGUUGAAUCAAGCACAUCUAUAUGUCUUGGAGAAUACGGAGGAAGUCCUACCUUAUAUCGAGUACGUAUGAGCUUUAUUCUUUAAGUUUCCAUUUUAAAUUAUUUCUUAUGUUUAUCUUCUAUAUUUGGGACCGUAAUGCUUGAAUUUUUCGUGUCAUGUAGGCAACAUAUGAUCCACAUCAAGAUUGCUUAUCCAAAAUUUAGAAAGAGAACAAAGUGGCUGCAGGAUAAGCACAAUAGCACUUUCAUUCAAUGGCUACGCUUCAAGGUAUAUGUUGUUGAAUAACAUAUUUCUCUUUUAAUUUUCUUCUUAUUUAUAUGUUAGAUUGAAUUAAGAUAUGAUUAAUUUGCAGGUUCAAAGUGAACUUGAGGAAGACAAUCAUGGCGUAUCAGAAAAUUUAAGGUGGCUAGCAGCUGGUCCAAACAUGUCAGUGCCAUUAUAUAGGAGCUAUCUUAUUAAAGGUAUUAAAUUCAAUAUCAAGGCACAAGAUGAUGUGCGGACAACUCAAAAUAGUGGAGUUUAUUUACUUGCACAUACCAUGCAAGUUGCUAGUGCCAAGGAUAAAAACCCAAUUCUCUCAAACAUGGGUUUCUAUGGUGUCAUUCAAGAAAUUUGGGACCUUGACUACCAAAAGUUUACAAUCCCAGUCUUUAGGUGUGAUUGGAUAGAUAGUUCUGGUCUUGUAGUCGACGAACUUGGAUUUACCCUUGUAGAUUUGAGUAAAAUUGGACAUAGGAAUGACCAAUUUGUUUUGGCUUCUCAAGUCAAACAAAUAUUUUUUGUUGACGACCCGAUGCAUCGUGGUUGGUCGGUAGUGUUAUCAAUGCCUAAUAGAGAAUAUAAUGAUGUUAUUGGUGAUGAAGUCUUAGGUGAUGUGAUAAUUGAGUGUGAGCCAUUUACUAGAGGGAUGCCAAAUGUUGACACAUUUGAUGAACUGGUGGGUGAGUUAGGCGGUCAAAAUAUUCGAGAUGGGUGUGAAGAUAUAUGGAUUGAAUGAUGCUUAUGUAAUUGGCAGUGUAUGACAUUAAUUUUGUAAUAUAUUGUAAUGUGAUUUCUUCACUUUCUACGUUCAAAUAAAACACGACGUUAUUGUGAACCAGUUAUUCAGCAUAUUUACCGACGUCUUAAAGCAACGUAACAAUGAAGAACCACGACGCUAUUGUGAAGCAAUUAUUCAGGAUAUCACGUCGGGGAAGGAUUAAGAACCGCCAUGUAAUUCAAAAUAACACGACUCCAAUCCCAUAAUACCGACGUCUAAAAAACGAGAUAUAUAAUCUGAACGUUAAAAAAUACGACGUCAUCAUACAUUUUCCACAUCGCAAGUUCUUUUAUAAACGAAGAGGAACGAAAUGAAUUCCGACGGAAAUUCAUUAUAACCGCCGUCUAAUAACAAUUAAACGACGUUAUUUGUAAUACGGCUCUCAUCAUAAUCAACGCCGUCUAUAUGUUCUGUAAUACGGCUCUCAUUUAUUUGGAACCGACGUUGUUUAGAAGUUCAACGUCGUCUAUAUUAUUAAGUGCGUCGUGAGUAAUGAUGAUAGAUAUAAAUACAACGUCGACUAUAUAAAUGCCACUGACGUUGUUUCGCAUUUCAACGUCAACUGUAUAAAUACAUACGUCGUAAAUAAUGACACUGACAACUAUUUCCACGUCAUCUUUUUUAGAAAAAUCGAAGUGGAAAAUUUAUUUCACGACGGUUGUUUGUAAAUAAGAGACGUAGUAUAUUUCAAUAACGUCGUCUUCUCAUGUAUUUAAAGACGUCAUAUUUUUUCUUGUCGUGUAAAUUAUAUUUAACGGCGUAGUAUUUUAGUUGUCGUCGUUGUAUGUAUAUCUUGCGGCCUUGUUCUUUUAACAUGUGUCAUAUUUUUCCUUUUUAACGACGGUGAUUUGUUUGAGUUGGUCGUCUAUUCUCAUCCUCGACUAUUUUCUAGAACUUUAGCAGACUAAACACGUCUGUUUUUAUUGUUUUCCGACGUUGUUUUAUUUAACAACGUCUAAUAUUUAUCGUCGUUGUUUGUUUCUGAAAAUAUGACGUAUAAAUUUUGUAAUACGACUCUCAUAUAUUUGUAACCGACGUUGUUUCGUUUUUCAACGUCUACUCUAUAAAUACAUACGUCGUAAAUAAUGACACUGACAACUAUUUUCACGUCAUCUUUUAUCGAAAAAUCGAAGUGGAAAAUUAAUUUUACGACGGCUGUUUUUAUAUAUGCGACGUAGUAGGUAUCAAUAACGUCGUCUUCUAAUGUAUUUAAAGACGUCAAAUUUUUUAUUGUCGUGAAAAUGAUAUUUAACGGCGUCGUAUUUUUAUUUUCGUCGUUGUAUGUCUAUCUUGCGGCCUUGUUCUCUUAAUAUGUGUCAUAUUUUUCCUUUUUAACGACGGUUUUUUUAGAGAGUUGGUCGUCUAUUCUCAUCCUCGACUGCUUUUUUAGAUCUUUUUGCAGUACAAAGACGUCGUUUUGUAUUUGUUGAUGACGUUGUAUAUUUUAACAACGACGGUGAUUUUGCGUCGUGGUUUAUGAGGGAAAAGAUGACGGUGGAUUCCACGACCAUUGAAAAACCGAAUACACGACGGUGAUUUACCGUCGUCUUUUUGCUUUUUUGUAGUAGUGAGAUAAAAAUGUUCUGAACACUUCUCUAGAAGGCCACGAACCCAUCCGAGGUCAUCUUGGGCUCCAAAAACACAAUAAAAGCCCAACACGUCACUAUUCCAGCACCGCGCACUGCUCAUUUAUUUUAUUGCCAGAAAAUAACCGCUUGGAAGAAAAAUCUGAAAUUUUGAUACGAUCAAGCUAAGUGACUCAAGAACGUCCUCCAACUGGAAUUACUCCAAAAUUCCUCAAUUUGAUUAUGUUUUGCUCCAGAGAGAGUCGAAAGUCCUAUAUUGGAAAUAUAAUUCAAAGUAUCAAAAUUCUUCCAAAAUAUUAACCAAAAUAUACUAAGAAUGAGGUUAAAUAUAUAAUAUAAAAUAUGUCCAUCACCCCACAACAACUAAAGAACCAACAUUUUGUAGAAGGUUUUGUCUAUACCUUUGACUGUAAGUAAAUCUCUUGUAUCUGCUCCUGUGGUUCGGUGAAGUUUCUUUGUGUCCUUUCUGCGGAGUCUCCCAUGCUUGUUCCAUGAAAAUGUUCUAGGAGAAAAUACGGUUGUUUCUUACUAGAUUCAAAUGAUUAAGAAAAAUAAAAACGCAAGAAAAAAGGUAUUUUCUUGAUGGACUUGGUGAUGAAAAAUAUCACUCUCUUUAUAUGUCGUCUUCCUUGGACUUUGAGACCUUGGGUUUCGAUUCUUCUUGAGGAUUGCAUAGGGUUUCUAGGCCCAAGAAUACUUUGAGUUAGUUUUUGCGUUUUGGGCUUUGAGACUUUGAGACUAUAAUGAGUGGAAAGUUAUAAGGGGUAAGUUAUAAGGGGGUCACUUUAUAGCCAUCAGAUUAAUCCAAGGGCUGGGGAGAAUUGAGAUAAAGUUUCACAAUUGGGUAGGUGAGGAACCCAAACCCGAAUUGAAUAUCCAGCACGUCCAAAAAGAAGAAGAAGAGGGAAACACGUCCGAAAAAGAAGAAGAAGAGGCAAGUUCGAAGUUUGAACAGAAAGAACUCAUCUCUCUAAAACACAGAGGUCUGAGAUACCCAAUGAAGGCAACGGCUAACGACAGUUGAAGGCAACAAUUCGCCACUCCGUUCUCCAGACCCCGAAAAAGUAUUUAUUUGGAGUAGAAGGGGCAAAGGUGUGGAUUCCAAAUCAGUGAAGGGGCGAAGCAGUGGAAGGGGAAGGGGAGAAGCUGUAUUCGUUGGAAGUGUAGGUUCCAUUUGUGGAGCAAAGAAAUAGAAAGACCCCACACAGACACCUUGCAAUAACCAGCAUUUGGUGAGUAAUUUAUGGAAUUUGAGUUUAGGGUUAGAGUAAUGGUUUUCCCCAAUUUGUACCAUAAAUUUUGUUGGAUUUGGCAUCUCUUCGUUGUGCUUCAGUUGCAUGUUAAUUUUUGCUUAGGUAUAUGUUAAAAAAGGAAUGAAAAUUAAGUCAAUAACAAGUGAAUAACAUGUCAAUAAUGAUAUGAAUAAGAUAAUGGUGUUGAAUUGGAGGAGGCCCUCAAAACCUUCCACAUUUGAAGCAGUGCAUAGUGCAGAUUAAGAAGAGGCGCUAGAAUAUAUAUAUAUAUUUUAUGAAGUAAAUAUGAUUUCCUUUGUUACUAAAUUUGCCUGAGAAACAUUUGAACAGAUAAUAAUAAACUCAUGAAUAGAACUGCAAAGCAUUUGAUGAGCAAUGUAAGGAAUUUAAGUUUAGGGUUAGAGUAAUGGCAUCUCUUAUUUGUGCUUCAAUUGCAUGUUAAUUUUUGCUUGGGUAUAUGUUAAAAAAUGAAUGAAAAUAAAGUCAAUCACAUGUCAAUAACAUCUCAAUAACAUGUCAAUAACAUGUCAGUAAUGAUAUGAAUAAGAUAAUUGUGUUAAAUUGGAGGAGGCGCUCAAAACCUUCACAUUUGAAGCAGUGCAGAGUGAAGAGUACCUCUCUGGCACUAGAAUUUAUAUAUUUUGUGAAAUAAAUAUUAUUUCAUUUGUUACUAAAUUUGCCUAUGAGAAAUGAGAACAGAUAAUAAUAAACUCAUGAAUAAAAGUGCAAAGCAUUUGAAAUGAAGGUUGAUCUAUGACGAUUGUGGGUGACUGAAGAAAAAGGUAGAAAGAAAGAAGGAUGUGGCAAUUGCUUAGCAAGCAGAUAGCAGAGUACAUGCUUUGCUUUGCUUCCUUCCACUAUAUUUCUUAUUUAUUUAUUUUGGGUUGUGUAUGAGAUGACAAUAAUUGUCAUGUGUGUGAAGUGCAGAACUUGCCUACAUUGCACUCACACGAGUAUGGAUGCAUAAAUAAAACACGUGAAAUUGUUUGUAAUUCACAUAAUCAUUGCAUUAACAGGUAUUUGCACAAAAAUUGUCAUAUUGCUUUGAUGAUGUUAAAGGCUGUGAUGAGUAAUCCCUAUGCUCAUGUACUUUGUAAAAGUUGUAAUGUGCCUGGUUGACUAGUUGUGAUUGUGCAAAUACGUGGUAGUAUAUAUGUUCACGUUAUUUCACAUUGUAUUUGAGGAAAUGGGAUCCAACGUGGAGCUGGUAUGGCCAGAGGCAGAGGUAUAUUCGUCACGGGUGAACAACUGCUCACAUGCAAAUUCAUCUCUAGCUGCAAUUCGAGCGAAGUUGAGUGCGGAACAAUUAGAACAAUUCAAGACAUCAUGCUUUGGCCAUCUUCUGAAUAUAGAUAAGAUUCAGUUUAGCGGGCAGAUUGUGCAUGGGGUUGUGUUGCGUAGAGUAGCGGGGCAGGGUGUGAAAGACUUGGAUGGACUGAGUUUCUUAUUAGGGUGUGACGUUGCUCAGUUCACUCGUCAGGAUUUCUGUUUGAUCACAGGGCUUCGUUUUGGGGAAGUGCCUGAAGUUUCCAGUGGAGAGAGUGAUGAAAUCAGACUUCAGAAAAGAUAUUUUAUAGACGAAGGAAUUACAUGCAAUGCUUUAGAAGAAGCAUUUGUGAGGUGCACAGAGGAAGAUGACAUCUACAAGCAAGCUCUUGUUUACUUUGCUGAGUUAGUGGUUUUGGGAAGGGACAAACAUUUGAACAUCAAUCUAAAUUACCUGACCCUUGUAGAGGACUUGGAUGCGUUCAACAGGUAUCCGUGGGGUUCGGUGUCCUUUGACAAAACCCAAGACAGUCUAUUUUCUGCACCAACAAAGUAUGUGAAAAGCUUGGAAAAUGAAGAGGGAAGAGGGAAGGGGAAAAGUAAGGUAACGGGAACAAGCCGGAGAAAUGAGAAGGGCAAGAAGGAUAAGCAUGGUGAAGCGCAAAUGAGUGGCUGGAGUUUUAAAGGUUUCACGUAUGCUUUCCAGGUACAUGGUAAUAAUGUUCAUGUCAGUUAUGUUUUGUUUUUCUUUAAAACAUAAAUAAUGACUUUUGUCCUGUGAAUUGUGUAGAUUUGGGUAUAUGAAUUAAUUCCUAGAAUGGCGGACCUGAAUUACUGCAAGGUUGUUGAUCCGACCGUUGUCCCGCGUAUUUUGCGAUGGAGAACUACUACGUCUGUUCCAGAGAUGAGAAAGUUGAACAAUUAUUUUUUCCAGAGCAAAGAGGUUUGGUUUGCAGCCCUUGGAACUAUUGAUAAGAUUGAAUGAAAUUAUGAAGUAGAAUGAUUUGAUAUGACUCUUGUCUGUAUUCUGAAACAGUCAGUUCAGUUGCGGGCGCUAUGUCCGAGUGAAGAGGAAAUGAGACAGCCAUAUUGGAGUUGGCCACAGGAUCGCCCUGCUGUUGUCUCAGCAGAGUCAAUUCCUUCUUCAUGUGGUGAUCUUGAUGAGUUGAACAAGGUGGUAAGUUGGUUGAGGUCCGAGUUGUUUCAAGUAAAGCGGGAAAAAGACGUCCUUCACUUAAAGGUCAUACGGAUGGAAAAACUGUUGGACCAAUGUUUAGGUCCUCAGUUUGAGCAGGAAGUAAGGAGGGACCUAGCUUUACUGAAACAGAGGACGAAUCGUUGUGUCAUCUCACAUCUAUUUAAGGGAUAUGGGGAAAUGGAUGACAUUCAAUGGGAUGAAGGGCCAAGUAACAGAAAUGAGGGAGAGGAAAAGGAAGAUGAAGGGAUUGAAGGGGGUGAAGGGCCAAAUAAUAGAAAUGAGGGAGCACAUAAGGAAAAGGAGGGGAUUGACGGAGAGGAAAAGGAAGAGGAGGGGAUUGAAGGGGGUGAAGUGCAAGGAAAACCAAGUGAGGUAGAGGAAGGGCAAAGGAAAAGAAGUGAAGGAGAGCAAGUGCAAGUAAAAAGUAGCAAAGGAGAGGAAGCCCAGAGACAGAGCAGUGAGGGAGAGGAAGUGAAAAGAAAAAGCAGUAAGGGAGAGAAACUGCAAAGGAAAAAAAGGGAGGGCAAGGAAGUGAAAACACAAACAAGUGAGGAAAAGGAAGUGCAAAGAAACCAAUGUGAGAAAGAAGAUAAUGAAGUUAUGUUGCUUGGGGGUGACAUUGGCGAGAGCACGGAGGGGACACUGCUUGAGUUUACUGUCGGGGACAUUGAUUUGGAUGAACCUACAGCUGUGCUAUCUCAGUUGAACGUGUGGUUGAAUGAUAAAGGUAAAGCUCUGGCACAAGGGGUCCAAUUACGGAAAAGGAAGAGGAUCAUUCCUUUGUGGAAGAUCAUUGAAGGCAGUGAAUUGGUUCCAAAAAUUGGGGCACAGACAACCGGACUGAAGAUGUUAGACCCAAUGAAGGCGAUUUCGCAUGAUGAUCUGGUGAAAUUGCUGAAACUUUGUUGGGAAUGGCGCCAGGACCCAAAGUAAGUCCCUUGCAAUUAUAAGAUACAAGCAUGACUGUAUAUAAUUUUUUAUAUACAGUGUUCUAAAACUGUUUUAUAUUCAUAGUUUGGUGAUGCAAUUUGGCAACGUGGAAGCUGAGAUUGAAUUCUUCGCUUCCCUCGUGAAAGCUGAUGGUUGGCUGAAAGGAGAUGUAAGUGUAAUUGAUUAUGCAUUUGUUUUAAUGUACAUACAUUAUGAGAUUGACAAGAAAAACAUGUUGCAGCACAUUGAUUUGGGGUUGUAUCUCAUCCGGAAGCGACAACAACAGUUGGAGACAGAUUCGGUAGAAGUAGCGGACUGGACAACGACCGAUGUUUUUUUUAUGGUAUGUCAUCGGCCUUGACCAAGUGCCGUUAAUAAUUACACAUUUUCCAUACACACACUAGUGGAGGUGUUUAACCAUUGAUUGUUUUGUAUUUCACAGAAUCACAUUCGUACUUGCUUUGCGGAUAAUAAAAGAAAAAAACAGCAGCUUGGGUGGAAAAUCAGGAAAAGUUUACUAACCGUUGUAAAUGGGAAGGUUCCUCCGUGUGGGUUGGAUUGGCAGACCGUCUAUAAGGUGUAUACCCCAUUUAUGUUGACGAAGUACAAGCAUUGGGUGGCUGUAAUGAUUGAUCUGGUAUUGUGUGAAAUCAAAGUGUACGAUUCAAAGGUUUCACUAAUUCCAGAUGACAUCGUAAAGGAAGAACUCGGCCCGCUAUCAAUUACGCUUCCAAAUCUUCUCAACACCAUCGACUUUUAUGAAAAAGGUGUUUAUGCAAACAAUUGCAGCCAAGAUUAGUGGUGUCCGUGGCCAAUAGAGCGUGUGGAUGUUCCACAACAGUCUAAUGAGUAAGCACAACUUGCAAUUUAAUUUUAUUACUUUCAAUUGUCAAUUACGUUAGAAUGUCAUUAGUUGAAUUGAUCGAGUUCUUGUUUUGCUUCAGAGGCGAUUGUGGCAUGUUUGUGUUAAAGUACAUUGAGCUUUUCAGCGCUGAGCUUCCGUUAGCUACUUGCACCUCGCACAACAUGCCUUUUUUUCGGUUGAAAUUGGCUGCGGAGAUAACAAGGGGAGAUGCUUACUUCCCAUGAUAUUGGUUGAAGAUGACAAAUGGUACAUGAGAAGGUUUUGGGAAUGUCCAUUCUCAAACUAAUGUAAAUACACAAUAGAGAAGUACGGGUCCUUAUCGAAUUCUACCGCUAACUCCUUCAUGACAUUUACAUGUUUGUUAACCAAACUGCAUUGAAUUGGAAUUUUAAGACUGCAUAUGUGAAUUGGGAUUUGAAGAUGGCUUUUUAAGUGUAUUACAUCAUUGCAAAGUGAUAUGUCAUUGUUGAUGCAAGCCACCAUUAAUCGCAAUGUGUUGCAUCAUAAUAGGUGUCUAAACAUGCGAAAGGUUUUCCGCAGCUCAGUAGCAUAAAAGUAGAAACAAAGACAAUAUACACAAAAUGAACAACAAUUCACAAAUGCACCGACAAGCAAUACACACACAACAGACAAACAAUAUACACAAACUUGGCCUGCCAUAUACAGAGAAUAGACAUGCAAUAUACACACAGUAGACAUGCAAUAUACACACAAUAGACAUGCAAUAUACACACAAUACUCCCUUAACACACACAAUAGACAUGCCCUUGCCCACAAUAAUGAUGCAAUAUACUUCAGUCCCCAAGUACACCAACCAUAGGGAAGUCGUAUUGAAUAGGAUAUUAAACUUAACAGUUGUUCUUCCUACUAAAAGAAAGAAUAAGGUUCGUUUCCCCCCUUCAUUCUUACUUGAGUGAUACUUGUGGCCCCAAUAAACAUCCAAUUUUGGGGCAAUGAUAUUCCAUAUACAUGCAGCAAACUAUCAAUAAACCUUCAAUAAACCUUCAAUAAACAUUCAAUAUCGUUUCUAUAACAUGCGAAAUACAUGCAGUUACCAAAUAUUACAAAAUGGGUUUAGGGUCUCAUUGGUGGUGCGUGCAACAUGUCUUGUGCGGGAGAACUUUCACAAUCUUUUAAACCGUGCAGUUAAAUGAUCAUUAAAAGAACAAAUAAAAUGACAAUUGAUACAACUAAUAAAACUAAUACCAAGUCCUUAAUGGACUUCAGCAUGUUCAGCACUCUAGCAUCAUACGUGUCAUCUUGAUGUUCUGCUUCAGCGGAGGUUACAUCAACCCAUUCGAAUCCAUUGCAACUGGUGGCUCCCUAAUUGCAGGCAUCAUAUAUGGAAUAUAAUUCUGUCAGAGUUAGACAUAGGUUUUUUUUCACCCACAUACAUAUUCUUUAAAUUAAAACUUACAUAGGAGGUUAGACACUUCCAGAAUGGCUUCCCUCGAUUUUUGUCAGAUUUUGAAACCCGAAGCACCAUUGUAGCUCCACAAUACUGACACCUCUUUGUUUGAGCGGGAGAUGAAGAUGAAGACAUGUUUAAUCUUCUCAGUUGUACCUCUUCUCACUCAGAUCUUCUCACUGAAACCUCUUCGGACUCAUACCUUCUCACUCAUAGUUGUCAUUCAUACCACUUCACUCAUAACCCUAAACUUGUCACUCAGCUCUCUCUCAUCUCUGCCCAAAUCGAGUUAUAUUUCUUUUUUUUGGGAUCAUUUGGUGGGUUGGUCACGAUGUCGACACCUGUACCGUCAGCAUUGUGACAUCUUUUAGCCCGAAAAGCAAUAUAAACUACUUCACUACCAAAUAUAUUUUCUGAAUAAUGACGGGACACUGCUUCAAUUUUAUUAAUUUAUUUAUAUUUCAUUAAGGCAACUAGUUGGAUAAGAAUCCGUCAUUAUUGGUUCCAUUUUAAUAACAUUACUAGGGGUAAUUGGGUGUGGGAAAAUGAAAAAGUAUAUGAUGGGACCUUCUGUCACUAGUCAGUAAUCCAUCACAUUUGUAUCAAUGAAUUUGAUAGUGGGAUAAACCCAAAAAUGGCUAUGCAAAUAGCCAUUUAAUUAACUUUUUGACUGUCUGACUCUGUAUGCACCGUUAUGACGUUUUCCCUUCUUUUGUCUUAAGUUUUAAUUCACUGGGGUUCAGUUUCUUUCAAAAGGGUCAACUUGGAAAAACCCCAACUGGAAACACCUUUUCAAAACACUAUAAACAGAGGCUAAAACAAAACGUGUACCCCAAAUAUUAUCAUUUAUCCCCUCUGCCACUCCUCAAAUCGUUCCAUUCCAAAAACUUUUCAAUGAAUUCGAAACACUUCACUACAGUCGGAGGAAAGAGAAGGAAGCAUGUCCAUUUCGAUAUGCCCGAAGCCUUCAUCCCGGAGUCCGCUUGGUUUCAAGUCAUGUUAUACGUGGCAACCGAAUCAUCGGAAGAUCUCUUCCGUAUGGCAUCUGUGUGACGAUUGUUCCGAACUUUGGCAAACAGUUCACAAGUGUGGAACACCAUUUCAAUGGCAAAGUACCCAGACCAUCCUAUAUGGUACCGUGCCAGACCUGCGGUCCAGCAUUUCUUGCAACAAUGCAGGGCUUGCGAUAACCCUGAGUCCAUAUUUAGAGAAGCAUUCGAAGGUUUUUUCAGGCACGGUAAGGUGGAAGCGUUGUAUGGGAUGCGCAUUGCAGCCACGGCAGGCCAUAUGGAAGCGGCAUAUGUAGUUGGACUACUUGGUAUGUCCGGAAUUGGUCAGUCAAAAGAGGAUGCAUUACAAUUCUUGUGUUCUUUGAAUCAACGUAACAACAUUGAUAUGAAAGGAACCAGGGAUGCUUUGACAGGAAGAUUUCACGGAGCAUUUGUUGCAAGACAUAUCGUAGAUAUGUUUGACUAUGGGAAGAUUAAGUUCAAUCGGUGCAGCGCUUGUAACAACAAUGAAUGGUAUUUUGUUAUUCCAGGCUGGCCUAGUGAAGACAAGAUAAAUCCUGCGUUGUGGACUUGUUGCAAUCGAUGCAAAUGGCACCGUGAGAGUAUUUUUUGGUGCAAACUGAUGCGUGAGUAUGUUGUGCGAGGGAAUCACGUAUUUUUGCAUUAGUUUUAGUACGAAUUUACGGUUUUGAUGCAUUGUGGACUUGCUUCUCUUCACUUCUAGGUUGGCUGGCUACGUUAUACCUAUCUCAGUUUAAAUGUUGUUCAAAUGUUGGUAUUUUGUCAUAAACCGUUUUAUAUAUAAAUGUAUAAUAUUUAUUAUAUAGCGGAAUUAUUACUUACAUCAUAGACGGCUAGGAAUGACAUUUUACUGACACAGAUAUUUUGCUCACCGACCCCAAUCUUCAUAUUUGAUAAACGAAAAGUUAUGCAUGGAGUAAAUAGGUGUCUUUUCACCAGUGCUUGGGAAUGACAUUUUCCCACUUAGCAUAUCCGAAAGGAUUUGGUUACACGUUUCUUAACCUAGGGGGUUGAACAGUGAAUGACGUAGACUAUUUUUUGUGUGUGGAAGGAGUACAAUGGAUGACUUGUAUAUUUCCAUAUUAUGUUUCAAAACAUCCCUUCAACCUAAAAAAUAAAAAAAUUAACAAAUUGAAGAACAGAGAAACCGAUGAGCACUACAAAUGGCCUAUUCGCACGGAAAAUAAAAUUGUUUUCAACAAGUUGGACUAAAUAUAAUUAACAAAUGGACAGCCUAAAAAGUAAUAUCAUAAUAAUUAUAAUAAUUGUGGAUAAAUAAUAAUAAAAUACUAAUGUAACAUAACCAUUAAACAGGGAAUGCAGUAGGAAGAUGAAAUCGCAAUAAGUUCGUAGAAAUUUUGGGAUCGUUUUUCUAAUUUUUGUGUAUUUAGUUAUGAAUUUUCCAAGAAAAAAGGUAAUAAAAUAAUAAUUUAGGGUAAAAUGGGAGGAUGUGGCCAUGUUCGGUAACGUACACUUGUGCAAGUAGUCAAAAGUGACGGGCUGAGAUCGCGCCAGGUGUCAUAUUCUUGUUAAUUUUGGAUUCUUUUGUUAAAAAAUCUUUGAAACUAGGUAAUAAAUAGUAGGAAAAUCGUAAAAAUGGCCCAAAAAUUACUCCGGCCUCCUUUUGACGUCCUAAAACUAGGAGAACCUAUAAAUCAUUCGUCUCGCAAUGAAAUAAUCCAAAUUGUGUUACAUAACUCACUUUCCUCUUAACCCUAAGUAUUGAUGUUUGUUAACUUCAACUUGAAUAACCUACUUCAACAAGCAUCUCCCGUUAAUAUUGGGAAUUAAUUUUACAAAUGCGUAACAAUGAAUCGGAGAAUUCAGCAACGGAGAUGGAGUGUCAAUGAGUUCGUAGCAAUUUUCGGAUAAUUUUUUUAUUUUGUGUGUAAUUAGUUCUGAUUUUUGUAAGGAAAAGUAAUAAAAUAAUAAUUUAGGGUAAAAUGGGAGGGUGUGGCCAUGUUGACUGACGUACACUUGUGCAAGUAGUCAUCAGUGACGGGCUGAGAUCGCGCCAGGUGUCCUUUUGCUAUUAUUUUGGCUUUUUUAGUGCAACAAUCUGUGGACAUAGGUAAUAAAUUCUACGAAAAUCCAAAAAAUGCCCGGAAAAUGAGAAAAUGAAAAUUAUUUGUACAUAACUCACUUUCCUCUUAACCCAAAUUCACGUUAACACGUAUAUUUCGGAUAAUAUUCGAAAUAUAAUUUCUAAUAAUACAAUAUUUAGUUUCACUAUAUACAAUAAUAUGUUUUUUUUAUAAUAAUGUACAUAAAUAAUAAUUGCACAUGCUUUGAAGCCAUCAUUGCAACUACGCCUAGAGCUUUGAAGACGUCAGUUCGUAUUCAAUAAGUUGUCCACAUGCAACUGCACCUAGAGUUUUCAACACGUCAGAGGUAUUCAAUAAGUUGUCCACAUGCAACUGCACCUAGAGUUAUUAACACGUCACAGGUAUUCAAUAAGUUGUCCAUAUGACGCCGCAUUGGGAAUCAGUAAUAUAUUUUCAAUCAUGUCAAAUCACAUAAAUAAUGCCAUACUUUUUCUCAAUAACCUCACACAAGUGAAGCAAUUUUAAAACCCUUAGUGAAUAUUUAUCCUAGUCUAUAUGAGUGAUUAUAUAAUCAGUUGCAUAAUAUUUUUUUCACAGUAUAUGUUAACUUUGAGAGGGAUUCCACAAACAUAAAAUAUAAAGAAAGCAAGAAAUAGUAGGAAAUGAACCAGUACAAAAAACAAUAUAUAAAGUGUACAUAAUAAUUCCAUAACCUUGUCACAAACGCACUCACAAAAGCUUUUCCAUAAACCUUGUCCUAACAUAUAAUAAAUAAAGGCAACAUUGCAUAUGAUGCAACCAUGUCCAAAUCUGAUAAGUGAUCAAAAACAAAUGGACAUGGCAGCAACAUAUGAUUGAAGUAGAUGGGCUCUUUGCAUCUUCUGUUUUCGUAAUUAAAGACAUCAAAAUAUUAAGGUUUAAAUCUUCCAUAGUAGUUAGCAUCAAAAUAGCUUUGAAGCAGAGUGUAACGAAAAUUCCAAUUCCACUUAUUUGCCUCUGCUCAAACACGAGAACCAAAAUGGUUACUUCCCUUGCUGAGUAUAUUUGGUGACGUCGGAAACGGUAAUAGAUGACCAAUCAAACCCGGGUACGACGAGUUUUGCAUAGGAUCGGAAGUAGUCGAAUCCAGCUUGCAUCACACGCUUCUUUGACUCCACUACAUUAGAUGAGUUCUUGUAUUUUUGAACAGCUACACUCUGAAGUCGUUUGUGUCUACGCUUCAUGCGCUGCAACUUCGCCCUAUCCAGAUUGGCCUGCCUUUUGUCAUCUUCAAUUUGGCCUUCCACAAAUUCCAAACGUGCCCUUGCCCUUUGGAUUUCAUCACCAAGUUGAAGAUGCCUCUCCUUCCAAAAAGCAACAACUCUUUCAGACUCAAAACUUCCAACAAAAUGGUCAUUCUGUCUAGCAAUGUGACAUUGCUUGUCUGGUGACUCACUUGCGUGUCGAAGCCGGUCUUUGUUUGGAGGGGUGUUUAUUAUACUCACAUCAAACUUGGUUGUGCUUAUGCUCAUUCUUUGGGGGGAAUGAGUUUGUUUGCUUGAGAGAGUAUCGGUAGAUGGAGACAGAUUCGGUGGAGGAGUGAGUUUUGUGUGGAAGGAGAUUUUAUAUGAAAGGGGUGAUAGUAAUACCAAGAAAAGGGUUCCCGCCAAAAAAUAUUUGGUUGACAAAGUAGAAAUUAUUUUUUUAGUCUGAUACAAUCUAAGUUUAAUCCUAACUAGUUUGGUUGAGUUAACUAAGUAGAUGUCACUUCCAUUGACUUUCUUUCAACAACUAUCAGUGGUGUAAGGAGAGUGUGAGGUUGACAUGCUUGAAAAGCAAAAGCUGACACCUAUUUUUAAAAAAUUCCCGCCAAAAAGUACAUAUGUUGACUACACACAAGCUUUGGUAUGUUGGUCUAUAAACCUAUGUUCCCUUUCUCAAACGAAAUUGCAUAUGCAAUCCUCAUCCUCCCAAAACAAAGAGGAUUAUUCAAGCAUGUCAACCUCUUCAGGCGCCAACAACACAAUCGAACAUGACAAAUUGGAGUCACAGGUUCUAUUUCCACAUUGUACUCGCCGACCCCUUCCUUUUUCAACAUCAUUUGGGAGUGAGGGGGACUCCGAUGAUCCAUUAGAGGCAAUACAUGCAGUCAGUGGCAAGCUGGAUUAUAAUUCCAGACUGAUCAAUUCAUGGCACGAGAAAUGUGUUGAAGACGAGGCAAUUUUGGCUGAUCUUAACAUUAGGGUGAGCAAAGCGUUAUCCCAAAAGAACAAGUACUUGAAGCUGAGUCAUAGCAGGAAGCUGAAAGCUGAGGAGUUGGAUACAGUAAUGAAUGAUGAAAUGAAAGGUUGUUUGAUGAACCAUAUGCGAUGCGAACAGCACCAUACUGAACUGGAGUUGGCAUUCAACGAAGGAUUCGACAAAUUCCGAGCAUUUGCGGCAACUACUCAUACAAGUUAUGAUUGGAACUAUGUGUCCCCUGAUGCUGUGAGAGAGAUACUAGACGAUGGGGGUGACAUGAAUGAGCAUAAGCACGUCAAAGCUGCUCGGAAGAAGCCGACCGAUACGACUAAGUGAUUGCGGCUACCGCUGUUCAGUUAGUUGAGGGUGACCGUGGUAUUGCACAUAUACUCCCUUAAUGUCAUUAUCUAACUUAAAAUAACACAAAUAUCAGUUUCAUUUGCUUGAUAUAUAAUUAUUGGGACUAUGUAUUGCAAGUCAUCAUGUGUUAUAAUGUCUAACAUUAUAUUUUGCAAAUAUGGAAAUAUUAUUCAAGAAGCAGUCAAUAUCACAGAAAGCCGGGAAUCAGUAAAUGCUCCUUAUCAUGUCCAUUUACAUUAAAGAGCUGGAGUACUAAUGUGUUCAAAAAAAACUGACACGUGAGUCAUAAGUAACAUAACAUGUGCUAUACAUUGUUUACUGAAUGGUUUAUGGUUUAUUUGUAUAUAAUAAAAUUUCAAAUAUUGCUGAAGAUUUAUUUCGUGUAUAUCACUAGGGAUAUGAGUGGCCAUAAGCAUGUGAGACCUGCUAAGAAGAAGCUGACGAGUACGACCCAGUGAUUGGCUACCGUUGUUCAGUUGGUUGGGGAGAUCGUGGUAUUGCUAUGAGGAAGCACACAAUAUGUUUUGCAAUCAAAUGUUCUUUUGUGUGUGGAAUUAUGAGUAUUUAUGUAAGUUAGUGUACCCUUUAAUAUUUUUCACCUAAGUAUCGAAAUGCAGUUUUUGAAUGUUAUGUUUUUUUUUACCCGCUGCUUUCUAUUUGCUCUGUUCCAACAAAGUGCUUCAAGUAUCCUUCACUUACAAAAGUGUACAAAAUCGUGCCCCUAAUAACCAGUCGGAAAAAGUGGCUACUGCUGGAAAUGAUUACUGGUAAUGGAAACAACAGCUGGCUGCUGUAAUUGCUGCAUUACCGUGAGGAUUUGAAAAAUGAAUCUCUGUUAAAACAAAUUUCACCCUAAACUGCCCAUUUUACAUGGUAAAAGUCAUUGCUUCUUCAAAUCUUUUGCAGCUACACGAUGCGUGGUCAGAAUCUUUGACAUAUACGACUUCUGCCACUCUUGUUUCCCAAUUUUUUCUUUCGCUCACGUUGAACACAACUUUACAAGCAUCCUCUGUUUUGAGCUCUAGGAAACAUGCUGUACUUUGUAUUAGUUCUUGCUCAAACUUUUGAAACAUUGUCCUUGUGUACAAGGUAGCCAUUUGUUUGUUCAUUGGCAUCGGUAGAAGACAUUGAGCCACUUCAAAUGCAUCUGCGUGAUCAGCAACUAACUCUUUUUCACGUUGAUGAGAAAGUGCCCUCUCAAAUCGUAUUAUGAAAUCCAUCAACGAAUUUCUCCUUGAUAUGUAUUGCUUGAAAAAACCAUGAGAACCUUCCGCUCUUUGGCUGCUUGACAUUCCAGCGGCAAAAAAUUGUCGUGCGUAGGCUGGAACCCAAGAUUCCCUUAAAUCAAACAUUGAACUUAGCCAUGGAUGGUCAGUCAAACCAGCCUUUGUAACCACAAUAUUCCAUUUUGCAUCAAACUCAUCCUUAUUGUCAGUAUCCCAUAUGGCUUUCUGAAAUUCAGGCCAAUACUCCUUAUAAGCGUCACGUGGUAACUUAACAGAGAACUUUGAUGUGAUGUGCUAUAUGCAAAGUCGAUGAAAUGUACUCGGGAAGGCUAUUGAAAUCGCUAUGGCCAUUGCCGCAUCUUGAUCUGUAAUGAUCGUUUUAGGUUCCCCACCUGGCAUGGCUUUCUUAAACUCCUCAAACAUCCAAACAAACGACUCAGUCGUUUCCUUGCUCAAAAAUGUGCAUGCUAACACAAUUGUCUGACCAUGGUUAUUAACUCCCAACAUUGGUGCAAAUGUCAAGUCGUAUCGAUUCGUGUUGAAUGUGGUAUCAAAUACAACAACAUCUCCAUAAAACCCAUACGCCCGUCUAGAAGUUGCAUCUGCCCAAAAACAUCGACUAAACCUAUCAUGCCCAUCUCCCUCAAUCUUGAAAUAAAAAGCCUCAUUUUUUUUCUGUUCAGCCAUAAAAUACUCGGUCACUAGUUCAACAUCGUGGUUCCUCAGCUUCCCAAUCACACUACAUUCAAGAUUGUAGAUAUCUUUUUUGAUAAAACCGAUUUUAUCCAUUCCUCCGGAUUGCACCUCGAAAAUACUUACCUUCUGAUGAAUGGGAAUAUUAACUGAACCCAACUGUUUUGUGAGUACUUUUGUAGAAUCUGAAAUAUGACGGUGUGAUCUCAAUAAAUGCAUUCUUUCUAAGGGUGUCAUCUUAUGAUUGUGUCCCUCUGCAAAAAGAGAAAUGUUAUACUUGUUGCUCCCAUUUGUCUUCACAACCACAAUCUUUGCUUUGCAAUUGCAUCUACUUAUUCCCCGUUGUCUUUUUCUCUCCCGAGUUUCAUCCUUCCUGUAUGCACCUUGUUUGCAACAUACAAAUUCUUUCCUCAAAAUCUCUUUCUUAUUUUUCCCCCAAAAGCUAGAAUGAAGUCGAAUACCAAAGCCAGCCAAGAAUGCAUAUCUAUUAUAGAAAUUGUAAACGAGGUCAAGCGAGUCAAACUUCAUCCCAACUGCUGGUGUUUCCUCAUUUCUUACUUCAGGAAUAUAAACCCUCCCAUUAGCUGUUGCACAUUCAUCACUCUCUGAGCCCCCAGACAUUUUAUCUACGUAUAUUAUUGAUCCACUUCUAUAUUACUGCAUAGCAAUUAUUCAUUCAUUAAUCAGUCAUUACUGCAUCACAACAUAUCAAUGCAUUCCACUUACACAAAACAUUGCCCAAAUUGACACAAAAUACGCAUAGCCUAACUUCCGAUUACACAAAACACAAGCAAAAUUUCAUAAAAGUUACGUCAUCUCUUGUGAAAUAAUCUGGUCAAAAUAACAUUAGAACCAACAUGUUCAACUAAGAACACAAAUGUAAUUCAAACCACCAAUUACAGAACUUCACCCAAUAUCCUCUCCAACUGCUUACUCCUAAUGUCAUUAAGCCUAAGUUUAGGUUCUUUUACCUACAUUUCAUAAUUUUUCACCCCGACCAACAACAAUGAACUAAGUAUAUUGAAUAUUCACAAGGAAAUGACACAUUAUUGAUGCCACAAAUGACGAAUUUCCCACCCUCACAAAAAAUAAACCUAACCCAAUAAAAUCAAUCCAGCAAGUGAACUUACCUCUCAAAAUCAAUCGAGAGCUCUGAAGUCAGUCAGCUUGAAAGAAUGUGGUGGACAUUAGAGAAGACUCUUUGGUAUUUGAGACUCCAUCUCUAUCAAAAUCGAGGAACAACUGCUGCUGCGGCUUCUAGCUACAAAAACAGAUAUGCUACUUUGCUUUCAUCUAGAAUCUUGUCAGCUGAAUGAAAAAGAGAAGGGGUUUUCACUUGAGCCAUAGAAUCAAAACAGGGCAACAGCUAGGUAAGAGCCAUUCUUCGUAAUACCCAGGAUACCAUAGAUCGCAGGCCUCCCAACGAGCUAAUGACAGUGGAGUGACUAUAAGGUUUGGGAGAUUUGGAUCCUUCUAAUUGUGGGUUUGCUUUACAUUCAAAAAGAAAGGAUUGUGUUCUUCAGUUUUUCACAGAGAGGGAAAGAGGGGAACAACUGAAGUUGGGUUUCUAACGGGUUAGAUUUCAACCCGAUUCUACAUGCACCCUCUUUUAAAAACUCACCGUUGGAUGAAAUCCAACGGCUCUUACAUACCCCUCAAAAACACCCCUUAUAACUUCCCACUCACUAUAGAAGCUCCCCCAACUAAAUCCCAAAAGGGAAACAGAUUUGAACAACAUACAAAUUUGAAGGACACACAAAUAUGAAUCUCAGCACCGGUGAGAAAUUAAUUUUAGUUGAGGUUGGUAGGUAGGCAUUGGAAGUUUUUAUUGUUUUUGCUCCAAGUCCCUCCUCCACUCACUAAUACAGAUUACUCGCAAAUGAACUAAAGUCUGCAGGGAUAUAUGGACUCCCCUGUCCAUACGAAUGUUGGAAGAAAUGUGUGUUAAAUUUUAGAGAGACGGGUCUGUGACCCACCACUAGCAACGUUGAUAUUGUCUCCAACUUAACUACAUGUUUAGUAGAUGUGGGGUUUUAUACAAAAAGUAUUGAUGUUAUUGGGAAUGGAACCACUUAUUAUAAGUUAAAAUUUAUUUAGUCAAGUUUCCUAUGUGGGACUUUCUAUUCUUCAACAAGCCCCUUCAUGUGGGACCACCACAUAGUGGGCCACACGUAGAGCCAAGUCCACAUCGGAGUCAAUCAUUCAAGCCCAAUACCUAAACACCACGUAUUGUGUGAGGGGUAGGGGUAAACAUUCAAGCCCAACAUAUGAACACUGUAACAUCCCAACUCCAAAUUUAAUCCCUUAUUUAAAUUAUUUAAGUGAAAUUACAAAUUUACCCUUGGGGUAGGGAUAUUUUGGUCAUUUUCUUACCCGAAAAGAGUUUGGGGCAGUGACUAGUAUUUUUUGGUAGAUCGUACUGAGAUGAGUCUGUAGACAUGUAGUGGGCUCGAUUCGGAGUUGAAACGAAGAAGUUACGAGCAAAACAUCACCAAUGGCAAAACCGUAAAUAUUUCAAAAUGAAUUUUUAAUAAAAAAAACCUGAAAAACCCUCUCUCUCUCUCUCUCUCUCUCUCUCUCUCUCUCUCUCUCCUGCGCACAGCCCCUUUCCCCCCUUCGUUUUUUCUUUCCGUGGCUUCCAAGAGCCACCAUCGCCACCACGAAUCACCACCGGCCAUGAGGCCGGACUCGUUCGAACUGCCGCCGCAUCCUCUUCCUGUUCCGGUCGCUCCCAGUCGCUGCCAUCCGCUGUGCUGGCCGGAAAUCGAAGAAAACCAGCCGAUUUUUGUCAAACUUUCGGCCGCUCGUUCUCCCACUUCCGGCCACCAUUUUGGCCAUCCAGGUAUAGAUUUUGAACCUCUCGAGCUGUUCUUGCUGCCUGUUGUGUUAGAUUUGGGAGAUUUCCGCGUUUUGAAGGUCGAUUAAACGAUGGAAGUUUGGCUGGUUUUUGGCCUCCGAUUCCGGCCACUUUCGGUCACUUUUUGGGGUAGGUCCAAGAACAAAAGUGGUUCCAAAUAGGGUGUUAUACCUAGGGUAGGAGUCUUGAGCCGUGGUUUUGAGAUUUCUCGGUGAUGCGUAAUCGCUUUGGACACCCAUACGCUACCGGCGCGUGUGGUGGCGCGUGGGCACUGUAGAAAUGGGGUAUUGUGUCCCGAUGCGAUCCCCUUGUUGUCACGAGUGUGUAGUGUGCUCGGAUUCCAAUUUGGUUGACAUUCGAACCCCGAACGAAUUUCUCCUAUUGCACGUUAUCCGCGUUUGAUAGGUUUGAACCGUUGGAUAGUCUUGAAUUUAAUAUAUUUAAUCUAAGCAUUUCUAGGAUCGUGUAGGAAUUCACGGAUCAUGAAUCGGAACCCCGGAUGUUCCGAUUUAAUAAUUUAAAGUUUAUGUUUAUAUUAACUGUCAGAUCGUGCAAUCGUGAGCGAUCCGACCUUCCGAUCCGGACCAAACGUGCAGGACGUAUAUCCUAAACCUUGUGGAACCUAUAGGAACUUUCGAAUCAGAAUUUAGAGGUCGUGGGCCUAGUGGCCCCGUUUGACCAAGUGUGGAUAGUUUGACCCUUGGUUGACCUUGAGUCUUCCAAGGUAGUUUUCCUUCCUAGAAGGAUUAUAAUGACCCUAAUGACAGGUCUUGAGCGUUGUUGAGCCAUGUUGACUAGGUUAAGAUUUUUAGAGUGUUUAUUAUUGUCGUAGGAAACUCUUGGACAUUAUUUUAAUAAUUGGAAUUAUAAAAGUGAGUUUUGGGUUCGGCUAUGACUUUAGUGAAUGGACUUUAUUUUUAAAUGAAUAGCAUGGCUUUGUGAUGGAAUUUUUAGGCAUGUGAAUUUAAUGGUUUAUUGAAAUUCAUUUUUAUAAUUAAUAGUUAAUUUAGCAGUUUUGGUAAAGUAUUAGUGAUGUGUGGGGUACUUGGGAUUUUGUUGAGGUUUAUACAAUAUUAGAGAUUAACUUAUAUAUUUAAAUAUAGGUAUGAAUGUAUGAAAAGAGUUUAGAAUGUCAGUUUGAAGUACUAUACGCACUACCCUAGGUACCUCAUCGGAUUUUGAUUACACUAUAAGUACCACCCUGUGAUUGUCAGGUCACCCAUGGCGUAGGAUUUUCCGGCGGAAUGACAGACCCCAUACGUGACGUUGGAAUUUCCGGCGUAUGGGGAGAUGAUAUUAUGAUUGUUAAGUCACACGUGGCAUAGGUUAUCCGGAGUGCUGACAGACCCCAUAUGUGGCGUUGGAAUUUCCGGCAUAUGAGGAGAUUAUGUGAUUGUUAAGUCCCACGUGGCGUAGGUUAUCCGGCGGGAUGAUAGACCCCAUACGUGGGGUUGGAAUUUUCGGUGUAUGGGGAGAUGAUAUAAUGGUUAGGUCACAUGUGGCGUAGGAUUUUCCGGCUUGAUGACAGACCCCAUACGUGGCAUUGGAAUUUCUGGCAUAUGGGAGAUUAUGUGGUUAUUAGAGAGAUGAAUUAAGAUUAUUAUACUGAGUUGGGAACGAAUGAUGUUUGAAAAAGAUUUUGUUUGGGAUUUCUGCAAUUGAUUGCAUGUUGAUGGACUUGGAAAUUUUGUAUGAAAGAACUACGUGUGGCUUGAUCCCUUAGUAAGGGUACAUAUGCAGCUUAGGGUAGUGCCUAGGUGCAGCCGUGUGCUAAACUUUACUCAUGUUGUGUGAUGGAGAUUCGUUCGGACCUUGUUGUUAGUCCUGAAUUUUAGGUGAAAAUGAGAUGCAGUCUUGUUAGGAGGUUUAAAUUUUCUACGUUUAAUAUUUGGGAAUUUAGAUGAUGGAAAUCGCAUUUGGCGUUCAUAAAUGUGUUUGAGUUUAUAUUUGCAUUGUUUAGAGUUAGUUGGUGGUUUCGUUUCGAAUUAUUUGAAGGCCGAAGGCUGAUUAUGUGAUUUAUAUGAAAUUAUCUUGUGCAUACUGCCAGUUGUGAAUAUCAAAUGUGUUUUAUGCACGUUGAAAUUUUUAGGAUUGUUCAACUUACAGGGGAGACUGCCGAAAUUUCGGCAUAAAAUCUCGUGCCCUUAUUCCUUAUUGGGAAAAAUGAUUUAGUUUUAGAAGUGGGUUCGACAUCGGGGUGAUGUCGGGAAUUUUCACAGGAUUCAUCUCGGGUUUCGGGAAAUUCGGGUCGGGUCCUGUCAAACACCACGUAUUAGGUAAGGGUAAAGGCUCAAUUCAGGCCCAGUCAAUCAACCCAUUAUGAUAUCAUGUUAAAUUUCAGAUAGACGGGCCUGUGGCCCACCACUAGUAACAUUGAUAUUGUCCCCAACUUAACUACAUGUUUAGUAGGUGUGGAGUUCUAUACAAAAGAUCUCGAUGUUUUUAGGAGUGAAACCACUUAUUAUAAGUUGUAAUUUAUUUAGUCAAGUUUCCAGUCAACCUGACUUUGAUACCAUGUUAAGAUUUUAAAGGGACGAACUCUUGGCCCACCAUUAGCAAUAUCGACAUUGUCCCCAACUUAACCACCUGUUUAACAAGUGUGGGGUUUUAUCCUAAAGAACUCGAUCUUAUUAAGAGUGGAGCCAUUUAUUAUAUGAAACUUUCUAUUUUGUUAACUCUGUGUAUUCUUCAUCAAUGUGAACACCCCUAAACCAAUCAUACCUGAUACGGAUUGAAACACAAGUUUGUUUUUUGCCUUUGGUAGAUGAGUAGCUAGAAAAGCUCAAUGCACUUGCUCUUCUUCUGCUACAUUUCAAUAUAAGAACAAGGUUUGGAAGCCAGGUCAACUCCUCAUAGUUUCCUUGCCUUUGCUUUGACAUGUCUAUGCACUUCUUGGGGAAGUUUGAAUAAUCAAUUGCAGGCCCCACGACAACUAAGGAACCAACAUUUUGUAGAAGGUUUUGUCUACACCUUUUGACUAUAAGUAAAAUCUUUUGUAUCUGCUCUUAUGUUUCGGUGAAGUUUCUAUGUGUCCUUUGUUGAACGAAAAAAUGAGGUUGUUUCUUACUAGAUUCAAAUACUUAAAAGAAAAAAAGAAAUUAUUGUUUCUUAAUUGAUUUUAUGGUGAACAAUAUCAAACUCUCCUCUUAUACGUCUUCUUCGUUGGACUUGGGGUUGUUUUCCUUAUAUGUCCCUUAUAUAUAUAGGGCCUUUGGUUGAGCCCACAAAUACCUUCAGUUAGUUUUUGGGUUUAGGGGCCUACAGAACCUGCACUAAACAAUAAAAGAAAAUACCUAAUUAGUUUAGUACGAAUUCUAUAAUGAAGGCUUUAUUAGGUAAGAUUUUAUUUCUUAAUCGUUAGAUCAAAUUUGACAGGACCCGUUCCUGAAUUUCUCGGAAAUCAGAGCGAACCCCGUCCUUGUUUCGACAUCACCCCGAUGCAGGGUCCACUUACUAAAAACCGAGACUUUCUACCAAAAUUUUGAUAGAAUCUCCCUUGUAAAUUGAGCAAACCCAACAAAAAUUUCAGCCUGCAACAUACAUAAAAAUAAUCCCAACCAGCAGCAUGCUUACAACAUACAACAAAACGUACUAAAUGGCCUCCGGCCUCACAAGUAAAAUUUAACAUGGGUAAUCUACUGAUGUAAACGAUUCGGCCUUCGAACACUGCUUGCAACCUUCCUGAAGCGACUACUGGCUAAGGGGCGCAAAACAGAAAACAUGUGAGUGGACAAAAACAAGAUUCAAUUAAAACAACAUAGUAACCCCACCGUGUAAAAAUAAUGCUCAAGACAUGUAGGUUUACAAUUCAUAAUUAAAUAUUCAAAAACAAAUUUCAUUUAAAAUUCUUUAAAACCACAAAUCACUCCAUCCAUAAAACCUCAUGCCCACAAUUUUACUGCUCCUACCAACCCACUGUAUAGACUCUAAUUUCUUCACAAUCACAACUAUAUAUAAAUAUAUAAAUUGUAUCAUACAACAUACUCCUCACACUACUUAGGUACAGGGGAAACAAUCCAACCGGAGGAUCGUUUAACUAGCCCGCAGGAUUUUCAGGUGCUAUCCUGAGUCUAGGAAUGAGUGGUCCAACCAGGGGACGAAACUCUAUAGCUCACACACCGGAACAUCCAACGCCACGUGUAGCUCCAAUACUAAGUCCUACAGGCACAGACUGGAUCACCACACACCGGAACAUCCAAUGCCAUAUGUGAUAAUCCCAAGCAAUAUACAGAGUCUUCCCAUACGUCGGAACAUCCAACGCCGCGUAUGGAAAGUGUUCACACGCCGGAACAUCCAACGCCACGUGUGGGAAGCCUAUUAACUGGGGAAAGUACUUACAUAGUGUAAUCAUACAAUUUCUCUCAACAACUCCUCAUACUCAAGUUCUUCCACAAACUCACCUCAACAAUCCCAAGUACCCCACCUAUAGACAAUAUAUAUAUAACUUCCCCAAAAUCUAUACAAAACAUACUCUCGAUAUCCAAAUAUGCCAAACUCACAAUAUAUUGCCAAAGUGCAAUACAAACAUCAAAAUCAACACAUGAAUAUAAUAUAUAUUCAAUAUACCAUUUAAAACAUUAUGCGUAAAUCUUUCAUCAAUAAAACCAUGCGUAUGAUUGAAAACAAAGUCCACUCACAAGUAUUCCUACGCUGCUUGACCACGAGAGAGUCCUGCCUGCUGAGUACGUGCAGUAGGAGCACCUAUUUUGAGAUACAAACCUUUAAUUAAUAUAAAAUUACUUCAAAACGGAAAACACAAAUUAAAUACUUAAAUCCCCAAGUUCCCAGUACAUGUACGUUGAACGAGGUAUCCUAAGGUCUAGUUACAAGUUUGGGAAUCGCUCACGAUUGGACGGUUAUCGCUAACCCACAAAUUUUGAAUUAUUGAAUCGGAACAUUCGGGGCUCCGAUUCACGAUCCGUGAAGUCCUACGUGAUCCUAGGAAUACCUAAAACAACAUAUUUUAAUUGGAAAACGCACAAUAUGCGAAAAUCCGUUCGAUAGUCAAACGAUGUCCGAAUUGAGAUUCGCAAAAUGCUACGCACUCGUGACAACCUGAGGAUCUCAUCAGGACAAAGUGCAACUUCACCACCCUCACCCACGCGCCGGCAGCGCGUGGGUGUGUAGAGUAAAUUCCGGCGAUGGAAAAACUCCACACCUACUUGAGGUCAGGAUCUCAUCACUCAACUACAGGGAGGUUCAAUUAGGACGGCAACUGGCCGGAAUUUCACUUUGAAAUCCAGCCAAAACUUAGGUUUUCUAAUCGGUUCCUAGACAACAAAUCGAUCUAAACCUAUGCAACAGUCAGCUAGACUAAGGAAAAAGAGGAAGAAACCUCACAUUUUUCACUGGAAUCGGAAGGGAGAGGCGACGGGGCGACGUCGGGAAGACUCGGGUUUGAACCAGUCGAUGCCGUUGACGAUUCUCGCAUUUUUCGGGGGGACUUUGGGUGGUUCGGGUUAGUGGCUUCACGACGAGUCGAACGGGACCGGUCUCGGGGGCUGGGGUGGUCGGGUGUGGUGGCGGUGUGGUGGUUUUCGUCUCGGUGAACAGUAACAGGGGAGGGUUUCGCACGCGCAGAGAGGGACUCGGGAGAGAGAGAGAGAGAGAGAGAGAGAGAGAGAGAGAGAGGAGAGAAAAGAAAAAUUAGAUUUUUACUCUCCUCUUUUCAAAAUAUUUACAAGUUUGCCACUAAUGAUGUUUUGAUCGCCAUUUUCUUGUUACAACUCCGAUUCAAGCCUACCGCAUGUCUAGGAAUUCAUCUCAGUACCACCUACCCAAAAUUACCAGUCAUGGUCCCAAACUCUUCCCGUAACAGAAAAUGACUAAAAUACCCCUACCCCAAGGGUAAAUUCAUAAUUUCACUUAAAUAAAUUAAAAAUAGGAAUCAAAUUUGGAGUCGGGGUGUUACAAAAUUGGUUAGUACGAUCCAACGGUUAAUAGAUAAAACUUUACAUAAAAGUCAUAUAUAAGGCCCUCACUAUAGAAUGACUCGUUAGUUUAGUCUCUUGUUACAUAUCAACUGUUAGAGAUAUUUUUUUAAUAAGGAUCUACCAUACCACAUAGUUGGAUAAGACAUUAUACACAACUUUUGUAAGAGCAUCUCCAGCGAGCCAGGCCAGCCCAAGCAGCAAGGGGCCUUAAGCCCGGUAAGCAGCUCCAGCGCUCAAGAUUCAGCCCAGGCAAGGUGUGGAACCCACAAGGAGAUCUGGCCCGUCACCUUGCCUUUGGGUUUCAGUCAGGCUGAUGUCAACGAAAGAAUUUCAAAAAAAUUUUGCCGUUGCAAUGCACGCGCCAACGAUAAAUUUUCUUUGGAUUUCUUGCGUUGAUCCACAGCUACCAAAAACCAACGGCUACAAGCCACGUGGCUUCUCCAAGAGCCUCUGAUCCAAAAAUCUUGUCAAAUCUAACGGCUGUCCAUUUUUUGGCUAAAAAAAUAUCAAAAAAUUAUGGAAACAUUUUCUAUAAAUACCUACAAAUAUUAUUCACUUCCCACACCAAACCUUCAUACAAAUUCAUAUCCUUUCAAUAUUUUUCACUUUCCACACAAGAUUUUCUACUACUAAAUUUCAUUUGUGUAAAAAUACAAGUGGCCUCUUCUAUCAAAGCCGGAGGCGCGUGGACAACCGUGGAAGAUAUUUUGUUGUGUGAGUGUUGGGUCAAAGUUGGUCAUUGCCCGAUCACCGGCAAUGAGAUGAAGUCCUCUCGUAGGAGUUUCUGACAUCGCAGCGAAAGUAAGAUGUGAUAUGAGAAUGUAAGGAAUUUGAUGAGAGGAAUGGGAUUUGAGGAGUUUGAUGUAGGAAUUGAUGUUGAAUUGGAUUUGGGAGGUAUGUAUAUAUGAUUUGAGAGUAUGUGUUUAGGGAUUUUGAUAGGAGGAUUUGAGGAAUUUAGAUUUGAGGGAUUUGGAUUUGGGGAAUUUAAAUAUGAGGAAUUGAUUUAGGGUUUGGGUUUGAAUAUGAGAAAUUUGAUAUGAGAGUUUAGAGACAACUGAUGAUUGAUUGCUCUAAUACCAUGCUAAAAUAUAAAUAUGGUUUGAAUACUUUAGGUUGAGUUUUAUUCUUUUCCAUAAGGAGGUAUAUAUAGCAGUUUACAUGAGUGUUUUACAAGGAAAUAGAUACAGUAAUCAAUUAGGAUAAUAUCUCCUAAUUAUACAAUAAUUUGUCAACUAUAUAGAAUAGGAAAGUAAAUUCCUUAAUUAAUCAAGAAAAUAAAUCUCAUUGAUUAAUUAAGAGACUAACGUCAACAUUUAUAAGCCAUGGAAGAGCAGAAAAAGAGGUACUUAGGAGAUUUUAUACGUCGGACUAAGGUAAGCUUAAAGGACUAUAUCAAAAAAAUAAGGGACCAAGAAGCAAGACUGAGAAGUUGUUAUGCAAACCCAUUAAGUUUAGCAGUGAUGAAUUUGUAAAAAUCAUUCUAGUGGAUGCUGCCUUCACUAUUGAGUUCUUAUUGAGGUUCUAUCUGAAAGGAUGUAGACAUGAAGGAGACCGCUUAUUAAACAAAUCAGCUCCCAUUCUUUAUUCUUGAGGAUCUUUAUCACACAUACAUAAUAACCGACUCUUUUAGGAAUUAUUACAGUACUCAUGAUCAUGAGAGGCUUUCAAUAAUUAAUAUUUCUAAGAAUUUCGUCACAGCUGGAAUAUUGAAUUUGGAGGGGAAGGGAGACAAAUGGAACAGAAUAUCAUCUUCUUCUAGUGUUGGAAAUUUUAUAUUAUUUAAUAAUAUUUAAUUUCUAUUGUGAAUGAAAAAUAAGUUUCUUUAAGAAACGUGUGUCUUAGGCCAGUUUUUCUAACUGGUCGGCUUCCUUAGAUUUGUGCCUAUUGCUUUUCAAAGUAUAAUGAUGCAAUGGUUGUAUCUCGUUCAGGCAAAUGGAAGGUAUAUAGCAAUUUAUAGAACAAUACAGUAAUCCAGAAGAAAUAUUAUGAAAUGAAAAGAAUAAAAAGUAAAAAAAGAGAAGGAAAGGAAUUCCCACCUGCAAUGUAUAUGUAUGAAAGGAAGGACCAAGUUUGUUUUAAAAUGGUAAGAACAAGUUGAUUUAUAAUUGGGUUCAGAUCAACUCAUGGAUUUCUUGCCUUUUCUAUUCUCCUUCCUUGGACAUGAACUGUUUAAUCUUGGCUCUUCCCCAUCAUGUUGGGCCUAUCUUCUUCUUGAGGAUUGUAUAGGCCCAGGAAAUGCUUCAAGAUAGUUUUUGUGUUUUGGGCAUUGGGACCUAACUUCACAAAAAGAAAACAGAUUUGGCCAAAAAACAAAUUUGAAGGACAUUGAAAUUGUACCUGUAGGAUAGGUUAAAACACUGUAAGGGAGGUAAAUAGUACGUUUACAUAGUUUAAGUGUAAUAAAGGAAUAAAAACAUGCCCAGAGGAUUGAUAAGUGAUAUCAAUUCUUGAAUAUAGAGAACGUAAAAUAAAGGAACACGUAUAAAAUUAUUUUAUGUGGUAAAACCCCAUCUCUAGGGAAAAUCCACGGGACUUCUUAGUCCAAAACAAAUCUAUUAUAGAACGAUGAUUACAAGAAGUACUCACACACUUAUCCUAGACACAUUCUAGAUAAUGUUUACUGACCUCUUCGUAACUCAACUUCUGUCACAGGAUGAUCUUUCGACACUUCUUAUGUUGAACGCAAUACUAGUCACGAUUUCUUUCAAGCUCAUUGGAGAAAAACCGCCACAACAGUCUCGGUGCCCUCAAUCUUAUGAGUCACUGAACAUGCAAAUGAAUACAAUAUGAAUGAUAAAAGUGUUUGAUAAAUCACCAAGUUAUGGAACACUUGAUGAUUUAUUUCAAGUAAAAAUUCAGCUUUCCAAAGUUUAUGAAUUGAAAAUAUGAUCGUUAAAGCUCUCUAAACAAAAAAAACGAAGGUCUUAUUUUAUAGACUUUUUCUUUACAAGAAAGAAAACACGUUGAAAACCAAAUCUCCAAUUUCAAGGCUUGACAGAAAAUCACAAAAGUAUCUUUCCUAUUCUAGAGAUUGGUCACAUGAAGUCCAACCAAUAGGAAAUGAGAUAUUUAAGAAAGGAAGAUUUUGAUCAAUAUCAAUAUCAAAUGAAUUCUUAUAUGCCUAGUCAACUAUUAAGGGUAUCUUAACUACUUGAUAUUAUGAUAUGAUUGAAACAUGAUUUCCACGUUAGAAAAUUAAGGGGAUUUUAAAACAUGAAAGUAAUAGGAGAAUCAAAUUGAUUUGGACCAAAAUUGCCUAAAAAGAAAACACUCCUAAAUAAACUUCAAUUCACUUUUAAAAACAGUAAAACUUGAUUGAAUCGUUCUUUAAAACAAUUCCCUAAUAUACAUGCAUGAUAGUGACAUCACUUACCUCUGAAUCAGAUGCCUUUUACGAGUCAAGCCACAAGUUUGUGUUUUGGGGAUUGCUGAGCUGCAUCAAUCCUGCCAAUGUCAAUUCUGCCCCUAGGCUCUCUCAAAGCACGUUUACAAUCUAUGCUAAUAUAUACUAGAGUUUAUGCUAGUAUCUAGAAAAUGCCAACACUAAUUUCGUAACACGUAGAAAUUGUUAGAGAUUGGAAGUUUUUUUCAUUUUUUUCUUCCAGACUCUCCACCACUCACUAAUACAGUUUACUCAUGUGAUGAAUUUACAAAACCUAUUUCUCUACUCUCACAAAGACUAUACUUAGGGGGGGUGUAUUCAAUUAGGAGUCUAGAGCGUUUAAAAAGAUUUUGUUUAAGUGCCAGCUUUCAUAGAACUUGAUGGAACUUUAUAAUUCGUAUAGAACUUGAUAGACUUUCAGAAGACUUCUGUAUAAUUUGUUAAUAAAACUUUCUUAAGCUUUCAUAGAACUUGAUAGGCUUUUAUUCCAGAAUUAUGUAGACAGUAUAUUUCAUUUUAUCCCCAUCCUUGUCAUUUAAAGAAAGAAACUUGAAUGUUUUCAAUCAAAUUUGUUUUUGUUACCAAAGCAAAAACAAAAAGUACUUGUUUGCGAAGGAAGAACAUAUGCACAGUUCAAAAUGAAAAGAAUAAGAAGCAAAGUACCUAUUGGACCAAUGAAUGCUGUGUCAACUAGAGAAGCAAUUGGAUCGGCUGUCAAAGCCAAUGCUACAGGCAAUGCAUCGAUGGUCCAAAUUGCAAUAAAAAAUAUUUUGUAUAAUGGUUCUUGCAGACAAAGACCACAUAAAUUCUGGACUGGUCCAGCUUGAAUAAUAAGGUUAGAUUAGCCGAUGGAUGAGAGUAAAAGCAAAGAAAGUUGAUGAAUUCAUCACCAAUUAUUUAAUAACUGUAACAUCCCACAUUGACCAACGGAGAGGGGGUGAUGUGCCUUAUAUGUACAUGCCCACUUCCAUCUAGCAUGAGUCCUUUUGAGAGCUCACUGGCUUCGGAGUCAUGGGAACUCUGAAGUUAAGCGAGUUGGGGCUAAAGCAAUCCCAGGAUGGGUGACCCACUGGGAAGUUGCUCAUGAGCUUUAGAAACAAAAAUCAUGAGGGCAUAAAGGGAGGCCCAAAUUGGAUAAUAUCGUGCUACGGCGGAGCCGAUCCCAGGAUGUGACAAUAACCAAUAGAGUAUUUAAACAUAAACAACAAUGUUUGAUAAACAAAACAAAUAGUCCAAAUAUUAUCCAAAAAACAAUUCUAAAACCAAUCAUUCCAAACAAACUAGUCAUUCCCAAAAACUCUCAAAAAACCCACUCAUUCCAAAUUAUAGGAUAUCCAAUUUGAGCGCUCCUCAGGAGACAUUUUCAAAAAUGCAUCCUUUUUUGUGUUACUAUGCAACAAAGAGAGCGCUUUAUAAUGAGCACGUUCAUCCAAAUUUGAGGUCUCCUUAAUGGCAUCCCACAUAUAACUCUGCUGCUCUCGCUCUUUUCCCCUUUUUGCCAAUAGGUUAUGGACCUCCCGGAAGUCGGUGACAAUUGAAUCAAUGCUAAGGCUAAUUCUUCCCAUAGCUUGUUGGGUGGUCACAUUUGAGAUGGCAUUCCCUUCCAAAUCUAUUCUAGUUCGUUUCCUCUAGUAACAAGCAUAAAUCCUAGUAACAAGCAUAAACCCUAAUCCCAACCUAUAACCUAAUAACAAGAAAAACACGAUGAAAAAAAAAUCAUGGAAAAAGAAAACCCAACGAGGUAUUGAUCAAAAAAAAAAAUAGGGAGCAUACCUUCACAGAUGGAGGAAGGAAGCUGUUUGUCUUCACAGAGAGAAAAGCUAGGGAAAGAGAAAAACGUCUGAUGAAAUACUUUGGGGGGAGGUUGGAUUUCUUUUGGUCUUUGAUAUUUAUAACUCUCCCCUUAAAACCUACAAAAAUUUAUCACUUAAUGAAAUCCUUCCAAAUAUAUGACCUUUCGAAUACACCUAGAUUUGAUUCAACUUUUUUAUAAUCCUAAUUGAAUACACCCAUAUUUGAGUGGACUUUUUAAAAGUUCAUAUAAGUCCGAAUUGAAUACACCCAGACUUGUAAAACCUCUUUUAAAGUUUGUAUAAAUCCAAAUUGAAUACACCCGGAUUUUUAAAAUAUUUUUUAAACGCUUUAUAAUCCUAAUUGGUACAUCCCCCUUAUUCUCAAAAGACUAUAUCACUUUACCUCUAUCUCUGUGAAAUGUAAAAAGUUGAAACUUUAAUGUCAAACCUCGACAAAAGAUGAACUUCCAUCAGUUGCGUUGAAUUUGGAUUUGUUGAACUAAAGUGGUUUUACUUUCUCUGUCAGUGUUUGAUGACUUAAUUUGGUAUUUACUUCUUUUUUUCCUUGGAAAUGUGUUCCACCAACGUGAGGAAGAAAAAUGUGCACAAAUUAAUAUAUUUAAUAAAAGCCCAAGAUUUCGGAAGCACAUAAUUUCUACAAAAAUCUAGAAAGUGUUCUACUUUACAAACUUCUUAUGUCUAUCAAUUUCUACUAAAAUUAAUUUCUCUGUGGUGCUCAGAUUCAUCAUAUGUGUGUCCUUAAUUUUAUUGGAAAUUAGAAGUUUCCAUAAUUUUUAUUUUUUGGGAAUUUUCUGAACCAAGAAAAAUCAAGUAAAAUUAAUAAAGCUUAAAUUGGAAAGGGAAAAUAUCUAGAGGACGCAUUGUAGGAUUUCUCAUGCCGAUAAUUGUACCCUCUAAAUAUAUAGGGACAUAUUUUUUUUGUUUUCAUGACAUGUGGUCCUAAAAUUAUUGUUCCUAGCGGGCUCUCCACCCCCUCUCAAAUUUACGUGGUCCAUUAUGAUUAACCAUAUAUUUUAUUGACCAUCCAGCUGUGAGGUUUUAUCCCAAAAACCUUAGGUACAUUUCUCAAUUAUGUCUGAUACAUCACAUCAUGCCACAAUUGUAUAUUCACAAUUAUGUCUGAUACAUCACAUCAUGCCACUUGCCUCAAAUGAAUUUAAGUGAGUGUGGCAGUGGGAAGUAAUUACUUCUAGGUGCCCCUCAUCAUUCGUCUAUAAAAUGGUGAAGCCAGUGGCUAUAAGAGCCAGCUCCAACUUUCUUUUAUUCGUCUAUAAAAUGGUGAAGCCAGUUGCCAAGUUAAUUUCAGUCCUAAUGGGGUUUCAUCUCCCACUCAUCUUUGCUAUUCUCAGUGUAAGCUCUGCAAUUUGAUUAACUUUUCCAUUCUCUCUCAUUGUACUCUAUAUAAACGAAAGUUUUGUGUUCCUAUAAUUCUCUUUGAUUUUAUUUAGUACGUACUUAAGUGUCGUCCACUAAUUAAUUACAGUUUGUGAGAUUUGAUUUUAAUUAGAGUUCGAAUUAAUGUUGCAGCUAGCAGUGGUUGCACUGGCAAACCAUGCUGCUCAACCAGCACCUCAACUUUACUGGAACUCCGUCCUGCCAAACACACAAAUGCCAAGAUCUAUCAGUGAACUUCUGCAUCCUGGUUUGUGUUGAGCUCUUUAGAAUCUUAGAUAUCUCUUCUACCUGCCAUUUUACUAAAAUAUGUUCGACCACAUAUUUAUCAGUUAACUACUGUCAUUACAUGAGUGACACUUAUUCACAAAUCGGCUGAUCACUUAUUUUCCAUUUUACAUGAGUGAUAUAUAAUUUGCAGACUCCACAAAUGAAGAAAAUAUCGUGAAUGCUGUUGGGAAUGGAAAGCGCAAACCUGAAAUUUUCCCAUUGAGAAAUAUAAAUUACGUUCAAAGCCAUUAUGGAGUGUUAAAUAGAAAUUACGUUCAAAGCCAUUAUAAAAAACGUCCUCCUCCACCUGAAAAUAUCCCAUUUGCAAAUCGAAAAAAGUACGCACUAGGUUCUCCUCCAUCUGACAAUCAACUACUCCAUUAUAAAGAGUUAGCUAUUUUCUUCUUCGAGAAGGACAUGCGCCCUGGCGCAACAAUGAAGUUCCAAUUCCCUAGAAAUUCAAACACGGCUACUUUCCUGCCACGCGAAAGUGCUCAAUCGAUCCCCUUCUCCUCUAACAAACUACCAGAAAUUUUCAACCAUUUUUCAGUGAAGCCAACAUCUGUGGAAGCCAAAACAAUUAAGCAAACAAUCGAAGAGUGUGAAGCUCCAGGCACUAAGGGAGAGGAAAAAUAUUGCGCCACAUCUUUAGAAUCAAUGGUUGAUUUUAGCACUUCGAAGCUUGGAACAAGAAACGUUGAAGCAGUCUCGACGGAGGUAUUGGAAAAAGGAGCCACCAUGUCCAUGCACAACUAUACAACAAUGCCGGGACUGAAGAAGUUGGCAGGUGACAAAGUCGUUGUGUGUCAUAAGGAGAACUAUCCCUAUGCUGUGUUUUUCUGCCAUGCAAUAAAACAAACAGCAGCUUAUGUUCUCUCCCUGAAAGGCGAUGAUGGGGAGAAGGUUAAAGCAGUAACCAUCUGCCAUCUAGACACAUCAGAAUGGAACCCAGAGCAUUUGUCCUUCCAAAUCCUCAACGUUAAGCCCGGAACCGUUCCCAUCUGCCAUUUCAUUUCCACUGAUGCUAUUGCCUGGGUUCCAAAACACAAAUUUGCAUGAUCAUCACUUAGCACUGUGGUGUAAGAUAUAUGAUGAGAUAAAGUUUUUGGUAUUAGUGGUCGGGUUGCCUGAAAAACACAGAUUACAGAAACUGCUUGAAAUUAACCCGAUCAUGUUUUCUCUUGUAAGACUUCAACUUGUACUCCUAAAGCAAGUUAUAUUUAUGAAGAGAUAUUAAUCUAUAUAUAUUUUAUGUAUAUAUAUAUAUAUAUAUAUAUGCUUUGGCUUUGUGGUUCUACCCAGUGUUUGAGUGUUGAAUUGUUACGUUGGAAUAGGCUGAUAAUGCGUGUAGUUAGAGAAGCCUUCAUUUAUAUCAAAGUCCUCAAACUAUCAAGAACUAAUGUAUCCAGAAACAUAUACCAAGACGCAAAACAACAUAUUUUCCAUGCUCUGUCUGUAACGCCAAAGCAAACUUCCUUUAUCACAUCAUUUAAAGGAUCAAAUUCCAGUACUAAUCUAAUCCAUCAUGUAAAGCAUACAAGUGCCUCCCUAAAUUUGUCCAUUGGAUAUAAAUGUUGAGAAAAUUAGAGUACACAACUCUAAUAUGAUAGUUGUACACAACUCUAAUAUCAUAAAGCAAACAAAAUUUCUAAGUUAGUUUGCUUUAUGAUAGUUGUUUUUUGAAGGGGUCCUUAGAUCCUAUCUCAAAAAGUUUGGCUUUUAUUAGGUUUAACUCUGGUUUUUAUCUCUACCCACUAACUUUUAUCUCUCAUUUUUAUUACCCAUUUUACCCUUUAAAAUAAAUAGGGCAAUAAACUAAAAAUUCUGAUUUAAUGCAUGUUUUACUCAUAAGAGAACUAAAAACUAAAAAUUCUAUACUCUAACACAAAAAAUGAAAACUAAAAACUAAAAUUGAAAUGGUUUCAAGCAAUUGCAUGUCAGGCGCUAUAUAUAAUGUAUUAGCCAUGGUUUGUUUAAUACGCGGUCAUUCGUCAUUUUCCCAUUCAAAAUAUUGAAAUUACGAACUACAUACCAUGAAAGAUAAGAAACUAAAAGCUUCAAGCAAAUAGAAAUGUGCUACAAACAUAGUAAUGAAGAUGUGGAAGCAUUAUCUCAGACGAAUGAUUCUGAAGUGGAAAAAACAAGAACAAAAAAGGAAGUGAGUUAAAUUUGCACCUGCUAUGUUCAAACGACAAAGUUGGUUUCCCUUUGGUCGAUUACAAGAGAAGCUCAAUGCAGCUUACUUGGUUCCUCUGGUAGAUGAAAAUAUAAUUUUUCUCCUAAUAAUAAGGGUAUAGUGCAAUCAAUGAUGGGCUGUAUAGAACAACUUUUUUGUUUUAUGUGUUUAUGUGAGACAUGUUUUGCCAGAUUGAAUUAAUGUCUUCUAGCCAUGUACCUUAUCUUUUUGCCGGGCCAUGAGUUGAAUGUAGAGGCAAAGUAUGGACUUGGGGUCAAGUUUGACUUGUAAAAUAAUUAGGAAUUGAAUGGCUCCUACGUUCAAUUAUUUUAAUUUUUUUUCCCGAGCCAUUCAAUUCCUAAUUAUUUAGAUUUUCGAUUUAGUGAGCAUCCACAAUCAUGCUCUCUAUUUUUAAGUUAAAUUUUAGUUAAAAACAUAUAAAAGUUAUUUAGGAGCUCUCUAUAAAAUUUAAACUUCAAUCGUUUUCUAUAGUUUAGGGAGUCAUAAAUGUCAUAACUCUUUUUUGAUUGGUCCAUCUCUAUUAAAAAAUAAAAUAAAAAAUAGUUAGCAUGAAAUAAAGGUUUGAAAUACUCAUUAAAUAAAGCAGCAUUAAAUUAUAGGGAGCCACUAAGAGUCCUUUCUCUCUCCUCAAGUUUAGGAGCUCCUAGAGGUCUCCCUAUUUUAAGAGGUGGAUAGGGAGUAUGGUUGGAAUUGUAUUUUUACAAUUCCUCCCUAAAAAUUUUCUAUGGAUAGGUGGUUUUAAGGAACCCAUUGUGGAUGCUCUGAUCUCAAAGAAAGAAAACCUCGAGUUUGCAAGCAAGUUUUCUACGUAUGUAUAUAUGAAAAACUGACAUUUAUGAAAAUAAUAAAUCCAUAUUUUUAUGUAAGCCAACUUUCUAAAUCCAUGUACUAUAUUUAUUAGGGAAAUAUUGGAGAAACUGAUUAUUUUGAAAAAUUAAAUGUGAAAAACUGAACAAAAAUUUGACAGGUUACAUAUUUCAACUCAUUCAGCAGCUUAGGUUGUGAAGACCUCAGAAGAGGCUAUGCAAUGAGCCUAGCUAGUGCACUGUUGAUCACUUCAGUGUUUACCGAUCUGUAAUUUUUCCAGAUUGGUUAUAUUUUCCUUUACAUAUUCUUAUAUUUUUCCCAGUUGGGGAGACUUAUAAAUAAACCCAAAAUGGGUACAAUAUCUAUACAGAAGGACAAAAUUAAAGUGUUUGGACAAUAAUCCCCUAUUCAUUUUGGGAUUGCCUAAGGAAUUCUUUUUCUGAUUUUCAAUGAUGCAAAGGACUGUUGUUUGAUGCUUGCCGUAUGGAGCUAAGAAAACUUGCUUUGAUAGUUUUGGACAGAUGCAAGCUACUGUUGUUGGUAGGGGUGGGCACGGUCCGGAUUGGUUCGGUUUUACUCUCAAACCACAGCUGAACCAAUAAGAAAAUAACGGUUCGGUUUGGUUCGGAUUAGCCUAAAAUCAUAAUGGAAACCGAACCAAUCCAAACCACUUGUAAUCGGUUUGGUUCGGAUUGGUUCGGCCGGUUUGUGCCUAACACAAAACCAUGCAUUUUUCAACCUGCUCUUACAUUAUAAUGCUAACAUUUUGCCAUUAUAUCAUUCCAUUCCAUUCCAUCAAAGGCUAAUACAACAUCAUUCCAUUUAUUCAAAGGUUGUCCAAUGUCUAGCAUGCAUCUAAGUUCACAAUUUCCAUCAAAACAAACAUAUACAUAAUUUGCAUUAACCAAGUAGCAUUACAUUUACUCAUUGCAUUCAUCACAAUUCAUAAGAGAUGAGAACGAAUCAAUUUUACUUUAACAUAUUAAACAAAUGCAUUCUUUGUAAUAGUUAAACAUUCUCACAUCAUGAAUAUCGGCAAGCUUAUAAAGCUGCUGCACCAACUUGCUAAUUGAUUCGUCUGUACCAGGAACAACAGUAGUAAUGCGAGAGAACCCCUCAACUUCUGCAUGGCCAACAGCUAAACUCUGGAAACGAGAAACCAGCUCAAUUAUAACAAAUGCCUAAAACUUCUACCUUAACAGAAGACAAAGGAGGAAAUAACAGCAGAAGGAAACCAAAUUUCUCAAUUUAAUAACUGAUAUUUCCAAAGGAUUCUUAAGUCUAAAAUUCGACCAAGACUUGAUUAACUAUUCCAAUGUCUAGCAUGCAUCUAAGUUUAUAACUUUGUUCCUUCUUUAACAAAAAGAACAAGGAGAAAAAGCUAAUAAUAAGGUAUCCUUCUUUAACAGGCAUCAAGCAUAUCACAUAAGCAACAUUUUAUAUACAUUAUUCUAUGAACAAAACUAAAUCAAAGCAAGGUAUGCUACAGUCUUUUUGUACAAUAAAAUAGAUUAACAUAUUUUAUAACCAUAAAAAUGAAAAAUUAGGCCUCAUAGAAAAUACCAUUUUAUUUUUCAACUCUCUAACUUUUUAUAUAACCAGUUAUUGGAGACAAUACAAAAAAUAAAGUAGUAGACAGAACUAGCAUAUUUUACAAACCCAGCUGAUGAUGACGAUCCACCACCAACAAUAUUCCCAUAAUCAAUCCUUGCAUAACCUGAUGGUCGAUGAUGGAACUUGGGUUUUGUAGAGAUGGAUUUCGCUGAGGACAAAUGGGUGGGUUUCGCCGAGUUCGAAUCAUGUUGGCUUGAGUUAGCGUCGAGGGAGAGGGAGAGGGAGAUGUAGCAGAGAGACAAAGAGAGAGGGAGAGGUAGCAGAGAGAGAUGGAGAAAUAAUGAGAGGGAGUUGCGGCUAGGGUUAAGAGACGAAGGAAGGGAGAUAGGAGAGAGGCUCUUCUGAGGGAGAGAGAAUGGUUAGAUAACUUAGAUGUGUCCGUGAGUUGUAGUUUUGGAGUCCAAUCAAGUGUUGCAGGGUACAUGGUACACUCUUAAAUAACCACUCAAACCUUGCCACAUGUAAACUAAAUUAAAUAAAUAAUAAAUUGAUUUAUAAUCGGUCCGGUUCGGUUUAGGACAGUUUUUAAAACUCUCAAACCACAGCUGAACCAAACCAAACCGGUUCGGUUCGAUUUUUCAAAAUGUUGACUUUUUCUUUGGUCAAAACCAAACCAAACCAAUCCAAUAUAAUCGGUUCGGCUGGAUUGACCUGAUCGGCCAGAUUGAUGCCCACCCCUAGUUGUUGGGAUGAUCUUUUCACGUGAAAUGAGGAUGACGAUACUUCUACACUACACAAUCCAACGAAUUCACAUUUCUAUUUCAGAUACAUGUAUAAACAGACAAGGCUUUAAAAUAUGGGAUGCUGCACUGUUGUUGCUGCUGCUGACACUGUUACUGUGUUGCUGCUACUGUUACUGCGCUGCUACUGGAAGAAGGACAAGGACUUCACAUGUUGCUUUCGUCCUUUGUGGAGGAGAGAGACCUAGGACUUGCAUGUCUUAGAUAUUUAAGAUAAGGGGCUUUCGUGCCAUUUUGAAAAUACUUUGGGUGUUUUUGAAAGCUGCUUGUUUCUUUUGGGUUUCUCACUAAAUUUCGCUAUUAGAAGGGAAAAUAAUAAUAAUAAAAAUACAGCUCUUAUUAGCAACAGGGUUACAAAUUCUUCUACAACACACCAACUGUUGUAAAAGUUUGAAGGUGGAGCCCACAGAGGAAGUUUCCUUGCAUCUUCCAGGAACUUUCCCUUCCCUGUAUUUAUCAAUUCAGGAAGUUUCCUUGCAUCUUCCAGGAACUUUCCCUUCCCUGUAUUUAUCAAUUGAGGAAGUUUCCUUGCAUCUUCCAGGAACUUUCCUUCCAUGUAUUUAUCAAUUCAGGAAGUUUCCUUGCAUCUUCCAGGAACCUUCCCUUCCCUGUAUUUUACCAAAACCUUAGCCUAUAAAUAGGCUUGCUCAUUCACUUGUAAUACACACCAAAAUGAAGAGAAGAAUGAGUGAGGAAAGAAAGAAAGGAAGAGAAGGAAGAAAGAGGGUGAGUAAGUAGAGAGAAAAAUAGAGUGGAGAGAAAUUAGUGAGCCACAUAUAUUGUAAACACUAAAGUUGUAGCCCUAUUAUUUUACAUAGUGGAAAAGUUACUACUGCUGCUCUCCGGGGACGUAGGCAUAGCCGAACCUCGUUAAAUACUGUGUCUCAUUUACUUUACGUGCAGCUCAAUAUUCAUACAUAUUCCAGGUUAUUUUUAUAACACGUUAUCAGCACGAGAAGCUCUCAGGUAUAAUUUUUGUGCUGCACUAUUAUCUAUACUACUAACCACUAACAAAAAUGGACCCUUGGUAAUACUAAACAUAUUAUCAGUGGGAGACCGUUACUAAUACUAACUUUUUCUUAUUUUAUUCGGUGGUGGUUUUAACCCCACAUUUAUUUACUGUAUGGUGUAGGUUUAUUACCCAUACAUGCACCUUUACUUUAUCGCAAAUUUAUUUUACCGCAUAUUUAUUUUAUUUACUGUAUGGUGUAGGUUUAUUACCCAUACAACAGUAUUUAUUUAAAAGGGUGGUGCGAGUUUAUCGUCCACGCCUUUGCUUUUAUUUAAAUGUAUGGAGCAGAAUUAGUGCCCAUACAAGCACAAUUUACUUUACCGCACAUUUAAUUUUAUUUAAAGUAUGGUGCGGGAUUAACGUCCAUACAGCAAGCAAUUUAAUUUAUGAAUUUAAUUUACCGCACAUUUACAUUUAUUUAAAAGGGUGGUGCGGGUUUAUCGUCCACGCCUUUACUUUUAUUUAAAUGUAUGGAGCAGAAUUAAUGCCCAUACAAGCACCUUAACUUUAUGAAUUUAAUUUACUGCACAUUUACAUUUAUUUAAAGUGUGGUGCGGGUUUAUCGUCCAUACCAGUAAUUUAUUUAUCAGCAAUUUAUUUUAUGGAUUAAUUGUUUAUUUAUCAGCAAUUUAUUUUAUGGAUUAAUUGUGCUGUAUGAUGAGUUUUUCCAGUAUGCAGAUCAGGACCAGAAGUUCCUUGAUCCUCAUCAUACAAUUACAUCAGGACUUGAAGAUCCUUGAUGAUGAUAUUAAAAUGAGAGCUGGCAGUCUCACCGGUACUGUAUUUGUAAACAUGUGAUUGGACUUAAAGGUCCUUGAUCCCUGACAUGUAAAUAAGGACCUAGAGUUCCUUAAUGAUGUAACAGUACCGUAUUGGUUCAUAGUGCCGUACACAUUGAUGAUAACUGUACUGGCAGAUGAAUAGAUACGUAUUCAUGACUUGAUGAAUAGUACUAUUCACAUGAAUAGUGACGUAUGCAUAAAUAUUAACCAUUUUGGGUAAACCGUCACUAUAUACAAAAGGGAACCUGCAGUUCCUUAAACUCAUGGAUGAGCAAUUAAAUGAGAUGCCAGAAGUUCCUCAAAAUAUGGACAAUUAUGUAAGGGCUUGAAGUCCCGAAAUAUGUACAGAAAAUUGUAAAAAUGUCCAUACCAUGAGAAUAUGUGGCUUUGGCCUGAAGUUCCAAAUUUAACAGUGUUGAGAACCUGAAGUUCCAACAAUUAAAUGGACAACCCUUGAGGUAUUAUUGCAAAUUGUGGUAUGCCACAUAUUUCUUUGGCAUAAGAAGAUGAUGAAUUUAAUAAAGUUCGAUUUUGUUAUAAUCGACACCUCAAGGAAGAAAUAUAUUUUGUGAAUUCCGGUUGUUAAGAAUACACCGCGAAAUGGAUAAUAUUAAUAUAAACCUCAAAUAAUGAAUUGAGACUCCCCACAUAUUUUGUUAUAUCUGGGCCGGAAGCCCAUGGAUCCAAAUAUAUGAGAGAUCCUAAACUUGAAGUUGUGGGUAUAUAGUAGUUAAUGCUCUUCACUACUAUAUUGCGAUAUUAUCAUGGCUUUUACUCAAUUCAUAUUUCAUGUCCAUUUGAAAAGGGCAAAUAAAUUCUGAGUUUGUGCCCAGGCCAUAAGUUCCGGGCUACCAUACGUUGAAAUAUGAAAUUUGGGAGAGUCGAUGUGGUUAUUUGAACCUAUAAGGCACAAGGUUCCAAAUCGUCAUUUUGAAAAGACGUAAAAACCAAAGGUGCAAGUUUAAGAAUGUGCGCAAUUAUUAUUACAGGAACAUACAACAGAUAGAUUUUUUCCACUUGCAAUGAAGGUGCAGGCCCUGUAAAAUCUAUAAAAUUACAUUAUGUUCUGGAAGCCUCUGAAGGAAGAGGACGGCGCCUCUUAAGCUUAGCCAUGAGCUUCUCAUGGUCUCCCAAAAUUCUUUCAUUGGAGACCUGCAGCAUGUCUAGCCUUCUCAGUGUAUCAACAGAGUACGAACUCACCAGUUUCAACAAGGAAUUAUUCUCUCCUUUAAGUUUCUCAACCUCCUGUUGAGACUCAUGAAGCAUUCUUUGGAGAGACGAAUUUUCAGUUGUUAAAUUCUCAACCUCGUUUGCUCUGGCACGCAAACGAUCAGCCAUGUUAGAAACAGAAACAGCACUCUGAAUGCUAAAAGCCAUUGAGUCAUCAAUAGCCUCUUCCUCUGAUCUCCCCGUCAACAACAUUUCAUCCAUUGGAGUAAUGAAAUUCCUAGCUACUAUGACAGCAGUAGCAUCAUUCAUCAUCACAGAAUCAUUAACUGUGAGAUGACGAUUUUUGGAUACAAAGGAUGGACGCCAAACUUGGGCGUCACUGGUAGUUGUGGGAGUAUCAUUUAAAUUGAAAUAAUUUGGGCAGGAAGAAGAGGAAGCCAUUUUUAAGAAGGUUUCGAAGAAAGCCUUAGGAAAACUAAAGUUUCAUAAAAUGAAGGAAGUUAAGUUGAAACGCAAUUGCUCCAAUCAAGUUUUGCAAAGGCAAUAUCUAUAGACGAAAAUAUGGCAAUAUCUUCAGGAUUCCAAUAUCUUCUCGAAUCCCCAUAUUAUCUUUUUCUUUCCCAGAGUCCAAAACUUCACGUGGCCUCUAAUAAUGCCUGUCGGCACUUUCGGCGUUUUUCAAAGUAUUAUUUUCAAAGCCGAUCUUGCUUUACGGAUUUCACGGAACUACUUUUUCAAAAGUAUCCCGAGAAUCUCGCAAUUUUCCUAUGGUUAAUUUGAAAUUCACCGGUUCUACCUAUUUAUUGUAUUUAUGUAUAAAUGUGUUACUAACGAAAUUUUCUUUGCAAAAGACAUCCAGUUUUCUCCAUACCUAGUGAUGCGAUAUCUACUUAUUUUUCUUAUCAGUGAGCACUUAAUAUGCCUGAGAAGCAAGACUAUCUCUGAUCAUACAUUCAGGAAGCAAGACUAUCCCUGAUCAUGUUUCCGCUACAUUAGGGAACUGUGAAGGUGACCUUAUGCUCCAAUCUCCUGAGGUCUUUCUAGACUAGGAGAAAUGAGAGCUUGUUGUUUGCUCCCACCAGCUUCCUUCCUUGAUUGCUUACCUUACCUUGCAAUCAAUAUCACAAUCUUUUUGCAUUUUUUCUCUUUUUAUAACUCUCUGUUCAUAAGAGAUUUUAUUUCUUUAGAAUGAACAUCUGAAGAAUGAAUCCAUGAAGUAAUCCUAACUAUGAGGGUUAUUUGUUUUGACAGAGGCAAAAGAGUUGUGAUUUUUGCUCUUGCAGGAUAUAACUAGAUCAUCAAGCGCUACAUUAUAUUUACUGGGCUGAUAUGAGCUUGAAUGAUACUUGAGAAAAGUUUCUCCCACCUAAGGAUGUAAGCAAUACUUGUGUUAUUUUAUGCUUAUAUACCUAUUUGAUAUUUUAUCUUGAAAGGUAACUAAAUGGGGAGAUAAGUCCGUUCCAAAAGAAUGACUUGUAUGUAUCCAUGAAUUAUUAAUGCAAAUUUUACAGAUUGCAAGUUGGAUACAUUGAUAAUACACUGCACAGAUUAAAGUCCCAUAAGAACAGAAUAUGGGUAUAGCAGUGAUCAAUAUGAUGCACGCCUAUUGCGUAGCAAAUGAUAUGGAUUGAAGUCCCGAAAGGACAAUCCUUUGACAUUUCAAUAUUGAUAUUAUGCACGCCUAAUGCGUAGCAAAUUAUAUGGGUUAAAGUCCCAUAAUAUGGGUUAAAGUCCCAUAAAUUAAUUGACAUGUAUGUAUUAAUCUGUGGCAUGCCUGCAGCAUGACAGAUAUAUGGGUUCUAAAUGUUCCAACUCCCUAAAUGGAGAUUAUCCACGCCCUACUAUAAAAUAACGCUCCAUUGGAGGUUAUAAUCCACAUUCUCACAUAAUAAAAGCCCCCUGCAGUGGCUUGGGUACCCAAAAGCAAAGAAAUGCUUAUAAUUGAUGCAUGCGCAUGCACAUGAGAAUGGUGGGAUCAUGAAUUGAUGAAUGACAAUUUUUGAUCAUGAAUUGAUGAAUGACAAUUUUUGGUUUUAGAGUAGCUACUCAAAUCAUCAAUGGGCUGUGUUGAUUGGAACCACGUUCAAUUAUUAAAUGUCGACAAUAUCAUUGGCCAAAAUGGAACGAGGUAAUUCCAUUAUAAAUGAGAAUGAACGUGAAAGAACAAACCCACAAUACGAACCCCAAAAUUUGUUAAUACUAAAAGUUAUACUUGGGUGUUCGGAAUAAAAGGAAAUAUAUCUACUUUGUAUGACACACUGUUUCUGGCAGAAACAAGGAAUGUUGGGUUUUCUCCAUAUUUACAGAUUCAAUUGUGCCCCCCUUAUUACACAAUUACGGAGACCAACAUAUUAUCUUUAAGGGUUAUUAAUGCACAGAGCAUAUCGCCAGAAGCGAUUUCCUAAAGAUGUAUAAAUAGCUGGGUAAAAGCUAUAUAAUGUGUCAUAAAGUUUAAUCCCUUUUAACCAAAAUCUGUUGAGAGGAUUGAUAUUGCAUAGAGCAAGUCCCUAAAGAACAUGUGCUUGAAGCACAAAAUUUGUACUCAAUAUUAAUAUGCAUAAAUUACCUCAGUGAGUACAUUGAUUAUAAUGUGAUUGCAACACAUUAAAGCUUCUGCAGAAUUCAUGAAAUAUUUGUCUCGAUCGAGCAUUAUGCCAACGAGAUUCUUGCUUAUACUAAGAAAGUAUUAAAGUAUUUUUAUGAGGAUUAUCCGUUGGACACUUUAAUGAUUUUCCGGAAGUAUAUUGGACCGGACAUCAUAUUUUCCAGAUAGGGCUCAACUCCAUCACCAUCAUUUUGGGAUGAUGUGAGGUAUAUUUGAUGCUAUCUAAGCAUAACACCAUAUAGGGGCAUAUUUUUUUAGUGAACUUAUAAAUAGCCCAAGUGUUCUAAGAUAUGCGGACUCAGGAAAUCUCUAUGGUCGCUUACUGGAAAAAGCUAGUCAUGAAGUUUUCAGGGGGAGAUAUUCAUCAGGGAGAGCAUGGUAUUAAUAAAGACCUUCAUACACUAUUGACUCACAGCAGCAGUGUCAACUAUGAUAUUCAGACAGAUGAUCAACAGUAUGGCUUAAAGAUAUUUUGCCAAGCAUCAGGGGGAGCGUGCUGUCAAUACAGACCCUUACCCACUGUACUCUUUUUCCUUCGUCCAGGUUUUUAUCCCACUGGGUUUUUCCUGGCAAGGUUUUAACGAGGCAGUGUCGCACGCGCGUCAAUAUACACAGAAUUUUAUGUUACACGUGAUUAUGUACUCUUUUUCCCUUCGACCAGUUUUUGUCCCACUGGGUUUUUACUGGCAAGGUUUUUAACGAGGCAUAUUCCAUAUCAUUUGUGGUCUCCAAGGGGGAGUGUUGUAAAAGUUUUAAGGUGGAGCCCACAGAGGAAGUUUCCUUGCAUCUUCCAGGAACUUUCCCUUCCCUGUAUUUAUCAAUUGAGGAAGUUUCCUUGCAUCUUCCAGGAACUUUCCUUCCGUGUAUUUAUCAAUUCAGGAAGUUUCCUUGCAUCUUCCAGGAACCUUCCCUUCCCUGUAUUUUACCAAAACCUUAGCCUAUAAAUAGGCUUGCUCAUUCACUUGUAAUACACACCAAAAUGAAGAGAAGAAUGAGUGAGGAAAGAAAGAAAGGAAGAGAAGGAAGAAAGAGGGUGAGUAAGUAGAGAGAAAAAUAGAGUGGAGAGAAAUUUCUCCAAGAGAGAAAAAUUAGUGAGCCACAUAUAUUGUAAACACUAAAGUUGUAGCCCUAUUAUUUUACAUAGUGGAAAAGUUACUACUGCUGCUCUCCGGGGACGUAGGCAUAGCCGAACCUCGUUAAAUACUGUGUCUCAUUUACUUUACGUGCAGCUCAAUAUUCAUACAUAUUCCAGGUUAUUUUUAUAACACCAACAUCAAUCUAGCCCUGAUCCACUCUUUUACAUACUUGAAAACAAAACAAAACACGAAAAACAAAAAACAACAGGGAGAAAAUGGCUCCGGAGAGACUUACUGCUAAUACUUGAUCAAUAACAGAGAUAAUAGAGCACACUGUUUGUAUGGCAGUGAGUAUCAGAAGAAUAAUAGCUGCCCAAGGUGUGUUGAAAUACUUUUGUCUCAAAUUUGCCUUCCAUAUGUUCGUGGUCUUCUCGCAAUACUCGUUUAGUUUGCCAGCAAGAUCACCAAAAUAGUAGUUUCCCUGGUUAAUCAUAAUGGAAACCUUACUGUUGUCACCUAGCGUGUUUACAACAAUUCCAUUGUCAACAAGCAACUCUACAUCCUUUGGGGUGUUUACAAAUUUAUCCAGGAUGAAAACAUAAUCGCUUAAUUAUUUAUUAACGCAAUGGCAUUGUUCAAAGGCAAUGAGAUUUCUAAGUGUAAGCUCUGUGUAAUCAUGUAUUUCAAUUUUUGGAAUUUCCAAGGUGUUUUUCAAGAACUGUAUAUCGAAUAAGUUCUUGCUUGAUUCAACGUUAAACUUAACUCCGGCCUGGUGUAGUUUUGUCAUGCCGGGUGUACUUUGGAGCCCUACAUUUUCUUUUAGGGUUGGAUCUGGCAGAUGUAAAGUUCUAAUAAAAUCAACAAAUUGUACAGGUUUUUUAGGAUCAGGAGGCAUAAAAGACUUACGGAAGGCUGGUGAGUUCUCCAAGUUUUCUAAACGCAGUGCCUGUUGGAAGAACCUGUAAGAGAGUUCAAUUAUUGAAGGCUCCCCAGUCUGGGCACCUGUAAGAUUGUAAAGAUCCUCGAGAAUGAAAAAUGGCAGCUGAUUUUCUAGCAUAAGCAUGUCAGGCAAUAUAUUUUGUAGCACCCAUGGUUUUUUAAAUAUCCAAGCAUUAUCAUCCGGCAAUUUUUCUUCCUGAAAUUUUUCUUCGGAUUUAUUCCUCAACAAUAGCUCAAUGACAAAGGCGGCAUCAACUAGAAUGAUAUUCACAAAAGCGGCAAUGUUAAACUUCUUAGUGUCUUCAUAAUAAUGACGGAGUUCAACUUCUCUCUCCUUUAGGUACCUGAGUUUGUGAUCUUCCAUGGCUUCUAAGUUUUUGCUGCCAUGGUGAAGUGGGCCUAUUGAGACUACUUGUGGUGUGUAGGCCUUUUGUUUUACGUUCCGUAGUCGCUCAGGCACCCUGUAGAUACUGCAGGCAGGGGACAGGGCACGGAAGUUUGUCAACUGAUUUUCCAUGGAAGUUGCUUGGUUUUCUAUGUCAAAAGAAGCUUCAUUGCUGCUUUCUUCCACUUUCUUCCUCCGCAUUAUGUGUUGUUCUGAUUGUAAGUGACGAGGAUGGUGAUGAUUCUAGACACCAUAAUCAACAAAUGUUUCAAUCAUAAUUGACAUUUCAAGAUGCUCCGACAAAAAAUUAGAAAACAUUCAUCACAAAAUGCGAACUCAUACAACAGAUGGGUUGAGAAGAUCCACACAUUGCAAUCAUACAAUCCAAUUGAACAGGGAUUACUCCCUAUUCUCCUCUCUCUCUAAAAAAGAUUUUCAUAUCGAUAACAUCUUAUUGCAAGGGACUUGUACAUCAAGUGGUGAAGAACAGAAAUUCAUAUUCUUUCAAUCAACAAAUUUCGAAGAAGUUUGUUUGUUUUAUUUUUGGGGGAAAAAAAUCUGAGCAUAUAUAGAUGCAUAUUAUACGUAGACCUAAGGUGAAAACAUACCAGAUUUUUACUCCAUUUUUCAUGAGGUUUAAGUUCUUGAUGUAUAUAUUUAUCUCAAGUGUAACAUCCCACAUUGAUCAACGGAGAGGGGGUGAUGUGCCUUAUAUGUACAUGCCAGCCUUCAUCUAGCACGAGGCUUUUUGGGAGCUUAUUGGCUUUGGAGUCAUAGGAACUCUGAAGUUAAGCGAGUUGGAGCUAGAGCAAUCCCAGGAUGGGUGACUCACUGGGAAGUUGCUUGUGAGUUCCCAGAAACAAAACCGUGAGGGCAGAGAGGAGGGCCCAAAGCGACCAAUAUCAUGCUACGGCGGAGCCGAUUCUGGGAUGUGAUAAUUUGGCAUCAGAGCUACUCUGCCGUGUGGUGUGAGUGUGCCGACGAGGACGCCGAACCCUUGAGGGGGGUGGAUUGUAACAUCCCACAUUGACCAACGAAGAAUGGGUGAUGUGCUUUAUAUGUAUAUGCUUGCCUAUAUCUAGCACGAGGCCUUUUGGCAGCUUACUGGCUUCCGAGUCAUAGGAACUCCGAAGUUAAGUGAGUUGGUGCUAGAGCAAUCCUAGAAUGGAUGACCUACUGGGAAGUUGCUCAUGAAUUCCCAGAAAAAAAAAGCUGUGAGGGCAGAUAGGGGGGCCCAAAACGGGCAAUAUCGUGCUACGGCAGAGCCGAUCUUGGGAUGUGACAUCAAGAAUUUAUAUCCUCCCUUUUCAGAUCUCAUGUUCCAGUCAAUACAUAACGAAACAUAAGAAACUAAAGUCUUGUUUAUACCCAUCCUCCCACCCACCCACGGCCAUCCACCCCUACCCCCUAUCUCCAUUAAAUCUACAAGUAGCUCAUCAAUUUCUCCACCAUCCCAAGUUCAAUAUACCACCCAACAACCAUCUUACCCAUCUUCUCAUUGAUCUUCCACCCAACAUCCAACACUAUCUUCAUAAACUCUUUAGCUUAAUCUCUCUGUUGCUUUUGUUUUUUGUUUUUUAGAAAUUAAAUUUUUUAGUUUAUUUUUUUGUUGGUACAAAUUCAAUGAUAAAGAACAUCGAACUCGUCGCAACAUCCUGUUCUAGAUCCAAGCUCUACCACCAUCACAACCCUCUCUUGACCUCCGACCAACCUUAACACCCAACUUCAAAUCUAGGUUGUUUGAAACCCAGCCCCCAACAACCCCCCCAAGUCAUCCCAUUGCAACUGACUUGUAGAUGAAGUAGUAAAGAACAAAAAGUCAUAUUCUUCCAAUCAAAACGUAUCAAGUCAAACAAAAUUUCUAGUUAGUUUGCUUUAUGAUAGUUGUUUUUUGAAGGGGUCCUUAGAUCCAAUCUCAAAAAGUUUGACUUUUAUUAUGUUUAACUCUAGUUUUUUGCAAUUUUUUUUUAUCUCUACCCACUAACUUUUAUCUCUCAUUUUUAUUACCCAUUUUACCCUUUAAAAUAAAUAUAGUAAUAAACUAAAAAUUCUGAUUUAAUGCAUGUUUUGCUCAUAAGAGAACUAAAACCUAAAAAUUCUAUACUCUUACACAAAAAAUAAAAAAUAAAAACUAAAAUUAAAAUGGUUAUCAAACAGACCCUUAUAUUACAAAAAACCUUAACUGACCACCUUAUAUGGCAACUGAUNNNNNNNNNNNNNNNNNNNNNNNNNNNNNNNNNNNNNNNNNNNNNNNNNNNNNNNNNNNNNNNNNNNNNNNNNNNNNNNNNNNNNNNNNNNNNNNNNNNNUAGCAUUCUAAAAAAAGUGGCCUCAUGGCAGCAUUCAUUAAUUGACAUGGCAUGACACAUCAGUUGCCACAUAAGGUGGUCAGUUAAGGUGGUCAAUGUUGUGUGUCCAAAUAGCAUUACUAAAAAAAAAUCAAAUAUUGAACUCAUCAUAAGAGAACACAGAAAAACCUCACUGCUUGCAACUCUUACACCACCACUACACGAACAGAACAACUGCUAAUUAAAAUGAGUCACAUGUCACAUGUCACAUGUGGUACUUAACUCUAAAAACUUAUUUAGAUUAUAUAUCCAUAUUUAUAUAUCCUACUCCUCGAUCAAAACAACCAUGAAACAUAAGUGACUUAAACCUCUAGGCAAAUGGACGGUAUAUAGCAAUUUAUAGAACAAUACAGUAAUCCAGAAGAAAUAUUAUGAAAUAAAAAAAAUAAAAAGUAAAAAAAGAGAAGGAAAGGAAUUCCCACCUGAUAUGUAUAUCUAUGAAAGGAAGGACCAAGUUUGUUUUGCCUUUGGUUAAUGACUAGAAAAGCUCACUUGUAUAUUGCUUUCUCCGGCCGUAGAUGCAAGAGAAAUUUUCUCUUAAUAAUAGCACAAUGAUCGGGUAAUCGUAAGAACAAGUUGAUUUAAAAUUCAGGUCAACUCAUAGAUUUCUUGCCUUUUCUAUUCUCCUUCCUUGGACACGAGCUGUUUAAUCUUGGAAUCUUCCCCCAUCAUGUUGGGCCAGUCUUCUUCUUGAGGAUUGUAUAGGCCCAGGAAAUGCUUGGAGGUAGUUUUUGUGUAUUGGGCCUUGAGACCCAACUUCACAAAAAGAAAACAGAUUUGACCAAAAAAACAAAUUUGAAGGACAUUGAAAUUGUACCUGUAUGAUAGGUUAAAACACUGUAAGGGAGGUAAAUAGUACGUUUACAGAGUUUAAGUGUAAUAAAGGAAUAAAAACAUGCCCAGAGCACUACUACAAUUUUUCCCUGUCCUGGCAACCCUUUGUGAUCGGUAAAAACACCAUUAUUGACGGAACUUCGUCAGUAAUUGCUUCUUGACGACUGCAGCGACGAAAAUGAGUAUAGUCAGUAAAAGUCCCGUCAGUGUUACUAUUACUGACCAACUUUUGCAACUUAUUCGUCAGUAGAGGUGUGUCUCUGACACAAGUCAUGAAGUGACUCUAAAUUAUUACUGACAAAACAAAUAGCCACUAUUAAACAAGCUUUUGUCAGGAUUAUUAUUUUAGGAUGGAGUACUAGUGGCAAAGAUUUGUCAAUAUUGUUUUCAACAAAAAAAAAAAUUCAGUCAAUUUGCUUCUGAGCUGAUGCGCCUUUAGAUAUCCUUUUCUGAAAUGUCUUUUGUUUUCUAAUAUAAUGGAUGUUUUUCUUUAAUAAAAAUUUAAUGGAUUCUGAAAAUGUAAUAACAAUUAUAAAUACUCAUAGAUUGAACCAUUCAACCCCCAUCCUUAUAAAUAUAAACUACCAAUGUCGAUUACAAUAGCCAAAUAUUACAAAGUCUGCCUACAUCAGUAGAGUUCAAAAACUUUAGGUGCCCUUACUAUACAAAAGUAUGCAAUUCCAAAUAUUCAACAAAUACACUACAAAAGCAUGCAUACCCCAAUAGGGUCCAAAAUACAACGUCAGCAACUAUAUAUACCAAAAAUGCAUAACACUAAGUAACUGCAUCUAUUCAAGUCCAUGAGUACCUUGAUCUGAUUCUAAAAAGUCUGUCUCACUUGGGUAUGCAUCCCCCCUCAGCAAUCCAGUUAACCCACCAAUAGGAGUAACUGACCUGGCUUGAUAAGGCAUUUGAUGGAACAUCUGCGGCGAGUAAUAUGACAUAUGGAAUGGGUUUGGCAGCUGCUGGUACAAUGGGUGAUGCGAAGCUGACGAGCACGAUAACAUCUGCCUCAUUUCCUCAAUCUCUUGCUGGUUAUGCUUCAGCAACUCUUGCGUCGCCUUCAAUUCAGAACGCCAAUGAUCCUGGUCAUGUUUGUACCUUUCUUGUAACUCUACAUACUGUGACUCAAGGUGAACAUAGUCGUGCCCUCGCAAUCUCUUGGAUGACCCUGCUUUCGUUUGAAUCCAAGGCACCUGAUGGGGUUUCACCCCAAGUCCUUCACCACGAACACUAUUAUUUGUCUCAGGACCCAUUGCCUCAACAUAAGCCCUUCUUCGUGUCUCUAAAUUAUCAGGACAUUCAUCUUCAACCAAUUCCUUCAACUUUUCCUGCAUUUCAGCCUAACAAAAACAAAAUAUAUAUCCUUCUCCAUCAAAUUGUGGUCAUCAUAGAACUAGCCCAAUAAACUCUACAAUGAUGAAUUGCAUUAUGUAAUAAAAAUUUAGGCCAAUUAGUCUUCUGGACCUCUACUGUUUUGUUUUUCAUAUGCUUAAACAAAUAAAAGAACAUAAAGAAUAGUGAACAAGAAAAAAAAACUACCUCCAAACAACUUUCCAUAUGCUUAAAAAAAAAAAAAAAAAAAAGUCAACCAAAACAAAAUAAGAGAAACAUCCUGGACUAUGGCUAACAAUUCCUCAUGAAAAUGAACUUAUAUAUAAUUAUUCCAAUAUAUAGUCCAUAUGCUUACAUAUUUCUGCUCAGCCACCAAGUUAACCCAUGAUCGAUCUUCGUCACGCCGUGUAUGCUUAUCUUGGAAAAACCAAAUAGGAUCGGGGUCUUCACCAUGUUUCUUAUUCUUAGCAUGCAAUCAAUAAAAUAAAAUAAGAUAAUCAAUUAGCUAACACGACCUCAUAUGCUCAAUAUUUGAAUAUAGUAAAGAGUAAACAUUCAAGUGCAUCAUCAAAACUGACAUAUUGUGCUUUGCUGCGAGCAUAAGACUUUGUUCUAGAUGUGUGAUUCAAUGUUUGUUUACUCCGAUUUUCAACAUUUCUUUUAGCUUGCUCCUUUUAUUAGCAAAAACAAAACAUACUUAAUCAUUGCACAGAUUAUAUAUACUGAGUGUUGUGUAAUAAUACGUACUGCAAUCUCAUCUUUUUCCCAAUGUUCAACCAACACCCUCCAUUGAUCUGGGUCUACACGAGAAUCCCCACAUUGCCACCGUCUUUUACUUCCUGUGAAAGGCUUAUAAUAAGCUUUCUUCAAAUCACUCUUGAAACUUCUCCACAAUUUUUCAAUAUUCUUCAUUGUUACAUCCUUGAAGACAUGAAUCAUAGGUUGUUGUUCAGGACGAAAUUCAAUGGUGCCCUGCAUCCACAAUAAGGUAGUCUUACAUCAAGUUGAAAUAUACCUAUUAAACUCAAUUUCAUGCAAUAAGUAUUCAAUAAUUUUAGGAAAACCAAACCCGUAGAGUGUCCCAGACAUCAAGUUUGCAAGAGUCUGGUACUUUUUCCCAUUUUAAAUACUUGAUCGGAAUUAGAUUGGCAUCCCGCGCCAAAAUACCCAUGUAUCUAGAAAAAUGGGGACUAUUGUCACUAAUAACUCUGCCAAAUGGAGAUAAAUCAACUGACUCUUUUUUGUUAUUUAGAAACCAGUUGCAUUUCCCUUGACCUCGACCUUGCUUCGCCUCCUUGCCUACAUGAAAAGUUAAUUUUAACUGAUCAAUACAACAAGAAAAUAAUAAGAAACUGUAAGGUAAUAAGUUUCUCACACAUUAUUCAAAUGAAAAAUUAGCAUAGCUAUUUGGAGAUGAUGUGAUCGUGAAACAUCCCAUAUUCAAUACAUUUGUAUAUGAUUAAAACAUACCAAUUUAUUAAAAGAAAAAGGAAAAGAAAACCAACAUACCAGUAGCACUUAUAGAACCAUCUCCCUCUAGACUAUCCCUAAAGUCAGCGUUGGGCCCUUCUUGUGAACUAUCUUGAGAACUGCUCAUCUAAAAAAUUUGAUAUGCAUAACAGUGAAGGGGUAACAAAUUAAUCAGACAUCAUUGGUAAAAGAAACUAUUACUUCAACAUUCUAAUACAAAACAAUCUACUAAAGAAAUUCUUGUACAAUAUUCUUAAAAUUACGUAGUCCAUUUAAGCUGACAGCUCAUCAAAAUACAUGAAAAAUUCAAUACUCCAUGUCAUCAUAAAGCUCAUCCUCGUUUUCAGUAGAGAGAUCGUCUGAAGACUGUUCAUCUUCUUCAUCCUCAUUUCCGGGCUCAUGCUCAUCUACCAUCUCAUCCAUAUCAACCCUAAUAUGAAAUUCCUCAUUGUCUAGCAGCUGAUCAUCAAGAUUCGGAAUGGCAUAAUUAUCAGUAGCACUUAAAAGGGUUAUCUAUAGUUGGAGCUAGAUCACUAUCUUCUAGCACAUCAAAAAAAUCUCUUGGUUGAGUUUGGGUUGGCACAUGCCAAUGACUGUCUUCUGGAUCUACAACAUAAAACACUUGUGUAGCUUGAGAAGCCAAUAUGAAAGUGUGUCUUUCGUUUGUCGCAACCGAUUGAAACUAACCAAAGGGAAACCAUACCCAUCAAACCUCAUCCCCCUAUCACUAGCAGUAUCAACCCAAUCACAGUUAAAUAAUGUAAUUUUCCGACCAUUAUCAUUCUGUUCUAUUUGACCCCCGUAAUUAAGUUCAUAAAUCUCUUUAAGAACACCAUAAUAAUCAACAUUGCCAAUUACUGGAUUGCGAUCUCUUGCGCUUGAGUAACUAGAUGUCUCUGCACAUUGAAAUACACCACUAUUCUGAUUCUUCUUUUUAUCGUCUACUGAUUUAAUCCGGAACCUACACCCAUGAAUUAUGUGAUUCUUAUACUUGUUCACAAAUCUACUAGGACCAAUUGAUAGCCAACGCAAGUCCUCAGAUAUUGACAGAUCAUGGGCUGUGUACAAUUUAGUAACCUAUAAUUUAAAACAACAACUAAAGUAAAUAACUUUAAUUAAAAAUAUGGUGCAGCAACAUAAAAUGAAUCAUAUUACAACUAAACAUACUUACAUGAUCCUUGAACCAAGUUGGAAAUAUCUUAUUUCUCAUCCCCUCAAUUUCCUGUAUGGUCUUCCGUCGAUUACUUUGUCUCAAUUCUUGGAAGCAUUUUCUGUUUUACAAUAUAAUAUAAUGACUUGUUAGUUAUUAAUUCAUAAUUGAGGAUUGAAAAAAAAAAAUAUCAACAACUUGCUUGUUUUUAUUCAUAAAUAUCUUACUCUAAAAAAGGGGAAACUUCAUCGCAAUUGAACAAGACCACUCUGCGACAUUGGUCCCAAACAUCUUUGUCAAGAUAUAUUUGUUCAGCUGAACCCUUAGAAUGACAUGAAGAGUCAAAAACUUUUAGCUCCCCAAUGACACCACGACCAAUACCAUCAGCAUUUCGACCCUUUCGAUUCCUUCGAGUCUCAACGUUGCUAAGAUACAUGGUACACAUAGCUAAUCCCUCGUCGACAAGAUAUCCUUGUUCCAUACUUCCUUCAGGAUAACUCUUAUUCUGAACAUAUUUCUUUAAUGUUUGUAGGUAUCUAAAGAUAUGGCAAAAUUGAACAUGUUAAUUUACAAUUAAAAUGGAAAACUAGAAAUAAUAAAUAAGAUUUGAACUAAUUACCUUUCAAUGGGAUACAUCCACCGGUAUGGGGCAGGCCCUGCGAUUGCAGCCUCAUCUGCCAAAUGCAUGAUUAAGUGUACCAUCACAACAAAGAAGGAAGGAGGGAAUAUCUUUUCCAUCUGGCAUAAUGUCACUGCAAUCCGAGGUUUUAAAGCCAUGUAUGACGCUUCAUAUUCCUUCUUACUACAUAACCGUCUAAAAAUUGCACUUAGCUCAAGCAAAACAAUGGUAACAGCUUUUGGUAAUACUCGUCGUAUUGCAAGGGGCAGCAGCUGUUGCAUUAUAAUAUGAUAGUCAUGACUUUUCAAUCCGUGUAUUUUUCUCUCAUUCACAUUAACACAUCUAGACAGAUUUGCAGAAUACCCAUCAGGAACUCUCACAUUUGCCAAGACUUCGCAAAACAUUGUUUUUUCCCUUUUCCUCAUGUCAAAAAGUGCUGGAUCAAAAACUUCCUUACCUUUCCCAUUUAUAUAAGGGUGCUGUUUUCUCCUUAUAUUCAAAAUUUGAAGGUCCUUACGAGCUUUUAUUCCAUCCUUUGUCUUCCCAGGAAUAUUUAACAGUGUACCUAAAAUGUUUUCACAAACAUUCUUUUCAAUAUGCAUUAGAUCAAGGUUAUGCCGUAUCAAAAGAUAUUGCCAAUAUGGUAACUCAAAGAAUAUGCUUUUCUUCUUCCACUGAACUUUGUUACUAUUUAUAUUCGUUGUGGGAUAGGUAUUUGUAUUCCUAAUGGGACAAGAACAUUUUUUGGGUUUUCCUUGCCCAACAAAAACAGCUGACUUCUUUUUGGGUUUUCGAAAUGUGAAUGUCAAACUUGACAAUUUUUCUAAACACUGUGAACCUGUCAAGGGAAUAGGUGGAAGAGCAUGUUCUUCCUUACCGUUAAAGGCUGCUUUAUCUCUUCGAAACCUAUGUUGUAUAGGUAGAAAUCUCCGAUGACCCAUAUAACACAUCUUACUACUAUUUGCCAAAUGCAUUGAGACUGUAUCAUCCAUGCAAUGCGGACACGCUUUCUUCCCCUUCGUGCUCCAUCCUGAAAGAAUUGCAUAUGCGGGAAAGUCAUUAAUCGUCCAUAACAAUGCAGCCUUCAUUGUAAAAGUUUGGUUGGCAAACACAUCAAACGUCUUAAUACCAACCUCCCACAACUCUUUCAACUCAUCGAUUAAAGGCUUCAAAUACACGUCAAUAUUAUUGCCAGGCCCAUCAGGACCAGGAAUUAUUAACGAUAACAAUAAAUUUGGUUGCUUCAUACACAUCCAUGGAGGCAAAUUAUAAACUGACAGUACAACAGGCCAUGUACUAUGGGGUUUGUUCAUAUUUGAAAAGGGAUUAAACCCAUCACUUGCAAGCCCCAAUCGCACGUUGCGUAUCUCCGAAGAAAAUUCAGGGUAUAAGGAAUCUAAAUGCUUCCAUGCACGAGAAUCUGAUGGGUGCCUCAUGAAUCCAUCUUUAGGACAUUCGGUUGCAUGCCAUCUCAUAUCUUCAGCGGUAUGCUUCGACAUAAACAAUCUUUGCAACCUUGGUUUUAAUGGAAAAUACCGAAGAACCUUGGUUGGAACCUUAGCUGAUGUGUUCUUACUCAAAGAACCUCCCACAAUAUUGACUUUGUACCUUGAGGCACCACAAAGUGCACACUCAGUCAAGUCUGAUGUAUCUUUCCAAAACAGCAUACAAUCAUUGGGGCAAACAUCAAUCCUCUUGACUGUAAGUCCCAACUCCCUAAUGAUUUUUUUAGCAUCAUAAUUAUUUUUUGGUAAACAAUUCCCCUCUGGCAACAAUUGUUUAACCAAUUGUAACAGCAUUGUAAAGACAUUAUCGCUUCCCUAAACAUUUAAUCUGGAACAGUCUUACAACAGAAUACAAUUUCUUAUAUUUACACCUAGGGUACAACUCCAUAUCUGCUUCUUCAAGUAACUUAUAAAAUAUUUCAGCCUCAGGUGUUUGGCCAUCAAAGAUAGGUGGCUCUGUCGAAGUCCCAACAGUUUCUCCAAUUAUUGGUUGCACAAAGGCUUCAUUGAGAAAAUCAUGAAUGUCAUCUAUACAAACUUCUUCAUUAUGAACUGAUUCUAUAUCCUCUUGGAAUGGUAAAUUUGUCAUGGGCUCCCCAUGAUGCCUCCAAGGGCCAUUCAUAUAUGUGGGAUCCAUUCCUUUUUCUAUAAGAUGAAGCUGGAUGAUGUUUCUUUCAUAGUGAUAACGGUUACAACAUUUUUUGCAAGGACAUAUGACCCUCUCUCCAAAACCCACUUUGGCAAAGACGUCAUCUAAAAACAUUCUCAUUCCGUCUGCGUAUUCCUUACAAUUUCUCCUUAAAUGUACCCAACUUUUAUCCAUAGUUCACCUAUAUUGAGUGCAAGGCACCAAAUACAAUUAUUCAGCACAGAUCAUCCCUCAUACUUAUUGUCUAUAAAUUCCUAUCAGGUGGGUCAAUUUAUUAUCCAUUAGAUGACCCUCAUGACCAUCUACAUCAAUUCACAAGAAAAACCAAAUUAAAAUAACAAAAACCUGAGUCUAAAGAAUAUAUUAACUAAGAAAUUGCACAUUCAUUCAACUGAAGAAAAGAACUAUAACACCAAACAACUAGACCCACUUAAUAGCUAAAGAAACUCACGUCAUAACAACAAAGUAUACAUAUUAAACAACAUAUCAACUCAUAGAUAAAAGCCCGAUAAUCUCAAUACUAUGAACAAUCUUAUUCAAAAAUAAUAAGAUAACAGCAACAUAAUAGAAAAAAGUAAAGGGAAACACACCUGGAUUCUAAGUUUCCAACAACAAUUCAACACUCCUGCAGUAGAUUAAUACAUACAUACCCACAUAUCAAACUUCACCAACAAAUAAUAAAAAAUUAAAACAAGAGCUUUGAAAAAUCAAAGGAUUCGUGUCACAUCCCGGAAUCGGCUCCGCCGUAGCACGAUAUUGUCCGCUUUGGGCCCCCCUCUCUGCCCGCACGGUUUUGUUUCUAGGAGCUCACGAGCAACUUCCCAGUAGGUCACCCAUCCUGGGAUUGCUCUAGCCCCCAACUCGCUUAACUUCGGAGUUCCUACGACUCCGAAGCCAGUGAGCUCCCAAAAGGCCUCGUGCUAGAUGGAUGCGGGCAUGCACAUAUAAGGCACAUCACCCCCUCUCCGUUGGUUGAUGUGGAAUCUUACAAUCCACCCCCCUUAAGGACCCGACGUCCUCGUCGGCACACUCGCACCACACGGCAGAGUGGCUCUGAUACCAAAUUGUCACAUCCCGGAAUCGGCUCCGCCGUAGCACGAUAUUGUCCGUUUUGGGCCCCCCUCUCUGCCCGCACGGUUUUGUUUCUAGGAGCUCACGAGCAACUUCCCAGUAGGUCACCCAUCCUGGGAUUGCUCUAGCCCCCAACUCGCUUAACUUCGGAGUUCCUACGACUCCGAAGCCAGUGAGCUCACCCCCUCUCCAUUGGUUGAUGUGGGAUCUUACAAUUCGUUUAUAUCUUGGAAUAAAAUCAGUAUUCUAAUUUUUAUAUCUAAUUGGAAGGAUUCAUGGGUCAUUACCUACACUAAAAUACUUGAAAAAAUAAAAUAAACAAACAAAAUAAGAACAAAAAUUUCACCAGAACAGAGGCACAAAAAUCUCACCAAAACAGAGGGCCUCUUUAAUGAAGGACAACCAAGUCAGCCCCAAUUGAAAAGAGCAAAGAACCCCCAGAUUUAAUCUCUCUCUCAAUCUGAAUCAGCAACCCCAAUUGAGAAAAGCAAGGAAAACCCCCCAAAUUUAAUCUCUCUCUCUCAAUCUGAAUUAGCAACCCCAAUUGAGAAGAGCAAGGAAAACCCCCCAAAUUUAAUCUCUAUCUCUCUCAAUCUGAAUGAGCAGACACGAAAAUCACUACCACACAUGACUCCAACUCCAUUAGCUAUGAGGAAGAAUACAAUUCAUUCUUCAAUGAAAAGAAGAGGGAAGAGAUGGCCGGUUUGGAGGAAGUAGAAAAGCUCAAGUAAACAAUUGAAGUUUUUUAUAUAUCAAUAGGAAAAUUUUGAAGUUAAAAAUUAUAUUUAAGAAUAGUAUUGGCAAUCGAACUCGUCAGAAAAAAAGUUGGCUUCCUGGUGUCUGAAAAUUUAGGCGCUUAUGUUUUCACUUCCCGCGUUAAAAGAGACUGGCGCAGUGUCUCGUCAGUAAAGGUAGUAAUGACAAAAGACUUUGUCAGUAUUAUUUACUAGUGAAAAAUCACUUUAUUUUGCUAGUAUUUGGUCUCAGUACUGACUAAGCUGCUCUUUCAUCAGUAUUAGUCCGUCAGUAUAAGCUAAAAUUGUAGUAGUGAGAGGAUUGAUAAGUGAUAUUAAUUCUUGAAUAUACAGAAUGUAAAAUAAAGGAACACGUAAAAAAUUAUUUUAUGUGGUAAAACUCCAUCUCUGGGGAAAAUCCACGGGACUUCUUAGUCCAAAACAAAUCCAUUAUAGAAUGAUGAUUACAAGAAGUACUCACACACUUAUCCUAGACACAUUCUAGAUAAUGUUUACUGACCUCUUCGUAACUCAACUUCUGUCUCGAGAUGAUCUUUCAACACUCCUUAUGUUGAACGCAAUAUUGGUCACGAUUUCUUCAAGCUCGUCAGAGUUCUUCCAACUCUCCUAAUAUUGAAUCCGAUACUAGUCACGAUUGAUUCAAGCUCAUCGUAGAAAAACCGUCACAAUGGUCUUGGUGCCCUCAACCGUAUGAGUCAUUAAACAUGCAAAUGAAUACAUAUAUGAAUGAUAAAAGUGUUUGAUAAAUCACUGAGUUAUGGAACACUUGAUGAUUUAUCUCAAAUAAAAACUCAGCUUUAAUGCUUUCUAAACAAAGAAGACGAAGGUCUUACUUUAUAGACUUUUUCUUUACAAGAAAGAAAAUAAGUUGGAAACCAAAUCUCCAAUUUCCAAGGCAAAAUCACAAAAGUAUCUUUCCUAUUCUAGAGAUUGGUCACAUGUAGUCCAACCAAUAGGAAAUGAGAUAUUUAAGAAAGGAAGAUUUUGAUCAAUAUCAAUAUCAAAUGAAUUCUUAUACGCCUAGUCAACUAUUAAGGGUAUCUUGACUCCUUGAUAUUUUGAUAUGAUUGAAACAUGAUUUCCAAGUUAGAAAAUUAAGGGGUUGUUAAAACAUGAAAGUAAUAGGAGAAACAAAUUUAUUUGAACCAAAAUUGCCCAAAAAGAAAACACUCCUAAAUAAACUUCAAUUCACUUUAGUAAAACAUGAUUGAAUCGUUCGUUAAAACAAUUCCCUAAUAUACAUGCAUGAUAAUGACAUCACUUACCCCUGAAUCAAAUUUGUUAAUGUAUGCAUUUUGAGUUUUUUUUUCUUUUGGCUUCCCUUGACAAUUUUGUAAUAGGAAAAUCAUUGUAGUUUCUCAAGCUCUAAGUUUAGAUUAAGAAUUACUUCUCUAGGUGUUCUUAUCUGCCUACAUUCUGAUGGAAAACAAUGCGUUUGACAAAGGUAAAUUCUGCAUUACACUACAUUGCAUUCACUAAAUUUCUUAAGAUUAUGACUAGUCAUCUUUCUUUCGUAUGACUAGUCAUCUUGCAUUCGUAUGACUAGUCAUCUUUCCUUCGUAUGACUAGUCAUCCUUUGUUUCAAUUAGGAUUUCCAGCUCACUGUUUCCAGCUGGGGCUUAAGCAUUUUUUUGUCCUUUUCUACGAAUUUCUCAGCUUCCAUGUGUCUAUUCUGACCUAGGAAUUUUUGGUAAAAGCCAUAGAAUUCCUCAUUUGGCAGCCGUCACUUUUGGGGACAAGUUGUGGAAAGUUUCAUAGCAAACUUUCGCUUCUUCUUCCUCAAGAGUAACCUUCAUAUUUUUCAUCUUUGAGUUCUCUAAAUUGUUUCUUUUUGAAAACUGCAUUUGAAAUAUGAAAACUUCAUCUUGCUAGAUCAAACACUCUAUCAUAUACAUCUAGGUCAGAUUCAAGAUUGAUUUCUUCAAGAGUAUGGUUUCUUGAAGAAAUUGGUCAUUUUCUCCAUGAAUCCAAAUUUCAUUUCUGUCUGAGUUAGAGCUUGCAAGCUGGUGCCAUGGGAUGAAUGAGCUGAAGAAGGAGCUGCCAUUGCCAUGAAGAACUGAGCUUCAAGCUUUGCUAAGUUGGAGAAGAAGAUUGCACAAAGGAGAUAUAGCAUCUUCCUAAAUAGACCUAGGAAUUUCUUGAGCUUGCUAGUGUUCUUUGUAAGAAUCUUUUUGCUUAGUGGAUUGCCUGGUCGGUUGAUGACCCCCAGUUUUUCCCAAUGGUGGGUUUCUGGGUGAACAAUAUCUGGUUUCCAUCUCUGUAGAUUUUUUGGGUUUGUGUUCUUGAUAGUUGACUAGUCAUCUGAAUUUGUGUGGUUGACUAGUCAUCUUUUUCUGCUGUUUGGUGUUUUCUUGAUUAUGUUGUCUUCACACACUUUUACCAUAGUUGUUGCUAGCACAAGGGAUGCCUAGAUUGAUGGGUCCUUCUGAGUGCCUAGGUUGUCACUAGUAAUUCUCUAGGCCUGCAGGUACAUCUUGGUAUGCUUUGUGUAUGUUAUUGUUUGGUUUAAUUCAUAUCUAACAGUUGACUAGUCAUAAGAGUAUUUGGUCAAGGUCUAGAGUGUGUGAAGUUUGUUGCGUUCUUGAUUGAAUAUCUUUUAAAUUUACCCUUCGUCACCUAAUUACCAAUUUGCAGACUCCACAAAUGAAGAAAAGAGCACAAAUAUCGUGAAUGCUAUUGGGAAUGGAAAGGGCAAACCUGUUCAAAAAGGGUAUGGAGGGGGCGUUAGACUUUACGUUCAAAAAGGGUAUGGAAAACGUCCUCCUCCAUCUGACAGUCAACUACUCCAUUAUAAAGACAUAGCUAUUUUCUUCUUCGAGAAAGACAUGCGCCCUGGCUCAACAAUGAAGUUCCAAUUCCCUAGAAAUUCAAACACGGCUACUUUCCUGCCACGCGAAAGUGCUCAAUCGAUCCCCUUCUCCUUUAACAAACUACCAGAAAUUUUCAACCAUUUUUCAGUGAAGCCAACAUCUGUGGAAGCCAAAACAAUUAAGCAAACAAUCGAAGAGUGUGAAGCUCCAGGCAUUAAGGGAGAUGAAAAAUAUUGCGCCACAUCUUUAGAAUCAAUGGUUGAUUUUAGCACUUCGAAGCUUGGAACAAGAAACGUUGAAGCAGUCUCGACGGAGGUAUUGGAAAAAGGAGCCACCAUGUCCAUGCACAACUAUACAACAAUGCCGGGACUGAAGAAGUUGGCAGGUGACAAAGUCGUUGUGUGUCAUAAGGAGAACUAUCCCUAUGCUAUGCUAUGUUUUUCUGCCAUGCAAUAAAACAAACAGCAGCUUAUGUUCUCUCCCUGAAAGCCGAUGAUGGGGAGAAGGUUAAAGCUGUAACCAUCUGCCAUCUAGACACAUCAGAAUGGAACCCAGAGCAUUUGUCCUUCCAAAUCCUCAACGUUAAGCCCGGAACCGUUCCUAUCUGCCAUUUCAUUUCCACUGAUGCUAUUGCCUGGGUUCCAAAACACAAAUCUGCAUGAUCAUCACUUAGCACUGUACGUAUAAUAAGCUUGGUUGGGUUGCACCCCUGUAUAAUUAUCUCCCUACUUAUUUCUGCCUCUUCAUCAUGUGGUGUAAGAUAUAUGAUGAAAUGAAGUUUUUGGGAUUAGUGGUCGGGUUGCCUGAAAAACACAGAUUAUAGAAACUGCUUGAAAUUAACCCGAUCAUGUUUUCUCUUGUAACGAUAUAGACUUCAACUUGUACUCAUAAUAAAGCAUGCUAUAUUUAUGAAGAGAUAUUAAUCUAUAUAUGCUUUGGCUUUGUGGUUUUACCCAGUGUUUGAAUGUUGAAUUGUUACGUUGGAAUAGGCUGCUAAUGCAUGUAGUUAGAGAAGCCUUCAUUUAUAUCAAAGUCCUCAAACUAUCAAGAACUAAUGUAUCCAGAAACACAUACCAAGACGCAAAACAACAUAUUUUCCAUGCUGUCUGUAACACCAAAGCAAACUUCCUUUAUCACAUCAUUUAAAGGAUCAAAUUCCAGUACUAAUCUAAUCCAUUAUGUAAAGCAUCAGGGACAGACUCAAGAUUUCAAAAUGGAGUGGGCUAGAUUUUAGGUCCGGCUAAACUUUAUAGGGAGACUUAUGAAAUUAAUCAUAAUAUUAUAUAAAUUUAAUUUAAAAACAUAUCAUUUUUAUUUUAUUUAUUUAAAGAGUCCAAUUUUACACCAACAAUGUCAUCAACAAUUGAUUAUAUAUGCUUAAAAUUAACAUUAGUUGACAACUCACAACUCAUAUUGCAACUUAUUUAGUAUAUGUGUUUUAUACUAACAAUAACAAAAGAAAAACACUUGACUGGGCUAUAGCCCAGUUUGUACACAUUGCAGGCCCGUCCUUAUAAAGCAUACAAGUGCCUCCCUAAAUUUGUCCGUUGGAUAUAUAUAUGUCACUUUUUAUUUUUUGAUAGAGAUAUAAAUGUUGAGAAAAUUAGAGUACACAACUCUAAUAUCAUAAAGCAAACAAAAUUUCUAAGUUAGUUUGCUUUAUGAUAGUUGUUUUUUGAAGGGGUCCUUAGAUCUAAUCUCAAAAAGUUUGGCUUUUAUUAGGUUUAACUCUGGUUUUUGCAAUUCUUUAUCUCGUAGUGGCAAUGUUCAAAUGCGAUGAGAUUUCUAAUUAAUACCUCUGUAUGAUCGCUUAUUUUCAAUCUUGGAAUUUCAAGAGUCCGGUCAGCAAAUCUAAUAAGGUAUUCGUUGAUCCCUCAUUCAACUUGAUCCCUGCCCUGUGUAGCUCUGUGAUGCUGGGUGUGUUUAUAGUUAUGAGUUUCCUGUCAUCAAUUUUUAGGGCUAUUCGUUAUAUGAGUCCCUGAACUUAGACUCGAUUUGCAUUUUAGUCCCUCAAUUUCCAAAAUCGUUUCAGUGGUCCUUCAACUUCAGUUUCGUUAGGACAAAUGGUCCUGCCAUCAAACGAUUAUAAAGUGGAAAAAACAAGAACAAAAAGGGAAGUGAGUUAAAUUUGCACCUACUAUGUUCAAACGACAAAGUUGGUUUCCCUUUGGUUGAUUACAAGAGAAGUGAAAGGACCCGCCCGAAUUUUCUCAAAAUCCGAGACAAACCCUUUGGAAUUCCUGACAUCACCCUGAUGCCAGGCCCACUUACUAAAAACCGAGACCUCCUGCCGAAAUUUCGGCAGAGUCUCCCCUAUAAAUUGGACGUUUCCCAAAAUUUAUACCUGCAUAAAAACGCAUUUAAUAUUCCCAACUGGCAGCAUGCACAAUAUAAUUUCAUGCAAUUCACACAAAUGGCCUUCGGCCUUUCAAUAAUUCAUAUCCAACUACCAAACCAUUCAAAUACCAAAUAUGACUAACAUUUAGUCUGCGGCUGCACCUAAUAACCCUAGGCUGCCUACGUACCCUCCUUGAGGGAUCAAGCCACACGUAGUUCUUCCCUAAAACCCAAUUCCACACUUGGGCGAUACCUUAUUUCAUUUCUCUGGAUUUCAUAUAAUCUCCCCAUACGCCGGUACAACCAACGCCACGUAUGGGGCCUGUCAACACGCCGGAUAACCUACGCCACGUGCGACCAUGCCAUACUAUCAUAAUAUCUCCCCAUACGCCGGUACAACCAACGCCACGUAUGGGGCUUGUCCCAACGCCGGAUAACCUACGCCACGCGGGACCUCAAUAUUCAUAUCACAAAUCUCCCCAUACACCGGUACAACCAACGCCACGUAUGGGGUCUGUCGACACGCCGGAUAACCUACGCCACGUGCGACCUCACACAAUAUCACAAUAUCUCCCCAUACGCCGUACAACCAACGCCACGUAUGGGGUUUGUCUCAACGCCGGAUAACUACGCCACGUGAGACCUGAAACAUCAUAUUACAAAUCUCCCCAUACGCCGGUACCACCAACGCCACGUAUGGGGCCUGUCCCAACGCCGGAUAACCUACGCCACGUGGGACCUAACUUUCACUUGGUGGUGCUUGUAGUGAAUCCAAAAUCCGGGGAGGUAUCUAAAGUAGUGCGUUUAGCACUCCAAACUGACACUCUAGACUCUGUUGUACCCUUGUACAACCAUAUAUAAUUAUAGUUAUAUAAAUUAAUUCUAAUAUUGUGUAACCCUCCACAAUAGUCUAGCUCCCGAUAAUCCCCCCCUUAGAAAGGUGAGAUUACUCCGGGAGACUCACGGUCAACCAAGGGUCAAACUACUCUAACCCUGGUCAACCGGACCUGCAGAACCCACUACCUCCAAUUUCCGAUCCGAAAGUCUCUAUGGGUUCUACCAGGUAUAGGACACUUGUCCUGCAAGUUUGGUUCAAAUCGGACGGUCGGAUUUCUCACGAUCGCACGAUCUGACGGUUAAUAUAAGAUAUAAAAUUAAAAUUAUUAUUCGGAACAUCCGGGGUUCCGAUUCAUGAUCCGUAAAUUCCUACACGAUCCUAGAAAUACCUAGAUUAACAUAUAUUAAAUUUGGGACCAUCCAACGGUCCCAACCUAUCGAACUCGGAUAACGCACACUAUGCGAUUAUCCGUUCGAUAGUCAAACGACGUCCGAAUUGAGAUCCGCGAAAUCCUACGCACUCGUGACAACCUAAGGAUCUCAUCGGAACACAUCGCUACAUUUUCUACAGUGCCCACGCACCGGCAGUGCGUGGGUGCCCAAAGCGAUAACGCUUCGCCGGAAAAUCUCAAAACCACGGCUCCAAACUCCUACCCUAGGUAUAACACCCUAUUUGGAGCCACUUUUGUUUUGGACCUACCCCAAAAAGUGGCCGGAAAUGGCCAAUCACGGCGGCCGAAGUUUCGGCCGAUUUUCAAUUCGAAAAUUGAGUUGCCUACGCUAAGAAUCGAUCUAAUCCUACCCAACCAUCAGCUAGAGCAGCUCGAGAGGUUCAAAAUCCAUACCUGGGUCGACGGAUUUGGUGGCCGGAGGAGGAGGAUCGACGGCGUUGAAGUUCCGGCGACAUCUGGGCGAAAAUCGCCAUUUUCCGGCGGCUGGAGCGGCGGCCGAUGGCGGGGAUGGGCUGGGUCGUGACGCCGAGGUCGAGCCGGUUCUUUUGACACCGGCCCCGUCCGCAGCCGCGGCCGGUGGCCGGAGUUACGAAGAGAGAGAGAGGAGAGAGAGAGAGGAGAGGCCGACGGGAGAGAGAGAGAGAGGAGUCUCGCAGGAGAGAGAGAGAGAGAGAGAGAGAGAGAGAGAGAGAGAGAGAGAGAGAGAGAGAGAGAGAGAGAGAGAGAGAAACCAGAUUUUAUAAAAAAAAUCCCAUUUCGAAAUAUUUACGAUUAUGCCACUGGACUUCUUUUGACCAUAUCUCUCUCGUUACAACUCCGAUUCGAGCCCACUACGUGUCUGUGAACUCGUCUCAGUACGACCUAUCCAAAAAUAUAAGUCACGGUCCCAAACUCUCUCCGGUUAAAAAUAUGACUAAAAUACCCUCAAAGCAGCUUACUUGGUUCCUCUAGUAGAUGGAAAUAUAAUUUUUCUAGCUAAAUUUCUCAAAUGGUCCUCAAACUUGUACGCGAUUUACAUUUUGGUCCAUCAAUUAAAUUAUUAGUCCAAAUGGUACAUAAACUCUAUUUUAAUCGCCCAUUUGAUCGAACCGUCUAAUUUUCUGUUAGAUUUAACCAAAUUUUAGGGUAAAUAUGACUUUUCAUAAUUAACAAAUAAAAUAGGAUUAAAAUAAUUAAAUACAAAAUUAGAAAAAAAAAAUGAAGAAAAGGAGGAAGAACAGAAGAGGAAGAAACCCAGAAGAAGAGGAAGCGGACAAGGUUAUUGCAAUGGCUUUCUUAAGUAAAAUUGGGAAUAUACUCAGAUGGACUGCAAAGAAGCAUAUCUGAUCUGAAUUAUCUCCUUUCAAACUAUCUAUCCAUCAAGCAGUAAGAUGCAUGUCAAACAUGGUGAGUUCAAAACUCUUAUUGGAGGUAUUUCGUACCAAACAGAUGAGCAGAGUCUGAAGGAAGCUUUUGCAAAAUAUGGUGAAGUUAUUAAUGCAAGAAUCAUCAGUGACCGUGAAACUGGUAGAUCUAGAGGAUUUGGGUUCAUCACUAGCGAGGAGGCAUCCAGUGCAAUCCAGGCCUUGGAUGGGCAUGAACUUCAUGGCCGUCGAGUAAGGGUGAAUUAUGCUACUGAUAGACCUCGCCCUAACUUCGGUGAUGGAGGUGGUUUUGAAACUGCUAGCACUGGAGGUGGUUUUGGCAAUAACAUCAAUUUGGGUGUUGCUGUUGCUGUUGGUGGUGCUCAUAACUUUGUUGGCGGUGCUGACAACAGCUUUGGCAGUGGUGGAGCUCAAUUGGGAGAGAACAAAGGUGGUUUCAGCUUGCAUGAUCCCUUGAAAGGAAAUGAUAAGGAUGAUGAUGAUGAUGCCGGCAACUUUCUCAAGAGGGCUUGAUAAUAUUUAGAUAAGAGGAGCGAUUUAGUUUGCUUCUAUGCAGAGCUACUAGUAGAUUGUCUUUUUGUUACAGCUGCAUGUCCCCCCUCCCCGUCUUUCUAAACUAUUAAUUUCAUUUGGCGGAAUUUUCUGUGAAUUUCAUGCACCUUUUAGUGUGCUUUGUCAACUAAGGACCUGGAUUGUGGGAAAAAAAGAAGCAAAAAAAGAAGAAACCAGGAAGAAGAAGAAGAAACCCAGAAGCAAAAGAAGAAGAAACCCAGAAGAAGAAGAGAGAGAGAGUUGGUGGAUGCAAUGACCAAGUUGCCCUCAUAUUUAACGGAAAUAUUGAUAGAAUGUAACGGUAGGAUCAAUGAAGCGAAUAAUAUAGAGUUGAUGUACCAUUUGGACUAAUAAUUUAAUUGAGGAACCAAAAUGUAAAUCGAGUAUAAGUUUGAGGACCAUUUGAGUAAUUUACCCUAAUUUUUCUCCUAAUAAUAAGGGUUUAGUGCAAUCAAUGAUGGGCUGUAUAGAACAACUUUUUUGUUUUAUAUGUUUAUGUGAGACAAGUUUUGCCAGAUUGAAUUAAUGUCUUCUAGCUAUGUACCUUAUCUUUUUGCCGGGCCAUGAGUUGAAUGUAGAGGCAGAGCAUGGACUUGGGGUCAAGUUUGACUUGUAAAAAAUUAGGAAUUGAAUGGCUAAUACGUUCAAUUAUUUAUUUAUUUAUUUAUUUUUGUCCGAGCCAUUCAAUUCCUAAUUAUUUAGAUUUUCAAUCCAGUGAGCAUCCACAAUCAUGCUCUCUAUUUUUAAGUUAAAUUUUAGCUAAAAACAUAUAAAAGUUAUUUUAGGAGCUCUCUAUAAAAUUUAAACUUCAAUCGUUUUCUCUAGUUUAGGGAGUCAUAAAUGCCAUAACUCUUUUUUGAUUGGUCUAUCUCUAUUAAAAAAUAAAAUAAAAAAUAAUUAGCAUUAAAUAAAGAUUUGAAAUACUCAUUAAAUAAAGCAACAUUAAAUUAUAGGGAGCCACUAGGAGUCCUUUCUCUCUCCUCAAGUUUAGGAGCUCCUAGAGGUCUCCCUAUUUUAAGAGGUGGAUAGGGAGUAUGGUUGGAAUUGUAUUUUUACAAUUCCUCCCUAAAAUUUGUCUAAGGAGGUGGUUUAGGGAACCCAUUGUGGAUGCUCUCAUCUCAAAGAAAGAAAACCUCAAGUUUGCAAGCAAGUUUUCUACGUAUGUAUAUAUGAAAAAAUGAUAUGAAAAUAAUAAAUCCAUAUUUUUAUGUAAGCCAACUUUCUAAAUCCAUGUACUAUAUUUAUUAGGGAAAUAUUGGAGAAACUGAUUAUUUUGAAAAAUUAAAUGUGAAAAACUGAACAAAAAUUUGACAGGUUACAUAUUUCAACUCAUUCAGCAGCUUAGGUUGUGAAGACCUAAGCAACAAAUCUGCUACUGGGGUGUUGGGGUUUUCUACGUCAUGUGGAGCUUCAUUGCUGCAUCCUUCCACUUCCAUUAUGUGUUGUUCUGAUUCUAAGUGAUGAGGGUAUUAUUGGCACCAUAAUAAACAAAUCAUUUCAAGAUGGUUCCUUCAAAAAUUUAGAAAACAUGCAUCACGAAAUUUUUUAGAAAACAUGCAUCAUGAAAAAAUUACGUGAACAAUAUACUUACACCAUGGGAUCACUCCCACAUAUUGUAACACCCCGACUCCAAAUUAAAUGAUUAUUUUAAUCGAUUUUUAUAAAAUUACGAAUUUACCCUUGGGAUAGGGGUAACUUGGUCACUUUCUUCUUCGGAAGGAUUUUUGGACCAUGAGUGGUAUUUCUGGGUAGUUGGUACCGAGACGAAUUCGUAGACAUGCGGUAGGCUUGAAUCGGGGUUGUAACGAAAAAGUUACGGGCAAAAUAGUGUCAGUGGCAAACUUGUAAAUAUUUCGAAAAGGGUUAGGGUAAAAAUCAGAUUUUUCCAGUUUUACCUCACUUUCUCUCUCUUCCUCCCGAUUCUCUCUCUCUCUCCCGCGUCUCUCUUCCUUCUCCGAUCUGCAGAUCGCAGAGCCGCCGCCACAGGCCACGGCUAGCCCCGAGACCGGACCCAAAACGAUCGGCCAAACCUCGCCGACGUCCCCCGACCCAUCUCCAGCCGCCAGCCGCCGCCUCGUCGCCGGAAACCACGGAUUUCAGGCCGAUUCUUGUCUGAGCUUCCAGUCGAUCGUUCUCUCUCCUCCGAGCACUAUUUCAGACGGGUGAGGUAUGGUUUCUCAUCCAAUUUUUGAGUUCUAGCUGAUGAUGGUAUAGGUUUUCAUUGAUUUUGAGUCUAGAAAACCGAUUAGGAAUCUAGGUUUUGGGCCGAAUUUCAAAAUGAAAUUCUGGCCAGUUGCCGGCCGAAUUGGAGCUUCUCGUAGUUGAAUGAAGUGAUCCUGACCUCGAGUAGAAGCUAGAGUAGGAAGGGUGAGCUCGGGUGUGGAGUUUUUCCGUCACCGGAAUUACUCUGCACACCCACGCGCUGCCGGCGCGUGUGGCGGUGCGUGGGCGAGUCUGGUGAGGAUGUAAAUUGACCCGAUGAGAUCCUUAGGUUGUCACGAGCGCAUAGGAAUUCGCGGAUCUCGAUUCGGAUGUCGUUUGGCUAUUGAAACGGAUUUUCGCAUAUUGUGCGUUAUCCGGGUUCGAUAGGUUCCGACCGUUAGAUCUUUCCCAAAUUAAAAUAUGUUGUUCUAGGUAUUCCUAGGACCGUAUGGGACUUCACGAAUUCUGAAUCGGAGCCCCGGAUGUUCCGAUUCAAAAAUGCAAAGUUUGCGGGUUAGCGAUAACCGUAAAAUCGUGAACGCUUCCUAAACCUGUAAUCGGACCUUAGGGUACCAUCUUCGACGUGCACGUAUGGGAAUUUGGGGAGUUAAGCAUUUAAUUUGUAAUUUCCGCUUAGACGUGGUUUUUAUAUUAAUUAACGGUUCGUAUUUCGAAAUAGGUAUUUCGACUGCACGCACGCAGCAAGCAGGACCUUCACGUGGUCAGGCAGCGAGGGAAUACUUGUGAGUGGACUUUGUUUUAAUCAUAUGCCUGGUUUUAAUUAAUGAAAGAUUUUGCAUAAUGUUUUAAUGGCUUCUGGAUUUUAUGUAUUAUAUGCAUGAAUUAAUUUCAAUGGGUGUAUAGCAAUUGGCAAUAUAUUAUGAGUUUGGCCUUUUGGGUUUUGAGAGUGUAUUUCAUGUAUAGAUUGGGGAAGUAUAUUUUGAUAUAUAUAUAUUCUUUUAGAGGAGAUAUUUGGGUUGUUGGAGAGUGAUAUGGAAGAAUGUGAUUAGAGAGGAGUUGUGGGAUUACACUACGUAAGUACCUUCCCCGGUUACUAGUCUCACUCGCGGCGUUGGAUGUUCCGGCGGGUGAGACACUUUCCGUAUGCGGCGCUGGAUGUUCCGGCGUACGGAAAGACUGUGUAUAGAGUUUAGGGUCAUCACCAUGGCGUUGGAUGUUCCGGUGUGUGAUGAUCCAGUCUGCGCGCGUAGGACAUAGUUUGAGAGCUACACAUGGCGUUGGAUGUUCCGGUGUGGGAGCUUUGGAGUUUCGUCCCCCGGUUGGACCGCUCAUCCCUAAACGCAGGAUAGCACCUGGAAAUCCUGCGGACUAGUCAAACGAUCCCCCAGUUGGAUUGUUUUCCCCGGUACCUAAGUGGUGUGAUGAGUAUAUCAUAUAGCUAUUUAUAGUUAUUUAUAUAUAUAUAUUUAUGUGUAUAUUUAUUGAAUAUGUAUAGUUGAGUGUGAAAGGAAUUGGAGUUUGUUUAAUAGUUGAUAGGAGUGGUGAGUUUGAGAGAAUGGGGUUCUUUUUGAAAGAGAUAACUGAUGUUUUUAGAUGAGUUUUACUGAAGCAUAUUUUGAGUAAUUUCUUAUUGAAUUGUGAACCUGCAUGACUUGAGCAUUAUUUUACAUGGUGGGGUUACUAUGUUGUUUUUAACUGCAAACCUGGUUUUUGUCCACUCACAUGUUUUCUGUUUUGCGCCCCCCCAGCCAGUAGUUGCUCUUGGAAGUGCAAGUGGUGUACGAAGCGGAAUCGGUGCAUCUUUCUAAUUAGGAAUUGUGUAAAUUCUUCUACUCAACUGUUCUUGUAAUCUAAAUUCAGUAGAUGCUCUGUAUUUGCCAUGGUAGAUUUUACUUGUGAGGCCGGAGGCCACUCUAGUAUGACUUAUGUAUGUAUGAAAGCAUGCUGCUGGUUGGGAUUAGUAUUACUGUGUGUGCAGGUUGAAUAAAUUUUGUUGGGUUUGUUUAAAUUGCAGGGGAGACUCUGCCAAAAUUUUGGUAGAAAGUCUCGAUUAUUUAGUAGUGGGCCCGGCAUCAGGAUGAUGUCGGGAUCAAGACGGGGUCCGCCUCGGUCAACGGGAAAUUCCGGGGCGGGUCUUGUCACAUAUUUGAACACAUAACACGUGUUCAAGGUUAUAUAUUUCAUUACCUUCACAAUAGGUACCAAACCGUACCAUGGGAACAUUCAUAUACGCACAACAUACUUAUAACAUACUUACACUCGUGUAUAUUUGAACACAAGAAGACGUGUGCACCACCGUGCACGGUUCACAUGAAGUAAGAAGAUGAAGAGGAAAUAAAGAAGAAUACAAAAGAAAAUGGAGAUGAGAAGAAAAAAAAAACACGAAUAAUGAAAAAUGAGUUGACAAUUAUAUAUGGUUGACAUUAGAUGUAAUAUUAUAUGUAAUAACUAAUGAUCUAAAAUAAACAUUUAAUCUAUUCACUCGUUUCGUGUUUACUCCUGUGAUGGAAGGGCAAAGUUCCCCAUUGCCUUGAAAACCAUUGACUGGUCAACAAGACAACUUUCUUUGGUGUGCGAGCGUGCCACUACUAGCAAUAAAAAACAUAGCAGACUUCUUUGAAAUAUAUAACUUGCGUCCUAAGUUACUAAUUUCUAAACAAGCGAUCGUGAAUUUGGGUGAGGAAUAUCUCCCAAGUAAGUUCUUUUCUUGCCUCAGACUGGUGAGGACUUCACAAUUUAUCUUAGUACAAGAUUGGUAGUUUUGGCCAGAAUAAAUGAUAAUAAAGUGGACUUUUUUAGGCAGAACUGCCUUUUACAAAACUAGAAAGGAAAAGAUCAACUCUAGAAAGACAAAAAAAUGGCUGAAAUUCCAUUUCUGCCUGGAUAGAAGCUUCUGAUCCGGGCUGGACUGGGUAUGUUUGUUCUGGACUGAAUUGUCAACAACUUCAACUACUAAGCUUCAGCUGUAAAUCGAUACCAAAGUUUGAGUUUGGCAGAGUUUUAAUAUAUUUCAAGCCCUGGAAGGCUUUUCGAACGGGCAGAACUGCAACUUCUUUGGUCUGAACGGGGCAGAAGUGGCUGGACUUAAGGAUUACUAAGCCGGAACUGCACUAUGGUACCUGUUCUGCUUGAUCCGGGCUCUCUAUAAAUUUGUUGAGGUUUCCAUAUUUGUGAAAACUCAAACUCGGCUUGUCUUGGCUUUUGCUGAACCAAAUUUGUAACGCGAGAAGUCUCGUUUUGAAUGACUUAUUUAUCUGAGUAUGAACUUGGAAGUUCGAUCUAUAGCUGGCUUCUUUUGUGGCUCGAAUGAGUUUUUGGUUGCUCUAGUUUGUUUUGAAGGUUCUCAAUGAUCAAGUGAUCAUUUUGAGUUUUUGCCUUUGGUUGAUUUUUGAUUGUUUGAUUGAUUGUUGAAAAAUGAGUGUGUUUUGCUCUGUUCACCCUCUCCUAUAUUUAUAAGAAAUGCUUUGGAGUAGGGUUUCUAAUUUUUUAGAAAUCGGCGGCAGAUUUUCUCAAAAGAUCUUUCAUUUUUUAAAAUGUAAAGAAAUAGGGGUUUUAUCAAUUCUGGUAGAUAAGCUCUCAAUGGUCAGUUUCUUUAAGUCAAUCACUUCUCUGUUUUUUGAAAGAAAACUUAAUCCCUCUUUAAUUCCAACUGCCCCUUGUGAGAGCUCAAACUGUGAUGGUUAGUUUGAUUUUCCAGUUUAAACAACUUCCUGUUUCAUGCUUUAUCUUUUUUUAGAAAACACAGUCUGCGUAUCCUGAAAGAUGGUGCCUUCUUUGGAGUAUAAACAAUAUCUCUGAAUAUAUAAAAGGGUUUUGAUCUUCUGGUGGCAGAGAUUUCAGAGACAUCCCUUCUUUUCGCCUGCCUCUGUCAACUCUUUAUUAACCUAGUUGAAAUUGUUGACUUUCCUAAAUCAGAGAAAAAGAUUCACUUUGGUAUGUUUCCUUUUGGGCUCCUUCUUCUCUUUUAAUAUGCCCAAACCCUUUUGUUUUUCCUGGAGCCAUGAGCUGAUUGCUCUUUUUUUCUUUUUUCGAGGCCCAAGUUUAUUUGCAGAGUCCAGACUGCUUGGGCCCUGUGGUUUGUCUUUGUUGUUUUUGGGCUGGGUGUGUCAAAUUAGGCCCAAACAAAGUCAAACAAUAAUUAAAAGAUUUGACAAUAUAAAAAUAUAUUGAGAACAAAAAAAGGCAAAAACUUUUGAAAAAUGGAAACAAUAAAUAUGAAUUGAGUCAUCAACUCACCAAGGUAAGUUUGCUGAUGUGUAAAAAUAGUCAAUGGACUACAUCGAAAAAUAAUUGGCUUACAUCAAAAAUUAAAAUCACGUGGUUUAUUCUUAAGAAACCUUAAUAUUUUUGGGUUCAUAUAUUUUUUGUAUUUUAAAAAAAAAGAAAAAAAAAAUCUGACCAUGUAUGUAUGAUGAUGAUAUGCAUGUUAUUUUUAGACCUAAGGUAAAACAAACAAACUUUUUACUCCAUUUUUCGUGAGGUUUAUCAAAAGAAUUAAACUGUUAUAUCCUCCAUUUUAGAUUUCAUGCUUCCAUUUAAAGAAAAGAAUAUCAACAACAAAAAAAGAAUAAAGUUACAACAUUGAUCAAUUCAAAUGUCCAACUAUCGGAUCAUGAGCCUCUGCACUUAGAGACUACGCAUUUACCCGUAUUUCGUUAAAUUUAGACCAUUAUAAUAAUCUAACCCCUUAGAAUGGGACACAUCAUCAAGUUUUUUUUCCUUUCACUAAACAGAAGAGUUAAGUUUUAUUUGUGGGUAACUAAACUCUUGUUUAGAGCAUGUUUUUUAUUUAUUUUUCUUUGUUCUGUGUAAAUUAUAAUAGGUUAGAUUAUUAUUUGUGGGUGACUAAAAUCUUGUUUAACAAUAAUAGUUAACGUUUGUUUAGAGAAGAAAAAAAAUUUGAUGAUGUGUCAUGUUCUAAAGGGUUAGAUUAUUAUAAUGGCCUAGAUUUAGCGAACUGUAGAUAAACGCGCAGUGUCUUAAUGCAGAGGCUCGAGAUCCCCAACUAUCAUUGAAACAUAAGAAACUAAAAUCUUCAAGAAAAUGCUAUCAAUUGAAAAAACAAUAAUUAAAAAACAAAAAAAGGAAGGGAAUUCGCAGCUGCUAUGCAAAAAAGAGCAAGUCGGUUCAAUGAUUUUUUCUUCUUCUUCUUUUUGUUAUGGAAAUGAAAAGCUAAAUGAUGGGCUAUAUAUGGGAAGAAGCUCAAUGAUUGAAUUAAUAUCUUCUAUCUACAUUCUACCCUCUUCCUCGCUACAUACACAAAUGGUGCACGUACAUGGACAUGGGUUGACAUGAAUAAGAACAGCGACGCGUACUUGUUUUUAUUUUUGGUUCUUUAGAUCCAGUUGCACGUACCAAAGAAAGAAAACCACAGGUAUGCAAUGCAAGCUCUUUUCCCAUGUUUUCCUCUGUUUUCUCCUAUUUUUCUCUCUUUUUUAAAAAAAAAAAAAAAGAUAUACGGAAGUGAUUAAAAUACUCCUCUAACUAAGCUUGUUUUGCGUUCGGUGGCCGACUGUAAAAGCUCUGCUCAAACCUAACGUACUAGGUAUUUAUUUUAUUGCUCUGUUCAGACCUAGUGAUUAAAAUGCACUUGCGAUUUUGUGUUUCAAUUCCCUCUCCCCUAAUAUUGCUUGUAUAAAAAUAAAAACUUUUAAAAAGACAUUAAUAUUGUAUUCUAUAUUCUAUAAAGUGUUGGACAUGUUUUAUAUUGUUGACAACCCCCUAAUAUUUUGGUGGUGCCCAGUUAUAUUCAAUUCGUAUGUAUUUAAUUUGCCACUUACAUUCUUGCCUUAAUACAUUUAGGCUUAUUUUUAUACAAAUUUCUCUAACAUAACUUUUGCACAUUCUUUUAGUCUCUAAUAUAUAUAUAUAUAUAUAUAUACAGAGAGCUUCCAUUGAGGGAUCCCUCAAAUAAACUUAUUUGAGGGACACUCCUUGUAGGCCCCACUCCGAAUUGUAUUUCACUAAUACAAACCGUCUAUUUUGUAGAUACUCAUUCAAAGAUCAUCUCUACAAAAAAUCACUUGAAUCCGAUAUCAUUUGACCACUCAAUUAAGUUAUUGAAAUUUUAGCAUUUUCUUGAAGCACCGUGUUCAUUGAUUUUGUAAGACACAAUUGGAUGUCGAAACGGUUUCCGAUUUGUCUAAUUUUUUGUAAGGAUGAUCUAUGAAUGAAAACCUAAAAAAUAGGUAGUUUGGAUCAUUGAGAAAAAAAUUGUAUGGUACCUUAAAGGGCGUCCCUCAAAUAAAAUUAUUUGAGGGAUCCCUCAAUAGAAGGGGACUGUAUAUAUAUAUAUAUAUAUAUUUUCUAAUAAAUAAUCUUACCCAUUUGAGUUAUCAGCUAUUUUCUUUUAGCCCGGAAAAUCGACAUUUUGACAGAGAGUUGAAAAGAACUCCCCAAUUUUAAUGUCAGCCACUUGAAAAAAAAAACAUAAAUUUAAUGACAACAAUUACAUUUAGCAAUGCAACCUAAAAACUCAACCUUUGCGCCCCUUUCACAACGUAGAUAGCAGAGUAAGGAUAUUCGGAUAAGAACCAAGACAUAAGCCAGAGAAACUACGAUAGCCAACCAGGGCCUUCAUUUCUUACCAUCUGAACAAUGCCACCAUUUUGUUUGGUAAGUAUUUAAUAACAUUUCUUGCUCUUCAUAAAGUAAUAUUAAAACGAAAUUUGCCUAAAUUUUUCUUACCAACAAUGCAUACGAAAAAAAAAAAGGAAGAUUCACUAUUAUACUCAAUAUAGGAGCCCAAAUUAUUUAUAAUUAAAAAAAAAACCUUACAUGAAAUGGACUUUAGAAACACACUCAAAACCUAUUUACAACAAAACAAAGACUUUUAACUUCUUUUAAAUUACAAAACUAUCAUUGAUUUCUUAAACAAACCCAACCCCAAUACCUCAUAAAAAAACCCAAAAUACUUGAUAAAGCAUCAAAGUAAUUUAAUAAUCAAAAUUAAAUUCAAUAGGACCAGCAGUUAUUUUUUGGGUUUUUUUUGUUUGUUUAUAGAAAUUAAAUGGUGUAGGAUCUAUCUAUAUUAUUAGUGCUAAGAAUGGAUAUGUGACUAAAUAAUUCCAAAAAAAAAUUAUAAUAAAUCUACAAUUUUUCUUUUUAUAAAAAAAUUCUACAAAAAUUUAUUAGAUUAAUAGGCACUACUAGAAAAUCUCCAUAUAAGCCACUAAUACACCCAUGACAGUUGUCCAAGCGUAGUGUUGUCAUUCAAUAUUCCCCACAGCAACCAGCAUCCAAUAAAGGGUUGCCUCUCUGUAUGUAGCUAUUUGAGAAUAUAAAAGAAAUAUUUUUUAUUCAACAUGGACGCAGAAACUGUUGCUAAACUGCAAACUUCUUAAAAUAUUUAUCUAACUUUCUAGAUCCAUGUACUGAGAUUUAUUAGGGAAAUAUUGUAGAAACUGAUUAUUUUGAAAUAUUAAAUGUGAAAAACUGAACAAAAAUUUGAUGGGUUACAUAUUUCAACUCAUUUCAGCAGCUUAGAUUUUGAAGACCUCAGAAGAGGCUAUGCAAUGAGCCUAGCUAGUGCACUGUUGAUCACUUCAGUGUUUACCGAUCUGUAAUUUUUCCAGAUUGGUUAUAUUUUCCUUUACAUAUUCUUAUAUUUUCCCAGUUGGGGAGACUUAUAAAUAAGGGAAAUAGCCCUAAAUGCCACCAAUUUUAUAAUUUUUUGUCAAAAUACCACCCCUCCCCAAAAUUUUUAAAACUACCACCUAUAAAUACAUCUUUAUUGUAAAUUAAUUGCACCCAUAUCACUUUUUCAGAAAUUGGGUUCUCCCUCAACUCUCUUGGCUCUGUCUCUCUCUUUAGCCUAGCUCUCUCUCUCUCUCCGACAUAGUCAUCUUCCUCCCUCAGCCAUCCAAGCUUAACUCCACAGUUCACAUCCACGAGGUACUGUUCACGUUCCUUUUCUUAGAAAUUUGGGGUUUUUGUGAAUUUGGUUUAUGAUGUAUGGAUUUGUAUGAAAUUGGUUUAGGGGUUUCUUCCAAAUUGGUUUGGUAAGAAGGUGAUGUUGUUGUUGCUGUCACUGACAGACUAUUUUUCCUGGGUUGUGGUUGGUGGGUGUUACUGCGAAUGCUUACAAGGUUGCUGAUUCUCCUUCUAAGGUCUCUCUUUCUCUCUAUUUCUACAAAUUCUAAGGUUUUUUUUUUUUUUUGGGUUACUUUUUUUUUUUUUUUUAUUUCUUUUGCUAAUUGUAAUUGGGCCUUUGUUGCAGAGGUGGAUUUGUUUUGUGCCCAAAAGAUUGUGACUUUGUUGAAAGUUCGUAAAUAGAAAAGGCAGCUGCCCCCUGCGGCUUGGAACGCUCAAUUCGGAGGUAUUAUGCCUUGAAUUUUUACAAAAGAAGAAUUGAAACUACCUUAUAGAAGGCAAAACAAAAAUAUAUAAGAGGAAAAAAGGAGAAAAUUUAUCUAAUUUCCCUUUUUUUAGUUGUAUUUUUNNNNNNNNNNNNNNNNNNNNNNNNNNNNNNNNNNNNNNNNNNNNNNNNNNNNNNNNNNNNNNNNNNNNNNNNNNNNNNNNNNNNNNNNNNNNNNNNNNNNNNNNNNNNNNNNNNNNNNNNNNNNNNNNNNNNNNNNNNNNNNNNNNNNNNNNNNNNNNNNNNNNNNNNNNNNNNNNNNNNNNNNNNNNNNNNNNNNNNNNNNNNNNNNNNNNNNNNNNNNNNNNNNNNNNNNNNNNNNNNNNNNNNNNNNNNNNNNNNNNNNNNNNNNNNNNNNNNNNNNNNGGGGGAAGGGACACCCUAUUUCGUUACAGGGUUUAUUGACUGCAUUCUUCCUUGUUCUAGAAGACCUCCUCAGUUCCAUUGAGCCGACAAACCUUAUGAAGUUGAAUGUGAAGUGUUACCUUGCAUCUACAUGUUUCAUCUUUUAACUUUAUUUUCAUGUUUCACACUGAUGCUUGUAGUUAUUUCUAGUUUUGCAUACAGAUUAGCAAAUAGGUUAUGCAUUUACUGUUUAGUCAUCUAAUGAUUUGAUAUCUAAUAUUUAGGCAUAUGGGAAUUUAUAGAUGUACCGAUUAUGCAUACAUAUAGGUUUUGUGCUUGUAUUAGGAAGUUAGAUUCUUGUGGUUCCUCUUCAAUGGCAUGAAUUUAAAUUGUUGUGCUUCAUGAUUAGGGUCUGAAGAACAACCAUGUAGUAAGAAAGUUGGAGAAACGUCAACAGAUUUGCACCCUUGACCAACAUAUUGAAGAGUAAUUUGGUGGUGGUCGUCUAUUGGCUUGUAUCUCAUCACGACCUAGAUAGUGGCUGUGCUGAUGGGUAUGUGACUUUAUUUGCCUAUGUCUGUUUCUAGUCAGCCGAUAUGUCAUUGGCAUAUUAGUGUAGUUACCAUAUUGCAAGGGCUGAAAUCUGGAUGAUAACAGCUUCUUUUUAUUGUUGUUUUAAAGUGAAGUAUGUAUGGAUCUUAUGAAAUUUUUACAGAAAUAUAUUGGAGGGCAAAUAAUUUUAUUUUAGUUUUUUUAUUCCCAAAUGAUACCCAAAACAUGUAAGCUUCACACUAUGUUAAUUUCUGCAGGAUGGGAAAACAUUGGACAAUGAGUUGGAGGUUGUUAAGGGAAUGAAGCUAGACAUGGGCUACAUAUCCCCUUAUUUCAUCACCAACCAGAACAAUUAGAAAUGUGUAAGUUUUGGUUUGAUUCAGGGAUGACUAUGUCUUGAAACUGUUAGAGGGCUGCUUGUUAAAGUUAGUAGCACCUCAAGUCCCUUUUUUAUUGAUGCUGAUUAUCUUCAAACUUGUGUAUGUGCUGAUAGGAAUUGGAAAAUCCUCUAAUCAUAAUCCAUGAGAAGAAAAUCUCAAGUAUUAAUGCUGUGGUUAAAGUAUUGGAGUUGGUCUUGCAGGUUAUCAUUUCUCUGGUUAGGUUCACUAGUUUCUUCUUUUUUAUCAUGAAUUGGUUGACAAACUUUUGCUCUUUUUCAAAAGCAAAGGUCUUUGCAUUUUGUUAUAUCUUUCAGAACCAAAGUUAUAAAAGAAAAUGGUUUUCCUCUUUGUUAAUUGAGAAUCAUCUGCAGUUAUGAUUUCAGAUCUAUAGAUAACUUGUUGUUGCUGAUAUUGCUACACGGGAGGAGAAUAGAACAGCUUGAAAAAUGUGCAAGAAGAGAGAGCUAACUCAUACACCGAAGAACAAAUUGGUGAAGUUAAGAUCAAAUUAGUAGAAUUUGUGAGCUCUCCAUUAUUUAUAAUUAUAGGUAGGAAGUAUGUAUGUAAUAGAGUAAAGAUUGGUUGACUAUGUAAUAACAAUUGAAUUUUCAAGUUUUAUGAAAGAAAUAAUUUUUGAGCAUAUAUAUUUGUUAAUAAAGCAUUAUAAUUGGUUUUCUAGUUAAAAUCGUUGUAUAGAAUCGUAGGAAACAAAAACCUAAAUAUAACAGCUUGGGAACUUAUUAGACGACAGAUUUAAAGAUAAUAAAAUGUAGUCUGAAUUGUUAGGGUUCGGUGGCGAUUUAUUUUGCAUGUCUAAAUUGUAGUCUGUAAUAUAUGUGUGUGUAUUGUAUGUAGAUUGACUUAAUAUUGCUAUCCUAUUGCAUGCGUAUUGUACUAAUAUUGCCUUUGUAUUGCAUACAUAUUGUAUGCAUAUUGCCACCCUAUUGCAUGUAUAUUGUGAUGUUAUUGCUGUUGUAUUGCCGUUAUAUUGCCCUAAUAUUGCCUCUCUAGUGUAUGUAUAUUGGCCUAAUAUUGCCAUUAUAUUGUAUGUAUAUUGACUAUGACUCAUCAAUGGGUUUACGGUUUAGGCCCUACUUCAUUCAAAAAGAAGACGACGACGAGAAAGAAACAAUGUGCCUUUCAAAAACAAGCAGUCAGGUGCAUUAUAAUUGCACCGUAAGACAUUGUAAGAAAUUAUUUUAAAAGAUAAUAACAACUAAAAAAUAAUUUACCAAAAAAGGAAGGUAUGAAUAAAUAUGCAAAUGCUUCGUCAUGGGUUGAAGAAAAGGAUGAUUACAUUUGGUGGUUUGAUUAUGUUUGGUGAUAUGAUAUGUUGUUCGUCUGAAUCUUCAUAUAUGUAAUUGUUAUGUUAAUACUUGACACAAAUUCAUCUCGUAAUCAUCCAAUUAUUAAAGCUAAGUAAAUGAAAUGAAACAAAAGAAGAAGCCCAAAAUAAACAGAAACAGCAAUUUCUAGCACCCAUUUAUCGCUUCUGUAUUACCACUGUAUCACCAACGUAUCACCAGCUUAGCGUUGAUGACCAUUAGUUCAAACAUUAUGUGAUCUAAUAGGGAUAACUAAUUUUUGGAACAACUAAUGAAUCUUCAAAAAGAUAAAGAACAACUAGUAAACUAAUGUAUGCAGUUUAACUUUGCACGGGUCAUAGUGCUCAACAUGAUAUUUGGCAACCAUCUCUACACUUGGUGUAUAUUGCAGGCUUCUAUGCAUUCCAAACCUUCAUUCUUCUGUGAUAAAACUGUUAAAUUACCAAGAUUUCUAACACAUGGAAGUAAACAAACGAAUCUGCACAUUUAUUUGUACAUACACACUGCGUAUUGCACAUCUGCGCAUCUAUUAAUCACCACACCAAUGUUUCAAAGAUUGAUUCAGAGGGCAAAAUGAUUGAUUACAUAUUUCAAAUUAGUCAUCUGCUCAUAAGAACUUGGCCCUAAAACUGUACUAAUGGUAAAUAUACUGACAUAAUAGCUAUUAAUGAAAAAUUCUAAACAAACGAGGGACUUAUUUUUCUAAUAUUGUAGUGGAAGCAUGUUAAGUGAUUUUCCACAUUUGUUCAUGGGGGUAAAGUAUAUCUUACCCCUUUCUAAACAUUAUGAGGUUUCAAAUUUCAAUAACAACAGAAUGCUAAGCAGAAAAGUAGAAUUGCUACAUAAAUUACUUAGAAGGAACAAAGUCAAAACUAAUUUGACAAAUCUUAAGAAAGCUGUAUGCUUCACUAAGUCAACUAACAGAUUCCCAGUGCAGGAAAUGAAAUAUACCUAUAUCACAUAAAUUGCAAAGAAAACCACAGAGACUAAAUGUUAACAAUGGAUACAAAAAUGAGUAGAAUUCAGUGGAAACGAACACAUCGUUUCAAACAAGUAAAUUGUUAUAUGUCCAUAAAGAGCAACUAUGUUUAUAUAUGGAGGUGUACGAAAUAGUUCAACUUCAAAAUGGAAACAGUUUAUGUGCCAUGUAAGGCAAUGAACAUAUAACAAGGUGAGUCUUCAACAAAUUAAAAGUAGACAAUUAUUUUCAAACAAUCUGACAGCUGCCCGAGAAAACUGAGGGAGUUAAGGCAUGAGAUGCAAACAUGAUAAACACUGUUAAGCACUCGGACGAACCCAUGCUAUAAUACAAGCCAACAGACAAUCACCACCACCAAAUUGCUCUUCAAUAUGUUGGUCAAUGGUGCAAAUCUGUUGAUGCUUCUCCAACUUUCUUACUACAUGGUUGUUCUUCAGACCCUAAUCAUGAAGCACAACAAUUUAAAUUCAUGCCAUUGAAGAGGAACCACAAGAAUCUAACUUCCUAAUACAAGCGCAAAACCUAUAUGUAUGCAUAAUCGGUACAUCUAUAAAUUCCCACAUGCCUAAAUAUUAGAUAUCAAAUCAUUAGAUGACUAAACAGUAAAUGCAUAACCUAUUUGCUAAUCUGUAUGCAAAACUAGAAAUAACUACAAGCAUCAGUGUGAAACAUGAAAAUAAAGUUAAAAGAUGAAACAUGUAGAUGCAAGGUAACACUUCACAUUCAACUUCAUAAGGUUUGUCGGCUCAAUGGAAUUGAGGAGGUCUUCCAGAACAAGGAAGAAUGCAGUCAAUAAACCCUGUAACGAAAUAGGGUGUUCNNNNNNNNNNNNNNNNNNNNNNNNNNNNNNNNNNNNNNNNNNNNNNNNNNNNNNNNNNNNNNNNNNNNNNNNNNNNNNNNNNNNNNNNNNNNNNNNNNNNGAUAUGAAGAAACAAAAUGAAUCUCCCACAAGCCUAACAGGCUAAUACCAUUAACAAGGUCUGAAAUUGACUCUAUAUCAUGUACAUAUAUAUAUAUAUAAACUCCAUCUUUACAUAUUGGAACUACAUCAAUGUAAACCAACUAGAUCGACCCUGCAUCCUGAACACCACCCCCCCUCCCAAAAAAAAGACCGAGAAAAAAAAAAUACAACUAAAAAAAGGGAAAUUAGAUAAAUUUUCUCCUUUUUUCCUCUUAUAUAUUUUUGUUUUGCCUUCUAUAGGGUAGUUCCAAUUCUUCUUUUGUAAAAAUUCAAGGCAUAAUACCUCCGAAUUGAGCGUUCCAAGCCGCAGGGGGCAGCUGCCUUUUCCAUUUACGAACUUUCAACAAAGUCACAAUCUUUUGGGCACAAAACAAAUCCACCUCUGCAACAAAGGCCCAAUUACAAUUAGCAAAAGAAAUCAAAAAAAAGUAACCCAAAAAAAAAAAAAAAAAACCUUAGAAUUUGAAGAAAUAGAGAGAAAGAGAGACCUUAGAAGGAGAAUCAGCAACCUUGUAAGCAUUCGCAGUAACACCCACCAACCACAACCCAGGAAAAAUAGUCUGUCAGCGACAGCAAAAACAACAUCACCUUCCUAUCAAACCAAUUUGGAAGAAACCCCUAAACCAAUUUCAUACAAAUCCAUACACCAUAAACCAAAUUCACAAAAACCCCAAAUUUCUAAGAAAAGGAACGUGAACAGUACCUCGUGGAUGUGAACUGUGGAGUUAAGCUUGGAUGGCUGAGGGAGGAAGAUGACUAUGUCGGAGAGAGAGAGAGAGAGCUAGGCUAAAGAGAGAGACAGAGCCAAGAGAGUUGAGGGAGAACCCAAUUUCUGAAAAAGUGAUAUGGGUGCAAUUAAUUUACAAUAAAGAUGUAUUUAUAGGUGGUAGUUUUAAAAUUUUUGGGGAAGGGUGGUAUUUUGACAAAAAAUUAUAAAAUUGGUGGCUUUUAGGGCUAUUUCCCUAUAAAUAAACCCAAAAUGGGUACAGUAUCUAUACAGAAGGACAAAAUUAAAGUGUUUGGACAAUAAUGCCCCUAUUCAUUUUGGGAUUGCCUAAGGAAUCCUUUUCCUGAUUUUCAAUGAUGCCAAAGGACUGUUGUUUGAUGCUUGCCGUAUGGAGCUAAGAAAACUUGCUUUGUGUUAUAAAAAUAACCUGGAAUAUGUACGAAUAUUGAGCUGCACGAAAAGUAGAUGAAACACAGCAUUUAACGAGGUUCGGCUAUGCCUACGUCCUCGGAGAGCAACAGCAGUAACUUUUUCACUAUAUGAAAUAAUAGGGCUACAACUUUAGAGUUUACAAUAUGUGAGGCUCACUGAAUUUUCUCUCUCUUUCUUCUUCUCUCUUUUCUUUCUUCUUUUUCUCUUCUCCCCUUUCUUUCUUUUCUCCGUUGGUCACACUCCCCUUUACAAUUGGUAUGCCUAUUUAUAGGCUAAUGUUUAGGCAAAAUACAGGGAAGGGAAGGUUCCUGGAAGAUGCAAGGAAACUUCCUGAAUUGAUAAUGUCACACCCCGGACCGACUCCGCCGUAGCACGAUAUUGUCCGCUUUGGGCCCUCCUCUCACUGCCCGCACGGUUUUGUUUCUGGGAGCUCACGAAGCAACUUCCCAGGGUGGUCACCCAUCCUGGGAUUGCUCCAGCCUCCCACUCGCUUAACUUCGGAGUUCUUACAACUCCGAAGCCAAUGAGCUCCCAAAAGGCCUCGUGCUAGAUGGAUGCGGGUGUGCCAUAUAAGGCACAUCACCCCCCUCUCCGUUGGUUUGAUGUGGGAUCUUACAAUCCACCCCCCUUAAGGGUCCGACGUCCUCGUCGGCACACUCGCACCACACGGCAGAGUGGCUCUGAUACCAAAUUGUCACACCCCGGACCGACUCCGCCGUAGCACGAUAUUGUCCGCUUUGGGCCCUCCUCUCACUGCCCGCACGGUUUUGUUUCUGGGAGCUCACGAAGCAACUUCCCAGGGUGGUCACCCAUCCUGGGAUUGCUCCAGCCUCCCACUCGCUUAACUUCGGAGUUCUUACAACUCCGAAGCCAGUGAGCUCCCAAAAGGCCUCGUGCUAGAUGGAUGCGGGUGUGCCAUAUAAGGCACAUCACCCCCCUCUCCGUUGGUUUGAUGUGGGAUCUUACAGAUAAAUACAGGGAAGGAAAGUUCCUGGAAGAUGCAAGGAAACUUCCUGAAUUGAUAAAUACAGGGAAGGGAAAGUUCCUGGAAGAUGCAAGGAAACUUCCUCUGUGGGCUCCACCUUCAAACUUUUACAACACUCCCCCUUGGAGACCACAAAUGAUAUGAAAUAUGCCUCGUUAAAAACCUUGCCAGUAAAAACCCAGUGGGACAAAAACUGGUCGAAGGGAAAAAGAGUACAUAAUCACGUGUAACAUAAAAUUCUGUGUAUAUUGACGCGCGUGCGACACUGCCUCGUUAAAACCUUGCCAGGAAAAAUCUAGUGGGAUAAAAACCUGGACGAAGGAAAAAGAGUACAGUGUGUAAGGGUCUGUAUUGACAGCACGCUCCUCCUGAUGCUUGGCAAAAUAUCUUUAAGCCAUACUGUUGAUCAUCUGUCUGAAUAUCAUAGUUGACACUGCUGCUGUGAGUCAAUAGUGUAUGAAGGUCUUUAUUAAUACCAUGCUCCCCCUGAUGAAUAUCUCCCCCUGAAAACUUCAUGACUAGCUUUUUCCAGUAAGCGACCAUAGAGAUUUCCUGAGUCCGCAUAUCUUAGAACACUUGGGCUAUUUAUAAGUUCACUAAAAAAAUAUGCCCGUAUAUGGUGUUAUGCUUAGAUAGCAUCAAAUAUACCUCACAUCAUCCCAAAAUGAUGGUGAUGGAGUUGAGCCCUAUCUGGAAAAUAUGAUGUCCGGUCCAAUAUACUUCCGGAAAAUCAUUAAAGUGUCCAACGGAUAAUCCUCAUAAAAAUACUUUAAUACUUUCUUAGUAUAAGCAAGAAUCUCGUUGGCAUAAUGCUCGAUCGAGACAAAUAUUUCAUGAAUUCUGCAGAAACUUUAAUGUGUUGCAAUCACAUUAUAAUCAAUGUACUCACUGAGGUAAUUUAUGCAUAUUAAUAUUGAGUACAAAUUUUGUGCUUCAAGCACAUGUCCUUUAAGGACUUGCUUUAUGCAAUAUCAAUCCUCUCAACGGAUUUUGUCUAAAAGGGAUUAAGCUUUAUGACACAUUAUAUAGCUUUUACCCAGCUAUUUAUACAUCUUUAGGAAAUCGCUUCUGGCGAUAUGCUCCGUGCAUUCAAUAACCCUUAAAGAUAAUAUGUUGGUCUCCGUAAUUGUGUAAUAAGGGGGGGCACAAUUGAAUCUGUAAAUAUGGAGAAAACCCAACAUUCCUUGUUUCUGCCAGAAACAGUGUGUCAUACAAAGUAGGUAUAUUCCCUUUUAUUCCGAACACCCAAGUAUAACUUUCAGUAUUAACAAAUUUUGGGGUUCGUAUUGUGGGUUUGUUCUUUCACGUUCAUUCUCAUUUAUAAUGGAAUUACCUCGUUCCAUUUUGGCCAGUGAUAUUGUCGACAUUUAAUAAUUGAACGUGGUUCCAAUCAACACAGCCCAUUGAUGAUUUGAGUAGCUACUCCAAAACCAAAAAUUGUCAUUCAUCAAUUCAUGAUCCCACCAUUCUCAUGUGCAUGCACAUGCAUCAAUUAUAAGCAUUUCUUUGCUUUUUGGUACCCAAGCCACUUCAGGGGGCUUUUAUUAUGUGAGAAUGUGGAUUAUAACCUCCAUCGGAGCGUUAUUUAGUAGUAGGGCGUGGAUAAUCUCCAUUUAGAGAGUUGGAACAUUGAGAACCCAUAUAUCUGUCAUGCUGCAGGCAUGCCACAGAUUAAUACAUACAUGUCAAUUAAUUUCUGGGACUUUAACCCAUAUUAUGGGACUUUAACCCAUAUAAUUUGCUACGCAUUAGGCGUGCAUAAUAUCAAUAUUGACAUGUCAAAGGAUUGUCCUUUCGGGACUUCAAUUCAUAUCAUUUGCUACGCAACAGGCGUGCACCCAUAUUGAUCACUGCUAUACCCAUAUUCUGUUCUUAUGGGACUUUAAUCUGUGCAGUGUAUUAUCAAUGUAUCCAUCUUACAAUCUGUAAAAUUUGCAUUAAUAAUUCAUGGAUACAUACAAGCCAUUCUUUUGGAACAGACUUAUCUCCCAAUUUGGUUACCUUUCAAGAUAAAAUAUCAAAUAGGUAUAUAAGCAUAAAAUAACACAAGUAUUGCUUACAUCCUUAGGUGGGAGAAACUUUUCUCAAGUAUCAUUCAAGCUCAUAUCAGCCCAGUAAAUAUAAUGUAGCGCUUGAUGAUCUAGUUAUAUCCUGCAAGAGCAAAAAUCACAACUCUUUUGCCUCUGUCAAAACAAAUAACCCUCAUAGUUAGGAUUACUUCAUGGAUUCAUUCUUCAUAUGUUCAUUCUAAAGAAAUAAAAUCUCUUAUGAACAGAGAGUUAUAAAAAGAGAAAAAAUGCAAAAAUAAUGUGAUAUUGAUUGCAAGAGAAGGUAAGCAAUCAGGGAAGGAAGCUGGUGGGAGCAGACAAUAAGCUCUCAUAUCUCCUAGUCUAGAAGGACUCCCGGAGAUUAGACCAUAAGAUCGCCUUCACAGUUUCCUGAUGUAGUGGAAACGUGAUCAGGGAUAGUCUUGCUUCCUGAAUGGAUGAUCAGAGAUAGUCUUGCUUCUCAGGCAUAUUGAGUGCUCACUGAUAAGAAAAAUAAGUAGAUAUCUCAUCACUAAGUAUGGAGUAAACUGGAUGUCUUCUGCAAAGGAAAAUUUCGUUUAGUAACACAUUUAUACACAAAUACAAUGAAUAGGUAGAACCGGUAAAUUUCAAAUUAACCAUAGGAAAAUUGCGAGAUUCUCGGGAUACUUUUGAAAAAGUAGCUCCGUGAAAUCCGUAAAGCAAGAUCGGCUUUGAAAAUAAUACUUUGAAAAACGCCGAAAGUGCCGACAUGCAUUAUUAGAGGCCACGUGAAGUUUUGGACUCUGGGAAAGAAAAAGAUAAUAUGGGGAUUCGAGAAGACAUUGGGGUCCUGAAAAGUUGCCACAUUUUCGUCUAUAGAUAUUGCCUUUGCAAACUGCGUUUCAACUCAACUUCCUUCAUUUUCCGAACCUUUAGUUUUUCUAAGACUUUCUUCGAAACCUUCUUAAAAAAAUGGCUUCCUCUUCUUCCUGCCCAAAUUAUUUCAAUUUAAAUGAUGCUCCCACAACAACCAGUGACGCCCAAGUUUGGCGUCCAUCCUUUGUAUCCAAAAAUCGUCAUCUCACAGUUAAUGAUUCUGUGAUGAUGAAUGAUGCUACUGCUGUCAUAGUAGCUAGGAAUUUCAUUACUCCAAUGGAUGAAAUGUUGUUGACAGGGAGAUCAGAGGAAGAGGCUAUUGAUGAAUCAAUGGCUUUUAGCAUUCAGAGUGCUGUUUCUGUUUCUAACAUGGCUGAUCGUUUGCGUGCCAGAGCAAACGAAGUUGAGAAUUUAACAACUGAAAAUUCGUCUCUCCAAAGAAUGCUUCAUGAGUCUCAACAGGAGGUUGAGAAACUUAAAGGAGAGAAUAAUGCCUUGUUGAAACUGGUGAGUUCGUACUCUGUUGAUACAUUGAGAAGGCUAGACAUGCUGCAGGUCUCGAAUGAAAGAAUUUUGGGAGACUAUGAGAAGCUCAUGGCUAAGCUUAAGAGGCGCCGUCAUCUUCCUUCAGAGGCUUCCAGGACAUAAUGUAAUUUUUAUAGAUUUUACAGGGCCUGCACCUUCAUUGCAGGAAAAAAUCUAUCUGUUGUAUGCCCCUUUUCUGUUAUAAUAAUUGCGCAUAUUCUUAAACUUGCACCUGUGGUUUUUACGUCUUUUCAAAAUGACGAUUUGGAACCUUGUGCCUUAUAGGUUCAAAUAACCACAUUGUCUCUCCCAAAUUUCAUAUUUUAUCGCAUGGUAGCCCGGAACUUUUGGCCUGGGCACAAACUCAGAAUUUAUUUGCCCUUUUCAAAUGGACAUGAAAUAUGAAUUGAGUAAAAGCCAUGAUAAUAUCGCAAUAUAGUAGUGAAGAGCAUUAACUACUAUAUACCCACAACUUCAAGUUCAGGAUCUCUCAUAUAUUUGGAUCCAUGGGCUUCCGGCCCAAAUAUAACAAAAUAUGUGGGGAGCCUCAAUUCAUUAUUUGAGGUUUAUAUUAAUAUUAUGCAUUUCGCGGUGUAUUCUUAACAACCGGAAUUCACAAAAUAUAUUUCUUCCUUGAGGUGUCGAUUAUAACAAAAUCGAACUUUAUUAAAUUCAUCAUCUUCUUAUGCCAAAGAAAUAUGUGGCAUACCACAAUUUGCAAUAAUACCUCAAGGGUUGUCCAUUUAAUUGUUGGAACUUCAGGUUCUCAACACUGUUAAAUUUGGAACUUCAGGCCAAAGCCACAUAUUCUCAUGGUAUGGACAUUUUUACAAUUUUCUGUACAUAUUUCGGGACUUCAAGCCCUUACAUAACUGUCCAUAUUUUGAGGAACUUCUGGCAUCUCAUUUAAUUGCUCAUCCAUGAGUUUAAGGAACUGCAGGUUCCCUUUUGUAUAUAGUGACGGUUUACCCAAAAUGGUUAAUAUUUAUGCAUACAUCACUAUUCAUGUGAAUAGUACUAUUCAUCAAGUCAUGAAUACGUAUCUAUUCAUCUGCCAGUACAGUUAUCAUCAAUGUGUACGGCACUAUGAACCAAUACGGUACUGUUACAUCAUUAAGGAACUCUAGGUCCUUAUUUACAUGUCAGGGAUUAAGAACCUUUAAGUCCAAUCACAUGUUUACAAAUACAGUACCGGUGAGACUGCCAGCUCUCAUUUUAAUAUCAUCAUCAAGGAUCUUCAAGUCCUGAUGUAAUUGUAUGAUGAGGAUCAAGGAACUUCUGGUCCUGAUCUGCAUACUGGAAAAACUAAUCAUACAGCACAAUUAAUCCAUAAAAUAAAUUGCUGAUAAAUAAAUUACUGGUAUGGACGAUAAACCCGCACCACACUUUAAAUAAAUGUAAAUGUGCGGUAAAUUAAAUUCAUAAAGUUAAGGUGCUUGUAUGGGCAUUAAUUCUGCUCCAUACAUUUAAAUAAAAGUAAAGGCGUGGACGAUAAACCCGCACCACCCUUUUAAAUAAAUGUAAAUGUGCGGUAAAUUAAAUUCAUAAAUUAAAUUGCUUGCUGUAUGGACGUUAAUCCCGCACCAUACUUUAAAUAAAAUUAAAUGUGCGGUAAAGUAAAUUGUGCUUGUAUGAGCACUAAUUCUGCUCCAUACAUUUAAAUAAAAGCAAUGGCGUGGACGAUAAACCCGCACCACCCUUUUAAAUAAAUACUGUUGUAUGGGUAAUAAACCUACACCAUACAGUAAAUAAAAUAAAUAUGCGGUAAAAUAAAUUUGCGAUAAAGUAAAGGUGCAUGUAUGGGUAAUAAACCUACACCAUACAGUAAAUAAAUGUGGGGUUAAAACCACCACCGAAUAAAAUAAGAAAAAGUUAGUAUUAGUAACGGUCUCCUACUGAUAAUAUGUUUAGUAUUACCAAGGGUCCAUUUUUGUUAGUGGUUAGUAGUAUAGAUAAUAGUGCAGCAUAAAAAUUAUACCUGAGAGCUUCUCGUGCUGAUAACGUGUUAUAAAAAUAACCUGGAAUAUGUACGAAUAUUGAGCUGCACGAAAAGUAGAUGAGACACAACAUUUAACGAGGUUCGGCUAUGCCUACGUCCUCGGAGAGCAACAGCAGUAACUUUUUCACUAUAUGAAAUAAUAGGGCUACAACUUUAGAGUUUACAAUAUGUGAGGCUCACUGAAUUUUCUCUCUCUUUCUUCUUCUCUCUUUUCUUUCUUCUUUUUCUCUUCUUUUCUUUCUUCUUUUCUCUUCUUCUUCUCUCUUCUUUUUCUCUUCUCCCCUUUCUUUCUUUUCUCCGUUGGUCACACUCCCCUUUACAAUUGGUAUGCCUAUUUAUAGGCUAAUGUUUAGGCAAAAUACAGGGAAGGGAAGGUUCCUGGAAGAUGCAAGGAAACUUCCUGAAUUGAUAAAUACAGGGAAGGGAAAGUUCCUGGAAGAUGCAAUGAAACUUCCUCUGUGGGCUCCACCUUCAAACUUUUACAACACUUUGAUAGUUUUGGACAGAUGCAAGCUACUGUUGUUGGGAUGAUCUUUUCACGUGAAAUGAGGAUGACGAUACUUCUACACUACACAAUCCAACGAAUUCACAUUUCUAUUUCAGAUACAUGUAUAAACAGACAAGGCUUUAAAAUAUGGGAUGCUGCACUGUUGUUGCUGCUGCUGACACUGUUACUGUGUUGCUGCUACUGUUACUGCACUGCUGCUUGAAGAAGGACAAGGACUUCACUUGUUGCUUUCGUCCUUUGUGGAGGAGAGAGACCUAGGACUUGCAUGUCUUAGAUAUUUAAGACAAGGGGCUUUCGUGCCAUUUUGAAAAUACUUUGGGUGUUUUUGAAAGCUGCUUGUUUCUUUUGAGUUUCUCACUAAAUUUCGCUUUAGAAGGGAAAAUAAUAAUAAUAUUAAUAGUACAGCACUUAUUAGCAACAGAGUUACAAACUUCUUCUACAACACACACCAACAUGAAUCUAGCCCUGAUCCACUCUUUACAUACUUGAAAACAAAACAAAACACGAAAAACAAAAAACAAGAUAGGGAGAAAAUGGCUACGGAGAGACUUACUGCUAAUAGUUGAUCAAUAACAGAGAUAAUAGCGCACACUAUUUGUAUGACAGUGAGUAUCAGAAGAAUAAUAGCUGCAAAGAGAGAAAUAGCUGCCCAAGGUGUGUUGAAAUACUUUUGUCUCAAAUUUGCCUUCCAUAUGUUCGUGGUCUUCUCUCAGUAACUCGUUUAGUUUGCCAGCAAGAUCACCAAAAUAGUAGUUUCCGUGGUUCAGAGCAACUUUACUGCAAAGCUUGUUAAUCAUAAUGGAAACCUUAUUGUUGUCACCUUGCAUGUUUACAACAAUUCUAUUCUCAACAAGCAACUCUACAUCCUUUGGAGUGUUUACAAAUUUAUCCAGGAUGAAAACAUAAUAGCUUAUGUAUUUAUCCACGCAAUGGCAUUGUUCAAAGGCAAUGAGAUUUCUAAGUGUAAGCUCUGUGUAAUUAUGUAUUUCAAUUUUUGGAAUUUCCAAGGUGUUUUUCUUGAACUGUAUAUCGAAUAAGUUCUUGCUUGAUCCGGCCUGGUGUAGUUUUGUCAUGCUGGGUGUCCUUUGGAGCCCUACAUUUUCUUUUAGGGUCGGAUCUGGCAGAUGUAAAGUUCUAAUAAAAUCAACAAAAUGUAAAGGUUUUUUAGGAUCAGGAGGCAUAAAAGACUUACGGAAGGCUGGUGAGUUCUCCAAGUUUUCUAAACGCAGUGCCUGUUGGAAGAACCUGUAAGAGAGUUCAAUUAUUGAAGGCUCCCCAGUCUGAGCACCUGUGAGAUUGUAAAGAUCCUCGAGAAUGAAAAAUGGCAGCUGAUUUCCAAGCAUAAGCAUGUCAGGCAAUAUAUUUUGUAGCACCCAUGGUUUUUUAAAUAUCCAAGCAUUAUCAUCCUGCAAUUUUUCUUCCUGAAAUUUUUCUUCGGAUUUAUUCCUCAACAAUAGCUCAAUGACAAAGGCGGCAUCAACUCGAAUGAUAUUCACAAAAGCAGCAAUGUUAAACUUCUUAGUGUCUUCAUAAUAAUGACGGAGUUCAACUUCUCUCUCCUUUAUUUUCUCGAAAUAAUCCUUCAAUUUUACAUUAGUCCAAUCAAGAAAACACUUUAGGUACCUGAGUUUGUGAUCUUCCAUGGCUUCUAGGUUUUUGCUGCCAUGGUGAAGUGGGCCUAUUGAGACUACUUGUGGUGUGUAGGCCUUUUGUUUUACGUUCCGUAGUCGCUCAGGCACCCUUUAGAUACAACAGGCAGGGGACAGGGCACGCAAGUUUGUCAACUGAUUUUCCAUGGAAGUUGCUUGGUUUUCUAUGUCAAAAGAAGCUUCAUUGCUGCUUUCUUCCACUUUCUUCCUCCUCAUUAUGUGUUGUUCUGAUUGUAAGUGACGAGGAUGGUGAUGAUUCUAGACAACAUAAUCAACAAAUGUUUCAAUCAUAAUUGACAUUUCAAGAUGCUCCGACAAAGAAUUAGAAAACAUUCAUCACAAAAUGCGAACUCAUACAAUAGAUGGGUUGAUGAUAUAACCAUUAUUUCGUACAUUUUUAUUAUCUUUCUCUUAGAUUCUUGCUAUGGUUCUUGAGUGAGUUUAGUCCAUUUUUACUUAGUUUUGUGUUUUACUAGGUUUGAAGAGUAAAGAUGGAAAAGCAAGCAAAAGGUGCAAUUUUGGUAUUGAAAUAUAAUGUGAAAUCCUAGGAGCAGAAUGUGUUGUGCGGAUCGGACAACUUUACAGAACAUACUGUACUUCCUCAGAGCGAACCAGAUGUUGAACCUUAUAUCAUUGGAAAGAUACGGAUGUUCGCCUUCUGUAGAAUUUCGCGGUUCAUGAUUCGGACGUGUGUGGAGAGAGUUGUGGCCAUUUUAGUACGGACAGUUCGGGCAGAAUGUGUUCUGCGGGUUUUGCAAAAUAAUCCAUUUGAAGUCCAAUCCUUGGAGUUUAAUUUGUGUCAAUUACAUUUGGGAAGUGUCUACAAGGAUGUGGAGUUAUUUUCUGAAGUCUGACCCUUUAUUUAGUAGGAUUAUGGAUGCCAACUCAUCAAAGACAAUGAAGCCAAACUAGGAAAACAUAGUUACCAAGUCAAAAGAGGAUUUGUUCCUUAUUUAAAGAAGACCAGAAAAUAGGGUUCUCUCAUGCUGGAAUUUGAAGGAGAGUUAAAGAGCCGCUGCCAUCGUCAAGUUCUCAAGCAUCGUCAUAAUCCAUAAGUUCUAUUUUAUGUUUUCUAGUUUUUCAAUUAUGUUUUCUUUGAACAUGAGUAACUAAAUCAUUCUCUAGGGCAAGGAUGACGCCCGAGCAUGGAUAGUUAUGAUUUUUAAUGCUAUUUAAUGAAUUCCAAGUUUCUUUUAGAUGAAUGUUUAAUCACUAUUUUAAUUGUUGCUAUUUGUUUAAGUUCUUUGAUUGAUCACCUUAUGACAUGACCCGCCCCGAAUUUUUCGAAACACGAGACGAAUCUUGUGGAAUUCCCGACCACACCCCAAUGCCGGGCCCACUUACUAAAGACCGGGACUUUCUGCCGAAAUUUCGGCAGAGUCUCUCCUGUAAAUUGAACAUUUCCCACAAUUUCAACCUGCAUAAAACACAUUUUAUAUUACCCAACUGGCAGCAUGCACAAUGUAAUAACAUGCAAUUCACAUAAACGGCCUUUCGACCUUCCGAUAAUCCACAACAAACCACCAAGCACGCUAUCAAAUCAAUUCAUACCUUAAACAAGGCAAACAAUAAAUUCAAUCACACUUAAGAAUGUCAAAGCAAUCCACUACAUUUAAUUUUUCUCAACACCCAACAUACGAGGUUUUAACAUCCUAACACAAUCACAUCUAUGUCUGCGGUUGCACCUAAUAACCUUAGGCUGCCUAUGUACCCUCACUGAGAGAUCAAGCCACACGUAGUUCUUCCUACUAAAUUCCGAUUUCCAAACACAUACAAUACCUUUAAUCAUCUCUAUGAUAAUCACAUACUCUCCCCACACGCCGGAAAUUCCAACGCCACGUAUGGGGUCUGUCAUCACGCCGAAAAAUCCUACGCCUCGUGUGACCUAACCAUCAUAUCAUCUCCCCAUACGCCGAAAAUUAUAACGCCACGUACGGGGUCUGUCAUCCUGCCGGAAAAUCCUACGCCAUGGGUGACCUGACAAUCACAUAAUCUCCCCAUAUGCCAGAAAUUCCAACGCCACGUAUGGAGUCUGUCUCAACGCCGGAAAAUCCUACGCCACGCGAGACCUAACAAUCACAUAAUCUCCCCAUAUGCCAGAAAUUCCAACGCCACAUAUGGGGUCUGUCAGCACGCCGGAUAACCUACACCACGUAGGACCUAACAAUCAUAGCAUUUCCCCGUAUGCCAGAAAUUCCAACGCCACGUAUGGGGUUUGUCCUCAUGCCGGAUAACUUACGCCACGUGGGACCUAACAAUCACAUAAUCUUCCCAUAUGCCGGAAAUUCAACACCUCAUAUGGGGUCUGUCAGCACGCUGGAUAACCUACGCCACGUGUGACCUAACAAUCAUAGCAUAUCUCCAUACGCUGGAAAUUUCAACGCCACGUAUGGGGUCUGUCAUCAUGUUGGAUAACCUACGCCACGUAGGACCUAACAAUCACAAGGUGGUACUUAGGGUAGUGCGUAUAGCACUGACAGAAAAUCACAAAAGUAUCUUUCCUAUUCUAGAGAUUGGUCACAUGUAGUCCAACCAAUAGGAAAUGAGAUAUUUAAGAAAUGAAGAGUUUGAUCAAUAUCAAUAUCAAAUGAAUUCUUAUACGCCUAGUCAACUAUUAAGCGUAUCUUGACUUCUUGAUAUUGUGAUAUGAUUGAAACAUGAUUUCCAUGUUAGAAAAUUAAAGGGAUGUUAAAACAUGAAAGUAAUAGGAGAAUCAAAUUGAUUUGGGCCAAAAUUGCCUAAAAAGAAAACACUUCUAAAUACACUCAAUUCACUUUUAAAAACAGUAAAACAUGAUUGAAUCGUUCUUUAAAACAAUUCCCUAAUAUACAUGCAUGAUAAUGACAUCACUUACCUCUGAACCAAAUGCCUUUCACGGGUCAAGCCACAAGUCUGUGUUUUGGGGAUUGCUAAGCUGCAUCAAUCCUGCCAAUGUCAGUUCUGCCCCUAUGCUCUCUCAAAGCAUGUUUACAACCUAUGCUAACAUAUACUAGAGUUUAUGCUAGUAUCGAGAAAAUGCAAACACUAAUUUUGUAACACGUAGAAUUGUUAGAGAUUGGAAGUUUUUAUCAUUUUUUUCUUCCAGUCUCUCCACCACUCACUAAUACAGAUUACUCAUGUGAUAAAUUUACAAAACCUAUUUCUCUACUCUCACAAAGACUAUACUUCUUCUCAAAAGACUAUAUCACUUUACCUCUAUCUCUGUGAAAUGUAAAAAGUUGAAACUUUAAUGUCAAACCUCGACAAAAGAUGAAUUUCCAUCAGUUACGUUGAAUUUGGAUUUGUUGAACUUAAGCGAUUUUACUUUCUCUGUUAGUAUUUGAUGACUUAAUUUGGUAUUUACUUCUUCUUCUUUUUUUCCUUGGAAAUGUGUUCCACCAACGUGAGGAAGAAAAAUAUGCACAAAAUAAUAUAUUUAAUAGAAGCCCAAGAUUUCGGAAGCACAUAAUUUUUUCAAAAAUCUACAAAGUGUUCUACUUUACAAACUUCUUAUGUCUACCAAUUUCUACUAAAAUUAAUUUCUUUGCGGUGCUCAGAUUCAUCAUGUGUGUGUCCUCAAUUUUAGUGGAAAUUGGAAGUUUCCAUCAUUUUUGUUUUCUGGGAAUUUUCUGAACCAAGGAAAAUCAAGCAAAAUUAAUAAAGCAUAAAAUGAAAAGGGAAAAUAUCUAGAGGAUGCAUUGUAGGAUUGCUCAUGCCAAUAAUUGUACCCUCUAAAUAUAUUGGGACAUAUUUUUUUUUGUUUUCAUGACAUAUGGUCCUAAAAUUAUUGUUCCUAGCGGGCUCUCCACCCCUCUCAAUUGAAAACCUAUUGUGUAAAUCUUCAAUCCUGAACGAUGAACGAUGCACCUAAAACACAUGUUGCAAUACACAUCCACCCAUUCUCAGGCCAAUUAUUGUUCCUAGCGGGCUCUCCACCCCCUCUCAAAUUUAAGUGGUCCAUUAUGAUUAAUCAUGUAUUUUAUGGACCAUCCAGCUGUGAGGUUUUAUCUCAAAAACCUUCGGUACCUUUCUCCCACAUGCCACAAUGGUAUAUUCACAAUUACGUCUGAUACCUCACAUCAUGCCACUUGCCUCAAUUGAAUUUAAGUGGGUGGAGUGUUACUUCUGGGUACCCCUCAUCAUUCGUCUAUAAAAUGGUGAAGCCAGUUGCUACUGUUACCAUAAGAGCCAGCUCCGACUUUCUUUAAUUUCUUGUUUCGUAUCCACUAGCUACAUCUGUUGCCAAGUUAAUUUCAGUCCUAAUGGGGUUUCAUCUCCCACUCAUCUUUGCUAUUCUCAGUGUAAGCUCUGCAAUUUGAUUAAGAUUUCCAUUCUCUCUCAUUGUACUCUAUAUAAACGAAAGUUUUGUGUUCCUACAAUUCUCUCCGAUUUUAUUUAGUAUGUACUUAAGUGUCGUACGUCCACUAAUUAAUUACACUUUGUGAGAUUUGAUUUUAAUUAGAGUUCGAAUUAAUGUUGCAGCUAGCAGCAGUGGGAAACCAUGCUGCUCAACCAGCACCUCAACUUUACUGGAACUCCGUCCUGCCAAACACACAGAUGCCAAGAUCUAUCAGUGUACUUCUGCAUCCUGGUUUGUGUUGAGCACUUUAGAAUCUUAGAUAUCUUUUCUACCUGCCAUUUUACUAAAAUUUGUUCGACCACAUAUUUAUCAGUUAACUACUGUCAUUACAAAUCGGCUGAUCACUUAUUUUGCAUUAUGACGUUGAUAUAUAAUUUGCAGACUCCACAAAUGAAGAAAAGAGCACAUAUAUGAAUGCUGUUGGGAAUGGAAAGGGCAAACCUGAAAUUUUCCCAUUGGGCAUUAGACGUUACGUUCAAAAACGGUAUGGAGGGGGCAUUAGACGUUACAAUCAAGAACGGUAUGGAAAAGGUCCUCCUCCAUCUGACAAUCAACUACUCCAUUAUAAAGACUUGGCUAUUUUCUUCUUCGAGAAGGACAUGCGCCCUGGCGCAACAAUGAAGUUCCAAUUCCCUAGAAAUUCAAACACGGCUACUUUCCUGCCACGCGAAAGUGCUCAAUCGAUCCCCUUCUCCUCUAACAAACUAUCAGAAAUUUUCAACCAUUUUUCAGUGAAGCCAACAUCUGUGGAAGCCAAAACAAUUAAGCAAACAAUCCAAGAGUGUGAAGCUCCAGGCCUUAAGGGAGAGGAAAAAUAUUGCGCCACAUCUUUAGAAUCAAUGGUUGAUUUUAGCACUUCGAAGCUUGGAACAAGAAACGUUGAAGCAAUCUCGACGGAGGUAUUGGAAAGAGGAGCCACCAUGUCCAUGCACAACUAUACAACAAUGCCGGGACUGAAGAAGUUGGCAGGUGACAAAGUCGUUGUGUGUCAUAAGGAGAACUAUCCCUAUGCUGUGUUUUUCUGCCAUGCAAUAAAACAAACAGCAGCAUAUGUUCUCUCCCUGAAAGGCGAUGAUGGGGAGAAGGUUAAAGCAGUAACCAUCUGCCAUCUAGACACAUCAGAAUGGAACCCAGAGCAUUUGUCCUUCCAAAUCCUCAACGUUAAGCCCGGAACAAUUCCCAUCUGCCAUUUCAUUUCCACUGAUGGUAUUGUCUGGGUUCCAAAACACAAAUCUGCAUGAUCAUCACUUAGCACUGUACGUAUAAUAAGCUUGGUUGGGUUGCACCCUAGGCCUGUAUAAUUAACUCCCUACUUAUUUCUGCCUCUUUAGCACUGUACAUAUAUAGACUUCAACUUGUACUCGUAUAGCAUGCUGGAAAAAAAAAGGACCAAUAGGGAGAAAAUGGUGAACUAAGGAGAGACUAAUACUUCUGGUUCUUAGAAGGCAUAACAGAAAUAAUAGAGCACACUGCUUGAAUGCAAGUCAAUAUUGUUAGAAAAUUAGGAGAUUUACUUCCUAAUAUAUUAUGAUUCUAUUUAUUUCCUUUUGUAUUGAUAUUAUGUAAUUAGGACUUUAUCUUAGUUUCCUAGUAUAACCCUACUAGGGUUUGUACUCUUGUAUUAUAAAUACCUCCUUUUGGAGAAUGAAGUAUAAUCUGAAAAUAUUCUAUCCACUUUGUUUGACAUGGUAUCAGAGCAAACUUUUCUAGUGACCUGUGUGUUGUGCCAACCCGUAUUCUAGCCCCAUAUUUUUUCUCUACCUAUGCCGUGUGUGCCCCCCCUCUGGGUUUGUGGGUUGUGUUGUCGUGUUGGUGUCAUUCCUAUCUUCGUGCAUCUGCCGUAUUUGAGCCUUUGCUGUGUUCCGCUGUGUACUCUGUUGUGUUCAUACCUCUAUUGUGUUCGUGCCUGUCUUCGUGCAUCUGCUGUAUUUGUGUCUCUAUUGUGUUCCAUUGUACAAUCUGCCGUGAUCUGUUGAAUUUAUGAUGUAAUCAUAGGUGAUAACUCAUUUGUUGGUGUUGUUGUUGCUGUUUCUGGAAAUUUAUGUGAUUCAGACUCUAUUCCAUUUACUGGCUACAAUACUUAGAUAAUUGAUACUGGUACUUAUGAUCAUAUUGACAGGACUCGCCCCGAAUUUCCUGAAACCCGAGACGAAUUCUGUGGAAAUUCCUGACAUCACCCCGAUGUCGGGCCCACUUCUAAAACUAUAUCCUUUUUCCCCAAAAGGAAUAAAGGCAUAAGACUUUCUACCGAAAUUUCGGUAGAGUCUCCUAUGUAAAUUGAACAUUGCCCAAAAUUUUAACCUGCAUAAAACACAUUUUAUAUUACCCAACUGGCAGCAUGCAUAAAGUAAUAACAUGCAAUUCACAUAAACGGCCUUCGGCCUUCCGAUAAUUGGCAACAAACCACCAAGUACGCUAUCAAAUCAAUUUAUACCUUAAACAAGGCAAACAAUAAAUUCAAUCACACUUAAGAAUGUCAAAGCAAUCCACUACAUUUAAUUUUCUCAACAGCCAACAUACGAGGUUUUAACCUCCUAACACAAACACACUUCGUUCUCACUCAAAUAGCAGGACCAACUUCAAGGUCCGCAUCAUACUCAAUAAUACACAAGUAAAGUUUAAACCGCGGCUGCACCUAGGCACUACCCUAGGCUGCCUACGUACCCUUAUUGAGGGAUCAAGCCACACGUAGUUCUUCCUACUAAAUCCUGAUUUCCAAACACAUACAAUAAUACCUUUAUUCAUCUCUCUGUUAAUCACAUAAUCUUCCCAUACGCCGGAAAUUCCAACUCUACGUAUGGGGUCUGUCAUCACGCCGGAAAAUCCUACGCCACGUGUGACCUAACCAUCAUAUCAUCUCCCUAUACGUCAGAAAUUCCAACACCACGUAUGAGGUCUGUCAUCCAGUCGGAAAAUCCUACGCCACGGGUGACUUGACAAUCACAUAAUCUCUCCAUACACCAGAAAUUCCAACGCCACAUAUAGGGUCUGUCUCAAUGUCGGAAAAUCCUAUGCCACGCGAGACCUAACAAUCACAUAAUCUCCCCAUACGCUGGAAAUUCCAACGCCACGAAUGGAGUCUGUCUCAACGCUGGAAAAUCCUAUGCCACUCGAGACCUAACAAUCACAUAAUCUCCCCAUAUGCCGGAAAUUCCAACGCUACAUAUGGGGUCUGUCAGCAUGCCGGAUAACCUACGCCACGUGUGACUUAACAAUGAUAACAUCUCCCCAUACGCCGGAAAUUCCAACGCCACGUAUGAGGUCUGUCCUCACGCCGGAUAACCUACACCAUAUGGAACCUAACAAUCAUAGGGUGGUACUUAGGGUAGUGCGUAUAGCACUUCAAACCGACAUUCAAAACUCUAUUUAUACCUUUAUAAAUUUAUAUAAAAAUAUAUAUAUUAAGUUCUAAAGUUGUAUAAGCCUCAACCACAAUCUAGCAUCCGAUAAUCCCCCCCAAUUUAAAACAAUAAAUUAAUAUCAUAAACCCACAUAAUCAACAUAACUUAACAACGCUCAAGACCUGUCACUAGUGUCAUUGUAAUCCUCCUAGGAAGGUAAAACUACUUCGGAAGAGUCACGGUCAACUAAGGGUCAAACUACCCAAACUUGGUCAAAUGGGCCCACGGGCCCCACGACCUUCAAAUUCCGAUUCCAACCUACCGAAAUUUCUUAUGGGUUCUACAAGGUUUAGGACACUCGUCUUGCAAGUUUGGUCCAGAUCAGACGGUCGGAUCGCUCACGAUCGCACGAUCGGACGGUUACUAUAAACCUAGCCCUAGGGUUGGUAUUUUCGGAGUAUCCAGGACUCCGUUUUACGAUCCGUCGAAUCCUAUACGAUCUUGAGGAUGUCCAAACUAACAUAUAAUAAAUCUAUGACUAUCCAACGGCUCAAACCUAUUGAACCCAGAUAACGCACAAUAUGCGAAAUCUGUUCAAUAGUCAAACGACGUCCGAAUUGAGAUCCGCGAAAACCUACGCACUCGUGACAACUUGAGGACCUCAUUAGGACAAACUGUAGCUUCACCACCUUUGUCCACGCGCCUGCAGCGCAUGGGUGUGUAGAGUAAAUUCCGAUGAUGGAAAAACUCUACACCACCGCUCACCCUUCCUAUCCUAAAUACUACUCGAGGCAAGGAUCACUUCAUUCAACUACGGGGAGGUCCCAUUUGGACGGCAACUGGCCCAAAUUUCACUUUGAAAUCCGGCCAAAACCUAGGUUUUCAAAUCGGUUUUCUAGACAUCAAAUCGAUCCAAUCCUAUCCCAUAGACAGCUAGAGCUCAGAAAAUAGAUGACAAACCAUACCUCACCCGACGGAAUUGGUGGCUGGAGGAGAAAGAUUGAGCGAUGAGAAGUUCUGUCAAAACCGACUCGUUUUCGACUGAUUCCAGCGAGCACAGUUGACGAUGAUGGCUAAGACUAGUCGGGAAAAGACAAGGGAGAGGUGGUGAUUCGAACGGGACCGGUCUCGAGGCCAGUCGUUGACUGUGGAGGCUGCAAUAGCCUUGAAGGGUGGCGGCUGUAAAAACGAAGGGGAGGGGGGCUGUUCACGAUGGAGGAGAGAGAGAGAUAGAUAGAUAGAUAGAGAAAAAUCUGAAUUUUAUAAAAAUUCCAUUUUGAAAUAAUUACGAUUGUGCCACUGAGUUUCUUUUGACCGUAACUUCCUCGUUACAACUCCAAAUCAAGCCCACUAUGUAUCUAUGAACUCAUCUCGUCGAGCUCUACGCAACGGUAGAGCUGAAAUUCUCAAAUUUCUUCCUGAUCAAAAAGUCAACUUUAAACCCAAUAAAAUAUUCUAUGGGUAUAAUGGUCUUUUAUCUACAUAAAUUAAUAAUUUCCAAUUUAUUUAGGACCGGGUCGUUACACAUAUGACUUAUGAUGCUAUAUUUUUUUAUGAGUUGUCUAGUAAUACUCGUGACCCAUACAUAACUAGUGCUAAUGGCUUGCCCUAUCCAAUUACUGGCGAGGGCAUAAUCUCUCACUCCUACUCUGUCCUUGUCUCGUGUGUUACUCGUUCCCAAUAUCCAUUGUAACUUGUUGUUUGUUGGCCGAUUACUUGAUACACUUAAUGCUUAUGCUACUUUCUAUCCUACACAUUGCUCUUUUCAGGAUCUCAAGACUUGCGAGACGAUUGGGCAUAGUAAACGGAUAGGGGGCUUAUAUUAUUUGACAUUGUCUUCUGCACCAAUUCGUGGUUGUGUCAUUCAUACUGUUCAAAGUUGUAGUGUCAAGGACAAAUAACAAAUUUGGUUAUGGCAUCGUCGCUUGGGACACUCGUCGUUCGGCUAUCUUAAGCGUCUGUUUCCAUCUUUAUUCCGCUCUUGUGACGAGUCCAGUUUUAAGUGUGAGACAUGUAUUUUGGCCAAGAGUCAUCGCACUGUGUUUCUUUUAAGUGACAGUAAAGCUGCAAAACCUUUUGAUUUAGUAUAUUCGGAUGUAUAGGGACCUGCUCGUGUGACUUCUAAUGGUUUCUAUUGGUCUAUUACUUUUAUUGAUGACUGCACUCUCCCCAUAGUCCGGAAUUACCAACGCCACGUAUGGAGCCUGUACGCACGCCGAAAAAUCCUACGCCACGUGGGACCUCAUCAUCAUAUCACAUAGUCUCCCCAUACGCCGGAACUACUAAAGCCACGUAUGGGAUUCGUCUCAACGCCGGAAAAUCCUACGCCACGUGAGACCUUACAAUCACAGGAUGGUACUUACACAAUGUAAUCAAACCAUCUUUAUCUCUUUAAUAUAUAUAUAUAUAUUCCCAAUUUCCCCAAGUUUAAAACAAUAAACUAGUUCCUUAAACCCACUAAUUAACAUAACUCAACUAAUGAUCAAGACCUAUUGAAAGGACUCGCCCCGAAUUUUCUCAAAACCUGAGACGAACCCUUUGGAAGUCCUGACAUCACCUCGAUGCCAGGCCCACUUACUAAAAACCGAGACUUCCUGCCGAAAUUUCGGCAGAGUCUCCCCUAUAAUUUGGACAUUUUCCAAAAUUUAUACCUGCAUGAAAAUGCAUUUAAUAUUCCCAAUUGGCAGCAUGCACAAUAUAAUUUCAUGCAAUUCACAUAAAUGGCCUUCGGCUUUCCAAUAAUUCUUAACCAGUUACCAAACAAUUCAAAUACCAAUUAUGACUAACAUUUAGUCUACGGCUGCGCCUAAUAACCUUAGGCUGCCUACGUACCCUCCUUGAGGGAUCAAGCCACACGUAGUUCUUCCAUAAAACUCAAUUCCACACAUAGGUGAUACCUUAUUUCAUCUCUCUGUAUUUCACAUAAUCUCCCCAUACGCCGGUACAACCAACGCCACGUAUAGGGCCUGUCAACACGCCGGAUAACCUACGCCACGUGCGACCAUGCCAUACUAUCAUCAUAUCUCCCCAUACGCCGGUACAACCAAUACCACGUAUGGGGUCUGUCUCAACGCCGGAUAACCUACGCCACGCGAGACCUGCACAUCAUAUCACAUAACUCCCCAUACGCCGGUACAACCAACGCCACGUAUGGGGCCUGUCCCAACGCCGGAUAACCUACGCCACGCGGGACCUCAACAUCAUAUCACAAAUCUCCCUAUACGCCGGUACAACCAACGCCACGUAUGGGGUCUGUCGACACGCCGGAUAACCUACGCCACGUGCGACCUCAACACAAUAUCACAAUAGCUCCCCAUACGCCGGUACAACCAACGCCACGUAUGGGGCCUGUCUCAACGCCGGAUAACCUACGCCACGUGAGACCUAACUUUCACUUGGUGGUGCUUGUAGUGAAUCCAACAUCCAGGGAGGUACCUAAAGUAGUGCGUAUAGCACUCCAAACUGACAUUCUAGACUCUGUUGUACCCAUGUACAACCAUAUAUAAUUAUAGUUAUAUAAAUUAAUUCUAAUAUUGUGUAACCUUCCACAUUCAUCUAGCACCCGAUAAUCCCCCUUAGAAAGGUGAGAUUACUCCGGGAGACUCACGGUCAACCAAGGGUCAAACUACUCUAACUCUGGUCAACCGGACCUGCAGAACCCACGACCCCCAAUUUCCGAUCCGAAAGUCUCUAUGGGUUCUACCAGGUAUAGGACACUUGUCCUGCAAGUUUGGUUCAGAUCGGACGGUCGAAUUUCUCACGAUCGCACGAUCUGACAAUUAAUAUAAAAUAUAAACUUUAAAAUUAUUAAUCGAAACAUCCGGGGCUCCGAUUCACGAUCCGUGAAUUCCUACACGAUCCUAGAAUUACCUAGAUUAACAUAUAUUAAAUUUGGGACCAUCCGACGGUCCCAACCUGUCGAACCCGGAUAACGUACAAUAUACGAUCGUCCGUUCGAUAGUCAAACGACGUCCGAAUUGAGAUCCGCGAAAUCCUAUGCACUCGUGACAACCUAAGGAUCUCAUCGGAAUACAGUGCUACUUUUUCUACAGUGCCCAAAGCGAUAACGCUUCGCCGGAAAAUCUCAACAUCACGGCUCCAAAAUUCCUACUCUAGGUAUAACACCCUAUUUGGAGCCACUUUUGUUCUUGGACCUACCCCAAAAAGUGGCCGAAAAUGGCCGAUCACGGCAGCCGAAGUUUCGGCCGAUUUUCAAUUCGAAAAUCGAGUUGUCUACGCUAAGAAUCGAUCUAAUCCUACCCAACCAUCAGCUAGAGUAGCUCGAGAGGUUCAAAAUCCAUACCUGGGUCGACGGAAUUGGUGGCCGGAGGAGGGAGAUCGGCGGCUUUGAAGUUUGGACGACGUCGGCCGCUUCAUCUCCAGAUUCCGGCGAAUCCGCGGCGGCUGGCGGCGGGAGGUGGCUGGGGUAGGAAGAGGACGACGGCCCGGUCAUUUUGGUACCGGUCCCGUCGUCAUUGGUGGCCGGAGGAGAGCACGGCCGGCCAAAACGUGGCCGGCGGUCGUCGCGCGCGAGAGAGGAGAGAGAGAGAUCGCGCGGAGGAGAGAGAGAGAGAGAGAGAGAGAGAGAGAGAGAAAACCAGAUUUUUAUAAAAAAAAGUCCCAUUUUGAAAUAUUUACGAUGUGCCACUGGGCUUCUUUUGACCAUAUCUCUCUCGUUACAACUCCGAUUCAAGCCCACUACGUGUCUAUGAACUCGUCUCAGUACGACCUAUCCAAAAAUACAAGUCACGGUCCCAAACUCUCUCCGGUUAAAAAUAUGACUAAAAUACCCUUAAAUAAUGAAAUAAUUAAAUAAGGGUUAAAUUUGGGGUCGGGGUGUUACAUCUAUCACCAGGAUCAUUAUAAUCCUCCGAGGGAGGUGAAACUACCUCGGAAGACUCACGGUCAACCAAGGGUCAAACUACCCAAAUUUAGUCAAACGGGCCCACGAGACCCGCGACCUCCCGAUCUGAAAGUUCCUAUGUGUUCUACAAGGUUUAGGACACUCGUCAUGCAAGUUUGGUCCAGAUCGGACGAUCAGAUAGCUCACGAUCGGACGGUUAUUAUAAACAUAAACUUUAAGUUAUUAAAUCGGAACAUCCGGGGCAAAGAUUCACGAUCCGUGAAUUCCUACACGAUCCUAGAAUUGCCUAGAUUAACAUAUAUUAAUUUUAAGACUAUCCAACGGUCUGAACAUGUCAAACCCGGAUAACGCCUAAUAUGCGAUAUGCGAUAUCCGAUCGAUGAUCAAACAAUAAUCAAAUUCAAAUUCGAGCAUACCGUCACGCUCGAGACGACGAGAGGGUUAUUUUAGAACUCUAAGACAAGCCACCACAUGGCCCACGCGCUGACAGCGCGUGGUUGUCUAGAGAAAUUUCCAGCGGCGGGAAAAACUCCAAACCGCCAGCCAAGACUCCCAGGUUAGGUAAAUCACAUGUAGUGGAACAACUUUUGUUCUUGGACCUACCCCAAAAAGUCGACGGAAGUGGCCGUCGGAGGCCGAAACUGGCCUAAACUUCUAUCGCUUAAUUGACAACCAAAAUGCAGCAAUUGAUCCUAAAUAACCCAACCAGCAGCUAGAUCAGAUUGAGGGGAUGGAAAAGCAUACCUAGAUCGCAUGAUUUGGUUACCGAAAACGUCCGAACGAGCUUCCGAAAAAUCCGCAAAAAACCUUUCGGAUUUCUGCAAUUUCCGGCCAGCACCAGCAGUUCCAGCAGCUGAGGUUGGUCGGAAAAGGAAGAGGAGGUGGCAGCGGUUUGAACAGGUCCGGCCUCGUUGCCGGUGGUGAUCCGUGGUGGCAACUGUGGCUCUUGGAAGCCACGGCUGUGCAGAAAAAUGAAGGGGGAGGGGGCUGCGCGCGUGGGGAGAGAGAGAAAGUGAGAGAGAAUCAGAUUUAUCAAACCUUUUUUUGCCAAAAGUACGAGUAUGCCACUAAGGGUAAUUUGAUCGUAUCUUCUUCGUUACAACUCCGAUUCGAGCCCAUUACGUGUCUACGAACUCAUCUCGCUGUGCUUUACACAACGGUACGGUUGAAAUUCCCAAAUUCCUUCCCAGUCAAAAAGUCAACUUUAAACCUAAUAAAAUAUUCUAUGGGCAAAAUGGUAUUUUCUCUGAAUAAAUUAGUGUUUACUAAUUUAUUUAGGACCGGGUCGUUACAAUACCCAAAAAUUUCCUGUGUCAGAAUCAACACAUGGCAGCAGAGAAAGAAAGGGGAAUAGGACAAAAUAGUUGGUUAUCCAGCUGGAAAUCCUACAGAGCAAGGAUGACUAGUUAUACGAGAAACAGAUGACUAGUCAUCAUUUUAUGAAAUCAAUUUAAUGCAAUGUGAUGGAAUGCACAAUUUACCUUUGUCAAUUUGCUUGAACCUCUAUACGAUAGUUGUUAGUUAAGAACACCUAGAGAAACUAUUCUUAAUCUAAACUUGAGCUUGAUAAAAAUAAUAAAAAUCUUAUUACAAGAUUAUCAAGGAAAGUGUUGUGUCUACCCAAGUGCAAGUAGUCACACGUAGUAAUAAUCUUGGAAGUCCAAGUAUCGUAUCCUCAAGGAGCAGGUAGGCAAAUAUCUGCACACAAAGAAAUAAUUAAACAUACCACAAUAAAAGUGACAAGCAAAAUGGAAAAGUUAUUUAUUUGAUUGUUGUGAAAAUUGAAUUUAAAAAUGAAAUAUCAAUAAUGGAAAUGCUAAGGCAUCAAGGUUCAAUUCUUUAAACAAAAUAUGUUUCAUGCUCUUUACUCCAGAUUAUAACUCGAUUAAAAUCAUCAUCGAGAAACUUUAACCGGAAGAUAAAGAAAUUAAAACCAAUUUAAUUUUUCAAUGUAAUCUUUUAUUAAUGAUUGUUCAGAAAAUGGAAUUGCUUAAUAUCUACUCUUUUAAUUUAAAAGCAUGCCAAGUCAGUUCUUAACAAUGAGAAAAAUAAAAUUGAACUCAUGAAAAGGUAAUAGCACUUAACAUCAAUCAAAAUAAAAGGAUAUGAAAAUAUUGAACAACCAAAAAUAAAAGAAUUUAGCAAUUCAUACCGUAUAUUGGAUUAAAGAACAAUUCACAAACUUACUUAAAGAACAUUCCCUUUAGCCUUAGCUAGAGUUCUAGCAACUCAAUUACAAAGGAAAACAUAAACUAAAUGGAUAAAGAAAUCAGUCAUAGUGGUGCCCUUGCCAAAGAAGUUGAUGGGUAAUUUAUAGUGAAUGAGGUGAGUGGGAAGUUAAUACAUGGGUAAUGAAGGGUUUAAGUAAGGGAUUAAUUGGAUUAAACAUUGGUUGAUGGUGGAGAGUUAGUGGAAAAGAAAUAACGGUGAGGUAAAUAGGCGUUAAAUGGCUAUGAAUGACAUGAAAUAGGCUCUUUAGCUUCAACGGUUGUGUCUUCUCUUCUCCCUCUUUACUUCUCUUUAUAAUCACAAUAAUCCAACAAUCAAUUCUUCAAUAAAAUCCGCCAGCAAUUCUCUUCACACCUAGCUUGAACUUGGACAAAUGUAUGUCUUCAUCUUUUGGCUUUCUAACUUCCUACCGAAGAUAAAUUCACCUAAUAAGUUCACCAAAUUAAUAUAGAAAAUUCAUAAAUCCAGUUGAUGAGAAUAAAAUGUAACAAUAAGUGAAAUUAUAUUUAUUAAGUCAAAAUUAUAUCAUAAAGUCUCCAAAAUAAUAUUAAAAAUAUAUAAUUUAAGACUCUCAUCACAAAGCCAAAAGAAAAACUCAAAAUGCAUACAUUAACAGUUUUGCCAUAUUGAAUUAAUGUCUUCUAGCUAUGUACCUUAUCUUUUUGCCGGGCCAUGAGUUGAAUGUAGAGGCAGAGCAUGGACUUGGGUCAAGUUUGACUUGUAAAAUAAUUAGGAAUUGAAUGGCUCCUACGUUCAAUUAUUUUAUUAUUAUUAUUAUUUUUUGUCCGAGCCAUUCAAUUCCUAAUUAUUUAGAUUUUUGAUCUAGUUAGCAUCCACAAUCAUGCUCUCUAUUUUUUUUUUUUGGUCAUAAAUGCCAUAACUCUUUUUUUAUUGGUCCAUCUCUAUUAAAAAAUAAAAUAAAAAAUAGUUAGCAUUAAAUAAAGGUUUGAAAUUCUCAUUAAAUAAAGCAGCAUUAAAUUAUAGGGAGCAACUAGGAGUCAUUUCUCUCUCCUCAAGUUUAGGAGCUCCUACAGGUCUCCCUAUUUUAGGAGGUAGAUAGGGAGCAUUGUUGGAGUUGUAUUUUUACAAUUUCUCCCUAAAAUUUGUCUAAGGAUGUGGUUUAGGGAGCCCAUUGUGGAUGCUCUCAUCUCAAGGAAAGAAAACCCCAAGUUUGCAAGUAAUUUUUCUACGUAUGUAUAUAUGAAAAACUGACAUUUAUGAAAAUAAUAAACCCAUAUUUUUAUGUAAGCCAACUUUCUAAAUUCAUGUACUGAUAUUUAUUAGGGAAAUAUUGGAGAAACUGAUUAUUUUGAAAAAUUAAAUGUGAAAAACUGAACAAAAUUUUGACGGGUUACAUAUGUCAACUCAUUCAGCAGCUUAGGUUGUGAAGACCUAAGCAACAACCCUAGUGCACUGUCGAUCACUUCAGUGUCUACCGAUUUUCCUUUCCAUAUUGUUAGAUUAUUCCCUGCUGUAACACUUGCAUUUAGAAAAUAAUAGUACAGCUCUUAUUAGCAACAGUUUUACACACUUGCAUGAAUCUCACUAUGUUAAAGCAAUCACAUAGCACACCUUUAUUGAAAACAAAGCUAGCCCUGAUCCACUCCUUUACAUACUUAAAAACAAAACAAAACGAAAAAAAGAUAGGGAGAAAAUGGCUACGGACUUACUGCCGACAAAAAGAGAUAAUAGCGAACACUGUUUGUAUGACAGUGAGUAUGAGAAGAGUAACCGCUGCAAAGAGAGAAAAAGCUGCCCAGGCCCAGGGUGAGUUGAAAUACUUUUGGCUCAAAUAUGCCAACCAUCUGUUCCUGCACUUCUUGCAGUACUUGUUUAGAUUGUCAGCAAGACCACCAAAAUAGAAAUUUUGCUGGUCCGGAGCAACCCCCUUGCAAAGUUGGUUAAUCAUAGUAGAAACCUUAUUGUUGUCACCUAGUGUGUUUACAACAAUUUCACUCUCAACAAGUAAAUCUACAUCCCUUUUGGUUUUUACAAAUUUAUCCAGGAGGAAAACAUAAUCGCUUAAGUAAUUGUCUGUGCAAUGGCAUUGUUCAAAGGCAAUGAGAUUUCUGAGUAUAAGCUCUGUGUCAUCACGUAUUUCUAGUUUUGGAAUUUUCAGAGUUCCAUUAUGGAACUGUAUCGCGAAUAAGUCGUUGCUUGACUCCAGACGACUUGAUUCCGGACGAAACUUAACUCUGGCCUGGUGUAGUUUUGUCACGCUGGGUAUACAUGGGAGUUCUCCAGCUUCUGAGGUACCGGUAUCCAAAUAUUGCACAUGUAAAGUUCUAAUAAAAUCAACAAAAUGUAAAGGUGGUUCAGUCCCCUCCACUUCGUCUUCCGACCUCUGUAAACCCACUACCUUUUUGAAGAAAUGGUAAGAGAGCUUAAUCAUUGAAGGCCUCUCAGUCUCAGAAUUCUUAACUCUGACUUUGCUUGCAUCGAAAAGAUCCUCAAGAAUGAAAAAUGGCAGCUAAUUUUCGGGCAAAAGCAUGUCGGGCACUAUAUUUGUUAACAUUUAUGGUUUUUUAAAUAUCCAGUCAUUAUAUCGUCUCGCAAUUCUUGGAAAUGGUACCUCAACAAUAGCUCAAUGACAAAGGCAGCAUCAACUAGAAUGAUACUUACAAACUUGUCGCUACUCUUGAAGUGCUGAGCGUUUCCAUAACGACCACGGAGUUCAUCUUCUUGGGCCUUUAUUUUCUCUGCAUAAUCCUUCAAGCUAACCUUAUUAUUCCGAUGAAGAAAAUUUUGUAGGUACCUCGGUUUGUACUCUUCCAUGGCUUCUAAUUCUUUGUUGUCAUGGUGAAUUGGGCCUAUUGAGACUACUUCCGGGGUGUAAGCGUUAUUUCUGCCCCGUAGUCACGAAGGAACCCUGUAGAUACAGCACUCAUCAGAGGGCCUAUUGAGACAAACUAUCCAACCGCCGCUUCAAAUCUGCUACUGGGGUUUUGUGGUUUUCUACGCCAUGUGGAGCUCCAUUGCUGCAUCCUUCCACUUCUAUUAUGUGUUGUUCUGAUUGUAAGUGAUGAGGGUUAUUGGCACCAGGGGCGGAUCUAGCCCUUUUUUGGCUAGGCAGCCACCCAGUCGAGAAUUUUCAUAAAAACAAAAUAGGUACGUAUUGUUGUAAAUGUAUGAGUUGGUGGAUGACCACCAUACCUCUUAGCAUUCACCUUUUCUAAUUCUAUGUAACUAUACACUAAAUGCCAUAGUUAUGGACUUGUAACUUAUGAGUUGUUAAUGUUUUCUUACGUGUAAGCCUAUAAAUAAGAGGGCUAUCUUGGCAUAUGUGUUCGUCACUAACUAUAUAAUUUAAGUUGUUUUCAGUGACUAAUUUAAAUAAUUGUCAGAAAAUUUGGUCAUUAAAAAUUAAAAAAUAAGGGUCAAUUAUUUUAGUGACCAUGAAGUAUUAUUAGUCAUUAAAUUCAUUGUAUUUGUGACCAUUAUUUAUGUGGAAUUGGUCACUACUGACCUUUUUUCUUGUAGUGUACAUUCUUGCCUUAAUACAGUUAGGCUUAUUUUUAUACUAAUUUCUCUAACAUAACUUUUGCACAUUCUUUUUAUAUUAUAAUAAAUAAUCUUACCCAGUUGAGUUAUAAACCAUUUUCUUUUAGCACGGAAAAUCGACAUUUUGACAGAGAGUUGAAAAGCACUCCCCAAUUUUAAUGUCAACCACUUGGAAAAAAAAAACAUAAAUUUAAUGACAACAAUUACAUUUAGCAAUGCAACCUAAAAACUCAACCUUUGCGCUCCUUUCACCACGCAGAUAGCAGGGUGAGGAUAUUCGAAUAAGAACGAAGACAGAAGCUAAAGGAAUUGCGAUAGCUAACCAUAGUCUGCAUUUCUUACCAUCUGAACAAUGCCACCAUUUUGUUUGGUAAGUAUUUAAUAACAUUUCUUGCUCUACAUAAAGUAAUAUUAAAGCGAAAUUUCCCUAAAUUUUUCUUACCAACAAUCCAUACCCAAGAAAAGGGGAGAUUCACUAUUAUACUCAAUAUAGGAGCCCAACUUAUUUAUAAUAAUUAUAAAAAAAAACCCUCUAUGAAAUGGACUUUAGAAACACACCUAAAACCUAUUUACAACAAAACAAAAAGACUUUUAACUUUUUUUAAAUUACAAAACUGUCAUUGAUUUCUUAAACAAACCCAACCCCAAAACCUCAUAAAAAAGCCCAAAUACUCAAUAAAGCAGCAAAGUAAUUUAAUAAUAAAAAUUAAAUUCAAUAGAGUCAGCUGUUAUUUUUUGGGUUAUUUUUUAUUUGUUUAUAGAAAUUAAAGAGUGCUGCUAAAAGAACCCUAACAUUAACUAAAUACACCAAAUGAUCUAAGUACACCCUAAUAUUUUAAUUAAAAUACAAAAUUAACUAAGUACACCUUAUUUAACUACCAAAAUUACCCGUGUUACACCCUAAUACACUCUAUCACUGUUCACCCGUUUAGUUUUUGCUCCUGUGAUGGAAGGGUAAAGUUCCCCACUGCCUUGGAAACCAUUGACUGGUCAACAAGUCAGCUUUCUUUGCUAUGUGAGCGUGCCACUGUUAGCAAUGAAAAUCCUAACAGACUUCUUAAAAUGGAUACUUGCGCCCAAGUUACUGAUUUCUAAACAGUGAUUGUGAUUUGGGUGAGGAAUAUCUCCAAGUAAGUUCUUUUCCUGCAUCAGGCUGGUGAAGACUUUAUAAUUUUCACAGUAUAAAUUGGUAGUUCUUGCCAGAAUAGAUGAUAUAAAGUGGACGGUUUUUAGGCAGAACUGCGUUUUACAAAAUUAAGAAGGAAAAAUCAACUCUAAAAAGACAAAAAGAUGGCUGGAAUCCCACUUCUGCCUGGGUAGAAACUUCAGAUCCGGGCUGGACCGAAUACAUUCAUGAUGGACUGAGCUGUUAACAACUUCAAUUGCUUAGCUUUAGCUGUAAAUCGAUACCAAAGUUCAAUUUUGGCAGAGCUUUAAUCUACUUCAAGCCUUGGAAGGCUUUUGAGCGGGCAGAACUGCCGUCUCUUCUGGCUAAAAGAGGCAGAAAUGGCUGAAUUUGAGGUUUACUGAGCUGGAACUGCACUGUUGUACCUGUUCUGCUUGGUCAGGGCUUUCCAUAAAUUUGUUGAGGUUUUCAUAUUUGUGAAAAACUCAAACUCUGCUUGUUUUGGCUUUUGCUGAACCAAAUUUGUAACGAGAGAAGUCUUGUUUUGAAUGACUUUUCUCUAAGUUUGAGCUUUUGAAAUUCUAGGAGAGAGAGAGAGAGAGAGCUUUUGAUUGCUCCAGUUUGUUUGAAGGUUCUCAAUGAUCAAGUGAUCAUUUUGAGUUUUUGCCUUUAGCUUAUUUUUGGUUGUUUGUUUGAUUAUCCUUUGCUCUAUUCACCUUCUCCUAUAUUUAUAAGAAAUGCUUUGAAGUAGGGUUUCUUUCUUUUAAUAAUGGGCGGCCAAAAUUCUCAAAAGGUCUUUCAUUUUUUUAAAUACGAAGAAAAAGGGGUUUUCUCAAUUUUGGCAAAUAAGUUCUCAACAGUCAAUUCCAUUGAAAGAGAACCUGACUUUUCUUUAAUUCCCAACUGCCCUUGUGAGAGCUCAAUCGUGAUGGUCAGUUUGCUUCUCCAUUUUGAACAACUUCCUGUUUCCUGUUUAUCUUUUUAGAAAAUACAAUCUGGGUAUCCCUUGAAAGAUGGUGCCUUUUUUGGAGUAGAAACAAUGUCUCUAAAUAUAAAAGGGUUUUUUUUUUAUCUUUUGGUGGCAAAGAUUUCAAAGACGUCCCUUCUUUUCGCCUGCCUCUGUCAACUUUUUAUCAACCCAGUUGAAAUUGUUGACUUUCCUAAAUCAAAAAAAGAGAUUCACGUGGGUCUGUUCCUUUUGGCUCCUUCCUCUCUUUUAAUCAUGCCUAACCUCUUUUGAUUUUACUGGAGCCAUGGGCUGAUUGCUUCUCUUUUCGAGGCCCAAGUUUAUUUGCAGAGCCCAAACUGCUUGGGCCCUGUGGUUUUGUCUUUGUUGUUUUUGGGCUUUUUAGGCUGGACGUGCCAAAAUUAGGCCCAAACAAUGUCCCCUAAGUUUGAAUCGUUUCUAGAACGGUUCGAGAUUUAAUGAUUUUGGCCAUUAAUUCGUGCGCGCCAACUUCUUUCGUUUAAUGCACGUCUGCCUACCACGAGCUAGACUUCAUGGGAAACUGUUUUGUUACUAGCUAGUUACUUAGCUAGUUAUUAUCAUAUGGCGUCUCGUCUUCCUCUUCCCACGAUUUCAAGCCCCUUUUUUAAGAAAUUCGAAACUCCAACUUCUGUUUAUUUCAAAAACUAGCUUCUUUUUAGACCUCGACAAUUCUUAGUUUUCCCCAGAAUUCUCACUUUUUCUUCGACCAGACUCUGCCUUUCUUAUCAUUUCCUUUCCUAGUUCAACACUUCUGAUCAUGUCUUCUCCCAAGACUCGUGCUCAAGGUUGGUCCUCCUCAGUUCCUCCUAAUUACAUCACUGGGACUGGGAUUGACAAUCACGCGAUAGAGGUUAGAAGCAAACUGAUAGGACCCGCCCCGAAUUUUCCAAAACCCAAGGCGAAUCCUGUGAAAUUUCCGACAUCACCCCGAUGCCGGGCCCACUUACUAAACACCGAGACUUUCUGCCGAAAUUUCGGCAGAGUCUCCCCUAUAAAUUGGACAUUUCCCAAAAUUUCAACCUGCAUAAAAACACAUUUAAUAUUCCCAACGGGCAGCAUGCACAAAAUAAUUUCAUCCAAUUCACAUAACGGCCUUCGGCCUUUCAAUAAUUUUCAACAAACUACCAAGCACACUAACAAAUCAAUUCAUGCCUCAAACAAGGCAACCAAUAAAUUCAAAUAUGCAUUAUGACUACCAAAUUUCGACAUGCAUCAUUUUGCUUUUCCAAUCUCAAUAGAUGAGGUUUUAACCUCCUAACACAAUCACAUCUAUGUUCGCGGCUGCACCUAAUAACCUUAGGCUGCCUACGUACCCUCACUGAGGGAUCAAGACACACGUAGUUCUUCCUUAAACCCAAUUCCACACAUAGGCAAUACCUUUAUUCAUUUCUCUGUAUUUCACAUAAUCUCCUCAUACGCCUGUACUACCAACGCCACGUAUGGGGUCUGUCAACACACUGGGUAACCUACGCCACGUGCGACCUCACCAUAUUAUCACAUAAUCUCCCCAUACGCCUGUACUACCAACGCCACGUAUGGGGCCUAUCGACACGUUGGAUAACCUAUGCCACGUGCGACCUCAACAUAAUAUCACAUAAUCUCCCCAUACGUCAAUACAACCAACGCCACGUAUGGGGUCUGUCUCAACGCCGGAUAACCUACGCCACGCGAGACCUGAACAUCAUAUCACAAUAGCUUGCCAUACGCUGGUACAACCAACGCCACAUAUGGGAUCUGUCGACACGCCGGAUAACCUACCCCACGUACGACCUCAAUAUAAUAUCACAUAAUCUCCCCAUACGCCGGUACAACCAACGCCACGUAUGGGGUCUGUGUUAAAGCCGGAUAACCUACGCCACGCGAGACCUGAACAUCAUAUCACAAUAUCUCUCCAUACUCCAGUACAACCAACGCCACGUAUGGGGUAUGUGGACACGCCGGAUAACCUACGCCACGUGCGACCUCGAUAUAUUGUCAGGUAAUCUCCCCAUAUGCCGGUACUAUCAAUGCCACGUAUGGGACCUGUCCGCAAGCCGGAUAACCUACGCCACGUGGGACCUAACUUUCACAGGGUGGUACUUGUAGUGUAACCAAAAUCCGGAAAGGUGCCUAGGGUAGUGCGUAUAGCACUUCAAACUGACAUUCUAGACUCUUUAUACCUUUACAAACAUAUAUAAACAUAUAUAAUUUAAUUCUAAUUGUGUAAACCUCAACAAUAGUCUAGCACCCAAUAAUCCCCCUAGGAAGGUGAGACUACUCCGAAAGACUCACGGUCGACCAAGGGUCAAACUACCCUAACAUUGGUCAAACAGGCCCACGGGGCCCACGACCUCCAAAUUCUGAUCCGAAAGUUCCUAUGAGUUCUCCGAGUUAUAGGACACUCGUCCUGCAAGUUUAGUCCAGAUCGGACGAUCAGAUCGCUCACGAUCGCACGAUCUGACGGUUAAUAUAAAACAUAAACUUUAAAUUAAUAAAUCAAAACAUCCGGCACUCCGAUUCACGAUCCGUGAAUUCCUACACGAUCCUAGAAAUACCUAGAUUAACAUAUAUUAAAUUCAAGACCAUCCAACGGUCCCAACCUAUCGAACCCAGAUAACGCGCAAUAGGCGGUAUCCGUUCGAUAUUUCCCUUUAAUAAUUUAAAUAAGGGAUUUAAUUUGGAGUCGGGGUGUUACAAUCUACCCUCCUUAUAAAAAUUUCAUCCUCGAAAUUUCAUACCUGCUAGAAGAGGAAUCUGCCAGAACUGACUUUAGGAAGAAGUUCCUGAGUGUCACUCUGCCAAGAGAUCUGCCCCACGGAGGUGGGAAGCCUCCAAACUAUCAUUUGGGAGCAGAAGUCUAUCAUCGCAACUUCUGUGCAAGGCAACUUGGCUGCCCCAGCUUAUUCCACUAAAAUCAUACAGAAGCUGCAAUCGGGCCACUUCCUUGAGAGAUGCGGAUGAUCUGGAAGUGCACAAAGAUGCUAGAUGUGCAGUAAACAAGAUAAAUAACAGCGCAGAUGCCCUCUAUCCAGCCUGGGAACUGAACUCCUGCAGUUCUGCCGAUUUUGACGCUUGGUGGAAAUCCAGGUUUCAUGGUCUGCCAGCCUCCAUUGCUGCACUCAAGGUGAUUUUUGAGGGCUGGGACUCCUGGACUGUCUACGCGGAGGUGGAUGCCAAGAACUUCAUGGUGCAGACCAUCAAAGACAUUAAUGCCCAGGGUAUAGAAGGUAACUUUCAAUUCUGUCUGUCUUGCCUAUUCUGUCUCUUAGUGAUGAUGCCUAACAGUUUUGUUCUGUAUAUAUCAGACCCUUAUUUGACAGAAAACAUAGGUGGACAGUCUGUCCAAGCUGGAGAUGUGAUUGGUAAGUUUUUCACUAUUCUGUUCCUUUCAUUAUUUUCUUGCUUGAUUGACUUCUGACUUUGUCUAUUUCUUGUGUAGUCAUUGCUGUCAUUGCUGCUGGGACUUGGAGCUUCCCUCUGGAGAUGAAGAGGAUCUAGCUGCUGAGGCUAUUCCUUUUGGCAGAACAUCCAGCUGCUGAGGCCAUUCUUUCUAGCAGAAGGAAGAGAAAGGAAAUUUCUUCUGCCCAGCACAGUGCUGCUCAGCCUGCGACUUCAGGUAAGUUCUGACAGUUUGAGCUUUUCGUAAUUCUAUUUUGUCCUAUUCUGCCUUAUGUUCUAAUGGUUUAUUGUCUGCUUAUUGUAGCUGAAAGUUCCUCUCCUCCUCCUACUAAGUCAAAAAGACUUAAAAAGAGGACUGUGGUGGAAUAUAUGGCCAUGGAGGAGUCUGCAGCAGUUCCCACCAACACUUCUGGGACGGAUGAAGAGCUGAGAGAGGCCUUCAAGACAGUGGAAUAGGAGAAAGAGCUAGAAGAAACAGAAGAAGAACCUCAAGAAAAGGCAAAAGAAAUGGAAGAAAAUGUGAGUAUUGUUUUCUGGCUAUGUCAGCUUUUCUUUUGUUUCUUCAUUUCCUCUGUUCUGACUUCUGUCUAUGUAUAGAAGGAAAUCCCCGCUGAAGUGAUUGCAUAGAGCAUUGCUUUGGCGCAGAGGCAGCAGGAGAAUCAAAGGGCAGAGCUGACCAGCUCGGAGUUGGCCCUUUUUGAAGACGCAGAGGCAGAACACUCAACUGUUGUUCCAGCAGCUGAGGAGCAGGUGGAGCAGUCUGCAUCAGAGCCUGUGGAGCGAGCAGAACUACCUGUUGCAGUCCCAGCACCUGGAGUGGAAGUGGCUGCUGUUGUUCCCGAAGUUGUGGUAAUUUUUAUUCUACUUCUGUCCACCUGUUUCCUGCAAUUCUGUUCUGUCUGUGCUUCCUUAUCUAUUAGUCUUUUCAGGUAGAAGUGCCUAGGCCUGCUGGGGUUUUGGCAGUGGUGACCAGCCCCUUGAAGCCUCUCAUCGUUGCUGUAAGUGUUAAUGCAUUCCUGGGCUUUUUCUUUUCUGUCUCUGCCUAGUUCCUACUCUUGUUCUUUUCUGCAUAUGCCUAUCCAUUCCCUUCCAAGUUCAUCUGCCACAGCUUCCUAUGCUGAUUCGGAGCUGGCAGAAUUUGAGGCUCUGGAUCUGAACGCCCAGCUAGACAAGCUGAACCCUAAACCCUUGAGAAACUCAGCUCCACUCCUUGCAAGGCAAAGUCCAAGGCAGUGGAGGAGGCUAUGGAGAGACUGAAGAUCUGGCAAUCAACUGAUCUGGAGCUGGAUAAGGACAGGGAAGCUGUUGACCAAUUGAUGAAGGAUCUGGACCUUCUGCACAGACAGAACAUGGCCCCCAAACCCAUACUUGAGAUGAGCCUUGGCUUGGGAAGAGAUGUGCUCAACCUCCACGACCGUUACGAGGAUCUCAAGCCCACCUUCAAGACCUCUGAGUUCUGCAAAGCCACCCAUAAAGCCAACUUGGCUGACUAUGCAAAGCAGAAGGCAGAACUGGACCAGAUGGUUGCAGGAUACAAGGAAGCCAAAGCCACUAUAGACAAGUUGGAGAAGCAGAUUGAAGAGCUUCAAAAACAAUUGGCAGAGUGCAGAGAGGUGCAGAGCAGGCUCGGGGCUAGACUGAGCUCUAAGACCAAGGCCACCUUCCUUGUGUAGAAUAUGGUUUCAGCUUCUAGGCCAGCUUUGGAAAUUGCAGAGGCUUCAAUCCACCAGGGGUGCUACUUCAGAAGGAACUCUCCAUUAAAAAGGCCAACUUGCAAGAAACCCUUAGGAAAUUAGGGUUUUAGAUUCUAGUUUUUUUUUAAAGAAAUGUAAUAAAUAAUUUAGCCAUAAAAAGUGGCUAUAUUUAAAUAAAAGUUCAUUUAUUUUUGUGGGAAUUCCAAAUUCUUUCGACAAAAAGAAAAGAGAGAAAAAGUAAUUUAAAGCAUACUUAACAAAUUACAACGAAAAUGAAAGUGAUCAGAAAUUCAAACAACAGUUUUAUCUUGCUGUCUCUCUAUUCCGGGAUCUGUCUGUACCGCCUGUGAAUCCCACAUAGUUGGAUAGAACUUUUUUAACCAUUUGUCAUUAAUUGGUGCAGUAUGGACAUCUCCAUCUCGAUCAUGUAAUCUGUAUGCCCCCAUUCCAAGGAUCUGAUUAAUUAUGAAAGGACCUUCCCAUGUAGGUGACCAUUUUCCAUAACCAUCUAUAUGCGUUCCAAGGGGCAGAACUGCUUUCUAGACUAUUUCCCCCUCUUCAAAACUCUUGUUCUUGACUCUUUUGUUGUAAGCCCUUGAUACAGCUUCCUUUCCUGCUAAGAGUUUGUUGAGGGUAUCGAUCCUGCUUGUAUCCAAUCCUUCCAGUUCUAGCAUCAUAGCUUGAGAGUAGUCUUCUCCAACCAAACUGUGUUGAUGAGCAAUUCUGAGGGAUUGGACUGCUAUCUCCAUAGGCAGAAUUGCAUCGUGGCCAUAGGUGGUCAUGCCAGUUGCUUCUCUUCUUGAAGUUCUAUAUGCCCACAGAGUUUCUGACAACUUCUCAUGCUACUAUUUUGGAUUUUUCUCAAGCAUUUUUCUGAUAAUGUUGAUGAUCACCUUGUUACUUGAUUCUGCCUGCCCAUUAGCUUGGGCAUAAUAAGGGGUGGAUUGAAGCAGUUUGAAUUUAAAUGCUCCUGCCAUUUCCAACAUUUCUCCAGAUAUGAAAGAAGAUCCCCUAUCAGUUGUGAUUGAUUCUGGAAUGCCAAACCUUUGUAUAAUCUGCUCUUCUAUGAAAGUGAUGAUUUCUUGAGAUGCUGUGGACUUAACAGGCUUGGCUUCCACCCAUUUGGUAAAAUAAUCUGUAGCUACAAUAAUAAAACAGUGUUGUUUGCUACUGGCUGGAUAAAUCUUACCAAUGAGAUCCAUUGCCCAUCCUCUGAAAGGCCAUAGUUUUACUACUAGAUUCAUGGGAACUGAAAGAGCCUGCUGGAUUAGCCGAGCCAUUUCCUUUUAUGCUACCGAUUUCUUUUAUGCUACUGAGCCGGGCAAAACCAAUAAAAUAAAGAAAGGCAACGAAUUUAUUAACCGAGUAUAAAGGAGAGAGAGGGAUUCGAACCCUCGAUAGUUCUUUGUUUCGAACUAUACCGGUUUUCAAGACCGGAGCUAUCAACAACUCGGCCAUCUCUCCGAAAUAAAAUUUAUAUUUUAUUCCACCUAAUAGAACAUGGACAUAUGAGUUGAUACGAUUACUAUCUAUAGAAAGAUAUCAGGUGUGAGUCUAUAGGUCUAUCUAUCUGUAUAUAUAUAUAUAAUAUAGAUGCAUGAUCCAGCAAGCAUGCCCCUGAAGUUGACUUACGCUCAAAUGUAGAAGAAUCAGCCAUGGCAAAUAGGUAGCUGAAUUGCAGCGGAAUAGAUGAGCAACGGUGUCACUCCCCCUCAUAUCCAACGAUGUAUAAGAGUCGAGAUUUGGAGAAAGCAAUACCGAAAAAUAAAGUUGCAGAACUCAAAUAAAGUUGCAUCUAUCUCCCCAUCAAAUCCGACACUGGUAAAGGGUCGAGAUUUGAAAGAGGAGAAAUUGAAAUAAUAGUAAAGAGACUCAAACAUGCAGUCUCAUGGCAGAAACAAAUGCAAGAGGGGAAGAUGGUAGCAUACGGUUGUCCCAUGAAGAAAAAACUUUAGAAAAGGAGAAUAGUAAGGGAGGAAACCCAGCAAAUCAUGAACAGAGACAAAGACAAAGAUAAGGUACUCAAACUGAGAAGCGGAAAGGCAACUCAAGAGAGCAACCGAAGAAGACAGAGGCCCGCAGAACAGUCAAAGGAAAGGCUCGGCGAGUGGUGACGAUGCUCGCGGAGGAAAGCAACGGCUCGGUGAGCAGUGACGAGGCUCACGGAGUAAAGAGACUUGUUAUGAAGUUUCAAAGAUAGAGAAGCUGAGACAUCAAGAAAGACCAUCUGGCAUACAAAGAUGAAAAAUAAAAUUUUUGGAACAGUAGCAAAGAAGCAUGUGAAGGCUAGGUGCGGUGAAAACACAUAUGAAAGGAUGAACAAAAGAAGAUGACUAUACAAGAUGAAGACCCAUGAUGGGUUAGAAAUGAGGAGUGCCAACGACUCUCAAUUUGGCAGAGGCUAUCACAGGUUAGGAACCUGGCUCUGAUACCAUGUCAAACAAAGUAGGGUAAAUAUUCAGUUAUGCUCAGAUAUGCUCAUAUUAUUAUUCUUCUCCAAUAUGGAGAUAUUUAUACAAGUACAAAGAUGUGUUAACCCUAAAUAAAAUAGAAAAUAUAUCUAAAUUACAAUUGGAAGUAAAUCUCUAUUACAAUAUGAGUAAAUAAUAAUUGAUAAGUAACCAAAAUUCUAAUGAAAUAAGGAACUAAAAUCCUAAGUAAGUAAGGACUCGCCAACGAAUAAUAGUACAACUCUUAUUAGCAACAGGUUACAAACUUCUUCUACAACACACCAACAUGAAUCUAGCCCUGAUCAAUUCUUUUACAUACUUGAAAACAAAACAAAACACGAAAAACAAAAAACAAGAAACAAGAUAGGGAGAAAAUGGCUACGGAGAGACUUACCGCUAAUACUUGAUCAAUAACAGAGAUAAUAGAGCACACUGUUUGUAUGACAAUGAGUAUCAGAAGAAUAAUAGCUGCAAAGAGAGAAAUAGCUGCCCAAGGUGUGUUGAAAUACUUUUGUCUCAAAUUUGCCUUCCGUCUGUUCGUGGUCUUCUUGCAGUACUCGUUUAGUUUGCCAGCAAGAUCACCAAAAUAGUAGUUUCCGUGGUUCGGAGCAACUUUACUGCAAAGCUUGUUAAUCAUAAUGGAAACCUUAUUGUUGUCACCUAGCGUGUUUACAACAAUUCCAUUGUCAACAAGCAACUCUACAUCCUUUGGGGUGUUUACAAAUUUAUCCAGGAUGAAAACAUAAUCGCUUAUGUAUUUAUCCACGCAAUUGCCUUGUUCAAAGGCAAUGAGAUUUCUAUGUGUAAGCUGUGUAAUCAUGUAUUUCAAUUUUUGGAAUUUCCAAGGUGUUUUUCUUGAACUGUAUAUCGAAUAAGUUCUUGCUUGAUCCCACGUUAAACUUAACUCCGGCCUGGUGUAGUUUUGUCAUGCUGGGUGUACUUUGGAGCCCUCCAUUUUUUUUUCUUUUGGCAGAUGUAAAGUUCUAAUAAAAUCAACAAAAUGUAAAGGUUUUUUAGGAUCAGGAGGCAUAAAAGACUUACGGAAGGCUGGUGAGUUCUCCAAGUUUUCUAAACGCAGUGCCUGUUGGAAGAACUUGUAAGAGAGUUCAAUUAUUGAAGGCUCCCCAGUCUGAGCACCUGUGAGAUUGUAAAGAUCCUUGAGAAUGAAAAAUGGCAGCUGAUUUACGAGCAUAAGCAUGUCAGGCAAUAUAUUUUGUAGCACCCAUGGUUUUUUAAAUAUCCAAGCAUUAUCAUCCUGCAAUUUUUCUUCCUGAAAUUUUUCUUCGGAUUUAUUCCUCAACAAUAGCUCAAUGACAAAGGCGGCAUCAACUAGACUGAUAUUCACAAAAGCAGCAAUGUUAAACUUCUUAGGGCUAGUUUGGCGUUGCUGUGUUUUAAAAAAAAAUAUGCUUCUGCUGUGCUGUGAAAAUAAUCAGCUGUGAAAAAAAGCUACUAAGCGUUUGGUAAACUGUUUUUGAAAAACUGUUGUGAGUAGUCAAAGUGUUUGGUAAAUUUUUAUCAGAAGUGUUUUUAGUGUGUAUAAUGACCAAAAAGGACAUGAUGAUGAAAUUGUUUGUUAUUUUCUUCAUUCUUUUUCUACUUUUUUUUUUAAAAAAAAAACCCAAUUUCACUACAUAAAUUUUUAUUCUUUUUUAAUUCACACCUUUUUAUCAAAAAAUUUAAUCUACAAUUAACAUACAUAUUUUACCAUAAAUUAUAAAUUACUAUUAUAACAAAAGUAAUUCUAAAUAUUGUUAUAUUAAUAUGGGCUUCGGACAUGACAAAAAUACAAAAAUUGUUCAAUUUUAAAAUGCCCCAAUAGAUCACUACAAUAUAAAAGAAGCUAAUUAGAUGCAUUCAUUAAACUUGUAGCGAUGCUAUUUCUUAAUGCAUUCAUUAGCUUCUUUUUUUGGUUUCCAAUGGUUCUCUAACAAUUUUAACUAAAAAAACAACCAUAAUGCUUUGUGAACAAUAAAUUCAAGUCCAAAUCUACUAAUGCCCACACCAUACAUAUAUACAUAAUUGUUUCUUUCAUAAAACUUGAAGAUUCAAUAGUAAUUACACAGUUUACCAAUCUUGAUUCCAACUAUAUCCAUAAAAUUAAACUAUAAUUAGAAACAGAGGAGCUACAUGUGAUUACUUAUAAAUGUUGCCCACUCUCAUCAUCAUCUUCUUCCUCCUCUGUACUUUGCCUUUCACAAAUGGACAAGACCAGAUGGUAACGUACACGACAUGGUCCACAUAUAGAUAAAUUUUGGGUUCACUGGAGAACAUAAAAGAGUUUUUACACGAAUACAAAGUUAGUUAAGUAGUGAAUAAGGUAAAACUAUUCUGUACAAUUCUAGCUGAUGCAGUCCAAAAAGAAUAUAUGUCUAAUAACUUAAAUAACAAUAAAGAGAAACAAAAACCUCAUGAAAAAUGCUAGAGUAAAAGUUACAUAACUGAAUCGAUGGACAGAGAACUCCACAGGCAGAGAAACAGCAACAAAAAUUGUCAAAACAGUAGCAAGACCAUGUUGGAGUCAAGGCCAAAGAUCAUAUUUCCUGUGUAUCUUCUUCCAUUCUGAAUUAUUCUCGUAUUCAAAUACUGUAACUCUAUUUCAAGUGCACCCCAAAAUACUUAUCUAAGGCCAGUACAUAGGACUUCAUAAAGGGUGCCAUAAAAAAUAUUGCCCCUUAAUUGAUAAACAGAACCAAGAUCCCAAUGGCACACCAAAACUAUACCAACCACACCUACAUAAUAUGGACAGAAAAUCCUGUUGUUCUGACCUCUAACCACACCAAUGACAUUCAUUAGGAAAAUACAAAAGAUGGGUACCCUGCAUUUCUAACAUUUAAGAUAAAAUUCACUGCCAGCUAAUCACAAAUUUGAAAAGAUGGCAAGAAAAUUGGCUAUGCUUUAACAAAAACCAGAGCAGUCCUUGCAUAGACCUGACUUUUUGCUCCAAGCUUUAGCAGAUCACUUACUGGUAGAGAGCAGAGAACAUGUAUGUGAAUAUCUGAAGUUGGAAGGGUAAGCCAUCACAAACACCAAGAGAUCUGAUUCUCAUCUCUUGUUACAACAACAAAUCACAAACACCAAUACAUCUGAUUCAGAAUCUCAUAAACAAUGGAGGAACAAACACAUAUUCACACACAUAUAAAUCCCUAAACCGAAAAAAAAAAAAAAAAAAAAAAAAAAAAAAAAAAAAAAAAACAUGAAAGUAAUAGGAGAAUCAAAUUGAUUUGGGCCAAAAUUGCCUAAAAAGAAAACACUCCUAAAUAAACUUCAAUUCACUUUUAAAAACAGUAAAACGUGAUUGAAUCGUUCUUUAAAACAAUUCCCUAAUAUACAUGCAUGAUAAUGACAUCAUUUACCCCUAAAUCAAAUGCCUUUCACUGGUUAAGCCACAAGUCUGUGUUUUGGGGAUUGCUGAGCUGCAUCAAUCCUGCCAAUGUCAAUUCUGCCCCUAGGCUCUCUCAAAGUGCAUUUACAACCUAUGCUAACAUAUACUAGAGUUUGUGCUAGUAUCUAGAAAAUGCCAACACUAAUUUCGUAACACGUAGAAAUUGUUACAUAUUGGAAGUUUUUAUCAUUUUUUCUUCCAGUCUCUCCACCACUCACUAAUACAGAUUACUCAUGUGAUGAGUUUACAAAACCUAUUUCUCUACUCCCACAAAGACCAUACUUUUUCUCAAAAGACUAUAUCACUUUAUCUCUAUCUUUGUGAAAUGUAAAAAGUUGAAACUUUAAUGUCAAAUCUCGACAAAAGAUGAACUUCCAUCAAUUACAUUGAAUUUGAAUUUGUUGAACUUAAGUGGUUUUACUUUCUCUGUCAGCGUUUGAUGACUUGAUUUGUUAUUUACUUCUUCUUUUUUCCUUGGAAAUGUGUUCCAUCAACGUGAGGAAGAAAAAUAUGCACAAAUUAAUAUAUUUAAUAGAAGCACAAAUUAAUAUUUACAAAAAUAUGCACAAAUCAAGUAAAAUUAAUAAAGCAUAAAUUGGAAAGGGAAAAUAUGUAGAGGAUGCAUUGUAGGAUUGCUCAUGCCAAUAAUUGUACCCUCUAAAUAUAUAGGGACAUAAUUUUUUUUGUUUUCAUGACAUGUGGUCCUCAAAUUAUUGUUCUUAGCGGACUCUCCACCCCUCUCGAUUGAAAGCCUAUUGUGUAAAUCUUCAAUCCUGAAUGAUCCACCUAAAACUCAUGUUGCAAUACACAUCCACCCAUUCUCAGGCCAAUUAUUACUCCUAGUGGGCUCUCCACCCCCUCUCAAAUUUAAGUGGUCCAUUAUUAUUAACCAUAUAUUUUAUGGACCAGCUAGCUGUGAGGUUUUAUCUCAAAAACCUUUCUCUCACAUGCCACAAUUUAUGUCUGAUACAUCACAUCAUGCCAGUUGUCUCAAAUGAAUUUAAGUGAGUGAGGCAGUGUUACUUCUGGGUACCCCUCAUCGUUCGUGUAUAAAAUGGUGAAGCCAGUUGCUACUGUUACCAUAAGAGCCAGCUCCGACUUUCAAAAUAAAAAUUCCAACAAUGAUCUUAGUGCCUUCAAACGCAUGAGUUACUGAACAUGCAAAUAAAUACACUAUGAAUAAUAAAAGUGUUUGAUAAAUCACCAAAUUAUGGAACACUUGAUGAUUUAUCUCAAAUAAAAAUUCCAAGGCUUAUUUUAUAGAAUUUUUCUUUAUUACAAGAAAGAAAACAUGUUGAAAACCAAAUCUCCAAUUUCCAAGGCUUGACAGAAAAUCAAAAAAAUAUCUUUCCUAUUCUAGAGAUUGGUCACAUGUAGUUCAGAAAAUCAAAAAAAUAUCUUUCCUAUUCUAGAGAUUGGUCACAUGUAGUUCAACCAAUAGGAAAUGAGAUAUUUAAGAAAGCAAGAUUUUGAUCAAUAUCAAUAUCAAAUGAAUUCUUAUACGCCUAGUCAACUAUUAAGGGUAUCUUGACUCUUUGAUAUUGUGAUAUGAUUGAAACAUGAUUUCCAUGUUAGAAAAUUAAGGGGAUGUUAAAACAUGAAAGUAAUAGGAGAAUCAAAUUGAUUUGGACUAAAAUUGCCUAAAAAGAAAACACUCCUAAAUAAACUUCAAUUCACUUUUAAAAAUCGUAAAACAUGAUUGAAUCGUUUUUUUAAAACAAUUCCCUAAUAUACAUGCAUGAUAAUGACAUCACUUACCCCUAAAUCAAAUUGUCACGCCCCGGACCUGGGGGUCAGUGGAAAUCCCGCGCCCGGUGCGUGAGAAAAUAAAAAGUAAAAUAAAAUAAAAAGAAAGCCGAAACAAGGGUUUAAAAUAAACUUCUCUUAUAAAAAUAACUCUAAAAUCUUAUAACUUUACAAGAAAUAAAUAAAGCUCUAUCAUUCUUAUCUAAUUCAGACUCAACUGGUUUAGUCCUUGUCUUGCCCACUAAUUCAUCUGAAAAAUUAAGAGUGUUGCUAAACGAACCCUAAAAUUAAUUGAGUACACCAUACUACCAAACAAUUUAUUGAAUUUGUCAAGGUUUUGUUUCUGGGAACUCACGAGCAACUUUCCAGUGGGUUACCCAUCCUAGGAUUGCUCUAGCCCACAACUCGCUUAACUUCGGAGUUCCUACGACUCCGAAGCCAGUGAGCUCCCAAAAGGCCUCGUGCUAGAUGGAUGCGGGUGUGCACAUAUAAGGCACAUCACCACCUCUCCGUUGAUUGAUGUGGGAUCUUACAAAAUUACUAAUUUAUUCUAAUAUAAAAUGAUCAAAAAAGAUAAAAUAAUAUUGGUAUCUAUUGCUUUGAAUCCAUGCCUUCAAACAAAUUGACUUAAUUUUUAACAAACAACACGGAGUCCAGGAGAAGUGUAUUGAUCCAAGUUGAUUUUUGUAUGCAUAAAACUUAAACAAUCAAUAACACAAAGCAGUUCAUGCUGAAAUAUUGGAAACCCACACCCAAAGAGUUCUCCGCUGCGAGGUUGAAGGCAGGAGAGAUGGGUGACAGAUUUUACUUCCACUGCGAAGUUGGAGGCUAGGAGAGUCUGUGACUGCCAUGGUUGAGGGAGAAGAUGCGUUCAAAAUGCCUAUUGAUAUUUUACAUUAUUUUCUAUACAAGUUAACAGUGUUUGUGUAUUGUUAAAGGUGGAGAGACGUGUCAAAAUUUUAGACAAAGGACAGGAGGAGAUAGGGAAUUUGGGGACAGCAGAUCUCAACUCCCUUGAGACCCUAUUCUCUACGCCACCCCUCCCCCUCAACAACCCUAGUCACCAUUUCUCCUUCAACUCCAACGGCAACUCAUUAAAACCCAAUUCUCAAAUGCAACAAUCUAAUCCCAAUCCCAAUUCAGAUGUUUCUAAAAAACCAAUGGUUGUCGUGGUGGAGAACUGCAAUUCCAGGUGGUGGUGGUACCACAUGGGAGAGAGAAAAAAGAAGAAGAAGAAGCAGCAGAGAGAGAGUUUUUUAUUAUAUUAUUAUUUUACUGUAAUUUUUUAAUUUAAAAAAUUAAAAAAAUUAAAAAUUAAAGAGGAUGUACCAUGGGUAUUUUUGGUAGUUAAAUAGGGUGUACUUAGUUAAUUUUCAAUUUAAUUUAAACAUUAGAGUGUACUCAGUUAAUUUUAGGGUUCAUUUAGCAGCACUCAAAAUUAAACAAGGUAAGGGAUGAGCAAGUAGGGACAUGAGACCUUGCCACAGUAGAUUGAUAUAACUAAAUAUUAUCAUAAACAUCGAAAUAUAUAAAUAUUAUUAUGAUAGGAUUCAUAAUAAUUAAUAUAAAAGUAUAACAACAAGAUUUACAUUUAUGUACCAAGAUAAUUACACAUAUAAAUAUAACCAAUAUAUAUUUUUAUAUAUUUUAAAAUACAAGUCUUUACGUAAAUGCCCUUCACGGGUCAAGCCACAAGUCUGUGUUUUGGGGAUUGCUUAGCUGCAUCAAUCCUGCCAAUGUCAAUUUUGCCCCUGGGCUCUCUCAAAGUACGUUUAAAACCUAUGCUAACAUAUACUAGAGUUUAUGCUGUAUCUAGAAAAUGCCAACACUAAUUUCGUAACACGUAGAAAUUGUUAGAGAUUGGAAGUUUUUAUCAUUUUUUCUUCCAGUCUCUCCACCACUUAUUAAUACAGAUUACUCAUGUGAUGAGUUUACAAAACCUAUUUCUCUACUCUAGCAAAGACUAUACUUCUUCUCAAAAGACUAGAUCACUUUACCUCUAUCUCUGUGAAAUGUAAAAAGUUGAAACUUUAAUGUCAAACCUCGACAAAGUGUUCUACUUUACAAACUUCUUGUGUCUACCAAUUUCUACUAAAAUUAAUUUCUCUACGGUGCUCAGAUUCAUCAUAUGUGUGUCCUUAAUUUUAGUGGAAAUUGGAAGUUUCCAUAAUUUUUGCUUUAAGUCACUCUUCUGAAGGAAGUUGAGGUUCCACUCCAUAAUCCAAAAUGUCAGGUUGACUUAUGGCAAACAAUGUAAAUAUGUAGGAGUACUAUGACCUUUUAUAGCAUUUUUAGUUUGAAUUUGGGUUUUAUACAUAGAUUUCGAAAUUAAUAGGUUGAUGCCUAGGAAAUAGAAAUUGUAAGGGCCUAUAUUAGACUAGCCCUCUUAAAAAAUAUAUUAAUUAAUGAAUAUUUGUUCUUCUUGUUGUUUUGAAGUAGUGGUGGGAGGCAUACCAACAAAAAAAAAAAUAUAGUGAAGGCUUAUAAGAGCAUUUACAAUCAUGCUCCCUAUUUUUUAGUUAAAAUUUAGCUAAAAAUAGAAAAAAGUUAUUAUAGGAGCUCUUUAUAAAAUUUGAACUCCAAUCAUACUCCCUAGUUUAGGGAGUCAAAAAUACUAUAGUUAUUUUUUAAUUCAAUUUGAUUUUGGUUAAUCUCUAUAAAUAAAUAAAAAUAUGAAAAAAUAGUUAACAUUAAUUAAAAGUUUAAACUAUGCAUAAAACAAAGAAACAUUAAAUUAUAGGGAGCCACUAUGAGUCGUUACUCUCUCCUCAGAUUUAGGAGCUCCUAGAGGUCUCCCUAUUUUAUGAGGUGGAUAAGGAGCAUGGUUGGAGUUGUAUUUCUUCAAUUUCCUCCCUAAAAUUUGUCUAAGGAUGUGGUUUAGGGAACCCAUUGUGAAUGCUCUAACUCUGGUAAAACACGAGUGACAUGGACAACAUAUGUUACGUCGUACAGAAGAUUUUUGGGUUUCUUUAAUUGGUUAAGUAGCAUCCACAAUGAGCUUCCUAAAUCAUCUCCUUAGACAAAUUUUAGGGAGGAAUUGGAAAAGUACAAUUCCAACUAUGCUCCCUAUCCACCAACUAAAAUAGGGAGACCUCUAAGAGCUCCUAAAUCUGAUGAGAGGGAAAGGACUCUUAAUGACUCCUUAUAAUUUAAUGUUGCUUUACUUUAUGCAUAUUUUGAACUUUUAAUUAAAUCAAAUUAUUAUUUUUAUAUUAUUUUGUAUACAGACGGGUUAAUUAUAUUAAAUUAAAAAAUAAUUAAAAUAUUAAUGACUCUCUAAACUAGGAAGCAUAAUUGUAGAUCAUCUUAUAUACCUUAAUUUGAAGAUUCUUUAUUUGGGUUUCUUUCAAGACUUAUCACCUUAGCCACACCACCUACACGUCUGCAAGCUUCCGUAAUCUAACAAGGAAGGGGAGGCUGCGCAAUACUUAUCACCUUAGCCACACCACCUACACCACAAGACCAAUAUGUGUAGUCCAGCAGGCUUUCCAAUUUUAAUAUAUAUUAUAAAAUAAAAUAAAAAUCAAUCUAUUAUCAUAUAUAUUAUAAAAUAAAGAUUAUUGCUCCAUCCUCCAUGCACUUGCAUGCCCUCUUACAAAGUGUGAAGUAGAUUUUGUGUGCUCCAAGUCAUUGACGAGAGCUGUAACAUGGUUAGCUGGAUUUAUAAGAUCUUUUCUUUUCUGGGAAUUUUCUGAAUUAAGAAAAAUCAAGUAAAAUUAAUAAAGCAUAAAUUAGAAAGGGAAAAUAUCUAGAGGAUGCAUUGUAGGAUUGCACAUGCCAAUAAUUGUAUCCUCUAAAUAUAUAGCGACACAUUUUUUUUGUUUUCAUGACUUGUGGUCCUAAAAUUAUUGUUCCUAGCGGGCUUUUCACCCUCUCUCGAUUGAAAAUCAAUUGUGUAAAUCUUCAAUCUUGAAUGAUGCACCUAAAACUCAAGUGUCCCAGGCCAAUUAUUGCUCUCAUACCACUUGUUGUAAUAAACAUUCACCCAUUCUAAAGGAAAGAUAACCAUCGAUAUUAUCUGAAAUUUAACCACUUAAGUUCAUUAUGAUUAACUAUGUAUCUUAUGGACCAAUCCAAUCGUAAGGUUUUAUACUCAAUUAGAUCGACCAAUACAAAGUUCACACUGGAUUAAAAAGGGCUAUCGGUAGGGGAGUGUUCGGCACCCUUUACUGUGGAGCGCAACACAAGACCCCUUGCAUGCCCUCACUAAGUUGAGCCCAACUAUUUUUGAGCAUUAACAAUAUAUAUAGAUUGAAAAAAUAAAAUAAAAAUCAAUCUAUUAUCAUAUAUAUUAUAAAAUACAUAUUAUUGCUCCAUCCUCCAUACACUUGCAUGCCCUCUUACAAAGUGUGAAGUAGAUUUUUUGUGCUCCAACUCAUUGACUAGGGCUGAAACAUGGUUAGUUGGAUUUAUAAGAUCUUUUGUUUUUUGGGAAUUUUCUGAAGCACGGAAAAUCAAAUAAAAUUAAUAAAGCAGAAACUGUACCCUUUAAUUAUAUAUGGACAUAUGUUUUUUUGUUUUCAAGUCUUAGAUGACAUGGGGACCCCUCUCAAAUUUAAGUGGUCCAUUAUUGUUAACCACAUAUUUUAUGGACCAUCCAGCUUCGGUACAUUUCUCCCACAUGCCACAAUUGUAUAUUCACAAUUACGUCUGAUACAUCACAUCAUGCCACUUGCCUCACAUGCCACAAUUGUAUAUUCACAAUUACUUCUGGGUACCCCUCAUCAGUCGUCUAUAAAAUGGUGAAGCCAGUUGCUACUGUUACCAUAAGAGCCAGCUCCGACUUUCUUUAAUUUCUUGCUACAUCUGUUGCUAAGUUAAUUUCAGUCCUAAUGGGGUUUCAUCUCCCACUCAUCUUUGCUAUUCUCAGUGUAAGCUCUGCAAUUUGAUUAACUUUUCCAUUCUCUCUCAUUGUACUCUAUAUAUAUAAAUGAAAGUUUUGUGUUCCUAUAAUUCUCUCCGAUUUUAUUUAGUACGUACUUAAGUGUCGUCCACUAAUUAAUUACACUUUGUGAGAUUUGAUUUUAAUUAGAGUUCGAAUUAAUGUUGCAGCUAGCAGCGGUUGCACUGGCAAACAAUGCUGCUCAACCAGCACCUCAACUUUACUGGAACUCCGUCCUGCCAAACACACAGAUGCCAAGAUCUAUCAGUGAACUUCUGCAUCCUGGUUUGUGUUCAGCUCUUUAUAAUCUUAGAUAUCUCUUCUACCUGCCAUUUUACUAAACUAUGUUCGACCACAUAUUUAUCAGUUAACUACUGUCAUUACAAGAAUGACACUUAUUUUCCAAUAUAAUUUGCAGACUCCACAAAUGAAGAAAAGAGCAAACCUGAAAUUUUCCCAUUGCAGGGCAAUAGAGUUUACACUCAAAGCCAUUAUAAAAAACGUCCUCCUCCUCCAUCUGACGAGGGCAAACCUGAAAAUUUCCCAUUGCAGGGCAAUAGAGUUUACACUCAAAGCCAUUAUAAAAAACGUCCUCCUCCUCCAUCUGACGAGGGCAAACCUGAAAAUUUCCCAUUGGCCAAUAGCUUUUACACUCAAACCCAUUAUAAAAAACGUCCUCCUCCUCCAUCUGACGAGGGCAAACCUGAAAAUUUCCCAUUGGCCAAUAGCUUUUACACUCAAAGCCAUUAUAAAAAACGUCCUCCUCCUCCAUCUGACGAGGGCAAACCUGAAAAUUUCCCAUUGGGCAAUAGCCAUUACACUCAAAGCCAUUAUAAAAAACGUCCUCCUCCUCCAUCUGACGAGGGCAAACCUGAAAAUAUCCCAUUGGCACGUUCAGGUUACCAACGAAAAAAUUAUGGAGCAAGUCCUCCUCCAUCUGACAGUCAACUAAAGCAUUAUAAAGACUUAGCUAUUUUCUUCUUCGAGAAGGACAUGCGCCCGGGCACAACUAUGAAGUUCCAAUUCCCUAGAAAUUCAAACACGGCUACUUUCCUGCCACGCGAAAGUGCUCAAUCGAUCCCCUUCUCCUCUAAGAAACUACCAGAAAUUUUCAACCAUUUUUCAGUGAAGCCAACAUCUGAGGAAGCCAAAACAAUUAAGCAAACAAUCGAAGAGUGUGAAGCUCCAGGCCUUAAGGGAGAGGAAAAAUAUUGCGCCACAUCUUUAGAAUCAAUGGUUGAUUUUAGCACUUCGAAGCUUGGAACAAGAAACGUUGAAGCAAUCUCAACGCAGGUAUUGGAAGAAGGAGCCACCAAGUACAUGCACAACUAUACAACAAUCCCGGGACUGAAGAAGUUGGUAGGUGACAAAGUCGUUGUGUGUCAUAAGGAGAACUAUCCCUAUGCUGUGUUUCUCUGCCAUGCAAUAAAACAAACAGAAGCUUAUGUUCUCUCCCUGAAAGCCGAUGAUGGGAUGAAGGUGAAAGCAGUAACCAUCUGCCAUCUAGACACAUCAGAAUGGGACCCAGAGCAUUUGUCCUUCCAAAUCCUCAACGUUAAGCCCGGAACCACUCCCAUCUGCCAUUUCCUUUCCACUGAUGCUAUUGCCUGGGUUCCAAAACACAAAUCUGCAUGAUCAUCACUUAGCACUGUACGUAUAAUAAGCUUGGUCGGGUUGCACCCUAGGCCUGCAUAAUUAUCUCCCUACUUAUUUCUGCCUCUUCAUCAUGCGGUGUAAGAUAUAUGAUGAGAUGAAGUUUUCUCUUGUAACUAUGUAGACUACUUCAACUUGUACUCAUAAUAAAGCACGCUGUUGGGGGGUUCUACUUAAUUUCGUUCUCUCCAAUGUUUGAGUGUUGAAUUGUUACGUUGGAAUAGGCUGCUAAUGCAUGUAGUUAGAGAAGCCUUCAUUUAUAUCAAAGUCCUCAAACUAUCAAGAAUUAAUGUAUCCAGAAACAUAUACCAAGACGCAAAACAACAUAUUUUCCAUUCUCUGUCUGUAACACCAAGGCAAACUUCCUUUAUCACAUCAUUUAAAGGAUCAAAUUCCAGUACUAAUCUAAUCCAUCAUGUAAAGCAUACAAGUGCCUACCUAAAUUUGUCCAUUGGAUAUAUAUGUCACUUUUUAUUUUUUGAUAGAGAUAUAAAUGUUGAGAAAAUUAGAGUACACAACUCCAAUAUAGACUUGUUGGAGACAAAACAAGUAAACAAAUUACUUGUAUUAGACUCACAAAAUAUUACAACAAGACAACUCUCAAAGAAAAGACAAACUCUCACACUUCUCACAAGGACUACUUAACUUUAUAGCUUAUUGCAUAUAGCAUAUGCAAACACAAUUAGAACAUACCUACGUACACUAUGGGAACACUCGUGUAUAUUUGAACACAAGAAAACAUGUGCGCACCGUGCACGGUUCACAUGAAGUAAGAAAUGAAGAGGAAAUAAAGAAGAAGAAUACAAAAGAAAAUGGAGAUGAGAAAAAAAAAACACGAAUAAUGAAAAAUGAAUUGACAAUUAUAUAUGGUUGACAUUAGAUCUAAUAUUAUAUGUAAUAACUAAUGAUCUAAAAUAAACAUUAAAUCAAACAAUAAUUAAAAGAUUUGACAAUAUAAAAAUUUACACGUCAGCAAACUCACCAUGGUAAGUUUGCUGACGUGUAAAAAUUGUGAAUGGACUACAUCGAAAAAUAAUUGGCUUACAUCAAAAAUUAAAAUCACGUGGGUUAUUCCUAAGAAACCUUAAUAUUUUUAGGUUUAUAUAUUUUUUGUAUUUAAAAAAAAAAAAAAAAAGAGAAAUCUGACCAUGUAUGUAUGAUGAUGAUAUGCAUGUUAUUUUUAGACCUAAGGUAAAACAGACAAACUUUUUACUCCAUUUUUCAUGAGGUUUAUCACAAUAAUUAAACUGUUAUAUCCUCCAUUUUAGAUCUCAUGCUUCCAUUUAAAGAAAAGAAUAUCAACAACAAAAAAAGAAUAAAGUUACAACAUUGAUCAAUUCAAAUGUCCAACUACCGGAUCAUGAGCCCUUGCACUUAGCGAUAUGCAGAUAAAUGCGUAGUGUCUUAAUGCAGAAGCUCGGGAUCCCCAAUUACCAUUGAAACAUAAGAAACUAAAAUCUGCAAGAAAAUGCUAUCAAUUGAAAAAACAAUAAUUAAAAAACAAAAAAAGGAAGGGAAUUCGCACCCGCUAUGCAAAAAAGAGCAAGUCGGUUCAAUGAUUUUUUUCUUCUUCUUUUUGUUAUGGAAAUGAAAAGCUCAAUGAUGGGCUAUAUAUAGGAAGAAGCUCAAUGAUUGAAUUAUUAUCUUCUAUCUACAUUCUACCCUCUUCCUCGCUACAUACACAAAUGGUGCACACCAGUAACUAAGCUUGUUUUGGGUUUGGUGGCCCACUGUAAAAGCUCAAUGGAGAUGGUUUGAGGUAGAAUUUUCUCCUAUUUCAAUAGGACAAUGAUGAGAUCUAUGUAACAACAAAUUUCUUUAAUAAUGAUAACUAAAAAAAGUGUGAUUCAUUGAAUAUUUGCGGGGUUUUGUUCUAAGUCAACACCUCAAAUUCCUUUUACACCAUCAAAUUCAAAAAGUUUUAUUCAACCAUCUCGACCUUAUGCUAAAAAUUUAUUUUGUUCAUACUUAACGUACUAGGUAUUUAUUUUAUACCAACGAGUACGAUGGUCCAUAUAAGUAUUCUAAUCAUUCACUCCAGUUGCAGGCCCCAAUAAUUUAGAAGGGCCGAAGGUCUUUCUUUUUUUCUUUUUUCUUUUUUGAGAAAUUCUAUGAUUGCAUUCAUAAUUCAGGCAAAAAAGUCACUAGCCACAAAAGGGCCAGUACAACAACGGAGCGGUCUAAUAUCAAAAUUAAGACAAUCUAGUGUGUCUCCACUAACGAUCAGGCGAGCCGAUGGUCUUUCAUUGGAUGAAAGCUUCUAUCUACCGACCCCACUAUAUGAACUAUGCAAUGGUGAUGAUGUUACAUUGCAAAAAAUAAAAAGUCAAGGUUUCUUAUUAAUGUUAAUGAAGGCAUAGCAAAAAAUUUAUAGCUCCAAUGGUUCAAAGCAGUUACCCAUGCACUUGAGAUUCUGUGUUUGAAUGCCCUCUCCCCUAAUAUUGCUUGUAUAAAAAUAAAAACUUCUAAAAAGACAUUAAUAUUGUAUUCUAUAUUCUAUAAAGUGUUGGACAUGUCUUAUAUUGUUGACAACCCCCUAACACUUUGGUGGUGCCUAGUUAUAUUCAAUUCGUAUGUAUUUAAUUUGCCACUUACAUUCUUUCCUUAAUACAUUUAGGCUUAUUUUUAUACUAAUUUCUCUAACAUAACUUUUGCACAUUCUUUUAGUCUCUAAUAUAUAUAUUUUCUAAUAAAUAAUCAAGAUCUAAUAAAUAAUCUUACUCACUUGAGUUAUAAACUAUUUUCUUUUAGCACAGAAAAUCGACAUUUUGACAGAGAGUUGAAAACGACUCCCCAAUUUUAAUGUCAACCACUUGAAAAAAAAAACAUAAAUUUAAUGAAAACAAUUACAUUUAGCAAUGCAACCUAAAAACUCAACCUUUGCGCCCCUUUCACAACGUAGAUAGCAAGGUGAGGAUAUUCGGAUAAGAACCAAGACAGAAGCCAAAGGAACUGCGAUAGCCAACCAGAGUCUCCAUUUCUUACCAUUUGAACAACGCCACCAUUUUGUUUGGUAAGUAUUUAAUAACAUUUCUUGCUCUACAUAAAGUAAUAUUAAAACGGAAUUUGCCUAAAUUUUUCUUACCAGCAAUCCAUAUGGACAAAAAUAAAAUAAAAUAAAUAAAUUUACAAUUAUACUCAAUAUAGGAGCCCAAAUUAUUUAUAAUUAAAAAAACUUAUAUGAAAUGGACUUUAGAAACACACUUAAAACCUAUUUACAACAAAACAAAAAAACGUUUAACUUCUUUUAAAUUACAAAACUAUCAUUGAUUUCUUAAACAAACCCAACCCAAAAACUUCAUUAAAAAAAAAAAGCUCAAAAUAUUAGACUCACAAAAUAUUACAACAAGACAACUCUCAAAAAAAAGACAAACUCUCACACUUCUCACAAGGACUACUUAACUUUAUAGCUUAUUGCAUAUAGCAUAUGCAAACACAAUUAGAACAUACCUACGUACACUAUGGGAACACUCGUGUAUAUUUGAACACAAGAAAACAUGUGCACCGUGCACGGUUCACAUGAAGUAAGAAAUGAAGAGGAAAUAAAGAAGAAGAAUACAAAAGAAAAUGGAGAUGAGGAAAAAAAAAACACGAAUAAAUGAAAAAUGAAUUGACAAUUAUAUGUGGUUGACAUUAGAUCUAAUAUUAUAUGUAACAACUAUUGAUCUAAAAUAAACAUUAAAUCAAACAAUAAUUAAAAGAUUUGACAAUAUAAAAAUUUAUUGAGGACAAAAAAAGGCAAAAACUUAUGAAAAAUGGAAACAAUAAAUAUGAACUGAGUCAUCAACUCACCAUGGUAAGUUUGCUGACGUAUAAAAAUAGUCAAUGGACUACAUCGAAAAGUAAUUGGCUUACAUCAAAAAUUAAAAUCACGUGGUCUACCUACUAUAUAGGAUGAAAAAAUUAGGUGAACAAUAUACUUACACCAUGGGAACACUCCUAUAUAUUUGAACACAUGAACACGUGUUCAAGGUUAUAUAUUUCAUUACCUUCACAAUAGGUACCAAACCGUACCAUGCGAACAUUCAUAUACGCACAACAUACUUAUAACAUACCUACACUAUGGGAACACUCGUGUAUAUUUGAAAACAAGAAGACCUGUGCACCACCGUGCACGGUUCACAUGAAGUAAGAAGAUGAAGAGGAAAUAAAGAAGAAGAAUACAAAAGAAAAUGGAGAUGAGAAGAAGAAAAAAAAACACGAAUAAUGAAAAAUGAAUUGACAAUUAUAUAUGGUUGACAUUAGAUCUAAUAUUAUAUGUAACAACUAAUGAUCUAAAAUAAACAUUAAAUUAAACAAUAAUUAAAAGAUUUGACAAUAUAAAAAUUUACACGUCAGCAAACCCACCAUGGUAAGUUUGCUGACGUGUAAAAAUAGUCAAUGGACUAUAUCGAAAAAUAAUUGGCUUACAUCAAAAAUUAAAAUCACGUGGGUUAUUCCUAAGAAACCUUAAUAUUUUUGGGUUUAUAUAUUUUUUGUAUUUUUUUUUUAAAAAAAGAAAAGAAAUCUGACCAUGUAUGUAUGAUGAUUGUUGGUAAAUUUUAACAACAAUAUUAAAACCUUGCAAGUGCACAAAUCAAAUGAUAGUAUAGUAAGCAAGCAAGGGUCGAUCCCACAGAGAUUGUGAUCUAAAGAGAUGUUUAUCAAUGUCACGCAAUGAAAAUCAAAACAAAGGACUUCCAAACACAAGCCAACACCAAGGGGGGUUUUGAUUUGUUUUUGUGAAUCAAACAAAAUAAGGAAAAGGAAACAAAAGAGAAUUUAAAUUAGAGUUUAAGAGAAAUUGGUUUAAAAACAAUCAAGAACAAUAGCUAGGACUUACUAUCCACCUCCAAACAAUCAAUCAAUCCAUAAACAACAAUAGAUAAUCAAUUUCUAGCAAGCAUAUGAUGACGACACUCACAACAAGAUCAUGGCAUUUGACUCGAGUUGUAUGAUUCUCUCUUAAGUGUAUGUAAAGUGUAUGGCAUUUACAUCAAUACGUGUAUUCUUAAUUAAAAUCUAGUAUGACAUUUACUCAAAUUAACAAUCAAGAAUCCAUUAAGAUCAAAGAGAAUAUGAGUGUCACAAAAACCCUAAAACAUGACAUUUGUUAUUAGGAAUUCAAGAAUCGAUUUCUCAUAACUAGUUCUUAACCCAAUUAUUCGUUGCAAACAAGAACACAUUCAAUAUGGCAAUUGACCUAUGUUCUACAACAAUUUAAUUCCAAUACAUGCUUCUAAGUUAGCUACUCAAAGAAACAAAAUACCAGAAUUCACAUAACAUAGAGAAACCGAAAUCAUCACGCUUGUAGAAACUAAAAAUCCAUUAAACUUGUUUAUAAAAUUGAAAUCAUGUCUAGGGCUUCAAGAUUAAGCCCUAACUAACAAGAAAUUAGUUACUCAUGGUCUUGGAUGAACUCAAAAAUAAAUACAUAAGAACUGAAAAUUAAAAGAAGGAAGGAAAAGAAAGAACUCGUUCGCAGCUUUCUCCUCUUGCGCAGUUGACCUCUUUAGGACGUGAAUCCUUUUUAUCAGGCCUUGGCUCGUCUUUUAUAUCACUUAUAUCAGAGUUCUAAACCCUAAAAUUGACUGAAAAGUCGUCCAAGAAGUCUUGAUAAACAAGGAAUCCAAAUAGGAAAGUAAAAAUCACAAUUCCUAACUCCACUGGGAUAUACAGCUCAGCCCAAUGUUCACACGAUUUGGGGAUCUUCGACCUUGUAGAAAAAUUAUUAAAAAUAUAUUUUAGAAAGAUAAAUGUCUUAUCUUUCCAACAUAUAUAGCACGUAACUUGAAAAAUUUGGAAAGGCUUCCGUUUCUUCACAUUCACGUAACAUGUACGAAACUGUCCUGUCUGCACGUGGGCUAACUUUACUUGUAAUACUGUACCAAUUGGCUCGGUAGAAAAUUCUAGAAAAAUAAUAGAUUGAACUUCAAGAUGUUAGCUUUCAUCUCCAAUUGGUCUUGUGCUAAAAUUCCUCCGAAAAGUUGAUUUUCCCUUAAAAACCUUCUAAGAGCGCAGAAAAGCUGAAAAUCAGAAGAAUAAAGUAAUAAGCCCUUUUUAAAUCUAAUUCUCUUACAAAACCAAAGUAAAAAGAGUACAUAAAUGAGUAUAUUUAUGGACUUAUCAAUGAUGAUAUGCAUGUUAUUUUUAGACCUAAGGUAAAACAGACAAACUUUUUACUCCAUUUUUCAUGAGGUUUAUCACAAUAAUUAAACUGUUAUGUCCUCCAUUUUAGAUCUCAUGCUUCCAUUUAAAGAAAAGAAUAUCAACAACAAAAAAAAUAAUAAAGUUACAACAUUGAUCAAUUCAAAUGUCCAACUACCAGAUCAUGAGGCCCUACACUUAUAGACUACGCAUUUUCUCGUAUUUUGCAAAAUUUAGACCAUUAUAAUAAUCUAACCCCUUCAAAUGUGAAACAUCAUCAAGUUUUUUUUCCUUCACUAAACAGAAGAGUUAAGUUUUAUUUGUGGGUAACUAAACUCUUGUUUAGAGCAUGUUUUUUAUUAUUUUUUUCUUUCUUCUGUGUAAAGUAUAAUGGGUUAGAUUAUUAAUUGUGGGUGACUAAAAUCUUGUUUAACAACAAUAGUUAACGUUUGUUUAGAGAAGAAAAAAAACUUGAUGAUGUGCCAUGUUCUAAAGGAUUAGAUUAUUAUAAUGGCCUAGAUUUAGCGAUAUGCAAAUAAAUGCGUAGUGUCUUAAUGCAGAGGCUCGGGAUCCCCUACUACCAUUGAAACAUAAGAAACUCAAAUCUUCACGAAAAUGCUAUCAAUUGAAAAAACAAUAAUUAAAAAACAAAAAAAGGAAGGGAAUUUGCACCUGCUAUGCAAAAAAGAGCAAGUCGGUUCAAUGAUUUUUUUUCUUCUUCUUUUUGUUAUGGAAAUGAAAAGCUCAAUGAUAGGCUAUAUAUAGGAAGAAAAAAAUGGUGCACACCAGUAACUAAGCUUGUUUUGCGUUUGGUGGCCCACUGUAAAAGCUCAAUGGAUGUAACACCCCGACUCCAAAUUAAAUUCCCUAUCUAAAUUAUUUAAUUUAAUUAAAUAUGGAAUUUCCAAUUUACCCUUGGGGUAGGGGUAUUUUGGUAAUUCUCUUAUCCAGAGAGAUUUUGGAGCAACAAGUGGUAUUUUUAGGUAGAUCAUACUUAGACGAGUCCGUAGAUACGUAGUGGGCUCGAUUCGGAGUUGUAAUGAAGAAGUUACGAUCAAAACAAGUUUUUUUUUUUUUUUUUGGAGAAAUUCUAUAUGAUUGCAUUCAUAAUUCAGCCAAAAAAGCCACUAGCCACAAAUGGUCAAUACAAACUAGCAACAAAAGGGCCAUUACAAUAACGGAGCGGUCUAAUAUCAAAAUUAAGAAAAUCAGGUAUGUCUCCACUAACGAUCAGGCAAGAUCGAAGAAACUCUGGCAUAGGCAUCCCAACUAAGAUUGCAAACUUAGAAUAAUAAAAAAGAGAUAAAGCUUGAAAAAACCAAGCCAUAACAAUACAAAUAAAACUCUCACCAAGGAUAGAUGAAAAGCUGUCACAAAGGAGAAAUGAAAAACUCUCACAAAAGGAGAGGUGAAAACUACACAGACAACCCAAAGAGUCUCUGCAACUUAUUCCAAACAUAAAGAAAAUGCAAAAAAGAUGGUGGUGGAGAUCCGACGCCGAAAUGCAGGUGAAGAUCCAACGUUGAGCCGCAGCCGCCUAUAAUGGUUGGAUGAAAAUCCUAACAAAACUAAGAAAAUAGGGACAACCAUUUAUCUUUGAAAAUGGGGGAAGAGGUGAAAGGAGGAAGAAAGGAAGAGAAGAGGGGAGAGGAGGGAAGAACAAUGGCUUUCUCCCCCUUCAAAGUGGAAAAGGCUCUAAGAGUGUUUUUUGGGAGAAAGGGGGCACGAUCAAAACAAGUUUAAUAGCACAAUCAUAAUUAUUUCGAAGUUGGUUUUUAAUAAAUCAGAAAACACACACACACACACACACACACACACACACACUCUCUCUCUCUCUCUCUCUCUCUCUCUCUCUCUCUCUCUCUCUCUCUCCCGUGCGAUUCUUCCUCCCUCGUCAAACAGCAGCGGUGGUUUUUUCCACCGCCACUGCCACACGCCACCAUACGAGGUGGCACCGGUCCCAAAAGGACACCCAGCUCAUCCUCUUCCAACCCCAGCCAAGCCACGCCGCCAGCAGCAACGAGAUUUGCUGGAAACCGCAGAAAAUCCUGCCGGUUUUUCCUAAACUUCAAACCUCUCGUUCUCUCUCAUUUCUCCACCGAUUUGGAUGUAUAGGGUAUGGAUUUCCACCUAUUUUUCAUGAUCUAGCUGAUGGUAAGGUAGGAUUUCAUUAAUUUUGAGCUUAGGUUAGUUGAUUCUCUAUUUGAAAUUCUGCCGGUUUUGGGAUCGCGUUUUCGGCCAUUUCCGGUCACUUUUUGGGGUAGGCCCAAGAACAAAAGUAACUCCAAAUGGGGUUUUACACCUAGGGUAGGAGUCUGGGCCUGAUAUUUUGAGGUUUUUUCGGCAAGUGUUAUCGCUUUAGACACCCACGCACUGCCCGUGCGUGGGCACUGUAGCAAAGGUGCAUUUUUACCCCAAUGUGUUCCCCUACUUGUCACGAGUUCGUGGGUGUGCUCGGAUUCCAAUUCGUAUAUCGUUUGACUAUCGAACAGAUUUACGCCUAUUGUGUGUCAUCCGGGUUCAAUUUGUUCGGACCGUUGGAUCGAGUUCAAAUUAAUAUAUGUUGAUCUAGGCACUCCUAGGAUCGUGUAGGAAUUCACGGAUCGUGAAUCGAAGCCCCGGAUGUUCCUAUUCAAUAACUUAAAAUUUGUGUUAAACGAUAACCGUCCGAUCGUGCAAUCGCGAGCGAUCCGACUGCUCGAUCGAGACCAAACUCUUGGGAUGUGUUUAGGAAACUCUGUUGGACCUUUAGGAACUUUUGGAUUGUAAUUGGGAGGUUGUGGGCCCCGUGGGCCAGGUUGAUUAUCGGUUGACUAAUUUGACUAGUGGGACCGGAUAGUUGACCACGAGUCUUUGGAGAACAUUUUGUCUCUUGUUAAGUACUAAGAUGGCCUUAGGGUUUUACAAGGACGUGCACCCCCUGUGAGUCCUGAGAGUUAGGAUUUUGAAUUAAAGUUCAGUGUUGGAUUUGAGUAUUCAGUUAAUCUUGGUAUUCUCUCAAAUAGGUUCUUUGGCGCUAGGAAUCGUUCUUGACAAAACCGCGGAGGGUUGAAUGCGCUUUGGACCGUGUGUGAGUAGACAUUUAUUUUCUAAAUGGUUUUAUGAAACUCUUGGAUUGUGAUUAUAAUUUGUGUUGUUUUAUGGAUUUGAUGAUUUAUGGUUAUUAGUUUUCUAAUAGAAUAUUAUGCAUAUUCGAAUUUAGUUUGAAAACUAUUUUGAAAGAAUUAUAAAUGGUUUGAAUCAAAUAAUGAAAUUGGGGUUUUAUCUCGGUUUUAAAGAGAAUUUUGAUUAAUUAAUUAAUUAUAAUGCAUACUUGGAACUUUAUUUGGUUUUGAAAGAUUUGUGUUUUAUUUGAGAUAACUAAGAAGGGAUUUGAGAAACAGUGUGGUAAAUAGGGAUUUGUGGAAAAAAGAAAAGAAAAAAAAAAGGGCUUUUAUGAUUAAGUGUUGGAAUUGGAUUUCAAACCCACCCUAGAAACCUAUCCCUGGUUGCCUACAAAAUGUAUGAGAUGCCUUGGGAAUAAAUGAGUUGCCUCGGAAAAGAUAAAAAUGGUUGCCUUUGGAAAAAGUGUAAUAAGUUUCCUUCGGAAAUUAUGGUUGCCUUCGGUUAAGUCUGUGCACAUAACUAAGAUUGUCUAUACCUACAUAGAGACUACUCUGUAGGUAUCCGGCCAGAGUAUAUUGUCUGUACCUGUGUUGACUAUGCAGGUGUCCGGCCAGUGAUUUGCCUGUACCUACAUAGAGAUUACUUUGUAGGUGUCCGGCCAGUAUUUUGCCUGUACCUGCUUAUGUGGUUGUUCGGCCAGGAUUUUCCCACUACACCUAUCUGAUUGUCUAUAUAGGUGGUUGAUGUAACACCCAGACUCCAAAUUUAACUCUUAUUUAAAUUAUUUAAUUAUUUAAGGGGAAUUACAAAUUUACCCUUGAGAUAAGGGCAUUUUGGUUAUAUUCUUAACCGGAGAGAGUUUGGGGUAGGUCCAAGAACAAAAGUGGCUCCAAAUAGGGUGUUAUACCUAGGGUAGGAGUUUGGAGCCGUGGUUUUGAGAUUUUCCGGCGAAGCUUUAUCGCUUUGGGCACCCACGCGCUGCCGGUGAGUGCGGCGGCGCAUGGGCACUGUAGAAAAAGUGGCAUUGUGUCUCGAUGAGAUCCUUAGGUUGUCACGAGUGCGUAGGAUUUCGCGGAUCUCAAUUUGGACGUCGUUUGACUAUCGAACGAAUAUCGCCUAUUGUGCGUUAUCCGGGUUCGAUAGGUUGGGACCGUUGGAUGGUCCCAAAUUUAAUACAUGUUAAUCUAGGUAUUUCUAGGAUCGUGUAGGAAUUCACGGAUUGUGAAUCGGAGCCCUGGAUGUUCCAAAUAAGAAUUUUAAGUUUAUAUUUUAUAUUAACCGUCAGAUCGUGCGAUCGUGAGCGAUCCGACCGUCAGAUCGUGCGAUCGUGAGUGAUCCGACCGUCCGAUAUGAACCAAACUUGCAGGACGAGUGUCCUAUACCUUGUAAAACCCAUAGGGACUUUCGGAUCGGAAAUUGGAGGUCGUGGGCUCCGCAGGUCCGUUUGACCAGGGUUAAGGUAGUUUGACCCUUGGUUGACUGUGAGUCUCCCGGAGUAAAUCUCACCUACUUUUCAUGCUCUAGCUGCCUGUUGGGUAAGAUUGGAUCGAUUCUUAGCGUAGCCAAUUCGAUUUUCGAAUUGAAAUUCGGCCGAUUUUGGGAUCGCGAUUCCGGCCACUUCCGGUCAGUUUUUGGGAAAUGUCCAAUUUAUAGAGGAGACUCUGCCAAAAUUUCGGCAGGAAGUCUCGGUCUUUAGUAAGUGGGCCUGGCAUCGGGAUGAUGUCGGGAAUUCCAAAGGGUUUGCCUCGGGUUCUGAAAAAUUCGGGGCGGGUCCUUUCAGUUGAUCAGUUUUCCCCUAUUCUCGGUUACCUCAGUAUAUUGUCUGUACUUGUAUCACAAAUGCGAGUGUCCGGCCAGUGAUUUUUUCCCAGGAUGUUCCCCUGCCACCCUGCCGAUUUAUUACACAGGGUAGGCCAGUUAUUUUCCCCAUAGGUGUACUUGCAUGGAGAGAUUUCGUAUAACUUGGUUUGAGAUUGGAUUUUUGGAUGAUUUGUGUUUGAGCUUGCUUGAUUUAUUGGAUUCAAAUGAUGUUUUGAAACUGGAUUUUUAUGAAAUUAUAUUUUGAGUUGUAUUGGAUUUAAAUGUUAUUUGAAGUACAAAUUUGGGUCAAUGAUAUUUUAUUUACUAGAGUUUAUUUUACUUGCACAUGUAUUGAUUAUAUUUUGUUCCUGUAUAUAUACUUAUGUGUAUUAAUGAGUUUUCCAAAGGUUUGCAAAAACAGAGGGGUUAGUAUGUUCUGUAUAAUUACUUUCAAGAAAAACUUUCUUUUUGUCUACUCAUGCUUUUACUGUUUUGUGCCCCCAUGAAGUAGAUAGCUCAGCGUUCGGACAUCUACAUAAGCUACUCCGACGUCGGUGAAGUCCUUAUAAUUCUAAGUAUGAGACUUCAUCUUUCGUUCUCAUGGUUCAUUUGGAAAAUAAUUUUGUAAAUUCAACUUCUGUAGUUGCUCUGAUAUUUCCCACUUAGGAUUGAAAUUGAGGCCGGAGGCCAUGUGAAUUUUAUGUGUGCCUUAACUUGUGUGUGCUGCCUGUUGAGAUUAUUAGAUUGUCGGUAAUUGCAGGUGUUAAUUUGGAGAAAGUCCAUUUUAGAGAGGAGACUUUACCGAAAAUUUCGGUAGAAGUCUCGACCCUUUUAUCUUAAAAGUUUGGGUGAAAGGUGUAAAUUUAGUAGUGGGUCCGGCAUCUCUUAGGUGUCGGUCAGAUAGCAGGAUUCGACACGAGUUCCAAUGGGAAAUUCGGGUCGGGUCCUGUUAAUGGAGAUGGUUUGAGGUAGAAUUUUCUCCUAUUUCAAUUGGACAAUGAUGAGCUCUAUGUAACAACAAAUUUCUUUAAUAAUGAUAACUAAAAAAAGUGUGAUUCAUUGAAUAUUUGAGGGGUUUUGUUCUAAGUUAACACAUCAAAUUCCUUUUACACCAUCAAAUUCAAAAAAUUUAUUCAACCAUCUCGACCUUAUGCUAAAAAUUUAUUUUGUUCAAACGUAACGUACUAGGUAUUUAUUUUAUAUCAACGAGUACGAUGGUCCAUAUAAGUAUUCUAAUCAUUCACUCCAGUUGCAGGCCCUAAUAAUUUAGAAGGGCUGAUGGUCUUUUUUUUUUUUUUUUUUUUUGGUUGAGAAAUUCUAUGAUUGCAUUCAUAAUUCAGCCAAAAAAGUCACUAGCCAAAAAAGGUUGUUACAAUAACAGAGCGGUCUAAUAUCAAAAUUAAGACAAUCUGGUAUGCCUCCACUAACAAUCAAGCGGGCCAAUGAUCUUUCAUUUGAUGAAAGCUUCUAUCUACCGACCCCGCUAUAUGAACUAUGCAAUGGUGAUGGUGUUACAUUGCUAAAAACAAAAAGUCAAGGUUUCUUAUUAAUGUUAAUGAAGGCAUAGCAAAAAAUUUGUAGCUCCAAUAGUUCAGAGCAGUUACCCAUGCACUUGAAAUUCUGUGUUUGAAUGCCCUCUCCCCUAAUAUUGCUUGUAUAAAAAUAAAAACUUCUAAAAAGACAUUAAUAUUGUAUUCUAUAUUCUAUAAAGUGUUGGACAUGUUUUACAUUGUUGACAACCCCUUAACAUUUUGGUGGUGCCUAGUUAUAUUCAAUUCGUAUGUAUUUAAUUUGCCACUUACAUUCUUUCCUUAAUACAUUUAGGCUUAUUUUUAUACUAAUUUCUCUAACAUAACUUUUGCACAUUCUUUUAGUCUCUAAUAUAUAUAUUUUUUAAUAAAUAAUCUUACCCACUUGAGUUAUAAACUAUUUUCUUUUAGCACAGAAAAUUGACAUUUUGACAAAGAGUUGAAAACCACUCCCCAAUUUUAAUGUCAACCACUUGAAAAAAAAAACAUAAAUUUAAUGAAAACAAUUACAUUUAGCAAUGCAACCUAAAAACUCAACCUUUGCCCCCCUUUCGCAACCCAGAUAGCAGGGUGAGGAUAUUCGGAUAAGAACCAAGACAGAAGCCAAAGGAACUGCGAUAGCCAACCAGAGGCUCCAUUUCUUACCAUCUGAACAACGCCACCAUUUUGUUUGGUAAGUAUUUAAUAACAUUUCUUGCUCUACAUAAAGUAAUAUUAAAACGAAAUUUGCCUAAAUUUUUCUUACCAGCAAUCCAUAUGGAAAAAGAAAAAAAGAAAAAAGAAAAAUACAAUUAUACUCAAUAUAGGAGCCCAAAUUAUUUAUAGUUAAAAAAUCCCUAUAUGAAAUGAACUUUAGAAACACACUCAAAACCUAUUUACAACAAAACAAAAAGACUUUUAACUUCUUUUAAAUUACAAAACUAUCAUUGAUUUCUUAAACAAACCCAACCCCAAAACCUCAUAAAUAAAAAAAGCUCAAAAUACUCAAUAAAACAUCAAAGUAAUUUAAUAAUUAAAAUUAAAUUCAAUAGGGACAUCUGUUAUUUUUUGGGUUUUUUUGUUUGUUUAUAGAAAUUAAAUGAUGUAGAAUCUAUCUAUAUUAUUAGUGCUAAGAAUGGAUAUGUGACUAUAUAACUCAAAAAAAAUUUAUAGUAAAUCUACAAUUUUUUUUUAAACAAAAAUCUAUAGAAUCUUUUAUUAGAUCAAUAAUCAAUAGUCACUACUAGAAAAUCUUCAUAUAAGCCACUAAUACACCCGUAACUUAUACAAAUGUGAGCUACUGACAAACCUGUAGCCAAAGAGUAUUGGCCACCUACCACACGACAGUGGUCCAAGCAUAAUGUUGUCAUUCAUUAUUCCCCACAGCAACCAGCAUCCAAUAAAGGGCUGGGCCCCACCCAUAUUCCACCUCUCUUUGUGAAUAUAAAAGAAAUAUUUUUUAUUCAACAUGGACGCAGAAACUGUUGCUAAACUGCAAACUUCUUAAAAUAUUUGUCUCACUUUCUAGAUCCAUGUACUGAGAUUUAUUAGGGAAAUAUUGUAGAAACUGAUUAUUUUGAAAUAUUAAAUGUGAAAAACUGAACAAAAAUUUGAUGGAUUACAUAUUUCAACUCAUUUCAGCAGCUUAGAUUUUGAAGACCUCUGAAGAGGCUAUGCAAUGAGCCUGGCUAUAGUACACUGUUGAUCACUUCAGUGUCUACCGAUCUGUAAUUUUUCCAGAUUGGUUAUAUUUUCCUUUACAUAUGUAUGCUUAUAUUAUUCCCAGCUGUAAGUGUUUUAGCAACAGGGUUACAAACUUCUUCUACAACACACCAACAUGAAUCUAGCCCUGAUCCACUCUUCACAUACUUGAAAACAAAACAAAACACGAAAAACAAAAAACAAGAUAGGGAGAAAAUGGCCUUGAUCAAUAACAGAGAUAAUAGAGUACACUGUUUAGGGUGAGUAUCAGAAGAAUAAUAGCCGCAAAGAGAGAAAUAGCUGCCCAAGGUGUGUUGAAAUACUUUUGUCUCAAAUUUGCCUUCCAUCUGUUCGUGGUCUUCUUGCAGUACUCGUUUAGUUUGCCAGCAAGAUCACCAAAAUAGUAGUUUUCGGAGCAACUUUACUGCAAAGCUUGUUAAUCAUAAUGGAAACCUGAUUGUUGUCACCUAGCGUGUUUACAACAAUUCCAUUGUCAACAAGCAACUCUACAUCCUUUGGGGUGUUUACAAAUUUAUCCAGGAUGAAAACAUAAUCGCUUAUGUAUUUAUCCACGCAAUGGCAUUGUUCAAAGGCAAUGAGAUUUCUAUGUGUAAGCUCUGUGUAAUCAUGUAUUUCAAUUUUUGGAAUUUCCAAGGUGUUUUUCUUGAACUGUAUAUCGAAUAAGUUCUUGCUUGAUCCCACGUUAAACUUAACUCCGGCCUGGUGUAGUUUUGUCAUGCUGGGUGUACUUUGGAGCCCUACAUUUUCUUUUAGGGUCGGAUCUGGCAGAUGUAAAGGUUUUUUAGGAUCAGGUGGCAUAAAAGACUUACGGAAGGCUGGUGAGUUCUCCAAGUUUUUUCUAAACGGAAGAACCUGUAAGAGAGUUCAAUUAUUGAAGGCUCCCCAGUCUGAGCAGCUGUGAGAUUGUAAAGAUCCUCGAGAAUGAAAAAUGGCAGCUGAUUUUCGAGCAUAAGCAUGUCAGGCAAUAUAUUUUGUGGCACCCAUGGUUUUUUAAAUAUCCAAGCAUUAUCAUCCUGCAAUUUUUCUUCCUGAAAUUUUUCUUCGGAUUUAUUCCUCAACAAUAGCUCAAUGACAAAGGCGGCGUCAACUAGAAUGAUAUUCACAAAAGCAGCAAUGUUAAAACUUCUUAGUGUCUUCAUAACAAUGACGGAGAUCACCUUCUCUCUCCUUUAUUUUCUCUAAAUAAUCCUUCAAUCCUACUACUUUAGUCCGAUUAAGAAAGCAUUUUAGGUACCUGAGUUUGUGAUCUUCCAUGGCUUCUAAGUUUUUGCUGGCAUGGUGAAGUGGGUCUAUUGAGACUACUUGUGGUGUGUAGGCCUUUUGUUUUACGUUCCGUAGUCGCUCAGGCACCCUGUAGAUCCAGCAGGCAGGGGACAGGGCACGCAAGUUUGUCAACCGAUUUUCCAUGGAAGUUGCUUGGUUUUCUAUGUCAAAAGAAGCUUCAUUGCUGCUUUCUUCCACUUUCUUCAUCCCCGUAUGUGUUGUUCUGAUUGUAAGUGACGAGGAUGGUGAUGAUUCUAGACACCAUAAUCAACAAAUGUUUCAAUCAUAAUUGACAUUUCAAGAUGCUCCGACAAAAAAUUAGAAAACAUUCAUCACACAAUGCGAACUCAUACAAUAGAUGGGUUGAGAAGAUCCACACAUUGCAAUCAUACAAUCCAAUUGCACAGGGAUUAGUCCCUAUUCUCCUCUCUCUCUCUCUCUCUCUCUCUCUCUCUCUCUCUCUCUCUCUCUCUCAAAAAGAUUUUCAUAUCGAUAACAUCUUAUUGCAAGGGACUGGUACAUCAAGUAGUGAAGAACAGAAAUUCAUAUUCUUUCAAUCAAAAUGUAUAAAUUUUGAAAAAGUUUGUUUUAUUUUUGGGGGAAAAAAAUCUGAACAUAUAUGUAUGUGCAUAUUAUACGUAGAUCUAAGGUGAAAACAGACCAGAUUUUUACUCCAUUUUUCAUGAGGUUUAAGUUCAUGAUGUAUAUAUUUAUCUCAAGUGUAACAUCUCACAUCGAUCAACGGAGAUGAGGUGAUGUGUCUUAUAUGUACAUGCUCGCCUCCAUCUAGCACAAGGCCUUUUGGGAGAUCACUGGCUUCGGAGUCAUAGGAACUCCGAAGUUAAGCGAGUUGGGGUUAGAGCAAUCCCAUAAUGGGUGACUCACUGGGAAGUUGCUCUUGAGUUCCCAAAAACAAAACUGUGAGGACAGAGAGGGGGGCCCAAAGCGGCCAAUAUUAUUCUACGGCAGAGCCGAUCCUGGGAUGUGACAAUUUGGUAUUAGAGCCACACUGCCGUGUGGUGCGAGUGUGCCGAAGAGGACGUUGGGCCCUUGAGGGGGGUGGAUUGUAACAUCUCACAUCGACCAACAGCGAGGGAGUGAUGUGCCUUAUAUGUACAUGCCCGCCUUCAUCUAGCACGAGGCCUUUUAGGAGCUCACUCACUUCGGAGCCAUAGGACCACCAUCCCAAGUUCAAUAUACAACCCAACAACCAUCUUAGCCAUCUUCUCAUUGAUCUUCCACCCAGCAUCCAACACUAUCUUCAUAAACUCUUUAGCUUAAUAUCUCUGUUGCUUUUGUUUUUUGUUUUUUUUAAUUUAAAUUUUUUAGUUUUUUUUUUUGGUUGGUGCAGAUUCAAUGAUAAAGAACAUCGAACUCGUCGCAACAUCCUGCCCUAGAUCCGAACUCUACCACCAUCACAACCCUCCCUCUCUCGAUCUCCAACCAACCUUAACACCCAACUUCAAAUCUUGGUUGUUUGAAACUCAGCCCCCUUCUCAAACCCCACCCUCUCUCUCUCUCUCUCUCUCUCUCUCUCUCAAAAUCAACAAGAUUUUCAUGUCAAUAAGAUAAGAUCUCAUUGCAAGUGACUUGUAGAUGAAGUGGGAAAGAACAAAAAGUCAUAUUCUUCCAAUCAAAACGUAUCAAGUCUAACAAAAUUUCUAGUUAGUUUGCUUUAUGAUAGUUGUUUUUUGAAGGGGUCCUUAGAUCCAAUCUCAAAAAGUUUGACUUUUAUUAUGUUUAACUCUGGUUUUUGCAAAUUUUUUUUUUUAUCUCUACCCACUAACUUUUAUCUCUCAUUUUUAUUACCCAUUUUACCCUUUAAAAUAAAUAUGGUAAUAAACUAAAAAUUCUGAUUCAAUGCAUGUUCAUAAGAGAAUUAAGGCCCCGUUUGGGAUUGCUUUUUUUCGUCAAAAACUUGUUUCACUUUAAAGUUAAGCAGUUUAAGGUGUUUGGUAAAAAUAAAAUAUCCUGAUUAUUUUAAAAGCAGUGGCCUUUUGACAGCUGCUUUUAAAAGCAGGUUCUGGGUUGCUUUUCAAAGCUGCUUUCAAAAGAAGCAAAGAUGAACUUUUAAUGAAUGUUUUUUAAUUCCCAAAAUACAAUCAUUCAUUUUAAAAAAUGACACCACCUCCACUUCCACAUCCAACUCCACCACUUGCACCACCACAUUCACUACCUCCACAACCACCGCCAUUACCACCACCACCACAUCCUUCUCCUCCUCAUCCUCCGCCACCACCACCAGAAGCAGAUCCAGAAAUUUUUCAGGAGAGGGGCAAUAAUGAUUUUGAUACUGCCCAAUUAAAAACAUAUUAUGAAAACCAGACCCUUAGUUAAUUUAAAGAUUAAUUAGCACGAUAAAAUAAAUACAUAAUUAAUAAUAAAAAUAUAUUAUCACAGUGAAAGAUUAGAUCAACAAACAAGUAGUAUCAAUCAAAUCCUAAUUAAACAAAAACUCUAAUAUCAAAGUGUGAUUUGAGAUCAUUGUGCAAGGACUCUUCUUCGUUGUUGUUUUUUAUUAUUUAAUUUUUUUGACAGAUGGGCUUCUUCAAAUUGGGAGCAUUGAGGUAAGCCUUUUGGUAUUACAUUAUUAUUAUUAUUAUAAUGAAAUAUUUAUUAUAACAACCAAGUAAUUGAAGCCAAACAAUGAAUCUUGAAACGGUUUGCACAAAAAACGAAGAGUUUGAAUUUUUGAAAAACACUUCAUUUAAACCAUUAAACAUAGAUCAAGGACGACGCCGUUUGUGACAAAUAAAAAUAGGGUUGUCUUCUUCAUUCGUGAACCAGAGCCUCCAUCAGGACACACCUCUACAACUCCUCCUCUACAACACAGUGUGUGCCUCAAUCGUGUAACUUGCCAUUUGCGAUUCAGGAGGCCUUAGAUCGUCGCACUCACGAGAUGCGCCUUGAUACACUUUUAAACGCUAGANNNNNNNNNNNNNNNNNNNNNNNNNNNNNNNNNNNNNNNNNNNNNNNNNNNNNNNNNNNNNNNNNNNNNNNNNNNNNNNNNNNNNNNNNNNNNNNNNNNNNNNNNNNNNNNNNNNNNNNNNNNNNNNNNNNNNNNNNNNNNNNNNNNNNNNNNNNNNNNNNNNNNNNNNNNNNNNNNNNNNNNNNNNNNNNNNNNNNNNNNNNNNNNNNNNNNNNNNNNNNNNNNNNNNNNNNNNNNNNNNNNNNNNNNNNNNNNNNNNNNNNNNNNNNNNNNNNNNNNNNNNNNNNNNNNNNNNNNNNNNNNNNNNNNNNNNNNNNNNNNNNNNNNNNNNNNNNNNNNNNNNNNNNNNNNNNNNNNNNNNNNNNNNNNNNNNNNNNNNNNNNNNNNNNNNNNNNNNNNNNNNNNNNNNNNNNNNNNNNNNNNNNNNNNNNNNNNNNNNNNNNNNNNNNNNNNNNNNNNNNNNNNNNNNNNNNNNNNNNNNNNNNNNNNNNNNNNNNNNNNNNNNNNNNNNNNNNNNNNNNNNNNNNNNNNNNNNNNNNNNNNNNNNNNNNNNNNNNNNNNNNNNNNNNNNNNNNNNNNNNNNNNNNNNNNNNNNNNNNNNNNNNNNNNNNNNNNNNNNNNNNNNNNNNNNNNNNNNNNNNNNNNNNNNNNNNNNNNNNNNNNNNNNNNNNNNNNNNNNNNNNNNNNNNNNNNNNNNNNNNNNNNNNNNNNNNNNNNNNNNNNNNNNNNNNNNNNNNNNNNNNNNNNNNNNNNNNNNNNNNNNNNNNNNNNNNNNNNNNNNNNNNNNNNNNNNNNNNNNNNNNNNNNNNNNNNNNNNNNNNNNNNNNNNNNNNNNNNNNNNNNNNNNNNNNNNNNNNNNNNNNNNNNNNNNNNNNNNNNNNNNNNNNNNNNNNNNNNNNNNNNNNNNNNNNNNNNNNNNNNNNNNNNNNNNNNNNNNNNNNNNNNNNNNNNNNNNNNNNNNNNNNNNNNNNNNNNNNNNNNNNNNNNNNNNNNNNNNNNNNNNNNNNNNNNNNNNNNNNNNNNNNNNNNNNNNNNNNNNNNNNNNNNNNNNNNNNNNNNNNNNNNNNNNNNNNNNNNNNNNNNNNNNNNNNNNNNNNNNNNNNNNNNNNNNNNNNNNNNNNNNNNNNNNNNNNNNNNNNNNNNNNNNNNNNNNNNNNNNNNNNNNNNNNNNNNNNNNNNNNNNNNNNNNNNNNNNNNNNNNNNNNNNNNNNNNNNNNNNNNNNNNNNNNNNNNNNNNNNNNNNNNNNNNNNNNNNNNNNNNNNNNNNNNNNNNNNNNNNNNNNNNNNNNNNNNNNNNNNNNNNNNNNNNNNNNNNNNNNNNNNNNNNNNNNNNNNNNNNNNNNNNNNNNNNNNNNNNNNNNNNNNNNNNNNNNNNNNNNNNNNNNNNNNNNNNNNNNNNNNNNNNNNNNNNNNNNNNNNNNNNNNNNNNNNNNNNNNNNNNNNNNNNNNNNNNNNNNNNNNNNNNNNNNNNNNNNNNNNNNNNNNNNNNNNNNNNNNNNNNNNNNNNNNNNNNNNNNNNNNNNNNNNNNNNNNNNNNNNNNNNNNNNNNNNNNNNNNNNNNNNNNNNNNNNNNNNNNNNNNNNNNNNNNNNNNNNNNNNNNNNNNNNNNNNNNNNNNNNNNNNNNNNNNNNNNNNNNNNNNNNNNNNNNNNNNNNNNNNNNNNNNNNNNNNNNNNNNNNNNNNNNNNNNNNNNNNNNNNNNNNNNNNNNNNNNNNNNNNNNNNNNNNNNNNNNNNNNNNNNNNNNNNNNNNNNNNNNNNNNNNNNNNNNNNNNNNNNNNNNNNNNNNNNNNNNNNNNNNNNNNNNNNNNNNNNNNNNNNNNNNNNNNNNNNNNNNNNNNNNNNNNNNNNNNNNNNNNNNNNNNNNNNNNNNUACAAACCACAACCACCAACUCCACGUUCAUCACCACCACUACCUCCACUCCACCACUACCAUUACUACUACCACAACAUGAUUAGUACAUAACACUUUUAACAUCAUGUCUAUUUUAGUCAUUAUUCACAUUUACAACAAUUUUAUAUUAAAAUUUACCAAACGGUUUUGACACUGCUUUUUGUACUAACAGCACUUUAAAAAUAUUGUUUAUCAAACAUGGAGUGCUUUACUUUACAGCUAAUUAUUUUCAAAGCACAGCAAAAGCAAAUUUUUUUAAAAGUGACAGCAAUCCUAAAAAUUCUAUACUCUAACACAAAAAAUAAAAACUAAAAACAAAAAUUAAAAUGGUUAUCAAACAUACACUUAUAUUACAAAGAAAAUAUCAAAUAUUGAACUCAUCAUAAGAGAACACAGAAAAACCUCACCGCUUGCAACUCGUACACCACCACUACACGAACAACUGCUAAUUAAAAUGAGUCACAUGUGGUACUUAACUCUAAAAACUUAUUCAGAUUAUAUAUCGUACUCCUCGAUCAAAACAACCAUGAAACAUAAGUGAUUUAAACCUCUAGGCAAAUGGAAGGUAUAUAACAAUUUAUAGAACAAUACAGUAAUCCAGAAGAAAUAUUAUGAAAUAAAAAGAAUAAAAAGUAAAAAAAGAGAAGGAAAGGAAUUCCCACCUGAUAUGUAUAAGUAUGAAAGGAAGGACCAAGUUUGUUUUGCCUUUGGUUAAUGACUAGAAAAGCUCACUUGCAUAUUGCUUUCUCCGGCCGUAGAUGCAAGAGAAAUUUUCUCUUAAUAAUAGCACAAUGAUCGGGUAAUUGUAAGAACAAGUUGAUUUUAAAUUCAGGUCAAGUCGUAGAUUUCUUGCCUUUUCUAUUCUCCUUCCUUGGACAUGAGCUGUUUAAUCUUGGACUCUUCCCCCAUCAUGUUGGGCCUGUCUUCUUCUUGAGGAUUGUAUAGGCCCAGGAAAUGCUUCAAGGUAGUUUUUGUGUUUUGGGCCUUGAGACCCAACUUCACAAAAAGAAAAUAGAUUUGACCAAAAAACAAAUUUGAAGGAUAUUGAAAUUGUACCUGUAGGAUAGGUUAAAACACCAUAAGGGAGGUAAAUAGUACGUUUACAGAAUUUAAGUGUAAUAAUUGAAUAAAAACAUGCCCAGAGGAUUGAUAAGUGAUAUCAAUUCUUGAAUAUACAGAACGUAAAAUAAAGGAACACGUAGAAAAUUAUUUUAUGUGGUAAAACUCUAUCUCUGGGGAACAUCCACGGGGCUUUUUAGUCCAAAAUAAUCCAUUAUAGAACGAUGAUUACAAGAAGUAUUCACACACUUAUCCUAGACACAUUCUAGAUUAUGUUUACUGACCUCUUCUCAACUUCUGUCUCGAGAUGAUCUUUCGACACUCCUUAUGUUGAACGCAAUACUGGUCACGAUUUCUUCAAGCUCCCUAGAGUUCUUCCAACUCUCCUUGUAUUGAAUCCGACACUAGUCACGAUCGAUUCAAGCUCAUUGGAGAAAAACUGCCACAACGGUCUUAGUGCCCUCAAUCGUAUGAGUCACUGAACAUGCAAAUGAAUACAAUAUAAAUGAUAAAAGUGUUUGAUAAAUCACCAAGUUAUAGAACACUUGAUGAUUUAUCUCAAAUAAAAAUUCAGCUUUACAAAGUUUAUGAUGAAUUGAAAAUAUGAUCGUUAAAGCUAUCUAAACAAAGAAGACGAAGGUCUUAUUUUAUAGAAUUUUUCUUUACAAGAAAGAAAACACGUUGAAAACCAAAUCUCCAAUUUUCAAGGCUUGACAGAAAAUCACAAAAGUAUCUUUCCUAUUCUAGAGAUUGGUCACAUGUAGUUCAACCAAUAGGAAAUGAGAUAUUCAAGAAAGCAAGAUUUUGAUCAAUAUCAAUAUCAGAUCAAUUCUUAUACGCCUAGUCAACUAUUAAGGGUAUCUUGACUCCUUGAUGUUGUGAUAUGAUUGAAACAUGAUUUCCAUGUUAGAAAAUUAAAGGGAUGUUAAAACAUGAAAGUAAUAGAGAAUCAAAUUGAUGUGGACCAAAAUUGCCUAAAAAGAAAACACUCCUAAAUAAACUUCAAUUCACUUUUAAAAAACAGUAAAACAUGAUUGAUCGUUCUUUAAAACAAUUCCCUAAAUAUACAUGCAUGAUAAUGAUAUCACUUACCCUUAAAUCAAAUUGUCACGCCCCGGACCCGAGGGUCGGGUGGAAACCUCACCGCCCAGUGCGUGAGAAAAUAAAAAGAAAAUAAAAUAAAAAGAAGCCGAACAGGGUUUAAAAUAAACUUCUCUUAUAAAAAUAACUCCAAUCUACAACUUUACAAGAAAUAACUAANNNNNNNNNNNNNNNNNNNNNNNNNNNNNNNNNNNNNNNNNNNNNNNNNNNNNNNNNNNNNNNNNNNNNNNNNNNNNNNNNNNNNNNNNNNNNNNNNNNNNNNNNNNNNNNNNNNNNNNNNNNNNNNNNNNNNNNNNNNNNNNNNNNNNNNNNNNNNNNNNNNNNNNNNNNNNNNNNNNNNNNNNNNNNNNNNNNNNNNNNNNNNNNNNNNNNNNNNNNNNNNNNNNNNNNNNNNNNNNNNNNNNNNNNNNNNNNNNNNNNNNNNNNNNNNNNNNNNNNNNNNNNNNNNNNNNNNNNNNNNNNNNNNNNNNNNNNNNNNNNNNNNNNNNNNNNNNNNNNNNNNNNNNNNNNNNNNNNNNNNNNNNNNNNNNNNNNNNNNNNNNNNNNNNNNNNNNNNNNNNNNNNNGAUUUCAAUUGGUAUUCAGAGCGUCAGCUCUUAAUACAAAUAGAGAGAUCCUAGGAUUUGUUUUGGUGUUUAGGUGUGCUCACUGUGGAACGGGAUCGAGUUGCUGGAUCUUGCAACUCCCCUCCUUAUUUUGAUGGAAACAACUACGCUGCUUGGAGAGAAAAAUUUGAGAUAUUCCUUGAUGCUCUUGAUGAGUACGCAAGUGAGUAUCUCACAAAAGAGUGGGUUGCUCCUGUCAAGACUGUUGAGAGUAAUGUUGUGCCCAAGCCUAGGUCGGAAUGGACUGAAGCUGAGGUGUUUGCUGCAUAUUCAAACAAGAAGGCCAGAAAUGCCUUAGUUACAGCCUUGUCUAGCACACAAUUUUCACAUAUACAACACAUCCUAAAUGCGAAACAGGCUUGGGAUAAACUAAGGGUGGUUCAUGAAGGGGAUGACCAAGUUAGAUCCCUAAAACUUCAGAUGAUGCCUGCACAAUUUGAAGAACUUAGGAUGUCUGAAACUGAGUCUAUUUCUGAGUUCUAUGGGAGAGUUGAGAUGAUCACUAAUGAAGCCAUGAGUCUCGGUCAACCUAUUGAUGAGCUUCUUGUUGUUCAGAAAAUCCUUCGUGUUCUACCAUCUAGGUUUAGAGCAAAGAAAACCGCAAUCAUGGAGGUCCAAAACUUAAAUGAAAUUAAGCUUGGCAAGCUCGUAGGAAAAUUGAAAACCUAUGAGAUGGAGUUGAAUAUGGAAAAGAAUGACACUAAAAAAUCAAAAAAUGUUGCACUUCAAGGAGUGAAUGAUUCCUCUCUGAAAGGUGGUGAAAAAUCCUCAGGUUUUGAGGAUGAGAUGGCUUUGUUUGUCAAAAAAUUUAGGAGAAUUCUUAGGGAUAAAGGAAAGUUUGCUAGAAAGGGCAGCUCUGGUAGUGAGAGACAAGUUAGACCAUCAACUGAUCAGUCUAAUGAGAGGAACAAGGAUGUCAAACCUUUCACUAAAGAUUUUAGAAAAUCUGUCAAGUGCUUCACAUGUGGAGGCAUUGGGCACUAUGCUGCCCAUUGUGCAAACAAUCAGAAAAAAUACUCCAAAGGAAAGGACAAGGCCAUAAAAGUUAGCUGGAGUGAGAGUGAAAGUGAAGUGUCUCAAGGGGAUUCAUUUUUCUCUGAUAAUGAUGACCAACAUGUUGCUUUUGUUGCCUCUGUGCAGUCAGUGUCUGAUAAAUCUGAUUCUGAGUCAGAUGACCUGUCAUACGAGUGAUUAGGAAGAAAAUAUGAUUGUUUGUUCAAAGAGACAUUGUCUUUGAAAGAAGAGAGCCUCAAACUUGAGGCCAACAACCAUGAACUUCAACAUGAAAUCCUCAUCUUAAAAGAAACCAAAAAGGAGUUGAGUGACAAAUUUGUGUCUCUAGAAAAAGAAUUUGUUGCACUUGUGUCAAUUAGGAGUAAUCUUGAAAAUCAAGUUAAUGUGCUCAAGGAAAGUAACAUUGGUUUCCAGAACUCAAACAAAUUGCUCCUAGGUAAAUUGAAUGAAGCAAAAAAGUAAGGUUAUAUCUAUGACCAUUGGUGCCUCAAAAAUUGACAAAAUGUUGACUAUGGGAAAACCUCAUGGGGACAAAGGUGGUCUUGGAUUUAAUCAUUUUGAUUCUAGUUCGUCUAGCUCUACCACUAGGUUUGUCAAUUCAAAAACUCCAACCAUGGCUUCUCUUGAUGCUCAGCCGGUAGUCAAGAAACCUAAGUUUGUUCCAACUUGUCACUGGUGUGGGUUGACUGGUCAUAUUCGAUCAAUCUGUCUUAUGUACAAAAAGGAUAAGACUAGAAAAUUGUCUUCAAAAUCUAAAAAUCCAAGAUCUUUGCAAGAUCAGGUUGAUCAUUUGCUAAAAGAAGUAACUAAGAUUGCAAAACUUGUCUCCCUUAAAAUGUGUUCACCUAUUGUGCCUAAGUCUACUUGGGUUGAAAAAGGUCAUACCAAAUGUCUUGUUGUGCUAAAUGCUUUUGCUGCAUCAAACACCAACUCUUGGUACUUUGAUAGUGGCUGUUCCAAACAUAUGUUUGGUGAUAAGAGUGUCUUCUCAUCUCUCAGUCCUUUUGAUGGAGGCACUGUGACUUUUGGUGGAGGUCACAAGUCUCAAGUUUUUGGAAAAGGUACUGUUUGUAUCCCUGGUUUACCCGAGCUUAAGAAUGUUAGAUGUGUUAAGGGUCUUACAUCCAAUCUCAUUAGUGUGAGUCAGCUGUGUGAUGAUGGAGUAAUAGAAGUUAGAUUCUCCAAGCAUGGGUGCAAAAUCGUUGGAAAAUGUGGCAAUGAGAUUGUGAGCGUGACUAGGUCUAGGGACAAUUGCUAUUGUAUUGAUGGUGUCAAUGAUGAAAAAGAAGUAGUUUGCAAUAAGGUUGUGAAUGAAACAAGUGUCUUGUGGCAUCAAAGGCUUGGACAUGUGAACUUUAGAGACUUGCAUAAAUUGUCCAAGAAAGAGUUAGUGAGUGGAUUACCAAAGCUUGACAAAUCUGAUCAACAUGUUUGUGAAGGAUGUCAAUUGGGGAAGCAAGUUAGAGUGUCUCAUAAGAAGGUCAAACACAUUCAAACACAAGUAAGCCUUGAACUUGUUCACAUGGACAUUGUUGGUCCUAUCCAAACCUUGUCCCUUGGUGGAAAGAAAUAUAUUCUUGUCAUGGUUAAUGAUUUCUCUAGGUUCACUUAAGUCUCAUUCUUACGUGAGAAAUCUGAAACUUUUCUAAGGUUUAAGUCUGUUUGUCAUCUUUUGCAAAAAGAAAAGAUGACUAGUCAUCUGCCUCUUGUUAGAAUUAGAACAGAUCAUGGUUCUGAGUUUGAGAAUUCUCAGUUUCUGAAAUUUUGUGAAGAAAUGGGAAUUAAGCAUGAGUUCUCUGCACCUAUUACACCUCAACAAAAUGGUGUUGUGGAGAGAAAGAAUAGAGUUCUUGUUGAGAUGGCUCGGGUGAUGCUCAAUAGCAACAAUCUUGCUAAACAUUUUUGGGCUGAAGCUGUAAGUACAGCUUGUUAUAUCUCAAACAGGGUAUUUUUGAGGUCUGGUACCAAACAAACUCCCUAUGAGAUUUGAAAAGGAAAGAAGCCUAAUGUGUCAUAUUUUAGAGUCUUUGGUAGCACAUGCUAUAUUUUGAAAGAUAGGGAGCAUCUUCCUAAGUUUGAUUCUAAGUGUGAUAAGGGAAUAUUUCUAGGGUGUUCCACUUUAAGCCGAGCUUAUAGAGUGUACAACUGUAGGACCAGAACCAUCAUUGAGUCCAUAAAUGUCAAAAUUGAUGAUUUUGCUGCCUCUACUGAGAUGGCAUUAGAUGAGAAUGGUCUUUUUUCUCCUCAUCUCGUGCAAGAAUCUCUAGGUCUGGAUCUUGUAGUUGACCUGUCAACUUUCGGAAAUUUUGUCCCAGUUGACCUGUCAACUCCUUCAACCUCUAGUUCCAUCUCAUCUAUCCAAGUUGUCAGCUCCCAUGCUGAUCAUAGCCCUCUCACUCAAACUGAGAGUGUCAUUAUUGGUCCUCUUAAUCAGGGAGUGAGAACUAGGAAAUAAUUAGCUCAAGAAAUUAGUCAUGUGUGUUAUGUCUCAAAAGAAGAACCUAAGAAUGUGAAAGAGGCGUUGAACCAUGGUGAAUGGUUUCUUGCAAUGCAAGAAGAGCUGAAUCAGUUUGUUAGAAAUGAUGUUUGGUACCUUGUUCCCAGACCUACCAAUACAAAUGUUGUAGGUACUAAGUGGAUUUUCAAGAACAAAACUGAUGAGCAAGGUAAUGUUGUUAGAAACAAAGCUAGAUUAGUUGCUCAAGGUUACACUCAAAUGGAAGACAUUGACUUUGAUGAAACUUUUGCCCCUGUUGCAAGACUAGAAUCAGUUAGAUUACUUCUUGCUAUUGUUUGUCACUUAAAAUUCAAACUUUAUCAAAUGGAUGUCAAAACUGCUUUUUUGAAUGGUAUUUUAAAUGAAGAGGUCUAUGUUGAACAACCAAAGGGUUUUGAAGAUCCACAUCAUCCAAAUGAUGUGUUUCAGUUAAAAAAGGCACUCUAUGGUUUGAAACAAGCUCCUAGAGCAUGGUAUGAGAGGUUAUCUUCUCAUCUUCUAAGAAAUGACUAUGUUAGAGGGUCAAUUGACAAAACUUUGUUUGUCAAAAGGUUCAAAAAUGAUGUCUUGAUUGCUCAAGUGUAUGUUGAUGAUAUUAUGGUUGGUUCUACCUCUGACUUGCAUGUUCAAGAGUUUAUUCAUGUCAUGACUAGUGAAUUUGAGAUGAGUCUUGUAGGUGAGCUUAACUAUUUCUUAGGUCUUCAAAUCAAACAAAGCCAUGAUGGGAUCUUUGUAUCUCAAUCGAAAUAUGCAAAAAAUCUUGUGGAAAAGUUUGGUUUUGAGGAUGCAAAAUCUGCAAGAACUCCAAUGAGCACUAGUGCUAAAAUUCAUAGAGACUUGCAUGGCAAAAGUGUGGAUCAAACUCUCUAUAGAAGUAUGAUAGGAAGUCUUCUCUACUUGACUGCUAGUAGACCAGAUAUUUCUUAUAGUGUUGGAGUGUGUGCUCGGUUUCAAAGUGACCCAAAAGAGUCUCACUUGUUUGCUGUUAAGAGAAUCAUAAAAUAUGUGAGUGGGACUGUUGAGUUUGGGUUGUGGUAUACCUAUGACACUUGUGUCAGUCUGGUUGGUUAUAGUGAUGCCGAUUGGGCAGGUUGUAGAAACCCCUCCCGGGGGGGGGGGGGGGGGGGUCUUUUAUGUAGGCAACAACCUUGUUGCUUGGCAUAGCAAAAAACAAAAUUCUGUCUCCUUAUCCACUACUGAAGCAGAGGAUGUUGCAGCUGGGAGUUGCUGCACUCAACUCCUUUGGAUGAGACAAAUGUUGGAAGCUAUGGUCUUGCUCAAUCAUGCUUUCUCAUCUAUUGUGACAACAUGAGUGCCAUAGACAUUUCUAAAAAUCCUGUUCAACACUCUAGGACUAAGCAUAUAGACAUUAGGCAUCAUUUUAUUAGAGAUCUUGUGGAAGAUAAAAUUCUAUCUUUGGAAUUUGUUCCCUUUGAGAAACAGCUAGCAGAUAUACUCACCAAGGCCUUGGACUUUCAGAAACAUGUCACACUUAGGCAGUCCAUUGGCCUUUGCUCAAUUGAUUGAUUAGCUUGUCUGUUCCUUAUCUUCAGCACAUUGCAGAAUUGUUGACUAGUCAUCUUCGUUUUAGUUGACUAGUCAAAUAUUUUUUUGGUGUGUAAAUGUCUAAAACAUAUGCUUCUUCUGAUCUCUGGUGGUAUGAAGUUUGAAUCAUUUUAUGCUUUGCCUGAUUUGUGGAUAAUUCCCCCCUUCUUGUUUGGAGCCAUUAGAUGAAAUCUUUUGGUGUUCUUUCGUCCUCUUGUUGAGACAAGUGUUGUGAUCCAUUAUGGACAAUCAUUGUUAUAAUCUCCUAUCUUUUCUCACUCUCUUAGGCAAUUUGUUUAGCAUUAAACAAAAAAUAAAAAAUAAACAAAAAAUAAAAAAAAUAAAAAAAAGUGUGACCAAUGUAGUCACGACUCUAGGAAGGUAUAAGGUGUUAUGAUUGAAGAAUCUAGAGCAAGAGCCGCAAAAUUGGGCCACUCAAGCACUUAAGUCUAGGAUGUGCAAAUAACAAGGAUAAUAAAUGGCCAGAUUGAGUGAUGAAAAUCAAAUAGGUUGGGUUUAUGCCUUGAGUUUGUCUUGAAGGUUUAUUAUAUACUUGUCUCUCCAAGAGGGGUAUUUCUUCUUCUCUUGUGUUCUUCUUUUGGCUCUGAACCUCCUCUGUCCAUUUUGCCUUAUCUCUGAGCAUGAAAUCUAAUUCAUAUUCUAUCUAUCAGAGUUAGUUGCACUUGUUUUUGUUUGCACAUGUGGUUAUCUUCUCUCUCUCUUCCUUCCUGUGCUUGAAGAUUUGGACUAGGCUAUAGUAGCUAAUAGAUCGUUGAUCACUUGAUAUAUUUGCUAGUUCAUGUUUGUGUUUUUUUUUUAAAAACCCACAAUCUUGUCUUCCACAGGGUCGAUACUAACUUUGAUGCGUGUCAUGAUAUUGCCUUAGUUGACUAGUCAUCUAUGCUUAUGGUUGACUAGUCAUCCGGUUGUGUUAUAUUUGAUGCCCGUCAUGUUAUUGCCUUAGUUGACUAGUCAUCAUUUUUGUGGUUGACUAGUCAUCUAGUUCUGCCUGUUUUUGUUAUUGCCUUGGUUGACUAGUCAUCAUGCUCAUUGUGGUUGACUAGUCAUCAGGUUUUUCUCCUGAACAAUACGUCCUUUUCUUUAGCGGUUAUUCUUAUUAUUUUAUUUUUUUUUCAUUUUUUUUUCUUCUCUUUUUUGUGUUUUGAGCGGUUCUUUUUCAUUGGGGUCAGUUUUCGCAUUUUUUCCUUUUUAGGUCUGUUUCCCUCUUCUUCGUUAGAGUCUACUUUCACUCCCGUUCUCUCUCUGUUCUCUUCAGACACAAACCCAGGCCCCCGCUUCCCUUUCUCCCUCUGUGUUAGUCUCUUCGCCCCUUCUUCCCUCUGUUUUUCUCUUCCAAUUUCUUCCCGCUGACCACCAUGUCGUCCUCCGCGCCCUUCCUCACUUACCAGCGCCGCUCCAAAUCCAAAUCCAAUGACAGAGUGGAUUUUAUACCCUCCAUUCCUAGGGCUCCUAGGACUCGCUCUUCUCACUCUGUUCCCGCUGGAGACUCCUCCCCGUUUGUGUCUCCUGAGGCAGCCUCGUUCUUCGAUGGUGUUGUCUCUAAAAGGAAGUUUGUGCCUGAGAGAGCUUACCAAAUUGAUGCUCCCCCCUUAGCGGCCCAGGGUUCUGCAACUCAGAUUUUUGAGCACUGCCAUCUCCAUUCUCUCAACACUCUGUCUGGUAAGUUCAAUGCUUCUGUCGUUAAAGAGUUUUACUCGAAUUUUCCUGCUGAUCCUAAGGGGUCUAAUUAUCAGUGUGUUGUUCGUUAUGUGCCCAUUACUCUGAGACCCUCUGUCAUUAAUAGGGUUUUAGGUUUUCGGUCUUGCCCUGGUUUUGAUUCUGAUCAGUUUGCUCUUGCCUCUUCUCAAUACACUAUUGAUCUAUUUAAAACCAUGGCCUAUACUGAUCAAACAAUGCCCCUGACUUCUAAAGGUGUUCCUAUGAAGUCUUAUCUGUCACCAUUCUACAAAUUUCUAUGGGAUUUUAUCUGUCACAAUGUUCUCCCAACUAGAAAUAAUUCAAACCCCACUUUGGCUGGCUGUCAACUCAUGAUUUCAAUGGUGAAUCAUGAUAAAAUUCCCUUUGGGGAUAUUCUUUAUCAUGCAAUUCUUGGCAAAACCAUAGGUCAUGGUACAAAACACAAAGGGACUCUUGUCUUCCCAUGUCUUAUCCAGCGUCUCUGUGAGAGAAACCAGGUGGUUUUUCUUGACUCUGAUCAGUGCACUCCUCCUAUUGCUCCAUUUGGCAAGGCUUUUGUUGCCCUUAGCCAAAAAGUUUCAAAAACUUUUCUCACCUCUGUGUCAUCUACUUAUGAAAAUGACUAUCUUAGAUCUCAGCUUGCUACCAAGGAGAAACAUAUUCAACAUCUGUUAAGCCUCAUUCCAUCCUCUUUGGUUCCUGCUGCUGCUGCUGCUGAAGUACAUCCUCAGCCGACUCCUGCCACGGAGGUCUCAGAUGAUUCUGUAGAUUCUGAUGAGUCUGCUGAUUCUCUUGUUUUUUAGCUACAGUGAUCUUGUAGGCAAUGUCCUAGAUAGGGGGAGUAUUUUUGGACAAGUAUAUGUUUGUAAUUCCCUUGUGGAAAUUUGUUUUUGCUUGGGUAGUCUGUGCAUCUUGAUAGGGGGAGUUGUGUUGUAUUAUUUUGAACAAGUGAUUUUUGCUUUGUAAUCAACCUAUGCUAUGUGUUUUUCACUUUGUUCAAAUCUGAUUAUCUGCCUUGUGUUUCAUCCCCUUGUAUGCUGACUCUCUCUCCUUGCACUUUCCUUAUCAACAAGGAGGAGAACACUCUCAACCCCCAUAUUGCAUAUUGUUUCAAAAUUCUGUGAUAUAAUAUGCCUGUUUUUGUGCCUGGAAGAUUGGUUGUUCUUGCAGGUAUCCUCACUUCAUCAUCUCCUUAGGCUUGGUUUUGGGUUGAGUGUUGUUAGAGAGUGUGUUGUCAAGGAAAGCCAAAAAGGGAGAGAUUGUUAAUGUAUGCAUUUUGGGUUUUUCUUUUGGCUUCCCUUGACAACUUUGUAAUAGGAUCUCUAUUGUUAUUUAUCAAGCUCAAGUUUAGAUUGAGAAUAGCUUCUCUAGGUGUUCUUAACUAACAACUAUCAUAUGGAGGUUCAUGCAAAUUGGCAAAGGUAAAUUGUGCAUUGCAUAACAUUGCAUUAUACUGUUUUCAUAAAAUGAUGACUAGUCAUAUGUUUCUUGGAUGACUCGUCAUCCUUGCUCUCCAGCUUGAUAACCAACUUUUUUGUCCUAUUCCUUUUUCUCUCUCUGCUGCCACAUGGGAUUCUGACCUAAGGGUAUUUUUUGGUCUGUAUAGGCCUUGCGAUUCCUCUUUUGGCAAGCCGUCUCUUUUGUGUAGAAUUGGAGGAAAGAUUGGUUUUCUAUAUUUCCGUUCUUCUUCCACAAGAAAGAACAAUAUUUCAUCUAUGAGUUUUUCCAAAUUGAUUUCUUUAUGAAAAAACUGCAUUUGAAAUAUGAAUUUGCAUCUAGCUUCAUAAAAACAUUCUCUCAUUUAUAUCUAGGUCAGAUUCACUACUGAUUUCUUCAAGAGUAUGGUUUCUUGAAGAAAUUGGUUAUUCUCCCUUGAAUCCAAAUUUUGGUUUCUGUUUGAGUUGAGCUUGCAAGCUGGUGCCAUGGGAUGAAUGACUGAAGAAGGAGCUGCCAUUGCCAUGAAGAACUGGGCUUCAAGCUUUGCUAAGUUAGAGAAGAAGAUUGCACAAAGGAGGUAUUGCUCAUCUUCCUAAAUAGAUCUAGGUUUUGCUUGAGCUUGCUUGUGUUCCUUUGUAAGAAUCUUUUUCUACUUAGUUGAUUGCCUGGUCGGUUGAUGACCCCCAGUUUUUUCCCAAUGGUGGGUUUCUGGGUGAACAAUUUCUGAUUGCAUUCUUGUAAUUUUUCUGGGUUUGUGUUCUUGGUGGUCGACUAGUCAUCGUAUGAAUUAUGGUUGACUAGUCAUCAUUAUCUGCUGUUUGGUGUUUGCUUGAUUAUGCUGUCUUCACACGUUUUCACCAUAGUUGUUGCUAGCACAGGGGAUGCCUAGAUUGAUGGGUCUUUCUGAGUGCCUAGGUUGUCACUAGUAAUUCUCUAGGCCUGCAGGUACAUCAUGGUAUGUUCUAUGUAUGUUGUUGUUUGGUAUAAUUCAUAUCUGACAGUUGACUAGUCAUAAGAGUGUGUGAAGUUUGUUGCAUUUUUGGCUGAAUAUCUUUUAAGUUUACCCAUCGUCACCUAAGUACCGAUUUCAACAUGAGACCUUGCCACAGUAGAUUGAUAUAACUAAAUAUUAUCAUAAACAUAGAAAUAUAUAAGUAUUAUUAUAAUAGGAUUCAUAAUAAUUAAUAUAAAAGUAUAACAACAACAUUUACAAUUAUGUACCAAGAUAAUUACACAUAAAAAUAUAACCAAUAUAUAUUUAUAUAUAUUUUUUAAAAUACGGAUCUUUACGUAAAUGCCUUUCACGGGUCAAGCCACAAGUCUGUGUUUUGGGGAUUGCAGAGCUGCAUCAAUCUUGCCAAUGUCAAUUCUGACCCUGGGCUCUCUCAAAGCACGUUUAAAACCUAUGCUAACAUAUACUAGAGUUUAUGCUGUAUCUAGAAAAUGCCAACACUAAUUUCGUAACACAUAGAAUUGUUAGAGAUUAGAAGUUUUUAUCAUUUUUUCUUCCAGUCUCUCCACCACUCACUAAUACAGAUUACUCAUGUGAUGAGUUUACAAAACCUAUUUCUCUACUCUCGCAAAGACUAUACUUCUUCUCAAAAGACUAGAUCACUUUACCUCUAUCUCUGUGAAAUGUAAAAAGUUGAAACUUUAAUGUCAAACCUCGACAAAGUGUUCUACUUACAAACUUCUUGUGUCUACCAAUUUCUACAAAAAUUAAUUUCUCUACGGUGCUCAGAUUCAUCAUAUGUGUGUCCUUAAUUUUAGUGGAAAUUGGAAGUUUCCAUAAUUUUUGCUUUAAGUCACUCUUUUGAAGGAAGUUGAGAUUCCACUCCAUAAUCCAAAAUGUCAGGUUGACUUAUGGCAAACAAUGUAAAUAUGUAGGAGUACUAUGACCUUUUAUAGCAUUUUAAGUUUGAAUUUGGGUUUUAUACAUAGAUUUCGAAAUUAAUAGGUUGAUGCCUAGGAAAUAGAAAUUGUAAGGGCCUAUAUUAGACUAGCCCUCUUAAAAAAUAUAUUAAUUAAUGAAUAUUUGUUCUUCUUCUUGUUUUGAAGUAGUGGUGGGAGGCAGACCAACAACAAAAAUAUAGUGAAGGCUUAUAAGAGCAUUUACAAUUAUGCUCCCUAUUUUUUAGUUAAUAUUUAGGUAAAAAUAGAAAAAAGUUAUUAUAUGAGCUCUUUAUAAAAUUUGAACUCCAAUCAUACUCCCUAGUUUAGGGAGUCAAAAAUACUAUAGUUAUUUUUUAAUUCAAAUUGAUUUUGGUUAAUCUCUAUAAAUAAAUAAAAAUAUAAAAAAUAGUUAGCAUUAAUUAAAAGUUUAAACUAUGCAUAAAACAAAGAAACAUUAAAUUAUAGGGAGCCACUAUGAGUCAUUACUCUCUCUUCAGAUUUAGGAGCUCCUAGAGGUCUCCCUAUUUUAUGAGGUGGAUAAAGAGCAUGGUUGGAGUUGUAUUUCUUCAAUUUCCUCUCUAAAAUUUGUCUAAGGAUGUGGUUUAGGGAGCCCAUUGUGAAUGCUCUAACUCUGGUAAAACACGAGUGACAUGGACAACAUAUGUUACAUCGUACUGAAGAUUUUUGGGUUUCUUUAAUUGGUUAAGUAGCAUCCACAAUGAGCUUUCUAAAUCAUCUCCUUAGACAAAUUUUAGGGAGGAAUUGGAAAAGUACAACUCCAACUAUGCUCCCUAUCCACCAACUAAAAUAGAGAGACCUUUAGGAGCUCAUAAAUCUGAUGAGAGAGAAAGAACUCUUAAUGACCCCCUAUAAUUUAAUGUUGCUUUAUUUUAUGCAUAUUUUGAACUUUUAAUUAAAUCAAAUUAUUAUUUUUAUAUUAUUUUGAAUACAGCCGGAUCAAUUAUAUUAAAUUAAAAAAUAAUUAAAAUAUUUAUAACUCUCUAAACUAGAAAGCAUGAUUGUAGAUCAUCUUAUAUACCUUAAUUUGAAGAUUCUUUAUUUGGGUUUCUUUCAAGACUUAUCACCUUAGCCACACCACCUACACGUCUGCAAGCUUCCGUAAUCUAACAAGGAAGGGGAGGCUGCGCAAUACUUAUCACCUUAGCCACACCACCUACACCACAAGACCAAUAUGUGUAGUCCAGCAGGCUUUCCAAUUUUAAUAUAUAUUAUAAAAUAAAAUAAAAAUCAAUCUAUUAUCAUAUAUAUUAUAAAAUAAAGAUUAUUGCUCCAUCCUCCAUGCACUUGCAUGCCCUCUUACAAAGUGUGAAGUAGAUUUUGUGUGCUCCAAGUCAUUGACGAGAGCUGUAACAUGGUUAGCUGGAUUUAUAAGAUCUUUUCUUUUCUGGGAAUUUUCUGAAUUAAGAAAAAUCAAGUAAAAUUAAUAAAGCAUAAAUUAGAAAGGGAAAAUAUCUAGAGGAUGCAUUGUAGGAUUGCACAUGCCAAUAAUUGUAUCCUCUAAAUAUAUAGCGACACAUUUUUUUUGUUUUCAUGACUUGUGGUCCUAAAAUUAUUGUUCCUAGCGGGCUUUUCACCCUCUCUCGAUUGAAAAUCAAUUGUGUAAAUCUUCAAUCUUGAAUGAUGCACCUAAAACUCAAGUGUCCCAGGCCAAUUAUUGCUCUCAUACCACUUGUUGUAAUAAACAUUCACCCAUUCUAAAGGAAAGAUAACCAUCGAUAUUAUCUGAAAUUUAACCACUUAAGUUCAUUAUGAUUAACUAUGUAUCUUAUGGACCAAUCCAAUCGUAAGGUUUUAUACUCAAUUAGAUCGACCAAUACAAAGUUCACACUGGAUUAAAAAGGGCUAUCGGUAGGGGAGUGUUCGGCACCCUUUACUGUGGAGCGCAACACAAGACCCCUUGCAUGCCCUCACUAAGUUGAGCCCAACUAUUUUUGAGCAUUAACAAUAUAUAUAGAUUGAAAAAAUAAAAUAAAAAUCAAUCUAUUAUCAUAUAUAUUAUAAAAUACAUAUUAUUGCUCCAUCCUCCAUACACUUGCAUGCCCUCUUACAAAGUGUGAAGUAGAUUUUUUGUGCUCCAACUCAUUGACUAGGGCUGAAACAUGGUUAGUUGGAUUUAUAAGAUCUUUUGUUUUUUGGGAAUUUUCUGAAGCACGGAAAAUCAAAUAAAAUUAAUAAAGCAGAAACUGUACCCUUUAAUUAUAUAUGGACAUAUGUUUUUUUGUUUUCAAGUCUUAGAUGACAUGGGGACCCCUCUCAAAUUUAAGUGGUCCAUUAUUGUUAACCACAUAUUUUAUGGACCAUCCAGCUUCGGUACAUUUCUCCCACAUGCCACAAUUGUAUAUUCACAAUUACGUCUGAUACAUCACAUCAUGCCACUUGCCUCACAUGCCACAAUUGUAUAUUCACAAUUACUUCUGGGUACCCCUCAUCAGUCGUCUAUAAAAUGGUGAAGCCAGUUGCUACUGUUACCAUAAGAGCCAGCUCCGACUUUCUUUAAUUUCUUGCUACAUCUGUUGCUAAGUUAAUUUCAGUCCUAAUGGGGUUUCAUCUCCCACUCAUCUUUGCUAUUCUCAGUGUAAGCUCUGCAAUUUGAUUAACUUUUCCAUUCUCUCUCAUUGUACUCUAUAUAUAUAAAUGAAAGUUUUGUGUUCCUAUAAUUCUCUCCGAUUUUAUUUAGUACGUACUUAAGUGUCGUCCACUAAUUAAUUACACUUUGUGAGAUUUGAUUUUAAUUAGAGUUCGAAUUAAUGUUGCAGCUAGCAGCGGUUGCACUGGCAAACAAUGCUGCUCAACCAGCACCUCAACUUUACUGGAACUCCGUCCUGCCAAACACACAGAUGCCAAGAUCUAUCAGUGAACUUCUGCAUCCUGGUUUGUGUUCAGCUCUUUAUAAUCUUAGAUAUCUCUUCUACCUGCCAUUUUACUAAACUAUGUUCGACCACAUAUUUAUCAGUUAACUACUGUCAUUACAAGAAUGACACUUAUUUUCCAAUAUAAUUUGCAGACUCCACAAAUGAAGAAAAGAGCAAACCUGAAAUUUUCCCAUUGCAGGGCAAUAGAGUUUACACUCAAAGCCAUUAUAAAAAACGUCCUCCUCCUCCAUCUGACGAGGGCAAACCUGAAAAUUUCCCAUUGGCCAAUAGCUUUUACACUCAAACCCAUUAUAAAAAACGUCCUCCUCCUCCAUCUGACGAGGGCAAACCUGAAAAUUUCCCAUUGGGCAAUAGCCAUUAUUCUCAAACAGGGUAUGCAAAAGGUCCUCCUCCUCCUCCUAAAAUUUUCCCAUUUUCAGGUUACAGUCGAAAAAGGUAUGGAGGAAGUCCUCCUCCUCCUUCUCCAUUCGUUCAAAAAGACUAUGGACAGAACGAUAAACAUUACGUUCAAAAAAACUAUGGAAAAGUUCCUCCUCCACCUGACAAUCAACUACUCCAUUAUAAAGACUUGGCUAUUUUCUUCUUCGAGAAGGACAUGCGCCCUGGCGCAACAAUGAAGUUCCAAUUCCCUAGAAAUUCAAACACGGCUACUUUCCUGCCACGCGAAAGUGCUCAAUCGAUCCCCUUCUCCUCUAAGAAACUACCAGAAAUUUUCAACCAUUUUUCAGUGAAGCCAACAUCUGAGGAAGCCAAAACAAUUAAGCAAACAAUCGAAGAGUGUGAAGCUCCAGGCCUUAAGGGAGAGGAAAAAUAUUGCGCCACAUCUUUAGAAUCAAUGGUUGAUUUUAGCACUUCGAAGCUUGGAACAAGAAACGUUGAAGCAAUCUCAACGGAGGUAUUGGAAGAAGGAGCCACCAAGUACAUGCACAACUAUACAACAAUGCCGGGACUGAAGAAGUUGGAAGGUGACAAAGUCGUUGUGUGUCAUAAGGAGAACUAUCCCUAUGCUGUGUUUUUCUGCCAUGCAAUAAAACAAACAGCAGCUUAUGUUCUCUCCCUGAAAGCCGAUGAUGGGAUGAAGGUGAAAGCAGUAACCAUCUGCCAUCUAGACACAUCAGAAUGGGACCCAGAGCAUUUGUCCUUCCAAAUCCUCAACGUUAAGCCCGGAACCACUCCCAUCUGCCAUUUCCUUUCCACUGAUGCUAUUGCCUGGGUUCCAAAACACAAGUCUGCAUGAUCAUCACUUAGCACUGUACGUAUAAUAAGCUUGGUCGGGUUGCACCCUAGGCCUGCAUAAUUAUCUCCCUACUUAUUUCUGCCUCUUUAUCAUGCGGUGUAAGAUAUAUGAUGAGAUGAAGUUUUCUCUUGUAACUAUGUAGACUACUUCAACUUGUACUCAUAAUAAAGCACGCUGUUGGGGGGUUCUACUUAAUUUCGUUCUCUCCAAUGUUUGAGUGUUGAAUUGUUACGUUGGAAUAGGCUGCUAAUGCAUGUAGUUAGAGAAGCCUUCAUUUAUAUCAAAGUCCUCAAACUAUCAAGAAUUAAUGUAUCCAGAAACAUAUACCAAGACGCAAAAUGUCACAUCCCGGAAUCAGCUACUUCCCAGUGGGUCACCCAUCCUGGGAUUGCUCUAGCCCCCAACUCGCUUAACUUCGGAGUUCCUACGAUUCCGAAGCCAGUGAGCUCCCAAAAGGCCUCGUGCUAGAUGGAUGCGGGUGUGCACAUAUAAGGCACAAUACCCCCUCUCCGUUGGUUUGAUGUGGGAUCUUACAAUCCACCCCCCUUAAGGGUCCGACGUCCCCGUCGAUACACUCGCACCACACGGCAGAGUGGCUCUGAUACCAAAUUGUCACAUCCCGGGAUCAGCUCCGCCGUAGCACGAUAUUGUCCGCUUUGGGCCCCCCUCUCUGCCCUCACGGUUUUGUUUCUGGGAGCUCACGAGCAACUUCCCAGUGGGUCACCCAUCCUGGGAUUGCUCUAGCCCCCAACUCGCUUAACUUCGUAGUUCCUACGAUUCCGAAGCCAGUGAGCUCCCAAAAGGCCUCGUGCUAGAUGGAUACGGGUGUGCACAUAUAAGGCACAAUACCCCCUCUCCGUUGGUUUGAUGUGGGAUCUUACACAAAACAACAUAUUUUCCAUUCUCUGUCUGUAACACCAAGGCAAACUUCCUUUAUCACAUCAUUUAAAGGAUCAAAUUCCAGUACUAAUCUAAUCCAUCAUGUAAAGCAUACAAGUGCCUACCUAAAUUUGUCCAUUGGAUAUAUAUGUCACUUCUUAUUUUUUGAUAGAGAUAUAAAUGUUGAGAAAAUUAGAGUACACAACUCCAAUAUAGACUUGUUAGAGACAAAACAAGUAAACAAAUUCCUUGUAUUAGACUCACAAAAUAUUAAAACAAGACAACUCUCAAAGAAAAGACAAACUCUCACACUUCUCACAAGGACUACUUAACUUUAUAGCUUAUUGCAUAUAGCAUAUGCAAACACAAUUACAACAUACCUACGUACACUAUGGAAACACUCGUGUAUAUUUGAACACAAGAAAACAUGUGCACCGUGCACGGUUCACAUGAAGUAAGAAAUGAAGAGGAAAUAAAGGAGAAGAAUACAAAAGAAAAUGGAGAUGAGAAAAAAAAAACACGAAUAAUGAAAAAUGAAUUGACAAUUAUAUGUGGUUGACAUUAGAUCUAAUAUUAUAUGUAACAACUAUUGAUCUAAAAUAAACAUUAAAUCAAACAAUAAUUAAAAGAUUUGACAAUAUAAAAAUUUAUUGAGGACAAAAAAAGGCAAAAACUUAUGAAAAAUGGAAACAAUAAAUAUGAACUGAGUCAUCAACUCAUCAUGGUAAGUUUGCUGACGUAUAAAAAUAGUCAAUGAACUACAUCGAAAAGUAAUUGGCUUACAUCAAAAAUUAAAAUCACGUGGUCUACCUACUAUAUAGGAUGAAAAAAUUACGUGAACAAUAUACUUACACCAUGGGAACACUCCUAUAUAUUUGAACACAUGAACACGUGUUCAAGGUUAUAUAUUUCAUUACCUUCACAAUAGGUACCAAACCGUACCAUGCGAACAUUCAUAUACGCACAACAUACUUAUAACAUACCUACACUAUGGGAACACUCGUGUAUAUUUGAACACAAGAAGACCUGUGCACCACCGUGCACGGUUCACAUGAAGUAAGAAGAUGAAGAGGAAAUAAAGAAGAAGAAUACAAAAGAAAAUGGAGAUGAGAAGAAGAAAAAAAAAACACGAAUAAUGAAAAAUGAAUUGACAAUUAUAUAUGGUUGACAUUAGAUCUAAUAUUAUAUGUAAUAACUAAUGACCUAAAAUAAACAUUAAAUCAAACAAUAAUUAAAAGAUUUGACAAUAUAAAAAUUUACACGUAAGCAAACUCACCAUGGUAAGUUUGCUGACGUGUAAAAAUAGUCAAUGGACUACAUCGAAAAAUAAUUGGCUUACAUCAAAAAUUAAAAUCACGUGGGUUAUUCCUAAGAAACCUUAAUAUUUUUGGGUUUAUAUAUUUUUUGUAUUUUUUUAAAAUAAAAAAAAGAAAAGAAAUCUGACCAUGUAUGUAUGAUGAUGAUAUGCAUGUUAUUUUUAGACCUAAGGUAAAACAGACAAACUUUUUACUCCAUUUUUCAUGAGGUUUAUCACAAUAAUUAAACUGUUAUAUCCUCCAUUUUAGAUCUCAUGCUUCCAUUUAAAGAAAAGAAUAUCAACAACAAAAAAAAGAAUAAAGUUACAACAUUGAUCAAUUCAAAUGUCCAACUACCGGAUCAUGAGCUCCUGCACUUAGCGAUAUGCAGAUAAAUGCGUAGUGUCUUAAUGCAGAGGCUCGGGAUCCCCAACUACCAUUGAAACAUAAGAAACUAAAAUCUGCAAGAAAAUGCUAUCAAUUGAAAAAACAAUAAUUAAAAAACAAAAAAAGGAAGGGAAUUCGCACCGCUAUGCAAAAAAGAGCAAGUCGGUUCAAUGAUUUUUUUUCUUCUUCUUUUUGUUAUGGAAAUGAAAAGCUCAAUGAUGGGCUAUAUAUAGGAAGAAGCUCAAUGAUUGAAUUAUUAUCUUCUAUCUACAUUCUACCCUCUUCCUCGCUACAUACACAAAUGGUGCACACCAGUAACUAAGCUUGUUUUGGGUUCGGUGGCUCACUGUAAAAGCUCAAUGGAGAUGGUUUGAGGUAGAAUUUUCUCCUAUUUCAAUAGGACAAUGAUGAGCUCUAUGGAUUUUUUUUGUUUGUUUAUAGAAAUUAAAUGGUAUAGGGUCUAUCUAUAUUAUUAAUGCUAAGAAUGAGAAUAUGACUAAAUAACUCAAAAAAAAUUUAUAAUAAAUCAACAAUUUUUUUUUUUUAAAAAAAAAUCUAUAGAAUCUUUUAUUAGAUCAAUAGGCACCACUAGAAAAUCUCCAUAUAAGCCACUACUAAUACACCCGUGACUACUGACAAACCCGUAGCCAAAGAGUAUUGGCCACCUGCCACACGACAGUGGUCCAAGCAUAAUGUUGUCAUUCAUUAUUCCCCACAGCAACCAGCAUCCAAUAAAGGGUUGGGGCCCACCCAUAUUCCACCUCUCUUUAUGAAUAUAAAAGAAAUAUUUUUUAUUCAACAUGGACGCAGAAACUGUUGCUAAACUGCAAACUUCUUAAAAUAUUUAUCUAACUUUCUAGAUCCAUGUACUGAGAUUUAUUAGGGAAAUAUUGUAGAAACUGAUUAUUUUGAAAUAUUAAAUGUGAAAAACUGAACAAAAAUUUGAUGGGUUACAUAUUUCAACUCAUUUCAGCAGCUUAGAUUUUGAAGACCUCGGAAGAGGCUAUGCAAUGAGCCUAGCUAGUGCACUGUUGAUCACUUCAGUGUCUACCGAUCUGUAAUUUUUCCAGAUUGGUUAUAUUUUCCUUUACAUAUUCUUAUAUUACCGAUCACUUCAGUGUCUACCGAUCUCAUAUUUCUGGCAGAACAAUAAAUCUUUCAACAUUAAAAGUUUAAAACUCCAAGAUGCUAAAUUUAACGUUAAAAUAAAUAAUUAAAAGGGCUAAUGAAACCUAUAUGCCCAGGUGAGGAGCAUGCCACAAACUUAUUUCAACCCCAAAACUUCAUUAAAAAGCCCAAAACACUCAAUGAGGCAUCUAAGUAAUUUAAUAAUUAAAAUUAAAUUCAAUAUGACCAGCUAUCAUUUUUUGGGUUUUUUUUUGUUUGUUUCUAGAAAUUAAAUAGUAUAGGAUUUAUUUAUAGUUUUAGUGCUAAAAAUGGGUAUAUGACUAAAUAUCUCUAUAAAAAAAAUACCUAUAUGUUUGAGAAACAAAAUAAUAAAACUACAACAUAGGUUAAAAACAUUCUAAUAAACUCAAUACAUAUGGUCUACGUACUAUACAGGAUGAAAAAAUUACAUGAACAAUAUACCUACACCAUGGGAACACUCCUGUAUAUUUGAACACAUAAACACGUGUUCAAGGUUAUAUAUUUCAUUACCUUCACAGUAUUCAUCAAAACCCACCAUGGGAACAUUCAUAUACACACAACAUAACAUACCUACACUGUAGGAACACUCGUGUAUAUUUGAACACAAGAAGACAUGUGCACGGUUGAUGUGAAGUAAGAAGAUGAAGAGGAAAUAAAGAAGAAUAAUACAACAGAAAAUGGAGAUGAGAAAAAAAACACGAAUAAUAAAAAAUGAAUUGACAAUUAUAGAUAGUAGACAUUAGAUCUAAUAUUAAAUGUAAUAACUUUUGAUCUAAAAUAAACAUUAAAUCAAACAAUAAUUAAAAGUUUUGACAAUGUAAAAAGUUAUUGAGGACUAAAAAAGGCAAAAACAUUUGAAAAAUGGAAACAAUAAAUAUGAGCUGAGUCAUCAGCUCACUAUGGUAAGUUUGCUGACGUGUAAAAAUAGUCAAUGGGUUAGAUUAUUAUUUGUGGGUAACUAAAAUCUCGUUUAACAACAAUAGUUAACGUUUGUUUAGAGAAGGAAAAAAACUUGAUGAUGUGUCAUGUUCUAAAGGGUUAGAUUAUUGUAAUGGCUUAGAUUUAAUGAAAUACAGGUAAAUGCGUAAUGUCCAAAUGUAGAGGCUCGGAAUCCUCAUCUACCAUUGAAACAUAAGAAACUAAAAUUUUCAAGAAAAUGCUAUCAACUGAAAAAACAAAAAACAAAAAACAAAAAGGGAAGGGAAUUUGCACCUGCUAUGAUGGGUUGAAUGAUUUUUUCUUCUUCUUCUUCUUUUUCUUUUUCUUUUUGGUUCUUUAGAUCUAGUUGCACAUUCCAAAGAAAUAAAACCUCAGGCAUGCAUGCAAUGCAAGCUCUUUUCCCAUGUUUUCCUCUGUUUUCCUCCUAUUUUCCCAUGCAAACUCUUUUCUUAUAUGGAAGUGAUUAAAGUGUGAUUCAUUGAAUAUUUGCGGGGUUUUGUUCAGACCUAACAAAGUUCUAAGUGAGCACAUCAAAUUUCUUUUACCCAAUCAAAUUCAACUAGGUUUAUUCUACGACCUUAUGCUCGAUCAUUUUCCACAAGCAACCGUCCACGUACCAAGUAUUUAUUUUAUAUCAACGAGUACGAUGGUCCAUGUAAGUAUUCUAAUAAUUCACUCCAGUUGCAGGCCCCAAUAAUAUAGAAGGGCCAAUGGUCUUUCAUUUGAUGAAAGCUGCUAUCUACUGAUAACAAAGUUCAAUGAAGACGUAGGAAGAAACUUUGAGAAGAAGCUUGCAAUUUCUUUUAUUGAUUUUCUCUCUUUUUCGAUCUACUUCACAAUGAACAGUAUCUAAUAUUUAUAUGACAGAAGCACUUAGCUUCUCAGCUACGACUUAACAAACACGUGAACCCACGUGAACUUCUAACUAACUAAACGCAUUAUAUACAUGUCUUUUGCCAAUCAUCCCCCCUCAAUCGCAGUGGUGGCUGGACCAACACUAAGAUUGUGACAGUGUUUCAAAAACAAUGGACUAUGCAGGCCCUUUGUGAAAAUGUCGGCAACUUGUUCUUCAGUAUUGACAUAUCGAACCACCAAAUCAUGACGCUGAACCCGUUCUCUGAUAAAGUGAAAAUCAAGUUCUAAAUGCUUUAUGCGAGAGUUUAAAACUGGAUUACUACUUAAGGCCAAUGCUGAUAAAUUGUCACUAUGUAAGACUGGAGCUUCAGGAACAAUAAUAUGUAAGUCUUGAAGAACAUAUCUGAUCCAAGAGAUAUCAGCAGCACAGUUGGCAAGAGCUCGAUACUCUGCCUCUGUAGAACUACGAGAGACAGAAGAUUGCUUACGAGAGGACCAAGAGAUAGGAUUCUGUCCAAGAAAUACAACGUACCCUGUAGUAGAGCGACGAGUAUUGGGAUCCCCAGCCCAAUCUGCGUCACUAUAGCCAACCAAAACAGAAGAACCAGAUGUAAAUGUCAAACCAUAAGAUAAAGUGCAUUGCACAUAUCUCAGUAUACGCUUAACUAAAGUCAUAUGAAUAUCAGUAGGAGCAGUCAUAAACUGGCAUACGGUGUUCACAGCAUAUGCCAGAUCUGGGCGUGUGAAUGUGAGGUAUUGAAGAGCUCCAACCAAGCUGCGAAACAUUGUAGGAUCAGGAAGUAAUGUACCAUCAGUUGUCAGAACAUGACAAUGAGGUUUACAAGGUGUAAUUGAUGGUUUACAAGUUUCCAUGCCAGCUCUCCUAAGUAAAUCACGAGCAUAUUUAGCUUGGUUGACAAACAAAUCACCAUUGGACUGAUAAGAAACCUCCAAGCCCAAGAAAUAAGUAAGCUGGCCAAUAUCUUUCAUAUCAAACACUUGUCCCAAAUCAUCAAUCACAGAUUGCGCUAGGGUAGAACUUGACCCCGUGAUGAUAAUGUCAUCCACAUACAGCAAAAGAAUAACCACAUUAAGACCAUCAUGCUUCACAAAGAGACUAGGAUCGGAGUGUGAAGAAACAAAGCCCAAAGCUGGAAGAUAUCCAGUGAACUUGGCAUUCCAAGCACGUGGUGCCUGUUUAAGACCGUAAAGAGACUUUCGUAGCCGACAUACAUAAUCUGGAUAAUGAUCAUCAAUGAAUCCCAAAGGCUGUUUCAUGUACACUUCCUCCUGUAGGUCACCAUGAAGAAAGGCGUUUUUAACGUCCAAUUGGCGCAAACACCAUCUAUGAGAUGCAACCAAACUUAAAAUCAAUCGAACUGUGGUAUGACGAACUACAAGACUAAAGGUUUCGUCAAAAUCUAUACCUUGUUCUUGACUAAAACCUUGUGCAACUAAACGAGCUUUAUAUCGAGCAAUACGUCCAUCAGCAUGUCUUUUAAUUUUGUAAAUCCAACGACAACCAACAAUAUUCUUAUCAGAGGGUGAAGGAACUAAAUUCCAUGUACCUUGAGUUUGUAAUGCUUUAAUUUCCUCUGUCAUAGCCUGCUGCCACUCAGACUUUGUACUAGCUUCUCGAAAAGUAUGAGGCUUAUCAAGAGCAGUAAUUGUAGAUAAACAAGUGGAAAAACAUUGAAAAUCACCAAAAUCUUUCUUCUUGCUAAUACCACUUUUAAGACGAGUUUGCAUAGAAUGACCAUGCUGUGGAAUGGAAAUAUGAGAAGAAGAACUAGAGGCAUCUGUGACAGAGAGAGGAAGCAAAACCUGUAAUUGAGCAGGAUCCAAAAUAGGUUGCAUAGUCUGAGCAGAACCUAAGACCUCUUGAGCCUCAUAUGUAGAUACUGAAGAAGAUGAAUUCUCAUUUGAACAUGGGAGAGGAGAGUGAUCAGACUCUGUGGUAGUAACAUAUCUAUAAGGCAAUGAAACUGCUAUAGCUGAGGGAGACAAUUGUGUCAUGACAGAAGAAGAUUAGGUUGAGGAUACUGAAUAAUUCUUCAUUGGAAACUGAGUUUCAUCAUAAAUCACAUGUCUUGAAAUAACCACUUUAUGAGUGUCAGGAUGAAAACAAAUAACACCCUUAUAACCAAGAGAAUAUCCAAGGAACACAUGCUCUGCUGAUCGUGGCUCUAACUUGUGAGAAUUAUAGGGUCGAAGAAGUGGAUAUACUGCAGAUCCAAAAACCUUUAAUGAUUGAAGCUCAGGAUUAUGACCAAACAAUUUGAAGUAUGGAGAUGUCAUUUGAAGAAGCUGACAAGGCAUACGAUUUAUGAGAAAGGUAGCAUGAGCUGCAGCAUAGUACCAAAACUUGUCAUUCAAGGCAGCAGUAGCAAGUAAUGUAAUUGUGGUUUCAAUAAUUUGCCUAUUCUUCCUCUCAGCAACCCCAUUUUGCUGAGGGGUAUAAGGACAUGAAAUCUGAUAGAAGCCAAGAAAUCUUUAAAUGCUUUACUAUUAUACUCCCCACCACCAUCAGAUUGAAAAUAUUGCACAGAAGCUUGAAAGUUCUUAGUAAUAUACGCAUGAAAUUUCACAAGUGUGGGAAAAACCUCAGAUUUAUUGAUUAAUGGAAAAAUCCAGAGAAAUCGAGUACAGUCAUCGAUGAUUGACACAUAAUGUCUUUUCCCAUGUUUUCCUCUGUUUUCCUCCUAUUUUCCCAUGCAAACUCUUUUCUUAUAUGGAAGUGAUUAAAGUGUGAUUCAUUGAAUAUUUGCGGGGUUUUGUUCAGACCUAACAAAGUUCUAAGUGAGCACAUCAAAUUUCUUUUACACCAUCAAAUUCAACUAGGUUUAUUCUACAACCUUAUGCUCGAUCAUUUUCCACAAGCAACCGUCCACGUACCAAGUAUUUAUUUUAUAUCAACGAGUACGAUGGUCCAUUCUAAUAAUUCACUCCAGUUGCAGGCCCCAAUAAUUUAGAAGGGCCGAUGGUCUUUCAUUUGAUGAAAGCUGCUAUCUACCAACCCUGCAAUAUGAGCUAUGCAAUGGUGAUGGUGUUACAUGACGUCAGAAUGUCGUAGGGAAAAUAAAAAAUAAAAAGUCAAGGUUUCUUAUUAAUGUUAAUAAAGGCAUAGCAAAAAAUUUGUAGCUCCAAUUGUUCAAAGCAAUUACCCAUGCACUUGAGAUUCUGUGUUUGAAUCUCCAAUUUUCUCUAAUAUUGUUUGUAUAAAAAUAAAAACUUUUGAAAAGACAUUAAUAUUGUAUUCUAUAUUCUAUAAAGUGUUGGACAUGUUUUAUAUUGUUGACAACCCCCUAAUACUUUGGUGGUGCCUAGUUAUAUUCAAUUCGUAUUUAUUUAAUUUGCCACUUACAUUCUUGCCUUAAUACAUCUAGGCUUAUUUUUAUACUAAUUUCUCUAACAUAACUUUUGCACAUUCUUUUAGUCUCUAAUAUAUAUAUUCUAAUAAAUGAUCUUACCCACUUGAGUUAUAAAUCUUUUUUUUUUAAUCAUGAAAAAUCGACAUUUUGACAGUGAGUUGAAAAGCACUCCCCAAUUUUAAUGUCAACCACUUGAAAAAAAAAACAUAAAUUUAAUGACAACAAUUACAUUUAGCAAUGCAACCUAAAUACUCAAAACCUUUGCGCCCCUUUUGCAACGCAUAUAGCAGGGUGAGGAUAUUGCCAAAGGAACUGCGAUAGCCAAUUAAAAAAAAAAGUAAUGAAGGCUUAUAACUCUGGGUUAAGAGAUUGGUCGUGGAGAAUUUACAUAAUUGGAGAAUGUACCAUCCCACAUCGACCAACGGAGAGAUGGUGAUGUGCCUCAUAUGUACAUGCCCACCUCCAUCUAGCACGAGGCCUUUUAGGAGCUCACUGCAUUCAGAGUCAUUGGAACUCCGAAGUUAAGCAAGUUUAAACUAGAGCAAUCCCAGGAGUGGUAAUCCACUGGGAAGUUACUCGUGAGUUCCUAGAAACAAAACCGUGAGGGCAAGGGGCCGAAAGCAGACAAUAUCGUGCUAUGCCCACCUCUAUCUAGCACGAGGCCUUUUGGAAGCUCACUGGCUUCGGAGUCAUGGGAACUCUGAAGUUAAGCGAGUUUGGGCUAGACCAAUCCCAGGAUUGGUGACCCAUUGGGAAGUUGCUCGUGAGUUCCCAGAAACAAAAUCGUGAGUGCAGGGAGCCCAAAGCCUACAAUAACGUGCUAUGGCGAAGCCGAUUCGGGGUAUGACAGAGAAUAUUCAAAUAUUCAAAAUAUUUAUUUCUUUGGAGUGGAGAUUUCAGCUUGAAGACCAACAAUCAAUGAUCAUGAUUUUAAUCCAAGAAGGCAUAAAUUCAACGACAAAUUUUUGUCAACCCGGGGAGAAUGAUGCAGAUAAAAAGCCAUUAAAGUUUAUGGGGCAUUUGAAUCAAAAGCAUUAAUAAGUUCAAUGCAUGAACGUUUUGUUUUGGCUUCUAAUAAAUUCUAUGUAUUUGGAAUGGAAUAGCUAGAGUCGUAAUUAUUUGGAUGGGGCUUAAUGUAUUUGGAUUAAUAGGUUAAUUAAUUUAGGUGCUAGUUCAAUGUGUGCGGUGAGAGAUUAAGUCUUUAAAUACUUGUAUGCUCAUAUUUCUCAAAGGAGUGGUUGUUGAUAAUUGAAAUUGAAAACAAAGAGAAUGUUCUCUCAUCUUUGCUCAUAAUCUGGAUAUUCUUAGAAUUAACGGGUUUGAGUAUUUUAUUCUAUCUUUUAUGCCAAGUUUCGGGUAUUCUUAGACUAAACGGGGCUUGGUGGUUCGUGGUUCGUGUUUUCCAAUAUCCUUGCUCUUUCCAACAUCCUUGCUCGAGUGCCGCUGCACUAGUUGGUAUCAGAGCGGGAUUCAAUUGCAAAACUGAAAUCCUGUGGAGGAACUGCACCCUAGUUGUGUAGUUAGUCAAAUCUACAUCAGCUGUUAUUAGAAAUGGUUAGUGGUGAUCAUACAUUUGAUCAUUUAUUAGAUUUGGAUCUCCCUCCAGUAUUUGAUCAAUGUUCAGAUGGUUCUUGCGAGAUUUGUUGUGAUUAACAUUUUAUAGUGGAAUGCAUUGAAGAAGUCGUGGAAAAUUAUGUCAACCUUCAUAUUGCAAAUGUCGAUGAUUCCAUCGCUUUAUUCAACUCUCAUGAUACUUUCGAAGUUGUUGAAUAUAUUGAUUUCACGGGGGUUGAAAAUUUCAGUCAUCGUAGUGCAACCACUUUGGUUGAUACCAUAAUUCAUAAUAUCUGGGUUAAGAGAUUGGCAGUGGAGAAUUUACACAAAUGGAGAAUAUUCAAAUAUUCAAAAUAUUUAUUUCUUUGGAGUGGGAGAUUUCAGUUUGAAGACCAACAAUCAAUGAUCAUGAUUUUAAUACAAGAAGGCAUAAAUUCAAGGACAAAUUUUUGUCAACAUGGGGAGAAUGAUGCAAAUAAAGAGCCAUUAAAGUUUAUAGGGCAUCUGAAUCAAAAGCAUUAAUAAGUUCAAUGCAUGACCGUUUUGUUUUGGCUUCUAAUAAAUUCCAUGCAUUUGGAAUGGAAUAGCUAGAGUCAUAAUUUUUUGAAUGGGCUUAAUGUAUAUGGAUUAAUGGGUUAAUUAAUUUAGGUGUGUUUAUAUCGGAAAUAAACGGCCUAUGAUCACCGAACACGUGGACAGGAUUGAUAUUGAUCACAGAACCCCUUCGGCAUGCUUCCUACCGAAGCCAUCUAUCUUGGCCCUUUUUACCAUCGGACACGUGUCAUGCUCACAAUCCAUGUCCACAGUCCCACAUCGGAAAUAUGAGCACAGUGCACACCUCCCAAGGCCUAUUUAAGAAGACCCCUAUCCUCAAAAGGAGGAGAUCAGAACGAACGGUACGCUACCGAUUGAUCUAUCAGUUAACAUUACUAAAACUGUACUUACUAAAGCAUCGGAGAGCCUUCGGCCGGUACCACACCGGUACCCCAAGGAAUUACCGAACGUGUCCUUUUGCAGGUACUUACCCUUCUGAAGUAGAACAUCUUCCGAAGACAGUCACCUGCCGAAGGCAUAAUAUCACUAAGUUGGCGAAAUACGUGCCGAACCACUUUUUCGCAUCAACAGUUUGGCGCCGUCUGUGGGAAUCCAGAAAAAUCAUCAACCCACUAUCUCCAAAACACAUGGGGACCACUUCAGUACCCACGUUCUUAUCGGAAGAAGGGGUACCGUUCGGAAGGUAGACCGGAGCUAGCCCAGCGCUACCCCCAUCCACUCCCUUCGGAAACGCCCCCGCAACCCAAACAACCGCCGAAGCCGAGCUGUUAGUCCAAAUCGCGUCCCUACGGAAGGACAUAGCGAGACUUCAGGAACACAACAACCUUCUUUCGUCCAAAGUGGACGAAACCCAGCAGCUGCUCCACCAGCAGCACACGCAGAACAUCCAAGCAACUCACUCUUCCCAGAGCUUGCAGACCCCCCAUAGGAAGAAGAAACACGAGAAGGUAGCGAGGGCAACGCCCGCACCUUCCAAACAGUUGGUAGUUCCGGCACCCAGGGAUCAGCCGCACAUCCCCAAGAAAGUCUACUCCGAUUGCCGACAUCGGAUUAACGAUCGGGAGGCAGAGAGACAGAGGUCUCCGAUCAGGAUUAGCGCUCGACUAAGGGACUCACGGAUGAAAAUCCUAGGAAGCAAGUCGCCUAUUCGGAAGGUCAGAGGGCUGGACUCCGCAGAGGAGUCAGAAUCCGAAUAUAUCCCUUCCAGGACGCAAGCUUCCACCUACCGUUCGACAACGCCUUCACGGUACUCGGGGGUUAAUUCAUUAAGUCUAGAAAGACGAUCGGAAGA